UGUUUGUUGAGUUGGUUUUUCAUCCUAACCAAUGAUCUGAUAAAAUAAAAUAGUUCAGCAGAUUGCGCAAGCUUGAGUCCCCACUCCCCAACAUGAUAUACCAUCAUUUAUCUCUUUAUGGUUACCUUUCUGAAAUAGAGAUCGAGGUCACUCCAGAAUACUCAUCUACUUCUGAAAUGUCUGAAGGUAGGUGUCCAACAUAUUUCUACUGCUCCAGGGUUUCAGUGAACCAGCAGAACUCUUGGGCAUGAUCUUUUUGUCUUUGUUGUUACCACGGAAACCGAGUUCUACUUUGAUUGAAUCUUGCAAUGCUUGAUUCAUCUCUGCUGCACUCAGUCAGGUCUGAUACUUUGCUAGAUUUGUGUCCUUAGACUCUUAAGCAAAAUCUUGUUGUAGUCUUUCUGAAGCAAAAUUGAUUCCUGUUUUGCAGUCUACUUAGACUCUUAGACCGCUGUUAGUUGAAACUGACGAAUCAUACUGGCACCUAGGUGGUAUCUUGUAUCACAAGUAGUGUUUGCCUUGGCUUUGUGCAGCGUUGUUCCUUGAGUCAGUGUCCAUGCAGAUGAUAGACGAGGUUGCACCAGCCACUCCGCUGUCCCAGUCAGGAAUUCCAAUGGAAUGCCUGGUCCUGGUCCAGGACUUUCUAAGGGUUAAAUGUUAACAACACCAUGUCCAAAUACUAACACUGCUUUUGUGCCUUUAUCCUUGCCAUGGAAACAGGGUUUGCUUCACUUUCUAUCCUAAACAAUCACAUUCCUUGGGCUUGACUUUGCAUAAUUAGCCAUGGUACAACAAAUAGUGUUAGGUAAUUAGCACCUAAAAAACAUUUAGGUUCAGUCUGAUUACUCUGUACAUACGUUACAUUGGUGGUCUUACCUGGUAGUGCAUAUUGUGCAAGCUCGAGUACUGUACACAAUUCAGCAAACCAGUACAACUUGUUUGGCCAUCAAUUUAAUUUGUCUCUUUGGUCUUAACAUAGAAAUAGAAUUCUCUGCUGCGAUUCAGUGUCACCGUGCACGGCACCAGGCACUAGUGCCACCAGAACAGCCAACGUACACCGUUGUCCUCAAAUUUGUUCAGGGGUGUCACAUGCGUCCUUACACUUUUAAAUUUGCAGAUUAUGUCGCUCAAGUUCCAAACAUCAGUAAUUAGCAUAUGCUUGCCUUUACCAUGCCAUUAAGUUGUUACACUCGCUUUCCUUUAGUCACUUGGUCUAUUUUGCAAAUUUUUACCGCUUUCGAUUGUGUUGUCAUCAGUCAUAAAAAAUAGGGAUAUUACUGAAAGUAGUUCCAUUAGGCUAUUGUCUUGUGAUUUUGGUGGUUGAGUGGUUUUGUAAUCACUAGGACUAAUAUGUUUGUAAAGUAUAUGUUUUGGAAGGGUUUCCUAGCUCUCAAGAUGAAAUACAAGUGAAGCAAGCAACCAUGGCGCAAAGAAUGGAGCAAAACAAGCAAAGAUGUACACUGGAGUGUUUGGUCGGUCACUGUGACUGAAAAAUAGUAUGUGGGACUGAAAUAGUUGAAGAUACACUAAAGAUAUACAUGUGGGACUGAAAAAUAGUAUUACAGAAGGGCGUAUACUCUGAUGUUUCAAGUGGGAAGUUAUGCAGAAAAGAAGAUUCUACAUGCCAGAUGAUCCAGCGUUGGUAAAAAAAAAAUAUAUAAACUACACGGCAUUGUAUUCACUACAUUACUGACGACUCAGACUAUCUGUAUAAUCGAUUUGAAUAGAAUGAAAUUAAUUCAAAGAGCAAAAAAAAAAAUACCGAAAUUCAAGUAAGGAUUUUGGGAUUCGAUAUUUUGGGGGGACAACUCCGAUUUGAAUUUUUGGUACUCAACCUGUAUCCGGAUAGGAUAAAUAGACGACCCCAAGGUUGAAACUGACGAAUGAGGAUUAGCUCAUGGCUUUGAGUGUGAACUCAACUUGAGAUAAUGAGCUCUGACUCAGCGGGAUUCUAAAUUGGAGAUGACGUGGGAAAUUGAUAAGGACUCGACGUUUAACAUUGAAGGGAAUUUGUAUUGACAAGUUAUAUAGCGAUAACGGCUUAAAUUCUGAGCUAGGUUUAAAUUUAAACCCGCACACAAUUAAUAUCCAAGAAGACUUGAACAAACCCAGAGAAACCCAAAACAAAAACAAUCAACACCUUACCUUAUUAUUAGCUAGCAAGAUUCACAUGUAAAUAAUUAGAAUAAAGUUUUAAAUGAAUAGAAAUAUCCAUAGUCCAUUCCUUUGCUAUCUACUCUACCCAUUUAAAUACAGGUGAAAUAGAGGUGCUCUUUGCUCGUAGCAACCCACGGGCAUGUUUGCCUAUUAUGAAUAAAAUAUAUGUUCCUUAAUAAUGUAUUAUUUUAUCUAUUUAUUUUGUUUAUUUAUUUAUUCUAUCACACCUGUAAUAUUUUUCUCACACGUGUAGAGAAAUGCUUCUGGUAUUUUUUCUCACACAUGUAGAGAAAUGCUUCUGGUAUUUUUCUCCCCAAAUAGUACGACCAUAAAGCUACUUAGACUUUUUUAAAAUCAUUUAGGUGAAAACCUUGCAUGUAGGUUGGGCAGCUAAGCUAAUUGUUGUGUGGAAAGGUAUUAGCCUUUCAUCAUAUCUUUUUUUUUUUUGCGGGCAAGGCUUUCAUCAUAUCUUUAAGGCGAGAGAAUCACCAAGUCAUCAUUUUAUCGUUAUAUCUCAUAGUUUCGAUAUUAUUGCAGCCAAAUGUUAGUACCAGUGUCUUGGUCCAGUACAGUAAAGCAUGGGGAGUUUUGGCACUAAUUCUACAGAUUUUUGUUUUUUUCUACCUAAAAUAUUGAAAUGAUUGUUUAUCAGUUCUAUUGAGCUCCAUCUCGUACGCAAAUAAAAAGACAAAGGAACAAUCGGUCCACGACACUGGUUGUAAAAGAAAGCAGACAUAUAGCGCCCAUAGGGCAUAUCACUAGGAACAUCUCAGCCGUCAAGAUUUGAGUGAGAGUGGGCAGUCUAGAGCCCACUCGAGCAUUUUUAGGCCAGUCCACACCCGAAUUACAAUCCAUCCAUUUAAUCCAAGUCCAUCCCCUACCCUAGUCUCUGCAUCAUGGUCAUCUUCACGCACGCGAAACGCAGUAGCCGCACGCCCGCAAGCAAACCGUGUAGGUUGCAGCGCCGAAGCACCCAUAGCUUGCUCCACCGAUUUCGGCGAGGCCCCGUGGCAGCAAUCACCACCAGCCUCCCAUUUUUCGACUCUGGCGAACUUGUUCAUUGUGUUGCCAUCCCCACCCCGCCCUCCUUCCUCGUCUCUAGCGGCUCUCGCCACUGGAUACGACCCUGCCGUCCACCCCCACGCUAAAUCACCGUUGGUGCUCUCCCUAUUAGUAGGGUGCUUUUGUCCCGGUUAACUUUGGAUUCAUGACUAAAGUGCCUUUAGUCCUGGGUCAAAAAUGUACCACCGAAGGCCACCGCCAGGGGGGGGGGGUUGUCGUUGUCAAGAAUCACGGGUCAAGACCGUGCAAGUGAAUUUGUUUUCUAUGCGCGUAAGGCUCGGAUGGUUGCACGAGAGGACACGGGGUUUAUACUGGUUCGGGCAGGAAUAGCCCUACGUCUAGUGUGGGAGACUGCUUGUGUUACUCAUGCAGAGUUUGCAGUAGGGGUUACAAAUGGGGGAGAGAGGGAAGCUAGUCCCAAAUCUCUUUGGGUGUGCACUGAUGCUCGUGUGGAAGGGUUGUGGGUGGAGAGUAGCUCUGGUUUGCUUGAGAGCCAUCCUUGUCUCAGGCCUCCUGGUCCUCCUUUUAUAGCGUAAGGAGGGCACAGGAGUUAUAAUUGAGCCAGGAGCAGAAGGGGGAGUGAAGAAGGUAAGCAGGGAAGUAACAGUGGAGGGAGAAGGACCGAGCCCCCGGGGUUGCCGCCUUCCCUUCCGGUCUCUGUCUCCUGUCAGCAUGACCACUGGAGGGGGAUGGUUGUUGUUGGGCCCCAUCGACGAUCCUCCGAUUGGCCGUCGUAGCCGAGCACGCGAGAUAUGAAUGGCGACCGAUCGCUAUAGCCAUGCAUGAUGAUGAUGAUGACUGGUCGCCGUAGUUGUGCACUCGUGGAGGACAGUCGACCUCUCUAGCCUCACAUAUUGACCGGGAGGCGUGGCUAACACGCCCCUGCCGCCAGGUCGAGCGGGAGACCGGGCGGCGCAUCCUCCUUUGUCGGGCGGCGUUGGCGAUGAGUGCCCUAUAACGAAUGUUACAGGGGAGGAUUAGGACGGUGCAGUUGUAGCCCUGUGCAGUCGUGGCUACAGUGUGCCACCCAAAAACUUUGGCCGGUCACGUCGAGGAGCGCGGGCGUCUUUCUGCGUGCCAGAGCCGUAUUGCAUUUAUGGAGAGAUCGGUGGGGGCCUACCAGAUCUGCGCCCUCGUCUACUGAUCCGCGCCCUCCCUCGGGCGAGGCGAAGCUCUGUCGUGUGUGUCCGGAUGUGCCCAACCUCUAGCACCUGGGGUCAUGCGAGACAGAGCCUUGCGCGAGGGGUCGGGCGCGUUCGACCCCUCGCGCCCGACCCCUUGCGCCCGGGGUCAGGCGAGGCGGAGCCUUGCGGCGCGGGGUCAGGCGCAUCCGACCCUUGGACCAUGGGUUGGGCGAGAUGGAGUGGAAUAUUCCCUAGCCGUGCCAAGUCGGUGGAGGUUACUGUCGCUGCAGGUGGGCCCGGGCCCUUAUGAUCGUUGUUUAAGGAAUAUAAGGAGGUCAUUAAUAUUUUCCCCUAACAGUAGCCCCCGAGCCAUUGGUGGAGCAAAAAUGCUCCUCCAGAGGCUGCAUUCGUUGUUUGUCAAGGACCUUUGUUUGUUCUGCAACCUUUAUUUGAUCAGGGAGAAAGAGUUUCGCUCGUUUGGUUUGACUGUGGAGUUUGGGUAGGCAAGGUGCUCCGAGGAUGGCUCAGCUCGGGAAGAUUCCCUAUCGUUCCGACGACCACUCCUACUCCAAGACUCCAAAUUGUGACCACAUGCGUGGUCGUUGGUUGCGAUGCCAGCCCCCGAGCCCCCGCACAUUGCAGGAGACUGAUCAAGUGGUUAGAUCAACUUUUGAUCGUUACCCCUCAAGCGCCCGUUCGCUGGGAUGGAGGGUGUGAGCCGUGCCACGUUAUCCUCGUUGGAUGAACCGUGGUGCUCGUUGAGCUGCGAACGGGUCAGUUCGAGUGGAGUCCUGGUCCCCGUUCGGGGGGGUUCGGCUCGGGCCAAGCUGGUGGCAUACUCCAGAUUCCGAAUGGCCAAUUCAUAUAGUUCCCGGGUCCAUUCGAUUGGAUCUGGGGGCUCGUUGCCUUUCUUUAGGGAAAAACCAUGAACUUAAAUGCCAGUCUGAACUCAAACGUGAGGUCGGGACACCCUUGGCUUUCGCUUGCCUGGGUGGUGGCCGCUAGUGGACCCAUCCCUUCUCACCCCUUCCUCGAGAGUGUCCUGGGGCGACUGUCGAACCCAUGGCGGGCCAGCCUUUGAACCCCUGGACCGUAAUGGGCCGUAGGAGCAUUUUCAGCUCCGUAUCCCUUUUUUACCUGUUGGUGGGCCCCGGGCCGUACGUGGAGGAAGUCACGCGCGUGUGCCCUCUGGGAGGCGAAGUGGUAGAAAAUACUGGGCUCGCGAAAUGAGGGAGGGGGAGAUGUUUUUUGCAGCAGAUCAUGCGCGCGGUUUCCAAAAAAGGCAGGGGGUGACGGGUGUACCUGGCAUCGCAAUAACUGCGAUUGGAUUGACCCUUUUGCUUCCCGCGCCCCCCCCUAUAAGACAAGGGAGUCCGCCUCGUCGGUUCCGCCCUGCACUCAUCCUCAAGCCUUUCUUGCCUUCUUGUGCACUUUUCGCCUCCCUUCGCUCCAGCGCAGCAGAUUUCUCCACACCCGCCGUUGAGCCUUCCAUUCCCUUAGCGAUGGAGUCCUGGAUGCGCUCAAACUUUAGCACCGCGCGCGCCACUGGCCUCAUAAAGAAGGGCCUCCUUUGAGAGAGGACCGCCAAGAACGAGUGGCGGUACCCCGGGAGGGAGGAUGUGUUGGGAUAUGAGGUAGGCUACACUAGCGCAAAUCAAAAUUUCUACCGCGUAUAACCAGGAAGAACUGCCGUAUAAGGAUCACGGGAUUACCACUCGACGCACUACUGGUGCGGAAGAUGUAGAUAUGCGUCGAUGCAAUGAAGACGAUCACGUAGUCGUACGUAGUCGAUCAACGUAGUCGUACGUAGUCGAUCACGUCCAGCAGCUCCUCAGCAGCUCGUCCACGUGCACAGCAAGAUCGCCUCCGGUACCGCGGCUCGUCGUCGGCUCGUCCAAGUGCUGCAGGCGCAACACCUCCAAGGUAUCCACACGUGCAGGGAGGAAGCGUCGCAAGCCGGAUUGCUAGAUCCGCGAGUUGCAACAGGCGAGGGCGUGGGAGGCGCGGCAGGUGUGUUUCGCCAAAAAGUGUAAACCCUAGGGCGCCCCCACCCCUCUAUUUAUAGAGGUUCCUGAUGGGCCUCUGGAUCCGAGGCCCAUUAGUACUCCUAAACCUAAUCCAACUCGGAUCAGAUCCGAAUUGGGCUUCCAGCCCCUUAAGUGUGUGACCCUAUCGGUUCGGAUACGUAUAGACAUGGCCCGAGUACUCCUACUCGGCCCAAUAGUCGGUAGCGGCCUCUAGCAAGACGUGCCAACUCCUAUACGCACACGAAGAUCAUAUCAGACGAACCAUCACAACAUAAUAUACAUGCUAUUCCCUUUGCCUCACGAUAUUUGGUCUAGCUUCAAGCCGACCGCUCUUUCUCGAUCCUAUGAUUCGGAAUCCCUUUGUAGGUUAACUCUUAACCGUACGUAGCAUGGCCAUGCAUUUUCGGAUCCGAUCACUCGAGGGGCCCAGAGAUAUCACUCUCAAUCAGAGAGGGGCAAAUCCCUUCUUGAUUGACCAUGUCUUAUAGCAUGCUUCUUGACAAACCCGAAAGCUACCUUUAUAACUACCCUGUUACGGCGUAGCGUUUGAUAGCCCCUAAGUAGGUCGAUCCACAUCUAGAAUACAUGCGACAAUCUCAGGUCUAAGGACAAAGCGUAUAUGUUGUCUAAAGAGAGAACUACUUCUCGUGUUGGGUCAGUCCUAACACAUGUCUCCACAUGUGUCCACAUUAUUAGUUCAACAUCUCCAUGUCCAUGACUUGUGAAACAUAGUCAUCAACUAAUACAUGUGCUAGUCUAAUAUUCAUGUGUGUCCUCACAUGAACUCCGACUAGGGACAACUUUAGAAUAACCAUACAAGUAAAGAGUUUCACAUACAAUUCACAUAAUUGCAAAUCAAUUCAAGUAGCCUUUAAUGGAUAUUCAAUGAACACAAUAUACAAAUCAUGGAUACAAAUGGAAUAUCAUCAUCUCUAUGAUUGCCUCUAGGGCAUACCUCCAACAGGAUGCGCCGCAGCCGGAUAAUGGAUACGUCAUCUCGUUCGCGCACUUCUAUGAGAGGGGGUUCACGACUCCGCCGAGCCUCUUUCUUUCGUGGGCUACUGCACUACUACGGGCUCGAGCUGCAGCACCUCAACCCCAAUGGGAUCUAGCACAUUGCGGCAUUCGUCGCGCUGUGUGAAGGGUACCUAGGGAUCGAGCCCAACUUCUCGCUCUGGAAAUACUUCUUCACGGUCAGCCUGCAUCACAAGAUCGAGAAGAGGGGGAUCCAGGUGCGGGUGGUUUUGGUGCCGAUGGGGUGUGCCGGCAUCCACCUCCGUCAGAACUGUGCUAAGGAGUACAUGGUGAUGAAGAUCAUGGCGUCCCACAAGGGGUGGCACCAGCAGUGGUUCUAUGUGAAGAACUGCCUCAAGUCCCCCUUGCUGGAGUUCACCGGCUGUGUCAUUGCGGCAGCACCGGAUCACUGGUCGUAUGGUCGGGUUGAAAAGGAGAAGAAGCACAUCGCCGGUCUUCUUCAGGCCAUCAACCGCUUGAAGGAGGAGGGCCUGACCGGGGCUGGAUUUAUCAGGGUUUACCACGCUCGGAGGGUGGCGCCACUGAUGCUCCGGGCCCGCGCGCUUGGCGAUAUGGUUCCCGGCGUGGUGACCAAGGGCACCGUCCUUACGACGGGUGUGCUUGCCACCGCCGAGAUUGAGCAGCGCGUCCAGGAGGCGCUGGACGACAGGGACAUCGUUUACCCGGUGCCGGGUCACCCUCCGAUGCGCUCGGACGAGGACUUCGUCCUACUGGUGAGAAUUUUGCACUCUCAUUCUUCUUUCUUGCAUUUCCUGGUUCGCCAUUCUGACGCGGAGUUUUGAAUCUGCAGGGUGAGCUGAACCAGGUCAUGACCUCGUGCUCGCCGGUGCCAGAGGACACCGCGCGGUGGCAGCAAAACCGUCUCCUCGUCGAAAAGUAGAAGAGGAGGAAAGACAAAGAGAUGGCGAGGAAGUGGAAGAGGUCCACGAAGGAGUUCCAAAGGCGGCGAAGGGAUGUGGUCAUGUCAGACGAUGACGACAAUGAUGAUGAUGAAGAUGAGAAAGAUGAAACCGAGGAGGAGGAGGAGGACGGUUAUGUUCCGGCCUUCGUGCCGAGCGCGCUCGUCAUUCGGGACCAGCCCCCACAACUGGCCACGGGGGAGAGGUCGAGCGGACCGCCCGCCUAGGGUUCGACCCCGUAGGGCUUGGGGGCCGCGCCCCAGGAGUCGGUGAGGGAUGCACCUCAGGAGUUGACCGGAUUGACUCCCGACCCUCUGUUUGCGUCGCACGGGCAGAGGGGUAGUGGCAAGCGGCCGCUAUCGGAUGUCCCGAGGUCGGCGUCGAGCUCGGAGGCGAAGCGCGCCCGCCGCCCUCGCACUGCGGCAAGGUAAGUGGAAAGUUCUCGCGCACCUUAUUCCUUUCCUAGCAUCGAGCCACUUCUGAUGAAGUUGUCGUCAUCUCGCAGUGCUGCUCCUCGAGACUUCGUCCUGCCACUGGCGCCGGAGAAGGUGCUCCAGGUGUCGACCGCCUCCGCGGGGUCAACCGUGACCCUGUCGGGAGCGAGCAGUGGUUGUCGGGAUACGAGGUAGGCUACACUAGCGCAAAUCAAAAUUUCUACCGCGUAUAACCAGGAAGAACUGCCGUAUAAGGAUCACGGGAUUACCACUCGACGCACUACUGGUGCGGAAGAUGUAGAUAUGCGUCGAUGCAGUGAAGACGAUCACGUAGUCGUACGUAGUCGAUCAACGUAGUCGUACGUAGUCGAUCACGUCCAGCAGCUCCUCAGCAGCUCGUCCACGUGCACAGCAAGAUCGCCUUCGGUACCGCGGCUCGUCGUCGGCUCGUCCAAGUGCUGCAGGCGCAACACCUCCAAGGUAUCCACACGUGCAGGGAGGAAGCGUCGCAAGCCGGAUUGCUAGAUCCACGAGUUGCAACAGGCGAGGGCGUGGGAGGCGCGGCAGGCGUGUUUUGCCAAAAAGGUGUAAACCCUAGGGCGCCCCCACCCCUCUAUUUAUAGAGGUUCCUGAUGGGCCUCUGGAUCCGAGGCCCAUUAGUACUCCUAAACCUAAUCCAACUCGGAUCAGAUCCGAAUUGGGCUUCCAGCCCCUUAAGUGUGUGACCCUAUCGGUUCGGAUACGUAUAGACAUGGCCCGAGUACUCCUACUCGGCCCAAUAGUCGGUAGCGGCCUCUAGCAAGACGUGCCAACUCCUAUACGCACACGAAGAUCAUAUCAGACGAACCAUCACAACAUAAUAUACAUGCUAUUCCCUUUGCCUCACGAUAUUUGGUCUAGCUUCAAGCCGACCGCUCUUUCUCGAUCCUGUGAUUCGGAAUCCCUUUGUAGGUUAACUCUUAACCGUACGUAGCAUGGCCAUGCAUUUUCGGAUCCGAUCACUCGAGGGGCCCAGAGAUAUCACUCUCAAUCAGAGAGGGGCAAAUCCCUUCUUGAUUGACCAUGCCUCAUAGCAUGCUUCUUGACAAACCCGAAAGCUACCUUUAUAACUACCCUGUUACAGCGUAGCGUUUGAUAGCCCCUAAGUAGGUCGAUCCACAUCUAGAAUACAUGCGACAAUCUCAGGUCUAAGGACAAAGCGUAUAUGUUGUCUAAAGAGAGAACUACUUCUCGUGUUGGGUCAGUCCUAACACAUGUCUCCACAUGUGUCCACAUUAUUAGUUCAACAUCUCCAUGUCCAUGACUUGUGAAACAUAGUCAUCAACUAAUACAUGUGCUAGUCUAAUAUUCAUGUGUGUCCUCACAUGAACUCCGACUAGGGACAACUUUAGAAUAACCAUACAAGUAAAGAGUUUCACAUACAAUUCACAUAAUUGCAAAUCAAUUCAAGUAGCCUUUAAUGGAUAUUCAAUGAACACAAUAUACAAAUCAUGGAUACAAAUGGAAUAUCAUCAUCUCUAUGAUUGCCUCUAGGGCAUACCUCCAACAGUGGUGUCGUUGGAGAAGCCGCGGUGCCUCCUACGGAGGCAGCCUUUGCGGCGGCGACUGGAAAAAGGGUGCCGCAGUUGGGCACGGAGCAGGGACCGACCCCUGUUCCAUCUUCUGCGGGACAAGAUGCUGCCCCUGGGGUUCCUCCGUCCGAUGAGGUGAUAAACCUUGAUGAUGAGGCGGAGGAGGAGCCGGUAGGGGAGGCAUCAGCGUCCAAGGUGCCGGUCACGGAGGCGGCAGCGACGGCGGUGGAAACGGCAGCGGUGGUGGAGGCAGCGGCGCCUACCUCAGCGGUGAUGAUGGAGACGGCGGUAGUGGCGGAGAUGGCGGCAUCGGCCCCGGCAGUGAUGACGGGGAUGGUGGUGCCUGCACCGGCGGCGACGACGGGGAUUGCGGCGGUGGCGGAGAUGGUGGCGCCUCCCCCGGCGUCAACGAUGGGGAGGACAGCGUCAGGGCUGGUCGGAGAGUCCUCCCAUGCCCUCGUCCUGCUUGGUCGUGACCCCAACACGUGGGGAGGGCCGACCAUGCGCUGGAUGUCCCGUGAGGAUCCAUAGAGGCCCCGCUUCGUGCUGGAUGAUGUCAAGGAGCAGAAAAGAUGGCAGGAGGUGCAGGGCAGACUCAAAGACGUCCGUGACGCCCUGUCAUCCGUGAUAGGGAAGCUGGAUGGCGUUGUUGUUCCCAGCGGUUAGGUACGGUGUUCUCCUUGAUGGUUAUUUUUCUUUCAUUUCUCCGUCCCCUUUUUCUCUUGACGGCUACUGAGCGUAAAUCAUUUUGCAGGCCCUCCAGGAAUGCAGCCGGGGGAAGUUCGAGUUCCUUCGGCGUGAGCGAGGGGUCUGGGAGUGCUUCACCAGGGAGGUGCGGCGGACCGGGGAGCUAACCGGGCAGCUCGCCGCCGCCCAGCAGAACGCUGCCGACCUGCGGGCGCGGGAGCAGGAGGUGCGGGAGGGCACGCAAAGGGCGGAGGACAAGUUUUGGGCCGCUGCCAAGGAGGCCCGUCGUGAUGCCGAGGAGCUUGCACGGUUGAGGAAGGAGCAUGAGGCCCUUUAGAAAACCGUUGAGCGCAUCCAGCUUGAGCGGCACACGGCUCGGCAGGAGCGCGACCUCGAGGCGGGCCGGAAGGUUGAGGCUGAAAAGGUGGCGGCCGACCUUGGGGCAGAUGUCAGUCGGCACCAUUCAUAGAUGCAGGGGCUUCAAACCGCUGUGUCCCAAGGGCUUGACCGGGAACAUCUGCUGAGGACCCAAUCUGAGGUUAAGGCUUUCGUUGUCCUCUUGUUUGCAGCGUUGUGCUGGUUUCUGACUUGGCGAGCUUUUCUGGACAUGUCUUGAGGCCGACCUCCCCCGGCUGAGGGACGCCGCCGAUGCGGAGCACGUCGAGCACGCCAAUCUGCGGGACGCCGUUCGCAUCAUUUGUGAGGACCUCAGUGUGGUCCAAGAGGAGGGGACGAGCAUGCUGGCGGCUUGUGUCCUCAGGGCGUACCGGCGGGCCCGUAAGAUCGCUCGGGAGGCGCUCCAUGUCGACGUGAGGUGGGCCUUCGGCGUCUUCGGCUCUCACUACUCCAACAUCAACUUCGCCACGAUGAGCGGGGGGUACGCCUCUGGCUACUCUGAUGCCGAGCUGGACGAGAUCGACGUGUCGGUGCUCAAUCCAGCGGAGGCCUUGGCGAAGCUCCUGGAGGAUCAGGCAAUCCCGCCAGAGGACCCGGGGACGAGCUAGCUGUAUCGGGCCAAGCUGCCCAAAAAUAUGUAAAUAGGUUAAGUGAUUCUGAACUUGCUUUUGUGAUGGCCAUAGAGGCCUUUUUAGUUUAUGAAAAUUUUCAGAAAAAGUUUUUGAUCCUCUUUCUAUUUUUUGGGUUUGGAAAGAUCAGAGCGUGAGUCGGAUGCGUCAGGAAGCGUUGAUGAGCAAAGGCACCGUAGCCGCUGGGGCGUAGGUUUCUCAUAGUCCGAUCGGUCUUGCCCGAGCGUCAUUCGUGCACUCCUUUCUUUUCACGCCCAAAUGUUUUGGAAGAGGGUCGGUUUGAAAAAAUGGUGUUUUGAGAAGACGGCAAGUGUCUUGGGUCGGGGCCCUUGAUAGCCCCCGUGGGAUAUGCAACCCUGGGGUUGAGCCAGGGUCGGAUAUCCCUAAGCUUGGGAUGAAACUUUAGCGAAGGCAACUCAAAACAGCCCCUUUUUCACAAACUAAAAGAUGACAGAAGUAUGUAUGUAUAAACUUGGAAAUAAUAGCUAAGGGUAGAAACAUCUUAGCUGCUCGAUGUUCCAAGCAUUGGUGAAGAUCUGCCCGUCGGGGGUCACUAUCUUGUACGUGCCUGGCCACAGUACUUGCACGAUGACGAAAGGACCUUCCCACGGAGGGGUCAGCUUGGGCCGACCUCUGUUGUCUUGAACGAGGCGGAGCACCAGGUCGCCGACGUUGUAGGCCCGACCCCGUACCUUACGACUGUGAUACCGUCACAAAGCUUGCUGGUACUUGGUCGAGUGCAGCUGGGCCACAUCAUGUGCUUCGUCGAGCUGGUCUUGCGCAUCCUCGAGAGAUGUUUGGUUCCCUUGUUCAUCGUACGCCCUGACCCUCGGCGACCCAUACUCCAGGUCGGUGGGGAGGAUUGCCUCGGACCCAUAGACCAUGAGAACGGGGUGAAGCCAGUUGCCCUGCUGGGGGUCGUCCUCAGGCUCCAUAGGACCGCGUGGAGCUCUGCAACCCAUCGGCCGCUGAACUUGUUGAGGCGGUCGAAGAUCCGUGGCUUGAGACCCUGGAGUAUCAUGCCACUAGCCCGCUCGACCUGUCCGUUCGUGCAGGGAAUGUGGUGGUCAUCGCAGAACUUGAGGAAUUUCUUCCUGGUGAACUGCGUGCCGUUGUCCAUGAUGAUGGAGUUGGGGACUCCGAAGUGAUGGAUGAUGUCGGUGAAAAAUUGCAUCGCCUGCUCGGACUUGAUAUGCGCAACCGGUCGUGCCUUGAUCCACUUCGAGGACUUGUCGACGGCGAUGAGCAGGUGGGUGAAGCCCCCGGGCGCCUUCUUGAAGGACCCGAUGAGGUCCAGACCCCAGACAGCAAAGGGCCACGUGAUGGAGAUGGUCUGGAGUGCUUGGGCGGGCGGAUGGGUUUGUCGCGCGAAUAACUAGCACCCUUUGCAGGUGCGCACUACGCUGGUGGCGUUGGCUACCGCCGUCGGCUAGUAGAAGCCCUGUCGGAAGGCAUUCCUGACGAGGGUUCUUGGUGCGGCGUGGUGGCCGCAGGCUCCGGUGUGGAUGUCCUGGAGUAACGCCUUUCCCUGCUCGGUCGGGAUGCAGUGUUGCAGGAUGCCGUUAUGGCUCCGCUUGUAGAGAUCUUGGUCGAUGAUGAUGAAGGAUUUGGCACGGCGGGUGAUCUUUCGCGCCACUGUCUUGUCCAUCAGGAGCAACUCGCGGAUGAGGUAAUCGAGGUACGGGGUUCUCCAGUCAGGUAGGGGGUCAGGCCCCUCUGCUGGAUCCGCAUCGAUUUCCAUGACCUUGGGGUCGGAGGAGUCGGCCUCCGAGUCCGGGACAGGUGGCGCAUUGCCGACCUCUCCCGGGUUAGCUCUCGAGUCCGGGACAGGUGGCGUGUUGCCGACCUCUCCUGGCUCCUUGUAGCGGAUCGAGGCUUAUGCUGGUCACUGAUAAAGACGCCAUCAAGGACUGGCUUCCGGCCGGACGCCGCCUUUGCCAACUCGUCAGCUGCCUCGUUGAAGCGUCUCGCAACGUGGUUGAGCUCCAGACCAUCAAACUUGUCCUCGAGCUUGCGGACUUCGUUGCAGUACGCUGCCAUCUUGGGAUCGUGGCAGCUCCACUCCUUCAUGAAUUGCUCGACGACUAGCUGAGAGUCGCCUCGGAUGUCCAGCCGUCCGAUGCCCAGCUCGAUGGCGAUAUGAAGCCCAUUGAGGAGAGCCCCAUACUUGGCGACAUUGUUAGAUGCGGGGAAAUGGAGGUGGAUCAUGUACCUCAUGCGCACGCCGAGGGGGGAGAUGAAAACCAGGCCCGCUCCGGCGCGAGAUUUCAUCAGCGACCCAUCGAAAUACAUCGUCCAGUGCUCCUGCUUCUCUGGUGCUGAUGGCAUGUGGAUCUCCGUCCAUUCCGCGACAAAGUUGGCAAGUACCUGGGACUUGAUGGCUGCCCGGGGGGCGUAGGUGAUGCCCUAGUCCAUAAGCUCGAGCGCCCACUUCGCGAUUCGUCCUGUGGCGUCUUGAUUCCGGAUCACCUCGCCGAGGGGGAACGAUGACACGACCGUCACCGGGUGGGAGGUGAAGUAGUGGCGUAGCUUCCUCUUCAUGAUGAGGACUGCGUAUAUGAGCUUCUGGAUUUGGGGGGUAGCGGGCCUUGGAUUCGGACAAGACCUCGCUGACGAAGUACACCAGGCGCUGCACCUUGAGGGCGUGUCCCUCCUCCUCUCGCUCCACCACUAGAGCAGCGCUAACCACCUGGGUGGUUGCCGCGAUGUAGAGCAGGAGUGGCUCCCCGUCGGUCGGUGGGACCAGGAUCGGGGCCUUCAUCAGGAUGUGCCUGAGCCGGUAAAGCGCCUCCUAGGCCUCGGCGGUCCACACAAAAUGGUCGGUCUUCUUCAGGAGUCGGUAGAGAGGGAGUCCUCGUUCACCAAGGCAUGAGAUGAAGCGGCUCAGGGCCGCAAGGCAUCUUGUGAUGCACUGUACUCCCUUCAGGUUUUGGAUCGGCCCCAUAUUGUUGAUGGCCGAUAUCUUCUUCAGAUUGGCUUCGAUGCCGCGCACGGAGACGAUGAAGCCGAGCAGCAUGCCCCUCGUUACACCAAAAAUGCACUUUUCAGGGUUGAGUUUGAUGCGCUUGUCCCUCAGUCUUUCGAAGGCCAGUUCAAGGUCAGGGAUAAGCUGGUCGCCCUUCUUGGACUUGACCACGAUGUCGUCCACGUAGGCCGCAACGGUUCACCCGAUGAGGUCCCCAAAACACUUGAGCAUACCUCGCUGGAAUAUAGCCCCCACAUUUUUGAGGCCGAACGACAUCGUGACAUAGCAGUAGGGCCUGAAAGGGGUGAUGAAAGAGGUCGCGAGCUGGUCGAACUCUUUCAUCACGAUUUGGUGGUAACCGGAAUACGUGUCGAGGAAGCUAAGGGUUUUGCCUUGUUGACUAUCUGAUCUAUGUGCGGCAAAGGAAAUGGAUCCUUUGGGCAUGCCUUGUUGGGACCCGUAUAGUCAACACACAUUCUCCAUUUCUCAUUCUUUUUUCGUACAAGAACAGGGUUGGCUAACCACUCGGGGUGGUGCACUUCCUUGAUGAACCCGGCCAUCAAAAGCUUCUAGAGUUCCUCACCGAUAGCCUUGUGCCUCUCCUCGUUGAAGCGGCGUAAGCCCUGUCUCACCAGUUUGUAGCCGGCCUUGAUGUUCAAGGAGUGCUCGGCGACUUCCCUCAGGAUGCCCGGCAUGUCUGAGGGUUUCCACGCAAAAACAUCGCUGUUUGCGCGGAGGAAGUUGACGAGCGCGCUUUCCUAUUUGGGGGAUAGGGUAGCGCCUAUCCGCACCAUCCUGCCGUCGGAGCAGUUGGGGUCGAGGGGGACCUCCUUUACACCCUCCGUGGCUUUGAAGGAAGUGGUGGACUGCUUGGAGUCGGGCGGAUCCUCAGCGCCCUCCGCAAGCCGGACCACGUGGUGCUCUGAACAAGUGAUGGCCGAGGCGUACUCGUAGCACUCGACAUCACACUCAUACACCUUCUGGAAAGACGUGCUGAUGGUGAUGACCCCGUUGGGCCCUAGCAGCUUGAGCUUGAGGUAGGUGUAGUUGGGGAUGGCCAUGAACUUGGCGUAGCAUGACCACCCCAAAAUAGCGUGGUAGGUCCUGUAGAAGCCCACCACCUCGAAAGUGAGGGUCUCCUUCCUGAAGUUGUAAGGAGUCCCGAAAGUGACGGGCAGGUCGAUCUUCCCGAGGGGCAUUGUCCAUUUUCCUGGCACGAUGCUGUGGAAUGGCGCCUCGCUGGGACGGAGACGGGAUCGGUCGAUCCCCAUGGUGUCGAGAGUCUUGGUGUAGAGGAUGUUGAGGCUGCUGCCUCCAUCCAUGAGCAACUUGGUGUGGAGCUUCGUGCCUACGAUGGGGUCGAUGACGAGGGGGUAGCGUCCCGGCUGCGGGACAUGUUCCAGGUUGUCGGACUGGUCAAAGGUUAUGGUGGACCUUGACCAGUCGAGGAAGGUUGGGGUAGCGGGGUCGGCCGCGUAGACCUCACGGCGUUCCAGCUUUUGGCGGCGCCUGGAGUCGUAGGCCGCUGGCCCACUGAAGAUCAUGAAGCAGCCGUCCACGUUAGGGAAGCCAUCUUCCUUCUCUUCGACGUCCUUUUUCUCUUCUUCAGGCUUCCGUCUCCAGUCACCCUUCACCGGAUUGCCCACAAUGUACCUCUUCAUGAGGUUGAAAUCCUUGUAGGCGUGCUUGGCAGGGAACUCGUGGUUCGGGCACGGUCCCUCAAGAAACUUGUUGAAGAAACCGGGGGUGCCAUCGGGAGGCGGCUGUCCCCGUUUGAGCUCAGCAACAACCACAAGGGGGGCCUCGCGCCGUUGCUUGUUCUUCUUCUUCUGCUGGCGGCUGGAGGUGCCCUCGUCGGCGUCCUCCUCCCACUUUGCCUUGCCCUUGGAGCGAUCGAAGAUCGCCCCAAUGGCCUCUUCGCCCGAGGCGAAGCUGGUGGCGAUGUUGAGGAGCUCCUCGGUGGUUCGUGGGCUCCUGCGUCCCAGCUUGUGGACUAGGGGCCUGCAUGAGGUUCCCACCAAGAAGGCUCCGAUGACGUUGGCGCCGGUGAUGUUUGAGAGCUCAGUGCGCUUCCUGGAGAAGCGUCGGAUGUAGUCUCAGAGGGACUCAUCCAACCCCUGGCGGCAGCUCCGAAGAUCCUAGGAGUUUCCAGGGCGCAUAUACGUGCCCUAGAAGUUCCCUACGAAGAUUUCCUUCAGGUCGUUCCAGUUACGGAUCCAACCUGAUGGAACGUGUUUUAGCCAGGCUCACGCCGAGUCGGCUAAGAACAGCGGGAGGUUGCGAAUGAUGAACAGGUCAUCAUCCGCCCCACCGGCCUAACAAGCAAGCCGGUAGUCGCUGAGCCAAAGCCCGAGGUUCAUCUCCUCGGAGUAUUUGGCCACGUUGGUGGACUGCCUGAAGUGCGCUGGGAACAGCGCAUUCAAGAUGUGCGCGGAGAAGGCCCUGGGCCCCGCUAGGUCGGGGCUCGGGCUCCGAUCUUCUUUGGUAUUGUAGCGGCCACUACGGUGGACGUGGUAGCCGUGGUCCGCUUCAUCCUCCUUGUCUGUGCGGGAGCGCCUCCGCGCGUCCAGGGUGUCACGGGCGUCACGGACGGGACCAACGCGCCAGUGGAUGGAUGGUGCUCCGCCACCUGCAGGCGGUGGGGUUCGUCGAACAGGCGCGGCCCGAUUUCCCCCGGGGGAGGCUGGUGGACAGACUCCUAUGCCUUUCGGGAGGCACGGUGGGCACUGCCCUACUAGUGUUGUGCGCGCGUCGCCGGGACGCGGAGCUCUCCGCCUGCUGGACUACGGUGCACUCAAGCAGGUUGCGCAUCUCUUGGUAGGCCUGUCGCUCCUCGGGUGUUGCUGGUUUGGGGAGUGGUCGGAGUAGGGACGCUAUGGCGGCGAUGUUCUGGCUGGUGCGUGCGAAGAGUUGAGGGCGAUCCUCAUCCUCACUGAUGUGCCGCUAGACGUCCCGUGCCCACUCACCUCCAGAUUGGGCACUGCACGCCUCUGGUAGACGUGGCCACUUUGGGACCCUGGCGAGGGCUCCGGUUGUAGCUACGGCACGCGGCGGGGGAGUGCACUGCCUCUCUUCGGCACCGUUGUCAUUGGACCCCGUGGAAUGCACGUCAGCCAUGAAGCACUCACGCGAGGGAUAGUGGCUCCCGUUGUCGGAACCAGCAUCAGAGGCUGUUCCCAUUGCGCCCACGAACUCGUUGUUUGCGAGUGGCGCGAUCAUGGAUCGUGCCAGGAGAUGACCAUAAGUUGCCGAGGCGUUGUGCGGGCCAAAGGGCCACUCCUCCAAAGGAGGCCCUAUGGUAUGCGCCCGGCCGCCCACCACCAUUUCAACGGUAAAGUCGGAGAUGAUGGGUUGAGCGAGCAGGACAAGGAGAGGAAUCAUCUUGAUUCCCUCUCCCGUGGUGAGGAAGUCCAGGCUCCCGAAGCGGAUGUGGGAGCUGAGAGCAAAGUUUAUGUUGUGGUUGGCCAUCCGAAGCCGGUGGUGAUCAUCGUACGCACAAAGGUCUCCUACCUGGCGCGCCAACUAUCGUUGUCAAGAAUCAUGGGUCAAGACUACGGCAAGUGAAUUUGUCUUCUAUGCGCAUAAGGCUUAGAUGGUUGCACGAGAGGACACGGGGUUUAUACUAGUUCGGGCAGGAAUAGCCCUACGUCUAGUGUGGGAGACUGCUUGUGUUACUCGUGCAGAGUUUGCAGUAGGGGUUACAAACGGGCGAGAGAGGGAAGCUGGUCCCAAGUCUCUUUGGGUGUGCACUGAUGCUCAUGUGGAAGGGUUGUGGGUGCAGAGUAGCUCUGGUUUGCUUGAGAGCCAUCCUUGUCUCGGGCCUCUUAGUCCUCCUUUUAUAGCGUAAGGAGGGCACAGGAGUUAUAAUUGAGCCAGGAGCAGAAGGGGAGUGAAGAAGGUAAGCAGGGAAGUAACAGCGGAGGGAGAAGGACCGAGCCCCCGGGGUUGCCGCCUUCCCAUCCGGUCUCUGUGUCCUAUCAGUAUGACUACUAGAGGGGGAUGGUUGUCGUUGGGCCCCAUCGAUGAUCCUCCAGUCGACCGUCGUAGCCAAGUGCGUGAGAUAUGCAUGGCGACCGACCGCUGUAGCCAUGCAUGAUGAUGAUGAUGACUGGUCGCCGCAGUUGUGCACGUCGUGGAGGACAGUCGACCUCUAUAGCCUCGCGUGUUGACCGGGAGGCGCGGCUAACACGCCCCUGCCGCCAGGCCGAGCGGGAGACCGGGCGGCGCAUCCUCCUUUGUCGGGCGGCAUGGGCGAUAAGUGCCCUAUAACGAAUUUCACAGGGAAGGAUUAGGACAGUGCAGCUGUAGCCUUGUGCAGUCAUGGCUACAGUGAGUCGCUCGAAAAGUUUGGCCGAUCACGUCGAGGAGCACGGGCGUCUUUCUGCAUGCCAGAGCCGUAUCGCAUUUAUGGCGAGAUCGGUGGGGGCCAACGAGAUCUGCGCCCUCAUCUGCUGGUUCGCGCCCGCCCUCGGGCGAGGCGAAGCUCUGUCCUGUGGGUCCGGAUGUGCCCGACCUCUAGCGCCUGGGGUCGGGCGAGAUGUAGCCUUGCGGCGAGGGGUCGGGCAUGUCCGACCCCUUACGCCCAAGGUCGGGCGAGACGGAGCCUUGUGGUGAGGCGUCGGGCCCCUCUAUGGCGGAACCGCCCUACUUAAGCUGGUUUAAGUGCGCCUAAUCGCUGUCGGAAUAGCAAUUAUCCGAAACGCACCUAAAACAGCAUAAGUCCGGUAGUCCGUCGAGUGUUCCUAGGACUCCUCGAAGGAUCCACGACGUGUCUCAUAGCCAUGCAUCAGGAUAGUAUCCGCGAUGGGAUAGCAUCAACAAACAUUACAUUUUUACAUACAUAUAAAAGGUACGAGUUAUUACAGAACAUAGAUUGAAGCAAACUUAACAGUGCGGUGUUAGACAGAGUUCUAAGAUUUAAACAUAAACAGUUCAGGAGGAGAUGAGCAUUUUUAAACUUCUUCUCUAAGGGUAUUGUGAGACUCAUAACAAUACCCUAGGGCUUCGGGGUUUCCUCCUCCGCAGACUCCUGCGGGGCUUCUGAAAGAUAGCCACAAGGGGAAAACCCUGAGUACGGGGUACUCAGCAAGUCUUACCCGACUAACCAAUAUAAUAGUUUUCUUGGGAUGUACAUGAUAGCUUUUUGGUGUACUUGGCUAAUGCAACUUUUUGCCAAAAAGCUUACUACAAGUGAUGCCUUAGUUUUAUCUUUUAUUUGGAUUAAGUCAUUACCUAACCAUUCUAAAUGAUGAGCAGAAAGUAAAAGCAAUCAUCGAUAUUAAGUCAUACAUCAAAUAUUAACAGGAAGAUACAUAUUGCAUGAAUUGAUACUAUGAUGCUCAACAGUGAUCAAGUGCAUUCAUAACCGAGAAUUGCGAGGAUCCGGAUCAAUUUACAUCCUGCAGGAGAGUACUCUGAUCACCAGCUUUAUACGACUGUCCAGGUCGUACAUGACAACCUCUCGAUUAGUAAAAUCAAUGAUUAGGAAUACGACUACCCGGACCCAGGGAUGCACCCCCACAUGGGACCCCACGUCUGGCCCGAUCUCCAUGUGAGUUUCAGGCUACACCCCUGCCAAUCUCCAGCACGUCAAGCGCGGGUACGAAGUAUUCCUGAUCAUAGAGUUUACUAACCUACUGGGCUUUACUGGUCCCAUACCCAGUAAGCGAUCAGAUGCUUAUCACUUGAUCAAAGGCUAAGACAACGAAUCGGGCCUUAACCAAUUAAUCCAGCAGACAGAACUAUAUUUCUAGCUUCUGUCCGCUUUUCUAUCUUCAAGUUAUCUUUCAUAAGCAACAUGUAUGACUCAAAAGUUUUCCUUAAGGUUGGUAAACCGAGUAUGUAAGCAGUAAGCAAUUCUAGACUUGGGUAUCUUCUAAGGUUUGAACAAGUGGCAAAGAUGUCCUUAAAACAAGGUAUGAUCAUACAUAAGAAUAGGUUUCAAGCAACUCCUAGACUUAGUGCAUACAUAUAGCAGAUAAUCGAUAAUUGGACACAUGAAAUAACGACUCCAAAAUAGAUAGGUAUAAAUGCACCGGGGCUUGCCUUGUUCGCUUAAAAAGUUAGUAUUCUCUGAUGGGUUGGCUUCACAGGGGACUAAUUCAAAAACUUCUUCGAACUCCGAAGGUCCUUCUGAAAAUUCCAAAUAUUCUCCUUCUGGUGCUUCGGGAUCUAUAGCACAAUAUAUAUGCAGGGGUUAGGAAUGCAAAUAUUUGAAUAAAGGACUAUACAACUUUCCUUCAUGAUAAAGUUGCAAGCCAACAAGGACUAUACAAUCUAUCAUGAUAAAGUUGCAAGCCAACACACAAAAACCCAUAAUUUUUAUUUUCUUACUUAACCCUACCUAAGGCUUUUUCUUUUAUUUUUAGAAAAGGUUAUAAUUAUUUUCUAACUUGAAAACCUAAUUCCCUAUGAGUUAAGAAUAAUUUGUGAUUAAGAAAAUGCUAUUUCAUAUUUUAUACAUUUUAUAAAUAUUAAGUAUUUAUUUAAUUACCUUGAAAGGAAGGCAUUAAAUAAAUACCCGAAUUUUUAUUAUUUUUCUAGGGUGUAAAACUUUUAAUGCGUAAAGGAAAAUAAAACAAGCCUAACAAAAUUGGUUUCACUAAUUUUGGACACUCCUAGAAAUUUAUGUGAUUUAAAUGGUUUAAAACGGAUUUAAACUAAUUACUUUCUAAAGGAAAUCUAAUUUUCCCGAAAAACACCCGGAAAACUUUUCUCACUCAGCUCGACGCUACCCUCUCUCACGCGCACUGGGCCCCACGGCGUGGACCCACCUAAUCACUGCUCCACUUACCCGCCGGCCUUUUCUCCCCCUGACGGGCCCCGUGGGCCGAUUCCUUUUCUUUUCCCCUUCUCCGGUCUGACACCGGCCCACGGCCCUCUUGUUCUUUUUCCAUUUUCCGCGGGCGCGGCCUACUCCUUACUUGGCCUCCGGCCCCUUUUUCCUUUCCGGUCGACCGCGCGCGCGUUACUGGGCCUCAAGGCCGCGGCCCAACAGACGGUCGCGCGCCGGCCUCUUUCUCCCCCUCCCCUCCUUUCUCUCUCUGUCGUGCGAGCCCGAGCGUCCAGGAGCUUCUUCCUCCUCCCGCCAAAACGCGCGCGCAACAAGGGGUGGCGCGACUCGCCGGUCGGCGCCCCACCGGCGGCGAAGCUAGGUCAGGACAGCACCUCUACACCUUCACGCACCCGUGCGCGGCAACAGCUCCUCGGGAGAUGGCCGGAGCCAUUCCCUCCACGGCGACGGGCGGCGACACCCUCGGCCAGCCGCGACUACUCCCGACGACGGCACAAACUACUUGAACAACUACUCUUACACCAUCCUAGGACCCUAAGGACUCGCCUACGACUACUUAAGAAGGAAGGGGAACAACGCAAGGUAGUGCUCACCGUGAGCGGAAGGCGCGGCGAUGGCGGAUAGAAGCGGCGGCGGUUCAAGGCGUGCCGGCGGAGAAGCUGGGCAACAAGUUGCUAGGAUUGCUGGUGGGGUGUGGUCGGAGGUGUGGACGGAAGGAAUCGACGGAAGGUGCGGUGUGGCGGUGGAAUUUUGCUCGGUGGCGGCAACGGGGAUAGAGGCGCUGGCGGCGGUAAAAAGGAACUGCGGUGAAAUGGCGGCGCGGGAGCGGUAAAUAUACGAACUGUUUACCGCGCGCAUGGGCGACACCAUGGCCUACUCAUAGGCUUGCGUGGUGAGGAGGUGGCCUAGCUGGUUGCGCUGGCGAGUGACCGACGACGGCGGCAGCGACACGUCCUGUUGCUCUAUCAUCGCCUCCCCCCUUUUCUUUUAACGCCCGAAACUUCAGAGUUCUAUCACGGUCGAUUCCAAAUCCGACGGUCCCCAAGUUGCUUAAACAAAGUUGGAGAUAAACUUGAAUCCUCCCAUUUUUAUUUUGGCUCUACCCUGAGAUAAACAUCAAACCACAGUCGAAUUUUGAAUUGUUUCUUGUGUUUGCCUGAACUUGACUGAAUCGGCAUUCAGUUCAUCAGGAACACGACAGUGAUACUUGCCUUACUUUGUGAUUGAAUUUUGUGAUCCAAAUCCUUCUUUUCCAGUCCAACUUCUUCCCAUUCGUGCUCUACUAUCUCCAAGGUUUCCAUUUUUCUCAAGAACACCUACCCCUCUUGAUCUACAUUGCUCUGAAUUCAAGUCCAAAGUCGACCCUAUGCUGUUGGUUUCAGACUUAACCAUUUUCAGGGUGACAGUUAACUGUGACAAUGUGCUGACUUUGAGCUCAAUUUCGAAAUUGUUCCCUUCCAUGUUCCUGGCCAACAACACCCAAUUAUUGGAGUCCAAAGUCCAUACUUUGAUAUGGUGUAGCUGUUCUGAUUCACUUAUUUGAAAAAUUCACCAGAAAUCAAUUUUGAAAACAGACUCUGCUGCUGUUUUUCUGAACUUCUAUUUUCGGACGGUGAACAGUAAAUGUGGUUUUUCAUUUCCUUCUCUGAUUUCCUUUGAGUGUUUAGGAUCAAAUCUUAUUCCAAAUUUUUGACCCUUAAGUUCUAAUCAUCCUUACACUUCUAUUCUAUAUUUUUGCCGAAUUUUUCUGAAUUUCAAAUUCAAAAUUCAAAUUUCGGCCAAAUUUGACCCGAAUUUGAUUUUUGGCCAAUUUCUUUUCCUUUUCUUCUCAAAUUGCUUCCAAUUCUUCAAAGUCACUUGAAUGACUUAAUUGGCAGCUGUUACAGCCUCUCCCCCUUAACAGAAUCUCGUCCCGAGAUUCCCAGGGUUAAAUCCUCGGUUUUGAGAAUGGAAAGGAAACUGCGUCAGGUCAACUAUUCUUCCUUUUUCUGUACAAGGAUAGUGGGGUGGUGGCUUUUGUUCAUCGGUUCCUGAUGGUAUCAAAUAAUUCCGGAUAUUUAGACUCUAGGUCUUCAGCUUGUUCCCACGUAGCUUCAUCCGGAGUAUGAUUUUUCCAUUGUACCUUGUAGAACGUGAUACUCCGAGUUCGGGUAUCUCUCGUCUUUUGAUCCAGAAUUUUAAUGGAUCUUUCCUCAUAGGUUAGAUCUGGCUCAAGCUCAAUUUCUGGAUCUUCUAAAAUUUCUUCUGGAACUCUUAAGCACUUCUUAAGCUGGGAUACAUGAAAUACGUCAUGUAUAGAAGCAAGUUGGUCUGGCAAUGACAGCUUAUAUGCCACUGGACCUUUUUGUUCCAGAAUUUCAUAGGGACCAAUAUAUCUUGGGGCUAACUUACCUUUUACUCCAAAUCGUUGUACUCCUUUCAUCGAGGAUACCUUCAAGUAUACAAAAUCUCCGGUAUGAAAUUCUAAGGACCACCUCCUUUUAUCCGAAUAACUCUUUUGUCGGGACUGGGCUAUUUCCAAGUGUUUGCGAAUCUUCUGGACCUUUUCCUCGGUUUCCAUAACUAAGUCUGACCCCAAAUGUGUCCUUUCCCCUACUCCUGACCAAUUUAAAGGAGUUCGGCAUCUUCGACCAUACAGGGCUUCGAAAGGUGCCAUUUUAAUGCUAGCUUGAUAGCUAUUAUUAUAGGAGAACUCGGCUAGGGGUAAACAUUCAUCCCAUAGCUUAGAGAAGGUAAGGACACAUGCUCUUAACAUGUCUUCCAAGAUUUGAUUGACCCUUUCUGUCUGUCCUCCCGUUUGAGGAUGAUAGGCAGAACUUCUAAUUAGGGUAGUACCCAUGUCUUUUUGCAAUCGUUCCUAGAAUCUGGAAACAAACUGGGAACCUCGAUCAGAGAUAAUGGUCUUUGGUACUCCGUGCAAGGAUACGAUCUGGGCUAUAUAGAGUUUAGCAUAUGUCGACACCGGAUAAGUAGUCUUGACUAGAAUAAAAUGAGCUGACUUAGUAAGGCGGUCGAUAAUAACCCAUAUGGAAUCAUAUCCCUUUGAAGUGGUAGGCAAUCCAACUAUAAAGUCCAUGGAAAUAUCUUCCCAUUUCCAGACAGGGAUUUCUGAAGGUUGUAAUAAACCUGCCGACUUUUGUAGUAUGGGUUUUACUCUUUGGCAAGUAUCACAUUCAGCUACAUAUCUUGCAAUUUCAGGUUUCAUCUUGGCCCACCAAAAUCUUUGCUUUAAAUCUUGGUACAUUUUAUUGCUUCCGGGAUGAAUAGCAAACUUAGACAAAUGUGCUUCUUCUAAGAUCAAUCUUUUUAGGUCCUCAUCUUUAGGAACUACUAUCCUCUUCUUGAAGUACAGUCCUUCAUCUUCUUCUUGAUUAAAUUCAGGGAUCUUCCCUUCGGCUUUUUGCUGAUAAAGUAUCUUAAUCCAUGGAUCUCCUUUUUGGGCUGUUAUAAUCUUUUCCUUUAGGGUAUCUUGAAUCAUAAUAUUCUGAAGGGUACCUUGUUUCACCAUUUCCAAACUCAACUCUUCCAUUUCCUCACACAAGGUCUUAAGGUUAGACUGGACGGUAGUGCAGUGGCAUUGGGCCUUUCUACUCAAGGCGUCGGCCACUACAUUAGCUUUACCAGGAUGAUAAUGGAUUUCUAACUUAUAGUCUUUAAUCAGUUCUAGCCACCGUCUUUGCCUCAUGUUUAAGUCCAUUUGAGUAAAGAUGUACUUCAAGCUUUUGUGGUCAGUAAAGAUACAACAUUUACUACCCAAAAGAUAGUGUCGCCAUAUCUUUAAUGCAUGCACUACGGCAGCAAGUUCUAAAUCAUGGGUAGGGUAAUGCUCUUCAUGACGCUUCAGUUGACGAGAAGCAUAAGCAAUAACUCUGCCUUCUUGCAUGAGAACACACCCUAUGCCUGUCCCUGAGGAAUCACAGUAUACAUCAAAGGGUUUCUCUAUGUCAGGUUGAGCUAGCACUGGGGCGGUAGUCAGCAAUUUCUUUAAGACUUGAAAUGAUUCUUCACACUCAGGUUUCCAUUCAAAUUUCACUUCCUUCUUUAAUAAUUCAGUGAUUGGUUUAGAAAUCUUUGAGAAGUUGGGGAUGAACCUAUGGUAAUAGCCGGCCAUUCCCAAGAAACUUCUUACUUUAUGAACAGAGGUUGGUGAUUUCCAAUCCAGUAUAUCCUUGACCUUUCCGGGAUCUACUUCAAUUCCUUUUUCGGACAAUAUGUGCCCAAGGAAUGGAACUUUCUUUAACCAAAAUUCACACUUACUGAACUUGGCAUACAACUGGUGUUCCCGGAGUCUAUUUAGAACAAUGCGCAAGUGUUGCGCAUGUUCCUCUUCAUUUUUAGAAAAGACAAGGAUAUCGUCUAUAAAGACGACCACAAAUUUAUCUAACUCUGGCACGAAUACUGAGUUCAUGAGGUACAUAAAAUGCGCUGGGGCAUUGGUCAGUCCGAAAGACAUAACCAAAUACUCAUAUAGUCCAUAUCGGGUUGAAAAGGCUAUCUUUGAUAUGUCUUCAGGUUCUAUCUUAAUCUGAUGGUACCCUGACCGAAGGUCGAUUUUUGAAAAGACCUUAGCUCCGGACAACUGGUCGAACAACAAAUCAAUCUGUGGCAGCGGAUAUUUGUUUUUAAUGGUUACCGCAUUCAAAGGGCGGUAAUCCACACAUAGCCUCAAUGUGUCAUCCUUCUCCCCAUGGCGAAGUGCUAGGUCGGACAAAACCUUUAUCCAAUAAUUCUUGGAGUUGUAUUUUUAAUUCUGCUAGCUCCUUAGGUGGCAUUCUAUACGGUCUUCUAGAGAUAGGACCGGUGCCUGGUUCUAACUCAAUAGUGAAUUCUACCGCUCUAUCAGGCGGUAGCCUAGGCAGAUCUUCUGGGAAUACAUCUAUAAACUCAUUAACCACAGGAAUAGAUUCUAGAGUCACUGCUCUAGUCUUUUUGACCAUCUGGUCCAAACAAGGAUGAGCGGGUAAUUGAAGCUUAAAAGAGUGGCCUUGGUCAUCUUUCAUACUAACGACCCGAUUAACCAUAUCAAUUUGAACCUUAUGUUCCUUCAUCCAAUUUACUCCCAAAAUAAGAUCUAUUCCUUGAUCUUCCAGAAUUAAAGGAUAAGCGCCCACCUUAUUCCCUUCUAGGUUUAAAAUCACAUUGCGAGCUACUUGAUUUGUAUUCUGUGCGGCCCCAGUAGCUUGAAUAGCAUACUUGACAUUUAAUGUAUGGACCUCUAGUUGGUGUUGUGUGACAAACCUUCUACUUAUAAAAGUAUGCGAUGCGCCUGAAUCAAAUAAAACCAUGGCAGGAUAAUUAUUAACAAGAUACAUACCUGCCAGGAUAGGCUCCCCUUCUGGAAUUUCUUCUACGUUCAUAUAAUGAGCUUGUCCUGUCUUGGUGUUGACGAACUUACGAUGGACAAACUUUUGUCCAGUGCCUUGGCCCGAGGUCUGAGCCCUUAAGUUUGCGUUUCCCCCAACCUUGGGAAAACGACAGUCCCGGGCGAAGUGCCCUGGCUUUCCACAGUUGAAAAAAACCUGUGGAUUUCCUGGAGGAGUGGGGUUACAAAACCCGAGAGGUGGUGCAAUUCCAGGACGAGGAGCAGCACUGGGAGCUCUAGCAUUCCAAGACUGGAAAGGCCGUUGCUAAAAUGAAGGUCGAUACAUGGGUCGAGGAGGACCUCGAUAUACCACCUUCAUUCUUUGUGGAGCAUUCCCAAAGUUUCCAGAAGGAACAUUCUUCCUCUUCAAUGCUUCUUCUUUCUUUAAGGUUUCAUCUAGAAUUCUCAUCUUUUCCUCCGCGGUAAUGGCCGUACUUACCGCAGAGCUAUAGUCGGCGAAAGUGCAGGUGGAUAGCUUUUCCUGCAUCCUUGCAUUAAGUCCUCGAAGAUAGCAAUCUCUUUUCCUGGACUCGGUGUUGACAUGUUCUGGUGCAUAUUGAGCUAGGUGGUCGAACUCACUGGUAUACUCCAGGAUACUGCGGUUUCCUUGUUGCAGCCGUAAGAACUGUUCCAGUUUCAUUCUCAUGAUACCCUCCGGCACAAACUGUGUCCUGAAGGCUUCCUUAAAAUUCUCCCACGUAACCUCCCUUCCAAUUGGUUGCCUGGCCAGAUGGCUGGUCCACCAGGUCCCUGCGGGGCCUUGAAGGCUGGAGCCCUGCAAACUCAGCCUUUUGAGUGGUGGUGCAUUGGGGGAUUACUCUAAACUUUUGUUCCAUAGUCUGAAGCCAUUCGUUAGCUUCAAGUGGAUGUUCGGCCUUCAAGAAUAUUGGGGGACGGGUCUCCAAGAACUGGGUGUAGGACACACCUCGCUCCGGAUCCCGCCGAUGUCCACCAUUACCCGUGUUCUGUACAAUCAUUUGAAGUAAUCGGGCUUGUUCUGCCCCGGAGUUCAUAAGGCUGGCUAUAGCAUCUGCCAGCGUGGGUGCUCUUGGUAAAUUCUCCUCCUGACCCUCUGAACCUGAAGCUCGUGGUCCUCUGGGAUCCGUCAUGCUGCCAAGAGUAAACAAAGUAUUAAUAUCUAGGGUGCAUUUUAUCAACGGUUUCCUGCACACUAAUAGGUCACACAUUAUAACAUGAUCACACAUAAACCACACUUAUACACAUACUUAUUUAUAAUACAUGUCCUAAAGUUACUUUUUACAAAAACCACCGUACUACUUGGUCCAACAGAUAUAUCUUACAUAAAUAUAUUACAACAUCUCAAAGACAAAGUUUCACUUCAACCAUCGUAGGGAAAAUGCCUAGUUCCUCGGCAUUCAAUCCCAGUCGAGCCAUUGCUGCCUGCAGGAUAUCUUGGUCUACGGUCAUCAACGUUUGUCCUGGAGGAGCGACAGGUGGGGCUUGGUUUACUGAGUUUUCACUUCCGGACUCCGGCCCGGGGUCACUCGAAGUGUAAGAAGUGUAGGAUGCAGAAGUGCUAACUCCGGAGUUUCCCUCCAUUUCUUCGGGAUCCUCCUCUUCUUCUCCGUCUUCGGGCUCCUCUUCUCCCCAUUACUGCAUUGGCCCAUAGCCCUGUGGAUCUAGCCCAUCGGCAUUGGCAUUGGCCCAGGCGAAUUGUUGAUUUCCUGCGGGAGCUUCACCCUGGUCGUCCUCCAUGUCAAUAUCGAAUCCCUCCAGGUUCUCAUGAGCAUACAGAUCAAUCUCAAGAACUGCAGGUGGAGCAGGAUCUUCUUCCACUUCUACCACAGGUACUAAUUGGUCCGCUUCCUCUGGGUUUGGUGGCUGAGGCUCUUCUGGUGGUGGAGGCGGUGGAACAUUAACGAUAUUUUGUGCAGGUACCUAGGCCUGCAUCUCCUCCAAAGCCAGACGAAGUGACAGGAUCUCGUCCAGCUAUUGGAAUCUUUCUGCUUCCAGCCUAUUGACAUUGGAUUCAGCUUCCUCCCUUGCUCUAUUUACCAUGCUCCUGCUGGCUUCGAUGAACCCUUGCAUCACCCUGAGUUUUUCUUCAUAAUCCUCAAUUCUUCCGGAUUGCUCCCUCAUUGUUUUCUCCAUGUCGUGCUCUCUUGCCAACGCCGCCUUUUUGUACAUCUCCUUGUCAUGUCGGGCACCCAUCAACUCCAUCUUAGCAUCUUCAUUCUUUUGCCUCUGGUUAUAAUAUUCUCUGAUACAGGCUUGAUGUAAAUUGUACAUAGCCAUCAUAUAAUCAGAAGCAGCAGCAACCAAGACAUCGUGCUCUACCCGAGAAGUGUUCUUCAAAGCUUUAAUCCUUCUCCUCCAUAUCCCGUCAUCUUGAUGCUUGAUAGGAUAGAACUGAGCAGAGCUCGACCCUACCUCCACCUUGUGGUUUUCACAUAACUCAGUAAGAGCAGUCAUAGCCGCCCUUUCUAUUGUGUCAUUGAACUCAAAACCCGACUCCAUCACCUCUUCUAGACGCCAAUUGGGACGGGUAUCGUCAUCGGGAAUAUGCACAUAAACAGUGCAAUAUUGCUUGUGGCUCGUAUCUUCUUUCCUCCAAUAAUAUUCCGGGGGAUUGUGGAAGCCCAAUUCUUGUAGCGUCUUCCAAAGCAGCUGCACAAACCCCGGCUUAUCCAAAUAAUGGCCGCGGGUCCAUCCAUCCUUAUCAGUGUAGCCUUCUUGAAACAUCCUAUAAAAGAAACGAGGUCAGGUCUAACGGCACUCACCAAACCCAAAAAUUUUGAAAAUAUGCUUAUGCAACAUGAUGCAACGAUUCCUACGAACUCACAUACUCAUAUACACAUUUGUAAUGAAAUUGGUGGCAUCGUAAUCUCUCCCUAAAUAAUAUCCUACCGAAUACUAACGACACGCAGCAAACAGUUAGCAUCUGCAAAACAAGCAACCGGUUAACACUACUGCCACCUGUGACUCUUGUUUUCGUUAUUUUAAAGUAGAGUCUCAAUUUUUUAAAAGGUAAUAUCUGUUGAUUAUCCCAACCUACGGCUCUGAUACCAGCUGUGGCGGAACUGCCCAACUUAAGCUGGUUUAAGUGCGCCUAAUCGCUGUCGGAAUAGCAAUUAUCCGAAACGCACCUAAAACAGCAUAAGUCCGGUAGUCCGUCGAGUGUCCCUAGGACUCCUCGAAGGAUCCACGACGUGUCUCAUAGCCAUACAUCAGGAUAGUAUCCGCGAUGGGAUAGCAUCAACAAACAUUACAUUUUUACAUACAUAUAAAAGGUACGAGUUAUUACAGAACAUAGAUUGAAGAAAACUUAACAGUGCGGUGUUAGACAGAGUUCUAAGAUUUAAACAUAAACAGUUCAGGAGGAGAUGAGCAUUUUUAAACUUCUUCUCUAAGGGUAUUGUGAGACUCAUAACAAUACCCUAGGGCUUCGGGGUUUCCUCCUCCGCAGACUCCUGCGGGGCUUCUGAAAGAUAGCCACAAGGGGAAAACCCUGAGUACGGGGUACUCAGCAAGUCUUACCCGACUAACCAAUAUAAUAGUUUUCUUGGGAUGUACAUGAUAGCUUUUUGGUGUACUUGGCUAAUGCAACUUUUUGCCAAAAAGCUUACUACAAGUGAUGCCUUAGUUUUAUCUUUUAUUUGGAUUAAGUCAUUACCUAACCAUUCUAAAUGAUGAGCAGAAAGUAAAAGCAAUCAUCGAUAUUAAGUCAUACAUCAAAUAUUAACAGGAAGAAACAUAUGCAUGAAUUGAUACUACGAUGCUCAACAGUGAUCAAGUGCAUUCAUAACCGAGAAUUGCGGGGAUCCGGAUCAAUUUACAUCCUGCAGGAGAGUACUCUGAUCACCAGCUUUAUACGACUGUCCAGGUCGUACAUGACAACCUCUCGAUUAGUAAAAUCAAUGAUUAGGAAUACGACUACCCGGACCCAGGGAUGCACCCCCACAUGGGACCCCACGUUUGGCCCGAUCUCCAUGUGAGUUUCAGGCUACACCCCUGCCAAUCUCCAGCACGUCAAGCGCGGGUACGAAGUAUUCCUGAUCAUAGAGUUUACUAACCUACUGGGCUUUACUGGUCCCAUACCCAGUAAGCGAUCAGAUGCUUAUCACUUGAUCAAAGGCUAAGACAACGAAUCGGGCCUUAACCAAUUAAUCCAGCAGACAGAACUAUAUUUCUAGCUUCUGUCCGCUUUUCUAUCUUCAAGUUAUCUUUCAUAAGCAACAUGUAUGACUCAAAAGUUUUCCUUAAGGUUGGUAAACCGAGUAUGUAAGCAGUAAGCAAUUCUAGACUUGGGUAUCUCCUAAGGUUUGAACAAGUGGCAAAGAUGUCCUUAAAACAAGGUAUGAUCAUACAUAAGAAUAGGUUUCAAGCAACUCCUAGACUUAGUGCAUACAUAUAGCAGAUAAUCGAUAAUUGGACACAUGAAAUAACGACUCCAAAAUAGAUAGGUAUAAAUGCACCGGGGCUUGCCUUGUUCGCUUAAAAAGUUAGUAUUCUCUGACGGGUUGGCUUCACAGGGGACUAAUUCAAAAACUUCUUCGAACUCCGAAGGUCCUUCUGAAAAUUCCAAAUAUUCUCCUUCUGGUGCUUCGGGAUCUAUAGCACAAUAUAUAUGCAGGGGUUAGGAAUGCAAAUAUUUGAAUAAAGGACUAUACAACUUUCCUUCAUGAUAAAGUUGCAAGCCAACAAGGACUAUACAAUCUAUCAUGAUAAAGUUGCAAGCCAACACACAAAAACCCAAAAAGAUUAACCCACAAUUUUUAUUUUCUUACUUAACCCUACCUAAGGCUUUUUCUUUUAUUUUUAGAAAAGGUUAUAAUUAUUUUCUAACUUGAAAACCUAAUUCCCUAUGAGUUAAGAAUAAUUUGUGAUUAAGAAAAUGCUAUUUCAUAUUUUAUACAUUUUAUAAAUAUUAAGUAUUUAUUUAAUUACCUUGAAAGGAAGGCCUUAAAUAAAUACCCGAAUUUUUAUUAUUUUUCUACGGUAUAAAAAUUUUAAUGCAUAAAGGAAAAUAAAACAAGCCUAACAAAAUUGGUUUCACUAAUUUUGGACACUCCUAGAAAUUUCUGUGAUUUAAAUGGUGUAAAACGGAUUUAAACUAAUUACUUUCUAAAGGAAAUCUAAUUUUCCCGAAAAACACCCGGAAAACUUUUCUCACUCAGCUCGACGCUACCCUCUCUCACGCGCACUGGGCCCCACGGCGUGGACCCACCUAAUCACUGCUCCACUUACCCGCCGGCCUUUUCUCCCCCUGACGGGCCCCGUGGGCCGAUUCUUUUUCUUUUCCCCUUCUCCGGUCCGACACCGGCCCACGGCCCUCUUCUUCUUUUUCCGUUUUCCGCAGGCGCGGCCUACUCCUUACUGGGCCUCCGGCCCCUUUUUCCUUUCCGGUCGACCGCGCGCGCGUUACUUGGCCUCAAGGCUGCGGCCCAACAGACGGUCGUGCGCCGGCCUCUUUCUCCCCCUCCCCUCCUUUCUCUCUCUGUCGCGCGGGCCCGAGCGUCCAGGAGCUUCUUCCUCCUCCCGCCUGUUGGGAUACGAGGUAGGCUACACUAGCGCAAUUCAAAAAUUCUACCGCGUAUAACUAGGAAGAACUGCCGUAUAAGGAUCACGGGAUUACCACUCGACGCACUACUGGUGCGGAAGAUGUAGAUAUGCGUCGAUGCAGUGAAGACGAUCACGUAGUCGUACGUAGUCGAUCAACGUAGUCGUACGUAGUCGAUCACGUCCAGCAGCUCCUCAGCAGCUUGUCCACGUGCAGCAAGAUCGCCUCCGGUACCGCGGCUCGUUGUUGGCUCGUCGGCGGCUCGUCGGCGGCUCGUCAAAGUGCUACAGGCGCAACACCUCCAAGGUAUCCACACGUGCAGGGAGGAAGCGUCGCAAGCCGGAUUGCUAGAUCCGCGAGUUGCAACAGGCGAGGGCGUGGGAGGCGUGGCAGGUGUGUUUUGCCAAAAAGGUGUAAACCCUAGGGCGCCCCCACCCAUCUAUUUAUAGAGGUUCCUGACAGGCCUCUGGGUCCGAGGCCCAUUAGAACUUCUAAACCUAAUCCAACUCGGAUCAGAUCCGAAUUGGGCUUCCAGCCCCUUAAGUGUGUGACCCUAUGGGUUCGGAUACGUAUAGACAUGGCCCGAGUACUCCUACUCAGCCCAAUAGUCGGUAGCGGCCUCUAGCAUGACGUGCCAACUCCUAUACGCACACGAAGAUCAUAUCAGACGAACCAUCACAACAUAAUAUACAUGCUAUUCCCUUUGCCUCACGAUAUUUGGUCUAGCUUCAAGCCGACCGCUCUUUCUCGAUCCUGUGAUUCGGAAUCCCUUUGUAGGUUAACUCUUAACCGUACGUAGCAUGGCCAUGCAUUUUCGGAUCCGAUCACUCGAGGGGCCCAGAGAUAUCACUCUCAAUCAGAGAGGGGCAAAUCCCAUCUUGACUGACCAUGUCUCAUAGCAUGCUUCUUGACAAACCCGAAAGCUACCUUUAUAACUACCCUGUUACGGCGUAGCGUUUGAUAGCCCCUAAGUAGGUCGAUCCACAUCUAGAAUACAUGCGAUAGUCUCAGGUCUAAGGACAAAGCGUAUAUGUUGUUUAAAGAGAGUACUUCUCGUGUUGGGUCAGUCCUAGCACAUGUCUCCACAUGUGUCCACAUUAUUAGUUCAACAUCUCCAUGUCCAUGACUUGUGAAACAUAGUCAUCAACUAAUACAUGUGCUAGUCUAAUAUUCAUGUGUGUCCUCACAUGAACUCCGACUAGGGACAACUUUAGAAUAACCAUACAAGUAAAGAGUUUCACAUACAAUUCACAUAAUUGCAAAUCAAUUCAAGUAGCCUUCAAUGGAUAUUCAAUGAACACAACAUACAAAUCAUGGAUACAAAUGGAAUAUCAUCAUCUCUAUGAUUGCCUCUAGGGCAUACCUCCAACAGUCUCCCACUUGCACUAGAGUCAAUCUAGAAGGUACCUAAUACCCAUAGCUCUUACAUGCGCAUCAUGCUUAGCCUGCGGGAGUGGUUUUGUCAACGGAUCAGAAAUGUUCAGAUCCGUGUGUAUUUUGCAUAUCUUGAUCUCACCCCAGUUAACGAAGUCUCGAAUGAGAUGAAAUCGCCGCAUUACGUGUUUGUUCUUCUGGUGGUUCCUUGGCUCCUUUGCUUGCGCAAUUGCCCCAUUGUUAUCACAGUAGAGAUUCAAUGGGCUGGACGCAUUCGGGAACACACCAAGCUCAAUGAGGAAAUUCCUUAUCCAAACACCUUCCUUCGCGGCUUCCGAAGCCGCGAUGUACUCGGCUUCUGUCGUAGAAUCGGCCACCAUCUCCUGCUUGGAACUCUUCCAACUAACAGCACCACCAUUUAGCGUGAACACAAAUCCUGAUUGUGACUUUGAAUCAUCUCUGUCGGUUUGGAAACUAGAAUCGGUGUAACCUGUUACAACAAGCUCCUCCUCACCUCCAUAGACGAGGAACAUAUCUUUAGUCCUUCUCAAGUACUUAAGAAUGUUUUUCACCGCUGUCCAGUGACUCUCACCUGGAUCAGAUUGGUGUCUGCUUGUCAUACUUAGCGCAUAUGAAACAUCUGGGCGAGUACUUAUCAUUGCAUACAUGAUAGAUCCAAUAGCCGAGGCAUAUGGCACUCUACUCAUGCGAUCCCGCUCAUCAGCAGUUGAAGGACACUGAGUCUUGCUGAGAUGUAUGCCAUGUGACAUAGGCAAGAACCCUUUCUUUGCCUCUUCCAUGCUGAACCGCUUCAACACUUUGUCAAUGUAAGUAUCUUGGCUUAAACCUAUAAGCCUUCUCGAUCUAUCUCUAUAGAUCUUAAUGCCCAGAAUAUAUGCCGCUUCCCCUAAGUCCUUCAUCGAAAAACUAUUUUUCAGUGAAGUCUUUACGGACUCAAGCAUAGAAAUGUUAUUUCCAAUCAGCAAUAUGUCAUCCACAUAUAAGAUUAGAAAUACUACAGAGCUCCCACUAACCUUCUUGUAAACACAAGACUCUUCUUCGUUCUUGGUGAAGUCAAACCCUUUGACCACUUCAUCAAAAUGAAUGUUCCAACUCCUAGAUGCUUGCUUCAAUCCAUAAAUGGAUCUCUGAAGCUUGCAUACCUUUCCAGCAUUUUUCAGAUCGACAAAACCCUCGGGCUGUAUCAUAUACACGUCCUCAGCUAGGUUUCCAUUCAGGAAAGCUGUCUUGACAUCCAUCUGCCAUAUCUCAUAAUCGAAAUAUGCAGCUAUAGCUAGAAUAAUCCGAAUGGACUUAAGCAUCACUACGGGCGAGAAGGUCUCGUCGUAGUCAACUCCUUGAACUUGUCGAAAACCUUUUGCGACAAGUCGUGCUUUAUAGAUGUGAACAUUUCCAUCCAUGUCCUUUUUCUUCUUAUAGAUCCACUUGCACUCUAUGGCUUUAACACCAUCAGGCGGGUCAACCAAGUUCCAAACUUGAUUGUCUCCCAUGGACUCUAUUUCGGAUUGCAUGGCACUCUGCCAUUUUUCGGAGUCUGGGUCCAUCAUUGCUUCUGCAUAUGUCGCAGGCUCAUCAUUGUCCAACAAUAAUAUUUCUCACAUUUCGCGGAGCCUUGCUGACCUUCGUGGUUGUGGCGGUGCUUCUCUUGCCAUGGGUAUCUCAACUUGUUCUGCUACGUUAGCAUCACUCAUUGAUUCUUGCCCGAUUGGCUCAUCUUGAACUUCUUCAAGAUGCACUGUCUUUCCACUCUUUUCUCCUUUGAGAAACUCUUUCUCUAGGAAAACCCCGUUCCGAGCGACAAACACUUUGCCUUCUGAUCGGUUGUAGAAAUAAUAUCCCAAAGUUUCCUUUGGAUAUCCCACGAAAAUGCACUUAUCCGACUUGGGUGUGAUCUUGUCCGACUGAAGUCGCUUGACAAACACUUCACAUCCCCAAAUCUUUAGAAAAGACAAACUAGGAACCUUUCCAGUCCAUAUCUCAUAUGGUGUCUUAACUACGGAUUUAGAUGGUACCCUAUUAAGUGUGAAAGCUGCUGUUUCUAGAGCGUAUCCCCAAAAUGACAACGGUAGGUCCGACUGGCUCAUCAUUGAUCCAACCAUGUCUAACAAAGUUCGAUUACGUCGCUCGGACACACCGUUUCUCUGAGGUGUUCCAGGCGGCGUAAGUUGUGGAACAAUUCCGCAACUCUUUAGAUGAUUGCUAAACUCGUGGCUCAAAUACUCGCCUCCACGAUCAGAUCGUAAGGCCUUAAUUUUCUUGCCACGCUGAUUUUCAACUUCAUUCUGAAAUUCCUUAAACUUUUCAAAGGUUUCAGACUUGUGCCUCAUCAAGUAGACAUAGCCAUAUCUACUAAAAUCAUCAGUGAAAGUUAUGAAGUAUUGGAAUCCUCCUCUAGCCGUCGUGCUCAUUGGUCCGCAUACAUCACUAUGUACGAGUUCCAACAAGUCUACUGCUCUCUCAGGAAAUCCUGUGAAAGGCGUCUUGGUCAUCUUGCCUAGCAAGCAAGCCUCACAUGUCUCGUAUGAUUCAAAAUCAAACGAAGUUAGAAGUCCAUCAGAAUGGAGCUUCUUCAUGCGCUUUUCACUUAUAUGACCCAAACGACAAUGCCACAAGUAGGUAGGACUCAAAUCAUUAGGCUGAGGCCUUUUAGCACUUACAUUACAGACAGGUGAACCAUCAAGAUUUAAAACAAAUAAUCCAUUCACAAUGGGUGCAAAAGCCAUAAACAUAUUAUUCUUAGAGAUCACACAACCAUUGUUUUCACUUGCAAAUGAAUAACCAUCCUUCAUCAAACAUGAAGGAGACAAAAUGUUUCGACUUAAACUAGGAACAAAAUAACAAUUAUUCAACUCCAUAAUAAAUCCUGACGGGAGAUGGAGUUGCAUCGUCCCGACGGUCAACGCAGCAACUCUUGCAUUAUUGCCCACGCGGAAAUCAACUUCUCCUCUUUCCACGCUUCUACUUCUUAUCAUUCCCUGCAUCGAAUUGCAAAUAUGAGCAACCGAUCCGGUAUCAAAUACCCAAGAAUUAAUAAUUGUAUCAGCGAGAAAUAUGUUGUCUAUAACAUUAACAACAAGCGUACCUGAGGUAGAAGUACUCUUACUUCCGCCAUUCUUCAACGAAGCUAGGUACUGCUUGCAGUUCCUCUUCCAGUGACCAAGUUCAUGACAGUAAAAGCACUCUUUAUCUGGAGCAGGUCCAGCUUUAGCCUUGGGUGCUGGGUUUGGCUUGGACACUCCAGCCUUACCCUUCUUCUUCCAAGAAUUGCCCUUCUUCUUGAAGGUAGGCUUGUUCUGUACAGCCAUCACAUGGCUGGUACUAGCGUUUUUCUUAAUGUCUACCUCUGCUGUCUUGAGCAUACCACACAGUUCAUUCAGACCCUUCUCCGUCCCAUGCAUAUGGUAGUUCGAGAUGAAGUUCCCAUAGCUAGGUGGAACAGAUGAAAGAAUGAAGUCAGUGGCCAACUCUUUGCCCAUUGGGAAGCCCAGCUUCUCCAAUCGCUGAGUGUAACCAACCAUCUUGAUUACAUGUGGUCCUACUGCUGCGCCUUCUGCUAACUUGCACUCCAGAAAGGCUUUGGACACAUUGAACCUUUCGGUCCUAGCCUGUGUCUGGAACAUGUCCUUGAGCGCCACGAUCAUAUCGUGUGCCUCAUGAUUUGUUUCGAACUGCAUCUGCAGCUCGGGUUCCAUGCAAGCAAGCAUAAGACAGCUUACCACAAGAUUAGCAUCAAAUGCCUUCUUGUAAGCAGCCUUCACGGCAGCAGAUGCAUCAUCAGCAGGUACUGGUGGUAGUGGGGUGUCUAGAACAUCUUCCUUUUUCUCAGCCCUGAGAACAAUUCUCAGGUUACGGAUCCAAUCCGAGUAGUUUGUUCCAUUCAACUUGUCCUUCUCAAGGACCGAACGCAAAGCAAACGAUGCGGUGGUGUUGCUAGGUGCCAUUUAAUCUACAACAAAAGUAAUGCAAAAUACACUAAGACAAACGUAUCCAUGAUAGAGCAAAUUACAUUAAACUAUUUUAACAGAAUCUACUCCCACUAAAAUCAAAAUCCCUCUAUUGAAACUUAGUGAUUCAGGAUCCACAACUAACAAGUCCACUAGUGAGCUUUAGCAUCACCGCUAGCAAACGAGGUAGAUCGGUAAGCAACUUUUGCUAAUCAUAUCACAUAUGACUCCUGUUGUUGGGUGACAUCUCUAUGUCUCGGCACCCAACCUUUAUGCCCCAAGGUCCUUAACCGUUAAGAUAACCUUGUUAAGCAAACCAACCCUUAUGCGUGUAAGUGUCCGACACAAACCCGUCUAGUCAAGGAAAACUAGUGGCACCCUAAUUUCAUAGACCCACCACUAAUUGUACAAGACAUGGGACGGUGCAAGUUUUAGUUGGGAGGGCAUACUAACUUAAACUUUGUGAGGGAUCAUUCUACUUCUAACAUCACAGCAUGCAGAAAGUAAAACAUAAACAGAAUAGCAUUCACACAGCUUGUGACACAGUAUGGCCCGUUUUCAUAUGGUGAUCUCCAUCUCCAUAGAACCUGUUCACCAUGGUGAUCUCCAUCUCCAUGUUCCAUGUGCGCCAUCCUCCUGGUGAUGAGUCCUCCAAGAACUAGAGCAUGCUAUUACGCCUAAUAGCUAGUAAAGAAUCUAGUAAUGAAGAUUACAUAGUUGCUUGGAUCAUCACAGAUUGGUACGCAGACCAUUAAAUACAAUAAAGUGACAACACAUAUGGCUCCUGCCGUGUUGCCGUACGCGUGACACACAGGUCAUGAAUGAGUUACACACAUGCAUCACAUACACAAGGGGGCCAUACUGAUCACAAGAUACAAACAUACAUCCUGCAAAACAGAGUUAGACGUCAUAACGUUCCAUACUUCGGAUGCCCGAAACUCCAUCUUCCAAGCCGAAUUUGGGAAAUCUAAUCUCGCCAAAAACGGCAAAGCAGUUGAAAUUCAUGUGUAACUUUUUCUGUAGAUCAAUUUUCGUAUAAAAAUCGCCCCGAUCCGAGAUCGUACCGAAAAGUUACGGCUGAUUUACCGAAGCAUACGCAUACGGCAAAAUCCCGACCCCGGCAGUAGAUCCCAUCUACUAUUGCACAUCUAAUGCGCCUGGCGUAUGACCCUGGAUCUCGAUUCGACCAAUCAUAUUGAUCUUCGCUCACUGCAACUGGAUUUACGUGUAUCACUUAACUCCGAUGGCGGAAACCGACCGGUAUGAGUAUGUCGUUACACUACCAUUGCAGCAAGGGCACGAAACCAGGACAUAGAUCAAACAGAAAACUCGCAUAUCUCCAUAUGCACACAUUCCGAAUCCAAAACUAAGCAGCUACGGCUCUGAUACCACUGUUGGGAUACGAGGUAGGCUACACUAGCGCAAUUCAAAAAUUCUACCACGUAUAACCAGGAAGAACUGCCGUAUAAGGAUCACGGGAUUACCACUCGACGCACUACUGGUGCGGAAGAUGUAGGUAUGCGUCGAUGCAGUGAAGACGAUCACGUAGUCGUACGUAGUCGAUCAACGUAGUCGUACGUAGUCGAUCACGUCCAGCAGCUCCUCAGCAGCUUGUCCACGUGCAGCAAGAUCGCCUCCGGUACCGCGGCUCAUCAUUGGCUUGUCGUGGCUCGUCGGCGGCUCGGCGGCGGCUCGUCAAAGUGCUACAGGCGCAACACCUCCAAGGUAUCCACACGUGCAGGGAGGAAGCGUUGCAAGCCGGAUUGCUAGAUCCGCGAGUUGCAACAGGCGAGGGCGUGGGAGGCGCGGCAGGUGUGUUUUGCCAAAAAGGUGUAAACCCUAUGGCGCCCCCACCCAUCUAUUCAUAGAGGUUCCUGACAGGCCUCUGGGUCCGAGGCCCAUUAGAACUUCUAAACCUAAUCCAACACGGAUCAGAUCCGAAUUGGGCUUCCAGCCCCUUAAGUGUGUGACCCUAUGGGUUCGGAUACGUAUAGACAUGGCCCGAGUACUCCUACUCAGCCCAAUAGUCGGUAGCGGCCUCUAGCAAGAUGUGCCAACUCCUAUACGCACACGAAGAUCAUAUCAGACGAACCAUCACAACAUAAUAUACAUGCUAUUCCCUUUGCCUCACGAUAUUUGGUCUAGCUUCAAGCCGACCGCUCUUUCUCGAUCCUGUGAUUCGGAAUCCCUUUGUAGGUUAACUCUUAACCGUACGUAGUAUGGCCAUGCAUUUUCGGAUCCGAUCACUCGAGGGGCCCAGAGAUAUCACUCUCAAUCAGAGAGGGGCAAAUCCCAUCUUGACUGACCAUGUCUCAUAGCAUGCUUCUUGACAAACCCGAAAGCUACCUUUAUAACUACCCUGUUACGGCGUAGCGUUUGAUAGCCCCUAAGUAGGUCGAUCAACAUCUAGAAUACAUGCGACAGUCUCAGGUCUAAGGACAAAGCGUAUAUGUUGUUUAAAGAGAGAACUACUUCUCGUGUUGGGUCAUUCCUAGCACAUGUCUCCACAUGUGUCCACAUUAUUAGUUCAACAUCUCCAUGUCCAUGACUUGUGAAACAUAGUCAUCAACUAAUACAUGUGCUAGUCUAAUAUUCAUGUGUGUCCUCACAUGAACUCCGACUAGGGACAACUUUAGAAUAACCAUACAAGUAAAGAGUUUCACAUACAAUUCACAUAAUUGCAAAUCAAUUCAAGUAGCCUUCAAUGGAUAUUCAAUGAACACAAUAUACAAAUCAUGGAUACAAAUGGAAUAUCAUCAUCUCUAUGAUUGCCUCUAGGGCAUACCUCCAACACCGCCAAAACGCACGCGCAACAGGGGGCGGCGCGACUCGCCGGCUGGCGCCCCACCGGCGGCGAAGCUAGGUCAGGACAGCACCUCUACACCUUCAUGCACCCGUGCGCGGCAACAGCUCCUCGGGAGAUGGCCAGAGCCAUUCCCUCCACGGCGACGGGCGGCGACACCCUCGGCCAGUCGCGACUACUCCCGACGACGGCACAAACUACUCGAACAACUACUCUUACACCAUCCUAGGACCCUAGGACUCGCCUACGACUACUUAAGAAGGAAGGGGAACAGCGCAAGGUAGUGCUCACCGUGAGCGGAAGGCGCGGCGAUGGCGGACAGAAGCGGCGGCGGUUCAAGGCGUGCCGGCGGAGAAGCUGGGCAACAAGUUGCUAGGAUUGCUGGUGGGGUGUGGUCGGAGGUGUGGACGGAAGGAAUCGACGGGAGGUGCGGUGUGGCGGUGGAAUUUUGCUCGGUGGCGGCAACGGGGACAGAGGCGCUGGCGGCGGUAAAAAGGAACGGCAGUGAAACGGCGGCGCGGGAGCGGUAAAUAUACGAACUGUUUACCGCGCGCAUGGGCGACACCAUGGCCUACUCAUAGGCUUGCGUGGUGAGGAGGUGGCCUAGCUGGUUGCGCUGGCGAGCGACCGACGGCGGCGGCGGCGACAUGUCCUGUUGCUCUGUCAUCGCCUCCCCCCUUUUCUUUUAAUGCCUGAAACUUCAGAGUUCUAUCACGGUCGAUUCCAAAUCCGACGGUCCCCAAGUUGCUUAAACAAAGUUGGAGAUAAACUUGAAUCCUCCUAUUUUUAUUUUGGCUCUACCCUGAGAUAAACAUCAAACCAUAGUCGAAUUUUGAAUUGUUUCUUGUGUUUGCCUGAACUUGACUGAAUCGGCAUUCAGUUCAUCAGGAACACGACAGUGAUACUUGCCUUACUUUGUGAUUGAAUUUUGUGAUCCAAAUCCUUCUUUUCCAGUCCAACUUCUUCCCAUUCGUGCUCUACUAUCUCCAAUGUUUCCAUUUUGCUCAAGAACACCUACCCCUCUUGAUCUACAUUGCUCAUAAUUCAAGUCCAAAGUCGACCCUAUGCUGGUGGUUUCAGGGUGACAGUUAACUGUGACAAUGUGCUGACUUUGAGCUCACCGAAAUUAUUCCCUUCCAUGUUCCUGGCCAACAACACCCAAUUAUUGGAGUCCAAAGUCCAUACUUUGAUAUGGUGUAUCUGUUUUGAUUCACUUAUUUGAAAAAUUCACCAGAAAUCAAUUUUGAAAACAGACUCUGCUGCUGUUUUUCUGAACUUCUAUUUUCGGACGGUGAACAGUAAAUGUGGUUUUUCAUUUCCUUCUCUGAUUUCCUUUGAGUGUUUAGGAUCAAAUUUUAUUCCAAAUUUUUGACCCUUAAGUUCUAAUCAUCCUUACACUUCUAUUCUAUAUUUUUGCCGAAUUUUUCUGAAUUUCAAAUUCAAAAUUCAAAUUUCGGCCAAAUUUGACCCGAAUUUGAUUUUUGGCCAAUUUCUUUUCCUUUUCUUCUCGAAUUGCUUCCAAUUCUUCAAAGUCACUUGAAUGACUUAAUUGGCAGCUGUUACACCCUCCGACCCCUUGCGCCUGGGGUCGGGUGAGGUGGAGCCUUGCGGCGUGGGGUCGGGCGCGUCGAACCCUUGGACCAUGGGUUGGGCGAGGCGAAGUGGAAUAUUCCCUAGCCGUGCCAAGUUGGUGGAGGUUACUAUCGCUGCAGGUGGGCCCAGGGCCUUAUGACCGUUGUUUAAGGAAUAUAAGUGUUGAUGCUAGAUUUCAACACGUAUGGAAUCGGCAUCGAGAAAGGAGAAGAUUGGCUGUUGCGGCAGAUUGGAAGGUCACGAUUGGGAAUCGGCCGAUUGGUGCUACAGUUGGGGAUCGGUCGAUUGGUGCUACAAUGUUUUGGUAGACGGAGUUGAUGAAGAUCGGCCGAUUGAAAGGCUGGAGCGAUUGGGCCAAUAUGGGCUUAAAAUGGGUCAGAGGAAGAAGAUGGAGGAAGAUUGGCCCAUGGGAAUACAAUAACCAACUCCGAUACGAGUUGUACUUGUAAAUAUUUGUUUUCAUUUAAAAUUAGAGAUAGAUCCUAGUCGGUUAAGAAAUUGGUUGUAACAGGCUAUAAAUAGCCAUCUUUAGGGAUUUGUAAAAGACACAUCAAUCAAUACAACAAUCUACUAUUUCUUCGUACUUUACUUUCAAGUCGGUGACUUCGCCAAUACUUUUCUUCUUUCACCAGUUCGUACGGGUUGGCGGGGCUACAUCGACACGAUCUCUGGCCGAUUCUGUAAGUUCCGCUUAUCGAGUAAUAUCUAAGCUUUAACUUCGGACGUAUCGCUGUCAUUUCAUUUAGAUUUAUUCACCAGUUAUUGGUAUUUACUAGAAUUAUAGGUUUCAUCUGUUGUUCUAGUUUUAUCACCAGUUAUCCAGCUUGAGAUCUGAACUGUCGGCUUUAUUAUUCAUUAUUUGUUAUUUUCAUAUAGCUGAUUAGAUCUAUUUCAAGUAUUGCUCCUGUAGCAUUAUCUAGUUUACUCUAGUAGUUUUCUUUAUAAUCGCUAUGUGGUUGUUAGCUUUAUCAUAGCCGAUUAUCUUUUUAUAGCAAAUUGGCCGAUUUGCUGAUACGCUUUCUCGAGAUCGGAACCUUAGCCGAUCGGAACCCUUGGAAUUUGACACGUUUUCUUCCUUGCCAAUCAACAGGUCAGAUUGGCUGGCACGCUGCGCGAAUCGCACCAUUGUGAUCACCCGAACAGGAGCUAAGCAAAUUCUCCCGGGUCAUGUGUCCGACGCUGAGAGUCAAUCGGCUGAUUUUUAGCGUCAACACACUUUUGGCACACUCGGUGGGACCAAUUCGACCUCCAACAGGUCGAAAGCCGCUGAAAUCUCUGAAGACAACAUCAUCGAAGUGACGGAAGCAGAUCUUAAGGAUGACCAGAAGGAAGAGUUGGAAAAGCAGGUAGAACAAUACCGGAAGACAUGCCUGCAAUCUUUCAGUCGUACCAGGAGCGGGGAGACUGUCAAGAAAGCUCCUUUGCCAACUCCCCACCAGAUCACCAUCACUGAGGACUCUGGCAAGAUGUCCGAUAUGGUUCAGCAGUUCGUCUAUCAGGCCUUCAUCGAUCAAUCCCCGGUGAUGGCUAACACGGUGUACAAUGCCGUCAUCAGCUCCCUGGCCAAUGGUGUAUCUCAAGGAUAUCAGGGGCCAGCAUACGCCCCACCCAUUACGGCCCCAGUCAGGAGCUUUCCAAGAACAUCUCACUCGGCUCCUCAGCCGAUGCCAGCUCAACAUGGAGGAUCCAGCACUUCCCUGCCUUCAAUGCAUCCAGGAUACAACAGUGCGCCAUACCAUCAACCACAAGCACCACCGCAGCCUGCUCAAGUUUCCUCUGUGCAAUCAGUGCCAUCGAACUCAGCACCUUGGGGGGCACCAUCGACAGCAGCCGUUCUAGAUCAAUUGGCUGGCUAUGGAGGCCCUCCAUUCCAGGCACCAUUCCAAUCGGCCAGUCAGCCGACGGUUCCACAGUAUCAACCUGCCACGUAAGAAAUCGGCAGGGGGCAGACGCUACUGAGGUGCUCCGAGGUGCGUGCCAAUGAUACUAUAUGAUGAGACGGCCGGUUCAAUGCACCACCAGAUGUCAACCGCUCAGCCGGCCACGUUACCGCAGAAUCCGCCGCAUGCAUUGAUUAAUCACCCGGUCAUCCCAUCACCGAUCCACCAACACGUGCCAAUUCCCCAGCCAGUAAUUCGUCAGUAGCAAGUGGAUUGGACGGCAAGGAUAGCGGAAGUAAUUCAAGAUCAGUUCAGGUUGAAGCCGAAGGUACAAACUUACACAUACAGGACGCCAUACCCGCCUACCUACGAUCUACUACCGUUUCCCCAUCGAUACAAAGUGCCCGACUUCACCAAAUUUUCGGGGCUAGAUGAUACUUCAACUGCGGAGCACGUGAACAGAUUCAUUAUCCAAUGCGGGGAGGUGGCUGCACAAGAUGCUCUAUGGGUGCGUCUGUUCUCAGCGUCCCUGUCCGGGUCAGCUUUCCAGUGGUUCACUACGCUACCGCCCAACUCCAUAGUUACUUGGGCCGACCUGGAGAAGCAGUUCCAUAAAUACUUCUACGCGGGGGUCCAUGAAAUGUAGCUUUCGGAUCUGACCAGCCUCAGGCAAAGGAGCAAUAAGCCAGUGUCCAAUUAUGUGCAGAGGUUCAGAGAGGUCAGAAACAAGUGCUACACCCUAGUCCUGACCGACGCGCAGCUGGCCGAUAUCGCCUUCCAAGGCCUCCUGUCGCAUAUCAAAGAGAAGUAUGCUUCCCAGGAGUUCGAGAGCCUGAGUCAAAUCGUUCACCGAUUGGCCGGUCAGGAAGUACGCCCUUUUGAUCAGCGGAAAAUUUUUCAGAAGAAGGUGGCAUAUCUAGAGGGAUCUGAAUCUGAGGAGGAAGCAGAAAUCGGUCUAGCGGAGUGGGUUAAAGGAAAAAAGCCGAUAUUGUGUCCUUUCGGGAAAAGAGAACUGGAGGCGUUCGGUUUUGACACGUCAAAGGCUGACAAAAUUUUCGAUCUACUUCUCCAAGAAGGGCAGAUCAAACUCUCACCCUACCAUACAAUCCCGUCUGUAGAGCAGCUAAAAAAGAUGAAGUAUUGCAAGUGGCACAAUGCCACGUCCCACGACACGAACGAGUGCAAGAUCUUCCAUCAGCAGAUACAAUCGACCAUCGAGCAGGGCAGGCUCAAGUUCGAGGUCCCAACAAAGCCAGCAAAGCCGAUGAAGGUUGAUCAGCAUCCUUUUCCUACUAACAUGGUUGAUACGGGAAGAAACGCGCUCCAAACCAUGGUGCUAACGUCGGAAUCGGCUAAAAAGAGUGGCGCUGUGGACCCCAGAAAUCAAGCUUCUGUGGAGGAUGUCAAGGGGAAGCGACGGGUUGACGACGAGGGUGAAGGAUCGAAAAGGCCGUGCAGACCUAUUACUUUCCAAUUUCUGCUCAACAAAUAUCAGUGGCAACAAGAAAGUUUGAGAUAUCGCGAAGAGAUGAUACGACGACACGAAGAUCAUUGGCGGUGCCAGUUCUUCAUCCAUUGUUGGGAAAAUAACCUCAGGUUGCCAUCGGCCGAUAAUUGCUCGGAGUGCAGCGGUCCAUAUAGCAAUAAUCGCCCAUUCAGGAGGUCUCGCUCCAAGGACAGAAGAACAGAGCCAAUCAGCAGAAACUGGCGCAAACAAGAAGAUCGGCGCCUUUCAGUGCGUGAUCGGCUGGGGGUAGAAUGGACCGAUAUGAUCGGCCAAGCGACAGAAGCAAGCAAUAUGAUAGGUCGGGGGGCAGGUGUGGUGAAGCACCUCGGAUUAACUUAGCUAAAGCACAGUUAAAUCGCCUAACACGUGAAUCACAUGCUUUAAUCAAGUUAAUUCGACGAUCCGUCGGAUUUCAUCCGAUAAAAACCACUUAGAUAGGACCGAGUUAGCAUAGCUCACACAAAGGUGAGUGGUUUAAGAGAAUAAAACAGAUCAAAUAAACAGUUCAACGAUUUAUUACACACUGGUUCGAAAAUCAAAGUUUUACAAGAUUCAAAAGCAGCGGAAAGAUAAAAUAGCGGAAGCUAGCGCUGUGGUCGGAUGUCCCUGAUGAGGCCGAUCAGGAUAUCAAUGAUCCUUCUCCUCACCGUCCGAGGAGGGAUCCCACUCGACCGUCCACCUAGGAGGAAGCUAGGGCGGCCAAGUGCCAACAGCAGCACACUCAGAAUCUUCAGCUUCACCUGAAAAGAGAUGCCACAACAAGGCUGAGCUUCUAAACUCAACAAGACUUAACCGACCGGUGGGAAAAACUACUCCACCACUCCAAGACAUGCAAGGCUCUUUGGCUGAGGGGUUUGUUUUGCCAAAAGCGACUACAGUAGGUCCUUACUUUCAAUAUUUUAGCUCAGAUUCUAAGUUCAUUAACCAGUCUACAUUGGCAACUUAUGUGAAACAAGAUACAUACAUCCUGCAAAACAGAGUUAAGCGUCCUAACGUUCCAAACUUCGGAUGCCCGAAACUCUAUCUUCCAAGCCAAAUUUGGGAAAUCUACUUUCGCCAAAAAUGGCGAACUAGUUGAAUUUCAUGUGUAACUUUUUCUGUAGAUCAAUUUUCAUAUAAAAUUCGCCCCGAUCCGAGAUCGUACCGAAAAGUUACGGCUGAUUUACCGAAGCAUGCGCAUACGGCAAAAAUUCCGACCCCGGCAGUAGAUCUCAUCUACUAUUGCACAUCUAAUGCGCCUGGCGUAUGACCCUGGAUUUCGAUUCGACCAAUCAUACUGAUCUUCGCUCACUGCAACUGGAAUUACGUGUAUCACUUAACCCUGAUGGCGGAAACUGACCGGUAGGAGUAUGUCGUUACACUACCAUUGCAGCAAGAACACGAAACCAGGACAUAGAUCAAACUGAAAACUCGCAUAUCUCCAUAUGCACACAUUCCGAAUCCAAAACUAAACAGCUACGGCUCUGAUACCACUGUUGGAAUACGAGGUAGGCUACACUAGCGCAAAUCAAAAUUUCUACCGCGUAAAACGAGGAAGAACUGCCGUAUAAGGAUUACGAGAUUACCACUCGACGCACUACUGGUGCAGAAGAUGUAGAUUUGCGUCGAUGCAGCGAAGACGAUUAACGUAGUCGUACGUAGUCAAUCAACAUAGUCGUACGUAGUCCAUCACGUCAACGUCCAGCAGCUCCUCAGCAGCUCGUCCACGUGCAGCAAGAUCGCCCUCGUGCUGCGGCUCAUCGUCGGCUCGUCAUGGCUCGUCGGUGGCUUGUCGUGGCUCAUCGGUGGCUCGUCCGAGUGCUGCAGGCGCAACACCUCCAAGGUAUCCACACGUGCAGGGAGGAAGCGCCGCAAGCCGGACUGCUAGAUCCGCAAGUUGCAACAGGCGAGGGCGUGGGAGGCCCGGCAGAUGUGUUUCGCCAAAAGGUGUCAACCCUAGGGCGCACCCACCCCUCUAUUUAUAGAGGUUCCUGACGGGCCUCUAGGUCCGAGGCCCAUUAGUACUUCUAAACCUAAUCCAACUCGGAUUAGAUCCGAAUUGGGCUUCCAACCCCUUAAGUGUGUGGCCCUAUGGGUUCGGAUACGUAUAGACAUGGCCCGAGUACUCCUACUCGGCCCAAUAGUCGGUAGCGGCCUCUAGCAAGACGUGCCAACUCCUAUACGCACACGAAGAUCAUAUCAGACGAACCAUCACAACAUAAUAUACAUGCUAUUCCCUUUGCCUCACGAUAUUUGGUCUAGCUUCAAGCCGACCGCUCUUUCUCGAUCCUGUGAUUCGGAAUCCCUUUGUAGGUUAACUCUUAAUCGUACGUAGCAUGGCCAUGCAUUUUCGGAUCUGAUCACUCGAGGGGCCCAAAGAUAUCACUCUCAAUCAGAGAGGGGCAAAUCCCAUCUUGAUUGACCAUGUCUCAUAGCAUGCUUCUUGACAAACCCGAAAGCUACCUUUAUAGCUACCCUGUUACGACGUAGCGUUUGAUAGCCCCUAAGUAGGUCGAUCCACAUCUUGAAUACAUGCGACAAUCUCAGGUCUAAGGACAAAGCGUAUAUGUUAUUUAAAGAGAGAACUACUUCUCUUGUUGGGUCAGUCCUAGCACAUGUCUCCACAUGCGUACACAUUAUUAGUUUAACAUCUCCAUGUCCAUGACUUGUGAAACAUAGUCAUCAACUAAUACAUGUGCUAGUCUAAUAUUCAUGUGUUUCCUCACAUGAACUCCGACUAGGGACAACUUUAGAAUAACCAUAUAAGUAAAGAGUUUCACAUACAAUUCACAUAAUUGCAAAUCAAUUCAAGUAGCCUUUAAUGGAUAUUCAAUGAACACAAUAUACAAAUCAUGGAUACAAAUGGAAUACCAUCAUCUCUAUGAUUGCCUCUAGGGCAUACCUCCAACAGCGCGCUGAUCUAUCUUGUCGCGGUCGGCGAUUGGGCGAGGCGGCGCUCGUCGGGGAGGUUGAGCCACGCGACAGAGAGGCUCUGAAGCGGGGCGCACGUGGGCUCUGGCGCGUCUGACUCAAGAGAUUUUUGGGAUCUGGUUUUGGGUCCACCAUUCAGUCUCUAGCUCUCCCACAGCUCCAAGUUUUGGAGGAACACUGGCCGUUUGCUGGGUGGGUGCGAUUUUGCUGGGUUUCAGCGGUCGGGCUGAUGGAGAGUGCAGAUUUGGGAUUUGCCUUGAGAUUAACUCAACUAAUUAAACCAAGGUCGUUACAGCCUACCCCUCUUAAAAGGAAUCUCAUCCCAAGAUUCGGGUGUAAGGGCAACCGGUGGGGGUGUGCGGUUCUUACCUUCUCGGCUGAAAAGAAAACCUCUGAAGUGCUUGUUUAGAUACUCCUCUGUUUCCCAGGUUGUUUCCUCCUCCGUGUGGUUGCUCCAUAGUAUCUUGUACAUUUUCACAACCUGCCAUCGGGUGUGUCUCUCCUUACGGUCGAGGACUUUGGCCGGGUACUCGGCGUAGGUCAGGUCGCGCUCGAUUUGAAGCGGCUCCUGUUCCAAGACCUCAGUUGGGACUUGGACACAUUUCUUCAGUUGGGAAACAUGGAAAACAUCAUGAACGGCCGAAAGCUGUUCUGGUAGUUGGAUCCGGUAAGCAACGGGCCCACAAAUUUCCAGAAUUUUGUAAGGGCCAAUGUAACGGGGAGCCUAUUUCCCUUUUAGUCCAAAUCGUUGCACUCCUUUGGUCAGGGAGACUCGAAGAUAUACGUGAUCACCGAGGUUAAACCGCAGGGGUCUCCUUCUCUUGUUGGAGUAACUCUUUUGUCGAGAUUGGGCUGCCUUGAGAUUUGCCUGAAUCACCCUAACUUGUUCUUCGGCUUCUACUACUAGAUCAGGACCGUAGGUUUGUCUUUCUCCAACUUGUGACCAACUCAAUGGCGUCCGACACCUCCGACCAUAUAAGGCUUCAAGCGGUACCAGCUUCAAGCUAGCCUGGUAGUUGUUGUUGUAGGAGAACUCUGCCAACGGCAAGCACUUAUCCCAAUUCUUAUCAUAGUGGAUGACACAAGCUCGUAGCAUGUCUUCAAGGAUCUGAUUUACUCUCUCAGUCUGACCAUCGAUUUGAGGGUGAUAGGUCGAGCUACGAAUGAGCUUGGUGCCAAGUGAUGCUUGUAGCUGUUCCUAAAAACGUGCUACAAACUGAACACCUAGAUCAGAUAUGAUCGUCCUAGGCACACCAUGCAGAGAAACAAUGCGGUCAAGAUACAGCUCUGCAUAUUUCUUGGCCGGGUAGGUGGUGUGAAUAGGAAGAAAGUGGGCAGACUUGGUGAGGCAGUCCACGAUAACCCAAAUGGAGUCAUGCCACUGAGAUGUAGGGGGCAUUCCAACAAUGAAAUCCAUGCUGAUGUCCUCCCAUUUCCAGGAUGGGAUAGGUAGCGGUUGCAGGGUAUCUGCUACCUUCAAAUGGCUGGCCUUAACAUGUUGGCAGGUGUCACAUUCCGAGAUAUAGCAUGCAAUUUCUGGCUUUAUUCCACCCCACCAAAAAGUUCGACAGAGAUCAUGAUACAUCUUAUUACUGCCAGGGUGGAUUGAGAACUUGGAGAGAUGGGCUUCAUCGAGGAGUUGCUUCUUAAGAGUGGGGUCGGAUGGGACAACAAGUCGGUUCCCAUAGUACACUCUCCCAUUCUCAUCCUGUCGGAAAUGCUUGUACCCUUCAUCUUUCCAGGAAAUCUUCCUUUUAAUUCGCUUUAUUUCCUCAUCCUCUAACUGUGCCGACCCAAUUUGGUCUUACAAAGCAGACUCAAGGAAAAUAUGACUGAGGGUUCCAUGGGAAAUAAUUUCCAAACUAAGUUUUCCCAUCUCAUGACAUAGAGUUUCGAUGAAGUUGAUUACCGACAAGCAAUUGCAAUGGGUCUUGCAGCUGAGAGCGUCUGCUACUACGUUGGCUUUGCCGGGGUGAUAAUGUACCUCCAAUUCAUAAUCUUUGAUCAACUCCAACCAUCUUCUUUGGGGCAUGUUGAGGUUGGCUUGAGUGAAGAUGUACUUGAGGCUCUUGUGAUCAGUGUAGAUGUUGUAGUGGGUGCCCAUCAGAUAGUGUCUCCAUAUCUUUAAGGCAUGAAUCACUGCUGCUAACUCAAGAUCAUGGGUCGGAUAGUUCAGCUCAUGAGGUCGCAACGCCCAUGAGGCAUAGGCAAUGACUCAGUUGUCUUGCAUAAGAACACACCCAAGUCCAGUGCUAGAGGCGUCACAGUAUACGUCAAACGGCCUGGAAGGGUCGGGUUGAGCUAAAACUGGGGCAGAAGUCAGCAAGCGUUUCAAGGUGUGGAAAGCUUCUUCGCAUUCGUGACUCCACAUAAACUUGACUUCCUUUUUCAGUAGCUCGGUCAUCGGUUUAGCUAUCUUUGAGAAAUCCGGAAUGAAACGCCAAUAGUAGCCUACUAGUCCACAAGAUCUGUGUUCUCAUCGGCUGGUCAGCACACAACCUUGGGCGAGUCAAAACCUCAGCCGAUGGGUCCAACUAUGUCCGACCUUAAGUGUCGGGGUCGGGCGAAGCGGAAUCAUGCAACAAGGGGUCGAGCAAGGUGGAGACCUGCCGCGAGGGGUCGGGCGCGUCUGACCUCAUGACCCUAGGUCGGCCACACUUGGACAGACCCAAAGGAACGGAAACCUACGUGCGGUCACAUCACAAAAACUCACACAACUUUGGCAUCAGAGGCGUGUCCCAAAAAGGAAUUGAUUUUACCAAGAUCAUUACAUUGCUGGUCCAUUAACACAGAGGGAGUACUCAACUCAAGGCUAACCCAUUACAUUGCUACCCAAAAUUUAGGUUGCCGAGGAGUACAACAAAAGAUUAGCUUCCUACAUCCUUCAACCUAAAAAUCAUCUAGGUUGCCUACUGAGGGAACACUAUGCGUCGGAGAAGGGGCAUCGCCAUCUUCAAUGUCCAUACUAGAGACUCCCACUACCUCCUCAGGGUCUUCCUUCUCCUCCAGGGCCAUUUGCUCAUCCAGCUGCAUUUCCAAAGCAUGGAUGGCAUCGAGCUCGGCGUGGUGCUCGUCCAAGUGUGCAUUAGCAACCGCGAGCUCCAUCUCAACCUCCAACUUCUCUUCAGCAAGCUGAGUCAUGUCAUGCUCCAUGUCCAUCACUUCUUCUUUGAGCUCGGAAAUCCUAACCUGCAUGUCGGAGACCUGUAUGCUCCUUUGAAUAAGCUAAUACGACUGUUCCACCAAGUCUCUCUUGGCGGUGUUGAAAUGCUCCUGGGUGUCUACAGCUAUCCGAGCCAAGAUAGCCAUAGCCCGUCCUUGAAGCUCAAUCAGUCGGUACAAAGCUGACAUGCACCUUGUUGUGGUAGAGAGGGUGGCCAAUGAGUGUGAGGCUGCCAACACCUCCAUGUUGUUAACGCGGUCAAGCCAAGCCGGGUCCAGCUAAUCUCUGGCGGGAAACAAACCGAUCGGGUCCAAAAGGACCUCAAACGGGUGUAGUCGGCAAAACUGGGUGAGAGCCUGCAAGGCAGCUGACUCCCAAGUGUCCUCAAGGGUGUGACCGUAGGUCGAGACCUCAAGCUGGGGCCACUCGGGCUGUACAGGGGAUGGAGGUACAACCACUUGCACGUUGCACCGCUGCACUCCGUGCUCCUGGUACUCCCGUCCCGCGUAAAGAGGCGGUGACUGGUACCUAAACCACCUCAAGGUAUCCCACAAAAUAGCAGGAAAGCCCUCGAAGUGAAGGCAUGUGGAGUGGGAAGUGCCAUCAGCGCCACGAAACACAUGUCCGGGAGCAGCCAUCUAGAACCAAGAACUGAAACAAGCGUGAGAUAGAAACCCCAAGGAGAACAGAUCGGGCAGGGAAAAGCACUUGGAUGUCUAACCAUAUCGCAAACUGAGAAGGUAGCUAGAAAUCCUUAAAGCGAAGAAGAGCCUUAAACCAGGGCAAGGUUGUUUUAGGGAGGUGGUUUUACAGAUUUUGCUCAUGACUCAUGCACGACCUACCUCGUCCUCUCAACCAAAAUAACUGCCAAAAGCUUUGGUCUUGCGCUGUUAGUGCCGGUGGCAAGGCAACAAGUACGUCGCUCCCUAUAGUAGCUAGUCGAUUUCUAGCAUCGUUCCCUAAGCGAACGCGGUUAGUGUACCCGCAGAAAAGACAACCACAUGAACCUUUCAUGCCAGCACUCAUGAAAGCGUCCCCAAGCAUUACCGUUCACUAUAAAAAUAGUACCCAUGCGUUUAACGCUGCAUGGACAGCACAACAACCGUGGAAAUAGGUCCCCUUUGAAUAGAACCAUAUAACCCUUUGCAUGCUCGCGAUACGGAAUCUAUGCACGUAUAAUAGACGUGGGCGAACAACCGUGAUGAUAGGCUUGUUGGAAUCAAACCAUACCACCCUUCACAUGAGUUAACAUGCGGAACCUGCGCACGUAUGAUAAACAUGAGCGAAACAACCGCGAUGAUAGGGUCCCUUGAAUAGAACUCCCUAUCAACCCUCGCAUACUCGCGAUGCAGAACUCGACACACGUAUGAUACACGUGGCGAAGUGCUGGAGGUUAGCAAAAUAACCAAUAAGUAAUAUCCACCUAAAAUAACCCCAAAAUCCCCUAGGGCCUCUCGUACUAAGGUCAUACUUAACGAUCAUACGAGAUUUUUCAACACCUUUCUUGCAAAUUUUAUUAAAAAAGGAAGUGUUUUAGGACCUAUUGUGUUCUCUGUCCUGCUAAACUAGCUUUGGUACCAGCUGUGGCGGAGCACCUCGGAUUAAGUUAAGUCGCCAAACACGCGAAUCACAUGCUUUAAUCAAGUUAAUUCGAUGAUCCGUCGGAUUUCAUACGAUACAACCACUUAGAUAGGACCGAGUUAGCAUAGUUCACAUGAAGGUGAGUGGUUUCAGAGAAUACAACAGAUCAAAUAAAUAGUUCAACGAUUUAUUACACACUGGUUCGAAAAGCAGAGUUUUACAAGAUUCAAAAGCAGCGGAAAGAUAAAAUAGCGGAAGCUAGCGCCGGGGUCGGAUGUCCCUGAUGAGGCCGAUAAGGACAUCAAUGAUCCCUCUCCUCACCGUCCGAGGAGGGAUCCCACUCGACCGUCCACCCAGGAGGAAGUGGGGCGGCCAAGUGCCAACAGCAGCACACUCAGAAGCUUCAACUUCACCUGAAAAGAGAUGCCACAACAAGGCUGAGCUUCUAAGCUCAACAAGACUUAACCGACCGGUUGGAAAAACUACUCCACCACUCCUAGACAUGCAAGGCUCUUUGGCUGAGGGGUUUGUUUUGCCAAAAGCGACUGCAGUAGGUCCUUACUUUCAAUAUUUUAGCUUAGAUUCUAAGUUCAUUAACCAGUCUACAUUGGCAACUUAUGCGAAACAAACAUAUAUAGAAUGAGCAUCGAGUUCAUAUCAUCCUCAUGUUCCAUCUUUACUCAGUGUAGCGUAGCGAUCAAGCAGUCUUAAACUGUGAGAGGCAGACGAAUCGAUUUGAGUUUCUUAACCAUGCAUGGCGAACCUAAUCUCACGACAUCCGCGCACCACAAAGGGUCGCUUCCUGUGUCGGCCAUCCUCAUCAAUUCCCAGGCAUGUGUUAGGUCCAAACUUCCCUUGGCAUGCAAUACUCCACAGUCCCGACCUCUUGUCGUACUAUGGCCGCACUUGCACCCACAUGAUGCACCAUGGGAACCUCGUUCCAGGGACAGCAGGGGUAUAAGCCACGCCCUAGUUCAAUCAGGUACUAGGCUUCCCCAUCCCAUACUAGGUAUGAGAUUAGUACUUUCAAACACUGGAUCAUGAAUGCCACCACUGUCAGACCUUAAACAGAUUCAAGUAGAUAGACGAGGCGAUCCACCAACCACCAAAAAAGUUCACCAGGCCCUGCCCCAUCCACAGUCCUUAUAGUUGUAACCGGAAGGAUAACAACCAACUCCUAUAACUCGCGAGUGAUAGGAAAUCACUUGACUUUUACCGAGUCCUAUUAAGUAUUGCAACUACUUGGACUUAUCAGACUAGUGUUCAGAUCAAGGGAAUUAAGUUAUGCAUCUAUGGUAUCAAACAACUCCUAUAACGUAAAUGCACAUACAUACGAAAGAAGGCAUGUGCAAUUUUAGAAAGUUGGGGUUAUGCUCCAGGGCUUGCCUUCGAACGGAGCGGAGGCAAACUGGUCUUCUGCGGGUUUUGCUUCAGCUUCUGCGGUCGGCGGCUCAGCUACUACUCCGUCUUUUGGCACCGGAUGCAGCUCGUAUGUGCCGUCGACGAGAUUUAGUUCUACACGGAAAUGCAAAUGCAGGGGUUAAACAUUUAGUUGGUUAUUUCAACAACACUUGCACGCUUUAGCUCAGAAACUUGUAGCAAAGCUACAGGAAAGGUGUGGAAGUCCAAGCUUCAGUUGAUGGAGAACAGAUGAAAGGGUCGGGUUGGGAGAAACUUAUGAUCUGACUCUCAGAACUAAGGAAUAACUAUACCGGGGUCCUCAGACUUAACACAGAGAAGUCCCCAAAAUUUUACACAAAUACCCUCGGGUCAAAGAAAAAGAUACAGCCGAGCCCUCGGGCAAAGCGGACAAGGGUCCGCGAAACAGACAGGGUCGGGCGAAACGAAAAAAGGGAUCGGGCAAACCGGAAAGGGGUCAACAGCUUACCUUUAGGCCUACUGGUGAAGUCUUGGGGUCGGGAAGGAACAGACUUAGGCGGAAGUACUCUAGGCACUAAGGCUUGGGCGGCGGCGGGGUUCGGCAGUGCUCCAGCGGCGGUAGUGCUUCUUGUGGACAACAAGCAAGCUCUAUCACCGAGCGGAGGAACAGGCGGCUGGUGGGUUGGGAAAAGCGGGUUUGAGCGAAGAGGGGAAGUUCCUUAAGAGCUUAAGCGGCAGCGCUCAAAUGCGAGCAGAGUAAGGUGCGGCGAGGCAGCAAUGGCGAAGGAAACUCCGGUAGAGGCUCUGGUACUCCCUUUUAUAGUUGCGCGAAAGAGAGAGAGAGAGAGUCCGAGCAGCGCGAAGUUCAGGUCAAAAAGGAUGGAGUGCUCUGCCGUGGCGGCGAUUGGGCAGCGCCUCCAUUGACCGGCGAAGCGGAGCUUCGGGGACAGGGUCUUUGGUCAUUAGGCACUGGAGACAAAGCCGACUCAGGCGCGGUUUUGUCGGGAUGAAGGGUUGGCAAGGGCGAGCACGGUCUAGUCGCGUCAAGCGGCAGAUUGGGUGCGACGACUCGACUAGCGUGUGAUAGGAAGGAACGAAAGGCACUACAAGGGAGGUCGCAGCAGGCGAGGUGACAGGGCGAGCGGCGACGCUAGCAAACGCAGAUCAGCGGCUUUGCCGGGGCAUGUUACUAGCGAGGCGGAAAAAGGAGUUGUCUCUGCCAGAGCCGUGGUUAGUGAGGGCGGUAUCGUCGUGGAGCGUGUGCGUGGGCAGUGCGACUGUGGGGGAGACGAAAAAGCCGGAAGGCAUCGGGGCGCGCGGCUGGGGAUUCGGGCGAGAUGAUGGGUGUGGGAGGCGAGGCGGUCUGGCGCGGCAGCGGCCAAUCCUCUAUCGCAGCGGCGACAGGGCGCCUUGGCAUGGCCGGCGAGGGUGCAAGCGAGAUGAGGCGAGGCAGAAAGGGCUGCAGGGGCUUCCGUGCGCGAUUGGGAAGGAGGCGCGCUAAUCUAUCUUGUCGUGGCCGGCGAUUGGGUGAGGCAGCGCUUGUCGGGGAGGUUGAGCCACGUGGCGGAGAGGCUCUAAAGCUGGGUGCACGCGGGCUCUGGCGCGUUUGACUCAAGAGAUCCGUGGGAUCUGGUUUUGGGUCCACCAUUUAGUCUCUAGCUCUCCCACAACUCCAACUUUUGGAGGAACACUGGUUUCAAGACUUAGAGAAGAGCUACCGUUUGCUGGGUGGGUGCGAUUUUGCUGGGUUUUCAGGGGUCGUGCUGAUGGAGACUGGAGAUUUGGGAUUUGCCUGGAGAUUAACUCGGCUGAUUAAACCAAAGUCGUUACAGCAGGUCUGAUCAGCACGAUCGACCAGGGAGCAGAGUCAGCGCACAAGAUCGACUACAAGAGAUGGCCGAUGCUCGGGUGUCAGAUGAAAAUCCCCUGGGAUGGGAGCCAGACUGGGAGCGCGCCAGACCGUCGGCCAAAUCGGUGAACCCCAGGUGGUGCCCUGACGGAUUGACCAAAUCCCAAAAACGAAGAAUCCAACGCCUGCGCCAAUGCGAACAACAGGAAGAAGAGUAGAAGUAGAUGGUGGAUAAGAAGGAUGACAGGUCUCGAGUCUGGCGCCCCAAAAGAAACAACAAUGAGGAAGAUGGCAACCAGAAAUCGGCAACUGACGUCAGCAUGGUGUUCAUCUUGCCGAUGGAGUUCAUGGCUCCCGCUGAUUGGAAUGACACGACGAAGAUGGAGGAACAGAUGGCAGAAUUGGCUUUGGAGCCAAUGACAGCUACUUUUGAGAAACCAGAAGAUGAAAAACGACAACACCUUAAGGCACUGUUCCUCAAAGGGCACGUCAACGGUCGGCCCGUCACCAGGCUACUAGUAGAUGGAGGCGCUUCAGUCAACAUCAUGCCGUACGCCAUGUUCCGAAAGCUGGGUAUAAGCGAUGAGGAUCUAACCAAGACGGACAUGAUGCUCAAGGACUUCGAAGGCAACGUAUCCCCCACCCACGGAGCGCUUUGCGUUGACCUCACCAUCGGCAGUAAGACCUUUCCCACUACCUUCUUUAUUAUUAAUGGCAAAGGGUCCUACAAUAUGUUGCUCGGUCGCGAUUGGAUACACGCAAAUUGCUUUGUCCCAUCUACAAUGCAUCAAUGCCUCGUGCAGUGGGUCGGCGACAACAUCGAGAUAGUCACCGCCGAUUCCGCCUACAGUUUUGCUGCGGCCGAUACGCAACAGUGGAGCUGCGAACACGUCAAGUGCAUAUCUGGAAGAACUUGGGACACCAAUUUCCUGAAAGUGUCCAAUUUUGGCCUACAGCCGAUCCGAGCAGUCGGCUCUGAAGAUUCAGAUUAGAUGGAUCAAGUCGUCCGAGAAGAUGGGAAGCUGGGGCACGGGUUUACGUUGGGCCGAUCAUUAGAGAUGAUAGAUCUAGGUGAUGGCACCAAACCGAGGCCAACGUACAUUAGUGCUAACUUGGAUCCAGAAUACAAGUGUAAAUUGACAAAUUUAUUGAAAGAAUUUAAAGAUUGUUUUCCUUGGGAAUAUCAUGAGAUGCCUGGUUUAGACCGGUCCAUUGUUGAAGACCCGUUGCCUAUAAAGCUGGGAUAUCGGCCAUAUCAGCAGCCCGCGCGACGAUGCAAUCUUAAAAUUCUACCUGAAAUAAAGGCCGAAAUUACAAGACUAUGUGAGGCAAAAUUUAUUCGGCAAUGCCGUUAUGCCGAGUGGAUCUCUAACAUUAUACCCGUAUACAAGAAAAAUGGAAAACUGCGCGUAUGCAUUGAUUUCAGGAACCUUAAUCAGGCCACGCCGAUGGAUGGAUAUCCGAUGCCGAUAGCAGAUGUGUUGAUAGAUGCCGCCGCAGGAUGUAAAGUCAUCAGUUUCAUGGACGGAAAUGCCGGGUACAAUCAAAUAUUAAUGGCCGAAGAAGACAUCUCAAAAAUGGCCUUCAGGUGUCCGGGCCACCUCGGUUUAUUCGAGUGGGUAGUAAUGACCUUUGGAUUAAAGAAUGACGGCGCUACAUAUCAACGGGCUAUGAAUUACAUCUUCCACAAGCUCAUCGGCGUCCUGGUGGAAAUCUACAUCGACGUCGUCGUGGUCAAAUCAAAAGGGCAUCAAGAACAUCUGGCCGAUCUGCGAGAAGUAUUGGAAUGCACGAGGAAACAUGGGUUGAAAAUGAACCCAAACAAGUGUGCAUUUGGCAUAUCGGCCGGGCAGUUCCUAGGAUUCAUGGUCCACGAGCGCGGGAUAGAAGUCAACCGGAAGAUCAUAGCGGCCAUCAACAAGGUUGUAGCCCCACAGAACAAAACUGAGUUGCAAUCUCUAAUCGGCAAAGUUAACUUUAUCAAAAGAUUCAUAUCCAACUUGUCUUGGCGUAUUCAAGCCUUCACGCCGUUAUUGAAGUUAAAGCCCAACCAGGAAUUUGUGUGGAGAGAGGAACAGCAGAAAGCAUUGGAAGACAUCAAGCAAUACCUGAUCUCGCCACCUGUAUUAGUCCCACCACAAGUUGACAAGCCAUUCAGACUAUACUUAUCGGCCGACGAAUGGGCUAUUAGAUCGGCGCUGGUACAGGAGUUCGAAGGGAAGGAAUGGGUGAUAUAUUAUGUUAGCAGAAGACUUCUGGAUGCCGAGGCAAGAUACUCACCGCCAGAGCAGCUGUGCCUAUGUCUUUAUUUCUCAUGUACCAAGCUUAGGCACUACCUUUUGUCGGCAGAAUGCAUAGUCGUAUGCAAAGACGACAUGGUAAAGUACAUGCUAUCAUUGCCAAUUUUGAAAGGACGAAUCGAAAAACGGAUCCUGGCUCUGUCAGAGUUUGACCUAAGGUAUGAAUCGGCCAAAGCUGUCAAGGGUCAAGUCAUGGCCGAUUUCGUGGCCCAACACUGCGGACCAAAAAUCGCUGUCGUGGAGCUGGCUCCAUGGACUCUAUACUUUGAUGGUUUGUCAUGUGGCGCCAGAUCAGGAAUCGGCAUCGUCCUCAUAUCGCCUCGGGGGGCAAGCUAUGAUUUCUCUCUGCCGAUAGAAGCUUCCGCGACCAAUAAUCAGGUGGAAUACUGAGCUGUCCUAAAAGGCAUUCAAUUAUUGAGGGAGAUCAAAGCCGAUGCUGUGGAGAUUUUUGGGGAUUCCAUGCUCAUCAUAGACCAGCUAACAGGAAGAUAAGAAUGUAAAGAUGACGUCCUGUGGAUUUACUAUGAAGAUUGCCUCCAACUUUUAAAUGAGUUUAAGACUGCAGUUAUUGAGCAUAUUCCUAGAGAUUAUAACGAAGAGGCCAAUAGGAUCACACAACACGCGUCCGGGUAUCGGCCGAUUCAGGGCACCCUGACUCUAGAACUCGCAGCCGAUGAUUGGCGAAAGGAGAUCGCUGAUUACUUAAGGGACCCGUCUAAGAAAGUGGAUCGGCGAAUACGUUUUCAAGCCACAAAGUACGUGCUACUCGAUGAUAAUUUGUUUUAUCAGAUGAUUGCUGGAGUUCUGCUCAAAUGCCUAGGGACGGAAGAGGCACAGAUCCUGAUGGGAGAAAUCCACGAAGGGGUGUGCGGAGCCCACCAAUCGGCCCAUAAAAUGAAGUGGAUGAUUAGGAAUAAUGGAUAUUAUUGGCUGAUGAUACUCGAAGACUGCUUCAAAUAUUAUAAAGGUUGUCAAGACUGUCAGAAGUUUCGCAACGUGCAACGUGCACCAGCAUCGACUAUGAAUCCGAUAAUCAAGCCAUGGCCGUUCAGGGGUUGGGGAAUAGACCUCAUCGGACAAAUUUAUCCUCCUUCAAGUAAGGGGCACAAGUUCAUAUUGGUAGCCACUGACUACUUUACCAAAUGGGUGGGGCAAUCCCACUAAAGGCCAUGACAUCGGCCGCUAUGGUCGAUUUUGUAAGAGACCACAUUGUUUAUCAUUUUGGGAUUCUCAAACCAUCACAACCGACCAAGGGACGAUGUUCACUUCGGAAGAGUUCGAGGAAUUCACUGCCGAUAUGGGGAUCAAGUUGCUAAAUUCUUCCCCAUAUUAUGCUCAAGCUAACGGCCAAGCUGAAUCGUCCAAUAAAGGGAUAAUUAAGUUAAUCAAAAGGAAGAUCGAAGAACAACCUAAGAAGUGGCACUUGUGUUUGACCGAGGCUUUAUGGGCUUACAGGAUGGCCUACCACGGGGCUACUAAGAUAUCCCCUUAUCAAUUGGUGUAUGGUUAUGAAGUAGUGUUGCCUUGGGAAUUAAGAACAGGGUCAAGACGUACAUCGCUUCAAGAUCAGUUGACGACCGAUGACUAUUUCUCGCUCAUGAAAGGAGAACUCGACGAUUUGGCAGGUCAAAGAUUGAGGGCUUUGAUCAGCAUCAAGGAGAAUAAAAAGAGAGUGGCCAGGUGGUACGACAAGAAGGUCAAAGUCAAGCAAUUCUCCCAAGGAGAUUUGGUAUGGAAGUUGGUGCUGCCAAUAGGGUCUAAAGAUCCCAAAUUCGGUAAAUGGUCGCCCACUUGGGAAGGGCUGUAUAAAAUCAGCAGAUGCGCUCCAGGAAACGCGUAUAUACUAGAGAUGAUCGAAGGAAAGAAUUCACAAGAGCCUUGAAUGGGAGGUACCUGAAAAGAUACUAUCCCAGUAUAUGGGUCGAUGCAUAAGUAGUUACGGAGUAUAUCAAGAUGAUGUAGCUAGCUCCUAGUAGAUCUUGUAGCUGGUGCAAGAACAACAUCGCCUCAAGAACAAUACAUUCGUUCAAGUUGUCCAAUUUAUUAUUCAGUGCGAACGAUAGGGUACAUGGCUAACACGGUACAAGUCACCCUUAGAACAAAAAGUACCAACACGCCUACUGACCAUGCUUUUUCUUAAUUUCCCUCUCUACCCGAUCUAGUUCUAUCAAGAGAUGGAUGCUUCUCUCCUCCACAUCCUUCAUCGCGGCUUCAGCCUGAACUUGACGGGGAAGAGGAUGGCUCCGGUCAAGCAGUGGUUGAGAUGUUCCCGCUGCAGCGUCUUCAAGGGCAACUGGGCGAGGGAGCGGAUGACUCCUUUCUAUUGGCGGCCGCCUAGAGCAGUUGGUGUCGAUGUGAUCCCAGAUCCGCUUGACUUCUGUAGGAACAUUAUCCCUGAGUUCUUCACGGUGAGCUCUAAUCAAAUCCUUGUCCUCCUACGACAAUGGUUCAUCGGAGUGCAUGAUCUCGAUUGCCCGUUCCAGUUCGGGACUAAGGCGUCUCGGCUAAAAAACAAAAGGCCGCUCGACGUCAGAGUAAUCAUAAUAUCGAACCAUGGAACGCAGGGCGAAGUAAGAUCUCGUACCUGGUUUACAGAGGAGGAGGAAUAGGAAGAGGAUGAAGAAGACAUCUUGGUGAUAGUCCGGUGGUAUGAACUACCAGAGGAGAAGAAGAUGAGCGAGGUGAGUACCCUUGGAAACAAUACGGGGUCUUGUACUUAUAGAAAGAAAAGGAGCGAGAGUUUGGUAAGACGCGUCCCAUCAGAGUAAAAGGGGUAAUAAAUGAAAGGCCACCACGAAGGACGGGUCAGGAUUGGAUUCGCACAUCAAACGGUCAAAGUGACAUUAAUGUCUUUAUAGAGCGGCCAGCACUUUUACGGUUCAUCCAAGGAGGGCAUUAAUGGCCGCAAUCGCUCAUUGCCUAACUUGAUCGGCCGAGUCUAAAACUCACUGGUCGUCAUCCGCCGAUCCUGGAACUUCUAGCAUAUGGCAAUGAAGUCUGAUUGCCUCGUGGACCAGGUGUUGUCUCUCUUGCUUCAGAUUGGCGAUGACAGUGGGAAGGUCUUGGAGUCUCUUCUCUUCAAUAGCUAUGUCUUUGGUCAUCUGCUCCAUCUCCUUGGCGAGCUCUGCCCUUCGGCGCUUGAGGUGAUCUAUAGCACCCACAAUACCUAGGCAGGAAUUUUCAAGGAAGUGGAUCUGGUGAUGUACCUCUUAGGCUUGGUGCUUGUAAGAGUCUUCCUCCUCACGAGCUUUAGCCAGAUUAGCAUGAUCGGCCAUGUGGUGCAAGGCCUUGAAUACGGGGAUCCGCAUUGAUUCAAUGUAUGCGGUGGGCACCAGAGCUUCUUCCGCCUCUUCUAGGACUCGGCCGCUGAUAUCACUGAAGAGCUGCCGAAUCGGCGAGGCGUCCUCCACCAAUCGGCCGAUGUCUUCUUGGAGGAGGGUCCGUAUACUCUCAAGUUUGGUGCCGACAUCAUCAUGGAUUGAGAUCAAGGUAACUUGACGUGAAGUGACCUCCUCAUCAUCAGAAAGCGCGAACGGAAAGGAGAAGAGACUGUUGUUAGGGGUAUCUUGUUCCUGCAAAAGAAUAUAAAAAAUGAAUUAGCCGACGGUAAUGGGAAAUUGGCCGAUUUGGGUGACAAGUCUCUUACCUCCUUGAAGCGGAUUUCUUCUGUUUGCAUCAACGGGAGCGCUGCCCUUGGUUCGGGAACUGGUGCGACUGGCUCAUCAGAGGAGGAGGAUUCGACGAUUAUUGGUGUCCUGCUUGGAUCGGCCUCCUGGAAAGGUACAAGGAGCAAGUUCUUAUGAGUAUGAUACAAAUGUUUAGAUCUGAUGACUCGGUGUGAUUGUCGUACCUCCAUGGUUUCCCUGGCCGAUGGCUGUUGAGAAGGCACAAUUGACGUACCAAGGGUGGCCUGCAUCAGAAUCGGUCAAGUUUUUGGUUAAGUAUUAAAAAAUUGAAUGAAGGGAUUCUUUACCUCAGUGGGAGGAGUUACUGGUGCUCCGAUUUCUGUUUGGGGCGUUGCCGAUUGCUGCAGAGGCACCGGGGCGUCUUGUGCGGCCUGAUAUAAAAGAGAAGUCAGUAUCGGGAGAAUGCUCAAGAGGAUGUGAACAUGAGGUUACCUGAAUGGCUUCCAGUAGCAGUGAUGCAGCGGUCGCUCCAGCUUCCGUACCAGCUUGGGGAUCAACUUCCUCGAUGAUCGAGAGAAUCGGCGCAGCCAAAGAUUCCGUUGAUGCCGCCGCAGACUAAUCGGCCGAUUCCGUGCGGGCGCGCACUUGGCGGCUUGUCUUAUUUACGGCUUUCUUCGACGUCUGUUUCAAUCGGCCAGUGGUGAUGUCAUCAAUGGUCGGGGCGUGAUGGCUGAUGAGUGGGAAUUCCGUGUACGGGUAGCGGUUUUCUAUCGGCCGGCCACUCUAGCUGCGUUUUGGAGGAAUUUGACUCCCGGACUAUAAAAGAAAGCAAGAAUUAGCAACAAGUUUGUAGCAUAAGAGGGAAAAUAACAUCAGAAUCGGCUCAAGGAAAAGCAGUACCUCUGCACUCGGGUCGAUGUUCUCAGGAUCUAGGUCAUUGCAAUAUGUCGCGGGAGAUGCACAAAAUAGAUGUUGCUUCCAUUCUGCCCACCAUAAUUUGAAUGGUUGGACAGCAAAAGGAGCUACUAUCCAGAUGUCCAGAUCGAUGGUGCUGGAAUCAGGCACUCGGUCGCACAGCCGGCUGUAGUCAAGGCCCUUGCUGAGCCCGUCUCGGAAUUGCAUGUGACCGGCGAAAUAGACUCGAAUCGGUAGCUAACCUAGGCCGAACUGCCAUGCCACAACUGAUGGGUUAUAAAAUUCAUAAGUAGGGGCAUCCUUCCCUGAGAAAAAGUUCGCCAGUAAGAUCCCCGGUUUAAUCAAGAUGUCCAUAAGGUCAUUCUCAAAGUUGUUGGUCAUCGAAUCAUAACAGAAAGGGAGCUCAAACAGUGGCUCUACCCUCUGAUAUGGGUACCAGCUGGUGGUUUCUUCACUGAAGCCGUUGUAAAAGCAUCGGAAAUAUUCGACUACUUUGGUGGCAGUGAGCUGGCAACCGGGGAAGACUGAUGCUGCCUCGCCGAAAGAAGUGCAUCGGCGCCGUACAGUGGGGUUUUCUUCCGAUUCAAUGUUGGGGAAGGUCAUGUGCUCCACCCGAUGCUAAGAGAUCUUGCUCAUAUACAAGUUGAGCCAAAGAUUGAUGAACCACCAGGGGCCACCUGGGUUUCCAAUUGGCUCUCCCAUGGAUAAAUUGACGCCGAUUUGAUGCAGCAUGUGAUAGGCCGAUCCCAGCAGAUGUUUCCCAAGGGGGACAGAGGCUCCUCUCGAUAAUGCUUUGGCCAAAGCCUGUGUGUUGGAAGAUGGACCGACUGCCCUGCCACAGAAAAGAUGUUUCUCCACCCGCCGAUUGCUUUUGUCUCCAGCCGAUAGGUCGGCUUGACCAGAUAAUGGAAGGGGGUGUCGGGAGAAGAAAUGUCAAGACCGGUCAACAUUACCACAUCGGCCAGAGUGGGGGUCAUGGGCCCAUGGCCGAAGAGGAAAGCAUUGAGGGCGUCGGACUAGAAGUAGGAGGCUGCCAUAACCAAGGGCUCAUUUCUCUCCACCUGAGACAGAGAAAGAUUGAUACACUGGCCGAUUUUUCGUUCGUCAGUCGGCUAUCCUUUGGUACCACUCUUUCCAACCCGGGGUUUCAUUCAGCCAAGAUCUAAAGGUGCCUGACCAUUGAUCCAAUUCCAUUGGGGAUUAUUUAAAUGGUAUUCUGUGAGUUUCUAAGUUUAUCAGAUCGAUUGGGUCUUGACUUCCCAUAGGGCCUAAGCAAAUGAGACCGGGAGCUUCGGAAAGGCGAAUGGUGAUUUGGUGCCUAACCGCCUAAAAAGGUACUAAGGGAAGAACUAAGAAUGUAUCUAAAAGCCAAUGCCUGGGCGGUAAAGGGUAAAAAGAAAAGUUCCGGGUAAAUACCUCCGGGAUGAAGGUCAUCGUCGCUGACGGGGCUGCUGGUAGAGCUGCCACCGCUGAAGCCGGUGGUGGGACCUCGGUCGCCGAUGGAGCUGCUGCCGCCGCCGUUGGAGCUGCCUCCGGAGUUUCUGUUGCUGGAGGGGUUGCCGAUGGUGUCGCCAUUGGGAAGAUGAGGCGAAAUGCAGAUGAACUAGGGGGUCGCCGGAGGGUUUGCUUGGAAGUCAAGAGGGCGCCGGAAGAAGAUGGAAACUAGUGCGCCAAAGAAAGGAAGUUAUUGGCUUGUGAAGAAGAAGUGCGGGACGUGCCAGUAUUUAAGGACGGUCCGAGAAGGGGUAAAGUCGGGAUUUUUACCGCGCCGUCUACACAAAUUUUGGGGGAGUGGUUGUCCUAGGCGCCCAUUUCGAAACGAUUGCAAUCAUCAGGUAGGAGACCGCGAAAUGGAACGAUAUUUUUAAUGCGUUUGUUUCGAAGGAGAAGUUGAAAUGGAAUUUCAAAGUAAAAGCUAUGUUUUACUCCGAAACUGGGGGGCAUGUGUUGACGCCAGAUUUUGACAUGUAUGGAAUCGGCGUCGAGAAAGGAGAAGAUUGGCUCAUGCGGUAGAUUGGAAGAUCACGAUUGGCGCUACAGUGUUUUGGCAGAAGGAGUUGAUGGAGAUCGGCCGAUUGAAAGGCUGGAGCGAUUGGGCCAAUAUGGGCUUAAAAUGGGUCAGAGAAAGAAGAUGGAGGAAGAUUGGCCCAUGGGAAUACAAUAACCAACUCCGAUACAAGUUCUACUUGUAAAUAUUUGUUUUCGUUUAAAUUAAGAGAUAGAUCCUAGUCGGUUAAAUAGCCAUCUUUAGGGAUUUGUAAAAAACACAUCAAUCAAUACAACAAUCUACUAUUUCUUCAUACUUUAAUUUCAAGUCGGCAACUUCGCCAAUACUUUUUCUUCUUUCACGAGUUCUUACGGGUUGGCGGGGCUGCAUAGACACGAUCUCUGGCCGAUUCUGUAAGUUUCACUUAUCGAGUAAUAUCUAAGCUUUAACUUCGGGUGCAUCGCUGUCGUUUCGUUUAGAUUUAUUCACCAGUUAUCGAUAUUUACUAGAAUUAUAGGUUUCAUCUGUUGUUCUAGUUUUAUCACCAGUUAUCCAGCUUGAGAUCUGAACUGUCGGCUUUAUUAUUCGUUAUUUGUUAUUUUCAUAUAGCCGAUUAGAUCUAUUUCAAGUGUUGCUUCUGUAGCGUUAUCUAGUUUACUCUAGUAGUUUUCUUUAUAAUCGCUACGUGGUUGUCGGCUGUAUCAUAGCCGAUUAUCUUUUUAUAGCAAAUUGGCCGAUUCGCUGAUAUGCUUUCUCGAGAUCGGAACCUUAGCCAAUCGAAACCUUUGACACGUUUUCUUCCUUGCCAAUCAACAGAUCAAAUUGGCUGGCACGCUGCGCGAACCGCACCAGGGUGAUCACCUGAACAGGUUCUAAGCAGAUUCGCCCGAGUCGUGUGUCCGACGCUGAGAGUCAAUCGGCUGACUUUUAGCAUCAACAAUAAGGAGGUCGUUAAUAUUUCCCCCCAACAGGGGGUAGUAGGGUGGCGGCUUUAGUCCCGAUUGUAAAGACCAACCAGGACUAAAGUCCCUUUUAGUCCCAGUUGUAACGGCUAUAAAAAUCGCACCGACGCCCCCCUUGUCCCGGUUGGAAAUUCCAACCCAGACAAAAGACCCCCCUUUUGUCCCAGUUGGUAAUUCCAACCGGAAUAAAAGGAGGGUCUUUUGUCCCGGUUGGAAAAAUCACCAACCGAGACAAAGGAGGGGAUAUUUUGUCCCAGUUGGAAUUUCCAACAGGGACAAAAUCUCCUCCCCUAUAAAUCCAACCAGCCUAAAACUCUUCUUCCUCCCCUAACUAGAGCCACUCCACCAGAGACCGAGAGCUUCAUCCUCCUCUCCAUGGCGAGCAAGCAACCUUAGGGGAGGUGCUACCCGAAUUUUUUCCCUCAUUUUCAUGGGGAUUUCACUCAUCCAAAGUGUUGUGAAGGUUAGCUACUUCAUCCUUCCUUCAUUUAUUGUUAUUAUGCUUUAUUUUAUGCUUUCUAGAGGGAGAAAAAUAAGUUUUCUAGAAUGAAGGAGAAUGGAGAGCAUUUUUAUUUAUACAUAUUUUUGAGCUAGAAUUUGAUGGAUAGCUUGUUAUAUAUGAUUCAUAUUAGUUAAAAGAACUUGAUCAAUAUAAGGUAUGUGAGGAAACAUAAAGUAAAUGUAUUUUUAAUAUUUAGUCAUUGCAAUAAAAUUAAGGUAAAUAAAUUUUAGGUGUAAGAAAUAGAAUUUGGUCAUUGCUACAAUUUUUCAUGUCACUGUAAUUUAACAAUAAUUGCAUUUAUUUGACCAAUAAUUUAUUUAUCUCAUAUUUAUUGCAAUAAUUAAAUAUUAUAAACACACUUACUCUAUUUUUUCCCCUACCUAAUAUUAAUCAAGUUGUUAGUGCAAUACGAAGCCCUAUGUUCAUUUUUCACGUAAUACGAUGCAGAUGGACUGGCAAUGGAUGUACCACCACCGUUUCUCCAAUCCCAGAGAAUAGUGUUUGCACAUGGCAUGGAUGUGCUUACACUAUUCUCUACACAUAACUCAAUCUUCUACGAAGUCUAUGGAGAGUUACCUCCGCUCCUCCAGUACCAAAAAAUAACUGUAGAACAGAAGAGCUUUGAAUCCACAAACUCGGGCUGAAUAUCAUAAAAUAAUCUUGAAAUAGUAUUCCAAACGCCUUUCAGAGCUUAAUUCUCAUAAUAGAAGUCCAAUAUCCUGUUCAGGAAGAGAUUUGUUCACUGACCUUGAUCCAUGGCUUUUAGUUGGUUUUGCCUUGCCAAAAUAAGCCAUGCUCAGUGAAUAUAUCUUUUGCCUGGACAGGCUAUUGUGUGCCACCAUACUUCUAUUAUGAGAAUAUAGCACUUGCUCCAAAAGAUGUUUGGACAAUGAUUUCAAGAUUCCUUUAUGAUAUUCAGCCCGAGUAUAUGGAUUCGAAGAUCUUCUAUUGUACCAUUAUUUUCUGGUACUGGAUAUGUGGAGGUGACUCUCGAUAGACUUCUUAGAAGAUUGAGUUAUGUGCACAGAUGUCUUGGAGGCCAAACAUUCUACUAUAUUGUACCAUUCUUUUAGGAUAAUUGACUACAUGAACUAAAGUACGGAGCGUCUGUAAUCUUUAAUGUAUAUGUAUCUUUAUUAUCUUGUUAUGAGUGUAAUCUUUAUAUAUAUCUUUAGUGAAUGUUAUGAAUAUUGAUUGGUGUAAUUUUCAUGUGAAUUGUUUUUAUCGUUGAUUGGCGUAAAUUAUGAAUAUUGAUCAAUUUCUUUAUCUAAUACGAAGACCAAUGUCCAUUUCUCAUGUAAUAAUUUAUUCAUCUAAUGUUGUUUGCAAGGACUAAAUAUUAUAAUCACAUUAGCUCUAUUUCCCCCCACAUAAUAUUGAGCAAGUUAUUUAUCUAAUACAAAGAUCUAUGUCCAUUUCUUACGUAAUACGAUGCAGAUGGACGGGCAAUGGAUGUAUAACAUGGAAAGAUGGACCAAGGAAUUUGUUGAUGGCUUGCAUUAUUUUUUCGAAGUGGCCAAAGCCAACAAGCCAGAGAACGGAUUCAUAUAUUGUCCAUGCUUCCACUGCAGUAACAAGAAGGACUACUCUUCCUGGGGACUGUUCACGACAACUUAUUUAGAUAUGGUUUCAUGCCUAACUACUUGGUUUGGACCAAGCACGAUAAAAAUGGGUUAUAAUGGAAGAUGAUGAAGAAGAGGAGGAUGAUAACAAUAUUCUAGAGUGGGCUGUAGGCCAAACUUUUACAGAUACUACAAUGGGUGAGGCUGAUGAAGAUGAGUUUGCAGAAGAUGACCCUACUGAUGAUCUUGGUCAGGUGCUACGGGAUGCACAGAGAGAUUGCAAAACUAAGAAGGAAUCAAAAAAGUUGUAGCGCAUGAUACAUGAUCACAAAAAAAUUGUUGUACCCAGAUUGCAAGCAAGGGCAUAAAAAAACUAGGUACCACACUAGAACUGCUACAAUGGAAGGUAAAAAAUGAUGUGUCCGAUAAGGCAUUUGAGGGAAUAUUGAAAAUUGUAAAGAAUAUUUUUCUUGAGAAUAAUGAAUUGUCGUCCACAACAUAUGAAGCUAAAUAGAUUGUUUUCCCUCUAGGAUUGGAGGUUCAAAAGAUACAUGCAUGCCCUAAUGAUUGUAUCCUCUAUUGUGGUGAUAACUAUGAGAAAUUGGAUGCUUGUCAUGUGUGCGAAUCGCUGCGGUAUAAGAUCAGGCGAAAUGAUCCUGAUGAUUUCGAGGGGCAGCCUCCCAAGAAGAGAGUUCCCGCGAAGGUGAUGUGGUAUUUCCCUAUAAUACCACAUUUGAAGCAUUGAUUCAGAAACAAGGCGAAUGCUAAGUUGAUGCGAUAGCACAAAGAAGAACGUAAGCAAGAUGAGAUGCUGAGGCACCCCGUGGAUGGGUCCCACUGGAGAUCAAUUAAUAGAGCAUUCCCGAGCUUCGAAAGUGAUGCAAGGAACAUAAGGUUUUUUUUAAGUACUAACGGAUUCAAUCCAUUUCGUGAGUUGAGUAGUGGUCAUAGUACUUGGCCUGUGACCCUAUGUAUGUUCAACCUUCAUCCUUGGCUGUGCAAGAAGUGGAAGUUCAUUAUGAUGCCGAUGCUUAUUAAAGGCCUAAAACAACCCAGCAACAAUAUUGACGUGUACCUAAGACCGUUGGUUGAUGAACUUUUACUGCUCUGGAAGGAAGAAAGUGUACGUGCGUGGGAUGAGGAUAAACAAGAGAGGUUUUACCUACGAGCAUUGUUGUUCGUAACCAUCAAUGAUUGUCCUGCGCUGAGUUAUCUUUUAGGAUAGACAAACAGCGGAUAUCGAGCCUGCACCCACAGUUUAGACGACACAGACAACAUGUAUUUGAAAUUCUAUAGGAAGGUUGUGUAUAUGGGCCAUCGUCGAUUUCUUCCUGCUAACCACCCGUUAAGAAAGAAAGGGAUGCAUUUCAAAGGGUUGCCAGACCAUCGUAAAAAACCUGCACACCGUAAUGGAAAGCGUGUAUUUGAGAUGAUAAAGGAUGUAAGGGAAGUCUUUGGACAGGGUCUUGGUAGCGAACCUGUUAUGAACGACGAUAACGGACGUGCACCCAUGUGGAAGAAAAAGUCUAUAUUUUGGAAGCUACCUUAGUGGGAAAUCCUAGAGGUUCGCAACGCAAUAGACGUAAUGCACCUAACAAAGAAUCUUUGAGUGAACAUGCUAGGCUUUAUGGGUUGUUAUGGGAACUCAAAAGUUACAUUGGAAACAUGAUAGGACCUAAAACAUAUGAAGCAACGAGAUGACCUACAUCCGGAAAAAAGAGAUAAUAGACAACACUACUUACAUCUUGUCAGCUACACUCUUAGCAAGGAAGAGAAGGAUAACAUGUUUGAAUGCAUGAAUAGUAUCAAGGUUCCAUUUGGGUAAUCCUCGAAUAUAAAGGGAAUAAUAAAUAUGAAAGAAAAGAAGUUCACAAAUCUCAAGGCCCAUGAUUGCCACAUGUUGAUGACCUAGUUGCUUCCGGAUGCACUGAGGGGUAUUCUACCAGAGAAUGUACGAUUGGCGCUCGUAAAGCUAUGUGCAUUUCUCAAUGCAAUUUCGCAGAAGACAAUCAAUCCAACCAAGCUAGUAAAGCUACAGAACGAUGUGGUACAAUGUCUUGUCAGCUUUGAGUUGUUAUUUCCACCAUCCUUCUUCAAUAUUAUGACGCACCUCCUGUUUCACCUAGUCAAAGAGAUUACUAUUCUCGAUCCAAUAUUCCUGCACAAUAUGUGGUCUUUCAAGAGGUUCAUGUGAGUCCUAAAAACUAUGUUCUUAAUCAUGCCCGUCCAGAAGGAAGCAUCCCCAAGGGAUAUGGAAUAAAAGAGGUUAUUGAGUUUUGUGUUGAUUUUAUUGACUCAAUUAAUUCGAUUGGGGUUCCAAUAUCAAGCCACGAGGGGAGACUGCGGGGAACAGGCACCCUUGAAAGGAAAUCAAGUUUGAGAAAUGAUACUAAUUUGUUCCAUAAAGCACACUUCACUAUUCUACAACAAUCAUCCUUUGUGGCUUCGUAUAUCGAGGAACACAAGCAGAUUCUAUUUUUCCAAUACCCGACGAAAUCCGAUGCCUGGAUUAUACAUCAUCACAUGGAUACUUUUCCCUCUUGGUUGUGUCAACUCCUUAUGAGUAACUCCACGAUUCAUGAACAAAUCAUUUGGUUAGCCAAGGGACCUUCUAGCACAAUCAUAAAAUUCCAAGGGUACAAGAUAAAUGGUUAUACAUUUUACACAAGAGCCUAAGACUAGAUAAGCACCAACUAGAAUAGUGGUGUCCGCAUAGAUGCCAUAGAUAACAAUAGGAGCAAGGACUCGUAUUAUGGUUUCAUAGAGGGGAUCUAGGAACUUGAAUACAGACCGCUGAACAUCCCUUUGUUUCGUUGCCAAUGGGUGAAGCUAACUAGAGGUGGUGUAACGAAAGAUCAGUAUGGAAUGACAAUAGUGGACAUGACCAAGACUAGAUAUAAUGAUGAACCAUUCAUCCUUGCCAGUGAUGGGCACUAGGUUUUCUAUGUGAAGGAUAUGUCUAGCAAGCUUAAGAAAAAUUCAGAAGAUAAAGAAAAACCAUGGGAGCCAAAGUGCCACAUAGUUCUUCUAGGUAAAAGAAAAAAUCAUGGGAGUCGAGGACAAAACAAAAUAGUUAGAUGAUUAUGAUUAGUUUGAUGGCAUGCCUCCAAUCGCUGUCAAAGUUGACCCAAGCAUCAUGCUAGCCAAAGAAGAGGCUCCGUACUAUAUUGUAAUGCUCUAUGGAGAACAUUUAUUCGAUCAUAUAAACAAUGUUAACUUAACCACAUACACAAUUGCAUUUUUUCCACAUUGAAAUUAUUUUGAAUAGUUUGUUGAUGAUAGUAAUGCAUUAACAUAAUUAUUUUAGAAACUUAAACAACUAAUAUAGAAUUAUUGAUAGAUUCAACCUUAUUUUAAAUAUACUUGCUAAUUUAAUAUAUUUUUGCAUGUUCAAAAUAUAUAAAGUUUUUAGUUUUUUCUUUAACAAAACCAGUGGAAAACAACUAAAACAUACAUAAAUUAUAAUUGGAAAACAAGCGGGGAAUGAAAAUUUCCACUAAAGGGCCUUUAGUCCCGGUUGGAAAGUCAAUCCGGGACUAAAGGGUGCAUUUUCAGCUCCCACGCGAAAAGCACCUGUUGGAUUUACAAACCCGGCAGUCCACUAGGGGGUUACCCAAGUGGUUGAUUUGUAGGUGGAGGUGAUUGCAAAACCAAGAACUUGAAGGUGAUCGUGAGAACACGAGGGACACGAGGGUUUUAGACAGGUUCGAGCCUCCCGAGCGUAAUACCCUAUGUCCUGUAUGCUUGGUGGCUUGUAUUGCUUGAGAAUCUCGAUGCCCCUGGCCGCCUUAUAUAGGCUGAUGACCUAGGUUUACAACUCAGUUUGAAUCUAAUCUAUUCAGUACUUACUUAGAAGGUGAUCUGAGUUAGACUACAAUACGUAUCACGCAAUAUCCGAGUUGGUUUGAACUGCCCGAUCUCCUUGGCGUGUACUCCAAGUAUCUUCAUAUCCAUAGCCCACACGCCCUGGUCAGGUGAGCCCAUUUGUCAAGUCCAACCAGUAUCCUGGUCGGUAGGGACCCAUGAGGUAUCCAUAUCCCUCAAGCCCUCGAGUGAUGUGUAGGUGAAUAGGAACUUGAGGACAUCGUAGCGAAGCUUGGAAUGUGGUUGGCGUCAUAAUGACGGAGAGGCUGCACAGUGCUCAAAAAGAAGAAAAUUUGAGCGAACGCAGAGCCAUACGUGUAGAGCGAAGUCGAGUGCCGAGUUGAUGGAUGGCGGGCAUCCAGUAAGUUGAAGCGAAGGACAUGGAGGGCGUCGCAAGAUGCACUCUAUAUGGAGUAGCCCCCGAGCAUUGAAGUGAUUAGUGUAAUCAGUCCAAUGGUUAAAAAGGAAGAAAAAAUUGAUCCCAGUACCCGAGCACAAGAAUAGGCAAAGCCACGGAGGCACACCAACCUGAAAUAGGCACCCAGCCCUUGAGCGUGAGCGCGAGGACUGGCAGAGCCACGGAGGCACGAUGACCUAAAAUAUGCACCCAGCCCCCUAGCAUGAGCGCAAGGACUAGCGAAGCCAUGGAGGCAGCUGACUUGAAAUAGGCGCCUAGCCCCUAAGCCUGGGAGCCGGACGAAUCGCGGAAGCACAUCGAGUCACGUCCCACCCCGAGCCAGAGAGGUUGGCCGGGAGAUAGGAGGCACGCCGAGUCAUUUGCGAAGCCCAACAUCAAAGCUUGGGAGCCGAAUGAGCUGCAGAAGAACGCUAAGUCACCUCCCGCCCCAAGCCAAAGAAGUCGGCUGGGCAACAGGAGGCACGCCGAUUAGUUUUUGAGCUGUAAAAGGACAGUACAAACAUUAUGUAGUGUAGUGUAGAUUAUUAAAUAAUUGAACUACUCAGAAGUUUAAUUCGCUUUAGAAGUAAAUUCUUGCACGUCCUGCUCUUGUAGGUCAUGUAAUUUCCCUAGGUAGUUAGCCUGUUACGUUUAAGCACCUAGACCUGCUGACCACUGCUCACGGAGAGGAUGGCUUAUCUCAGGCUAUAGCGCUAGGGCUGACCUGAUGCUUGCAUAUAGGAGACGUGCAAGAUGAGUUAAGGUUUCACGGAUUAAGGCGUGUGCUACCUGAGUACUUUAGCAACCGUUAAGAGAAGAUGUACAAGACAUGAAGGAGAUCGCAAAAUAGUAGAAACUGUACGAAAAAGCGAGUGUGUGCACUGGACACUCGUAGGUCGCAGUCCUGACUACCCGUGUAGUGGACGGACCAAGCUCUAUGAGCAAUCGGGGUGGUCGGCAGAAGUCACGGAGACAUAGGAGAGCCAAGACGGUCGGCGAAAGUCAUGGAGACAUGGAGGAGCCAAAAUGUAUGUAGGUAUAUGGAAGCCGCAAAAUAUUUAAUUGUAAAUAAGACUUAGCUUGAUUCAUGGCAGAGCUGAAAAGUCAGUGUCAUGCCCGAGUGGGCAACCAUCGGUGAAUAGUUGUUGAUGAAUCCGUUGACGGGUCCGGGUGGUCAAAGUUGUCAUAGGUGUGUCGGCGUCAAUCAUUGAUGCUGCUCUACUAUGGAAGGCGUCCAAGCUGAAGUCGUCGUAGACCCGCAGGCCGAGCCAUGCAAGGAGUAGUCCCAAUUUGCAUGUCAUUGGUAGUGCCAUGCAUCCCGAUCACUCUUGUAGUCUUGUUUAUCCCCGGCGAUAAACAAUCGCUUGGGCUUUUUGUUCCAUGCGGCAUUGUUUUUAGUUAGCCUGAUCCACGCAUUUGUCAGACUUGAUAGCUCAUCUGUAUCACCAUUAGCCAUCCCUCAAAUCUCCCAGUAGAUAACAAGAUGGCAAGAGCUGCUAGUGCUAGCCCUCACAAGCAUCCAGGCCAGCACGUAGUAGCAUAUUCUUCCCGGCCAGCCCGGACACGCAAUGCAAUGCAUCGCGUCGACCCUCCUCUCCUUGUACGAGGAACCACCUGUGACGCACGCCAUGGUAUGCAUGAUUACUCGCAUUCGUAUACGUCGUACCAAUCGCCGAAUGCGUCGCCAGUGCAUUCACCACCACCGCAACAUGCCCGGCGACAGCCAAUCUGAUCUGACUUGGCGACAGCGACGCAGUGGCGUUUGCUCGGUGCAAGGCCGACCUCCCUCAACCCCCGAGCUCAAGAACGAAACGGGACAUGCGCCACAAUUAGGUCGGAGGACGUGGGUGGGUAGGUUGUAGCCAGGAUGUUGGGAAUCAUCUCGGACAGGGAGAGAUCACCGACCUACUAGGCAAGCGGCGUGAUGAUCCUCGGUUGAAGACCUUGGUCUGUCGAAGUAGAUCCGACGGAUGCUGAGUUGGUAGUGGGCGUCGAGUUGGUGGAGGAGGCGAUGGAGUCAGAUUCCAUCAGCAUGCUCCCGAAGCGGAACUAGAUCGGGUUGGCGAGGAAGUCCUUCAUGCCCUCGGGAAGAUGACACCGGGGCAGGAUGCCAUCGAGCUCACUGGGGAGGAUCUCACAAUCACCCCAUAGAGCAUGUUGUCAGUGCGAACCCCAACCCUCUCCAAGCACUCAUUGAGGAGAGUGCAAAAGCCUAUGUAGCACACUCCGUCUCUAGAAAACGUACACCACUCCUUGGUCGUCAUCUGAAACAUGCAGUUAAGGGUUGUUAGAAAGUCGUAUAAGUCAGAGUAAACAAGGUAAUAACUAUAACAAUUCAAGGAGUUGUACACAGGUAGUUUAGGCUUCUUGAACUAAUGUCCAUUACUAGAGAUCAUCCUAUGGUCAAGUAUGGCUCUGAUACCAGCUGAAACGGACCCGAAUUCCUAUUUCUGAGAAUUCAAGCCUACGCACAUCGGCGAUAGUCCCAAGAAGGCUAUCACAUGCGAAUCCCUAUCUCAGAUAGUACAAAUCCAUACCAACACAGAAAUAGAAGGAGAAAUAGAGUACAAACAUCAUAGAUAACAUGAGUACGAGUACAUAUCAAUAGCACAUGUCGGUACAAGUCCCUCAGGACUGAAUCAGAAAAGGUAAAACAUCUACGCAGUGGAAACAAAAGCUAUGGUGAUCUCCAUCUUUGCAGGCGACUCGAGCGAAGAAUUGUCCCUAGUCCUCCCAACCGUCGUUGUCGAAGUUGUAGUGGGGCUACGAACCUAAAAAGCUAGCAUCUACCCGAGAAAUGGGUAGGCCAUGUCAACUCCCAAAAGUAGCAAAGCUAAGGAACAUGGGGGAAUUAUACUAUAUGCAUGAAUAAGAUCUAUAUAUGGCUGUAGAGGUUUAUGCAGCAACAACAACAACAAUCAAGGUAGUAGCUGCUGGCGCUAGAAAUCGGUCAACCGAAUCCCAACGUCCGACACACGACCCGGGAGAAUCUGCUUAACUCCUGUUCGGGUGAUUGCCCUGGUGCGGUUCGCGCAGCGUGCCAGCCAAUGUGACCUGUUGAUUGGCAAGGAAUAAUACGUGUCAGGUCCAGAAAUCAUGAUCGGCUAAGUUUCCGAUCUCGAAAGAGCUUAUCAGCGAAUCGGCCGAUUUGCUGUAAUAGAGAAAUCGGCUAUAAGGCAGCCGAUCACUGUAGCCUUGUAGAUAGGAAAUUACUAAAGUAAUCGAUACAAAGCUAUGAUAACAACACUAGGAACAGAUCUAAUCGGCAAUAGAUGAAUUUUAAUAGCAGAACGUAAUUAAAGCCGAAACUACCGAUUCCUAGCUGGAUAACUGGUGAUAAAACUAGAACAACAGGCAAGACCCUAUGAUUCUAGUAAAUAUCGAUAACUAGUGAAUAAAUCUAAACGAAACAACAGCGAUACGCCCGAAGUUAAAGCUUAGAUAUUACUCGAUAAGCGGAACUUACAGAAUCGGCUUGAGAUCAAGAUGAUGCAGCCCUGCCAACCCGCACGAACUCGUGAAAAAGAGGAAAGUGAUGGCGAAGUCGCCUGCUUGAAAGUAAGUACGAGGAAAAAGUAGCUUGUUGUAUUGAUUUUUUGAUGAUUACAGAUUCACAAAGGCAGCUAUUUAUAGCCCCAUACAGAUGACUUCUUAACCGACUAGAAUUCUAUCCCUAAUUCAAACAGAAAACAAAUAUUUACAAGCACGAUUCGUGCUAGGUUGGUUACUCUACGCUUUAUGGGCUGAUCUCCACCUCAUCCUUUUAUUCCUCUCCAAGCCCAUACAGGCCCAAUUAACCCAUCCUCCUAAUCGGCCGAUUCCUUAUCGGCAAAAGACAACCGAUUGGGACCCCGGCACGCUCGACCCGAAGUGAGACAGAAGUCAUCGGCCGAUCUCGCACUGUAGCACCAUUCGACCGAUUCCCAACUGUGCUUCUCCGAUUCCCUCUCUUCUUGGCACCGAUUUACUAGUGACGAAAUCUGGAGUCAACACAUGCCCCCCAGUUUCGGAGUAAAACAUAGUCUUUUACUUCGAAAUUCUUUAUAACCUCCUCUCCGAAACGGGCGCAGUAAAAAUAUCCUUCCGUUUCGCGGUCUUCUAGCUGAUGAUUGCAAUUUUUUCGAAACGGGCGCCCACGACAGCCACUACUCCCGAAAAACUCGAAACGCCGGCGCGGUGAAAAUUCUGUUUUUACCCUCCUUCAGGCAUCCUUUAAAUAGCGCUUCACCCCGCACUUCAUCUUCAAGCUCACGUCUCUUUUUCCAAGCGCGCGCGCCCUCUUCUCUCUUCAGCAUCCUUCCCUUGCCGCCGAAGCCUUCUAGCGCCAUCCUCCUGUUACUUUUCCCCUUCUCUUCCAAUGGCGGCUCCUUCUGGCAGCUCUCCAGCGUGCGACGUUCCAGAAGUAGCGCCUCCGGCGGUAGUGGCGACGGCCGUUGCUCCAUCCACAGAAGAAGGAGCUUCACCGGAGAUCCCAAUGGCGAUCCCCAUCACGGCCUCAUCGUCCGCACCUGCACCGGUGACCAUGCCGACCACACAGAACUUCAUCCCAGAGGUAAAUACCGAAUCUUUCUUCUAUCGGCAAUGUAUUUACUUUAGAUCUGUUUCUUACUUUUCCUACACCCCCCUUUCCUUUUUUAGGCAGUUAGGCAUCGUAUUACCAUCCAUCUCACGGGCAAUCCCGGCCUUAUUUGUCUCGGACCUAUGGGGAACCCAGAUCCAAUAGAGCUUAUCAAUUUGGAAACCCACAGGAUACCCUUCAAACUGUCCAAUAUGGACUUAGAUCAAUGGUUGGGUACUUUUAGGUCCUGGCCGAAUGAAACCCCAGGUUGGAGGGAGUGGUACCAACGGGUAGCCGCAUCAAAGAGUGUCUCAUGGGAGGAACUCAAAAUCGGCCAGUGCAUCAACCUGUCCUUGUCCCAGAUGGAGAAAAAUGAGCCGUUGGCAAUAGCGGCUUCUUAUUUUUGGUCUGACGCACUUAAUGCCUUCUUAUUUGGGCACGGACCUAUGACCCCAACACUGGCCGAUGUGGUCCUGUUGACCGGCCCUAACAUUUCUUCCCCGGACACAUCUUUCCACCUUUUAGCCGGAAUGUCACAUCGGCUGGACACAAGGGGAAUCGGCGGGUGGAAGGGAUUCAUCAGAAGCAAUAAAAGAACCGGGUCUGUUGAGAAUAGGGAGCAUACGGCCUUCUUGAUGAUGUGGUUAGAAAAACAUUUCUUUUGCGGAAGAGCCGCCGGCCCGUCAACCAACACCCAGGCCUUAGCUGAAGCAUUGUCCAGAGGAAACCAUGUCCCACUUGGGAAACAUCUGCUAGGGGCCGCGUACCACAUGCUCCAUCAAAUCGGCAUCAGACUAUCCAAGGGAGAGCCGAUCGGCAAUCCAGGCGGACCCUGGUGGUUCAUCAACUUGUGGCUGAACCUUUACAUGAGCGAGAUCACUCAGCAGAGGGUGGACCGUAUGAUGUUCCCCAACAUCGAAUCGGCAGAAGACCCUACCGAACGUCGCCGAUGCAUGUCCUUUGGUGAAGCGGCAUCAGCUUUGCCAGGUUGCACGUAUUCUGCUACAAAGGUAGCCGAGUACUUUUGAUGCUUCUAUAAUGGCUUUAAUGAAGAUGCAACCAUUUGGUUUCCUUAUCAGCGGGAUGACCCGGUCUUUGAACUCCCAACCUGCUUUGAUUCGACUACUGGCCGAUUUGAUGAGGAGUUCUAUGAUGAGUUAAUCAAGCCAGGACUCCUGCCAGCCAACUUCUUCUCGUGGAAGGACGCCCCUACGUAUGAGUUCUACAACCCUUCCGUUGCAGCUCGUCAGUUCGGCAUGGGUCAGCUGCCGAUUCAAGUGUAUUUUGCUGGCCGAAUCAAGUUUAGAGAUGAGCUCACAUCUGGUCUGGAUUAUAGUCAGUUACGAGACCGAAUUCCGGACUCCAGUACCAUUGACCUGAACAACUGGCUAGUAGCUCCCUUUGCUGUCCAGCCGUUCAAACUCUGGUGGGCCGAUUGGAAGCAAUUUCUCUUCUGCAAUUCGGCAUCGGCAUACUGCAACCUCCUGGACCCAGCCAACAUCGACCCGAACGCCGAGGUACUUUCCUUAGCCGAUUUUUAUUCCUCUUAACGUGACUGAGCACUAAUGAUUUUACUAUUUCUUCAGGCCGAGAAUCGAACUCCUCCAACACACAGCCGGAGCGGACGGCUAAUAGAGAGUCAUCCAUACACCACUUAUCCUCUUAUCGGCUAUGAUGCUCCGUCCGUGGACGUGAUUGCUGGCCGAUCGAAACAAGUCCAGAAGAGGAUCACCAAGAAGACCAGUCGCCGAGUCCGAGCUCGUAUAGAAUCGGCUGAUCCUCCUGUGCUCGUAUCGGCAGAGACUCCGGCCGCACCACCCUCUCAGGUCAUCCAAGAUACCGAUACCCAAGCCAUCGCGCAAUCGGCAGCAACCCAACCGGCCAUCGGCGCGCCCCCACUUCCAUCCGUUGAGGUACAACACUAUUUCACCGUUUUUCCCCUGGUACUUGCAUAAUGUACUUAUUCAAUUCUCUGGCACAGGUCAUCGGCACACCAAGCGCUCCUCAACCGCCGGUCUUUUCUCAGGGAGCUGGUCCAAGCACCGCACCGAUCGUUGUGGAGUCCUCCUCUUCUGACGAACCCAUGACACAAGCCCCUGAGCAAGGCGUGACGGCUUCCCAAAUGCAGCAUGAAGAAAUUCGCUUCAAAGUGGUAAGUUAUGUUCCGGCUUUACUCAGCCGAUUUGCUUUUACUCCUAGCCGAUUCAUUCUUCCUUUUUAUUAUCUCCAGGAACAAGACACCCCCGACAACAGCCUCUUUUCUUUUGCGGUAGCCCUCUCCGACGAUGAAGAAGUUGCUUCCCGCCAAGUUGCCUUGAGCUCCGUUCCUGAUGACGUCCGAGCCAAACUUGCUAGUAUCCGAUCCCUCCUUCAAGGGGACAUCGGCCGAUUAGUAGAAGAUGCUUCACCGAUUCGGCAGCUCUUCAGUGACGUCAGCGGAUGAGUACCAGAAGAGGUGGAGGAGGCCCUGGCGCCGGCAGCCUUCAUCGAGUCUAUGAGGAUCCCGGUCUUCAGAGCCCUUUGUCAUAUGGCCGAUCGCGCCAAGCUGGCCAAGACUCGUGAAGAGGAGGACGCAUUCAAGCGGCAAGCUCAAGAGGUGCAUCAGCGUAUCCAUUUUCUGGAGGACUCCCGCCCGGGGAUCAUCGGUGAGAUAGACCGCCUUAAGCGUCGGAGGGCGGAGCUCGCCAAGGAGAUGGAGCAAGUGACCAAGGCAGUCAGUGCCGAGGAGAAAAGGCUCCAAGAACUCCCGUCUGUCAUUGCCGAUUUGAAGCGGGAGAGGCAGCACCUGGCCCACGAGGCCCUGAAACUCCACCGCAGCGCAUCAGAAGUCCCCGGAUCAGCGGAUGACGACCAACGGGUCCUGGACUCUGCCGAUCAGAUCCGGCGCCGAGCAAUCACGGCUAUCGAUACCCUUCUGGGUAACCUGUAAAACACUGACUGUUUUGUAUGAACAUUUACUAUCUGCUUUGACCGUCCUUCGCGACGCCCUUUCUAUUUAUUGCCUUUCUUAUUUCUGAUGGGACGUAUCCUUACCAAAUUUCCAUGCCUCUUUUUCCUAUAAGAACCGGCCUAGGCACUUCCUCCCGAUAGUACCAGUUUGGCUUUCGGUUCUACUCUCUUACUCCUCUCGUCGGCGCGGCUCUUCGUCAUGUCUUCAUCGACUUCUUCCUCCUCUGUCAACUAGGUGAAAACUUGGCUUUGACUCCCCUUUCUCCUUUACGAUCUUAUGAAGAAAAUGCCUCCUUUUUAAUCUUUCUUUGUUUCAGCCUCAACGUCUUAGCCCUGAGCUCAUACGCGCCAUUGAGAUCAUACACUCUGAGGACCCAUUGUCGUCGGAGGAUAUGGAACUGAUCAGGGCUCAUCGUGAUGAACUUCGAGACCACGUCACCGCGGAGGCUCGUGUGGUCCUGGAGUUUGUGGAGAGUAAUGGUGGCCGGCGCUCUCCAACUGAUAGGAGCCAUCCGCUUCCUCCGCGAGUCGUCCUUGAAGACGCGGCGGCGGGAACUUCGCGCCCGCCCAUGGAUCGGAGCCAUCCUCUCCCUCGUCAAGUUGAAGCGGAGGCUUCAAUGAAAGAAAUAGAAGAAGCAUACCUCCGCAUCAUGAACGAGUUGGAUCGGACUGGGAAGGCGCACAAGAAGAAGAAUAAUUAGUUUUUUGUAUUUUUUGUUCUAAGGGCGACUAGUGUUUUGUCGGCCGUGUAACCCAUCGCCCGUACCGAAUGAAUACAUCGGCCGAUUUGGACGACUACAUGUUCGAACCGAUUUGUAUCGGCUAUGUGUGAUUGCAUUACAGUUAAUCCCUUAUGCUCCGACCCAUAUACUGGGAUAGUAUCUUUUUAAAUACCUUCCGUUCAAAGCUCUAGUAAAUUCUUCUCCCUCUAUUGUUUCCAAAAUGUAAGCAUUCCCUGGAGCACAUCUGCCGAUUUUAUACGGCCCUUCCCAUGUAGGGGACCAUUUUCCGAAUUUAGGAUCUUUCGACCCAAUCGGCAAUACUAACUUCCAUACUAAGUCCCCAGGGGAAAAUUGUUUGACUUUGACCUUUUUAUCUUACCACCUGGCUACUUUCUUUUUGUUUUCUUCAAUGCUUAUCAGAGCUCUCAAUCGUUGGCCAGCCAAAUCAUCAAGUUCCCUUUUCAUAAGUGACGAGUAGUCAUCAGCCGUUAACUGGUCCUGGAGCGAAAUACGCCUUGAUCCGGCCCUCGAUUCCCAUGGUAGUACUGCAUCGUGACCGUACACCAACUGAUAGGGAGAUAACUUGGUAGCCCCAUGACAAGCCAUCCUGUACGCCCAUAGGGCCUCAGUCAAACAUAGAUGCCAUUUCUUUGGCUGCUCCUCGAUUUUCCUUUUGAUCAACUUGAUUAUCCCUUUGUUGGAGGAUUCUGCCUGACCAUUGGCUUGGGCGUAAUACGGAGAAGAAUUUAACAAUUUGAUUCCCAUAUCGGUCGUAAAUUCCUCAAAUUCCCCCGAUGUGAACAUCGUUCCUUGAUCGGUUGUUAUAGUUUGAGGGAUGCCGAAUCGGUAGACGAUGUGAUCCCUUACGAAGUCGGCCAUGAUAGCCGAUGUCACGGCCCUUAAUGGAAUUGCCUCUACCCAUUUGGUAAAGUAAUCAGUAGCCACUAGAAUAAAUUUGUGCCCUUUGCUUGAUGGUGGGUAAAUUUGGCCGAUAAGGUCUAUUCCCCAUCCCCUGAACGGCCACGGCUUGAUAAUGGGAUUCAUAGCCGACGCGGGUGCACGCUGGACAUUCCCGAACUUUUGACAAUCCUGGCACCCCUUAUAAUAUUUGAAACAGUCUUCGAGGAUAGUUGGCCAGUAAUACCCAUUAUUCCUGAUCAUCCACUUCAUCUUGUGGGCCGACUGGUGUGCUCCACAUACCCCUUCAUGGAUUUCUCCCAUCAGAGUCUUAGCCUCCUCUGUUCCAAGGCAUUUGAGUAGAACACCGUCGAUCGUUCGGUAGAACAGGUUGCCUUCGAGCAGUACGUAUUUAGUAGCAUGAAAACGUACUCGUCGUUCCACCUUUUUAGACAGAUCUUUCAGGUAGUCGGCAAUUUCUUUUCGCCAGUCAUCGGCCACAAGUUCUAGAGCCAUAGCGCCUAGAAUUGGCCGAUAUCCAGAUGCGUGCUGGGCGAGCUUGUUGGCACCCUCGUUGUGAUCUCUUGGGAUGUGCUCGAUUACUGCCGAUCUAAAUUCUUUUAAGAGCUGCAAACAAUCUUCGUAAUAAAUUCUUAACACGUCGUCCUUGCAUUCAGAUCUUCCGGUCAGCUGAUCUACUAUAAGCAUGGAAUCCCCGUAGACUUCAACAGACUCGGCCUUGAUCUCUCUUAAUAGUUGUAAGCCCUUCAAUACAGCUUGGUAUUCUGCUUGAUUGUUAGUAGCGGUAGCUUCUAUCGGCAGAGAAAAAUCAUAGCUUGCCCCCCGAGGCGAUAUGAGAACGAUGCCGAUUCCUGAUCCGACCCCGCAUGAUGACCCAUCAAAAUAUAAAGUCCAAGGUGCCAGUUCUACGAGGGCAAUCUCUGGUCCGCAGUGUUGGGCGACGAAAUCGGCCAUGACCUGACCCUUGACGGCUUUUGCCGAUUCAUACCGUAGGUCAAACUCUGACAAUGCUAAGAUCCAUUUGCCGAUUCGUCCUUUCAAGAUCGGCAGUGAUAGCAUGUAUUUCACUACAUCCUCUUUGUAGAUGACCACGCAUUCUGCCGACAGUAAAUAGUGCCUGAGUUUAGUGCAUGAGAAGUAAAGACAUAGGCACAACCGCUCCACUGGAGGAUAUCUUGUUUCAGCGUCCAAAAGUCUUCUGCUGACAUAAUAAAUUACCCGUUCCUUGCCUUCGAACUCCUAGACCAGAGCCGACCCAAUAGCUUUUUCAUCGGCUGAUAAGUAUAGUUUGAACGGCUUACCAGUCUGAGGAGGAACCAAUACCGGUGGUGAGACCAAGUAUUGCUUGAUAUCUUCCAAUGCCUUGCGCUGCUCCUCCCCCCAUAUGAAUUCCUGGUCAGGCUUUAGCUUCAACAGUGGCGUGAACGCUUGAAUCCGUCCAGAUAGAUUAGAUAUGAAUCUUCUGAUGAAAUUCACCUUGCCGAUUAAAGACUGCAAUUCGGUUUUGUUUUGUGGAGCCACGACUUUGUUGAUGGCCGCUAUGGUCUUCCGAUUGAUUUCAAUCCCUCGUUCGUGCACCAUGAAUCCUAAGAACUGUCCGGCGGAUACGCCAAAAGCACAUUUAUUGGGGUUCAUCUUAAGCCCGUGCUUCUUGGUGCACUCUAGCACUUUUCGCAAAUCGGCCAGAUGCUCUUCAUGUCCUUUGGACUUGACUACGACGUCAUCGAUGUAGAUCUCCACCAGAAUGCCAAUGAGCUUGUGAAAUAUGUAAUUCAUGGCUCUCUGAUACGUAGCACCAGCGUUCUUCAAGCCAAAAGUCAUUACCACCCACUCGAACAAGCCAAGGUGGCCUGGACAUCUGAAGGCCGUUUUGGGUAUGUCCUCUUAGGCCAUGAGUAUUUGAUUGUACCCAGCGUUUCCGUCCAUGAAGCUAAUAAUCUUGUGCCCCGCGGCAGCGUCGAUCAGUACAUCGGCCGUCGGCAUGGGGUAACCGUCCAUCGGUGUGGCCUGAUUAAGAUUCCUGAAAUCAACGCAAACGCAUAGCUUUCCAUUCUUCUUGUACACUGGUACAAUGUUGGAGAUCCACUCGGCAUAACGGCAUUGCCGAAUAAAUUUUGCUUCGAUUAGCCGAGUUAUUUCAGCUUUUAUGUCUGGUAGAAUCUUGGGAUUGCAGCGCCGUGCGGGCUGUUCGUACGGCCGAUACCCUGGUUUUAUGGGUAGCCGAUGUUCAACAAUAGAUCGGUCUAAACCGGGCAUCUCAUGAUACUCCCAAGCAAAACAAUCCUUAAAUUCCUUCAACAAAUUUGUCAAUUUACACUUGUAUUCUGGGUCUAAAUUUGCACUAAUAUAAGUCGGCCUUGGUUUGGUACCAUCGCCUAAAUCUAUCAUUUUUAAUGAAUCGGCCGACGUGAAACCGUGCCCUAGCUUCCCAUCUUCCCAUGCGAACUGAUCCAUCUAUUCUGAGUCUUCGGAGCCGACUGCUCGGAUCGGCUGUAGGCCAAAAUCGGUGACCUUCAGGAAAUCGGUCUCCCAUACUCUGCCGGAUAUGCACCUGACGGUGUCGCAGCUCCAUUGCUGCGUGUCGGCUGUCGCAAUGCUGUAUGCGGAAUCGGCUUUGACUACCUCGAUGUUAUCGCCGACCCAUUGUACGAGACAUUGAUGCAUUGUUGACGAAAUACAGCAAUUUGCAUGUAUCCAAUCCCGGCCGAGUAGCAUGUUGUAGGAUCCCUUGCCAUUAAUAAUAAAGAAGGUGGUAGGAAGGGUCUUACUGCCGAUGGUGAGGUCGACGCAGAGAGCGCCGCGAGCGGUUGACACGUUGCCCUCAAAGUCCUUGAGCAUCAUGUCUGUCUUGGUCAAGUCGUCGUCACUUUUUCCAAGCUUCCAGAGCACGGCGUAUGGCAUGAUGUUGACUGCAGCUCCUCCAUACAAAUUAGUCUAGUGAGGGGGCGGCCGUCAACAUGCCCUUUAAGGAACAACGCCUUCAUGUGUUGUCGUUCGUCAUCAUCGGGCUUCUCGAACGUGGCCAUCAUUGGCUCCAAAGCCAACUGUGCUGUCUGUUCUUCCAUAGCCGAUACAUCCUGUUGAUCGGCGGGAGUCAUGAAUUCCAUCGGCAGUAUGAAAACCAUGCCGAUCUCGGCUGCCGAUUUGUCACCCGCCGAUUCGUCGUCCCUUUUAUCGUUUCUUUUGGGGUGCCACACCCGAGGCCUUCCUUCCUUCUUGUCUGUCGUGCUCUGUUGUUCCUCUUCUUGCUGUUCCCAUUGGCGGAGACGUUGGAUUCUUCGUUUUUGAGACUUGGUCAAUCCAUCAGGACACCACCUGGGGUUUAUUCGUCUGCCCCCUGACUUGGCGCGUUCCCACUCCGGUUCGCGUCCUAACAGGUUUUCGUCUGUCACCCGAGCAUCGGCCAUCUCUUCGAGCCGGCUUUGAACGUUGGCCUUGUUUUCUGACCGGUCAUGCCGAUCAGUCCUGCCCCCUGCCUAUCAUGGCGUCUAUCUUCCGACCGAUCAUAUCGGUCACUUCUGCCCCCCAGCCGAUCACGCACGGGAGGGCGCUGGUCAUCUUGGUUGUGCCAAUUCCUGCUGAUCGGUUCUGGCCUCCCGUCUCUGGAGCGAGACCUGUUGAACGGCCGAUCGCCACGAUAUGGACCGUUGCAUUCUGGGCAAUUAUCGGCCGAAGGUAGCCUGAGGUUGUUUUCCCAGCAGUGGAUGAAGAACGGGCACCUCCAGUGAUCUUCGUGCCGUCGCAUUGCUUCUUCCUGGGACCUUGAGCGUCCAUGCUGACGUUGGUACUUCUGGAGCAGGAACUAGGAAGUAAUGCGUGGCUCCUCUGAUUCACCAUCGUCAUCCUCCAUACGCCGCUUCCCCUUAACGUCUUCAGGUGUAGCUUGAUUUCUGGGGUCGACGGCGCCACUCUUUUUAGCCGAUUCGGACGUCAGCACUUUUGUUUGGAGUGAAUUCUUUCCCGUAUCAACCAUAUUGGUAGGGAAGGGGUGCUGGUCGAUCUUCAUUGGCUUGGCCGAUUUUGUCGGCACUUCAAAUUUAUGUCUGCCCUGCUCAAUGGCCGACUGUAUCUGCUGCCUGAAGAUUUUGCACUCAUUAGUAUCAUGGGAUGUGGCGUUGUGCCACUUGCAGUACUUCAUCUUUUUUAGUUGUUCGGCAGAAGGUAUUGUAUGAUAUGGCGAGAGUUUAAUCUGUCCUUCCUGGAGGAGAAGGUCGAAGAUUUUAUCGGCCUUAGUCGUGUCAAAACCGAACACCUCUGGCUCCUUUUUGCCGAAUGGGCAUGAUAUCGGCUUCUUCCCCUUGAUCCACUCCGCAAGUCCAACUUCAACAUCUUCCUCGUCCUCUAACUCUUCCAGGAACGCCACUUUCUUCUAGAAAUUCCUCCGUGGAUCGAAGGAACGUACCUCCUGUCCAGACAAUCGGUGGACAAUCUGGCUCAAACUCUCCAACUCCUGUGAGGCGUAUCUUUCUUUGAUGUGGGGCAGAAGGCCUUAAAAAGCUAUAUCGGCCAACUGCGCGUCAUUUAGGGCCAGGGAAUAGCACUUAUUCCUGAUUUCCCGAAACCUCUAUACAUACGAGGAUAUUGGCUCAUCACUUCUUUGCCUGAGGCUGGUCAGAUCGGACAGUUUCAUCUCAUGCACCCCGGCGUAGAAGUAUUUGUGGAACUGUCUUUCUAAAUUGGCCCAUGUGAUAAUCGAGUUUGGCGGCAAUGUCGUGAACCAUUGAAAGGCCGAACCAGACAAAGAUGAUGAGAACAACCGUACCCGUAAGGCAUCCUGCGUGGCUGCCUCUCCGCAUUGGAUGAUGAAUCUGUUCACGUGCUCUACGGUCGAAGUGUCAUCCAUCCCCGAAAACUUAGUGAAGUCAGGAACUUUAUACCGAUGGGGAAAUGGCAAUAGGUCAUAUGUAGACGGGUAUGGUGUUCUGUAGGUAUAAGUUUGUACCUUCGGCUUCAAGCCGAAUUGUUCUUGCAUCACCUCUGCAAUACGUGCCGACCAAUCUGGCUGUUGCUGGUGAACUGUUGGCUGAGGUAUUGGCACGUGCUGGUAAACCGGAGGCGGAAUAAACGGAGGCUGAUUGAAAGCAGGUGGUAUCUGAGUGAAAGCCGGCUGUGUAGUAAAAGUCGGCUGUCUGAAUGAGCCACUCGUUUCAUCAUACAGCAUGAGCUCUGCUGUCUUGUUGACCUCCGGAGCGACAGGCUGGUAUGGCGGUACGGUCGGCCUAGUGGCCAUCUGGAAAGAUGCCUGGAAUGGAGGGUUUCCUUGACUGGCCGAUUGAUUCUGCCCGGCCGUGGCUUAAGGUGCCCCCCAGGGUGACGGGCUAACUGGGGGGAAUGGUGCAGAGGACAGUUGGGUGGAGAUAUAUCCCAUAGGAGCUGAUGAUGAGGAAGCCCCUGAACCCCCGACAGAAAAUUGGAUCGGCUGUGAAACCGAAUUUGAAUAAUUCUGGUUUGGUGGAAUCGGUUGAAAAUAUGCCGGUCCCCUGUAUCCUUGAGGUAUCCCACCAGUGAAGGAGUUGACAACAGCGUUGUGCACCAUAUUUGAAAGUACCGGGGAUUGAUUGACGAAGGCAUGAUAAAUAGACUGUUGAAUCAUAUCGGACAUUUUGUCCGAGUCCUCAGAAAUCGUGAUCUGAUGGGGAGCAGGGAACGGAUUCUUCUUGAUAGUCUCCCCGCUUCUGGAGCGACUGAAAGAUUUUAGGCAAGCUUUCCGGAACUGCGUCGUAUACUUAUCCAAUUCUUCCUUCUGGUCGUCCUUCAGAUCUGCUUCCGUCACUUUGAUGACGUUAUCUUCGGAGACUUCAGCAGCUUUCGACAUGAUGGCGGUUGUAUUGGUCCCACUGGGCGUGCCAAAAGUGUGUUGGCACUAGAAAUCGGUCAACCGAAUCCCAACGUCCGACACACGACCCGGGAGAAUCUGCUUAACUCCUGUUCGGGUGAUUGCCCUGGUGCGGUUCGCGCGGCGUGCCAGCCAAUCUGACCUGUUGAUUGGCAAGGAAUAAUACGUGUCAGGUCCAAAAAUCACGAUCGGCUAAGUUUCCAAUCUCGAAAGAGCUUAUCAGCGAAUCGGCCGAUUUGCUGUAAUAGAGAAAUCGGCUAUAAGGCAGCCGAUCACUGUAGCCUUGUAGAUAGGAAAUUACUAAAGUAAUCGAUACAAAGCUAUGAUAACAACACUAGGAACAGAUCUAAUCGGCAAUAGAUGAAUUUUAAUAGCAGAACGUAAUUAAAGCCGAAACUACCGAUUCCUAGCUGGAUAACUGGUGAUAAAACUAGAACAACAGGCAAGACCCUAUGAUUCUAGUAAAUAUCGAUAACUAGUGAAUAAAUCUAAACGAAACAACAGCGAUACGCCCGAAGUUAAAGCUUAGAUAUUACUCGAUAAGCGGAACUUACAGAAUCGGCUGGAGAUCAAGAUGAUGCAGCCCUGCCAACCCGCACGAACUUGUGAAAAAGAGGAAAGUGAUGGCGAAGUCGCCUGCUUGAAAGUAAGUACGAGGAAAAAGUAGCUUGUUGUAUUGAUUUGUUGAUGAUUACAGAUUCACAAAGGCAGCUAUUUAUAGCCCCAUACAGAUGACUUCUUAACCGACUAGAAUUCUAUCCCUAAUUCAAACAGAAAACAAAUAUUUACAAGCACGAUUCGUGCUAGGUUGGUUACUCUAUGCUUUAUGGGCUGAUCUCCACCUCAUCCUUUUAUUCCUCUCCAAGCCCAUACAGGCCCAAUUAACCCAUCCUCCUAAUCGGCCGAUUCCUUAUCGGCAAAAGACAACCGAUUGGGACCCCGGCACGCUCGACCCGAAGUGAGAUAGAAGUCAUCGGCCGAUCUCGCACUGUAGCACCAUUCGACCAAUUCCCAACUGUGCUUCUCCGAUUCCCUCUCUUCUUGGCGCCGAUUUACUAGUGACGAAAUCUGGCGUCAACAGCAGCAAAGCAACAUCACCUCCAAGGUCAACACCUCAAACAAGGAAGUCGGUACAAAUCAUCAGAUCCUUCACCCAAGGGUCGAGCACCCAAACACACUAGGCGAUGUAAGAGCUCCAUUCCCUCACAUCUCAACGGCAAAUGCUGGCCUAUCUCAAAAAGGAGAAAAGUAGAAGCACGAGAAAAGUCUAGUCAGAAGUAGCGGUAGUCAAUAGCACUGUCCAUAACCAGUGGACACAGACUAUAGCUAUAGCUUUAUACACUCUGCAAAGAUUUUAUAACUGUACCCGCACGAAUGGAGCCUGAACGGUAGCGAUCCGUCCAAACCCCACCUAUUAGCCGGAGCCCUAGUAAGUGGAUAGCUCUCUCCUGUUUUAUCAAGUCUAGAACCAUCCUCAACUGCAAGGCACGCUGUCACCAGUGAGGACCUCGAAGCUGUGGAACGUACCCACGUCGGGGUGCAGUCUGGUUAGAGCAGGACAAUGCCUCGAACUCCUAAAAUGAUCCUCCAAUCUGCCUAUAUGCAGAGCACUAUCCACUACUAGUAUCGAACCGAACCCCGCCCAUAACGUAAGCGAGCGGUAAGUACGAAAAGUAGCUACUGUGAUUGGUGGUAAACUGACUCGGUCCUUAAGCUGCUGAGAGCAAGCACUCUACCAACAAGUACAUGCCAAAGCACCUGCAACGUACAAGUACGCCACCUGCUCCUUAGUAACAAACAAGGUACCUGCCACAGGUACGGGGUAUAGAGAGAGUCCAAAAAGCUCUCUCCUAGCUAGGCACUUCUCUGUACCAACCAUGGCUCACACCCACCAAGAACACAUCAAGGAGUCACACUCACCCAAAACACAUGCAAGAGUGUUCAAGGAAUCCCAUCACCAAAUCCAUGGAAAAUGCACAUCCAUAACUCAAAAGCACGUAUAUGGAUAAAUGAGCGGUGGACUAGCUAGGGGUCCGUAGCUAGUCCACAAAAGUAGGUCAACAAGGAAAAUAGGAUAAACAAUUAUCAAGGCAUGGCUAGAAACAUUGGCUAUGAAAUCCAUCAUCAUCAAGCAAUAUAAGUAAAAAGCUAGCAACUAAGCAUGCAUAGGAGCUAUAUGAUUGGAAGUGACAUGACACCUUGUCCGUAGUCGAACGGGUCCUCCUCAGUGUAGUCGGGGUCUUGAAGGUCUUCCUGGUUGUAGCUUGGGUCUGAACAGAAUGAGAUACGACGAAGCGUAAAUUAAACGACAAUACAUCUAGGCAAAAACUCUAAGAAAGCUAAAUUAGAAGAUCCAAAUAACACCAAACUAGCUACAAAUAGCACAGGUUCAAUUUUAUGAAUUUAAUGCAACUAGUUUAAUAUUUUUUGAGUUAAAAUGAAUUAGUUAUGAAUUUUUAAAGAUUAAAGGAUCAAUUCGAUUAUUUAAUAAUUUCAGAAAACAAUUAUUUAAAGGUGACACAUGUCAGCUCGGGAUUGGUUCAUGUGGCAUCCCUAGGGGGUGCCAUGUGUCCUGCUAACAUCACAUUGACAUCAGCGUUGACCGGUCAACAUGGGCCCCACGGGUGGGCCCAGCUUGGUGCGCCUGGCCUGGCCACGUCAGCCAUGUGGCACCUACGUGGCGGCCACAUGGGCUACGGCUGCGGCGUGGUGCGGCGCGCAGCGGCGGUCAGCGCACACGGGUGAGUGGCGGGGGCGCACAUGCGAGCGAGAGCGCGGGUGGGCGUGGCACGACGCUGAGCGCGUGCGGGUGUGAGCAUAGGCAAGCGCGAGCGGCAAGCAUGGGCGUGGCGCGCGGGCGAGCGCGGCGGCCACUGCCCGACCAAAGGCAGGACCUUUGGCCACGGCGAAGGCGCGGGCGGGCGUGAGCGUGCGCGCGGGCACAGGGCUUGUCUCGAUCGCGGUGGGGUGCGGGGUCCCGGUGCUCCAGGUCCGCGGCGACCAGCGGAAAUGUGGUGACGGCUACACUACCGAGGCAAAACGAGAGAGAGAGAGAGAGAGAAGGGAUUAGCGAUUCACGAUGAGGGCUCGGUGGAGACGGCGGUGGCGUGCACGACACGGCUCCAGCUUUUCUCCCCAUGAACAGCCUCCUCCUCCUCCCUUCUUAUUCCUCUUCUCCCCCUCUCCUUCUUCUCCUCCCUCCUUUCCUUCCCAUGGCCCUAUUCUCCCUUUCCUCCUUGGUGGCAGUGGAUGAGCGGAGCCCAGAUGGAUGGCGAGCGGGAGGCACUGGGGGUGCUAUUUGUAGCAGCGAGCGGCUAGAGUUAGGGCUCGAGUAGGUGGUGGAGGCUUCAAGGGUUGCUGGCGGCACCCAAGGGGUUUGGUGGCAUAGCGCCGGUGACAAGGGUAGCCGGGAUGCAUCGGCGGCUCGGGCAUGGCGGCGUGGUGGGCAUCAAAGGCUCCCAGCGCAAAAGCGAGGUGCGAGCGGGGGUCACGGGCACGUGGGCGAGUGCGAAACUGCACUCCAGCUCGACGUGGCGCGGCGUGUGUGGCGUGUGUGAGCGGGUGAGGUGGUACGGUGAGGUGGAGAAGAAGAAUAGUGCACGGCUGACGUGUGGGCCUAGGGCAUCGGCAAAGGAAGGAGGGAGCAGCACGGGCAUGAGCUGGGCCGACUGCGGCCUACUGGGCUUGGAGGCAGCGCGAGCGAGCAGGUGGGUGAGCGCGGUGCGGCGAGCUGGGCCAGCAAACGCGGGCACACGCGCGAUUAAGGGCGGCGCGAGCUGGCCCGAGCAGUUAGCAGGCCGACGAGCGGGCCAGGUUAGCGGGCUGAGUUAGUUUAGGUUAGAUUUAGGUUUUGUUUUUAUUUGGUUUAGAUUUUAGGUUUAAUUUAAUCAAGUAUGAACUCCCAAUAAAAUUCAAGAAGAUCCAAAUCAUGCCACACAUAUUUUUGAAAUGGAAUUUAGGGUAAGAGAGGAAAUAUCUAGCUUUUCAAAUGAGCACACAAUUCAAACAAGAAGUUUUAAAUUUUUGCAAAAAUUCACUCAUUCAAAUAUUGUAAGUUUUUGGAAUAUUACAGUCUCCCCCCUAAGAGAAUCUCGUCCUCAAGAUUUAAGGUUUGACCUCCUCCUCAAAUAGAUGUGGAAACUCCUUCUUCAAAUUUGCCUCUUUCUCCGAAGUUGCCUCCCUCUCGGUAUGGUUGCUCCAAAGCACUUUGCAGUAUGGGACGGACGUCCUCCUCAUAGCUUUUUCUGUGCGAGCCAAGAUCUUGACUGAGUAUUCUUCAUACUCCAAGGAGUCUUGCAAGUCUAGUGCCUCAGUGUGAACCUGCUCCUUGGGAACCCUUGGACACUUCCUCAGCUGUGAGACGUGAAACACCGAAUGCACUCCAGCCUUGCUCUCCGGUAAGGCAACCUUAUAGGCAAGGUCUCCAAUCCUCUUAAUCACCUGGUAGGGACCCACAAACCUCGGUGCAAUUUUCCCCUUAAUCAGAAGUCUCUUGGUUCCUCGGAGUGGUGAGACCUUGAGGUAGAUGUGAUCUCCAACUUCAAAAGAUAAGUCUCUCCUUCUCUUAUCUGCGUAACUCUUCUGGCAACUAUAAGGAAUCUUUAGGUUCUCUCGGACCUUGCUCAUGUUCUCUUUAGCCUCCUUGAUAGUUGCUGGCCCAAAGUGAGUCCUCUCUCCAAUCUCGGACCACAUUAGAGGUGUCAUACACUUCUUUCCGUAGAGAGCCUCAAAUGGUGACAUCUGAAGACUGACUUGGUAACCAUUGUUGUAGGAAAACUCUGCAAAAGACAAACUGCUCUCCCAAUCAUCUCCAUAGGUAAGCACACAAGCCCUUAGCAUGUCCUCCAGGAUUUGGUUUACUCUCUCAACCUGCCCAUCUAUCUGUGGGGGAAUGCUAUGUUGUACUCCAACGUAGUCCCCAUAGCCUUGUGAAAGCUCUUCCAGAACUUAGCAACAAAUUGUGGACCUCUGUCAGAAACGAUACUCUUAGGUGCUCCAUGUAGCCUCAAAAUGUUGUCCACAUACAGCUCUUCAAGAUCUCGGUUCUUAAGGUGUUCUUCACCGGUAUGAAGUGAGCUACCUUGGUGAGCCUGUCCAUAAUCACCCAAAUUGAGUCGUUUCCCUUCUAAGUCUUGGGCGAACCCAUAAUGAAGUCCAUGGAGAUGUCUUCCCACUUUCAAAUUGGUAUCUCGACUGGUUUAUGCAACCCUGCCGAUCUCUGGUGCUCAGCCUUUACUCGCUUGCAAGUGUCAUAACAGGCGACGUGGUUGGCUAUGUCGACUUUCAUAUCUUUCCACUAAAACCUCUCCUUCAAAUCUUGGUACAUCUUGGUGCAUCCUGGGUGAAUGGAGUACUUUGAGUCAUGAGCUUCCUUCAGAAUAGACUCGUGAAUAGCUUGAUCUUUGGGUACACAGAUCCUGUCCCUCAGCAGAUAGUGCCUUUGUCAUCCAUCCGGUAAUCAGUUGCCUUACCUCUUUUCAUCUGCUUCCGAAGAGGCUCAAUUUUUGAACAUUGCACUUGUGCCUACCUGAUCUGAUCUUCCAAGUUGUAUGUCACUUGUAGUUCACAAAGUUGUCCCUGCUCAACGAUCUCCAACUUGAGUUUCUCCAACUCCUCACACAGAUCAGGUUGCUCUUCCCUCACCAUCAGGUUGUUGCUAUAGGCUUUCCUACUUAGAGUGUUAGCCACAACGUUGGCCUUUCUGGGGUGGUAGUGGAUCUCCAACUCAUAAUCCUUGAUUAGCUCUAGCCAUCUCCUUUGUCUCAUGUUUAGCUCAGACUGAGUGAAGAAGUACUUUAAGCUCUUGUGGUCGGUUUAGAUCGCACACUUGUUGCUGAUUAAGUAAUGCCUCCAAAUCUUGAGAGCGUGCACAACAACUGCCAGUUCCAGAUCAUGUGUCAGGUAGUUCUCUUAAUGCUUCUUUAGCUGUCUAGACGCAUAGGCCACGACCUUUCCUUCCUACAUCAGCACACAGCCCAAACCCUGCUUGGAAGCAUCACAAUACACCACAAAGUCCUUGAUAUCUGGUAGAGUCAGCACUAGAGUGGUUGUAAGUUUCUACUUAAGCUCCUGGAAACUCUUCUCACAAGCUUCAAACCACUCAAACUUCAUGUUGUUCUUUAGCAGCUCGGUCAUGGGCUUGGCAAUCUUGGAAAAGUUCUCAAUAAACCUCUGGUAGUAUCCUGCCAAACCACAGAAGCUCCUGAUUCCUAUCACAUUGAGAGGCUACUCCCACUCUGUAACUGCUUCAAUCUUAGCUGGAUUAAUAUCUACUACCUUUGCUGACCACACGUGACCUAUGAAGGCAACUUCCUCCAUCCAGAACUAACACUUGCUGAACUUGACAUAAAGCUGGUGUUGCCAUAACCUCUCUAGCAUGACCCGAAUGUGCUCCUCGUGCUCUUCUACUAUCUCGGAGUAGAUUAGAAUAUCAUCAAUGAACAUUGCCACAAACUUGUCCAACACCUCCAUAAAGAUCUUGUUCAUCAUGUUCAUUAAGUAAGCAGGUGCGUUGGUCAAGCUGAAAGAAACCACUGUGAACUCGUACAACCCGUACCGAGGAGUGAACGCGGUCAUGGAUAUGUCACUCUCUCGAAUGUUCAUCUGGUGGUAUCCCGACCUCAAGUCAAUCUUGAAGAAGUACUUUGCUUUCCUGAGCUGGUCAAGCAGAUCGUCAAUUCGUGACAAAGGAUACUUGUUAUUAAUAGUCAUGGAGUUGAGCGUUCGAUAACCUAGAUAGAUCCUCAUGGACCCAUCCUUCUUCCUCACAAAUAGAACAGGCGAACCCCAUGAUGAAGCACUUGGUCAAAUGAACCAUUGCUCUAGCAACUUCUUCAACUGCUUCAUCUAACUCAUCGGCCGACAUCUGUUGGAUUUAUAAGCCCGGUAGUCCACCAUGGAGUUACCCAAGUGGUUGAUUUGUAGGUGAGGGCGAUUGCAAAACCAAGAACUCGAAGGUGAUCACAAGAACAAGAAGGGGACACAAGGGUUUUAGAUAGGUUUAGGCCUUCGGAGAGUAAUACCCUACGUCCUGUAUGCUGGAUUCUAUUGCUCGAGAGUUAUUUGAUGAUAGGGAUACCCUCGUGGGCUGCCCUUGGCUGCCUUAUACAGGCUGACGACCAAGAGUUACAAGUCAAUUUGAAUCUAAUCUACUCAGUAGUUACAUGGAAAGAAAUCUGAGUCGGAUUGUAAUACAUGUUCCAUGAUAUCCGGGUAGGUUUGGACAGUCUUGUUGCCUUCACAUGUACUCCAAGUAACUUCAUGUCCUUGGCCCGCACGCUCUGGUCAGGCAGGCCUACUUGGUAGGUUCGGCCAGUAUCCUGGUCGGUGGGGACCCAUAGAGUACCCAUAUCCCUCAAGCCCCCGAGCAAUGUGUAGGGGAACAGGAACUUGAUGUCAUCAUAGUGAAGCUUGGAAAGAGGUCGGCUAAAGCUGCUAUGCCGUCAUGGUGACGGAGAGGCUGCGCAGUGCUCAAAAAAGAAGAAGAUCCAAGCGAGCACAGAGCAAACGUGCAGAGUGAAGAUGAGUGCCGAGUUGAUGGAACAUAGCAUCCAGUAGGUCGAAGCAAUUGUCACGGAGGGCGUCGCAAGAUGCACUCCAUAGGAGUAGCCCCCAAGCAUUGAAGCGAUUAGAAUAAUCAGUCCAAUAGUCAAGGAAGAAAAAAGUUAUGUGUUGAAUUAGAUCCCAGUGCUCGAGUACAAGGAUAAGCAUAGCCACAGAGGCCUGCUAAAAAAAAGAUAUGCGCCAAAAUCUUCUGAAGAUAAGGACUCGUGCAAUGAUAGGUAAGCGACAAAAAUUCCUGCUCAUGGGAGGACUCCACUGUCGGAGCAACUUCACAGGAGUACUGCCCGUCACUAUUUGAAGAUGAAGCCGAGCAUCACAUGAACACUUUAGAGUUGUACCAGUAUGGAACCUCCUUGUCAUGCAACCUCACGAGUCUACUGUAGCACCUUGGAUGUUAGCUUGUGGCACAGCUAUAAAUAGACCAACGUUCAGCUUUGAGAGUCAUGGCUCGAGUAAUACCGCUUGUAGGCUUGAAGCUUGUAGUGUUUGAUAAUAGUAGCACCCGCCCAGAAGCAUGAUGCUAGAAGAAUUCUCAUGAGGGAGAUCAAGGUGCUCCUUCCCUUCGUAGUCUCUGCGAUAGAGUCGGGGGGUAACGAUGCUAGACGAAUCCUCGUGAGGAAGCUGUAUCGUGAACCCCGCCAACUUUGUCCAGAACACCGCUAGGGAAGUAUGUCGCACAACUUUCUUGUAUUGUGCCGUUUUCUUUUUCUACAUUCUAGCUUCUUAUCCUGGGAUGUCGGCUACCCUAGAGCUGUUCAUAGUUACUUGUAAUAUGUAAUGCCGAGAAUUUGAUAUUAGCUGAGUAAAAAUAUGCCCUUGCAUCUGUUUAUGGGGAUUUAUAAGGCCACAGAGGUGUGCUUUCCUGAAACUGGGCAACUAGUUCCUGAGAUUGAAGACUGGCUGUGCCACGGAGGCAAGUCGAGUAGAAUUAGGUGCCCAGCUCCUGAGGACGAGGACUGGCAGAGCCGCUGAGGCAUACCGAGUGGAAUUUAGGCGCCCAGCCUCCAAGAAUCAGGACUGGCAGAGCCCUUGAGGUGCGUCGAGUAGAAUUAGGCACCCAGCCCUCGAGUACGAGGACUGGUAGAGCCGCUGAGGAAUGCCAACCAGAAUUUGGCACCCAGCCCCCGAGGGCAAGGACUGGCAGAGCUACUAAGGCCCGCCGAGUAGAAUUAGGCGCACAGCCCCCAAGGAUGAGGACUGGCAGAGCUGCUGAGGCGCGCCGACCAGAAUUCAGCACCUAGCCCCGAGGAUGAGGACUGGCAGAGCCGUUGAGGCGCACUGACCAGAAUUUGGCAUCAGCCCCUGAGGGCGAGGACUGGCAGAGCCGCUGAGGCACGCUGAGUAGAAUUAGACACCUAGCCCCUGAGGACGAGGACCGGUAGAGUUGUCGAGGCGCACCAUUAAAAGUGAACAGAGAUCCUGCAGAUUCAGUCCCAUGCACAUGGCGCUAACAGAAAAUCCCAUAGAUUAUGCCCCACGUACACCACGAUAACAGAAGGCCCACGAUUUCCAUCCAUGAGUUACGCCGUCAUCCUCCUCAGAAGCACGAUGUCACACCCAAUUUUAAGGACAAAAUCAAGUGCAUUAAAUAUAUGUGCGCUAGGAUCAAGUUACACACAUGUACGACAUAAGCGAAAAUCAAAGAUAGUGCCAUAACAAAAUAAAGAGUGUUAACCAUUAGUACAUCACCGAAAGUCACAAAUAAACCACAAAGUCUAUUUAUUACACAGCGGAACUCCAAAGAUAGCAACGACUCCACAGGCAGCUGACUGAAGAACUGUACGCCUAGAACUCCUCAAAGUCGUGCAGGUACUCCUCCAGAUUAGCUUGGUCUAAACAGCGGUUUUGCAAGGGUGAGUACACUUAUGAUUGGUACUUAACAAGUCAUGGGGAACAGUGUAGUGUAAGGCAAAUCAAGGUAUGGCUAAGGUUUAAACAACAUCAGCUUUUAAUUUAGUUGGUCAAAUUUUAUUAGCAAUUAAUUAGAUGUAAGUUUAUACCACCCGAAAUUAAACAAGGACAUGAAUAAAGUAAUAACAUAACCAUAAAUGAAAUGAUAACAAUUUAAAUCCAUCUUUCAAUAGCAUUAUCAUGUGAGGGUGCAUGCCGCUCUUAACCGUGAACACGGCUGACCGAUCAGUUUUACACUCUGCAGAGGUUGUACAUCUUUACUCACAAGUCGCGUAAAAGUUCAAAAGAACUUUGGACCCAACCAUGAGGUGUUUGUAAGGCACAUACCAUACUUCUGAGGUGUGAUUGCAUAGAGACGCUACGAGGUCUUUACAAAGAUUCAUUAGUCAGUGGUAAUCCGCUAAGUUUCGGUGUCUGGCGUGCACAACCCUUCAUAGGCCGCUAAUGCAACGACUCAGUCCCCCCUCUUGCCUCAUCACAAGUAAGAUUACCCCAGACUAAUGUUUCUAAUUAUUCAGCCAAGACUAGAGCCAUUUAGUCUUGUGGUAGCACUGUUUUCCUAGGUGGUUCUCAAAGUUCCGAUUAAACAUUUAUGAUCUUGACUUAAUGAAAGGUAUAUCAUAAAUAAUACCAAAUUAAUGAUGUUUCAGAUUAAACCACCAUAACCAUGUUUGAGCACUAAGCACGAGCUACCCGACAUAAAUUUAACCUGGUUGGUCAAGGCAAUGUAGAUAAAGUCUAGGAAAUUCUUAAUUGGGACCCAUCAAGUUUAAAUUAUACUGUGCAUGGCAUUGUUGUAUAGAACAUGAAAGUAAAUGUGAAUAGAACUGAAAAGGAGUGAUCAAGGACACAACUUGCCUUCUUAACCUUGCUCUUGCUAUUCGUACUCCUCGAAAGCUUGCUCUUCGAAUCCUUCGAACUCUUGACCGUCUACACGCGUCACACGAGCACAUACAAGCAAACAAAUACAACAUAUAAGAAAACAGUACAUCAAUCAUAAUUAAACAGAGAAAACAAGUUUGAAAAGCUAUUCUACGCAUUAAAAUGAAUACACGUAUAUAAAGAAUGCCAAAAACGAAGCUAUAAUGCAAAAACUACGCUUAAAAUAAGAUGCAGGGGCAUAAUUGCGAGAAACCAAACUUCCAGGGACCUAAUUUAAAAUACUUUAAAACAGCGGGAGGGCAGCUGCGUAAAAACCGAAUACUGCAGGGCUAUAAUGUGAAGGCGCUGCUGCUGACUCGGCUGACUCAAUGCGAACCGUCGGAUGGAGAUCCGACGGCUGGUAGCUGCUGCGUUGACGUCAGCGACGGCGAGCGGUGGCGGAAAAAUGGCAGUUCGCCGGAAUCGCCCGGGAAUGCGCGACAAGGCGCAGAAUUGGGCGAGGAUUAGCCCAGGAGAGCAGGGGCUUGAGGCGGACUCAUUCCGGCAGUUGGUGAUGGCCGAAACGCGGCGAGGCGGUGCCCGGCGGCGCUCCGACGAGGUCUCGUGGGCGAAAGGAACGAGGUACCGCGCGGGAGCAGCUUGGCCGGGUCCUCACCAGGAUGCAAAGCUUCGAGCGGCGCUGUUGGACAUGGAGAGACGAUGGCGGCGCAGAUCAUCAAUGCACGAGCGGUGGCGCAAGUGCGAGCUUGGAGGAAGCGGGCUGUCUGUAGAUGAAAAAAAAACAAGGGUUUGGUGGGGCUCAGAGGCGAUGGUUUUGCAGCGUCUAAGGGCAUGUACAAUGGGUGACUGUGAGCUGUCUGCGAGCGGGCGUUUUUGCAAAAGUGUCCUCAUUUGAGCCAAGCAACGGGCGCGCCGUCGUCUCGCGGGCUCGUGCUCCAACACUCGGCGACGACCUACAGGCGCCGUUGUACGAUCCAUCGGCGCACCUCCGGAUCGAGUGCGAAAUCAGCCCGCGCUGCUCCAACCGAUUCCAACCACUUCCCUCCCUGCGUGCGGGACGCCGACGGGAGGCGAGGCCGGAUAGCUGGGCCGCCGCCGCGCCACGCCUCCUCCCUCCGCGCGGGAUGCCGAUGGGAGGCGAGGCUGGAUAGCUGGGCUGCCGCUGCGCCACGCCUGCUCCAUCUCCGCGGCGUCACCGGAGGCGAGCCCCCCCUCCCCUGAGAGAGCAGAUCGAAAUCCCCCGUCACGAGCUCCCCUUCAGCAUCCAGAUCCGUGACUCCCUUCUCUCCGUCUCCACAUCGACACGAGCUCACGCUGCUGCCGAAGAGUAGCGCCUUCGUGUACGCGUCGUCGCCGCGGCUCCACAUCAUCUGGGGCUGCUUCGAUUGGGGACUGACGAUGACGCGCUGCCGACGAGCAAACAGAGGGGAAGAGGUGAGCCGUGACUCUUCUUGCCGAGAUUCAUCAGCUGAGCUGUUGUUUCUUUUCUUCCCUUUUGUUCACUUCACUAGUUCACUUCAGUAGAUCAAUCAAAGCACUGUCUCUGAACAUGAGGUGCUCAUGGCUCCGUCGCGAAAGGAAGGGAUGAACAGUGAAGAAGCUAGUUAACUCAAUUAUACUUGUACCUAUUCAGAUUUUUUAGACGACUACAAUAUGACUGUUGCUAUCUUCUAUUGUAUGUUCAUACUAGAUUACACUCAAUAUGACUAGUCUACAGUUUGAUAGUGAAAUUUGAUCGGUGAGGUAUUGGUGUCAAAAUCAUUAGUACUUUUUAGGAUUGGACCAUCGAUUGACGGUGUGAGCAGAACUGCAGAAGACAUUUGAUUGGCACUCAAGAUUACCUUCAGUUUGCUUUAGUUCUCUAAAGAUUCGAUCGUCUGGAAACCUGUCAUUUGUUAUUGGCAGACAUGCAUGUCUCGUUGAGCCAUCUCAUUCUCUAAUGCUCGUUUGGAAGGAAAGUUUGAGAAUGAGUUAGAGUGUGGGCUGAAUUGAGAUUCUGAUAACACUGUAAAUAUUUUGUUGGUCUUUGCAGUCUGGGAGAGCUAGCUUGCAGCUUCCAGUGGAUAUGAUCGAUAAGAUCCUAUCUUCCUAGCAUGCCUUGCUUCUCCCUGCAAGUUUGGCGUAAUAUCAUAAAGGGGAGAAGCUUUCUUGAUUGCCUCAGGAAGCAUGCAUUGCAUUCAGCCAAUAAGCAACAAAAUAGUAUACAUAGAUCAUAUUUAUACCCUAUCAUCUUGAUUUGAAUGAAUUAAAUGACUUGCAGAUAAGUUAAAAGACAAAUCAUUAUAUAAAAUCACUGUCUAUAUGUGACUUGCCGACGGCAGCCGUCUAAAAUGUUGAAGGUGCUCUAAAUGCGGCCUUGGCGUGCGGCCCCAGAGGCCAAGGCGGAUACAGACGGUUCGUUUCGCGAGUGUGACUCGGACCUGAGUCCGACGCGGAGAAGUCUCGUCAACCAGCUCGCGGAGAAGGAGCGAGGCGUGCGAGCUGGGCGGAAGCAGGCGGAAAGAAGGAGCUGAUGGCAGGGCCCCAGCGGCCAGAGGAAAGGAAUAGCGGUGCGUGAGGGAAAAGGGUAGCUGGGCCGCUGCUUGUUGGGCCGGCACAGGGAUAAACGGAACUGGGCCAGAGGGAGUAGCAGGUGCUGCGCUGGGCUAAAAAAGAAAGGGGCUUUGGGCCGGCGCAGCAAGGAAACAAAACUGGGCCGGAAAGGAAAGGAAACGAGAGUCCAAAACAAAAAGGAAACUGCGCCCGCAGCUUGCUCCUGACUCAGAACUGAAAAUAGCAAAACAGGAACAACGCCCAGCAGACAGCAACUCUGAAACCUGACUGAACUUCCAGGAAACUGACAGAACUCCCAAAGACAGAACUGAAGCUCGACAGGAACAAGCAAACUGCAACCGAACUGAAGACAAGAAAACCACAUAAAAGAACUACAGAACUCUGAGCCGAAGAACUGAACCUGGAUAAUGGCUUGACUGAAAACAGAAACACCACCAGAACUGAACUAACUGACAGAAAAAAAAAGAAACAGCCACCUAAAGCAAACCACAAGCUCGAAACCAAGCAAACAAGAUGAACACUAUGCAGCGGCAUGAAUGCACAAACAAAAUCCUAUGUUUCAUUAUUAAAUUAGAAAAAUGCUUAAAUGCCUAGUAAAUGCAAAAAUGACCCCUUAUAUGCCUUAAACAUGCAAAUUGUUUCUAGCAAAUUUUAAUAAAAUGCAAAGUUGUAAAUUUUGGGUGUUAUACGCGAGGGGUUACGGAGCCGUUUUCAUCCUUAUCUUCAACAUUCUUAGGGCCUCCACCUUGAGCUCACUGAGCACUUUGCCGCCGCACUCGCUAACCCUAGGCGUGCCGCCGCAAUCCACAUUCCGCUCGCGCGCAUUGCUGCUGCUGCCCGAGUUGCCGUACCACCACCACCUGAGCCGCCGUGCCGUCGUAUGCACAUCAAGACCCUAGUCCUUUUUAGAUCUAAAUCUCAAGGCAUCGAGCUUGAAGAAAUGGCGUAAUCCAAUGCCCCGGAGCAAUCUUCAAUCUGGAUGAAGUUCGUGAUGACACAAGAGCACAUCCAAUCCCUCGUUGACCGAGGCCUCCUCGGACCACAAGCGCUGCUGGAGUGGAAGCCCAUUGCCAGCCAAGAGUUCCUAUUGGAGGACACGGUGGAGAUGUUGGUGUUCGCGCUGUUCUUCAAGCGCAGAUUCAGGUUCCCAACAGGAGACUUCUUCCACGGCCUCCUCCACUACUACAAGAUUGAACUGGUACACUUGAAUCCAAACUCAAUCUUGGAUAUAUUUGUCUUAAUCCAUCUAUGUGAAGCAUACUUGGGCAUCCCUCCACACUUUCAUCUGUGGCGCUACUUGUACCAAUUGAAUCCCGUGAUUACUAAGGGGAAAAAAGACCGGGUUAUUGGGGGUUGUGGAUUCUCGCUACGGCCCAAGAAGGUGUAGGAGUAUUUUGAUCUGCAGUUGAGGGAGUCCAACCAGGGGUGGCACAGCGAGUGGUUCCUCAUCGCAAAUUAGCAUCCUGAGCUACUGCCGCGCAAAGGGUAUGGGCUAGUGUCUACGCCCGAGUGGUCAAACUAGCCCACCUCGAAAGAGCAGGUCCAAGUAGAUGAGCUGCUAGCGAAGAUCGCAGACUUGAAGGCACGGGGACUGACAUCCACGGCCAUCAAUAUCAACUUCUGUCAAAGGGCGAUGCAACCGAUCAAGUACCAAGUGCAUCCGUCGUACGAGUACUCGGGGCUAGAUGAUUCGACCCGAGAGGUUCAUGGCAAGGUGCCCAACAAAGAGGUCAUCGACAGGGUGUGUGAGUUCUUCAAGGGUGUUGUUAGUAACAGGGACAUCCCCAAAGCCUUCUCAAUGAAAAGGCCGUCGCCCACCUUGGUAAGAUUGUCGUCAGCAUUUACUUCAUGCAUUAUAUAUACUUGUGAUGUUUCUAAAUGAGUAAAUGAAUUGAUUAGGAUGAUGUGUUUGUUUACUUUUGCCCGACGCCACUGCUUGGAGGGGUUGAGGUGAGGCCACCCAAGAUCUGUCCGACCGAUGUACCAGUUGCACCACCCGCCGAUCUUGAGUGGAACUCGGAGUCUUCUUUUGGGUCGAAAGUGGGGGUGACGAAAGAGGUUGGCUAGGACCAAGGCACUGAGCAGGUUGGGUGGUGGACACGGCAGGCCAUCUCCAAGGCACCGCAGCCAGUGGGAAGAGGAAGAAGAUGGCCGGCAACAAGAAGGAGAAAGCUGCACCGAGUAUUGCUGCCUCAACCAGGUCGGUCAGUGAGGCAGAGUCCGACACGCCAAGCCCGGUUGCAAAGAAGAAGUCGGAGCUCCAAGAGACCAUCGCAGCUAAUGCGACCCAUGUUAAGGAGGCGCUGAAGGUAAAGAUGCGCAGCGGAUCCAGCGAAGAUACAUCCGUGCCACCUUCGCAAUUGCACCCCAAGUUCUGGGUGAAGAAGAAGAGCACCCUAUAAGUGUCGCCAUCUUAAUACUAUCCAUGUUUAUGAUUGCAGUCUAACUUGCAUGAAUUGCUUGGUUGUAAUGAUGAUGCAGGACCGGUGUUGGGUCUAACGGUGCUAGCGCACAGUUGACCAGGUGCUCGGGCCAGACCGAGGCGACCAGCUGUGGCACCGUCGAGUAGCUGCUGGCCACAGAGGUCAGGAUUGUUGAGGAUGGUCGCACUGUAGAGGUUGCGCCGAAUCCAACACCACAAAGGGAUGAGGCUGUCUCCAAAGAUGAAAACGCCACCAUGGUCGACCCCGAGGUCGAGAAGAAGGCUGAGGUAGAUGCUAGAGUCAAGCCUUAGCAGGAUGAGCUACCCAGGGAUGAUCCGCCACCGGAAAGAUCCAGCAGUGGUGCCGACAUUGGCAUGUAAGGCACUCAUAGGGGUCGACCUCUCAGAAAAAUAGGAACUCGUGCUCACCAGUUUCCUCCGAGAGAACUCGGACAUAUUUGCGUGGAAGUCAUCCGAUAUGCCUAGUAUCCCUAGGGAGCUAGCUGAGCACUCCUUGGACUUGAGCAAGACUACACAGCCGGUCAAGUAGAAACUUCGUUGCUUCACCCAAGAUCGCAAGGAGGCCUUUAGGGUAGAAUUAAAUAAGCUCCUAGUUGUCGGAUUCAUUCGUGAAUAUAAGCAUUCUGACUAGUUAACCAACCUAGUUCUUCUAAGAAAGAAAACUGGUAAAUGGAGAAUGUGCAUUGAUUACAUUGACCUGAACAAGCACUGCCCUAAGGACCCCUUCCCUCUUCCGUGCAUGGACCAAGUCAUAGACUCUACGGCAGGGAGCAUCCUGCUCUGCUUCCUCAACUGCUACUCAGGCUAUCACCAGAUUGCUCUUGAUCCAGCCGACCAAGACAAGACGACAUUCAUAAUGCCCUUUGGCAUCUAGUGCUACAAUAUAAUGACCUUCCGGUUGAAAAAUGCCAGCGCCACCUACCAGAAGGCAAUCCAGGGUUGCCUCGCAACACAGCUGCAGGAAUGCUGAGGCUUACGUCGAUGAUGUGGUUGUCAAAAAAAAAGGAUGAGGAAAGUUUCAUAGCCGACCUCGAGGAGACCAUCAACAGCCUCCGGGCUUACCGCUGGAAACUCAACCCCAGCAAGUGCAUCUUCGGUGUCCCAUCUGGAAAGCUCCUGGAGUUCAUGGUCAGCCAGCGAGGCAUCGAGGCCAACCCUGUCAAGGUGGAUGCAAUCCGAAACAUAGCAAAACCAUCUAACAAGAAGGAGAUCAUGAAACUUACUAGCAUGAUGGCAGCCCUUAGCUGCUUCAUCAGCAAACUUGGAGAAAAAGGUCUACCCUUCUUCAAGAUCCUUAAAAAGGCAGACAAAUUUGUGUGGGAUGAUGAGGCCAGCAAGGCACACAAAGAGCUCAAAGCUUUCCUCAACACUCCUCCCAUCAUGAUGGCCCCGGCCCACCAAGAAAAGCUGUACCUCUACAUCUCCACAAUGACGCAUCUUGUCAGGACCGUGCUAGUUGUAGAGCGCUAGGAGCUCGACCAUGCUUACAUGGUGCAACGGCUAGUGUAUUCUGUCAGCGAAGUCCUUAGCGACACCAAGACACGCUACACCCAGGUUCAGAAACUGUUCUACACAGUGCUGAUGUCAUCAAGAAAGUUGCGCCAUUACUUCCAGGCACACAAGAUUUGCGUAGUAUCUUCGUUCCUUAUUGGUGAAAUCCUACAUAACAGGGACGUCAAUAGUCGAGUUGUUAAGUGGUCUGUGGAGCUCAGCGAAUUCGACCUUGAUUUUUGCCCAAGUCACGUGAUCAAGUCACAAAUCCUGGCUGACUUCGUGGCUGAGUGGACAAAGAUCCAGAAGCCACCCUCUCUGGAGAGGCCAGAACACUGAACCAUGUACUUUGACGGCGCCCUGAACCUCGAAGGAGCCGGCGUGGGGGUCCUCUUCAUAUCCCCUAAAGGCGAGCAGCUCAAGUAUGUGCUCUAGAUCUACUACAACACCACCAACAAUGGCGCCGAGUACGAAGCUCUGAUCCACAGCCUCCACAUCGCCGUGUCCCUCGAAAUCAAGCAUAUACUCGCUUAUGGCGACUUCAAGGUUGUCAUCGAGAAAGUCAACAAGUAUUGGGAUUGCACCAAGGAAUCCAUGGAUGCUUACUACAUGGAAAUCUGCAAGCUCGAGGACCACUUCAAUGGCCUUGAGUUCCAUCAUGUCCCCAAGGACCAUAACAUCGCUGACCGACAUCCUGUCCAAGCUCGGCUCCAAGCGUGCGCAGGUUCCGGUUGGCGUAUUUGUACAAGAUCUUUGGAAAAUCUUCCAUCAAAAUUCUAGAUCCGGACCAAGCCAACGACGCUGGCGCUCAGGGCCCGGCUGACCCAAAACCCACUGACGUCAUGAUGAUCAAGGCAGAAGAAGAUUGGUUGCCCCAUUCAUAGCCUUGAUCACUGACCAGAUGUGCCAGAGGAUAAGAUAGAGCAUGAAAAAUUAGCUCGGCGCAGUGCAAACUAUGUCUUCAUUGGCUAGGAGCUCUACACGAAAGCCGCAUCCAUGAGAAUCCUGAUAAAGUGUAUCCUAUGCAAUGAAGGCAUCGAACUCCUGAAUGAAAUCCAUUUGGGAACAUGUGGCAACCAUGCUGCCUUGGGCACUUUGGUCAGCAAAGCCUUCCGCUUUGGUUUCUACUAGCCAACGAUGCAAAGGGUGUCAAUUCUUCUCCAAGCAGCAGCACUUUUAAGCUUAGACCCUACACACCAUCCCACCAUCCUAGCCUUUCGCAUGCUGAGGGCUAGACAUGGUCGGACCAUUCAAAACUGCUUUGGGUGGCUACACACACAUCUUCAUGGUAGUGGAUAAAUUUACCAAGUGGAUUAAGGUCAAGGCUAUUACCAGCACUGAGUCGGCUAAAGCCGCCUAGUUUGUGGAGGAAAUUAUGCACCGCUUUGGAGUGCCAAAUAGGAUCAUAACCGACCUUAGCAUGCAAUUCACAAGCUCCAAGUUGUGGGAUUUUUGCCAAGACAACCUCAUCGACGUGUACUACUCCUCAGUAGCGCACCCACGCUGCAAUGGUUAGGUUGAACGUGCAAAUGGGAUGGUCCUCCAAUCCCUCAAAUCACGCAUUUUCGACGACACGUCCAAGUACGCCAUGAAGUGGCUACGUGAGCAAUGUUAUCUGGGGUCUACGAACGCAGAAAAGUUGGGCUACCAGCUACACCCCUUUCUUCAUGGUAUACGGCUUAGAGGCCGUCCUAUCAUCAUACGUGGCCUUUGUCACCCCACGCAUCCAGUACUACGAGAAAGGCGAUGCAGAAAAAAGUCAGCGGGUCGACAUCGACAGCCUUUAAGAGUAUCGUGUGGCAGCCCUCAUCCAACAUGCAUGCCAUAAGCAUCAGAUACAUUGCUACCAUGAUUGAAAUGUCAGGGAACGCUCCUUCAACGUUGGCGACUUGGUGCUUCACCGGGUCCAAUCCACCAAGAACAUGCACAAAUUGGCUACCCCCUGGGAGGGCCCCUUCAUCAUCAAAGAAGUCAUCCAGCCAGGCACCUACCGACUACAAUUGGCAGACGGCUUCGACACCCCUAAUCCAUGGAAUAUCGAGCAUCUACGAUGUUUCUACCCGUAUAAAUAUAAAGCUAUGUACCCUAUUUCCCUUCUAUAAUAAAUAAAUAAAACCUCAGUGGUUCUUUCUACGUACCUACUAUCUUAUUGUUCUCCUUCCCAAGCUAUCCCUGACGCUCGGGGGUUGUCCGACCUGUUCAACAGCCCGCUUGCUGACAAGCUCGGGGGCUUUCCCCAGGCGCUAACCUCUGGGUCACGAAUUUUUCUCCUCCCCCUCUCAAGGUGUUGGCGCUAGAAAUCGGUCAACCGAAUCCCAGCGUCCGACACACGACCCGGGAGAAUCUGCUUAACUCCUGUUCGGGUGAUUGCCCUGGUGCGAUUCGCGCGGCGUGCCAGCCAAUCUGACCUGUUGAUUGGCAAGGAAGAAUACGUGUCAGGUCCAAAAAUCACGAUCGGCUAAGUUUCCGAUCUCGAGAAAGCUUAUCAGCGAAUCGGCCGAUUUGCCGUAAUAAAGAAAUCGGCUAUAAGGCAGCCGAUCACUGUAGCUUUGUAGAUGGAAAACUACUAGAGUAAUCGACGCAAAGCUACGAUAACAACACUAGGAAUAGAUCUAAUCGGCAAUACAAAAUAGAUGAAUUUAAUAGCAGAACGUGAAGAAAGCCGAAACUACCGAUUCCUAGCUGGAUAACUGGUGAUAAAACUAGAAAGACAGGUAAAACCUAUGAUUCUAGCAAAUAUCGAUAACUAGUGAAUAAAUCUAAACGAAACAACAGCGAUACGCCCGAAGUUAAAGCUUAGAUAUUACUCGAUAAGCGGAACUUACAGAAUCGGCCGGAGAUCAAGCUGAUGCAGCCCUGCCAACCCGCACGAACUCGUGAAAGAGAGAAAAGUAUUGGCGAAGUCGCCUGCUUGAAAGUAAGUACGAGGAAAAAGUAGUUUGUUGUAUUGAUUUGUUGAUGAUUACAGAUUUACAAAGGUAGCUAUUUAUAGCCCCGUACAGAUGACUUCUUAACCGACUAGAAUUCUAUCCCUAAUUCAAACAGAAAACGAAUAUUUACAAGCACGAUUCGUGCUAGGUUGGUUACUCUGCGCUUCAUGGGCUGAUCUCCCCCUUAUCCUUUUAUUCCUUUCCAAGCCCAUACAGGCCCAAUUAAACCAACCUCCUAAUCGGCCGAUUCCUUAUCGGCAAAAGGCAACCGAUUGGGACCCCAGCACGUUCGAUCCGAAGCGAGACAGAAGUCGUCGGCCGAUCUCGCACUGUAGCACCAUUCGACCGAUUCCCAACUGUGCUUCUCCGAUUCCCUCUCUUCUUGGCACCGAUUUACUAGUGACGAAAUCUGGAGUCAACACAUGCCCCCCAGUUUCGGAGUAAAACAUAGUCUUUUACUUCGAAAUUCUUUAUAACCUCCUCUCCGAAACGGGCGCAGUAAAAAUAUCCUUCCGUUUCGCGGUCUUCUAGCUGAUGAUUGCAAUCUUUUCGAAACGGGCGCCCACGACAGCCACUACUCUCGAAAAACUCGAAACACCGGCGCGGUGAAAAUUCCGUUUUUACCCUCCUUCAGGCAUCCUUUAAAUAGCGCUUCACCCCGCACUUCAUCUUCAAGCUCACGUCUCUUUUUCCAAGCGCGCGCGCCCUCUUCUCUCUUCAGCAUCCUUCCCUUGCCGCCGAAGCCUUCUAGCGCCAUCCUCCUGUUACUUUUCCCCUUCUCUUCCAAUGGCGGCUCCUUCUGGCAGCUCUCCAGCGCGCGACAUUCCAGAAGUAGCGCCUCCGGCAGUAGUGGCGACGGCCGUUGCUCCAUCCACAGAAGAAGGAGCUUCACCGGAGAUCCCGAUGGCGAUCCCCAUCACGGCCUCAUCGUCCGCACCUGCACCGGCGACCACGCCGACCACACAGAACUUCAUCCCAGAGGUAAAUACCGAAUCUUUCUUCUAUCGGCAAUGUAUUUACUUUAGAUCUGUUUCUUACUUUUCCUACACCCCCCUUUCCUUUUUUAGGCAGUUAGGCAUCGUAUUACCAUCCAUCUCACGGGCAAUCCCGGCCUUAUUUGUCUCGGACCUAUGGGGAACCCAGAUCCAAUAGAGCUUAUCAAUUUGGAAACCCACAGGAUACCCUUCACACCGGCCGAUCUCGCACUGUAGCACCAUUCGACCGAUUCCCAACUGUGCUUCUCCGAUUCCCUCUCUUCUUGGCGUCGAUUUUACUAGUGACGAAAUCUGGCGUCAACACAAGGAUAUACGACUAACUCAUGUGGUCGGUGUCCUAGCUCGUGAAACCUAGACAACAUCGUAUUCACCCCUCCUACAAGCUCGAGAUUCGGUCUCAGCAGGACGCUGGCCAGGCAAGGUUAGGUGCUUAGCGGCUACAUGACAGCUACAUGCUGUCAUGUCGUAUACACCAAGGGAGGGAUGGAGUUUCUCUUCAUUACAUAUAAUUAAGAACAUUGCAUUCAACGUUUCAUCAAACAGCUUGAUACAUCUUAAAUGUUUUUCCUACAGGUCCAAGUCAUUUACAAUGGUCUCAGCCACAUCAUGGUACUGCUCAACCACCUCAGGAAUCAAGUCUUCUUCGAAGUCGGCCGCGACUCCUAUCACAACACGUUCCAAGGGAAGUUUCAGGAAUUAUGAUGCCAACAAAGCAAAGGUGUUCUUGAUGCAUUCCAAUGCAGUAUCCUUCAGUAGCGCCUUGAGCCGACCUGGUGCAUCCUUGAGACGGUCCAGUAGCAGCAUUGGUGCAGAUGGGUCGGCGUCUGCUUGGACCAUGUCCAUCACAUAGCUGGCUGCCUUCCACAGCUGCUCCAUCUCUAACUCCAACCCUGCAAUUACACGCUGGUCAUUUUGGAGAUUACUUACAGCAGCCUCUAAGCAGCACUCGGUUUCCUUGCGUGCAUUGGCUUCGUGGGCCAACUUCUAUGAUACUGCAUACUCACGCUUGACUGCCAUGUCAUGCUCCUGCUCAAGACGUGUGUUGGAUUGUUCGCACUCCUUGAGGUGCUAUUUCAGCCUCUCCUCCCUCAGCAUGGCAUCUAUUUGUCCGACCAAGUCUACAUGAGCAUCAAGAUAUCCAAGAGAAAUAUGAUUUAACAAGUCGGCACAGCAUACCUCUCAAGUGCGAAGUGAAAACUUCCUUCUCAAAAGCAAAGUCAAUCCUGUCCUUCAACAAGUGAUUGGCCUACUUCACGACAUCCUCCUUGGCCUUCUUAAGGUCGACCUCGAGUCACUCCACCUUAAGGCAGUAGUGGUCAGCUUGGUGGGCCGUAUCCGCCCACUUCUGCGCUUGUUCGGCCAGACCUUGCACAUAUCUUCACAUUUAGAAUUCGGCAACUAAAAGGGAUUUCUGCAACAGGUCUUCUAGGUUGGUCAGCAAACUUACACUCAAAAACUCGAUGAUCCUCGAGGACGACUGCUGCAGCUCGGCAAGAGCCUUGUGGUCCACCUCAACGCCUUCACCAACGCCUUGUGGCCCGGAGGGUCUUCUAGGCCGAGGCAAAUCUUCUUGAGUCGGGGGUCGGGCUGCAGCGUGUUGGCUCCUUACUAAUCUUUUGGGCCUUGGUUACCAUGGCGGUGGCCUUAGCUGAUAACUCCAGUGCUUCUGCGAGCUGAACUGCCUCAGUGUCGCAUCUGUAUGACGUCUCCACAUCACCGUAGAUGGAGAGGACUCCGUUUGGGGCCGGCAUCUUGAGGAAAAGGUAGGUGUGGUGCAGGAUUGCCAUAAAUCUUGCUAGCAUGGGCCGACCAAGGAUGGCAUGGUAGGAAGUCUUGAAAUUUGCCACCUCAAAUGUGAGAUGCUCCGUGCGGUAGUUGGCCUGUGUGCCAAAAGUAACCGGCAAAACAACUCGACUAAUGGGGUAAGAUCCUUUGAUAAGGACCAUGUCAUAGAAGGGUUCUUCACAAGGCUGGAGCCGCUCAAAGUCGAAGUCCAUGCACUUCAAAGUCUUAGUGAAGAUGAUGUUUAGGCCACUGCCACCAUCAAUUAGCACCUUGGGGACUAGGGCCCAAUCUAUAGUCAGGAAAACCACUAGUGGGUAGGACCCGGGAUGUGCGAUGUGGACCUAGUGAUCUUGCCUGGAGAAAGUUAUGGACUGUUCUGACCAGCGCAGAUACUAGACUGGCUAUACAGAGACAAAGUGCACCUCUCACUGGCGUAACUUCUGCUAGCGCUUGCAGCAAAAGGUGUUACGGCCACCCAUGAUGAUCUUGACUUGGUGCUCUGGUCGCUGGAAGUCUUUGUUCUAGUCGACACCGAGCUGUGGGGCGUCUUGAUGUGGCUGGUCGCCGUGCUCCUCUCUGUUCUAGUUGUCACGGUCGUCGUGUCUGCUGUUAUUGUGGUCUUCAUGGUUGCCGCGGUUGUCGCGAUGGUGGCCGUUGCGGUCGUCGUGGUGACGGUCAUCAUGGUCGUUGUGGCGACGGUCGUCGUCACGGCUACGGUAGUCGUGUUUGUUGUGAUCCCGAUGGUAGUGGUUGCGGCGGGGUCGCUUGUAUUCCACCGGGGUGCCGAGCUCUUUCUUUAGGACUGUGCAAUACCGAAAAGUAUGACGUGCGUCCUUAUGGAAGGGGCUUGGAGCACUGAGGGUUCUGUCAAAUUCUUCCCGGAUGAAAGUGGUCGGCCUAGCCGGAUCUCCUUCAGCAACAUGGACCUCUGGGGCCCUUUUUCGAAGUCGGGACUCCGAGCGUGCAUGUGGUUUGUCAUGGAUUGGCUGAUCGUAGUUGUCGACAGUGCAAUGCUUGAUGUUCUGGAACUAAACUUUUGCCGCCUCCUCUAUGUCUACUUGUCUAUUAACAACUUCCAUCAUCUGCCCGACCAUCUUGGGAGCAGCCUCGUACAACUUGCAGAACAUGGGGUGGUUCAUCAAGCCAGAGCGAAAAUACCAGAUGAUAUCACGAAAUUUGAUGCGAGCUAGUGUGUUGCGGUUCUCGAAGAAGCAGUUGGCAUAUUCUCGAAUAGUUUCACAUAUCCUUUGACAAGCUUGGCCCAGUUUCUCCCUAUUACCAGGUCGGCUAUACGUGGCCUUGCAAUUCUAGGUGAAAGCUCUAGCAAGCUGACCCCAACUAUCGAUGCUAUUCGGAGGGGGAUUCUCCAGCCACAGGAGUGGAGCAGGACCCAUCACCAUCGGGAAGUAGGCGACCAUUUGGUUGUAGGUGCCAUUCGCAGCUCUCACUGUGAUACCGUAUGUCUUGAGCUAGAUGGCAGUGUCGGAGCAACCAUCAUACUUUUCAUUAAUGGUCGGCUUGAAUGUGGCUGGCCAAUCAACAGCCCUAAGGUGUGGGGUGAAAGCAGCGAAGCCAUCGAUCAUCAUGUCAUCAUCGUAAUCAUCAUCGAUGUAGUGUUGGAUGGGUGGGGCCCUGUGGCGUCCGCUAUAAUUGUGCCUGGGCAGGUAGUAGGCAUCUUCGGGAGCGCCGUACAUGUGGUCGUAGUCGCACCUUGUCCGGUUGUAGGAGUCUUCAAGGGCGUAGUAUACACGAUCGCAGUUGGUGUGGCAGCGCAUCUCAUCUUCCUGGCGACAACGGUCCUCACGCUCCUCAUUGCGGUUUAGCCCAGGAGCGCCAUAGUCACGGUUGUGCUCGGCACGGCGAUGGAGCUUGGCCCCUUCACGCUCAUGGUGGUAGUUGUUGAGGUUGGCAUGGAUGUCACGAUGCUGGUGGAGGUCGCGCAGCUCAUCACGGAGAUCACAUUGCCAUUCUGGUCGACCUCGGUUGUCAUCAUUGCCUCACCUGCCAUGGAGGCGGUUGUCGUUGUUGUCGUACUGGCAUGCGUUGUUGACGUUGUUGUGGACAGGUGGAUUGACAUGAUUGUUGGCCGGUGGGUUGGCAUUGUUGUUGACAGGUGGGUUGGUGGGUAGGAUGCUGUUCUGCUCCACCUCCUCUUCACGGAUUGGCUCCAUCUGACACCGAAAAUGCAUUUGGUAGGGUUAAGUUUCCAGCGGAAAGCUCGCAGGCUUGAGAAGAUUUCCUCCAAAUCAAUGAUUAGGUCUUCCUUAUUUCUUGUUUUGAUGACUACAUCGUCCACGUAAGCUUCUAUAUUGUGAUGCAAUUGUUUUCAAAGCACAUCUGUAUGGCGCGUUGGUAAGUUGCGCCUGCGUUUUUUAACCCAAAUGACAUUGUUUUGUAGCAAAAAGCCCCAAAUGGAGUGAUGAAGGCUGUUUUGGUUUGAUCUUCUUCUUUGAGACUUAUCUGGUGGUAGCCUGAGUAACAGUCAAGAAAGCAUAGCAAGUCGCAUCCGGCAGUAGAGUCGACUACUUGGUCGAUCCUGGGUAGUCCGAAAGGGUCCUUUGGACAACGUUUGUUGAGAUCCAUGUAAUCGACACACAUUCUCCAUUCAUUGUUUUCUUGCGAACUAGUACAGGGUUGGCUAGCCAAUCAGGGUGAAAGACUUCUUUGAUGAACCCUGCUGCGAGUAGUUUGGCUAACUCUUUUUUUAUUGCUUCUCGUCUGUCUUGGGUGAACCUUCGGAGGCGUUGUUGUUUUGGGGUAGCCUUGGGAUCAACAUUUAGAGAAUGCUCAAUCAGUUCGUUGGGCACACCAGGCAUGUCAGCUGGUUUUCAGGUGAAGAUGUCGUGGUUAGCCCGAAGAAAACUGAUGAGCGCGGUUUUCUAUUUGGGAUCCGUCCUAUCCCAAUCAGUGCUGCCUUAGAAGGAUCGCCGGUCUUGAGAUCGACUGCUUUGAAGUCUGUCUCAUUUGUUGCCUUCACUUUUGCUAUCCCUGAAUUGUUUUCUAGGAUUUCAAGUUCUGUUGGAUGAAGCUUCUUUGAGGCUGAAAAAACUUAUUGCAUGGGACUGGGCCCUUGUGAAGUUGCUGCAAUUUCCACGGCUUCGGUGUCGCAUUCAUAAGAUCUCCUUAGGUCUCCUCGUAGUGUUAAUUCUCCCUUGGGUCCUAGCAUUUUGAGUACCAGGUAGACGUAGUGUGGAAUAGCCAUGAAUUUAGCCAGAGCUAGUCUCCCGAGUAUGGUGUGGUAAGAGGUUUCGAAGUCGGCGACUUCGAGUCUGAUGUACUCGGUUCGGUAAUGCUCCUUAGUGCUGAAAGUAACUGGUAGGAUGACUUGUCCUAGUGGUAUAGCUGCGUUGCCUGGUAUGAUUCCGUAAAAGGGAGAAUCUAUUGGAGUGAGCAUUUCCGUGACGUCGAGACACAUUUUUCUUAAUGUCUUGGCAAAAAUGACGUUGAGUCCACUUCUGCCAUCGAUGAGUACUUUUGUUAGUUUUGAGCCUGCCACGACAGGAUCGAGUACUAGGGGAAAUCGGCCUGGCUCUAAAAAGUUUGUCCAUUGGUCCUUUCUGCUGAAGGUUAUGGGUACCUCGAACCAUUUUAGCGGUGUUGGAUCUGUCGGUUCGAUGGCCAUGAUUUUCCUGAGUACCAACUUGCUGGACCGCUUCGAAGCGAUACCCGGGAUUCCGCAAAAGAUGAUGUUGACUAUUUUGGAGGCGGUCUGGAAGUCUCCUGCUCCUUCUUCAUUCUUAUGGACUUUGUUUUUUCCUUUAUCUUUUUUCUGGAUGUACUCCUCGGGAGGUGGUGGUGCGGGUAAUUCUUGCAUUGCUCGGCGCAUGCUGUAGCAGUCUAUGGCAGAAUGUUUGCUGUUUGGGUGCCAUGGGCACUAUUUUUUGAGCAAUUCGGUGAAGCUAGGUCCUUCAUCAUGUUUGCAGGAUCCUUUCUUCCCUGAGUUGGUCAUGGAAGUAAUGGUGUUGUCAGGUUUCCAUUUGCGAUUUUGGUUACUCAAAAAGUUGUUCCGAGUAUCGCUUUGUUGUUUCCUGUCCUGUUCGUGGCUGCUAUUGUCGCACCCACGGCUGCGAUGGGAGCCGAAUUGUUCUUGCUCUUUAUCUUCUUCGUCUGUCCAUUGUUGCCUGGUCGUAGUCUACCAAAGUCCUGAUACAUUCGACGAUCAUAGAGGCCAUUUUGGAAACACUCGAUGACGUCUGUUUCUGAAAUGUCGACUAUUGUGGCCUUCUUUUCAAAGAAUCGCUGUAGGUAGUCGCGUAGUGUUUCGCCUUCUUUUUGUUUUACUCGGCUUGGAUCGAUCUUGUUGCCUGGUCUAUUCAUGGAGCCUGCGUAGUUGUUGGUGAAUGCUUUUGUCAGAUCCUCCCAAGAGUCAAUUGUUUUGGGCUUGAGUGGCUCAAGCCAUGUUAGGGGUACGGGUUCCAUGCAUAUGGGAAAAUGGAUGACUUUGGUGUCAUUGUUGCCUCCGGCUGCUUGGACUGCCAACAAGUAGCAUCAGAGCCAUUGAAUUGGGUCUUGCUUGCCAUCAUACUUGGUGAUUCUUGUUGGCUUCAAUUUUUCGCGUAGUCUUGUCCUCAUUACCUGAGCUGUGAAGGUGGGGAAGUGGUUGUAGUUGUCGACUUCUCAUUCUCGGCGACUAUUGAUUAUUUCGCGUAGAUUGCUGAAAUUUGACACUUUGUAAUUGUUCCUAAUGUGGCGAGGGCUUUUUGCUGAAUUGGUCUAGCUAGCCUCUCUGAGGUCUUUAUGUCAUGCUGGAACUUCAUGUUUACUCUGUCCUUGGCUAAGCUGCCUUGGUUGGUUGAUUACCUCAUUGUUUCUUUGUGUUUUGUGAAGGCCAUUGUCGAUUGCAGUGCCCCUGCUGCCCACUUGAUGAGCCGUGUUGUGAGGGAUAGAUGGGAUUGGUGAUUCUUUAUCGAGUAAUUUGUAUGCUUGCUAUGCGAGUUGCACAAUUAGCCCAUUGCCUCGCUGCACGAGUUGGGCCGUUACUUUAGUGUCUCUAUUUCGAGGUAUCAGAGUUGAUAUGAGAUUGAUUGAGGCAAUCGCUGCAAGUGGAGUGGUGUGUUCUUGAGCUUGUACUGCAUCAAAUGCUCUUUCAAGGUUUGUGAUGGGAAUGUUUGUAGCUAGUAAUUGUCGGCACUCUGCCCGAUUAAUGUUUCGUAUCCUUCUUUGGUUUCUUUGAUCGGGAGUUUCGUCUUGUGGAGCGUUAGCCGAAGACUCAUCUUCUGAAAUGUUGUCGAGCUGCGCUAUCCGUCGAGGUGUUCUCUGCUGGCUAGUACCCACAUUGUUAUUUUGAGUGAUGACAAAGACUUCUCUGUCCGGGUAGUAGCUUCCAGAGCUUGAUGUUGUGAUUUCUGUGGAGCUCUCCUCGCGGCUUGAUGUAAGCGAGGUGCCUUCUUGGUAUGGAAGGUUGUCUAUGUGAGCGACAAGGCGUGACUCGUAGUCGCGGGUAAGGAAAGAUGGCUUCAUUCCUGGCCAGUGAAUGAAUCUGCCUUGUGGUAUUGAGGUUAUUACCAAACCUUGGGUUGGCCCUGAUAACGGGGUUUCUUGGAUAUAGUCCGAGUCAAAGUCAUGGUCCUCGUCUUCCCCGAGUUCGAGUUGAGUUCGGGUGAAGAGAUCUUGGUAGACUUCGGCUGUAUUACGAAGUCCAUAUGGGAAUCACUUUUGAGUUGAAGUCGACUUGUGAAGUGACUCGGGCUCCAGCUUGUGUCGACUAGUCCGAUCCGAGGCUGAGUCCGGAGUGUAGUCGAACUCGGGGUUGUUGACUUUGAGAAUUUGGCUUUUCUUGAUGAACUCCCUUGUUUUCGGCUGAGGAAAACUUUUGUCGUGGGGUUUCUUCUCCUGGAUGCUGACGAUCUAAUGCUGAAACGAUCCAGUGCCAUCGGCGAUGCAGAGCCAGGAUCCAAAAAUGAAGGUUGCGCCUGCCUCGAAGGUGAAGACAGGCUUGAUAACGAUCGAUGCCAUUGAACUCGCGCAGGGAAACUCGGCGACUACCCCUACCUGGCGUGCUAGCUGUCGGUGUUUUAGACCAGUAACCCACCUAGAGGGUACCCUAGGAGGUCUUUUGUGCAGUAGGUGUUGGAGGUAUGCCCUAGAGGCAAUCAUAGAGAUGAUGAUAUUCCAUUUGUAUCCAUGAUUUAUAUUGUGUUCCUUGAAUAUCCAUUAAAGGCUACUUGAAUUGAUUUGCAAUUAUCUGAAUUGUAUGUGAAACUCUUUACUUGUAUGGUUAUUCUAAAGUUGUCCCUAGUCGGAGUUCAUGUGAGGAUACACAUGAAUAUUAGACUAGCACAUAUAUUAGUUGAUGACUAUGUUUCAUGAGUCAUGGAUAUGGAGAUGUUGAACUAAUAAUGUGGGCACAUGUGGAGACAUGUGCUAGGACUGACCCAACACGAGAAGUAGUUCUCUCUUUACACAACAUAUACACUUUGUCCUUAGACUUGAGAUUGUCGCAUGUACUCAAGAUGUGGAUCGACUUACUUAGGGGCUAUCCAACGCUACGCCGUAAUAGGGUAGUUAUAAAGGUACCUUUCAGGUUUGUCAAGAAGCAUGCUAUGAGACAUGGUCAAUCAAGAUGGGAUUUGCCCCUCUCUGAUUGAGAGUGAUAUCUCUCGGCCCCUCGAGUGAUCGGAUCCGAAAAUGCAUGGCCAUGCUACGUACGGUUAAGAGUUAACCUACAAAGGGAUUCCGAAUCAUAGGAUCGAGAAAGAGCAGUCGGCUUGAAGCUAGACCAAAUAUCGUGAGGCAAAGGGAAUAACACAUAUAUAAUGUUGUGAUGGUUCGUCUGAUAUGAUCUUCGUGUGCGUAUAGGAGUUGGCACGUCUUGCUAGAGGCCGCUACCGACUAUUGGGCCAAGUAGGAGUACUCGAGCCAUGUCUAUAUGUAUCCGAACCCAUAGGGUCACGCACUUAAGGGGCUGGAAGCCCAAUUCAGAUGUGAUCCGAGUUGGAUUAGGUUUAGAAGUACUAAUGGGCCUCGAACCCAGAGGCCCGUUAGGAACCUCUAUAAAUAGAGGGGUAGGGGCGCCCUAGGGUUUACACCUUUUUGGCGAAACACAUCUGUUGCACCUCCCAUGCCCUCGCUUGCGAUGCUUCCGACCUAGCAGUCCGGCUUGCGAUGCUUCCUCCCUGCACGUGUGGAUACCUUGGAGGUGUUGCGCCUAUAGCACUUGGACGAGCCGCCGACGAGCCACGAUGAGCCGCCGACGAGCCACGAUGAGCCGACGACGAGCCGAUGAGCUGCACGUGGACGAGCUGCUGAGGAGCUGCUGGACGUUGAUGUGAUCGACUACAUACGACUACAUUGAUCAACUUCGCUGCAUCAACGCGAAUCUACAUCUUCCGCAUCAGUGCGUCGAGUGGUAAUCCCGUGAUCCUUAUACGGCAAUUUUUCUAGUUUACGCGGUAGAAAUUUUUGAUUUGCGCUAGUGUAACCUACCUCAUAUCCCAAUAGUGGUAUCAGAGCUGUAGUUGUUUAAGUUUUAGAUUCAGGAUAUGUGCAUAUGGAGAUAUGUGAGUUUUCAGUUUGAUCUAUGUCCUGGUUUCGUGUUCUUGCUGCAAUGGUUGUGUAACGACGUACUCCUACCGGUCGGGUUUCCACCAUCGGAGUUAAGUGAUACAUGUAAUGCUAGUUGUAGCGAGCGAAGAUCAAUGUGAAUGGUCAAAUCGAGAUCCAGGUUCAUACCCCAAGCACAUGAGAUGUGCAAUAGUAAAUUGAAUCUACUACCAGGUCGGGAUUUUGCCGUAUGCGAGUGCUUCGGUAAAUCAGCCGUAACUUUUUGGUAUGAUCUCGGAUCGGGGCGAAUUUUAUAUGAAAAUUGAUCUACAGAAAAAGUUACACAUGAACAUCAACCACUUCGCCAUUUUCGACAAAAUUAGAGUUCCCAAAUUCAGCUUGGAAGAUGGAGUUUCGGGCCUCCGAAGUUUGGAAUGUUAGAACGCCUAACUCAUUCGUGAUCAGUAUGUAUGUAUCUUGUGAUCAGUAUGGCCCUUUGUGUAUGUGAUGCAUGUGUGUAACUCAUUCGUGACCUGCAUGUCGCGUGUACGGCAACACGGCUGGAGCCAUAUGUGUUGUCACUUUAAUGUAUUUAAUGGUCUGCGUACCAAUCUGUGAUGAUCCAAGCAACUAUGUAAUCUUCAUUACUAGCUUCUUUACUAGCUAUUAGGCGUAAUAGCAUGUUCUAGUUCUUGGAGGACUCAUCACUAGGAGGAUGGCGCACAUGGAACAUGGAGAUGGAGAUCACCAUGGUGAACAGGUUCUGUGGAGAUGGAGAUCACCAUAUGAAAACGGGCCAUACUGUGUCACAACUGUGUGAAUGCUAUUCUGUUUAUGUUUUACGAUCUGCAUGCUGUGAUGUUAGAAGUAGAACGAUCCCUCACAAAGUUUAAGGUAGUAUGCCCUCCCAACUAAAACUUGCACCGUCCCAUGUCUUGUACAAUUAGUGGUGGGUCUAUGAAAUUAGGGUGCCACUAGUUUUCCUUGACUAGACGGGUUUGUGUCGGACACAUACAAGCAUAAGGGUUGGUUUUCUUAACAAGGUUAUCUUAAUGGUUAAGGACCUUAGGGCAUAAAGGUUGGGCGCCGAGACAUGAAAAUGUCACCCAACAACAGGAGUCAUAUGUGAUAUGAUUAGCAAAAGUUGCUUACCGAUCUACCUUGUUUGCUAGCGGUGAUGCUAAAGCUCACUACUAGACUUGUUAGUUGUGGAUCCUGAAUCACUAAGUUUCAAUAGAGGGAUAUUGAUGUUAGUGGGAGUAGAUUCUGUUAAAAUAAGUUUAAUGUGAUUUGCUCUAUCAUGGAUACGUUUGUCUUAGUGUAUUUUGCAUUACUUUUGUUGUAGAUUAAAUGGCACCUAGCAGCACUACACCGUUUGCUUUGUGUUUGGUCCUUGAGAAGGACAAGUUGAAUGGAACAAAUUACUCAGAUUGGAUCCGUAACCUGAGAAUUGUUCUCAGGGCUGAGAAAAAGGAAGAUGUUCUAGACAACCCACUCCAGAAGAACCUGCUGAUGAUGCACCCGCUGCUGCUAAGAAUGCUUACAAGAAAGCAUGUGAUGCUAACCUUGAAGUAAGCUGCCUUAUGCUUCCUUGCAUGGAACUCGAGCUGCAGAUGCAGUUCGAAACAAACCAUGAGGCGCACGAUAUGAUCAUGGCGCUUAGAGACAUGUUCCAAACACAGGCCAGGACUAGAAGGUUCAAUGUGUCUAAGGCCUUUGUGGAGAGCAAGCUAGCAGAAGGCGCAGCAAUAGGACCACACGUAAUCAAGAUGGUUGGUUACACUCAACGGUUGGAGAAGCUGGGCUUCCCACUAGGCCAAGAGUUGGCCACUGAUUUCAUUCUUUCAUCUCUUCCGUCUAGCUAUGGGAACUUCAUCUCGAGCUACCAUAUGCAUGGGACGGAGAAGGGUCUGAAUGAGCUGUGUGGCAUGCUUAAAAUAGCAGAGGCUGACAUCAAGAAAAGUGCUAGUAGCAGCCAUGUGAUGGCUAUACAGAAUAAGCCUAGCUUUAAGAAGAAGGGAAAUUCUUGGAAGAAGAAGGGCAAGGCUGGAACGUCCAAGCCAAACCCAGCGCCCAAGGUUAAAGCUGGACAUGGACCUGCUCCAGACAAAGAGUGCUUUUACUGUCAUGAACUUGGUCACUGGAAGAGAAAUUGCAAGUAGUACCUAGCUUCAUUGAAGAAUGGUGGAAGUAAGAGUACUUCCACCUCAGGUACGCUUGUUAUUAAUGUUAUAGACAACAUAUUUCUCGCUGAUACAAUUAUUAAUUCUUGGGUAUUUGAUAUCGGAUCGGUUGCUCAUAUUUGCAAUUCGAUGCAGGGAAUGAUAAGAAGUAGAAGCGUGGAAAGAGGAGAAGUUGAUUUCCGCGGAUUGGUUGCUCAUAUUUGCAAUUUGAUGCAGGGAAUGAUAAGAAGUAGAAGCGUGGAAAGAGGAGAAGUUGAUUUCUACGUGGGCAAUAAUGCAAGAGUUGCUGCGUUGACUAUCGGGACGAUGCAACUCCACCUCCCGUCAGGAUUUAUUAUGGAGUUGAAUAAUUGUUAUUUCAUUCCUAGUUUAAGUUGAAACAUUUUGUCUCCUUCAUGCUUGAUGAAGGAUGGUUAUUCAUUUGCGAGUGAAAAUAAUGGUUGUGUGAUCUCUAAGAAUGAUAUGUUUAUGGCUUUUGCACCCCACCUCCUGUCAGCAUUUAUUAUGGAGUUGAAUAAUUGUUAUUUCAUUCCUAGUUUAAGUUGAAACAUUUUGUCUCCUUCAUGCUUGAUGAAGGAUGGUUAUUCAUUUGUGAGUGAAAAUAAUUGUGUGAUCUCUAAGAAUGAUAUGUUUAUGGCUUUUGCACCCAUUGUGAAUGGAUUGUUUGUUUUAAAUCUUGAUGGUUCACCUGUCUGUAACGUAAGUGCUAAAAGGCAUCGGCCUAAUGAUUUGAGUCCUACCUACUUGUGGCAUUGUCUUUUGGGUCAUAUAAGUGAAAAACGCAUGAAGAAGCUCCAUUCUGAUGGACUUCUAACUUCGUUUGAUUUUGAAUCAUAUGAGACAUGUGAGGCUUGCUUGCUAGGCAAGAAGACCAAGACACCUUUCACAGGAUUUGCUGAGAGAGCAAUAGACUUGUUGGAACUCGUACAUAGUGAUGUAUGCGGACCAAUGAGCAUGACGGCUAGAGGAGGAUUACAAUACUUCAUAACUUUCACUGAUGAUUUUAGUAGAUAUGGCUAUGUCUACUUGAUGAGGCACAAGUCUAAAACCUUUGAAAAGUUCAAGGAAUUUCAGAAUGAAGUUAAAAAUCAGUGUGGCAAGAAAAUUAAGGCCUUACGAUCUGAUCGUGGAGGCGAGUAUUUGAGCCACGAGUUUAGCAAUCAUCUAAAGAGUUGCGGAAUUGUUCCACAACUUACGCCGCUUGGAACACCUCAGAGAAACGGUGUAUCCGAGCGACGUAAUCGAACUUUGUUAGACAUGGUUCGAUCAAUGAUGAGCCAGUCGGACCUACCAUUGUCAUUUUGGGGAUACGCUCUAGAAACAGCAGCUUUCACACUUAAUAGGGUACCAUCUAAAUCCGUAGUUAAGACACCAUAUGAGAUGUGGACUGGAAAAGUUCCCAAUUUGUCUUUCUUUAGAUUUGGGAAUGUGAAGUGUUUGUCAAGCGACUUCAGUCGGACAAGAUCACACCCAAGUUGGAUAAGGGCAUUUUCGUGGGAUAUCCAAAGGAAACUUUGGGAUAUUAUUUCUACAACCGGUCAGAGGGCAAAGUGUUUGUCGCUCAGAACGGGGUUUUACUAGAGAAAGAGUUUCUCAAAGGAGAAAAGAGUGGAAAGACAGUGCAUCUUGAAGAAGUUCAACAUGAGAUCGGGCAAGAAUCAAUCAGUGAUUCUAACGUAGCAGAACAAGUUGAGAUACCCAUGGCACCGCUACAACCAUGAAGGUCGGCAAGGCUCCGCGAAAUGCGGGAAAUAUUAUUGUUGGACAAUGAUGAGCCUGCGACAUAUGCAGAAGCAAUGAUGGACCCAGACUUUGAAAAAUGGCAGAGUGCCAUGCAAUCCGAAAUAGAGUCCAUGGGAGACAAUCAAGUUUGGAACUUGGUUGACCCGCCUGAUGGUGUUAAAGCCAUAGAGUGCAAGUGGAUCUAUAAGAAGAAAAAAGACAAGGAUGGAAAUGUUCACAUCUAUAAAGCAUGACUUGUCGCAAAAGGUUUUCGACAAGUUCAAGGAGUUGGCUACGAUGAGACCUUCUCGCCCGUAGUGAUGCUUAAGUCCAUUCGGAUUAUUCUAGCUAUAGCUGCAUAUUUCGAUUAUGAGAUAUGGCAGAUGGAUGUCAAGACAGCUUUCCUGAAUGGAAACCUAGCUGAGGACGUGUAUAUGAUACAGCCCGAGGGUUUUGUCGAUUCGAAAAAUGCUGGAAAGGUAUGCAAGCUUCAGAUAUCCAUUUAUGGAUUGAAGCAAGCAUCUAGGAGUUGGAACAUUCAUUUUGAUGAAGUGGUCAAAGGGUUUGACUUCACCAAGAAUGAAGAAGAGUCUUGUGCUCUCAAGAAGGUUAGUGGGAGCUCUGUAGUAUUUCUAAUCUUAUAUGUGGAUGACAUAUUGCUGAUUGGAAAUAACAUUCCUAUGCUUGAGUCCGUAAAGACUUCACUGAAAAAUAGUUUUUCGACGAAGGACUUAGGGGAAGCAGCAUAUAUUCUGGGCAUUAAGAUCUAUAGAGAUAGAUCGAGAAAGCUUAUAUGAUUAAGCCAAGAUACUUACAUUGACAAAGUGUUGAAGCAGUUCAACAUGGAAGAGACAAAGAAAGGGUUCUUGCCUAUGUCACGUGGCAUACAUCUUAGCAAGACUCAGUGUCCUUCGACUGCUGAUGAGCGGCAUUGCAUGAGUAGAGUUUCAUAUGCCUCGGCUAUUGGAUCUAUCAUGUAUGCAAUGAUAAGUACUCGCCCAGAUGUUUCAUAUGCGCUAAGUAUGACAAGCAGACACCAGUCUGAUCCAGGUGAGAGUCACUGGACAGCGGUGAAAAACAUUCUUAAGUACUUGAGAAGGACUAAAGAUAUGUUCCUCGUCUAUGGAGGUGAGGAGGAGCUCGUUGUAACAGGUUACACCGAUGCUAGUUUCCAAACCGACAGAGAUGAUUCAAAGUCACAAUCAGGAUUUGUGUUCAUGCUAAAUGGUGGUGCUGUUAGUUGGAAGAGUUCCAAGCAGGGGACGGUGGCCGAUUCUACGAUAGAAGCCGAGUACAUCAUGGCUUUGGAAGCCGCGAAGGAGGGUGUUUGGAUAAGGAAUUUCCUCAUUGAGAUUGGUGUGUUUCCGAAUGCGUCUAGCCCAUUGAAUCUCUACUGUGAUAACAAUGGGGCAAUUGCGCAAGCAAAGGAGCCAAGGAACCACCAGAAGAACAAACACGUAAUGUGGUGAUUUCAUCUCAUUCGAGACUUCGUUAACCGGGGUGUGAUCAAGAUAUGCAAAAUACACACUGAUCUGAACAUUUCUGAUCCGUUGACAAAACCACUCCCGCAGGCUAAGCAUGAUGCGCAUGUAAGAGCUAUAGGUAUUAGGUACCUUCUAGAUUGACUCUAGUGCAAGUGGGAGACUGUUGGAGGUAUGCCCUAGAGGCAAUCAUAGAGAUGAUGAUAUUCCAUUUGUAUCCAUGAUUUAUAUUAUGUUCCUUGAAUAUCCAUUAAAGGCUGCUUGAAUUGAUUUGCAAUUAUGUGAAUUGUAUGCGAAACUCUUUACUUGUAUGGUUAUUCUAAAGUUGUUCCUAGUCGGAGUUCAUGUGAGGAUACACAUGAAUAUUAGACUAGCACAUAUAUUAGUUGAUGACUAUGUUGCACGAGUCAUGGACAUGGAGAUGUUGAACUAAUAAUGUGGGCACAUGUGGAGACAUGUGCUAGGACUGACCCAACACGAGAAGUAGUUCUCUCUUUACACAACAUAUACGCUUUGUCCUUAGACCUGAGAUUGUCGCAUGUACUCAAGAUGUCGAUCGAGUUACUUAGGGGCUAUCAACUGCUACGCCGUAACAGGGUAGUUAUAAAGGUAGCUUUCGGGUUUGUCAAGAAGCAUGCUAUGAGACAUGGUAAAUUAAGAUGGGAUUUGCCCCUCUCUGAUUGAGAGUGAUAUCUCUGGGCCCCUCGAGUGAUCGAAUCCGAAAAUACAUGGCCAUGCUACGUACGGUUAAGAGUUAACCUACAAAGGGAUUCCGAAUCAUAGGAUUGAGAAAGAGCGGUCGGCUUGAAGCUAGACCAAAUAUCGUGAGGCAAAGGGAAUAGCAUGUAUAUAAUGUUGUGAUGGUUCAUCUGAUAUGAUCUUAAUGUGUGUAUAGGAGUUGGCACGUCUUGCUAGAGGCUGCUACCGACUAUUGGGCGGAGUAGGAGUACUCGGGCCAUGUCUAUACGUAUCCGAACCCAUAGGGUCACACACUUAAGGGGUUGGAAGCCCAAUUCGGAUGUGAUUCGAGUUGGAUUAGGUUUAGAAGUACUAAUGGGCCUCGGACCUAGAGGCUCGUUAGGAACCUCUAUAAAUAGAGGGGUGGGGGCGCCCUAGGGUUUACACCUUUUUGGCGAAACACAUCUGCUACGCCUCCCACGCCCUCGCCUGUUCCAACUUGCGGAUCUAGCAGUCCGGCUUUCGACGCUUCCUCCCUGCAUGUGUGGAUACCUUGGAGGUGUUGCGCUUGCAGCACUUGGUUGAGCCGCUGACGGGCCACGACGAGCCGAUGGCGAGCCGUGGCACGAGGGCGAUCUUGCAGCACAUGGACGACUACGCUGAUCAACUUUGGUGCAUCGACGUGAAUCUACAUCUCCGCAUCAGUGCAUCGAGUGGUAUUCCUGUGAUCCUUAUACGACAGUUUUCCUGGUUUACGCGGUAGAAAUUUUUGAUUUGCGCUAGUGUAGCCUACCUCGUAUCCCAACAGUGGGUGCCAUCGAGAAUUAAGGAGUCAAAUGGUGACACAGGGAACACGAUUUAGACAGGUUCGGGCCGCUAGAUCGCGUAAUACCCUACGUCCUAUGUGUUGAUUGUAUUGAACUUGGGUGAGUUGGGAGUUGUUGUCUUGAGGAGGUCCCUGCCCGCCCUUAUAUAAUCGGGGGAGCAGGGUUACAAGCGAGAAGCCUAGUCGGGUACGGUUACAGAGUUCUACUUGGGGUAGACACUACCUUCCAUAUACCUAACUAGUCUUCAGGAGUCCGAGUGGGAUACGCCUUGCUGCAUAGCCCCCAUCUGAAUUCUGUGCGAGUACGACCCUUGGUGGGCCGCACAAGGCCUACUCGCGGGCCUGGGAUCCAUGCCCAACAUCUGCUAUGCCCAAACCUGCUUCGAGAGUGCUAGGAAGUUGUGGACCGAGAAUGUGUGAGUCGGUUAUUAAUUUGCUCCUGGAUGUGGGUGUUGGUGACUUGGAGUCACGCUUUGAAUCCGUCAUAUUUGUUCUAAAUCUAGAAAAUUUUCAACCUCGGCAAAGGUAGCCCCCAGGUUGGCCUGGGGUGUGGCAAAGAUGUUGUGGCCGACCUGCUUAAGGUUGGCUAGUAAAUUGCAGGCGCGUAUAGGGUGCCUGCGUUUUUCUCGAGGCCAACUUGGUCGGCGUUGUCGCGGUCGUUGCGCGACUGCUGGUGCUGCUCACCUGCUGCGUCUGCGUCAGCAACAGGUUGUUGUUGGGUGUCGAGUUGCUCCUGUUGGCGUCAUGCUGCGCGGAUCUGGUUCCUAGCAUUACGACCUUCUUCUUGAGAUUUUGUUUUGCCAUCCCGAGGUGGCUCGUCAGCAGAGACUACGAAAGCUUCAUGAUCUGGCGUGGAGGAGUUUCUCUCAUCACCGCUUCCGUAGGGAUUUGGUGUCAGAAUGAUGUGAGGCACCUAGAAUUCACCACACUCUGAAAACUGGGUGGGUUUGUGUGGGUCUCCAGAUUGGAUUUGGAAAACCUGGUCAAGCUCGACGGAGUACUCGGUGCUCGAUUUCCACAGACUAAAGGGGACACGGGAUGGGUCCUGCGUCGACCUUGUGGAGCGUAGCGCUGCCUCAAAUAAUUCUAUACACUUAGCAAUAGUGCUGCUGAUAUGAUCUAGCCCCGUGAUCAGGUCGGAGGGCAUAGGUGGGUGGGUGCCGGUGAGUAGAUCUGGAACCUUCUCGUAGAGAGAGAGUUCGCCGACUUGCUAGGCGAGUGGCAUCAUGAUCUUUGUGUGGAGAACUUGUUCUGCCAGAGCAGAUCCAAUGGAAGUUGAGUCAGUGUUGGGCACCAAGUUGACUGUAGUUGUCGAGUCAACGGGAGUUGCCGAGUCGACCGAAGAAGUGGUCGGAUCGGAAUCCGCGGUCAUGGUCCCGAAUUGAAUUUGGACUGGGUUGGUGAGGAAGUCCUUCAUGCUCUCAAGAAAAACUACACCAGGACGGGAUGCCGUCGAGGUCGCAAGAAGGAUCUCUCAACCCCCCUACCUGGCACACCAACUGUCGAAUUUAUAAGCCCGACAGUUGACCAGGGGGUUACCUAAGUGGUUGAUUCGUAGAUGAGAGUGAUUGCUAAAUCAAGAACUCGAAGGUGAUCACGAGAACACGAAGGGGACACAAGGAUUUUAUACAAGUUUGGGUCUCCGGAGAGUAAUACCGUAUCUGAUGAUGGGGAUACGCUCGGGAUUGUAUUGCUCGAGAUUUAUCUGAUGAUGGGGAUACGCUCGGGGGAAACCUUAGCCACCUUAUAUAGGCUGACAACCAAUAGUUACAAGUCAGUUUGAAUCUAAUCUACUCGGUAGUUACAUGGAAAGAAAUAUGAGUCAGAUUGUAAUACACGUUCCAUGAUAUCCAAGUAGGUUUGGAUAGUCUUGGUUCCUUGACGUGUACUCCAAGUAACUUCAUGCCCUCGGCCCGCAUGCCCUAGUCGGGCGGGCCCACUUGUAAGGUCCGACCAGUAUCCAGGUCGGUGCGGACCCAUAGAGUAGCCAUAUCCCUCAACAUCUGGUAUGGUCACUGUGCUACCGGUCCUGCGCCGAGUACUAGGUCAAUCAAAAACUCCACAUUCUGAUCUAGAGGUAAUUCUGUCAGCUCUUCUGGAAACACGUCGGGAAACUCACACACCACGGGUACCUCUUCAAGGGUCUUGGAAUACAAACUGCAUAGUAUCGGGGCUAUCUUGGGGUACACGGCUCAAACUGUACUUGAACUCUGCUCGGACGCUCCAAUCUGAUGAAGCAGGGGUUACACAAAACCAGUCCCUUGUUCUUAUCCAACCAAUCCAUUCCCAAGAUCACAUCUAUGGCUGAAGACUUCAACACUGUCAAAUUUGUUAGGAACUGUUGCUUCUCGAUCACCAACGGUACUGCCGUGCAUUGUAAGGUGCUCCUAACUUCUCCUAGGGGAGAACUUGUGAUAAUAGGCCUUGGUCGAGGUGUAGUGGGGAGAGACUGUUCUUCCACAUACUUGGUUGAAACAUAGGAAAACUUGGCACCAGUAUCAAACAAAACUAUAGCUUUGAUUAAAUCAACAAGAAACUCACCUAGAGCAAUGUCUGGAGCUACUGCGGCGUCCUCAGCGGUCAAGUGGUUCAGGCAUCCUCAAGUAGGUGACGGUGCUGUCCUUGCUGGAUUCCUCAGUGGCGGUCCUCCUGGUGCUGGUGUCUUGAUGGGCAUCUGGUACUGGCUGCUGCAGUUCUAUCCUCCUGCCUAAGUCUUCUGUGGACACUCAUAGGACUUGUGCUCGGGCUGUCGCCAUGUGUAGCAGAUGACCAACUUUGUGCCCUCAGGUGCGGUAGGCUGCUGGGGCCUUGGCUUCCAAGUACCUAAACUUCCUCCUCCUACACUGGGGUUCUUGUACUACUGCUGUUGUGGAAGGUAGCUGCGUGGCUUCUACUGCUGAAACGGUGAGGGUCCCGUCCUCAGCCUCUGAGACCGCUCCUGACGCUUCCUCUUGUGUCCACGGAACUCCUCGAACUCCAGCCUCAACUUCCCCACUCGGAGUGCCUUGCCCACAAGUGCGUGCAGAGUAGGGCAGUUGUGAGUGGACAAGUGCAUCUCUAUGCCAUGUGAAGUCCCUUGCGAAACUAGUACAUCUUCCUUUUCUCCAUGUUGGAGUCAUCCGGUGUGUACCUCAUCAGCUCCUGGAACUUGUUGGCAUACUCUUGCACUUUCAAGUUCCCCAUCUUCAAGUUUCGGAACUCAUCUACCUUUCAAUCCAUGACUGCUUCUGGGAUAUGGUGGUUGCGAAAAGCUGCAGCGAACUCGUCCCAUGUGAUGUGAGCUUGGUCUGCGUGAGAGUCACAGAAACUAUCCCACCAAGCACAUGCUGUCCCAAUCAGCUGGUGAGUGGCCAGCGCCACACACUCCUCAUCUGUACAAUAUGUCAGGUCCAACUUCUUCUCAAUCUCCCUCAGCCAAUCGUCUGCAUCCAGUGGGUUAUCAGAGUUGUCGAACGUGGGUGGACGAAGCUUGGUAAACCCUUCAACCUUCCUCUGCAAAGUCUCAACUGGUAGGUUCCUACACUUUCCUCCCUCCUAGUUGUACUAGAGCAAAGCAUCAACCAUGGUCUGCAUCAACUGCGUCUGAAUGGCCAUCACCUCUGCAAGGUUAGGUGACGGUGGUGCCUGCUGGUCCUCUACACCUCCAGCAUUCAUGUUCUGCUCCUGUUCCUCCUGACCCUCCUGGUGAGCUUCUCCCUUAGCACUAGCUGCGUCUUCUCGUACCUCCAUCUCUGGGACAUGUCCACCCCACCCUCUGUGAUGACCUCCAUGAAGUCCACCUCAGGGACCACGACCUCCACAGUGACCACGACCUCUACCGGGGUUAAACCCAUCCUCGUUGGCCGCCUCUUCAAAAUGGUGCAGCAACCGUCCCGACCUCCUUAAUCCUGACGUCUAUUCCAAAUGAGAUCGUAAUCAGUGGUUACUCUUAAGAAAUUAGGUAGGGGGUUAAUUAAAUUAUAAGAGAAAUACAAAGAUAUAUAAAACACACAAAUAAUUUCACACAGACAAUAAGAAGCAUAAGAACCAUAAAAUCCAUAUCACUCAAGCAAAGGCACCAUACAAAAGAGGUGUAUCUCGAGAUCUACAAUAGAAGCCUUCAAGAUUACAUGAGGAUCAUCAUGCUACUACAUCGAGAAUCAUGGGGGUGGUAGUCUCUAAAGCUACAACAUCAUAGUGAGCCUAACUUGAACCUAGCACUAGAUCAGAAGCGGUCCUAUCAGUCGGAGAGCGGGAAGUCGUUGUUGUCCACGUCACCAUCUCUAGGGUGGUACUCAGGAGUAGGGCCUCUCCAUAGUCCUGACUCAUCAUCCGAGGGCACAGACAGCUUCAGCGGGUCUCCUCCGUAUAGCCGUGAGAGUGUAGAUAGGGCUCUAGUCAUCUCCUCUUUGGCAACCCUGCCUGGCGGGUACAACACCUGUGUGUACAACUUGGACAUUGUUAACUCAAAGCUCUCCACACAAGGCUCCUCUUGUACUCGACUGGAACCUAAGCACUCAACUCCUCCAACUCCAUCAUCCGCUUGCGGUUAGAAUGCUCCCACAUGUGUUGAAGCCUCUCUACCAAGUCCCUGUUACAGUAACAACGUGAUCCACCAGGUUGUAGUAGUUCCUAUGCAAGCGGUGGUGUAGCUGCUCGACGACACCAUUCAUGGCAGCGAGAGCGGCGUCCAAGGUGUCAACCAGCUCCUCAUUCUCCUUGAUCAUCGCGUUCUUCUCAUUGAUCAUCUAGUCCCUGGUCUUCAGAGCCUCCUCCAUACGAGCGACCCUCAUCUCUAGCUUUAGGAUCUUAAGAGCAUCCCUCCCAUCAUAGGGGUUUGGUGCAGUGUUGAUCUCAUGACGAAGGCAAAGAUUCAUUUGGUCCAGACUCUCCAAAUAUCAAUCAAGUCCCUUGAUCUUGCCCUCCAGCAUGGCGUUGGCUCCGAUGCAGUCAUCCCAACCCUUGCGAAGGACCUCCAUCUCUCAGUCGCACCAGAAUAGUGCAAGGCCCUGAGCGUGAAUGGAGCAGGAGGCAACUUUUAACCUCUCAUCGUGCUCUUCGUAGGCGUCCUCCUGGUUCUGCCAGGCUGCUCUCUCAAAGUACACCUUGGGUAGGCAGCGGUAGGGAGUCUGUGCCAGUCUAUCUCGAAGCUGCGCGUGCACCUCUCGCACGGCGAUCCUAGCUGCAGUCCGGUGAGCCUCCGACACUGAAAGCUCGAACGCAAACACCACAACCUUCUCUAGCUCGGGCACCCUGGGGUCCGCAGGCACUGUCAACCUCACCUCCAUCAGCACUGUUGGGAUACAAGGUAGGCUACGCUAGCGGAAAUCAAAAUUUUUCUACCACGUAAACCAGGAAAACUGCCGUAUAAGGAUCACGGGAUUAUCGCUCGACGCACUGGUGCGGAAGAUGUAGAAUCGUGUGGGUCAGCAAAGUCGAUCAGUGUAGUCAAACGUAGUCGAUCAUGUCGAUGUCGAGCAGCUCCUCAGCAGCUCGUCCACGUGCAGCAAGAUUAUCUUCAUGCCGCGGCUCGUCGGCGGCUUGUCGUGGCUCGUCGACGGCUCGUCCAAGUGCUGUAGGUGCAACACCUCCAAGGUAUCCACACGUGCAGGGAGGAAGCGUCGCAAGCCGGAGUGCUAGGUCCGCGAGUUGCAACAGGCGAGAGCGUGGGAGGCGUGGCAGAUGUGUUUUGCCACAAAGGUGUAAACCCUAGGGUGCCCCCACCCAUCGAUUUAUAGAGGUUCCUAAUGGGCCUCUGGGUCCAAGGCCGACCCAGAGGCCCAUUAGUACUUCUAAACCUAAUCCAACUCGGAUCACAUCCGAAUUGGGCUUCCAGCCCCUUAAGUGUGUGACCUUAUGGGUUCGGAUACGUAUAGACAUGGCCCGAGUACUCCUACUCGGCCCAAUAGUCGGUAGCGGCCUCUAGCAAGACGUGCCAACUUAUAUACGCACGCGAAGAUCAUAUCAGACGAACCGUCACAACAUUAUGUACAUGCUAUUCCCUUUGCCUCACGAUAUUUGGUCUAGCUUCAAGCCGACCGCUCUUUCUCGAUCCUAUGAUUCGGAAUUCCUUUGUAGGUUAACUCUUAACCGUACGCAGCAUGGCCAUGCAUUUUCGGAUCCGAUCACUCGAGGGGCCUAGAGAUAUCACUCUCAAUCAGAGAGGGGCAAAUUCCAUCUUGAUUGACCAUGUCUCAUAGCAUGCUUCCUGACAAACCUGAGAGCUACCUUUAUAACUACUCUGUUACGAUGUAGCGUUUGAUAGCCCCUAAGUGAGUCGAUGCACAUCUCGACUACAUGCGACAAUCUCAGGUCUAAGGACAAAGCGUACAUGUUGUGUAAAGAGAGAACUACUUCUCGUGUUGGGUCAGUCCUAGCACAUGUCUCCACAUGUGCCCACAUUAUUAGUUCAACAUCUCCAUGUCCAUGACUCGUGAAACAUAGUCAUCAACUAAUAUAUGUGCUAGUCUAAUAUUCAUGUGUGUCCUCACAUGAACUCCGACUAGGGACAACUUUAGAAUAACCAUACAAGUAAAGAGUUUCACAUACAAUUCACAAAAUUGCAAGUCAAUUCAAGUAGCCUUUAAUGGAUACUCAAGGAACACAAUAUAAAUCAUGGAUACAAAUGGAAUAUCAUCAUAUCUACGAUUGUCUCUAGGGCAUACCUCCAACAGUCUCCCACUUGCACUAGAGUCAAUCUAGAAGGUACCUAAUACCCAUAGCUCUUACACGCGCAUCAUUCUUAGCCUGCGGGAGUGGUUUUGUCAACGGAUCAGAAAUGUUCAGAUCCAUGUGUAUUUUGCAUAUCUUGAUCUCACCCCGGAUAACGAAGUCUCGAAUGAGAUGAAAUCGCCGCAUUACGUGUUUGUUCUUCUGGUGGUUCCUUAGCUCCUUUGCUGGCGCAAUUGCCCCAUUGUUAUCACAGUAGAGAUUCAAUGGGCUGGACGCAUUCGGGAACACACCAAGCUCAAUGAGGAAAUUCCUUAUCCAAACACCCUCCUUCGCGGGUUCCGAAGCCACGAUGUACUCAGCUUCUGUCGUAGAAUCGGCUACCGUCUACUGCUUGGAACUCUUCCAACUAACAGCACCACCAUUUAGUGUGAACACAAAUCCUGAUUGUGACUUUGAAUCAUCUCUGUUGGUUUGGAAACUAGCAUCGGUGUAACCUGUUACAAUGAGCUCCUCCUCACCUCCAUAGACGAGGAACAUAUCUUUAGUCCUUCUCAAGUACUUAAGAAUGUUUUUCACUAUUGUCCAGUGACUCUCACCUGGAUCAGACUGGUGUCUGCGUGUCAUACUUAGUGGAUAUGAAACAUUUGGGUGAGUACUUAUCAUUGCAUACAUGAUAGAUCCAAUAGCCGAGGCAUAUGGCACUCACUCAUGCGCUCCCGCUCAUCAGCAGUCGAAGGACACUGAGUCUUGCUGAGAUGUAUACCAUGUGACAUAGGCAAGAACCCUUUCUUCGCCUCUUCCAUGCUGAAUCGCUUCAACACUUUGUCAAUGUAAGUAUCUUGGCUUAAUCCUAUAAGCCUUCUCGAUCUAUCUCUAUAGAUCUUAAUGCCCAGAAUAUAUGCCGCUUCCCCUAAGUCCUUCGUCGAAAAACUAUUUUUCAGUGAAGUCUUUACGGGCUCAAGUAUAGGAAUGUUAUUUUCAAUCAGCAAUAUGUCAUCCACAUAUAAGAUUAGAAAUACUACAGAGCUCCCAAUAACCUUCUUGUAAACACAAUACUCUUCUUUGUUCUUUGGAUAUCCCACGAAAAUGCACUUAUCCGACUUGGGUGUGAUCUUGUCCGACUGAAGUCACUUGACAAACACUUCACAUCCCCAAAUCUUUAGAAAAGACAAACUGGGAACUUUCUAGUCCACAUCUCAUAUGGUGUCUUAACUACGGAUUUAGAUGGUACCCUAUAAGUGUGAAAGCUGUUGUUUCUAGAGCGUAUCCCCAAAACAAUAAUGGUAGGUCCGACUGGCUCAUCAUUGAUCGAACCAUGUCUAACAAAGUCCGAUUACGUUGCUCGGAUACACCGUUUCUCUGAGGUGUUCCAGGCGGCGUAAGCUGUGGAACAAUUCCGCAACUCUUUAGAUGAUUGCUAAACUCAUGGCUCAAAUACUUGCCUCCACGAUCAGAUCGUAAGGUCUUAAUUUUCUUGCCACGCUGAUUUUCAACUUCAUUCUAAAAUUCCUUGAACUUUUCAAAGGUUCCAGACUUGUGCCUCAUCAAAUAGACAUAUCCAUACCUACUAAAAUCAUCAGUGAAAGUUAUGAAGUAUUGGAAUCCUCCUCUAGCCGUUGUGCUCAUUGGUCCGCAUACAUCGCUAUGUAUGAGUUCCAACAAGUCUACUGCUCUCUCAGGAAAACCUGUGAAAGGCGUCUUCAUCAUCUUGCCUGGCAAGCAAGCCUCACAUGUCUCGUAUGAUUCAAAAUCAAACGAAGUUAGAAGUCCAUCAGAAUGGAGCCUCUUCAUGCGCUUUUCACUUAUAUGACCCCAACGACAAUGGCACAAGUAGGUAGGACUCAAAUCAUUAGGUUGAGGCCUUUUAGCACUUACGUUACAGACAGGUGAACCAUCAAGAUUUAAAACAAACAAUCCAUUCACAAUGGGUGCAAAAGCCAUAAACAUAUCAUUCUUAGAGAUCACACAAUCAUUAUUUUCACUCGCAAAUGAAUAACCAUCCUUCAUCAAGCAUGAAGGAGACAAAAUGUUUCGACUUAAACUAGGAACGAAAUAACAAUAAUUCAACUCCAUAAUAAAUCCUGACGGGAGGUGGAGUUGCAUCGUCCCGACGGUCAAUGCAACAACUCUUGCAUUAUUGCCCACGUGGAAAUCAACUUCUCCUCUUUCCACGCUUCUACUUCUUAUCAUUCCCUGCAUCGAAUUGCAAAUAUGAGCAACCGAUCCGGUAUCAAAUACCCAAGAAUUAAUAAUUGUAUUAGCAAGAAAUAUGUUGUCUAUAACAUUAAUAACAAGCGUACUUGAGGUUGAAGUACUCUUACUUCCGCCAUUCUUCAACAAAGCUAGGUACUGCUUGCAAUUUCUCUUCUAGUGACCAAGUUCAUGAUAGUAAAAGCACUCUUUGUCUGGAGCAGGUCCAGGUCUAGCUUUAACCUUGGGCGCUGGAUUUGGCUUGGAUGUUCCAGCCUUGCCCUUCUUCUUCCAAGAAUUGCCCUUCUUCUUAAAGCUAGGCUUGUUCUAUAUAGCCAUCACAUGGCUAGAACUAGCGUUUUUCUUAAUGUCAGCCUCUGCUAUUUUGAGCAUGCCACAUAGCUCAUUCAGACCCUUCUUCGUUCCAUGCAUAUGGUAGUUCGAGAUGAAGUUCCCAAAGCUAGGGGAAAGAGACGAAAGAAUGAAAUCAGUGGCCAACUCUUGGCCCAGUGGGAAGCCCAGCUUCUCCAACCAUUGAGUGUAACCAACCAUCAGUAAGCAAGCAUAAGGCAACUUACUUCGAGGUUAGCAUCACAUGCCUUUUUGUAAGCAUUUUUAGCAGCAGCAGGUGCAUCAUCAGCAGGUUCUUCUAGUAGUGGGUUGUCUAGAACAUCUUCCUUUUUCUCAGACCUUAGAACAAUUCUCAGGUUAUGGAUCCAAUCCGAGUAGUUUGUUCCAUUCAACUUGUCCUUCUCAAGGACCGAACGCAAAGCAAACAGUGUAGUGCUGCUAGGUGCCAUUUAAUAUACAACAAAAGUAAUGCAAAAUACACUAAGACAAACGUAUCCAUGAUAGAGCAAAUGACAUUAAACUAUUUAACAGAAUCUACUCCCACUAAAAUCAAUGUCCCUCUAUUGAUACUUAGUGAUUUAGGAUCCACAACUAAUAAGUCUACUAGUGAGCUUUAGCAUCACCGCUAGCAAACAAGGUAGAUCGGUAAGCAACUCUUUGCUAAUCAUAUCACAUAUGACUCCUAUUGUUGGGUGACAUGUCCAUGUCUCGGCGCCCAACCUUUAUGCCCCAAGGUCCUUAACUGUUAAGAUAACCUUGUUAAGCAAACCAACCCUUAUGCGUGUAAGUGUCCAACACAAACCCGUCUAGUCAAGGAAAACUAGUGGCACCCUAAUUUCAUAUACCUACCACUAAUUGUACAAGAUAUGGGACGGUGCAAGUUUAAGUUGGGAGGGCAUACUAACUUAAACUUUGUGAUGGAUCGUUCUACUUCUAACAUCACAGCAUGCAGAAAGUAAAACAUAAACAAAAUAGCAUUCACACAGUGGUGACACAGUAUGGCCCAUUUUCUUAUGGUGAUCUCCAUCUCCACAGAACCUGUUCAGCAUGGUGAUCUCCAUCUCCAUGUUCCAUGUGCGCCAUCCUCCUGGUGAUGAGUCCUCCAAGAACUAGAACAUGCUAUUACGCCUAAUAGCUAGUAAAGAAGCUAGUAAUGAAGAUUACAUAGUUUGCUUGGAUCAUCACAGAUUGGUACGCAGACCAUUAAAUACAUUAAAGUGACAACACAUAUGGCUCCAGCCGUGUUGCCGUACGCGCAACACGCAGGUCACGAAUGAGUUACACACAUGCAUCACAUACACAAGGGGGCCAUAAUGAUCACAAGAUCCAUACAUCCUGCAAAACAGAGUUAGGCAAUCUAACGUUCCAAACUUCAGAGGCCCGAAACUCCAUCUUCCAAGCUGAAUUUGGGAAAUCUAAUUUUGUCAAAACUGGCAAAGUGGUUAAAUUUCAUGUGUAACUUUUUCUGUAGAUCAAGUUUCAUAUAAAAUUCGCCCCGAUCCGAGAUUGUACCGAAAAGUUACGGUUGAUUUAUCGAAGCACACGCAUACAGCAAAAUCCCGACCUGGUAGUAGAUCCAAUCUACUAUUGCACGUGUGAUGUGCUUGGCGUAUGAACCUGGAUCUUGAUCCGACCAGUCACAUUGAUCUUCGCUUGCUGUAACUUGCAUUACGUGUAUCACUUAACUCCGAUGGAGGAAACCCGACCGGCAGGAGUAUGUCAUUACACAACCAUUGCAGCAAGAACACGAAAUCAGGACAUAGAUCAAACUGAAAACUCGCAUAUCUCCAUAUGCACACAUCCCAAAUUCAAAACUAAACAACUACGGCUCUGAUACCACUGUUGGGAUACAAGGUAGGCUACGCUAGCGCAAAUCAAAAUUUUUCUACCACGUAAACCAGGAAAAUUGUCGUAUAAGGAUCACGGGAUUACCGCUUGACGCAUUGGUGCGGAAGAUGUAGAAUCGCGUCGGGGUAGCGAAGUCAAUCAGCGUAGUCGAACAUAGUUGAUCACGUCGAUGUCGAGCAGCUCCUUAGCAGCUCGUCCACGUACAGCAAGAUCGUCUUCGUGCCGCGGCUCAUCGGCGGCUCGUCGACGGCUCGUCCAAGUGCUGCAGGCGCAACACCUCCAAGGUAUCCACACGAGCAGGGAGGAAGCGUCGCAAGCCAGACUACUAGGUCCGCGAGUUGCAAUAGGUGAGAGCGUGGGAGUCACGGCAGAUGUGUUUCGCCAAAAAGGUGUAAACCCUAGGGCGACCCCACCCCUCUAUUUAUAGAGGUUCCUAACGGGCCUCUAGGUCUGAGGCCCAUUAGUACUUCUAAACCUAAUCCAACUUGGAUCACAUCCGAAUUGGGCUUCCAGCCCCUUAAGUGUGUGACCCUAUGGGUUCGGAUACGUAUAGACAUGGCCCGAGUACUCCUACUCGGCCCAAUAGUCAGUAGCGGCCUCUAGCAAGACGUGCCAACUCCUAUACGCACGCGAAGAUCAUAUCAGACGAACCGUCACAACAUUAUGUACAUGCUAUACCCUUUGCCUCACGAUAUUUGAUCGAGCUUCAAGCCGACCGCUCUUUCUCCAUCCUGUGAUUCGGAAUCCCUUUGAAGGUUAACUCUUAACCGUACGCAGCAUGGCCAUGCAUUUUCAAAUCCGAUCACUCGAGGGGCCCAGAGAUAUCACUCUCAAUCAGAGAGGGGAAAUCCCAUCUUGAUUGACCAUUUCUCACAGCAUGCUUCCACAUGUGCCCACAUUAUUAGUUUAACAUCUCCAUGUCCAUGACUUGUGAAAUAUAGUCAUCAACUAAUACUUGUGCUAGUCUAAUAUUCAUGUGUGUCCUCAGAUGAACUCCGACUAGGGACAACUUUAGAAUAACCAUACAAGUAAAGAGUUUCACAUACAAUUCACAUAAUUGCAAGUCAAUUCAAGUAGCCUUUAAUGGAUAUUCAAGAAACACAAUAUAAAUCAUGGAUACAAAUGGAAUAUCAUCAUUUCUAUGAUUGCCUCUAGGGCAUACCUCCAACAGGCACAGAGUCCAUACUACCCCUCAUGUGGCCCUCUUAGAACACGCCGUCAGUGCCAACCCCGGCCCUCUCCAAGCACUCGUUGAGGAGAGUGCAAAAGCCUCCAUAGCGCAUUCUGUCUCUAGAAAAUGAAUGCCACUCCUUAGUCAUCAUCUGAAACACAUAGUUAAGGGUUGUUAGAAAGUCAUAUAAGUCAGAGUAAACAAGGUAAUAAUAGUAACAAUUCAAGGAGUUGUAUAGUAAUCAAGGGGUAUAUACUCAAUCAAGGGUAGUUUGGGCUUCCUGAACUAACAUGCUAGGGAUCAUCCUACGGUCAAGUAUGGCUGUGAUACCAGCUGAAAUGGACCCAAAUUCCCAUUUCUGAGAAUUCAAGCCAACGCACAUUGGUGAUAGUCCCAGGAAGGCUAUCACGUGCAAAUCCUUGUCUCAGAUUGUACAAAUCCAUACCAACAUAGAAACAGAGAGAGAAACAAAGUACAAAGAUCAUAGUUAACAUGAGUACGAGUACAUCUCAGCAGCACAUGCCAGUACAAGUCCAUCAGGACUGAAUCAGGAAAGGUAAAAUAUCUACGUAGUGGAAACAAAAGCUAUGGUGAUGUCCAUCUUCACAGGUGACUCGAGCGAAGAACGGUCCCUAGUCCUCCCAACCGUCAUUGUCGAAGUCAUAGUUGGGCUCUGACCCUGAAAAGCCAGCAUCUACCCAAGAAGCGGGUAGGCCAUGACAACUCCUAAAAGCAACAAAGCCAAGGAAAUGGAGGAAUUAUAUUAUAUGCAUGAAUAAGACCUAUAUAUGGUUGUAGAGGUUUAUGCAGCAGCAACAACAACAAUCAAGGUAGCAGCAAAGCAACAUCAUCUUCGAGGUCAACACUCAAACAAGAAAGUUGGCACAAAUCACCAAAUCUUUCACCCAAGGGUCUGGCACCCAAACACACUAGGUGAUGUGAGAGCUCCCUUCCCUCACAUCUCAACAACAAACACUGGCCUAUCUCAAAAAGGGGAAAGGUAGAAGCACGAGAAAAGUCUAGUCAGAAGUAGCAAUAGACAACAGCACUGUCCAUAACCAAUGGACAUGGACUAUAGCUAUAGCUUUAUACACUCUACAGAGGUUGUACAACUGUACCCGCAUAGAUAAAGCCUGAGCGGUAGCGAUCUGUCUAAACCCCACCUAUCAGCCGGAGCCCUAGUAAGUGGAUAGCUCUCUCUUGUUUCCUCGAGUCUGGAACCAUCCUCAGCUGCAGGGCACGUUGUCACCAGUGAGGACCUCAAAGCUGUGAAACCUACCCAUGCCGAGGUGCAGUUUGGUCCAAGCAGGACAAUGCCUCAAACUCCUAAAAUGAUCCUCCAAUCCGCCUACAGGCAGAGCACUAUCCAUUACUAGUCUCAAACUGAACCCUGCCCAUAACGUAAGCGAGCAGUAAGUACAAAAAGUAGCUACUGUGAUUGGUGGUAAACUGACUCGGUCCUUAAGCUGCUGAGAGCAAGCACUCUACCAACAAGUAUGUGCCAAAGCACCUGCAACGAACAAGUAUGCCACCUGCUCCUCAGUAAUAAACAAGGUACCCGCCACAGGUACGGGGUAUAGAGAGAGUCCAGAAAGCUCUCUCCCGGCUAGGCACUUCUCUAUACCAACCAUGGCUCGCUCCCGCCAAGAACACAUCAAGGAGUCACACUCACCCAAAAAACACGUGAGAGUGUUCAAGGAAUCUGUUGACGCCGGAUUUUGACAUGUGUUAACGUCGGCAUCAAAGGAGAGGAAGGUGGUCGAUGCGGUAAGCAAGAAGCUACAGUUGGAGAAUCGGCCGAUAGAGCUACAGUGUUCCGGCCGAUUGGCCGAGGGAGUCAAUGAAGACUGGCCGAUUGGGAGCCAGAACGGCUUGGCCAAUGUGGACCUAAAAUGGGCUAGGGUGGUGAUUAGCCGAAGAUGAAGAUUGGCCCGUGGAAAAAUAAUAACCAACUCUGAUGCGGGUUGUGUUCGUGUGUAUAUAUUUGUGAUUAGAGAUAGAUCCGAGUCAGUUAGGAAAUCAGUUGUAACAGGGUAUAAAUAGGUGCCUUGUAAGGUUUGUAAAAAAUACAACUAUAAUCAAUACAGAACUACUCUUUCCAUGUACUUUACUUUCAAGUCGGCGACUUCGCCAAACCCUUUUCCUUUUCAUGAGUUCGUGCGAGGUUGCAGGGCUGCACGACCUUCGGCCAAUUUGUAAGUUCCACAUAUCAAAUAGUAUCUAAGCUUUAACUUCAGGAGCAUCGACGUUCUUUUUUUUAGAUUUAUUCACCUGUUACCGAUAUUAACUAGAAUUAUAGGUUUUACCUGUUGUUUUAGUUUUUAUCACCAGUUAUCCAGCUUGAGACACGAAUUGUCAGCUUUUUAUCAAUAUCUUUGUUUAUCACUAUAUAGCCGAUUAGAUUUGUUCCAAGUGUUGCUUUUGUAGCACUGUUUAGGUUGCUCUAGUGGUUUCUUUUGCAAUCGCUACGUGGUCAUCGGCUGUUUUAUAUCCGGUUAUCUCUACAGUAAAUUGGUUGAUUCGCUGAUACACACUUUGAAAUAGAUCGGAACAUCAGCCAAUCAAAACCCUAGACGCCUUUCUUUCCUUGUCAAUUAGCAUGUCAGAUUGACUGGCACGCCGCGCGAACCGCACCUGGGAGACAACCCGAACAGGAGCUAAGCAGAUUCUCCUGGGAUGUGUGUGCGACGUAGAAGCCGGAAUCUCCGUUCGAUUUUUAGUGUCAACACACUUUUGGCAUGCCCAGUGGGACACAAACAAGAUCUAACAUGUCGAAGGCUGCUGAAAUCUCGGAAGACAAUAUCAUGGAGAUCACUGAGGCAGAUCUGAAAGACGACCAGAGGGGUGAGCUGGCAAAGGCUAUGGAAGACUACAAAAAGGCAUGCCUGCAAUCCUACAGUCGCACCAGAAGCGGGGAACCCAUUAGAAAGACCGCUCUUCCGAAUCCUCACCACAUCACCAUCGCUAAAGACUCAGGGAAGAUGUUUGAGAUGAUCCAGCAGUCUGUCCAUCAGGCCAUGAUCGAUCAGUCCAAGGUGAUGACCCACACAGUGUACAAUGCCGUCAUCAGCUCCAUGGCCAAUGGCGUCGCUCAAGGAUAUCAGGGGCCAGCUUACGCCCCUCCCGUCACCUCACCGGUCAGAGGCUUCUCGGCGGAGCCUAACGUGUCUCAAUUGGCUCCUCAACCGAUGCAGAUGCAGAGUGGGGGGUACAACACCAUGAUACCCCUAGGUUAUAACGGUGCAACACCCUAUCAAUCGCAAGCGUCGUUUACCCUGCACCGGUCUCCCCCGUGCAGCCACUGUUUGUAACAUCAACGCAGUGGGGAAUGGCGGGAAUACCUGCCGAUCUAGAUCUGUCUACCAGUUACGGAAAAUCUCUGGUGUAGGCGUCGUUUCCAUCGGCCUCUCGACCGACAGCUCCACAGUACCAGCAGGCUACCCCGGAGGUCGGUAGGGGGGUAGGCGCUCCAGAUCCCCUCAGAACUGCGGCGCCGAUAGUAUUGUACGACAAGGUGGCAGAUGCACUACAUCAUGUUGAUCCCACAUGACAGCAGCCGUCAUCUCCUCAGCCGGUAGUCCAGCCGCAAGUCCUACAGCACGCUCCGGUCUAUCACCCAAUCACGGUGCCGCAACAGCAGCAUCAACAGUAGGUGGACUGGAUCACAGGAAUAACUGAUAUAAUACAGGAUCAGUUUGGAUUAAAGCCAAGAGUGCAGACUUAUAUGUACAGGACACCAUAUCCACCCACCUACGAUCUGUUGCCGUUCCCUCAUCGAUACAAAGUGCCAGACUUCACCAAAUUUUCAAGCUAAGAUGAAACAUCCACGGUGGAGCACGUUAACAGAUUCAUCAUCCAGUGUUGAGAAGCUGCUGCACAAGACACUCUGAGGGUAUGGUUGUUCUCGUCAUCCCUGUCCGGGUCAGCCUUUCAAUGGUUUACGACGUUGCCGCCCAACUCCAUCGUGACUUGGGCCAAUUUGGAGAAACAAUUCCGCAAGUGCUUCUUUGUAGGGGUCCAUGAGAUGAAGCUGUUAGAUCUAAUUAGCCUCAAGCAGAGAAGCGAUGAGUCGGUGGCUAGCUACAUACAGAGAUUCAGGGAGGUUAGGAACAAGUGCUACAUCCUGGUCUUGACCGAUGCCCAGUUGGCUGACACCACUUUCCAGGGACUCCUACCGCAUAUCAAAGAGAAGUACGCGUCCCAGGAGUUUGAGAGUUUGAGCCAAAUUGUUCACCGACUAUCCGACCAAGAGGUGUGCCCCUUUGAACAAUGAAGAAAUUUCCAGAAAAAGGUGGCAUACGUGGAAGGGUCCGAGUUAGAAGAAGAGGCAGAAAUCGGCCUAGCAGAGUGGGUUAAAGGGAAAAAACCAAUCUCAUGCCCAUUUGGUAAAAAGGAGCUGGAAACAUUCGACUUCGAUACAUCUAAGGCCUAUAAGAUCUUUGACUUGCUGCUACAAGAAGGACAAAUCAAGCUUUCACCCUACCAUACGAUUCCGUCGGCCGAACAACUCAAGAAGAUGAAGUACUGCAAGUGGCACAAUGCUACGUCUCACGACACCAAUGAGUGCAUAGUCUUUCGUCAGCAGAUACAGUCGACCAUCAAGCAAGGGAAACUUAAGUUCGAAGUCCCCACAAAGCUAACAAAGCUGAUGAAGAUCGACCAGCACCCCUUCCCUGCCAACAUGGUCGACGUUGGAAGGAACGCGCUCCAGACCAAGGUGCUGACGUCAGAAUCGGCUAGACGGAGUGGCGUGGUGGACUCCAGAAAUCAAACCUCGGUCGAAGAUGUUAAGGGAAAAGGCCGGGUGGAGACGGAAGGCAAAAGCUCGGAGAGGUCCCGUCAGCCUAUCACAUCUCGAGAUCUGCUCAACAAGUACCAGAGACAACGGGAGGACACGAGGCGCCGCGAAGAGAUGAUGCGUUGACACGAAGAUCAUUGGAGGUGUCCAUUCUUCAUCCAUUGCUGGGAAAACAAUCUCAGAUUGCCAUUGGCUGACAACUUCCCUGAAUGUAACGGUCAAUAUCACAGCAGCUGCCCAUUCAAGUGAUCACGCUCCGGGGAUCGAGGACGAGAGCUGAUUAGCAGAAAUAGGCUCAAGCAAGAAGAAUGGCCCAUUUCAGUGCAUGAUCGACUGGGGGGCAGAGUAGACCAGCGUAAUCGGCUGGGGGGCAGAGUAGACCAGCGUAAUCGGAUGGGGCGUAGAGCCAACGCGCAUGAUCGGUUAGGGGAAAUGGCCGACGCAAGGGUUUCUGAUGAGAAUCCGUUGGGCCGAGACCCGGAAUGGGAGCAUGCCAAGCCGCUGAGUAAACCAGUGAACUCUAGAUGGUGCCCAGAUGGUUUGACCAAGUCCCAGAAGAGAAGGGUCCAACGUUUGCACCAAUGGGAACAGCAAGAAGAAGAACAAGGCAAGCGGUAGACAGAAGAGGAGUCAAAUCUCAAGUUUGGCACCCUAGAAGAAAAGCUGAUGAAGAAAACGAUGAUCAGGAUUCGGCUCUUUACGUCAACAUGGUGUUCAUCUUGCCGAUGGAGUUCAUGGAUCCCGUCGACCACAACAAUGCAACAGAAAUAGAGGGGCAGAUGGCACAAUUGGCUUUGGAGACAAUGACCGCUACUUUUGAAAAACCUGAGGAUGAAAAAUGCCAGCAUCUCAAGGCUCUGUUCCUAAAAGGCAAGUCAACGGACGACCAGUCACUAAGCUGUUGGUGGACGGAGGCACUGCCGUGAACAUCAUGCUAUAUGCUAUGUUCCACAAGCUGGGCAAAGGGGAAGAAGAUUUAAUCAAUAUGGACAUGAUGCUCAAGGAUUUCGAAGGCAACAUAUCUCCGGCCCGGGGGGCACUCUGCGUCGACCUCACCAUCGGUAGUAAGACCCUACCCACCACUUUCUUUGUUAUUAAUGGUAAAGGGUCCUAUAAUAUGUUGGUCGGGCAAGAUUGGAUCCAUGCAAACUGCUACAUCCCAUCUACGAUGCACCAAUGCCUCGUCCAAUGGAUCGGUGACACCAUUGAAGUAGUCAUUGCCAACUCCGCUUACAGCGUUGCUGCAGCCGACGCGCAACAAUGGAGUUACAAGCACAUCAGAUGCAUAUCUAGCAGGACCUGGGACACUGAUUUCUUGAAAGUGUCCGAUUUCGAUCUACGUCCGAUCCAAGCAGUUGUCUCGGAAGAAUCAGAUUAAAUGGAUCAGUUCGUCCGAGAAGAUGGAAAGCUUAGGCACGGGUUUACGUCGACCAAUUCAUUAGAGAUGGUGGACCUUGGAGAUGGUAGCAAGCCAAGGCCGACAUAUAUCAGUGCUAGGUUAGACCCCAAGUACAAGCGCGAGUUAAUAGAUUUGUUAAGAGAAUUUAAAAAUUGCUUCGCUUGGGAGUAUCAUGAAAUGCCUGGUCUAGACUGGUCCAUUGUUGAACACCAGUUGCCUAUAAAACCAAGGUAUCGGCCAUAUCAGCAGCCCGAACGAUGUUGUAAUCCUAAAAUUCUAUCUGAUAUAAAGGCCGAAAUCACAAGAUUGAUUGAAGCGGGGUUUAUUCGGCAGUGUCGAUAUGCCGAGUGGAUUUCUAAUCUUGUUCCUGUAUACAAGAAAAAUGGAAAGCUGCGUGUAUGCAUUAACUUUAGAAAUCUUAACCAGGCUACACCGAUGGACGGGUACCCAAUGCCGACGGUAGAUGUUUUGAUAGAUGUGGCCGUGGGGCAUAAAGUCAUUAGCUUUAUGGAUGGUAACGCUGGGUAUAACCAAAUACUAAUGGCUGAAGAAGAAUCUCAAAAACGGCCUUCAGGUGCUGUGGUCACCUCGGCUUGUUCAAGUAGGUAGUUAUGACUUUUGGAUUGAAGAAUGCUGGGGCUACGUAUCAAUGGGCCAUGAAUUAUAUAUUCCAUAAGCUUGAUGGUGUCCUAGUGGAGAUUUACAUUGAUGUUGUCAUCAUCAAGUCAAAGGGGCAUCGACAGCAUCUGGCUGAUUUGCGCGAGGUAUUGGAGUGCACAAGGAAGCAUGGGUUGAAAAUGAAUCCAAACAAGUGCUCUUUUGGCGUUUCGGCUAGUCAAUUCCUGGGCUUCAUGGUUCAUGAGCGCGACAUUGAGAUCAACCAGAAGAUUAUAGCCACCAUCAAUAAAGUUGUGACCCCACAAGACAAAACUGAGCUACGGUCCUUAAUCGAUAAGGUGAACUUCAUCCGGAGAUUCAUAUCGAACUUGUCUGGGCGCAUUCAAGCUUUCACCCCAUUGUUGAAAUUAAAACCUGACCAAGAGUUUGUUUGGGGCGAGGAAUAGUAGAAAGCAUUAGAUGACAUCAAACAGUAUCUGGUUGCCCCACCGGUGUUGGUUCCUCCGCAGGCUGAUAAGCCUUUCAGACUAUAUCUAUCGGCCGAUGAGCAAGCUAUCGGCUCGACGUUGGUCCAGGAGUUCAAGGGAAAAGAAAGGGUAAUUAAUUAUGUCAGUAGAAGAUUUUUGAAAACUGAGACUAGAUACCCUCUGGUGGAAUGGUUGUGCCUUUGCCUAUAUUUUUCUUGUACCAAACUCAGGCACUACCUGUUAUCGGCAGAGUGCGUAGUUGUGUGCAACGAUAAUGUUGUCAAGUAUACGUUAUCUCUGCCAAUCUUGAAAGGGAGAAUUGGAAAGUGGAUUCUAGCCCUCUCGGAAUUCGAUCUAAGGUACGAAUUGGCCAAGGCUAUAAAGGGUCAGGUAAUGGCCGACUUCGUAGCCCAGCACUGUGGACCAGAGAUUACUGUAGUCGAACAAGCUCCAUGGAUGCUGUACUUCGAUGGAUCUUCAUGCGAGGCCGGAUCAGGAAUUGGCAUCAUCCUCAUAUCGACUCGGGGGGCAAGUUAUGAUUUCUCUUUGCUGAUUGAGGCGUCCGCCACUAAUAAUCAAGUGGAGUAUCGGGCUGUCUUAAAAGGUAUCCAGCUAUUGAGGGAGGUCAAGGCCGACGCAGUAGAAAUAUUUGGGGAUUCCAUGCUUAUCGUAGAUCAGUUGACUGGAAAGUGUGAGUGCAAGGAUGAUAUUCUAAGGAUUUAUCAUGAAGAGUGCCUCCAGUUACUGAAAGAGUUCAAGACAGUAAUUAUUGAACAUAUCCCCAGAAAUUACAACGAAGAAGCCAACAGACUUGCUCAACAGGCUUCCGGUUACAGGCCGAUUCAAGGUGCUAUGGCUCUGGAGCUUGCGGCCGAUGACUAGAGGAGAGAAAUUGCCGACUAUCUGAAAGAUCCAUCCAAGAAAGUCGAUCGGUGAAUACGCUUUCAGGCUACAAAAUACGUACUGCUUAUAGAUGAUUUGUUUUACCAAACAAUUGAUGGGGUAUUACUCAAAUGCCUUGAAGUAGAGGAAGCUAAAACUCUGAUGGGUGAAAUUCAUGAGGGUGUAUGUGGGGCCCAUCAAUCGGCUUAUAAGAUGAAGUGGAUGAUUAGAAAUAAUGGGUAUUGAUGGCCGACGAUACUUGAGGAUUGUUUUAAAUAUUAUAAAGGGUGUCAAGAUUGUCAGAGAUUCAGCAAUGUACAACGAGCACCGGCUUCGGCUAUGAACCCAAUAAUAAAGCCAUGGCCAUUUAGAUGCUGGGGAAUCGACCUCAUCGUUCAGAUCUAUCCACCGUCAAGUAAAGGACAUAAGUUCAUAUUGGUGGCCACUGACUAUUUCACUAAAUAGGUUGAGGCAGUUCCCUUAAAAGUCAUGACGUCGGCCAACAUGAUUGAAUUUGUGAAAGAACAUAUAAUUUAUCGGUUUGGUAUUCCUUAGACUAUUACGACACUAUUACAGCUGAUCAAGGGUCGAUGUUUACCUCUGGAGAAUAUGGGAAUUAAGUUGUUAAAUUCUUCUCCGUAUUAUGCUCAGGCCAAUGGUCAGGCCGAAUCGUCUAACAAGGGGGUCAUUAAAUUGAUUAAGAGAUAGAUCGAAGAACAACCAAGGAGGUGGCGCAUACGAUGCUGAAUGAGUCCUUGUGGGCCUACAGGAUGGCUUGUCACGGUGCCACCAAGGUUCCCCCUUACCAGUUAGUAUAUGGGCAUGAAGUAGUACUGCCUUGGGAGUUGAAGACUGGGUCUAGACGCACAUCACUUCAAGACCAGUUGACCGCCGAUGACUAUUCCGUUCUCAUGAAGGGGGAGUUGGAGGAUUUGGCAAGCCAGUGGUUGAGGGCCUUGAUUAGUAUUGAGGAAAGUAAGAAAAGAGUCGCCAGAUGGUAUGACAAGAAGCUCAAGGUCAAACAGUUUUCCCAAGGAGACUUAGUCUGGAAGUUGAUCUUGCCUAUAGGAUCUAAAGAUCCAAAAUAUGGGAAGGGCCGUACAAAAUUGGUCGAUGCGCGCCAGGUAAUGCAUACAUAUUUGAGACCCUUGAGGCAGAAGAAUUUACAAGGGCCCUUAAUGGAAGGUAUUUGAAGAAGUACUACCCUAGCAUAUGGGUAGAAGCUUAGCCAGUAAUGUAGCAUAUCAGGUUCUUACGGCCGAUACCUAUUGACCCACGUUCAUAUAGCUGAUACAGAGGGUAUCGCCUUAACGAUAAAAAAGUAAGAAAGCGUUCAUGCAAAUAGGCCAGUUAAUGUUCUGUACAUUAACUGGAUACAUGGCUGACAUGGUACAAGUCACCCUUAGAAUAAAAAGUACCAAUACACUCAUAAGUCAUAGAUAUUCAAAGGUGUUUCAGUUGGCCUUUUCUUGCGUUGAUCUCUUUCUGAAUCCUGCCCAGUUCAAUCAGAAGGUGGGUGUUUUUCUCCUCUAUUUCCGUCAUUGCAUCCUCGAGGGCGAUUUGAUGAGGUAGUUGGUGACUCCUUUCGACCGGCGGCUGGGUUGGCCUCCCGGAAGUGUUGGCUUCAAUGUUGUCUACGAUCUUCUUGAUAUGCGUGGGGAGGUGGUCCUUGAGUUCUUCGUGAUGAGCCUGGAUUAGAUCUUUGUUCGCCUGGGUCAGCGGUUCAUCGGAGUGCAUAAUUUCAAUUACUCGUUCGAGUUCGGGGAUGAGCCAGUUUGGCUGAAGGGAUAAUAGGAAAGUCAAUCAACAAAGCAAAUCAGUCAAGAAAUGAAGGAGUUAAUGUUGCACCUGAUUGACUGAGGAGGAAGAAGCCAUCCGGAUCCAUGAUUGGAGAUCUGGAAGCGUCUAUAGGGGGGAGUAUAUGGGUGUUAUGUGAGUGCCUCUAGGGAGGAUGUGAAGGUCUCGUAUUUCUAAGAUGAGAAGGCGAUGAGCAACGGUUAGUAAAGGAAGGUAUUCAAAGCAAAUGACUAUUGAGUCAAAAAGCUGUGGAGAAAGCCAUUCGGAUUCAUAUUCACAUAGAAACGUUGAAAGUGUUAAUGCUUUACAAGACAUUCAAAGGGUGUUCAAGUUUAGUACAGUUAUCUGAGGAGGGCAUUUAUGGCCUCAAUCGCCUGUAGGCAGAUCUGAUCUACCGAAUCUAAUACUCGCUAGUCGUCAUUGGCUGAUCCGGGGAUUUCUGGCAUGUUGCGGUUUAGUCGGAUGGCCACGUGAGCAAGGGUUUGCCUUUCCUGUUUUAAAUCGGCAAUGACGGCCGGGAGGUCUUGGAGCUUCUUCUCCUCAGCAGCGAUGGCCUUCACGACUUGCUCCAUCUCUUUGGCGAGUUCCGCUCUACGCCGUUUAAGUCGAUCUAUGGCACUGACAAUGCUUGGAUGGAAAUUUUCAAGAGCGCCGAUCCGGUGGUGUACCUCUUGAGCUUGGUGCUUAUAAGAUUCCUCUUCCUCGUGUGCCUUUUCCAGCUUGGCACGAUCAGCCAUAUUUCGCAAAGCUCUGAAAACUGGAAUUUGCAUCGACUCAAUAUAUGCCGCAGGCGCAAGAGCUUCUUCCACAUCUUCUGGAACUCGGCCUUUGAUUUCAUUGAAUAUACGCCGAAUUGGAGAAGCAUCCUCUACCAAUCGGCCGAUGUCGUCCUGGAGAAGGGCUCGUAUGUUCUAGAGCUUGGCACAGACCUCUUCUGGUAUUGAGCCCAAAGCUAUCUAGCGUGAAGCAACUUCCUCGUCAUCGGAGACUGCGACCGCGAAGGAGAAAAGGCUAUUGUUGGUCGUGUCUUGUUCCUGUGAGAAAUAAAGGGAAAGAGUGCCUUAACCGACAGGAGUAAAAAAUUGGCCGAUAGAGGUAGAGGUUCCUUACUUCUUUGAAACAGAUUUUCUCUGCUUGGGUUGGCAAGAUUGCUGCUCCCACUUCAGGAAUCGGUGUCGGCAGUUCACCAGAACAGGAGGAUUCAACAAUGAUUGGUGCGGUACUUGGUCCUGCCUCCUUGAGAAUGGGAAGAGAAGUUCUUAUGAGUAUGAAAGGAUAAUUGGAUCUGGGAAUGGGUUUUAGUUAUCUCACCUCUGAAAACCACACAACCAAUGUUUGCUUGAAGGGUACAAUCAAUGUGUUCGAGAUAUCUUGCGCCAGAGAUCAAUCAGUUUUAGUUAAAGAUUGGGGAAAUCAAGUGAAAAGCAUACUCUUCACCUCAAUUGGGAGGUUUGCUGGUGCAGUCUCUUCUUGAGGAUCGGCUGGUUGAUGAGUGGUUUGCUCCGGAAGAAGGUGCACAACCUAAUAAGAAGAGGUGGAAUUAAUGUUGACAACAUACUUAGAAGAGUUAGAGCAUGUGAGAUUACCGAUGCAACUUCCACCAGCAGAGAUGCAGCUGCUGAUCUAGCUUCUGAAACCACUUGGGGGUUAAUCUCCUGAAUUGUCGGCACGACUUCUGAUGGGGCUAGUAUGGCUGAGGGCUCGACCGAUGGCGUCGCCGAUUGAUCAACCGUCAGAGUUACUGUUGAUUCGGUACGGGCUCGUACUCGGCGGCUUGUCUUCUUUGAAGUAGACAUCUUUAGCUUAUGCUUCAAUUGACCGGUAGCAAUGUCCUCCAUUGAUGGUGCGUGAUAGCCAAUGAGUGGGUAAAGUGUGUACGGAUGACGGUUUUCUAUCGGCCUACCACUUCGGCUGCGUGUUAGAGGUGCCUGGCUAUCGGACUGCGCAAAGAGGGGGAGUCCGUAAUGAGAACCUUGUGGCAUAACGAGGUGAAAAUGAGAAAUCGAUCGAAAAGGUUUUGUUACCUCUGCAUUUGGGUCGACAUGAGCAGGGUCCAACUGAUUGCAAUAUACUGCAGGAGCUGUGCAAAAAAGAUGUUGCUUCCAUUUGGCCCACCAUAAUUUGAAUUGUUGAGUGGAGAAGGGUGCUACCAGCCAAUUGUUCAAGUCAAUAGUGCUGGAGUCUGGUAUCAAGCUGCAUAAUCAGUUAUAUUCAAACCCUCUUGAAAGUGACUCUCGAAACUUCACCCGGCCGAUGAAAUAAAUUCCAAUAGGCAUCUAUCCUAGGCCAAAUUGCCGGGCUACCACCGACAGGUUGUAGAAUUCAUACAUCGGGGAGUCCUUUCCAGAGAAGAAGUUUGCUGGCAAAAUCUCGAGCUUGAUAAAGAUCUCCAUAAUCCUGUCUUCAAAAGAAUUGGUGUCCAACUCAAAGCAAUCAGGAUUCUCAAAAAGUGAAUCCUCUCUCUGGUGCAGGUACCACCUCGUGGUCUCUUCACUGAAGCCGAUAUAAAAGCAUCUAAAAUAUUCGGCUGUCCUUGAGGGAGUGAGUUUGCCUCCUAGAAAAGAUGAUACGGCUUCUCUGAAGGAGGUACAGCAGCGCCUUGCUGUUGGGUUGGUCUCUGACUCGAUGUUGGGGAAGGUCUUGGUCUCGAUCCGUUCUCUGGAGAUUUUGCUCAUAUAUAAAUUAAGCUAAAGGUUAAUAAACCACCAGGGACCGCUAGAGUUCCGAAUGGGCUCUCCAAACGAUAGCUUUACAGCAAUCUGGUGCAUCAUGAAGUAAACCGACCCCAACAGAUGUUUUCCCAAAGGAAUAGUAGCACCUCUUGCCAGCGCUUCAGCCAAGGUUUGUGUGUUGGAGGUGGGGCCGACCGAUCUGCCACAGAAUAAGUGUUUUUAUAGCCACAUCAUCAAGAAGGCCGUAUACUGUCUGUUAGUAAUGGGUCUGGUCUUCAUGUUCUUUUCAAUGAAACCUUUCCAUCCGUCGAUGCCCUUUGUUUCCAAAUGGUGAGUUGGCUUGAUUAGAAGGUCAAAGGGCAUAUCGAUGCAGGAGACGUCAAGACCAGUCAACAUCAGGACAUCGGCCAGAGUGGGAGUCAUCGGCCCAUGGCCAAAAAGAAACGCAUUGAGGGCGUCGGACCAGAAGUAAGAUGCUGCAAUGAGUAGGGAGUCGUUCCUCUCCAUAUGAGACAGGGACAAAUUUAUACAGUGGUCGAUUUUCCCCUCAUCCCAAAAAACUCUCUUCGAGUUUGACAUCCUUAAGAACCAUUCUCUCCAACCGGGGGUUUCGUUCAGCCAAGACCUGAAUGUGACUGUCCAGUUAUUCAAAUCCAUCGUUGAUUGCUUGAAAGGGAUUCUGUGAGUUUCCAGAUUAAUCAGCUCAGUUGGAUCAGGGUUCCCCAUGGGGACAAGUCCGAUGAGGCCAGGAGCGUCAGAUAGGGGGAUGGUGAUUCUUUGCCUAAGCUCCUAAGAAGAUAUGAGAAAAAACUUAGAACAGAUCUAAGAUUCGCAGAACGGUGAAAAGUAAAAAAGGGAGAGUUUCGGGGAAUUUACCUCCGGGAUGAAAACCAUAGUGGCUGAAGGAAUCGCCAUUGGAGUUUGAGGGGAUAGCGCAAUUGAUCAAAGGAUGAGAUGGGCUCAUCGGAGGGCACUGGAAUGCUCCUAGAAGCGGAAUGGGCGCCGGAGUGCGUUGGAAGAUGGUUCACCGGGAGAGAAAACUUUUUAGCUCGGGGAAGAAGAAGAAGCGGAAGAGGUGAGUAUUUAAAAGAUGGUUUGAGAGAAGGGUAAAGAUGGGAUUUUUACCGCGUCGUCCACGCAAAUUUUGAAGAGAGUGGUUGCCCGCGGGCGCUUUAUUCAAGAAAAUGCAAUCAUUAAAGAGUAGACUCCGGAGCGAAAUGGGUUUUGCCAUGUUUACUAUUGCACUUUCUCCAAAGGGAAGAGUUGGAGUUGAGACACUCUGAAAUUGGGGGGCAUGUGUUGACGCCGGAUUUUGACACGUGUUAACGUCGGCGUUAAAGGAGAGGAAGGUGGCCGAUGUGGCAAGCAAGAAGCUACAGUUGGAGAAUCGAGCGAUAGAGCUACAGUGUUCCGGCCGAUUGGCUGAAGGAGUCAAUGAAGACUGGCAGAUUGGGAGCCAGAAUGGCUUGGCCAAUGUGGGCCUAAAAUGGGCCAGGGUGGUGAUUAGCCAAAGAUGAAGAUUGGCCCAUGGGAAAAUAAUAACCAACUCCAAUGUGGGUUGUGUUCGUGUGUAAAUAUUUGUUAUUACAGAUAGAUCCUAGUCGGUUAGGAAAUCAGUUGUAACAAGGUAUAAAUAGGUGCCUCGUAAGGUUUGUAAAAAAUACAACUAUAAUCAAUACUGAUCUACUCUUUCCACGUACUUUACUUUCAAGUCGUCGACUUCGCCAAACCCUUUUCCUUUUCACGAGUUCGUGCGAGUUGGCAGGACUGCAUCAACACGACCUCCGGCCAAUUUGUAAGUUCCACGUAUCGAAUAGUAUCUAAGCUUUAACUUCGAGCGCAUCGCUGUUGUUUUGUUUAGAUUUAUUCACCAGUUAUCGAUAUUAACUAGAAUUAUAGGUUUUACAUGUUGUUUUAGUUUUUAUCACCAGUUAUCCAGCUUGAGACACAAACUGUUAGCUUUUUAUCAAUAUUCUUUGUUUAUCACUAUAUAGCUGAUUAGAUUUGUUCCAAGUGUUGCUUGUGUAGCAUUGUUUAGGUUGCUCUAGUGGUUUGUUUUGCAAUCACUACAUGGUCAUCGGCUAUUUUAUAGCCGGUUGUUUCUAAAGUAAAUCGGCCGAUUCGCUGAUACACACUUUGAAAUAGAUCGGAACUUGAGCCGAUCGAAACCCUGGAAUUUAAUACCUUUCUUUCCUUGUCAAUCAAUAGGUCAGAUUGACUAGCACGCCGCGUGAACCGCACCAGGGCGACAACCUGAACAGGAGAUAAGCAGUUUCUCCUGGGACGUGUGUGCAACGCAGAAGCCGGAGUCUCCAUCCGAUUUUUAGCGUCAACAAAAUCCCAUCACCAAAUCCAUGGCAAAUGCCCAUCCAUAACUCAAAAGCAUGUAUAUGGAUAAAUGAGCGGUGGACUAGCUAGGGGUCGGUAGCUAGUCCACAAAAGUAGGUGAAUAAGGAAAACAUGAUAAACAAUUAUCAAGGUAGGACUAGAAACAUUGGCUAUGCAAUCCAUCAUCAUCAAGCAUUAUAAAUAAAGCACUAGCCACUAAGCAUGCAUAGGAUCUAUAUGAUUGGGAGUGACAUGACAUCUUGUCCGUAGUCGAUCGGGUCCUCCUCGACGUAGUUGGGGUCUUGAAGGUCUUCCUGGUCAUAGCUCGGGUCUGAACAGAACGAGAUACGAGGAAGCGGAAGCAUAAAUUAAAUGGCAAUAUAUCUAGGAAAAAACUCCAAGAAAGCAAGAUUUUGAAGAUCCAAAUAACACCAAACUAGCUACAAACAGCACGGGCUCAAUUUUACGAAUUUAAUGCAAUUGGUUUCAUAUUUUUUUGAGUUAAAAUGAACUAGUUAUGAAUUUUUAAAGAUUAAAGAAUUUAUUCAAUUAUUUAAUAAUUUCAGAAAAUAUUUAUUUCAAGGUGACACAUGUCAGCUCGGGAUUGGUCCAUGUGGUAGCCCUAGGGUGCCACUUGUCCAGCUGACGUCACGCUGACAUCAGCGUUGACCGGUCAACGAUCAUAGUGGGCCUGGCCUGGCCACAUUAAUGCCACGUGGUGCGUAUGUGGCAGCCACGUGGGCUGCGGCGGCAGUGUGGGCGUGCACGGUGCGGCACGCGGCGGCCGUUAGCGUGCACAGGCGAGUGAUGAGCUGCAAGCACGCGGGUGAGAGCGCGAGCGGGUGUGGCAUGCAAGGCACGGGUAUGACAUGACGCUGAGCGUGCGGGGUCUCAAGCGUAGGUGAGCGCGAGCGGCAAGCGCGGGUGCGGCGGCCCUUGCCCAGCCAAAGGCGGGGCCUUUGGUCGUGGCAAAGGCGCGGGUGGGAGGCACACGUGUGCGUGGGCACAGGGCUUGCCCUGGUCACGGCACAGUCGUGGUGGCGUGCAAGGUCCUGGCGCUACGGGCCGUGGCAGCCGGCGGCAAGGCGGCGAUGGCGGCGGCCUACGGUUACAGCUAUACUACCAAGGCAAAAAUAGAGAGAGAGAUGGGAGAAGUGGCUCACGGCGCGGGCUUGGUGGAGACGAUGGUGUUGGUGGCAAGUGGCGGUGACAGCUUCGGGCGGUGGCAUGCACGGCGCGGCUACAACUUUUCUCCCCAUGAACAACCUCCUCCUUCCUUCUUCUUCUUCCUCUUCUCCCCCUCUUCUUCUUCUCCUCUCUCCUUUCCUUCCCAUAACGCUCUUCUCCCUUUCCUCCUUGGUGGCGGUGGAUGGGCGGAGCCUGAAUGGAUGACGAGCGGGAGGCACCGGGGGUGCUAUUUAUACUGGCAAGCAGCUAGGGUUAGGGCUCGGUUAGGUGGUGGAGGCUUCUGGAGCAGCCGACAGUGCCCUAGGGGGUUGGUGGCGUGGCGCCGGCGACGUGGGCGGCCGGGAUGCGCCGGCGGCUCGGGCACGGCGGCGUGGCGUGCAUCAAGGGCUCCCAGCACAAAAGCGAGGCACGGCCGGGGGUCACGGGCGCGUGGGCGAGCGCGGAAGUGCACUCCAGCUCGACGCGGCACGAUGCUUGCGACGCGUGUGAGCGGGCACGGCGGUACGACGAGGUGGAGAAGAAGAAUAGUACAUGACUAACCUGUGGGCUCGUGGCGUUGACAAGAGAAGGAGGGAGUGGCCCAGGCGUGAGCUGGGCUGACUGUGGCCUACUGGGCUUGGGGGCAGCAUGGGUGAGUAGGCGGGUGAGCGCGGUGCGGCGAGCUAGGCUAGCAAACGCAGGUGCGCGCGCCGCACGUCAGGGCGACACGAGCUGGGCUGAGCGGUUAGCGGGCCGGCGAGCGGACCAGGUUAGCGGGAUGAGUUAGUUUAGGUUAGAUUUAUUUUUUUUUGGUUUAGAUUUUAGGUUUAAUUUAGUUUGAAUUCAAAAUUCAAACAACACUUAAGCAUGAACUCCAAAUGAAAUUCAAGAAGAUCCAAAUCAUGCCACACAUAUUUUUGAAAUGGAAUUUAGGGUAAGAGAGGAAAUAUCUAGCUUUUCAAAUGAGCACACAGUUCAAACAAGAAGUUUUAAAUUUUUGCAAAAAUUCACUCAUUCAAAUAUUACAAAUUUUGGAGUAUUACAGGCGCCCCCCCCCAAACCGGGGCCCUUGCUGAUGCAAGCCCGGGGCUUGCUGGUACAAGGGCCCCUUUUUUACUGUUUUAAUUUCAUUAAAAUUGUGUAUUACUAUUUUUAUUUAAUUAUAAUUGUGUCUUACUGUUAUAUUUAAUUAGCUUCAAAUAGUUUAAUUGUUUACUAGUAUGGAGUAAUUCAUUAUAAUUGUGUAUUACUGUUUUUAUUUCAUUAUAAUUGUGUACUAAUUGCUUUUAUUUAAUUAUAAUUAUGUAUUACUAUUUAUGUAAUUACUGUUUUACUGUUAAUUGAUAUUCCUAUUAAUAUGGAGUAAUUAAACUUAGAGUUAUGCUUCAAUAUUUACCUACAAUAAACUUAGCUUCAAAUAGCUUCAAGUAAUUUCCAAAUCCAUUUACCCGAUAUUCCUAUUAAUAAAAGACGCAAUUUCCCUUAUAAUAUGAUUCAUUUAUGCUACAUCACACUUUGAUGCUGAAUGAUUCAUUGAUGCUAUAUCAAAGUCUAUGAUACAAUUUUUAAUUUAAUGUAUCUAUGAUUUCAUGUGUUUAAAUUAGGUGAGAUGGGAGACGAAGAGGACACUACUAGAUUUUUAGCCUAUGGCAAGGGUGGAAAAAUGUGGCAAUAGGGCCAAAAUAGUGGCAAUAGGUAGCAUUUGCAUCAAUGUCAGUUUGGUUGGCAGCCGUUGCAAAAAACUUCAUGGUAAUAGGUGCAUUGCAAUGGGUUUUUUUAUUUUGGUGCAAUGUUAUGGUAAUUACCACACACUAGUUCAUUGCAUUAUAGAGUAUUGCAACUUUUGAUUCUGUGGCAUUAGCAUGUAUUGCCACGCAACUAGGCAUUGCUAUAGUAUGUAGUUGCAAUGGACUGACACUGUGGCAAUAUUGUAUUUGGCCAUGACCAACAUGGUGGCAAUAGAAUAUAUUACCACACAUAUUUUACGUUGUGACAGAUCCUACGGCAAUACAAUUUCUUUCGUGGAAAUAAACUAUAUUGCCAUGGAAACAAGUUUGGUGGCAAUAAUUUGUUUUGCAACGGAAAAUAUUUAGAAGCAAGAAAAUAUGUUGCAACAAAAUAUUGGUGAAGGUUAUUAAGUAUUAUAGCAUCUUUUUUCAUUUGUGGCAAUAAGUUGUUUUGUAAUGAAAAAUAAAUAGAGGUAAGAAAAGAUGUUGCAACAAAAUAUAGGCCGUGGCGCACUAUUUGUUUUGCAAUGAUAUAUAUUUAUGUCAAUAACUUAUAGCAACCAACUAGAAUUGUUGCAUUUAUUUCUUUUUGCAACAGGAAGAUGUAUUUCUUUUUGCAGCAGGAAGAUGUAUUUCUUUUUGCAACAGGAAGAUGUAUUUCGCAACACAUAUUGCAUUUUAUAUAUUUGGAUAUUGAAUCAUUUGUGCAACAAAUGAUUUCAUCAAAAUAUGAAUUGUAUCAUCAUGAAUAUAAAACGAAGCCAUCCUGACAAUCAUCAAGUAAAAGUGCCAACUACAUUCUCCAAAUCGAAAAUAGUUCAUAACUAGUGUUGGGUGAUCAAUAGUACUAAAUCUAUCUUAUGUAGACUACAGCAAGCAUGCACUGCAUUGAUUUUCCUUGUGUCGAUCAUGGCAUGACUCUGAAUCUGUGCGAUCCAUUCAAGAUGAAUGUUCCUGUUGAAAAAAAAGAAUGUAGUGUAUCAGCAAAAUUCAUGAGUAAGUCACAGCCACAUAUGCUGUCACAGCAAGAGCAAAGGUCAUUCAAUUCUGAUAAUAAGAAGGCAUUAAUUUGUCAUGAUUAUAUUAGUUAUAACCAAAAUAUGUUCAGUUAGAAAUAACAUUCAAUGCUAGAAACCUUCAGCUCUUAUUAGGUCACACACAGUUCAGCUCUUUAUAUUAUAACGACACACAGUUCAGGUCAGCGGUGGAUCCAGCGCUCUUUAACCUUGAGGCGUGAUUCAUUUACAUGAACCUUAUCAUUAGGUUUUGUAUCACCACAUGAACCUUGCUGCAGUUUUAUUCCUCAAAUACUGAACUGUAUCCAGUGACAAUGAAGUGAGGGCCAUGCUGGAUACUGAAUUGUAUCCAGUAUUCUUACAUGCUUGUUCAGGCUAUUACAAACUUGCAAUGCAAGGACACCAAAGUGUUUCCAGAUUACUACUAAAAAAUCCAUGAUGUCUAUGUUAAGACCAGUUGACUUACAUUUUCAUAAACUACAUCCUGGCUACUAAUAGUUUCUGCAUUAGUCUAGUGCUGCCAUGAUUGUUAUUAGCAAGACAGAUGUCUAAACUGUAUGAUUGUUGCACUGAAUUGUUGUUAGCUUUUGAUAAUGUAAUGUGAUCAUAUUUUACAGGAAUAAAUUAUAUUUCUAUAUGAUUUCUAACCAAGUACAACCCUUGUUUUGUGUAGAAAAACAAAGAGGCUACUGGAUGCAGCACAAGACUUUCUUGUACCGGGAUGUGAUCAGCUUGGUAUAUGGAAAGGACCAUGCAGCAGGUGAUGCAGUGUGGACUACAGCAGAAAGAUGAGAUGAACAAGGAACAGAGUGGCAACAAAGAGCCUACUUCAUCGGUAACUUCAGCGAGUUUUAAGAGGCAAAGGUCUGGUGAUUAUUGAACUUCAAUGAUGGCUGAAAAUUUGGAUAAAUUUACUGAAGCACUUAAACAAGAAGCACCUAAAGGCCCAACAUCCAAAGAGAUCCUUGAUUCACUAAACAAGAUAGACGAACUACAUGAAGACACUCUGUUGGACCUAUUUGAUAUUCUAACAAGUGACUAAUGCAAGUAUCAGUCUCCUUUGGCCCUACCAGUGAAGAUGAGAAAAAGAUGGCUGACAAUGGAUGGUAUUGGUAAGUCUCCAUAAAUUAUAGUAUAUACCUGACCUGUCAAGUGAAUGGAUGGUUUGCAUCCAGAUAAUCGGUGAAAGUUACCCAUUUCUGUUCGUGCGUUAUUUGAUAUUACUAGUGUAGUAGUGCUUUUGCAAAUUUAUGGCAUAUUUGAAAUCCAUAAAUUUAAGGCGUUGAGUCAGUCUGCUGCUGUGGUUGCUCCUUUGGGUUGUGUUGGAAGCUAAAAGCACAAGACCAGCAGCAGGUACAUCUCCCCGACCUCAUUACUGACCCCCUCACAUUGGUGCCUCAUUUGUCUAUGCAAUGCAAAUGUGACUCCCAGACUCGCGGCUGCCAGCCUGCCUUAUGCCCAGCAGCUAUGCAUGGCCUAAAGUCCAUACUACAGGCUACAAGCCCUGCUGAAUAAUGCAUGAGCACUUUGAUUUAAGGUAAAAAAAAGGUGUUGACAACAUUAAGAAAUUAUGUGAUAAACAAUAUAGGGAAGUUUUGACAUGGGAUUAUUUCUGUGCCACGCACAGAUCCAGCCCCCAUCACAGUCGAUUUCUGGAUCCGCCACUAGUUUAGGUCAUAUAGAGUUCGCAACAUAGAUUAGAAAUUAGAUUUGCUUUUUCAUACAUGUUGGCUUCUUGUGCAUACAUGUUUCGUAGCAGCAUUCAGUAGUUGAUGUCAAGUAAUAAAACCUCCUGCCAUAUUGCUUUUGCUGUUUUGAAAAAGACCUCGAGACACUGUACUAGUUCUAUAUUUGCUAGCAUUUUUGUCAAUUAUUGGCGUAGCUGCACUUGGGAUGAUGCUCCGUGGGUCAGUCUGCAUAGGAAAAACAAGUGGAAGGAAUUUUGCUACAAAACACAUUCCAAUAUGCUCAUGUGUGUAACAAAUAUCCAAAUUGCUUUUACCUGAAGUAAUGGGGUUUGUCUCUAUUCUACAAUCUUUGAUAGCAACUCUAACAUGAUUUCUUCCCUAAGUGCUUGCCUUUUCCUUUUCUCUUCUUGUUGAAUUUGUACCAAUUUUUCUUCAAAUAUCCUUUCCCUUUCAGCCUUUUCAUUUGCAAGUUGUUCUUCUAACUUGUCAACCUUAUCUUGGAGCACAUUAUUUCUCUGGUUGGCUGCAUACUUCAAAGUAGACUAUGUUCGGUAAAGAGUGCUACUGCCCAAACAUGAAAGGCUGAAACUAUUUAUAGAACCAAACAAAACCUAACAUUAGUUGAUUUUUUUGGACAUAGAGAUUAACUUCCACGAAAGCAUAGUGAAAAUGAUCUACAAAAGGACAUUGUAUCUAAUUUUCUUCCACCCAAAUGCAUAUGACUAGAAGUAAUUAAGCUUAGAAUCAAAUUAGGGCACAGGGAACUAACCUCGUUGGGGGAUUAAGAAAUCCUAACCUCAUCCCCAUGAUUGAACCCUACAGAACGAAGGCCGUUGUUGGUUGCAUUUGGAGCUGGAGCCCCUUGGUCGGCGGUGGCAGCAUGAGGACCAGGAGACCCUUGGCUGCCGGCAGCGUGAACAUCAUAAGCACCACAGUCACCGGCGGCGUGAAGAGGAGUCUCGCGACCGGCGGCGUGAAGAGGAGUCUCGCGACCGGCGGCGUGAAGAGGAGUCUCGCGACCGGCGUCGUGAGGAGUAGGAGUGUCAUGGCCGGCGGCAUCAGGUACAGGAGUGUCGUGGCCGUGCGGCGCGAGGUGGAGCAGGAGUCCAUCGGUUUGCAGUCUCCAUCGGGAGGAAUAGAUGGAAACGGUGCCCCCUCCCACACGUAUGAGUCUGGCGAUUUUAGGGGAAGGAUUGCCGGCCUUUUAGUAUAUCUACUCUGGAAAAUAUGGAGGGGAAAUUAGGUGGGGUGGUGAGAAUCGUGGGAAAAAAUUGGGGAGAAGAGGUGGGAGAGGUUUAGGGCCCCUUUGGUAGCAUGCGCGCGGAUGGUAGGGGCCAAGCGGCGGAUGGUGCGAUGAGCGAUGAGCGGGGCACGAGGCCGAGUGCACCGGCGUGCGUGCGUGGCGCGGCAUUGGCUAGCGGGUAGGGGUCGGUGCAGCGCGGGCAUGGGGCUGGGGGGCGCGGCAGGGAGGUGGCGGUGUGCGGUGCAGCCAUGGCGCGAGGCGGGGUGCACGCGUGGCGAGCGGCAGGGCAUAGGGCGCACGGUGCGGCCAGGGGCGAGCGGGGCGUGGGGCCAGCCUGGUGGGAGCGCAGCAGGGUGCAAAGUGGGGCUGGGGCACGACAGCGGUGUGAGGUAGUGCCGUGGUGGUGCCCCUGUUCCAGCAGCACUAGUAGAGAAUUGGCUUUCGAUUCGCCCCCUUUUGUCCCGAUUUAAAGUUGGCCCGGGACAAAAGGGGGUGCGCCACGGUAGGCAAAAUUGGAGGGGAGCUUUACUCCCGGUUGGUAAUUGCAACCGGGACUAAAGGCCCCCCUUUAGUCCCGGUUGCAACGGCUAGCUGGGGGGUGUCGGUGGCGGGACCCUUUUAUCCCGGUUGGAGGAUCCAACCGGGACUAAACUUCCAACCGGGACAAAAGGUGUUCCUUUUUGUCUCGGUUGGAGUUUUUAACCGGGAUAAAAACUCAUCCCCAUUAUAUACGGCCAAGACAGAGGACUUUCUUCCUCCUCCAGCCCGAGCCAGUCCAGCACAUUGACAGAGAGAGCUGAGCUUCACCUACUCUCCAGUGGUGCCGAAGCAAGCAAGGAAGGUGCUGCCCGAAGUUUUUUCCCUCAUUUUCGUGGGAAUUUCACUCAGCCAACACAAGUGUUGCGAAGGUUUGCUACUUCAUCCUCGUGUUAUGCUUUGAUUUAUGCUUUGGAGAUGGAAAGAUUAUUUGCUACAAUGUGAUGAUGAAGUAGAAAAAUGGAGAGGUAUUUUAAGCUAGAAUGUGAGGGAGAUUGAUGUGUCAUAUAUAGUAUGCAUUAUUGCAGUGGUUUAAAAAUGAUGCUACCUUGUCUAGACGGUUUAUCUUAUCAAAUUCAAUAUGGUUUUUUAAAUCCAUAUACUUGUUGAACUUGCAUACCGUGUUCAUUUCGGCGAGAAUGUUCUCCGCCGAGCAGCAACGUAUGUCAAGAAGGAGGUUCGAUUCUACGAGAAGGAGUGGAUACGGACAUCGUGACCGUGUCCCCUUUUUCGUAGCAUCUAACCUCUUUCAUGACGAAGUGCGGUGCCGCCCAGCUGAGGACAUCCUCGCGAAAUGAACACGGUCUUCAAGUUCAACAACUUCUGUAGUGGUAAGGAAAGAAUGUUUGUACAUAGAUGACUUCUGCUACUUGUUGAACUUGCAUACCGUGUUCAUCUCUCCGAGGAUGUUUUCCGCCGAGCAGCAACGUAUGUCAAGAAGGAGGUUCAAUUCUACGAGAAAGAGUGGAUACGGACAUCGUGACCGUGUCCCCUUUUCCGUAGCAUCUAACCUCUUUCAUGACGAAUACCGGUGCCGCCCAGUUGAGGACAUCCUCGCGAGAUGAUCACGGUCUUCAAGUUGAACAACUUAUGCAGUGUUAAGAUAAUAAUUUUUGUACAUAGAUGGCUUCUGCUACUGGAGGAAGUGGCGAUGGUGGGGACGAUCGUGGUUCCUAUUAUGGCAAGGUUCCAAUCAUAGUUGGACCUCAGCAUAAGCCGAAGAAAAAGAGCGCGCUGGAAAAAGCAAUGCUUCGUUAUUUGCAGCAACGUCAUGAAGAAGCUGUUGCCGCGGGUCAGGAACUUCCUUUUGGUGGUCGUUAUGCUCCACCCUCAAUCCCGGGUGUUUCACGUCCACUUAGUACUACCGUUUCAGGCGGCACAAAUAAACCUAAGGAUGAGGUUGGGUCAGCGGAACCUUCGUCUUCACCGUCCAAGGAUGCUUAAAGUCCUCCUUGAUAAUAACCAGUGGAUGGCUUGUUGUAUUGUAUCAUGUUGUUUGGGACUUUAAUUUAAAUAUGUGUAUUUGGAUCUUCAUGUUGUUGUAUUGUACCAUGUUGUUUGGAUCUUUAAUCAAUUUUCACGCGUAAUCCAUUGUCAAGUGUAAUCCAUUUUCAUGCGUAAUACGAUGCAGAUGGACCGGCAAUGGAUGUAUAAUGCAGACAGGCGGAGCAAGGCGUUUAUUGAUGGCUUGCAUUAUUUUCUCGAAGUGGCAAAAGCGAACAAGCCAGAGAAUGGGUUCGUAUGUUGUCCAUGCUUCCAAUGCAAUAACAGGAAGGAGUAUUCAAAGGAUUCCUGGGGGACUAUUCACAGCCACUUGUUUAAAUACGGUUUCAUGCCUAACUAUUUGGUUUGGACCAAGCACGGUGAACUAGGGGUUGUAAUGGAAGAUGGAGAGGAGGAGGAGGAAGAUGACACCAUUCCGGACUGGGUUGCAGGCCAAGCUUUUGCAGGUACUACAAUGGGCGAGGCUGAUGAAGAUGAGUUUGCAGAAAAUGACCCUACUGAUGACCUUGGUCAGGUGAUACGAGAUGCAUACAGAGAUUGCGAAACUUAGAAGGAAGCAGCAAAGUUGCAGCGCAUGAUAGAUGAUCAUCAAAAAUUGUUGUACCCAGGUUGCCAGCAAGGCCAUAAAAAACUAGGUACGACACUAGAAUUUGUGCAAUGGAAGGCAAAAAAUGGUGUGUCCGAUAAGGCAUUUCAGGGGAUGUUGAAUAUUGUCAAGAAGAUUCUCCCCGAGAAUAAUGAAUUACCGUCCACAACAUAUGAAGCUAAACAGAUUAUUUGCCCUCUCGGAUUGGAUGUUCAGAAGAUACACGCAUGCCCUAAUGACUGUAUCCUCUAUCGUGGUGAUGAAUACGAGAAAUUGGAUGCUUGUCCCGUCUGCGAAGCCCUGCGGUAUAAGAUCAGGCGAGAUGAUCCUGGUGAUGUCGAGGGGCAGUCUCCCAAGAAGAGAGUUCCCGCGAAGGUGAUGUAGUAUUUCCCUAUAAUACCACGCUUGAAGCGCUUGUUCAGGAACAAGGCGAAUGCUAAGUUGAUGCGAUGGCACAAAGAAGACCGUAAGGAAGAUGAGAUGCUGAGACACCCCGCAGAUGGGGCACAGUGGAGAUCAAUUGAUAGAACAUUANNNNNNNNNNNNNNNNNNNNNNNNNNNNNNNNNNNNNNNNNNNNNNNNNNNNNNNNNNNNNNNNNNNNNNNNNNNNNNNNNNNNNNNNNNNNNNNNNNNNUGAGUUGAGUAGUGGCCAUAGUACUUGGCCUGUGACCCUUUGUAUGUUCAACCUUCCUCCUUGGCUGUGCAUGAAGCGGAAGUUCAUUAUGAUGCCGGCGCUUAUCCAAGGCCCAAAACAACCCGGCAACGACAUUGACGUGUACCUAAGGCCGUUGGUGGAUGACCUUUUACAGCUCUGGAAGGAAGAAGGUGUACGUGUGUGGGAUGAGGAUAGACAAGAGAUCUUUAAUCUACGAGCACUGUUGUUCGUAACCAUCAACGAUUGGCCUGCAUUGAGUAACCUUUCAGGACAGACAAAUAAGGGAUAUCGGGCAUGCACCCACUGUUUAGACGACACAGACAGCAUGUACUUGAAGCACUGUAAGAAGGUCGUCUAUAUGGGUCAUCGUCGAUUUCUCCCUGCUCACCACCAGCUGAGAAAGAGCGGGAUGCAUUUCAAAGGGGCGCCAGACCAUCGUAAAAACCUGCACACCGUAAUGGAAAGCGUGUGUUCGAGAUGAUGAAGGAUGUAUAUGUAGUCUUCGGAAAGGGACUUGGUAGCCAACCUGUUCCGAACGAUGAUAACGGACAUGCACCCAUGUGGAAGAAAAAGUCAAUAUUUUGGGAGCUACCUUAUUGGGAAAUCCUAGAGGUUCGCAACGCAAUAGACGUGAUGCACCUGACGAAGAAUCUUUGCGUGAACGUGCUAGGCUUCAUGGGUGUUUAUGGAACCUCAAAAGAUACAUUGGAAGCACGACAGGACCUGAAAGCCAUGGGGCAACGAGAUGACCUACAUCCAGAAAAGAGAGAUAAUGGACAGCACUACUUAUGUCCUGCCAGUUACACUCUCAGCAAACGCCGAUUAUUGCGAACGGACCACCUACUAGAAACGGNNNNNNNNNNNNNNNNNNNNNNNNNNNNNNNNNNNNNNNNNNNNNNNNNNNNNNNNNNNNNNNNNNNNNNNNNNNNNNNNNNNNNNNNNNNNNNNNNNNNCUUGUGGGUGACAAAGAAAAACCAAAAAAAAGACCAUAUGCCGCCUCUUUUGAAACCUGCAACAAAAAAAAAAUGGGCCAGACACGGUUCAUGGAAAAAAUGAGAAAGAAUGAAAACACGUAAGCGUUUAUUUCGGUGCCAUACAUGUCCUGAUAAAACCCCCCCCCCCUUUAUUCCCCAAAGAAAUAAGAACCCCCCCCCCCUUUUUAUCCCGGGUCGUGACGGCACCCGGGACAAAAGGCCCUUUUGUCCCGGGUGCCAUUACGAACCCGGGAUAAAGGGGGGGGGGGUUAAAAGGCACUGUACUCCCUUCUACCCCCCGCCAGUUACACACUUAGCCAAAUUUUCGCCAAGUCCCGCGCGUUCUCCGCCGUCGCCGCCCGUCCGCCUCCCUCGCCGGCCGCCGCCGUCGUCGUCCCCCAUUGCGCCGUCGAUGUCCCCCAUUGCGCCGUCGUCGUCCCCCGGCUGGCCCGCCUCGAUCCCCUCCUCGUCCGUCGACGCGCCCGGCCCCCGGCCCCCUCGUCGCGUCCGGCCACCGGCUCCACAUCCUCGUCGCCGGCUCCAUCCUCGUCGCCCCUCGUCGCCGUCUCGUCGCCGUCCUGCCUACGCCGCCGUCGUCGUCGUCGCCUCGGUCGCUGUCGUCCUCGUCGCCUCGGCAGCUGCCGUCCUCGCCGCCCCGGUCGCCGCCGUCCCGCCGCCCGGCCGCUGCCGUCCCGCCGCCCCGGCCGCCGCCGUCCCGCCGACCCGGCCGCCGCCGUCCCGCCGCCCCGGCCGCCGCCCCGCGCGCGAGAGCUUCGCUGCCGCACCGGCCGGCAGCGCCGCUGGGAGGGUUUUCUUUUUAGGUUAGAAAAUUAAGUUUUAUUUUUAGAUAGAUUUCUAAUUUUGUUAAGUUAGAUUUUUAGAUUUCUAAUUUUGUUAAGUUAGAUUUUUAGAUUUCUAGUUAGUUUGUUAAGUUAGAUUUCUAGUUAGUUUGUUAAGUUAGAGUUGAUACAGAGAAAAUGAAGUUAGAAAUUCGUAGGAUGCACCGCCGUCCCCUCCGCCGUCCCGCCGCCGUGAUCGCCGCCGUCCCGCCGCCCGUCACAACCUAGUUCCGGUGAACCGUCCCCGCCUCCGCCGUACCGUCACCGCCUCCGCUGUCCCGUCCCCGCCUCCGCCGUACCGCCGCCGUCCCGCCUCCGCCGCCCUGAUCGUCGCCGUCACAACCUAGGCACCGCACGUGGAUAUUGUUACAAAUUCGUAGAAAUUCGUCAAAAUUCGUAGAAAUUCGUAGAAAUUCGUCAAAAUUCGUAGAAAUUUGUAGAAAUUUGUAGAAAUUCAUAGAAAUUCGUAGAAAUUUCUAGAAAUUCAUACAAAUUCGUAGAAAUUCAUACAAAUUCGUAGAAAUUCGUAGAAAUUCGUAGAAAUUUGUAGAAAUUCGUAGAAAUUUGUAGAAAUUCAUAGAAAUUCGUAGAAAUUCGUAGAAAUUCAUAGAAAUUUGUAGAAAUUCGUCAAAUUCAUAGAAAUUUGUAUAAAUUCGUAGAAAUUCGUAGAAAUUCAUAGAAAUUUGUAGAAAUUCAUCAAAAUUCAUAGAAAUUUGUAUAAAUUUUGUAGGACUUUGUACAAAUUUGUAGUAAGACGAUUUCUAUGACUGUCAUGUAUGAUUCCAUGUAUGUUUCCAUCAAUAGUUGAAAUGGCAGACGAUGAGAUCGCAAGGUAUAUCAUGGAGCAGAUAAUCGCUGGUGAUGGUAGUGGAGACAACGUUCCACUAUCAUACACGGAUGAAGAGGGCACCCAGGCGGACAUGUUCCUCAACAUGUCCGCCGAUGGGAAUGAAGAGCAACAGCCGCAGCAACAACUUGCCGUGGCGGAAGGUUCCGGCGAGGUAUAUACAACCAUUCUUGUAUUGUUUCACGCCACCAUUACUACUACGUACUAAUUAACGAAUCUUGAAUUGUUAGCCCUCCGGAUCGACACAAGGGCAGAAGACCCGAGGUCGUACAAAGGUGAUGGAAGGGAGGCUUGUCAUCACCGAAGUUACAGAAGAGGGCAGGCCGGUUGCUCCCGAGAAAGUAGCAAAGAAGUACGUGAGUCAAAUCGAGGCAAUCGUCCGGGACAACGUGCCUAUCAGCAUCAGAGAAUGGAAGGGCAGAAGCACUAAUCCGUAUGCCCUUCCAGAGACAGAAAAGAAUAUGCUGUGGGAAGACGUGAAGAGACAUUUCACAUUCCCCAAAGGAUAUAGUGAGAAGGAUGUCAAAGCUUGGACGCUUAAGAAGAUGGCUACUCAAUUCCAGACAUUCAAGAAGAUGCUGGAUACCCACUACAUCAAGAAGGGCAAAACUCCAGACUUCAACGCGUGGCCAAAGUUGAGGGACCACUGGGAUGCAUUUGUUGAAUACAAGAGGAGUGAAGAAGAUGUGAAAAAGAUCACGACCAACAUAGCAAAUGCUAGUCAGAAGGGCUACCACCAUCAUUUGGGGUGAGGUGGGUAUGGCUCAGCAAUUCCCAAGUGGAGGAAGAUGGAACAAGAUCUGAUCGAACGGGGAAUCGUACCUGCAACUAUUGAAUGGCCCGAACGAUCAAAAAAUUGGUACUACGCUCAUGGAGGCUCCCUAAGCCAAGAGGAUGGGACGUUGAUUUUCAAUGACACAAUACGUGAGAAGGCCGAACAUCUCAUGAAGAACAUUGAAGAUUCCAAGGCUAGGAGGUUGAAGGUGGACCGAGAAAAUGAUGAGCUCACAUUGGCCCUCGGUAAUCCAGAGCACCCAGGACGUUGCCGAGGGUUCGGGGUGGUUCCGUGGAAGUUCGCUUUCCGAGGCGACAGCGCCUCUUACAGAAGCUGGAAGCGAAGAAAGGAACAGAUCGAGGAGAGCUGGCGGCAGAUGCUAGAACAAAGAAUGAUGGAUGAAAUCAAUCGGCGGGUGGCCGACGCAGUUGCGGAGUUGGACCAAUCUGGAGCAAUGCCGAUUCCUAACACCGCCAGCCCUUCUCAACGCCUCGGGAGCAGUUGUGCUUCUACAGGGGUCCCCGAUGCGCAGACGCCCAGGUUACCCGUGGAGGAGCAACGAUUCCCCGUGGAUGCCAUCACGCAAUGGACCUCAUGUGAGUUGCAUGCACCGGUCGGCAACCUAACUAUUAAGGUAUACUUAUACAUAAUAUUUAUGCAAUCUUGUCAAUUGAUCCAGGCCUCGAGAUCGGAGUUCAACUUGUUUACUUCUGCUAUAUGUACAGGUAGCGUACGGGAGUGCAUUAGCAACCCUGGCAGGGCAGAGCAGUCAUGGCAUGGACAUUCCAACAGGCUACGCCAGCGUCUGCGUCGAGCAAAUAGUUGAUCCCCAGUAUGAAGGUCUAGAGCUCGACUUCCCGGGAGGCGACGGGGAAAAGACAUUGGCAGAUGCGCUUCAUGGGAUCAUUCUAUGGAAGAAACGCUACAUCAUUAUUCCCAGCACGGAGCCAUCUCCUCAGACCUCAAGACCGCUCCCUGUAGAUCCCCAGCAGCGACCUUCUCCUCAUACCUCGAGACCGGCAUCUCCUGCUCCAGGACCGUCCCUUCCAUCUGUAUCAAGGUCUCCAUCUCCACCACAUCCUGGUGCUAGGAGCGACGACGACAAUAACAACACCCCUCCCCGAUCACCGUCGCCGGCACCAAGAGCGGCCCCCUUGAAGGAACCUGCAGCACCACUAAAGAAGUCACGAGCACCGCCUCCCAAGCAAAGACAGAGAAAGAAGAAAACAAAGGAGCCUGAAGUGACUCGUAAGGAACGCUGGGAGGCAAUGUCUCAUGAAGAACAGUGGGCAGAAAUCCAACGAGAGGCCAGUGAGUGGUUCAAGAAACAAGCCGAAUUAAAAAAGGCAAGGGAGAUGGAGCCACCGCCAGUAAGUCGGCGAGAUUUAAACUUUUUUAUCAGGAUGGAAGAAGGAGCCAAGAAAAGGAUACCACUCUUGUCAAACUAUGAACGAGCUCUAGUAAAGGCUGAUGAAAAGGAUAAAAGGAAAGGAAAAUCAUCCUCCAGCGGUCCAGUCCCCGACCUCAGCCAUUUAUCAAAAAAAGAUGCUCAACGGGUAAAAGCAAUGCCCUUGGAUCAACAAGCAAAUGUAUUGAAGUUCAUGGAAGAAACAGGUCUGGGACUUGAUGAAUGCAUAGGGCAAGUUGAGACGCCAACUGCACCGCCCCCUGAGCCGAAGUGGCCUUAUGAGCUAGGCAAACCUCUAGUAAAGCCUUCAUUGGUACGGAAGCUAUCAACAAAGAUGUACGAAUUCCAUCAAUGGUACAUGAUGGCAUCCGCCGACUCGAGGGAGAUGAUCGGCAUGAAGGUAAAACCGAUAGAUUUUCACGGUGAAGGGGAGAAAGUGCUGUGGCUAGACUUCAAGGAUAUAUACGAAGUGUACCAUCAUGAUGCCCUGGACGUCUCUCUGAUCAGCGCUUGGAUUCUGUAAGUGUCCGUUUAUCUCUACAUGUAAAUUUUGACGUGCGUCACCGUACUAACUUCAUCUUCCAUUUCAUGUAGGAUGCUAAUUCAGACAUGCCGCCGAGAUGCGUACCUACAUAUAGGCUUCAUGGAUCCAUCUGUAGUUAACCAACAACAGAUACAAUUAGCGCCGGAAAAAACCUUUGAGGAAAUAUACAAUUUCCUACACAAACAAACAUUCAAGGAUUUCAUACUACUUCCAUACAACUUCAAGUAAGUGUGUGUAUACCGUCUACUUUCGAUGUCUUUUUCCUUAUCUCUACAUGUUAGUUAGCUCUAAUAUGCAUGAACAUUUUACGCACGCAGCUUCCACUGGAUCCUUAUUAUAAUUGAGCCUGAAAGAAGCCACGUCACUGUCUUUGAUUCGUUAAGGAAAGAUCUGGUGGACUACCAAGAAUUGCAAGACAUGCUAGGCUUGUAAUAAUUCUGGACCUUUAUCUCUAUGCAAAAAUUUAUUUCCUAAAUUUUAUCCCUGUUACACUAUGUCAUUCAUUAUUCUAAUCCGCAGCGCAUGGAAACAAUUCAUAAGGACACACAAAGGUCCAUUCAAAGAAAAUCUUACAUGGAACAUAGACUUCCCGGUACGUAUGCAGUCUGCACAUUUAUUACAUUGUAUAACACGAAUAUUUCAUAACUUAUUUUUUUCCGCACUGAAGUGCUUAAGACAGGAACCCGGGAAUAAUCUAUGUGGCUACUACAUCUGUUAGCACAUGCACAAUUUUUUGGGACCCAAGGGACCGAAGAUGACGCCGCACAACUUUAAAGUACGUAAAAUAAAUAUAUUACUAGUUAAUUAUUUUGUAGCUCCUUAUAUGUAUUUGUUCAUGUAACAUUCACAAAUUUCAAAAUUAUAGAUGUUAAAUAUUCAACAAGGACUCUUGAAGGAAGAAAGAGUAGCGGCAAUAUGUGAAGGUCUCAUUGGAUUCAUAAUGGACGAGGUGGUAAAUCCAAAAGGAGAAUUUUAUUACGAUGGACGACAAUUAGACACUCCGAUCAGCAACACCACGACGGGAAGAUUGUAGGAAGAUACUUUGAUUUAUUUGUAUAUAUAAUACGCGCUAAUUAUGAUCGAUUUGUACUAAGCUAGUUGAAUUGUGUAUAUGAAUUGUGUAUCAGGAUUGUGUAUAUAUAUAGUAAUUGUAUAAUUACAAAUCCCAUUCGUUUAAAUACUAGUUGAUUUCGUUCUAAAAAAAUCUCAACUACAAGGUUAACAAAUUAAAAGGGCCGCGGUACUACGUAUACGUGAUGCAUGCAUGAAAAAUUCAGGCAUCACGGCAGUGCCAUGCAAGCGCCAUUUAGUCCCGGUUGGAAUCGAGCCGGGACUAAAGGGGGACCUUUACUCCCGGUUAAAAGAUCCGGGACUAAAGACCCCCCCUUUUGUCCCGAUUGGUUUAUCCCGGAUGGAUUUUCGAGAGAUAUACACCCUACCAACCGGGACUAAAGGCCAAUUCUCUACCAGUGCAGGUAGAUGGAAACAGCGCCCCCUCUCAAUCUACUCAGAUGGAGAAGGCAAUGGAAGCAGAUCUCGGGGAGACAGGGAGGUUAAUGUACAGGUGGGAAGUUGAGCGACACGAUUUAAUCGCUAAUCUUGGGAUGCGCUGGCCAUUAGGUGGGGAAUAACUGCAAUCAUCUUGGCGGCAUGUGAAUUUUUAGCUAAAUUCAUUGUGGCAGGUGAAUUUUUUCAUUGUGGCAGGUGGCAAAUUGAAUGUACCAAGUUAAUGAUUUUAUUUGUAUGCAUGAGAAUAUUUUUUUUAAAUAUAGUUUGACAUACAUCUAAAAAAAUUACUAAUUAAUAAGUUAUUGAUAUUCAUGACUACCCAUAUCUUAUAACAAUGAUUUUAUUUUGAAGCAUUGGAAAUCUUUAAUAUUAUCAUAUUCAUACUCAACGAAAGAAGAGGACCAGAAUGAUAUAUUGAUAGAGCAAGUGGCGUGCUAUGGUUGGACUUGGUAUAAUAAUGGCUUUCAGAGUGGCACUCAUUCGGAAGUAACGACAAAAAGAUACGCUAAUAGACCAAGUGAUGUGUUACAGUUUAGGCUCGAUGUUAAUAAUAAUCUGAAAAAGAUGACAGGAAAGAUAUAUGAUGGACGGUGCAACUUGGAUGAUUGUCUUUGAUACAAGUGACGUGGAUGUACCUGUCCGGUAAAUAAGGGAGCUAGCGGCGUGAGGGGUGGGGUCUCGAUGCCAUCGCCAUAGGCCACCGCUUCGACGAGUGAGCAAGCAUCUGCUAUCGACAAGCUGCUCCGUCAGUCGUGCACGGGCAUCCGCUACGGAGUUGCUGCUUCGUUGCGCCACUCUUGCUGUUCUUGCCAACUGAACCGCCAUCGUCCUCGUUGCUGAUGCGGUGAGCUCGCGAGGUCAAUCCCUCCCUGCCACCUGGAUCGUCUUGGAAGCGGAGCUCGCAUGAGGAGGAGGCAGGGCCUGAGACGCAGCCACACGAUAUGGUAGACGCGAAGCAGGCUGGAGCUUGGCUGCCACCGCGAUGAUCCGUUCCUCGACCUCUGACGCAUAUAGGAGUCGGGUGUCGGAGCAGGGAGAUGGGAGAUGGGAGGUCGAUUUCAACAAAUACGGAGGAGGAACGUUCGACACUGUGGAAAGGCCUGCUGUAAUACGCCCAAUACGGCUUGGUAUUGGAAGGGUUUUUCAAAUUCCAAUUCCAUGAACAUCCAAACUAAGAUAUUGAGUGUACCCAAUACCAAUUCCAUUUCCCAAGCUUCAAUAUCUACAUCCAAAUGGGGUGUUAUACUUUUAUAUCACCUAUAAGAUUUCUAAUGAUUGCAGGAUGAAGCCAUAUAUUGGAAUCGUUAUUGCAAACUGCAGAAAAUUCAACAUUAGGUGUUUCUCGAAAUUAAAAGAAUAGCAAGUUUAAAAGGGUAGAAAGAUAAAAACAUAGAGCUCCAAAUAUGGAGUCGAUCUGUUACAUCCAUGUUCGAAACCAUGACGCUAGUGAUGCCUAUUAUGACAGGCUAUAAGAAAUAUAUAUAUAGAUAGAUAUGUUUCUCGCUAGCUACAGAAUAGUCAAUUCUAUGGUCAGAUCAUCCAACCCAGCGGAUCCACCCAUGCUUCGGAGCUUCAGUUCAACCCAAGGGUGAAUGAUAAUGCACGCUCUGUGCUUGCAUAAAUACCCCAGCAAAGCUGAGGACCAGCACGGGCAGAGCAUAGUUCAUUCGUUUCUCUGUGCAGGUUUGCAGCGGGAGCAAGAAAAGAGUUCAAACCUGAACUACAGAUGAGGUUGAAUGCUGCGUCAUGCAGGUCUUUGCUUGUACGCUCACGAAUCCCAUUUUUGACAGCCCUCGAUGAAAUUCUUUUUUCUGUCAAAUCUUUUUUCUGAUAUAGUCAAGGAGCAAGACUUAUCUACUGGUGCCAGUUAGCUAGUGAUGGAUUUGCUUUGAGUACAAAGUUAUUCCUACAGAUUUCAAAGUAUUAAGAAAGCUCUGUAAAUUUCUCAUUAUUUACUGUUGAUGUACAUGUACUACUCAAUUUGGCAAGGAAAGAUAUAUCAUAUAUUAUUUGGCUUUGAACUGUGUAUAAGAGACUAAAUUGUAAAAGUAAUCUUUUCCUGUAAUAUGGACUCUGAUUCUGAACGAAAGAACUUAAAGAAAGUGGUAAAUUGAUUACAAUAGUGUCUGGUAACUACCAUUGUCAUAAACUGAUGACGCUACACUUGUAAAGACCUCUGGUAAAUUCAUGACACUAUUUUUGUAAAUACCUUUUUGGUAAGUUGAUGACGAUAUUCCAGUAGGUACUUUGUGGUAAAUUGAUGAUGCUAUUCUGGUAAGUACCUUGUGGUAAAUUGAUGACACCAUUUUGAAAAUAUUAUCAUCUGGUGCCAUUCGACUUACACAGUAAAUGGUUUCCUGGAAUAGCUUGACAAAAAGUUGUGGUACCUCCUGAUCCUGAUAUAAAGUAAAUUUUCAGACAUUUCUCAUGCAGUAAGUCCUAUUAUGCAUCAUUGUUAUACAUGCUUCAUUUUUUCGAUUUUCACCAGGAUUGACUAGUUGUUGCUGCCUCGCAUUCCCAGAAACAUUUGUGUCUUGAUAUAGUUCAGUCCUGAUUAUCUUAAACUAAUAAUGCAGGAAAAUGUGCCUCACUAUGUCGUAGCGGCUCUGAACCUUUACCACCCACUGAACAGAAUCUAGAAGCUCCCUGCUGGACAUGAGUCGGCUAGAUCUUGAUCUUUGCUGAUGGUUGUAGUCAAAGUAAAUACUGACAGUAUCUUAGUUGCCAUCAUUUGUGUUUGUUUUACUCCCAGGGAUAAAAGGAUGAGUACCCUGUGCAACAAAACAGUGUGUACCCAACACUUUUUCUGAAAGCAACGUUUUUUUGUUUUCAGACACACCAAUUCAAUUAUGGUGACUUUUGUAUCGCUGUCAUUAUUUGUGCCUUGGCACUUGUGGUAAAUCACCUGCCACAGUUUUGUCACUAGACUUUUUAAUUAUGGUAAAUACCCAUUGCCCUUAUGCCUUGUGUGGUAAAUCACUUCAUAACUAUCGUCAAUAGACAGUUGAAUUAUGUCAAAUUGUACCAUUUUGCAUCGCUAAAUCAUCUCUUCAAACCUCAUUUUGCUCACUCGUGGUAAAUCACCUGCCACAUUAUUGUUACUAGACGUUUAUUAUAGUAAAUCACUAUUAUUGUAAAUUGAUUCCUCAAUGCUAUAGCUUGUGUAAAUUGUACCUCUCGUUGUAGUAAGUAUGCAUGAAACAUCAUGUGCUAUUGCUUGCAUUCUCGUAAAUAAUCCUCUAUCUAUUUUUAAUUGUGUCCAAAAUAUACUUGAAAACAACACAACUAGCACAUGCCGUUUAGUUUCUUGUAAGUGAAUUACCUUGUUUACUACUACUCGCUGAGCAAAACAGACUAGUUUUGUAAUAGCCGGGAAUCACUGAAAGCGUGCAAGCGCUGGGCCUCCAUCUCCGGUAAAUAUGCUGCUGAAAUCGGAAGGACUGAUCCGACGCUCGGCUAGUUAAUUGCCAUAAUAACACUCGGCUCCGCUCGGUCACCUCGCUCGCUUGUGGGCUCACGUCCAGACCCGAUCUAUCAUAAUUAGUUUAUGAUAAUCUCGUCAUUGCAGUAACAGGUUCCUCGCAAUAUGAGAAUGUCUUGUCGCAUAUAUUGUACAUCUAUAAGUUAUAGAAAAAAUUCCAACUUUCAAACUUUGGAUCCAAAUAAUAAAAUAAAGAAAAGCUACUGACGUGUGCCUGCUGCAGCAGACGUGCUCCGCCCACCUGCCCGUGGCGGCGUGCUAAUGACACUAAUGACGCUAAUCAUUGUUAUGUUUGGCUCGUAAUGACGCUGCGUUCGGCUUGUAACUGCCGGCUUGCCUUGUCGGACCACCGGCGGGGACCUCGCCGCUCGGCUUGCGACAACCAGGAGUGGACGAGUCGGGAGGAAAAAAGGGAAUAGUGGCAGAUCGGACCAGUGCUGGCUGUCGGAUGGGGUGGUCACAGAAUAACCUAUGCUAGGACCAGCUACAGAAUUUACUCUUCUAGGCAAAACUACUCACGUCGUUUCACAUAGCAACAUGGGUUUUUCUAGUAGUGAUCCCAGAACUCAAUUCAGUCACAAGAAGGCAAAAUUAACAAGAAGGAAAUUGUACAGCUACCAAGAACUACGAAAAGAAGCUACAAGUAACUUGUACCAAAAUUUUCACUUAGUAAGCAUAUGGUCUACUACCAAUCACUUCCUGCAACAUAAGACCAUGGAUCAGUAAGUGUUUUUGUUAAACAAACUUUCCUCUGAUUGUUAAAUAAACAAUGAUAUAUACUUGUAGGUGAUAGUAAAACUUACCAUAUAGAUGAGGCACAGGGAUGCUUAUAUAGUGUUGGUAAUGGUUGGCAGGCUGGGAUGCCGAUCUGGUUGUUGUUCAACUUGGACAAAAUAUAAAGGGUACAUAGAACAAGAACAUAUCAGAAAAUAUCAGAGAACCAAAAAGGAAAAAACAGAGCAACAAAAAGAAGAAAUAUGUCAUAUGCCUAUAAAUUGAACUAUGAUUUUAAUUAUACCAAAGAACUGAGCCUGAUGAUUGAGUGAACCAUGUAGUGCCAUCACGCCCGGAAUUACAGGGCACAAUACGAAAUAAAAUCACCCAUGACCUCAUACCAUUCCAGUGAAUUUUUGUUGGCAAUGACUACAUGGUUCAAGUAGUCAUUAGGCUAGUAACAAGCACAUUUUUCUGAAACUCUAUGAAUCCAAUCAACAGCUAAGUAUGUAUCUUAUCACCAACUACAAAUCACAAAAACUGUAUAUAAGAUCAUUGCUUCUAGUUGAAUCCACUGGCCUCUCAUUAGUUCUAUGGUAACCAUGACAGAAAACAAAAAUUUAGAAACCAAAGUAUGUUCAGGCAUCAAAUAGAUCACUAUUAUUUUGGGCAAUCACAACUAGCAUGCUAGGAUCCUUGUGAGCAUCUUUCAUGAGACCCCCUUCAAAUCCCUCAUGAAUUUGACUUGGAUUUGAAGUUUUUCCAAAAAUUCAUGUUCUUGGUAGGGUCUCUGUUUUCUCCAAAAUCCAUGAUGAAUAUUUGAGCAUUUUGAGAUCCACCGCCAACCCUCCAUUCAUUCCCCACCGUCGCGCGUGCUACCUUUUCCUCUGAAAUCAGCUGCCCCGCCACCAACCCCUUCUUCCAUUCCUCCAAAUUGCCGCCGCGCGGGCUCCCCUCCCCUCCGAAAUCAGCUGCCGUGCGGGCUCCCUCCCCUCCAAAAUCAGCUGCCCUGUCCCUCCCUGACCUACAAAUCUCCCGCAGCCCCCAAAUCCUGCGCCUCCCUCCCCUCGCACGCAUCCUCGCCCCUCCCCACCCGCAGACCCUCGCGCCGCCCCGGCAUUGAUGAGUACCUGCGCCAUCCCAGCAUCAACGAGCUCCUGUGCCGCCCCGGCUCCGUCCGCAACCAAGGGGCUCGCCACUUGGAGUCCGACCCCGGCGCCGCUUCUAUGCUGACCCAGAGCUGGAUGCCGGUGCCUCCCUGAUUCGACCCCGAGCAGGAUGCCUCCACCGCCUCCCCAACCCAACUGCCAAUCCACACCAUCGCCACUUACCCUACCCGACCCACCCAAGCGCCACCACCUGGAGACCAACCCACACACCACAACCUGCUCCUUCUAUCGCUCGGCACAUCUACCAUCACUUUCAGAUUUACUCCUGCGCACGUUUGUGUGCUUUGAUUUGGUCAGGUAGUCAUAGAUUUUGAGCCUUUCGGUGAUGUUGAUGCUUAGUAAAUCUGUUAAGUAAGAGAAUCUACACAUGAUAUGAAAUAUUGCUAAGUUAUGAAAAGAAGUGAAGGUACCAAUUUUCUUACUGGUUGCUUUAUUUAUCUGUAAUCUAUGUCACUUUCUAUGUCACUUAGUGUUGCCUGCAGAUCAUAUCAGUCUUACUGUUUAUUCUUUUUUUCUUCAUUUAGGCCAGCCUGUGAGAUAUGAGGUGUAGGGUACGACCACACUCACCUUCAUUGCAAAGAAGUACCCUCCUCCAUGCUACUGCCAAGCGUUUCUACAUCUCAUCUUAGAGGUAUGUUACAACCUGAAAUAUCUAGAGAAAAUUGAUAUCUUCACUGCUAUGCUCAUAUGGAAGUCAGAAGUGUGCUCGUUUGCAGUGGUUGUUACUAAGGAUAGCUAUAUAUUUGCAUCAAGUGUUAUCUACUACAAAUUAAAAAUUUAUAAAAUGAGUAUUCUAAUUAAUCUUUCAUAAUUUCUAUCUUGGCCAAUGUCUUAUUGAUGCAAUGAAUCUACAUGAAAUUUCAGUGAAUGAGUAACUUGUGGGAUUGAUGAGGUAAUUAAAAAUGAAUAUUCUAAUUAACUUUCAGAAUCUCUAUACUUAAUGUUCUUGGCCAAUCUCUGAGGUAUGAAAGGAAAUGCGUGUGACCUUUUCUUUUAUGGAAUCUGUCACAUCGUGUGCCACUAAUACGCUUUUCUAUAAGGUGUGCUGUUUAAAAAAUGCACGUGCUGAGUAAAUGAGUAACCUGUUGGUCCUUAACCAUCCCUUUUCAGAUAAAAACUGCUGAUGUAGAAUUUUCUUCCUUGCAUUAUUUUAAUCAACAGUUAUGCAAAUGUUGUGAGAAUAGGAGUGGCGGCGGCAAGAAAAAUGGAGGGCAGCAGGAGCAAGAAUAGGAGUAAGUUAUGCAAAUGUUUUGCCACUGAGAUUGAAAAAGAAGAGGUACUGAAAAUUACAAAUGUCGGGUUAUCAAGGGUCCAAUGAAGGCAGGGGCGCACACCCUAGGCAGAUGCGCGGAUGGGACUAUGGUAAGUUCAUGCGUCCAUGUAGCAGGUAGAACAGUAGGGAUUGACCAUUGGAUUCAGUUCAAUGCUGAAAACAGAACUGUGCUCGUUCAAAGCUGAAAAGUUUAUUUUUAAUUAAAACAGGUCAAACUUAGGUGCUACAAAUUAUCACACUUAAACAUAAAACACAUCCUCCACUCCUUCCACGGUAGAAUUCACAGGUGCAAUGUAUCCAUCAUCAAUGUAGUCGUCGGUAUCAUCUUCUUCUUCUUCAUCUACUAAGCCAAUAGUUCUUGGUUCAUGUAUGGAUGCAGCAAGUGCUUUUUGAAUAACAUAAGCGGCACCAGUGACACCUUCAAUGCCUGACCUAGUCUAAUUUGUCAACUCUUCAUGUCUGCCUGAAUCGAUCAUAUCUCCCACUCCGACGUCAAGUGAGUCAACAUCAAUUUCUUCCUCGUUAUAUGUACUUACUUAUUUGGUGCCUCAUCGCAAUUUGUUAAUAUCCAGUGCCUAAUCCGCUGCAUAUCUAGCCUAGAAAUUGAGUCAAUUCAAAAUCCUUUCUUAAUAUAAUCAAUGUUGCUAAAUAUGCUUAAACCAGCCGGUGGUUCAUUUACUACCGCUUUCAUGACGCUCUGGACGAUUAACCUUGGUGUCGACGUCAUCCAAAAAGCGAGAGCAAAAAGUCACACACUCCUCUAGUAUAUAUCCCUCUGCUAUUGAACCUUCAGGAUAGCCUUUGUUCCGCACAUAGCCUUUCGAUGUACGUAGAAACCUCUCUAUUGGAUACAUCCAUCUAUAGCAUACAGGUCCUCCUAGUUUAGCCUCUUUAGCAAGAUGAACCGGCAAAUGCAUCAUGAUAUCAAAAAAAAGCUGGUGGGAAGAUCAUCUCAAGAUGACAAAGAGUCUCUCUAAUCGAAAUGCUCAAUUUUUCUAACUCUUUGGUGCUCAACUCCUUUGAACAUAUUCCACUGAAGAACCUACUAAGCUCAAUCAAUGGUUUAACAACCUCUUCUGGAAGUAUGUUACAAACCACAAUGGGUAAUAGUUUCUCAAAUAUAAUAGGCAGUCAUGAGUCUUGAGUCCAGAAAGGUUACACCUUGCCACAUCCACACAUCUCUUGAUAUUAGAUGCGUAACCAUCAAGCAUUUUGAUACUUUGCAGAAAUUUGCAUAAAUAUACCUUGUCAUCUUGAUCCAAACUGUACAAUGCUGGAGGCAAAGUGUAUUUGUCAUUCUUCACCAAAGGAUGUUGAUCCUUCCUCAUGCCCAAAUGUUCCAUGUCAAGACGAGCCUUCUCGCUAUCCUUGGGUUUACCUGCCAUGUCAAGCAAAGUUCCCAAAAUGCUCUCACAGAUAUUUUUUUCAAUGUGCAUCACAUCCAAAGUAUGCCUUACAAGCAACUUUUCCCAGUAAGGCAGUUCAAAAAAACUACUCUUCUUCCUCCAAGUGUGCCAUCUAUUAUCCAUUUCACGCUGCUUCCUCUUUCUUGUCGUGUUCCCAAAUGUCACUUGCUCAAAGCUUUCAUACUGUUGCAGCACCCCUUCCCCAUGUAGUGGCACUGGAGGCUCCCUAGUUUCCACCUAGUUGUUAAAGCUAAUCUUGUUGCGGUGCCACCUGUGAUCCAUUUGCAAAAAGCAGUGAUGACCCAUGUAGCAAUGCUUGGAACCAAGUUUCAACCAUAAAUAGUUAGUAUCCUUGUGGCAGUAUGGACAUGCAAACUUGCCUUUUGUACUCCAACUGGAUAGCAUGUCGUAUGCUGGGUCAUUAAUUGUCCAAAGUAGAAUAACACGUAGAGUGAAAUUCUUCUUUACCUUUGCAUCCCAUGUCUCAACACCGUUGAGCCAAAGAUCUUUUAGCUCAUCGAUGAGGGGCUGCAAAUACACAUCAAUGUUAUUCCUAGACGAUUUUGACCCCGGUAUCAAUAUUGACAUCAUCAAGAAUGGUUGUUUCAAACACAACCAAGGAGGCAAAUUGUAAGGGAUUAGGAUCACAGGCCAUGUAGUGUAUGUCAUGUUCAACAUCCCAAAUGGAUUGAAACCAUCAGAUGCAGGACCCAUCCUUACAUUACGAGGAUCCAAAGCAAAUUCCUUAUAAUUUUCAUCCACUUGCUUCCAUGCCAUAGAGUUAGCAGGGUGCCACAUUUUUCCAUCUUUGACAAGUCCCUCCUUAUGCCAACACAUAUAUUCAGAUGUGGUCGCUCUCAUGUAUAGCCUUUGCAUACGAGGGGUCACUGGAAAAUACCUUAGGAUUUUUUGUGGAACAAGCUUCUUUGGUGUAGCAUCACCACUCGCUGCCUCCUUCUCACUUGAACCAGCAGCUUUCCAUCUAGACUCUCCACAUGUUAGACAUUUAUCCAAGUCAACAUAUUGCUUUCUAAAUAAAAUACAAUCAUUGAUACAUGCAUGUAUCUUUUUGUAGUCCAGGCCAAGAUCAUGAACUACCCUUUACACUUUAUCCAAAGUAUCUAGAACACAAUGACUGUCGAGCAUGCUCCCCAGGCCCACGAGUAGACCUUGGGCAGCCCAUAAGGGACGUACUCGGGCAUGAUCAAAACAAGGGGAUAGGCUUAUCCCGAUCGGACUAGUUAAGUAUGUAUAUGGAAACUACACGGACCAUACCAAGUAGAACUCUGUAAAUGUACUCGACUAGGACUCAGACUUGUAACCCUGCCCUCCCGUGUAUAUAAGGGUGGGCAGGGACCCCCUCAAAGAACAACUCCAAGGUAUCUGAGAUCAAUACAAACAAACAUACAAGACGUAGGGUAUUACACGAUCUAGCGGCCCGAACCUGUCUAAAUCGCGUUCCUUGCGUCACCAUCGACUCCUUGAUUCUCGACGGCCCUUACCGCACAAAAUACCACCUAGGGUACCCCUUAGGUGGGUUGCUGGUCUAAAACACUGACAGCUUGCGCGCCAGGUAGGGGAGCUCAUUGAGUUUCUCAGCGUGAGCUCGAUGGUGGCCGUUGUUUUUAAGCCUGUCUUCACCAUUGAAGCGGGCGCAACCUUUGUUUUUGGAUCCUGGCUCUGCAUCACCGACGAUGCUGGUUCGUUUCGGCGCCAAGUCAUCAAUGCCCAGGAGAAGAAAUCAGAGGAUUUGGUCAGGAAAAGCCAAAACUUCAAAGUCAACAAUCCCGAGUUAGACCACGCGUCGGACCCGACCUCAGUUCGGACUAGUCGGUCCCAGUCACUUCCCAAGUCGACUUCGACUACAAAACGGUUUCCACACGGACUCCGCAAUGCAGCCAAAGUCUACCAAAGUUUCCUCACUCGAACUCUACUCGAACACAGGAACAAUGAAGACGACGACUCCGACUCGGUCUACCCCCAGAGAUCGGACUAACAGGACCAGCCAAGGGACUUGUAAUAACUUCGACAUCGCAAGGCAGAUUCAUUCACUGGCCAGGUAUGAGACCAUCCCUUGCUCGCGACUACGAGUCGCGCCUUGUCGCUCACAUAGACAACCUCCCAUUCCAAGAAAGCGUCCCACUCACUUCAAGCCACGAGGAAAGUUCAACUAAAAUUGCAACAUCAAGAUCUGGCAGCUACUACCCAGACAGAGAAGUCUUUGUUAUUACUCAAAAUAACAACCCGGGUACUAGCCAAAAUAGAACCCCCAGGCGAUUAGCACAACUUGACAAUGUUUCAAAAGACGAGUCAACAGCUAACGCCCCACAAGAUGAAACUUUCGAUCAAAGGAACCAAAGAAGGAUGCGCAAUACUACUCGGGCUGAGCGAUGACAGACACUAGCUACAAACAUUCCCAUCACGAACCUCGAAAGAACAUUUGACGCAGUACAGGCUCAAGAACAUACCACUCUACUCGCAGCAAUUGCCUCUAUCAACCUCAUAUCAACACUCAUACCUCGAGACAAAGACAACGAAGUCACAGCUCAACUCACGCAACGCGGUAACGGACUAAUCGCGCAACUCGCAGAGCAAGCUUACAAGCUACUCGAUAAAGAAUCGCCGAUCCUGUCUGUUCCCUGCAUCGCAGCUCAUCAAGAAGGCAGUAGAGGUGUUGUAGCUAACGACAACCCCAAUGAAGUGCAAAGGAAUGACAACGAAGUUGUAAACCAACCAAGGCAACACAACCAAGGUCCGAGUAAACACAACGCCCGAAUACACCAGAAGGAUGUUGGAGAAGUCAGCUGCACUAACUUGUUGGAGGUAUGCCCUAGAGGCAAUCAUAGAGAUGAUGAUAUUCCAUUUGUAUCCAUAAUUUGUAUAUUGUGUUCAUUGAAUAUCCAUUAAAGGCUACUUGAAUUGAUUUGUAAUUAUGUGAAUUGUAUGUGAAACUCUUUAAUUGUAUAAUUAUUCUAAAGUUGUCCCUAGUCGGAGUUCAUGUGAGGACACACAUGAAUAUUAGAAUAGCACAUGUAUUAGUUGAUGACUAUGUUUCACAAGUCAUGGACAUGGAGAUGUUGAACUAAUAAUGUGGACACAUGUGGAGACAUGUGCUAGGACUUACCCAACACGAGAAGUAGUUCUCUCUUUAAACAACAUAUACGCUUUGUCCUAAGACCUGAGAUUGUCGCAUGUAUUCAAGAUGUGGAUCGACCUACUUAGGGGCUAUCAAACGCUAUGCCGUAACAGGGUAGUCAUAAAGGUAGCUUUCGGGUUUGUCAAGAAGCAUGCUAUGAGACAUGGUCAAUCAAGAUGGGAUUUGCCCCUCUCUGAUUGAGAGUGAUAUCUCUGGGCCCCUCGAGUGAUCGGAUCUGAAAAUGCAUAGCCAUGCUAAGUACGGUUAAGAGUUAACCUACAAAGGGAUUCCGAAUCACAAGAUCGAGAAAGAGCGGUGGGCUUAAAGCUAGACCAAAUAUCGUGCGGCAAAGGGAAUAACAUGUAUAUUAUAUUAUGAUGGUUCGUCUGAUAUGAUCUUCGUGUGCGUAUAGGAGUUGGCACGUCUUGCUACAGGCCGCUACCGACUAUUGGGCCGAGUAGGAGUACUCGGGCCAUGUCUAUACGUAUCCGAACCCAUAGGGUCACACACUUAAGGGGCUGGAAGCCCAAUUCGGAUCUGAUCCGAGUUGGAUUAGGUUUAGAAGUACUAAUGAGCCUCGGACCCAGAGGCCCGUCAGGAACCUCUAUAAAUAGAGGGGUGGGGGCACCCUAGGGUUUACACCUUUUGGCGAAACACAUCUGCCGCGCCUCCCACGCCCUCGGCUGUUGCAACUCGCGGAUCUAGCAGUCUGACUUGCGAUGCUUCCUCCCUACACGUGUGGAUACCUUGGAGGUGUUGCGCCUGCAGCACUUGGACGAGUCGCCGACGAGCCACGAUGAGCCGCCGAUGAGCGACGACGAGCCGCGGCACGAGGGCGAUCUUGCUGCACGUGGACGAGCUGCUGAGGAGCUGCUGGACGUUGACGUGAUCGACUACAUAUGACUACGUUGAUCGACUACGUACGACUACGUUGAUCGUCUUCACUGCAUCGACGCAAAUCUACAUCUUCCGCACCAGUUGUGCGUCGAGUGGUAAUCCCGUGAUCCUUAUACGGCAGUUCUUCCUGGUUUUACGCGGUAGAAAUUUUGAUUUGCGCUAGUGUAGCCUACCUCGUAUCCCAACAUAACUCUAUAAAAAGUCCUCGCCCUACUCGAAAACAUCAUGAAGUAUCAAAUUUCAGUGAUCUACGAGAAAUUAUCAACAGUCAGCGUGAGUGAGAAGUCGACAACUACAACCACUUUCCUGCUUUCACAAAUUGGGUAAUGAGGACACGACUACCCGAGAAGUUCAAACCAACAGGAAUAACCAAGUAUGACGGCAAGCAAGACCCAAUUCAAUGGCUACGAUGCUACUCGCUGGCAGUCCAAGCAGCUGGGGCCAAUAACGACACCAAAGUUAUCCACUUUCCCAUAUGCAUAGAACCAGCACUGCUGACAUGACCUUCAGGGAGCAUAAGCGAGAAUAACUAAAGUAUAGCCUCUAGUGCACUGUUACUAAGACCAAACAUGCACUUAAUCUGAAAUAGCCUGACAAUGAAUGAGACCUUAAUAGCCUCCUUGCAACCCACAUAUAGUUCCUUCUACGCCUUUGUUAAUAAUUUAAAGAAUUUCUUAUCGCUUUCAUUUGGCUCUUCAGUUCCACUACCUAUGAUGUCUCCAUGUAUUGCUCCACUGAUUAGUGACGAAACCAAAUCCUUCAUAGAAGGACCAUCACCUGAUUCACCAUCAUUGCCAACUCCUUCAAUGAUGCUCUCAUAUGAAUCAUUUUCUUCUCCUUCCCCUUGGAUAAAACUUUCAGAAAAUCCUCUAAAAACCAAAUGACUUCUAACUUUGUUAACUGUUCUGUAUGACAUGGAACGGCAUCUUGAACAUGGACAUGGUGCCGUAUCUCCGUUAGAUGUGCCUGCAAAUCUAGUCUCUAUAAAUUGCUUGAAUCCUUUUUGCCACUCAUCUUAUACAUAAAGCAGUCGCAUCUAACUCCUAUCAUCAUUAUGCGACAUACUUCCAACUCUUUACAAAUCAAAGCCACACACACUGAUUAAUCUCUUGCAUAUAUACAACAAAAGAAAGCACACAAUUAAACUGUGAUUGUACUAGGGUUAUGAAAUUGUAGUGGGAACUAGACCAUAGUGUUUGUUCAAUUGUCCUGUAGUAAAAUUCUUUUGAAAGGGCAUUUGUUUUCCUUCUAAGUUGAGGCACGUUGUAAUACGAAGUUGUAGCUCCAUUUUUUUGGUACAUUUCACUCCAUGAGCAUAUUUAGUUUUUCAUUUGAAAAGCAGAAGAAAAAAUGCAUGUGCUCAUUCACUUGCCCUUCCAUUGUCUGCGGCUAUACUUCUGCUCCUUUGUGUUUGUUUCUCAAAGGACAGUGACAAAUUUAACCUGCAUUCAACUUAUUCUAACUUAACUUGCCAUCCUUGUUCCUGUUAUUCUAAGCUGGUACUACCUGUGUCUAGAUUGUUUUGUAAGGGUAUCUGUGGACAAAUCUGCACAUACUUGGCUUCUGCUCCUGUAAUAGUCCUCGAAUGUUUGUAGCAUGAUAUUUGUCUGAACGAAAAUCAAUAGUUUUCUUCCAGGAUUUUUCUUGCUUUGGAGUUUGCAAGUUGCUGGCUACAUUCUCAGUCUCCUUUAGUGAUAGAUAGUGUGCUUAUCUGGUCUUUUUCUUUGCUAGGAAUAUCUGUAUUGUUUACAAAGUAUAACUGUUUGGUUAUCUAUCUUCCUCCUAGAGCCCAGGCUGACAUGUUAAAAUGGGCCAUUUGCAUGUUCGUACAUAUGCCUGAUGCUCUAGGAUUCUCACCACUUACAUGUUUGUUUUUGGAACUAAUGAGCUCAUAAUUUAAGUGUGCAGAGAAUGGGUGUCAUCCUUCAGGAUUUCAGCUUUGGAGCUAACUGAACUUAACUCGAGCGCUUUGGCUAGCACAGUUAAACUUUCAGAAGAGCGUUGUUAUAAAAAAAAAACUUUCAGAAGAGCGUGAAGGAAACACCGAAUCCCAAAUUACCUUAGCAAGCGCCGGAUAGCAGGACCGAUGAAGACAGGUAGCAGCCGAAGCAGAGAGCAGCUCGCCGUGUCAACAAUGUGCGAAUGGCUCUUUUGAUUCCAAACUCACGUCACCAUGACGCGUUAGUUGCAAGUCAGCAAGUGAUUAGUAUUAUACGUCGAGUGAUAAUUCGAGGCACGGUGACAGUUAAUUUUGAAUGACAGCGUAGCUUUAGGUUUAUGGUCAGCAUCUUGCUUUUGCAUUUGAAUUGAAUUCACCAUGAACUAUCCAUAAAGUGCUUUGCAUGAUAUUUUUUAAAUAAUAAUUGAUAUUUUUUCAAAUUUUGUGCCCGUGGCAAAGCACGGGCUAUUACCUAGUAGUAUUAAACACUAUUCUUGAAGACCAUGGUGAAAGAUUGGGGCCUUAUAUGCUGGGGUUUAAUUUUGAGCCAAAACAUCAAUGGUGUUUACUUUACAUCUCCAGAUGUCAAAACAGGUGCAGAUUAGUUCCUGAGGAUGGUUUCAUGGGUACCUUUGGGUCACUCUGUGGCCAUGUCACACUGUCCUCCACUUGGCAGCAGACCUGUAUAUCAGUGGCAUAUUUGCUAUAAUCUCUACCUAAUAUUAAUAUUAAAGUACAGAACAAAACCUUCAUUCUGCCACCUUAGUUUCGACCGUCAUCCUUUGAAAAGUGGUCUAGCACCAUACAACAUGAGUUGAGAACGAACUGAUGGCAACUUUUAGACGAUAAGGAUCCGUAGCAACGCACGGUCACUUCUACUAGUUUUACUCACUCCCCACAUGGAUAUCAAAGAAUGGGAAACAUAGCAUGCAAUUAAUUGAUUUUGCUGUAGUAGACCAAGUGACUAAAUUAUAACUCAUAAAAGAUUACCAUGCCACCAGAUCAUCACAACUAAAUAAAUUAUAACCACAAUGAAAAAAAUCGACAGCUGCUCCCAUGUCUAAAGGACGAUUAUUGUCGGCUGAUGAGAAAUCAGAAAAAAAUUCGUGCAGGAGCCAUGCAUCAAUUUAACUUGCCAAUUAGCAAUGUUGCCAGAUGAUUAUUAUAGAGGAAUAUACAUGCUGGAAGAGCAAUUUGAUUAGAGGGGCCUGGACAUACGAAUGUAGACUCGCAGUUGAGUUAAUUUGCAUUCUAAUCUAAAUUCACCUGCACGUCGACCGGCCAUCCUUUUCCCGUCAUGCUGCUGCCGCCUCACAGGUGACCACACGGUAUGGAGGACCUGCUGCCACCCUCACCAACGAGUAACACCGGCCGAGCAGUCAGCACACUUGCGCCUAGGAUCGGAGUCAGUGACCUCCAAUCGUGCGAUCUGGAGGUGGUGCUGGGCACACCGAGCCGCCGCUCCCCAGCCCUCUUGUCGCGAGCUCACAAGGAAUUUCAAGAGCGACCUUCUGGAGAGAAUAGAUGAAACACGCACAUGGAGAGAGGCCUCCUGGAGAUACACACGUACAUGUUUUUGCUCAUGCGCGACGUUCAUGUGGUUCUUUGAUGACGUCCUGUCUAGGAUUUGCCCAACUCAAUUUUUGGUCUCCACAUAUGCAAUGCCCACCAAAAAAUUUGUGGCAAAACCUUGAACCAUUGCAACAACAUAAACUACCAUGUACCAACAAAAAUAACUAGUGGCAAUAGCAUUUUCUUUCAUGCAACCACACUUAGUUUUGUUGCUAUAUAGACAAACAUACCGCAACGCACAUGCGGAUUAAGACAACACACCAAAUUUGUGGCAAUACUGUUUACGACUUGCAACCAUUUUGAAUUUAAUGUCAAUAAGCCUUGCAUAUAACAGCGAAAAAAAGUUUAUAACAACGCAAAAUAAUUGUGGCAAAUUUUUCAGCGACUUGCAAUCAUUUUUCAACUGGUGGUGACAACAUUAAUCUUUUGCAAUGGAAUGAUAAAAUGGUGGCAAUAACACCUAUCUAUUGCAACAUAUUUUCUGUUGUUGCCAUGGACUCUGUUGCAAUAGACCAAAAAUCUAGUAGUGGGAUGCAAGGUAUAUAAUGGAGCAGAUUAUUGCCGGUGGUAGUGGCUCCAACAUUCCAAUAACGUACACCGAGGAUGAGGGUAGCCAGGCGGACAUCUUCCUCAACAUGUCCAGUGAUGGCAAUGAUGAGCCCGAGCACCGCGUUGAUGACAAUGCGGUUCAAAACCUUGCCAUGAUGGAAGGUUCCGGCGAGUGUUGACGCCGGAUUGUGACACGUAUGAAAUCGGCGUCAAGGAAAGAGAGGGCUGGCCGACGCUGCAGAUUAAAAGGUCACGAUUGGGAAUCAGCCGAUUGGUUCUACGAUUGGGGAUCGGCCGAUUGGAAGGCUGGAGCGAUUGGGCCAAUAUGGGCUUAAAGUGGAUUAGGAAAAGAAGAUAGAGUAAUAUUAGCCCGCGGGAGUAUAAUAACCAACUCCGAUACGAGUUGUGUUUGUAAAUAUUCGUUUUCGUUUAAGAUUAGAGAUAGAUCCUAGUCGGUUAGGAAAUUGGUUGUAACAGGCUAUAAAUAGCCGCCUUUAGAGAUUUGUAAAGAACACAUCAAUCAAUACAAACAAAUCUACUUUUUCAUUGCACUUUACUUUCAAGUCGGCGACUUCGCCAAUACUUUUCUUCUUUAACGAGUUCGUACGGGUUGGCAGGACUGCAUCAACACGAUCUCCGGCCGAAUCUGUAAGUUUCGUUUAUCGAGUAAUAUCUAAGCUUUAACUUCGGGCGUAUCGCUGUUGUUUCGUUUAGAUUUAUUCACAAGUUAUCGAUAUUUACUUGAAUUAUAGGUUUUAUCUGUUUUUCUAGUCUUAUCACCAGUUAUCCAGCUUGGGACUUGAGCUAUCGGCUUUGUUAUUAUUAUUUUCAUUCAUCAUAUAGCCGAUUAGAUCCGUUUCAAGUGUUGCUUUCGUAGCCUUUUUCAGUUUACUCUAGUAGUUUCCUUCGCAAUCGUUACGUGAUUGUCGGCUGUAUUAUAGCCGAUUAUCUUCAUUUAGCAAAUCGACCAUUCACUGAUACACUUUUCGAGAUCGGAACCUUUAGUCAAUCGUAACCCCUGGAAUUUGACACGUUGAUCUUCCUUGACAAUCAACAGGUCAGAUUGGCUGGCACGCCGCGCGAACCGCACCAGGGCAAUCACCCGAACAGGAGCUAAGUAGAUUCUCCCGGGUCGUGUGUCCGACGCUGAGGGUCAAUCGGUUGACUUUUAGCGCCAACACACUUUUGGCACGCCCAGUGGGACCAAUACAACCUCUAACAUGUUGAGAGUUGCCGAAAUCUCUGAAGACAACGUCAUCAAAGUGACGGAAGCAGAUCUCAAGGACAACCAGAAAGAAGAGUUGGAAAAGCAGAUAGAACAAUACCAGAAAACAUGCCUGCAAUCUUUCAGUCGUACCAAGAGCGGGGAGACCAUCAAGAAAGCUCCUUUCCCAACUCCCCGCAAGAUCACCAUCGCUGAAGACUCGGGCAAGAUGUCCGAUAUGGUUCAGCAAUCCGUCUACCAGGCUUUCAUUGAUCAAUCCCCGGUGAUGGCCAACACAGUAUACAAUGCCGUAAUCAGCUCCCUAGCCAAUGGCGUAUCUCAAGGAUAUCAGGGGCCAACAUACGCCCCGCCCAUUACGGCCCCAGUCAGGAGCUUUCCAAGCACAUCUCACUCGGCUCCUCAGCCGAUGCCAACUCAACAUGGAGGACACAAUGCUUCACUGCCUUCAAUGCAUCCAGGAUAUAACGGUGCGCCAUGCUUUCAGUCGCAAGUGCCACCUCAACCUGCUCAAAUUUCCUCCGCGCAAUCAUUGCCAUCAAACUCAGUGUCUUGGGGGGGCACCGUCGACAGCGGCCGUUCUAGAUCAAUCGGCCGGCUCUGGAGGCCCUCCGAUCCAGGCACCAUUCCAAUCGGCCAUUCGGCCGACGGCUCCACAGUAUCAACCUGCCACGUCAGAAAUCGGCAGGGGAACAGACGCUGCUGAGGCUCUCCGAAGUGCAGCGCCGAUGAUGCUGUACGAUGAGAUGGCCGGUUCGCUGCGCCACUAGAUGUCAAUCGCUCAGCCGGCCACGUUACCACAGAAUCCGCCACAUGCUUUGAUUCAUGACCCGGUCAUCCCGCCGCCAAUCCACCAACAUGUGCUGAUUCCCAGCCAGUAAUUCAUCAGCAGCAAGUAGACUGGACGGCAAGGAUAGCAGAGGUGAUCCAAGAUCAAUUCGGGUUGAAGCCAAAGGUACAAACUUACACGUACAAAACGCCGUACACACCUGCCUACGAUCUACUGUCGUUUCCCCAUCGGUACAAAGUUCCCGACUUGACUAAGUUUUCGAGGCUGGAUGACACCUCCACCGUGGAACACGUAAACAGAUUCAUCAUCCAAUGUGGAGAGGUGGAUACACAGGAUGCUUUGCAGGUGCGCCUAUUCUCAUCGUCCCUGUCCGGGUCGGCUUUCCAGUGGUUCACUACGCUUCCGCCCAAUUCCAUCGUCACCUGGGCCGACUUGGAAAAAUAGUUCCACAAGUACUUCUACGCGGGAGUCCAUGAGAUGAAGCUCUCAGAUUUGACCAGCCUCAGGCAGAGGAGCGACGAGCUCGUGACCAAUUAUGUGCAAAGGUUCAGAGAAGUCAGAAACAAAUGCUACACCUUGGUCCUGACCGAUGUGCAGCUGGCUGACAUUGCCUUCCAAGGCCUUCUGCCAAAUAUCAAGGAGAAAUACACUUCCCAUGAGUUCAAGAGCCUGAGUUAGAUCGUCCAGCGAUUGUCCGGUCAAGAAGUACGCCCCUUUGAUCAGCGAAGAAAUUUUCUGAAGAAGAUGGCAUACUUAGAGGGAUCUGAAUCUGAGGAGGAAGUGGAAAUCGGCCUAGCAGAGUGGGUUAAGGGAAAGAAGCCGAUAUUGUGUCCUUUCGGAAAAAAGAAACCGAAGGUGUUCGGUUUUGACACGUCAAAGGCUGACAAAAUUUUUGACCUACUUCUCCAAGAGGGUUAGAUCAAACUCUCACCUUAUCAUAUGAUCCCAUCGGCCGAACAACUAAAAAAAGAUGAAGUAUUGCAAAUGGCACAAUGCUACAUCCCAUGACACAAACGAGUGCAAAAUCUUCCGACAGCAGAUACAAUCGGCCAUUGAGCAAGGCAGGCUCAAGUUCGAGGUUCCGACAAAACCAGCAAAGCCAAUGAAGAUCGAUCAGCAUCCUUUCCCCACUAACAUGGUUGAUACGGGAAGAAACGCGCUUCAAACCAAAGUGCUGAUGUCGAAUCGGCUAAAAAGAGAGGCGCUGUGGACCCCAGGAAUCAAGCUACGAUCGAAGACGUCAAGGGGAAGAGACAGGUUGACGAUGAGGGUGAAGGAUCAAAAAGGCCGCGCAGACCUAUUACCUCCCAGUUCUUGCUCAACAAGUAUCAGCGGCAACUGGAUAGUUCGAGAUAUCGUGAAGAAAUAAUACGACGACACGAAGAUCAUUGGCGAUGUCCUUUCUUCAUCCAUUGCUGGGAAAAUAACCUCAGGUUGCCAUCGGUUGGGUCUGGAUUCCCCAUAGGACCUAGACAGAUGAGGCCAGGGGCUUCGGAAAGGCGAAUGGUGAUUUGGUGUCUAACCGCCUAAAAAGGUAAAAAGGAAAGAACUAAGAAUGGAUCUAAAACAAAUGCCUGGGCGGUAAAGGUAAAAAGAAAAAGUUUCGGAUGAGUACCUCCUGGAUGAAAGUCAUCGUCGCCGAUGGGGCUGUUGGUGGGGCUACCGCCACUGGAGCCUCUGUUGCUGAUGGAGCUGCUGCCGCCACUGUUGGAGCUGCCGCUGGAGUUUCUGUUGCUGGUGAGGUUGCUGAUGGUGCCGCCAUUGGGAAGAUGGAGCAGAAUGCAGAUGAAAAGGGGGUCGCUGGAAGAUGUGGUUGGAAGCCAAGAGGGCGCUGGAAGAAGAUGGAAACUAGUGCACCAAGAAGAAAGUUACUGGCUUGUGAAGAAGAAGUACGGGGCGUGCCAGUAUUUAAAGGCAGUCCGAGAAGGGGUAAAGGCGGGAUUUUUACCGCGCCGUCUACGCGAAUUUUGGGGGAGUGGUUGUCUCAGGCGCCUGUUUCAAAAAGAUUGCAAUCAUCAGGUAGGAGACCACGAAACGGAAGGAGAUUUUUUGAUGCAUUUGCUUCGGAGGAGAAGUUCAAAAGGAAUUUUGAAGUAAAAGUUAUGUUUUACUCCGAAACUGGGGGCAUGUGUUGACGCCGGAUUGUGACAUGUAUGGAAUCAGCGUCAAGGAAGGAGAGGGCUGGCUGACGCUGUAGAUUAAAAGGUCACGAUUGGGAAUCGGUCGAUUGGUGCUACAGUUGGGGAUCAGCCGAACAGGAGCUAAGCACAUUCUCCCGAGUCAUGUGUCCGACGCUGAGGGUCAAUCGGCUGACUUUUAGCGCCAAAAAGUGUGAUUGCCCUGGUGAUUGCCGAAAAGUCAGCCGAUUUACCCUCAGUGUUGGACACAUGACCCAGGAGAAUCUGCUUAGCUCCUUGUAACGGAUCUAAUCGGCUAUAUGAUGAAUGAAAAUAAAAUAACAAAGCCGAUAGCUCAAGUCCGAAGCUGGAUAACUGGUGAUAAAACUAGAACAACAGAUAAAACCUAUAAUUCUAGUAAAUAUCAAUAACUUGUGAAUAAAUCUAAACGAAACAACAGCGAUGCGCCUGAAGUUAAAACUUAGAUAUUACUCGAUAAACGAAACUUACAGAAUUGACCGGAGAUCGUGUUGAUGCAGCCCUACCAACCCGUACGAACUUGUUAAAGAAAAAAAGUUUUGGCGAAGUCGCCGACUUGAAAGUAAAGUGCGAUGAAAAAGUAGAUUUGUUUGUAUUGAUUGAUGUGUUCUUUACAAAUCUCUAAAGUCGACUAUUUAUAGCCUGUUACAACCAAUUUCCUAACCGACUAGGAUCUAUCUCUAAUCUUAAACGAAAAUGAAUAUUUACUAACACAACUCGUAUCAGAGUUGGUUAUUAUACUCCCAUGGGCCAAUCUUUCUCUAUCUUCUUUUCCUGAUUCACUUUAACCCCAUAUUGACCCAAUCACUCCAGCCUUCCAGUCGGCCGAUCUCCACCAACUCUGUCCGCCAAAAUACUGUAGCGCCAAUAAGCCGAUCCCCAACUGUAGCACCAAUCGGCCGAUUCCCAAUCGUGACCUUUUAAUCUGCAGCGUUGACCAGCGCUCUCCUUCCUUGAUGCCGAUUCCAUACGUGUCACAAUCCGGCGUCAACACAUGCCCCCAGUUUCGGAGUAAAACAUAACUUUUACUUCGAAAUUCCUUUUUAACUUCUCCUCUAAAACAAACGCAUCAAAAAAUCUCCUUCCGUUUCACGGUCUCCUACCUGAUGAUUGCAAUCUUUUGGAAACAGGCGCCUGAGACAACCACUCCCCUGAAAUUCGUGUAGACAGCACGGUAAAAAUCCCGCCUUUACCCCUUCUCGGACCGCCUUUAAAUACUGGCACGCCCCGUACUUCUUCUUCACAAGCCAGUAACUUCCUUCUUGGCGCACUAGUUUCCAUCUUCUUCCGGUGCCCUCUUGGCUUCCAACCACAUCUUCCGGCGACCCCCUUUUCAUCCGCAUUCUGCUCCAUCUUCCCAAUGGUGGCACCGUCAGCAACCUCACCAGCAACGGAAACUCUGGUAGCAGCUCCAACGGCGGCGACAGUAGCUCCAUCGACGACACAGGCUCCACUAGCGGCCUUAGUGGCGGUAGCCCCACCAGCAGCCCCGUCGGCGACGAUGACUUUCAUCCUGGAGGUACUCAUCCGGAACUUUUUCUUUUUACCUUUACUGCCUAGGCAUUUGUUUUAGAUCCAUUCUUAGUUCUUUCCUUUUUACCUUUUUAGGCGGUUAGACACCAAAUCACCAUUCGCCUUUCCGAAGCCCCUGGCCUCAUCUGUCUAGGUCCUAUGGGGAAUCCAGACCCAACCAAUCUGAUAAAUUAGAGACUCACAGAAUUCCAUUUAAACAAUCCCCAAUGGAGUCGGACCAGUGGUCAGGCACCUUUAGAUCUUGGCCGAAUGAAACCCCCGGUUGGAAAGAAUGGUAUCAAAGGAUACCCAACUCCAAGAGAGUUCAAUGGGACGAACAAAAAAUCGACCAUUGCAUCAAUCUUUCUCUGUCUCAGAUGGAGAGAAAUGAGCCCUUGGUGAUAGCAGCCUCCUACUUCUGGUCUGAUGCCCUUAAUGCGUUCCUCUUUGGCAAUGGGCCUAUGACCCCCACUUUGGCCGUUGUUGUGAUGUUGACCGGCCUUAACAUUUCUUCCCUGGAUACCCCCUUCCAUUAUCUGGUCAAGUCGACCCAUUGGCUGGAGACAAAAGAAAUCGGCGGGUGGAAGGGGUAUAUCAAGAACAACAUGAAGACCGGGACCGUUUCAGAGAGAGAAUAUGCAGCCUUCCUGAUGAUGUGGUUUGAGAAACACAUUUUCUGUGGCAGGGCAGUCGGUCCGUCUUCCAUCACACAAGCUUUGGCCAAAGCAUUAUCAAGAGGAGCCUCUGUCCCCCUCGGGAAGCAUCUACUAGGAUCGGCAUAUCACAUGCUGCACCAAAUCGGCGUCAAACUAUCCAACGGAGAGCCGAUUGGAAACCCAGGUGGCCCCUGGUGGUUAAUCAAUCUCUGGCUCAAUUUGUAUAUGAGCAAGAUCUCACAGCAUCGGGUGGAGCACAUGACAUUUCCCAACAUUGAGUCAGAAGAAAACCCCACCGUACGGCGCCAAUGCACUUCUUUCGCGUGAAGCAGCAUCAGUCUUCCCUGGUUGCUAGCUCACUGCCACCAAAGUAGCUGAAUAUUUCAGAUGUUUUUACAACGGCUUCAGUGAAGAAACCACCAGCUGGUAUCCGUAUCAGAGGACAGAGCCGCUUUUUGAACUCCCCUUUUGUUAUGAUUCGACGUCCAACACCUUUGAUAAUGAUAUCAUGGACAUCUUGAUCAAACCAAGGAUCUUACCGGUGAACUUCUUCUCGGGGAAGGAUGCCCCUACUUACGAGUUUUACAAUCCAUCCGUUGCAGCACGGCAGUUCAGCCUAGGUCAGCUGCCGAUUUAUGUUUUCUUCGCCGGUCAUGCAAAAUUCUGAGAUGAGCUCACCAAAGGUCUUGAUUACAGUCGGCUGUGCGAUCGAGUGCCCGACUCCAGCACCAUCGAUCUGACCAAUUGGAUACUAGCACCUUUUGCUAUCCAACAGUUCAAACUAUGGUGGGCAAAAUGGAAACAACACCUCUUUUGUGCAUUUCCUGCGAUAUACUGCAACAUCCUGGAUCCCGACAACAUUGACUCGAAUGCAGAGGUAUCGUUCUUCCCUUAGCCGAUUUCGAUGCCAUUUUCCUUUUUAUACUACUAACUCUUAUUUCUUUUACAGUCCGAGAGUUAACUCCCUCCAAGGCGCAGCCGGAGUGGCAGGCCGAUAGAGAACCGUUACCCGUAUACAAAAUUCCCACUCAUCGGCCAUCAUGCCCCAUCCAUUAAUGACAUCACCACUGGCUGAUUAAAUCAGACACUGAAGAAAACCUUAAAGAAGACAAGCCGCCGAGUGCGUGCCCGCACGGAAUCGGCCGAUCAGUCUGCGGCAGCAUCGACGGAAUCUUUGGCUGCGUCGAUUCUCCCGGUCAUCGAGGAAGUUGAUCCCCAAGCUACUACAGAAGCUGGAGCGGCCGCUGCAUCACUGCUAUUAGAAGCCAUUCAGGUAACCUCGUGUUCACAUCCUCUAGAGUAUUCUCCCGAUACUGACUUCUCCUUUACAUUAGGCCGCACAAGUUGCCCCAGUGCCUCCAUAGCAAUCGACGAUACCCCAAGCAGAAAUCGGAGCACCAAUAAUUCCUUCCACUGAGGUAAAGAAUCCCUUAACUCAAUUUUUUUAUACUUAAUCAAAAGCUUGACCGAUUCUGAUGCAGGCUACCCUUGGUACGUCAAUUGUACCUUCUCAACAGCCAUCAGUCAGGGAAACCAUGGAGGUACGGCAAUCACCACAUGUCAUCAGAUCUAACCAUCUAUAUUAUACUCAUAAGAACUUGGUCCUCGUACCUUUCCAGGAGGCCAGUCCGAGCAGGACACCAAUAAUCAUCGAAUCCUCCUCCUCCGAGGAGCUGGUCGCACCAGUUCCUGAACCAAGGACAGCACUCCCAUUGACGCAAACAAAAGAAAUCCGCUUCAAAGAGGUAAGAGACUUGUCACCCGAAUUGGCCGAUUUCCCUAUUACCAUCAGCUAAUCGAUGCUUAUCAUUUUACUUUCUUGCAGGAACAAGAUACCCCCAAUAAUAGUCUCUUCUCCUUCACGGUCGCACUUUCUGAUGAUGAGGAGGUUGCUUCACGUCAAGUCACUCUGAGCUCAAUUCCUGAUGACGUCCGCGCCAAGCUCGAAAGCAUAAGGACCUUCCUCCAAGAUGACAUCGGCCGAUUAGUGGAGGAUGCCUCGCCGAUUCGGCAACUCUUUAGCGAUAUCAGAGGCCAGGUUCCCGAGGAGGCAGAAGAAGCUCUGGCACCCGCCGCAUAUAUUGAAUCAAUGCGGAUCCCAGUGUUCAGGGCCUUGCGCCACAUGGCUGAUCACGUCAAGUUAGCUAAAGCUCGUGAGGAGGAAGGCUCUUACAAGCACCGAGCCCAAGAGGUAUAUCAUCGAAUCAAUUUCCUUGAAAACUCCCGCCCGGAUAUUGUUGGUGCUAUAGAUCGCCUCAAGCGCUGAAGGGCAGAGCUCGCCAAGGAGAUGGAGCAGGUGACCAAGGACAUAGCCAUUGAAGAGAAGAGACUCCAAGACCUCCCUUCUGUCAUCGCCGAACUGAAGCAAGAGAGACAAAGUCUAGCCCAUGAGGCAAUCAGACUCCAUCACCAUAUGCCAGAAGUCCCAGGAUCGGUCGAUGACGACCAACGAAUUUUAGACUUGACCGAUCAAGUUAGGCAACCAGCGAUUGCGGCCAUUAAUGCCCUCCUUGGGUGAACUGUAAAGGUGAUGGCUGCUCUGUAAAAACAUUAAUAUCUUUUGACUGUUUGACGUGCGAAUCCAAUCCUGACCUGUCCUUCAUGGCGGCUUUUCAUUUAUUACCCCUUUUAAUCUGAUGGGACGUGUCUUACCAAACUCUCGCCUCUUUUCUUUCCAUAAGUACGAGACCCGAUAUUGUUUCCACAGGCAUUCGCCUCGCUCGUCCUCUUCUCCUCUAGUAGUUCAUACCACCAGACUAUUCACCAAGAUGUCUUCUUCAUCUUCCUCCUUUUCCUCCUUCUCCGUCAACCAGGUACGAGAUCUUCCUACGCCCUCUAUUCCUCGGUCUGACAUUUUAACCGGUCUGACGUCGAGCGGUUAUCCGUUAAUUUUUUCAGCCGAGACGUCUUAGUCCCGAACUGGAACGGGCAAUCGAGAUCAUGCACUCUGAUGAACCGUUGUCGCAGGAGGACAAGAACUUGAUCAGAGCCCAUCGUGAAGAAAUCAGAGAUCAUGUCCCUGCUGAAGUCCAGAGGAUCUGGGAUCAUAUCGAUGCCAACUGCUCCAGGCGGCCACCAAUCGAAAGGAGUCAUCCACUCCCCCGCCUAGUCACCCUUGAAGACGUCGUAGCGGGAACGUCUCAAUGACCGCUUGAUCGGAGCCAUCCUGUUCCUCGCCAAGUUGAGGCUGAAGCCGCGAUGAAAUAUCUAGAGGAAAGGAGCAUCCGCCUCUAGAUAGAGUUAGGUUGGGUAGAGAGGGAGCUUAAGAAAAAGCGUGGUUAAUAGAUGUGUUGGUACUUUUAGUUCUAAGGGUGACUUGUACCGUGUCAGCCGUGUACCCCAUCGUUCACACCAAAUAAUAAAUCGGCCAACUCGGACAAAUGUUUUGUUCUCAAGGUGAUUUUAUCUUUGCAUCGGCUAUAAGAUCUAAUAGGAACUGGCCGCGCCAUCUUGAUACACUUCAUAACUAGUUAUGCAUCGACCCAUAUACUAGGAUAAUAUCUCUUCCAGUACCUCCCGUUCAAGGCCCUUGUGAAUUCCUCUGCUUCGAUCAUCUCCAGUAUGUAUGCGUUUCCCGGAGCGCAUCGGCCGAUUUUAUAUGGACCUUCCCAAGUGGGCGACCAUUUAAUGAACUUGGGAUCCUUGGAUCCUAUCGGCAGUACCAACUUCCAUACCAAUCUCCUUGGGAGAAUUGCUUGACUUUGACCUUCUUGUCGUACCACCUGGCCACCCUCUUUUUAUUCUCCACAAUGCUGAUCAGAGCCCUUAAUCGUUGACCUGCCAAAUCGUCGACCUCUCCUUUCAUGAGGAAGGAAUAGUCAUCGGCCGUCAACUGAUCUUGAAGCGAUGUGCGUCUUGACCCCAUCCUUAAUUCCCAAGGCAACACUGCCUCGUGACCAUACACCAAUUGAUAAGGAGAUAUUUUAGUAGCCCCGUGGCAGGCCAUCCUGUAAGCCCAUAAAGCCUUGGUCAAACAUAAGUGCCACUUCUUAGGUUGUUGCUCAAUCUUCCUUUUGAUCAACUUAAUUAUCCCCUUAUUGGAUGAUUCAGCUUGGCCGUUAGCUUGAGCAUAAUAUGGAGAAGAAUUUAGCAACUUGAUUCGGCAGUGAACUCCUCGAAUUCUCCCGAAGUGAACAUCGUCCCUUGGUCGGUUGUGAUGGUUUGAGGAAUACUGAAACUAUAAACAAUGUGGUCCCUUACAAAAUCGACCAUAGCGGCCGAUGUCACGGCCUUCAAUGGGAUUGCCUCCACCCAUUUGGUAAAGUAGUCAGUGGCUACCAAUAUGAACUUGUGCCCCUUACUUGAUGGAGGAUAAAUCUGUCCGAUGAGGUCUAUUCCCCAACCCCUGAACGGCCAUGGCUUGAUUAUCGGAUUCAUAGCCGAUGCCGGCGCACGUUGUACGUUGCCAAACUUCUGAUAGUCUUGACACCCUUUAUAAUAUUUGAAGCAGUCUUCGAGUAUCGUCGACCAAUAAUAUACAUUAUUCCUAAUCAUCCACUUCAUUUUAUGAGCCGAUUGGUGAGCUCCGCACACGCCUUCAUGGAUUUCUCCCAUCAGGAUCUUUGCUUUUUCCGUCCCCAGGCAUUUGAGUAGAACUCCAUCAAUCAUUCAGUAAAACAAAUCAUCAUCGAGUAGUACAUACUUUGUGGCUUGAAAACGCACUCGCUGAUCCACUUUCUUGGACGGGUCCCUUAAGUAAUCAGCGAUCUCCUUUCGCCAAUCGUCGGCCGCGAGUUCCAGAAUCAUGGCGCCCUGAAUCGACUGAUACCCGGACGAGUGUUGGGCAAGCCUAUUGGCCUCUUCAUUAUAAUUUUUGGGAAUAUGCUCAAUAACUGCAGUCUUGAAUUCUUUUAAAAGUUGGAGACAAUCUUCGUAGUAAAUCCUCAGGACAUCAUCUUUACAUUCUGAUCUUCCUGUUAGCUGGUCUACGAUGAGCAUGGAAUCCCCAAAAAUCUCCACAGCGUCGGCUUUGUUCUCUCUCAAUAAUUGAAUGCCUUUUAGGAUAGCUCGAUAUUCCGCCUGAUUAUUGGUUGCGGAAGCUUCUAUCGCCAGAGAGAAAUCAUAACUUGCCCCCUGAGGCGAUAUGAGAACGAUGCCGAUUUCUGAUCCGGUGCCACAUGACGAACCAUCAAAGUAUAGAGUCCAUGGAGUCAUCUCAACGACAGCGAUUUCUGGUCCGCAGUGCUUGGCCACAAAAUCGGCCAUGACUUGACCUUUGACAGCUUUGGUUGAUUUGUACCUUAGGUCAAACUCUGACAGAGCCAGGAUCCAUUUUCCAAUUCGUCCUUUCAAAAUCAGCAAUGAUAGCAUGUCCUUUAUCACAUCAUCUUUGCAUACGACUAUGCACUCUGCCGACAAAAGGUAGUGCCUGAGCUUAGUGCAUGAGAAAUAAAGACAGGCAUAGCCGUUCUAUCGGUGAAUAUCUUGUCUCGGCGUCCAGAAGUCUUCUGCUAACAUAAUAUAUCACCCAUUCCUUUCCUUCGAACUCCUGUACCAGCGCCGAUCCGAUGGCCCGUUCAUCGGCCGAUAAGUAUAGUCUGAAUGGCUUGUCAGCUUGUGGUGGGACCAAUACAGGUUGCGAGAUCAAAUAUUGCUUGAUGUCUUCCAGUGCUUUCUGCUGCUCCUCUCCCCACACAAAUUUCUAGUCGGGCUUUAAUUUCAAUAACGGCGUGAAGGCUUGAAUACGCCCGGACAAGUUGGAUAUGAAUCUUCUAAUAAAGUUUUAUGUCCGGGCUGCUGAUAUGGCCGAUAUCCUAGUUUUAUGGGCAACCGGUGUUCAACAAUGGACCGGUCUAGGCCAGGCAUCUCAUGGUAUUCCCAAGCAAAACAAUCUUUAAAUUCCUUUAAUAAGUUUGUCAAUUUACACUUGUAUUCGGGAUCCAAGUUAGCACUAAUGUACGUUAGCCUUGGUUUGGUGCCAUCACCUAAAUCUAUCAUCUCUAAUGAAUCGGCCGACGUAAACCCGUGCCCCAGCUUUCCAUCUUCUCGGACGAACUGAUCCAUCUAAUCUGAAUCUUCAGAGCCGACUGCUCGGAUCAGCUGUGGGCCAAAAUCGGACACUUUCAGGAAAUUGCUGUCCCAAGUUCUUCUGGAUAUGCACUUGACAUGUUCGCAGCUCCAUUGCUGCGUAUCGGCCGCAGCAACACUGUAGGCGGAAUCGGCGGUGACUACCUCGAUGUUCUUACCGACCCAUUGUACGAGGCAUUGGUGCAUUGUAGAUGGGACGUAGCAAUUCGCGUGUAUCCAAUCGUGUCCGAGCAACAUGUUGUAGGACCCUUUGCCAUUAAUAAAGAAAGUAGUGGGAAGGGUCUUACUGCCGAUGGUGAGGUCGACACAGAGCGCCCUGCGCGCGGGAGACACGUUGCCCUCGAAGUCCUUGAGCAUCAUGUCCAUCUUGGUUAGAUCCUCGUUGCUUUUACCCAGCUUCCGGAACAUGGCGUACAGCAUGAUGUUGACUGCAGCGCCUCCAUCUACUAGCAGCCUAGUGAUAGGUCGACCAUUGACGUGUCCUUUGAGGAACAGUGCCUUGAGGUGUUGCCGUUUUUCAUCUUCGGGUUUCUCAAAAGUGGCUGUCAUUGGCUCCAAAGCCAAUUGUGCCAUCUGUUCCUCCAUCUACGUCGUGUCGUACCGAUCGGCGGGAGCCAUGAACUCCAUUGGCAAGAUGUACACCAUGCUGAUGUCAGCUGUCGAUUCUUGGUUGCCAUCUUCUUCAUUGUUGUUUCUUUUGGGGUGCUAGACUCAAGACCUAUCGUCUUUCUUAUCCACCACCUGCCUCUGCUCUUCUUCCUUUUGUUCCCAUUGGCGCAGGCGUUGGAUCCUUCAUUUUUUGGAUUUGGUUAAUCCAUCAGGGUACCACCUGGGAUUCACCGGUUUGGUCGGUGGCCUGGCGCGCUCCCAGUCUGGUUCUCGUCCUAGGGGGUUUUCAUCUAACACCCUAGCAUCAGCCAUCUCCUCUAGCCGAUCGUGUGUGCUGACUCUGUGUAACGGCCUCGGACAAAAUCCUUCGCGUCAAUCUUAAUCCGAGUCCCUGAUCACCUGUCUUAGUUUUUUUUUCCAAGCCUAAGUGUUCAACCUCCAGAUCUUCCAACCCCUGCGAUCCGACCCCUCGCCGUGGUCUCCCCAGUUCCGACCCCGCCGACCCCCAACCCACCGUCGGAUCUUUCUAAGCCAUCCCGCAGCAUCGCCCUUCAGUCCGAGUAGUGGACCACCGAGACUGACCGGUGGGCCCAUGAGAUCUUUUCCCCCAGAUCUCCCGCGACAGGCGCACUCGAGUUGCAUGCCCGCUUCAGAGUUCCCCCGCCACGUGGCUCAACUCCUCCGACGUCCGUUGCUCCGCCUCGUCUUCGGCCCGCGACCGGGUGGAUUCUCGCGCCCCCUUCCCUAAUCACGGCGGAUGCUCCUUUGCCACCCUUUCUGCAGCACCUCACCACCCGCGCCCAUCAUCACAUUGCCAGAUCCCGGCCGCAGAGCCCGAUGCCGCCUGUCUUUUCCGUCACCUCGCCACUGUCGCACCGCCCCGGUCUUCGCUACGCGAAGAUUCCUCCUCCGCCAACCCAGACCGCGGCAGCGACAGCUCCUUUUCCCGCCCUGUCAGAAGCCGCCCCGACAAUCUGUUGCUCCGCGCUCGCCCGCGCGCCCGCAGCCGCCUGUCUUCUCACCUGUGCGCCCUUGUUCCUAGCGCCGUUAUCCCGGUCACUUCCAUCAGAUCCACCGCAUGACGACGCCCACCUCCGCCAAAUCUCAACCACCGGCAAACCCGCGCUUGCGUCGCCCUGACGUCAGUGCCCAAUGACCACUGGCGUCAUCCCCGAAGUCCUGCUCCACCGCCCUCGUCGCGCAAUCGCCGCCCGGGCAGAGCACUCCAUCGUUUCUUCCCCGGCCUUCGCGCCUCUCCUCCCUCCCUCUUCCACGCCGCUAUAAAAGGGAAUGCAGAAGUUCCGCCGGAGUUCCCCCUUUUUCCUUCGCUGCCAUCUCUCUUACUCCCUGUUCGAGCUCACAGCACCACCAGCUAAGUCUGAGGAACUCUCCUCUCUGCUCAAGCACCGCCGCCGCCGGAAUACCGCCGGACAUCCUCACCACACCCAAGCCAUUAGUCCUUUCCACCCCAAGCCUUCUCUGUAAGACGAAGGUAGGCUGCCGACCCCUGCUCGCUUCGUCCGACCCCUCUUAUACGCCCGACCCUGGUUCCGUCUCGCCGGACCCUGUCUGUUCCGCCGACCCUUCUCCGCCUCGCCUGAGGGCUCGGCUGUAUCUUUUCUUUGAACCGAGGGUGUAUGUGUAAAACUUGGGGACCUUUCAGCGUUGAGUCUGAGGACCCCUAGUACAUCAAAUCCUCUAGAUUAAGGGUCAGAUCAUAAGUUUCUUCCUUCCACCCCUUACAUCCUGAUCUCCAUCAACUCCAUUGAACCUCCCCACCCUCCUGUAACUUGUCGCAAGUUUCUGGGCUCAAACUUGCAAGUGUUGCUGUUGAAAUAACCGUCUAUGCUAACCAAUGCAUUGCAUUUGUGUAGAACUGCGUCUUGCCGACGGCUACUAUGAGCUGCACCCGGUGCCAGAAGACGAUGGUGUAGCUGAGCUCCUGCUUCCCGAAGCCGAAGCUUCCCAAGAAGACGUGCAGUUCCCUUCCUCCUUGCUCGAAGGCAAGCCCCGGAUGCAUGAAUCCCCUAUGUUUUACCAGACUUGCGCAUGCCUUCUUUAACAUGCUUGUGCAUUUACAUAUAGGAGUUGUUUGGAACCCUAGAUGCAUAACUUAGCUCCCUUGAUCUGAACACUAGCUGUUGGACCGAGUAGAUGCUUUGCUUAAAUAGGAAACGGUAAAAGCCGAGUUAUUCCCUGUCACUCGCGAGUUGUAGGAGUUGGAUGUUUACCCUUCUGUCACAACUAUAAGGAUGAUGGACGGGGCAGGGUUUGAGGUAACCCUUUGGUGGUCGGUUGAUCGCCCUGUCUGUCUAUGCAACUUGCUAAGGCCCGACAGUGGUGGUGUUCAUGAUCAAGUGUUUGAAAGUACUAAUCUCAUACCUAGUAUGGGAUGGGGAAGCCUAGUACCUGAUUGAACUAGGGCGUGGCUUAUACCCCUGCUGUCCCUGGAACGAGGUUCCCAUGGUGCAUCAUGUGGGUGCAAGUGCGGUCACAGUACGGCAGAGGCCGGGACUGUGGAGCAUUGCAUGCCAAGGGAAGUUUGGACCUGACACGCGCCUGGGAAUUGAUGGGGAUGGCCAACACAGGAAGCGGCCCUGGUGGUGCGCGGAUGUCGUGAGAUUAGGUUCGCCAUGCAUGGUUAAGAAACUCGAAUCGAUUUGUCUGCCUCUCACAGUUUGAGACUGCUUGAUCGCUAUGUCACCCUGAGUAAGUAAGGAAUCUGAUGAUGACAUGGUUUUGUUGAUGAUGUAUAUAACUUUUGGUUGGUUCUAUGUUUGCUUAGAAUAGGUUGCAAACUUAGAACGGAUAAUGAACUUAGAACCGGAGCUAAAACUUGAAAGUAGGGAUACAUCUAGCGCUUUUGGCAAACAAACCCCUCAGCCAAAAAGCCUUGCAUGUCUAGAAGAGGUAGUUUAGAGCGCUCCCUGUCGAUUAAGUCUUGUUGAGCUUAGUAGCUCAGCCUUGUUGUGGCUCUUCUUUUUCAGGUGAAGUUGUUGCUUCUGAGCCCCCUUCUGCUGGCACUUGGCCGCCCCAACUCCCUCCGGGUUGGACGGUUGAGUGGGAUCCCUCCUCAGACGGCGAGGAGAGGGAUCAUUGACGUCCCGGUUGGUCUCACCAGGGAUGUCCGACCCCGACGAAGUAGCUUCCGCUUGUUGUUUUAUCUUCUGUGGUUUUCUUUCAAACCUUGUAAACUCUGAUGAUGUUUAUAGCCAAACUAGAUGGUUAAAUUGCUUAACUUAGUGGACUUGCUGUAUUCUCUGGAACCGCUCACCUUCAUGUGGGUUUGCUAUUCGGUCCUGUUCAAGUGGUUAAAUCGGAUGAAAUCCGACGGCACUUCGUGUUUACUUGGUUAAGGCAUGAGUGUCGCAUAUCAGGCGGCUUAAUCAUGUUUAAUCAAGCAAAUCCGAAGUGGAUCCGCCACACUCUGCCCCCCGGUCGGUCAUGCUGUUCGCGUCUGUCCCUUGGCCGAUCGUAUCAGUCAACUCUGCCCCCCAGUCGAUCACGCACUGAAAGGCACCGAUCCUCUUGCUCGCGCCAGUUUCUGCUAAUUGGCUCUGAUCCUCUAUCCCUUGAGCGAGAUCUCUUGAACGGAUGAUUAUUGCGAUAUGGACCGCUGCACUCUGGCCAAUUAUUAGCCGAUGGCAACCUGAGGUUAUUUUCCCAGCAAUGGAUGAAGAAAGGACAUUGCUAAUGAUCUUCGUGUCGUCGUAUUAUUUCUUCACGAUAUCUCGAACUGUCCUGUUGCCGCUGAUACUUGUUGAGCAAGAACUGGGAGGUAAUAGGUCUGCGCGGUCUUUCCGAUCCGUCACUCUCAUCGUCAACCCGUCUCUUCCCCUUGACGUCUUCGAUCGUAGCUUGAUUCCUGGGGUCCAUAGCGCCGUUCUUUUUAGCCGAUUCCGACGUCAGCACUUUGGUUUGAAGCGCGUUUCUUCCCGUAUCAACCAUGUUAGUGGGAAAAGGAUGCUGAUCGAUCUUCAUUGGCUUUGCUGGUUUUGUCGGGACCUCGAACUGGAGCCUGCCUCUCAAUGGCCGAUUGUAUCUGCUGUCGGAAGAUUUUGCACUCGUUUGUGUCACGGGACGUAGCAUUGUGCCAUUUGUAAUACUUCAUCUUUUUAGCUGUUCGGCCAAUGGGAUCGUAUGAUAAGUUGAGAGUUUGAUCUGCCCGUCUUGGAGGAGUAGGUCGAAAAUUUUAUCGGCCUUUGACGUGUCAAAACCGAACACCUCCGGUUCCUUUUUUUCGAAAGGACACAAUAUCAACUUCUUUCCCUUAACCCACUCUGCUAGUCCGAUUUCCACUUCCUCCUCAGAUUCAGAUCCCUCUAAGUAUGCCACCUUCUUCUGAAAAUUUCUUCGCUGAUCAAAGGGGCAUACUUCUUGAUCGGACAAUCGGUGGACAAUCUGACUCAGGCUCUUGAACUCCUGGGAAGCGUAUUUCUCCUUGAUAUGUGGUAGGAGGCCUUGGAAGGCAAUGUCGGCCAGCUGCGCAUCGGUCAGAACCAGGGUGUAGCAUUUGUUUCUGACUUCUCUGAACCUUUGCAUGUAAUUGGUCAUGGGCUCAUCGCUCCUCUGCCUGAAGCUGGUCAAAUCUGAGAGCUUCAUCUCAUGGACUCCCACGUAGAAGUACUUGUGGAACUAUUUUUCCAAGUCAGCCCAGGUGACGAUGGAAUUGGGCGGAAGCAUAGUGAACCACUGGAAAGCCAACCCGGACAGGUAUGAUGAGAACAGGCGCACCCACAGAGCAUCCUGUGUAGCCGCCUCUCCACAUUGGAUGAUGAAUCUGUUUACGUGUUCCAUGGUGGAGGUGUCAUCCAGCCCCAAAAACUUAGUGAAGUCGGGAACUUUGUACCGAUGGGGAAACGGUAGUAGAUCGUAGGCAGGCGGGUACGGCGUUUUGUACGUGUAAGUUUGUACCUUUGGCUUCAACCCGAAUUGAUCGUGGAUCACCUUUGCUAUCCUUGCCGUCUAGUCUACUUGCUGCUGAUGAAUUACUAGCUGGGCAAUCAGCACAUGUUGGUGGAUCGGUGGCGGGAUGACCGGGUGAUGAAUCAAAGCGUGCGGCGGAUUCUGCGGUAACGUGGCCGGCUGAGCGGUUGACAUCUGGUGGCGCAGCAAACCGGCCAUCUCAUUGUACAGCAUCAUCGGCACCGCACUUCGGAGCACCUCAGCAACAUCUGCUCCCCUGCUAAUUUCUGACGUGGCAGGUUGAUACUGUGGAGCCGUCAGCCGAAUGGCCGAUUGGAAUGGUGCCUGGAUCGGAGGGCCUCCAUAGUCAGCCGAUUGAUCUAGAACGGCCGCUGUCGAUGGUGCCCCCCAAGGCACUGAGUUUGAUGGCAAUGAUUGGACGAAGGAAAUUUGAGUAGGUUGAGGUGGCGCUUGUGACUGAAAGCAUGGCGCACUGUUAUAUCCUGGAUGCAUUGAAGGCAGUGAAGCAUUGUGUCCUCCAUGUUGAGUUGGCAUUGGCUGAGGAGCAGAGUGAGAUGUGCUUGGAAAGCUCCUGACUGGGGUCGUAAUGGGCGGGGCAUAUGCUGGCCCCUAAUAUCCUUGAGAUACUGUGGCGGAACCGUCCAACUUAAACUGGUUUAAAUGCACCUAAUCACUGCUGACGCAGCCAUUAUUCGAAACACACUUAAAACAGUAUAAGUCCGGUCGUCUGUCGAGUGUCCCUAGGACUCCUCGAAGAUCCACGUCGUGUCUCAUAGCCAUACAUCAGGAUUGUAUCCGCGAUGGGAUAGCAUCAACAAAUAUUACAUUUUUACAUACAUACACGAGGUACGAGUUAAUACAAGACAUAGUUUGAAGCAAACUUAACAGUGCAGUGUUAGACAGAGUUCUAGGAUUUAAAACAUAAACGGUUUGGGUUGAGAUGAGCAUUAUAAGCCUUCUUCUAAGGGUAUUGUGAGAUUCAUAACAAUACCCUAGGGUUUCGGGGCUUCUUCCUCGGUGGACUCCUGCGGUGUUUCUGAAAAUAGCCACAAGGGAUAACCCUGAGUACGAGGUACUCAGCAAGGCUUACCCGACUAACCAAUAUAAUAGUUUUUCUUGGAAGUAUAUGAUAGCUUUUUCGAUGUGCUAGGCUGACACAUUUUUGCCAAAAAGCUUACUAAAAAAAAGAGACCUUAGCUUUAUCUUUUAUUCGGAUUAAGUCAUUACCUAACCAUUUUAGGUGAUGAUAAAAGAUUAUUUGUAAACAAUAAGGUAUUAAGUCAUACACCAAACAUUAUUAGAAAGAUAUGGCAUUCAUGAAUUUAUGCUACGAUGCUCAACAGUGAUCAAGUGCAUUCAUAACCGAGAAUUGCGGCGAUCCGGAUCAAAUUACAUCCUGCAGGAGAGUACCCUAAUCACCAGCUAUAUACGACUGUCCAGGUUGUACGUAACGACUUUUCAAUUAGCAAAACCCAUGAUUGGGAAUAAGACUACCCGGACCUAGGGACGCACCCCCACAUGGGACCCCACGUCUGGCCCGAUCACCAUGUGAGUUUCAGGCUACACCCCUGCCAAUCUCCAGCACGUCAAGCAUGGGUACGAAGUAUUCCCGAUCAGAGGGUUUACUAACCUACUGGGCUUUACUGGUCCCAUACCCAGUAAGUGAUCAGAUGUCUUUCACUUGAUUAAAGGUUAAGACAAUGAAUCGGGCCUUAACCAGAUUAAUCUAGCAGACAGAACUACAUCCUUAGCUUCUGUCCACUUCUUAAUUUCCAAGUCAUGUUUCCAUAAUUAACAUGCAUGACUCAAAAUUUACCUUAAGGUUUGGUAAAGCAAGUAUUUAAGCAGCUAAGCCAUUCUAGACUUGGGUUAUCUACUAAAGGUUUGAACAAGUGGCAAAGAUGUCCUUAAAACAAGGUAUGAUCAUGCACAAGAAUGGGUUUCAAGCAACUCCUAGACUUAGUGCAUAUAUUUAGCAAAUAACCGAUAAUGGGCACAUGAAAUAUUGACUCCAAAUAAUAGGUAUAAUGCACUGGGGCUUGCCUUGUUCGCCAAAAAAGUUAGCACUGUCCGAAGGGUUGGCCUCGUAGGGGACCAAUUCAAAGACUUCCUCAAAUUCCGGAGAUCCUUCUGAAUAUUCCGAGAAAUCUCCUUCUGGUGCUUCGGUGUCUAUAACACAACAUAUGCACGGGUUAGGAAUGCAAAUUUUUGAAUACAAGACUAUACAACUUUCCUUCAUGAUAGAGUUGCAAGCCAACAAGGACUAUACAAUUUAUCAUGAUAAAGUUGCAAGCCAACACACGAAAACCCGAAAAGAUUAACCCAACAAUUUUAUUUCCUUAACUAACCUUACUUAGGGCCUUUUCUUUUAUUUUAGAAGAUGUUAUAAUUAUUUUCUAGCUUUAAAACCUAAUUUCCUAUGAGUUAAUACUAAUUUGUGAUUAUGAAAAUGUUAUUCCAUAUUUUAUGCAUUUAAUAAAGAUUAAGUAUUUAUUUAAAUACCUUUAAAAUAAAGGCAUUAAACAAAUACCCAAAUUUUUAUUAUUUUCCUAGGGUAUAAAAAUUUUAAUGCAUAAAGGAAAAUAAAACAAGCCUAACAGAAUUGGUUUCACUAAUUUUGGACACUCCUAGAAAUUUCUGUGAUUUAAAUGGUGAGAUUCGGAUUUAAACUAAUUAUUCUAUAAAGGAAAUCUAAUUUUUCGCGAAAAAAACCCCCGGCAACUUUUCUCAGGCGACCCUAUUCUACCCCCUCUCUCUUACACUGGGCCCGCGACUCGGACCUACCCCUUCUCCUAUUCAUCCUACCCGCCGGCCUACCCCCUCCUCUAACGGGCUCUCUAGGCCGAUUCUUCUUUUCCUUUUCUCUUCUCGGACCGGCACCGGCCCAACGGCCCACUCCUUCUUUUCUUUUUCUCCCGUGAAACCUGGCCUGCUGAAAGCUUGGGCCUCCGGCCUUUCUCUUAACGGCCGACCGCACCGGCUCCUUGGGCCUCCGAAACGCUGGCCCAACUGACGCCCGCGCCCGACCGGCCUGCCUCCUUUUCUCCCCCGCCUCCUCUGACUUGCGGGCCCGUGGGGGCGGCGCGGCUUGCCGGCCGGCGCCCUACCGGCGACGGGGCUAAGCCGGGGAAGCAUCCCCAUGCCCUAGCGCACCCGUGCGCGGUGACAGCUUCCCGGGAGAUGACCGGAGUUACUUCCUCCACGGUGGCGGGCGGCGACGCCUACGGCCGGUUGUGGCUAGGCACAACGAUGGCGCAACCUACCCCGACAACCACUACUAUAGCUUCCUAGCACCCUAAGGACUCGCCUACGACUACCCAAGAAGAAAGAGAACAAGAGCAAGGAGGUGCUCACCGUGAGCAGGAGGUGCGGCGACGGCGGAUGGAAACGACGACGGUGCAGGGUAUUCCGGCAAGGAUGUUGGACAACGACUCGACUGGGGUGUAGCUGGGGUAUCUGUGGAGGAGUGGGAGAGAGGAAUCGACGGGAGGUGAGGCAUGGCAGAGGAAUUUGGCCGACGGCGAUGGCUUGGACAGAAGGGCGGCGGCGGUAAAAAGAAUAGGCAGUAGAAACGGUCGGCGGGAGCGGUAGUUAUUCAAGGCUUUCACCGCGCGCAUGGGUGACACCGUGGUCUACUCGUAGGCUUGCGUGGUGAGGAGGUGGCGUAGCUGCCGCGCUGGCGGGCGACCGAGAACACCGGCGGCGACACGUCGAGCUCGGCUCUGUCAUCCUCCCCCUCUUUAUUUGUGACGCCCGAAAUCUUCAGAGCUCAAUCACGGUCAAAAGUUCAUCCGACGGCCCACAAGUGUCUUAACCAAAGUUGUAGAUAAGUUUGAGCUCUACAAUUCAUAUUUAAACUCUUGCCCAAGAUUUUCAUUCAUUUGUUGGCAAUUUCAAAAUGUUUGGCCUCAGGUGACUGAAUUCCAUUGAAUUCCGAUUCAUUUCGUCAGUCACUUGGUCAUGGUCAUUUACCCUACUUUGUAAAUCAUUUCAGUGAUCCAAAUCCUUUCCUUUCAGUCCAACUUCUUCCCAUUUGUGUUCUACAACAUUCAAAGGUUCCAUUUCGCCCAUAAACACUUACACCUUUUGUUCUACAGUUUUCUGAAAUUAGCUCCAAAUUCAGCCACAUAUUGCUGUUUUCAGACUUAGUCAAUUUCAGCAAUGCAGUCUACCGUGACAAUGUGCUGACUUUGAGCUCAAAUUUCAAUUUGUUCCCCUUACUGUUCCUGAUCAACAACACCCAAAUAUAUAUGUACAAAGUCCAUACUGCAUCACUAUGUAGUUGUCUUGGUCCACUUAUUUGGAAAAUUGGUCGGAAAUUAAUUUCCAAAAUGGACUCUGCUGCUGUUUUUCUGAACUCCUUAUUGUCAGAUGGUGAACAGUAUUUGGGUUUUUAAUUUCUUUCUUUGAGUUUUCUUGAGGUAUUUGGGACCAUGUCUUGUCCCAAAUCUUGAUCUUCAAGUUCUAAUCACCCUUACACCUCCAUUCCAUAUUUUUGCCGAAUUUUUCUGAAUUUCGAAUUCAAAAUUCAAAUUUCGGUCAAAUUUGACCCGAAUUUGAUUUUUAGCCAAUUUCUUCUCCUCUUCUUCAUGAAUUGCUUCUUUUUCUUCAGAGCUACUUUGAUGACUAAAAAUGGUAGGUAUUACAGCCUCUCCCCCUUAACAGAAUCUCGUCCCGAGAUUCCCGGGGUUAAACCCUCGGCUUUGAGAAUGGAAAGGAAACUGCGUCAGGCCAACUAUCUUUCUGUUUUCUGUACAAGGAUAGUGGGGUGGUGGCUUUUGUUCAUCUGAUCCUGAUGGUUUCAAAUAACUCAGGAUAUUUAGACUCUAGGUCUUCAGCCUGUUCCCACGUAGCUUCCUCCGAAGUAUGAUUUUUCCAUUGUACCUUGUAAAAUGUAAUACUUCGAGUUCGGGUAUCUCUUGUCUUUUGAUCCAGAAUUUUAAUAGGCCUUUCUUCAUAGGUUAGAUCUGAUUCGAGCUCAAUUUCUUGAUCCUCUAGAAUCUCUUCUGGAACUCUUAAGCACUUCUUAAGCUGGGAUACAUGAAACACAUCAUGUAUAGAAGUAAGUUGGUCUGGUAAUGACAGAUUGUAUGCUACCGGACCCUUUCGUUCCAGAAUUUCAUAAGGACCAAUGUACCUUGGACUAAUUUACCCUUUAUUCCAAAUCAUUGUAUUCCUUUCAUCGAGGAUACCUCCAAGUAUACAAAAUCUCCGAUAUGAAAUUCCAAGGACCGUCUCCUUUUAUCUGAAUAACUCUUUUGUCGAGACUGGGCUAUUUCCAAAUGUUUACGAAUUUUCUAGACCUUUUCCUCGGUUUCCAUAACCAAGUCUGAUCCCAAAUGUGUCCUUUCUCCUAUUUCCGACCAAUUCAAUGGGGUUCGACAUCUUCGACCAUACAAGGCUUCGAAAGGUGCCAUUUUGAUACUAGCUUGAUAACUAUUAUUAUAGGAGAACUCAGCUAGGGGCAAACAUUCAUCCCAUAGCUUAGAGAAGGUAAGGACACAUGCUCUUAACAUAUCUUCCAAGAUUUGGUUGACCCUUUCCGUCUGUCCUCCGGUCUGGGGAUGAUAGGCAGAGCUUCUGAUUAAAGUAGUGCCCAUGUCUUUUUGCAGUUGUUCCCAAAAUCUGGAAACAAACUGGGAGCCUCGAUCGGAGAUAAUUGUCUUUGGUAUUCCAUGCAAGGAUAAGAUCUGGGCUAUAUAGAGUUUCGCAUAUGUCGACACUGGGUAGGUAAUCUUGCCGGGGAUGAAAUGGGCUGACUUAGUGAGUCAGUCGACAAUAACCCAUAUGGAAUCAUAUCCUUUUGAAGUGGUAGGCGAUCCAACUAUAAAGUCCAUGGAAAUAUCCUCCCAUUUCCAGACAAGGAUUUUUAAAGGUUGAAGCAAACCUGCCGACUUUUGUAGUAUGGGUUUAACUCUCCGGCAGGUAUCACACUCGGCUACAUAUCUUGCAAUUUCAAGUUUCAUUUUGGCCCACCAAAAUCUUUGCUUUAAAUCUUGGUACAUUUUAUUGCUUCCGGGAUGAAUGGUGAGCUUAGAUAGAUGUGCUUCAUCUAAGAUCAAUUUUCUUAGGCUUUCAUCCUUAGGAACUACUAUCCUUUUUCUGAAAUACAGUCCCCCAUCCUCUUCUUGAGUAAGUUCAGAAAUCUUCCCUUCUGCCUUCUGUUGAUGAAGCACCUUGAUCCAAGGAUCUUCUUUUUGGGCUGUUAUGAUUCUCCCCUUUAGAGUGUCUUGCACAACAAUGUUCUGGAGGGUGCCUUGUUUCACUAUUUCCAAGUUUAAAUCCUCUAAUUCUUCACAUAAGGUCUUAAGAUUAGGCUGAACAGUGGUACAUUGGCACUGGGCCUUUCUGCUCAAAGCAUCAGCCACCACAUUAGCCUUACUAGGAUGGUAGUGAAUCUCUAGCUUAUAAUCUUUUAUUAGCUCCUACCACCGUCUUUGCCUCAUAUUCAAGUCCAUUUGAGUGAAGAUGUACUUUAAGCUUUUGUGAUCAGUAAAGAUACGACAUUCACUACCUAGAAGAUAGUGUCACCAUAUCUUUAACGCAUGGACUACAGCAGCAAGCUCUAAAUCGUGGGUAGGGUAAUGCUCUUCAUGACGCUUUAGUUGACGAGAAGCAUAAGCAAUAACUCUACCUUCUUGCAUAAGAACACACCCUAUCCUUGUUCCUGAGGCAUCACAGUACACGUCAAAGGGCUUCUCUAUAUCAGGUUGAGCUAGCACUGGGGCUGUAGUCAGUAGCUUCUUUAGGGUUUGAAACGAUUCUUCACAUUCGGGUUUCCACUCAAAUUUCACUUCCUUCUUUAAUAACUCUGUGAUUGGUUUGGAAAUUUUUGAGAAAUUGGGGAUGAACCUACGGUAAUACCCGGCCAUUCCCAAGAAACUUCUUACUUCAUGUACCGAAGUUGGUGAUUUCCAAUCCAAUAUAUCUUUGACUUUUCUGGGGUCUACUUCAAUUCCUUUUUCGGACAGUAUGUGCCCAAGGAAUGGAAUUUUCUUUAACCAGAAUUCACAUUUACUGAACUUGGCAUACAACUAGUGUUCCUGGAGUCUACUUAGAACAAUACGCAGGUGUUGCGCAUGUUCCUCUUCAUUUUCAGAAAAGACGAGGAUAUCAUCUAUAAAGACGACCACAAAUUUAUCUAAUUUUGGCAUGAAUACCGAAUUCAUGAGGUACAUAAAAUGCGCUGGGGCAUUUGUCAGUCCGAAAGACAUAACCAAGUACUCAUAUAAUCCAUAUUGGGUUGAGAAGGCUGUUUUAGGUAUGUCUUCGGGUUUUAUCUUAAUCUGAUGAUAUCCUGACCGGAGGUCGAUUUUGGAAAAGACCUUGGCUCCAGCUAGUUGAUCAAAUAACAAGUCAAUCCGUGGCAACGGAUACUUGUUUUUAAUGGUUACCGCAUUCAAAGGGCGGUAAUCCACACACAACCUUAAUGUGCCAUCUUUCUUUUUAACAAAUAAAGCAAGGCAGCCCCAUGGUGAAGUGCUAGGUCGGACAAAACCUUUAUCCAGCAAUUCUUGGAGUUGUACUUUUAAUUCUGCUAACUCCUUAGGCGGCAUCCGAUACGGCCUUCUCGAGAUAGGAGCAGUACCCGGUUCUAACUCGAUGGUAAACUCUACCGCUCUAUCAGGUGAUAGUCCAGGAAGAUCUUCUGGAAAUACAUCUACAAACUCAUUAACCACAGGAAUAGAUUCUAGAGUUACUGCUCUAGUCUUUUUAACCAUCUGGUCCAGACAGGGAUGAGCGGGUAAUUGGAGCUCAAAAGGAUGGCCUUGGUCAUCUCUCAUACUAACAACCCGGUUAUUCAUAUCGAUUUGAACUUUAUGUUCCUUCAUCCAAUUUACCCCCAAAAUAAUAUCUAUUCCUUGAUCUUCCAGAAUUAAAGGAUAAGCACCCACCUUAUUUCCUUCUAAGUUCAAAAUCACAUUGCGAGCUACCUGAUUUGUAUUUUGAGUAGCCCCAGUAGCUUGAAUAGCAUAUUUGACAUUUAAGAUGUGCACUUCAAGUUGGUGUUGUGUAACAAACUUUCUACUUAUAAAAGUAUGUGAUGCACCCGAAUCGAAUAAAAUCAUGGCAGGAUAAUCAUUGACAAGGUACAUACCUGCCAGAAUAGGCUCUCCUUCCGGAAUCUCCUCCACAUUCAUAUAAUGAGCCUGCCCCAUUUUGGUGUUCAGAAAUUUGCGACGAACAAACUUCUAUCCGGUGCCCUGACCAGAGGUUUGAGCCCUUAAAUUCGCGUUUCCCCCAACCUUGGGAAAACGGAAGUCCAGGGCAAAGUGUCCCGGCUUCCCAUAGUUAAAACAAACCUGUGGAUUCCCUAGAGGAGUAGGGUUACGAAACCCAACAGGUGGUGCAUUUCCAGGACGAGGAGCAUUAAUAGGAGCUCUGACAUUCCAGAGCUGAAAGGGCCUCUGUUGAAAAGAAGGCCGAUAUGCGGGUCGAGGAGGACCUCGGUAUACCACCUUCAUUCUUUGUGGGGCGCUUCCGAAGGUUCCAAAAGGAAUAUUCUUCCUCUUCAAGGAUUCCUCUCUCUUCAAAGUUUCAUCUAAGAUUCUCAUCUUCUCUUCUGCAGUAAUGGUUGUGCUUACCGCAGAGCUAUAAUCAGCAAAGGUGCAGGUAGAUAGCUUCUCCUGCAUUCGUGCAUUAAGCCCACAAAGAUAACAAUCUCUUUUCCUGGACUCCGUAUUGACAUGUUCUCGUGCGUACUGGGCCAAGUGAUCAAACUCAUUGGUGUACUCCUGAAUGCUACGGGUUCCUUGCUGCAGCCCUAGGAAUUGUUCCAGCUUCAUUCGCAUGAUACCUUCUAGCACAAACUGUGUCCGGAAGGCUUCCUUGAAAUUCUCCCAUGUAACUUCCCUUCCAACUAGUUGCCUUGCCAGAUAACUGGUCCACCAGGUCCCAGCGGGACCUUGGAGCUGGAGUCCAGCAAACUCCGCCUUCUGGGCGGUGGUGCACUGGGGAAUCACUCGAAAUUUCUGCUCCAUCGUCUGAAGCCAUUCAUUAGCUUCUAGUGGGUGCUCAGCUUUCAAGAAUAUUGGAGGACGAGUUUCCAAGAACUGGGUGUAGGAUACACCCUGUUCUGGGUCUCAUCGGUUUCCACCAUUUCCGGUGUUUUGUACGAUCAUCUGAAGCAGUCGAGCCUGUUCGGCUCCUGAAUUCAUGAGGCUGGCUAUGGCAUCAGCCAGCGUUGGGGCUCUAGGUAAAUUCUCCUCGUGGCCCCCUGACCCUGAAGCUCGAGGACCUCUCGGAUCCAUCAUGCUGCCAAAACCAAACAGAGUAUUAAUAUCUAAGUUACAUUUCACCAACAGUUCUCUAUGCGCACUAGUAUUUCACACAUCACAUCACGACUAUUGUAAUUACACACAAAUCACACUUAUAUACAUAUUAUUUAUUUACAUGACUUGAAGUUACUUUUUACAAAACCACCGUACUACUUCAUCCACUGCAUUUAUCUUACAUAUCUACAUCACAACAUCUCUUGGUUAAGAUCUUUCUUCAACCAUCGUAGGGGUAGAUGCCUAGCUCUUCGGCAUUCAGUCCUAGCCGGGCCAUCGCAGCCUGCAGAACAUCUUGGUCCACUGUCAUCAAUGUCUGUCCCGGAGGAGCGACAGGUAGGGCCUGAUUCACUGAGUUCUCACUUUCUGACUCUGGCCCGGGGUCACUUGAAGUGUAGGAAGUGUAGGAUGCAGAGGUACUGACUCCGGAAUUUCCCUCCAUUUCUUCGGGGUCUUAUUCUUCUUCCCCGUCUUCCUGCUCAGCUUCACCCCACUGUUGCAUUGGUCCGUAGCCUUGUGGAUCUAGCCCAUCGGCGUUUGCAUUGGCCUAGGCAAAUUGUUGGUUUCCCAUGGGAGCUUCACCCAGAUCAUCUUCCAUGUCGACAUCAAUCCCUUCUAAAUUCUCGUGAGCGUAUAAGUCGAUCUCAGGAGCUACAGGUGGAGCAAUAUCACCCUCCAUUCCUACAACGUCCACCAACUGAUCUGCUUCUUCUGGGUUCGGCGGCUGGUGUUCUUCCAGUGGUGGAGGCGGUGGAACAUUGACUAUGUUCUGAGCAGGUACCUGGGCCUGCAUUUCCUCCAAAGCCAGACGAAGAGAUAAGAUUUCGUCCAGCUGCUGGAAUCUUUCUGCCUCGAGCCUAUUAACAUUGGAUUCAGCUUGUUCUCUUGCCCUGUCUGCCAUACUCCUACUGGCAUCCAUGAAUCCCUGCAUUACCCUGAGCUUCUCUUCAUAUUCAUCUAUUCUUCUGGACUGCUCUCUCAUGAUUUUCUCCAUGUCGUGUUCCCUUGCUAAUGCCGCCUUCUUGUACAACUCCUUAUCGUGUCUGGCACCCAUUAAUUCCAUUUUGGCAUCCUCAUUUUUCUUUCUCUGAUUAUAGUAUUCCCUAAUGCAAGACUGGUGCAGGUUGUACAUGGCCGUCAUAUAGUCGGAGGCAGCAGCAACCAAAAUAUCAUGCUCUACACGAGAAGAGUUCUUUAGGGCUUUAAUCCUUCUCUUCCAGAUUCCAUCAUCUUGAUGUUUUAUAGGAUAGAAUCGAGCAAAGCUCGACCCUAUUUCUACCUUGUGCUUCUCACACAGGUCUGUGAGAGCAGUCAUAGCCGCCCUUUCAAUUGUGUCGUUGAACUCGAAGCCUGACUCCAUCACUUCUUCUAGAUGCCAAUUGGGGUUGGUGUCUUCAUGUAGGAUACGCACAUAAACAGUACAGUACUGCUUGUGACACGUGUCCUCCUUCCUCCAAUAGUACUCUGGAGGGUUGUGGAAGCCUAACUCCUGCAGCGUUUUCCACAGCAGCUGCGCAAACCCUGGCUUGUCCAGGUAAUGCCCUCGGGUCCAUCCGUCCUGGUCGGUGUAGCCUUCUUGGAACAUCCUAUAAAAGAAACGAGGUCAGGUCUAACGGCACUCACCAAACCCAAAAGUUUUUAAAACAUGCUUAUGCAACAUGAUGCAACGACUCCUACGUACUCACAGACUCAUAUACACACUCGUAGAGAAAUUUGUGGCAUCGUAAUCUCUCCCUAAUAAUAUACUACCGAAUACUAGCGACACGCAGCAAUCAGUUAGCAACUGCAAAACAAACAACCAGUUAACACUACUGCCACCUGUGACUCACGUUUUCUUUGUUUAAAAUAGAGUCUCAAUGUUCAAAUGGUAAUAUCUGUUGAUUAUACCAACCUACGGCUCUGAUACAAGCUGUGGCAGAACCGUCCAACUUAAACUGGUUUAAAUGCGCCUAAUCGCUGCUGACGCAACAAUUAUCCGAAACGCACUUAAAACAGUAUAAGUCCGAUCGUCCGUCGAAUGUCCCUAGGACUCCUCGAAGAUCCACGUCGUGUCUCAUAGCCAUACAUCAGGAUUGUAUCCGCGAUAGGAUAGCAUCAACAAAUAUUACAUUUUUACAUACAUACACGAGGUACGAGUUAAUACAAGACAUAGUUUGAAGCAAACUUAACAGUGCAGUGUUAGAUAGAGUUUCAUAGCCAUACAUCAGGAUUGUAUCCGCGAUGGGAUAGCAUCAACAAAUAUUACAUUUUUACAUACAUACACGAGGUACGAGUUAAUACAAGACAUAGUUUGAAGCAAACUUAAUAGUGCAGUGUUAGACAGAGUUCUAGGAUUUAAAACAUAAACGGUUUGGGUUGAGAUGAGCAUUAUAAGCCUUCUUCUAAGGGUAUUGUGAGAUUCAUAACAAUACCCUAGGGUUUCGGGGCUUCUUCCUCGGUGGACUCCUGCGGUGUUUCUAAAAAUAGACACAAGGGAUAACCCUGAGUACGAGGUACUCAGCAAGGCUUACCCGACUAACCAAUAUAAUAGUUUUUCUUGGAAGUAUAUGAUAGCUUUUUCGGUGUGCUAGGCUGAGACAUUUUUGCCAAAAAGCUUACUAAAAAAAAGAGACCUUAGCUUUAUCUUUUAUUCGGAUUAAGUCAUUACCUAACCAUUUUAGGUGAUGAUAAAAGAUUAUUUGUAAACAAUAAGGUAUUAAGUCAUACACCAAACAUUAUUAGAAAGAUAUGGCAUUCAUGAAUUUAUGCUACGAUGCUCAACAGUGAUCAAGUACAUUCAAAACCGAGAAUUGCGGCGAUCCGGAUCAAAUAACAUCCUGCAGGAGACUACCCUGAUCACCAGCUAUAUACGACUGUCCAGGUCGUACAUAACGACUUUUCGAUUAGCAAAACCCAUGAUUGGGAAUAAGACUACCCGGACCCAGGGACGCACCCCCACAUGGGACCCCACGUCUGGCCCGAUCACCAUGUGAGUUUCAGGCUACGCCCCUGCCAAUCUCCAGCACGUCAAGCGCGGGUACGAAGUAUUCCCGAUCAGAGGGUUUACUAACCUACUGGGCUUUACUGGUCCCAUACCGAGUAAGUGAUCAGAUGUCUUUCACUUGAUUAAAGGUUAAGACAACGAAUCGGGCCUUAACCAGAUUAAUCUAGUAGACAGAACUACAUCCUUAGCUUCUGUUCGCUUCUUAAUUUCCAAGUCAUCUUUCCAUAAUUAACAUGCAAGACUCAAAAUUUACCUUAAGGUUUGGUAAAGCAAGUAUUUAAGCAACUAAGCCAUUCUAGAAUUGGGUUAUCUACUAAAGGUUUGAACAAGUGGCAAAGAUGUCCUUAAAACAAGGUAUGAUCAUGCACAAGAAUGGGUUUCAAGCAACUCCUAGACUUAGUGCAUAUAUUUAGCAAAUAACUGAUAAUGGAAUAUUGACUCCAAAUAAUAGGUAUAAUGCACCGGGGCUUGCCUUGUUCGCCAAAAAAGUUAGCACUGUCCGAAGGGUUGGCCUCGUAGGGGACCAAUUCAAAUACUUCCUCAAAUUCCGGAGAUCCUUCUGAAUAUUCCGAGAAAUCUCCUUCUGGUGCUUAGGUGUCUAUAACACAACAUAUGCAGGGGUUAGGAAUGCAAAUUUUUGAAUACAAGACUAUACAACUUUCCUUCAUGAUAGAGUUGCAAGCCAACAAGGACUAUACAAUUUGUCAUGAUAAAGUUGCUAACCAACACACGAAAACCCGAAAAAAUUAACCCAACAAUUUUAUUUCCUUAACUAACCUUACUUAGGGCUUUUUCUUUUAUUUAGAACAUGUUAUAAUUAUUUUCUAGCUUUAAAACCUAAUUUCCUAUGAGUUAAUACUAAUUUGUGAUUAUGAAAAUGUUAUUCCAUAUUUUAUGCAUUUAAUAAAGAUUAAGUAUUUAUUUAAAUACCUUUAAAAUAAAGGCAUUAAAUAAAUACCUAAAUUUUUAUUAUUUUCCUAGGGUAUAAAAAUUUUAAUGCAUAAAGGAAAAUAAAACAAGCCUAACAAAAUUGGUUUCACUAAUUUUGGACACUCCUAGAAAUUUCUGUAAUUUAAAUGGUGAGAUUCGGAUUUAAACUAAUUAUUCUAUAAAGGAAAUCUAAUUUUUCGCAAAAAACACCCCCGGAAACUUUUCUCACGCGACCCUAUUCUACCCCCUCUCUCUUACACUAGGCCCGCGACUCGGACCUACCCCUUCUCCUAUUCAUCCUACCCGCCGGCCUACCCCGUCCUCUAACGGGCUCUCUAGGCCGAUUCUUCUUUUCCUUUUCUCUUCUCGGACCGGCACCGGCCCAACGGCCCACUCCUUCUUUUCUUUUUCUCCCGCAAAACCUGGCCUGCUGAAAGCCUGGGCCUCCGGCCUUUCUCUUAACGGACGACCGCACCGGCUCCUUGGGCCUCCGGAACGCUGGCCCAACUGACACCCGCGCCCGACCGGCCUGCCUCCUUUUCUCCCCCGCCUCCUCUGACUUGCGGGCCCGCGGCUCCAGUACCUUCUUCCUCCUCCCACCAAAAACCGGCACGACAGGGGGUGGCACAGCUUGCCGGUCGGCACCCUACCGGCAACGGGGCUAAGCCGGGGAAGCAUCCCGAUGCCCUAGUGCACCCGUGCGCGGUGAUAGCUUCCCGGGAGAUGGCCGGAGUUACUUCCUCCACGGCGGCGAGCGGCGACGCCUACGGCCGGUUGUGGCUAGGCAAAACGAUGGUGCAACCUACCCCGACAACCACUGCUAUAGCUUCCUAGCACCCUAAGGACUCGCCUACGACUACCCAAGAAGAAAGAGAACAAGAGCAAGGAGGUGCUCACUGUGAGCAGGAGGUGCGGCGACGGCGGAUGGAAACGACGGCGGUGCAGGGUAUUCCGGCAAGGAUGUUGGACAACAACUCGACUGGGGUGUAGCUGGGGUAUCUGUGGAGGAGUGGGAGAGAGGAAUCGACGGGAGGUGAGGCGUGGUAGAGGAAUUUGGCUGGCGGCGAAGGCUUGGACAGAAGGGCGGCGGCGGUAAAAAGAACAGGCAGUAGAAACGGUCGUCGGGAGCGGUAGUUAUUCAAGGCUUUCACCGCGCGCAUGGGUGACACCGUUGUCUACUCGUAGGCUUGCGUGGUGAGGAGGUGGCGUAGCUGCCACGCUGGCGGGUGACCGAGAACGCCGGCGGCGACACGUCGAGCUCGGCUCUGUCAUCCUCCCCCUCUUUAUUUCUGACGCUCGAAAUCUUCAGAGCUCAAUCACGGUCGAAAGUGCAUCCGACGGCCCACAAGUGUCUUAACCAAAGUUGUAGACUAGUUUGAGCUCUACAAUUCAUAUUUAACUCUUGCCCGAGAUUUUCAUUCAUUUGUUGGCAAUUUCAAAAUGUUUGGCCUCAGGUGACUGAAUUCCAUUGAAUUCCGAUUCAGUUCAUCAGUCACUUGGUCAUGGUCAUUUACCCUUCUUUGUAAAUCAUUUCAGUGAUCCAAAUCCUUUCCUUUCAGUCCAACUUCUUCCCAUUUUUGUUCUACAACAUUCAAAGGUUCCAUUUUGCCCAUAAACACUUACACUUUUUGGUCUACAUUUUUCUGAAAUUAGCUCCAAAUUCAGCCACAUAGUGCUGUUUUCAGACUUAGUCAAUUUCAGCAAUGCAGUCUACCGUGACAAUGUGCUGACUUUGAGCUCAAAUUUGAAUUUGUUCCCCUUACUGUUCCUGAUCAACAACACCCAAAUCUAUAUGUACAAAGUCCAUAAUUCAUCACUAUGUAGUUUUCUUGGUCCACUUAUUUGGAAAAUUGGUCGAAAAUUAAUUUCCAAAAUGGACUCUGCUGCUGUUUUUCUGAACUCCUUAUUGUCGGAUGGUGAACAGUAUUUGGGUUUUUAAUUUCUUUCUUUGAGUUUUCUUGAGGUAUUUGGGACCAGGUCUUGUCCCAAAUCUUUAUCUUCAAGUUCUAAUCACCCUUACACCUCCAUUCCAUAUUUUUGCCAAAUUUUUCUGAAUUUGGAAUUCAAAAUUCAAAUUUCGGUCAAAUUUGACCCGAAUUUGAUUUUUAGCCAAUUUCUUCUCCUCUUCUUCAUGAACUGCUUCUUUUUCUUCAGAGCUACUUUGAUGACUAAAAAUGGCAGGUAUUACAGAUACACCGUUGGCCAGGGAGUUGAUUACGGCAUUGUAUACCGUGUUGGCCAUCACUGGGGAUUGAUCGAUGAAAGCCUGGUAGACGGAUUGCCGAACCAUAUCGGACAUCUUGCCCGAGUCUUCAGCAAUGGUGAUCUGGCGGGGAGCUGGGAAAGGAGCUUUCUUGACGGUCUCCCCGCUCCUAGUACGACUAAAAAAUUGCAGGCAUGUUUUCCGGUAUUGUUCUAUCUGCUUUUCCAACUCUUCUUUCUGGUCGUCCUUGAGAUCUGCUUCCGUCACUUCGAUGAUGUUGUCUUCGGAGAUUUCGGCAACUUUCGACAAGUUAGAGGUUGUAUUGGUCCCACCGAGCAUGCCAAAAGUGUGUUGGCACUAAAAGUCAGCCGAUUGACCCUCAGCGUCGGACACACGACCCGGGAGAAUCUGCUUAGCUUCUGUUCGGGUGAUUGCCCUGGUGCGGUUCGCACGGCAUGCCAGCCAAUCUGACCUAUUGAUUGGCAAGGAAGAACAACGUGUCAAAUUCCAGGGGUUACGAUCGACUAAAGGUUCUGAUCUCAAAAAGCGUAUCAGCGAAUCGGCUGAUUUGCUAUAUGAAGAUACUCGGCUAUAAUACAGCCGACAAUCACGUAACGAUUGCGAAGGAAACUACUAGAGUAAACUGAACUAGGCUACGAAAGCAACACUUGAAAUGGAUCUAAUCGGCUAUAUGAUGAAUGAAAAUAACAAUAACAAAGCUAACAGCUCAAGUCCCAAGCUGGAUAACUGGUGAUAAAACUAGAACAACAGAUAAAACCUAUAAUUCUAGUAAAUAUCGAUAACUUGUGAACAAAUCUAAAUGAAACAACAGCGAUGCGCCCGAAGUUAAAGCUUAAAUAUUACUCGAUAAAUGAAACUUACAGAAUCGGCCGGAGAUCAUGUUGAUGCAGCCCUGCCAACCCAUACGAACUCGUUAAAGAAGAAAAGUAUUGGCGAAGUCGCCGACUUGAAAGUAAAGUGUGAUGAAAAAGUAGAUUUGUUUGUAUUGAUUGAUGUGUUCUUUACAAAUCUCUAAAGGCGGCUAUUUAUAUCCUGUUACAACCAAUUUCCUAACCGACUAGGAUCUAUCUCUAAUCUUAAACAAAAAUGAAUAUUUACAAACACAACUCGUAUCGGAGUUGGUUAUUAUACUCCCGCGGGCCAAUCUUUCUCUAUCUUCUUUUCCUAAUCCACUUUAAGCCCAAUUGGCCCAAUCGCUCCAGCCUUCCAGUCGGCCGAUCUCCACCAACUCCAUCCGCCAAAAUAGUGUAGCGCCAAUCGGCCGAUUCCCAAUCGUGACCUCUUAAUCUGCAGCGUCGGCCAGCCCUCUCCUUCCUUGAUGUUGAUGCCAUACGUGUCACAAUCCGGCGUCAACACAUUUUUAUUGUUUCACCCCAUCUAUAAUUUCAUAUUCAUUAUCACUAUGUACUAAUUAACAAAUCUUGAACUGUUAGCCCUCUGGAUCGAUGAAGCGAAAUAAACUACGAGGUCGUACAAAGAUAAUGGAGGGAAAGCUUCACAUCACAGAAGUGAUAGAUGAGGGCAAGCCAAUUGCUCCCAAACAUGUGGCUAGAAAGUUCAUGAGUUAGAUGAGGGCUAUUGUAAGGGACAAUGUGCCCAUCAGCAUUAGAGAAUGGAAGGGUAAACAAGAUGAGCCAUACAUGCUCCCGCAGGCUCAAAAGGAUAUCUUGUGGGCAGAUGUCAAGAAACACUUCACACUUCCUGAAGGUGUCGAAGAAAAAUAUGUGAAAGAGUGGACAUUGAAGAAGAUGGCAACCCAAUUCCAGACCUUCAAGAAGAAUCUGGAUGCCAACUUUAUCAAGGAGGGCUGAACUCCAGAUUUUGAUUAGUGGCCAAAGUUAAGGGACCACUGGAACUCAUUUGUCCAAUACAAGAUGAGCGAAGGUAGUGCGAAUAAGGUUGGCAUCAAUGUUGCCAAUGCUAGCAAGGAGUACCAUCAUCGUCUAGGGCAAGGUAGUUACAUGAGUGCAAUUCCCAAAUGGAAAAAGAUGGAACAAGACAUGUUCGAUCGAGGUAUCAUACCAGCAACUAUUGAUUGGCCCGAUCGAUCAAAAAAUUAGUAAUACGCUCAUGGAGGCAACUUGAGCCAAGAGGAUAGGACACAUAUGUUCAAUGAAACAAUAUGUGAGAAGGCCGAAAGGCUUAUCAAAAAUAUUGAAGAUGCUAAAGCUAGGAAGUUGAAGGUUGAUAGAGAGAACGAUGAGCUCACUUUGGCACUCGAGAAUCCCGAACACCCAAGAUAUUGCCGAGGCUAUAGGGUCAUUCUGUGGAAGUUUGCUUUUCGUAGGAACAUCGACUCAUACAGAAGCCGCAAGCGAAGAAAGGAACAGCAAGAGGAGAGCAAGCGGUGCAUGUUAGAGGCCAAAGUGCAUUCACAAGAAGUAAGAAUGCAGGAAGAAAUUAAUCGUCGAGUGGCCCUAGCAGUUAUUGAGAUGGCCCAAUCUGGAGCACUACCGGAUCCCAACGUCGUCAGCCCUUCUCAACACCGAAGCAGCUAUGCUUCCACAGGGGUCCCCGAUGAGCACAUGUCAAGAUUACCCGUGGACAACCAACGGUUCCCUAUGGAUGACAUCACUCAUCGCACCUCAUGUGAGUUGCAUAGACCAUUCGGCAACAUCACUAUUAAGGUAUACAUAUAUAUAAUUUAUACAAUCUUCUCAAUUGAUCCAUGCCUCAGGAGUUUAAUAACUUCUUUAUUUCUCCUAUAUGUACAGGUGGCGUACGGGAGUGCUUUACCAAUCCUGCCAGGGCAAACAAGCCAUGGCAUGGAGAUUCCACUUGGCUACUCCAGCGUUGGCCUAGAGCAUAUUGUUGAUAGUCAAUAUGAAGGCCUAGAGCUCAACCUCCCAACAGGUUAUGGGGAAAGGACACUAGGAUAUGCACUUAACGGGAUCAUUCUAUGGCGCAAACGCUACAUGAUCAUCCCCGGUAAGGAGGCAUCAUUACUCCUCGUAGAUCCCCCGUAGCGACCAUCUCCUCAAAACUCAAGACCGUCAUCUCCAGUACAUCCACCUCUAGGAUCAUCAUCACCACUGGGACUGUCACAUCCUGCUCGAUCACCGUCUCCAUCUCCAUCAAAUCGUGGUGGUGCGAGCGACGACGACCACAACACCCCUCCCCGAUCACCGUCGCCGGGCCUAAGACCCGCAGUGAGCAAGGAACCUGCAGCACCUCUGAAGAAGCCAUGACCACCACCUUCCAAGCCAAGGCAGCCAAAGAAAAUAAAGAAGUCUGAACCCAUUCAGAAGGUACUGGCCGAUAUGACUACGGAGGAAUUGCGGGAGCUAUCGCAUGCAACAGUGAAGGAGUUCUUCAAAAAAUGUGCUGAACAAAGAAAAGCAAAGCAGAUGGAGCCAAAGCUAGUAGAUUGAAGCGUCCUCACAUAAGUAGAGACUAAAUGUGAUACAAAUAUCAGUCCCAGGAGGCUGAUAACACAUUUAUUCGAUAGGUAAUUCAAUUACCGUACAACUCCCGAGGGAGUGGGCGUGAGAGCCACGCAGCGAUAAGAAGUAAAUAAACAAUAGCGGCUAACCAAGCAACUGUCAAAAGACAGCACUCAGGACUACACGGCAGCAGCAGCAUCUUGGAAAGGGCCAACACCACAGGCAGCGUUGGGUGCGGACACAACCUCUACUCAAGGUCGUCGGCGAUGAAGUUCGUGUCUUCCUCUGUAGCAACGAAGCAAGGGUGAGUACGAACGUACUCAGCAAGUCCAACCCCAUCCACGGAGGGGGAUACAAACAAGUAUAUGCAUAGGAUACAACAAGGAUAGGCUAGAGUUUAUUUGCAAUAAAGCUAAAUUUUUCAACACGUGCAUAGGCUCGUUUGCAAACAAAUUUUUGUAAAGCUUUUCUUUAGUAACCAAACAAAAAGUAGGGUUGAUCCUACACAAAGGAUCCAAGUUUUUAUCGCUAUCAGACUCCCCGUCUGCCAUAGCGCACGGCACAACUGCCAGACUCUUCCAAAAUGCAACCCACACACACAAACACACACCAUUCAUGCCCAAGUGCUAGUUAUGUGACCAAGCUGUAACUCGUCCAAUGCUGUGGACACGGCUACCCGGAUAGGUUUUAACUCUGCAGAGGUUGUACACUUUUCCCACAAGCAGGGUACCGCAGCACGAUCACUUUAGUGCUGGUGCGGAUCCUAACAAAGCCAUUACCCACCUUAGCUAAGACUGGCUAGCCCUCACGGAAGCACCCAAGGGGUUCACGGCUCAUCCACGAGACCGUAACCAGGACCUAAGUCACCAAGAUCUUAUUCCUUUUCCAUGGGCUCCCACUGCUCACCAGCACCCCUGAAGACUAACAGUUCAGCUAGUGGGAUUUAUGCUAAGCCGUUGCCCAUACAACGGUCGAGUGGUUGCACGAUGGUUGAAUUAGGCAAGAUGACACAUCAACUCGGUCCUUAACCAUGACAAGAUGGAUAUCUCACGACAUUGCUCAACCACCAAGGUACGAGCACAACACCCUGGCAUCCCACACAAGGAAUACCCAUCCAUCCUAUCUACACAUCCUUUCCCUUGAACCCAGAAAGUCAUUUUCCCUUAUUUGCACACACACACACAUGUUUAUUUUUCGAAAACAUAAUUGUAGUGAUGAUUGUAUUUGAGUAGUAAUUUCCUAAGCAUUCUAGCGAUGGCUAUCGACCAAAUAGAGCGAAUCAUAUUUAGAGACAACCAUAGGAUAACAAGGAAUGUUCAUAACAAUCAAGGGGUGGCUAUCCAACCAUGUCUUGCAAUAAAACAAUAUGCAUUUUAUAAAACAGGCCAAUAGGUUGUGUUUGAAAAACUGGGUAUUAAGUAUGCAUCAAAGGGUGAGAUUGGACUUGCCGUCUUCAAAGUCUUCCGGGAGUUCCGGCUCAUGUUGCUGAUCCUCGGGCUUGGGCUCACGGUCAAACUCCUCCUCGGGAUCCUCCUUGGGCAAUCCGCGAUCUACGGCACACACAAACGGACACACAAAUAAAUAAAAGAAAUAGCGGUUUUUAACUGUGAGCUCCGAACAGAAAAUGUGAACGGAAAAUAGGUAGAAAGAUUACUUUUCAGAAAUUUGGAUAUAGAUCGGCGGAAGUAUUUUGGAGGAUGAUGUGGUAAAAUUUGGGAUUAAUUGGAGGAAGUUUGGCGCAUGAAAUGACGGGUUAAACAUGAAUUAGGGGCUUAAACGGAGGUUUAGGACUGAGUUAUAAUAAACCAAGGACUUAUUUGCGAAUACUUUUGGAGGUGGAGGGGUCGAUCUGCGAAAUAGCCUUUGAAAGAGUUGGAAGGACCUAUGUGUAAAUUGGGGAAACUUGGGGGUCGGAUCGAGAUUGGAGGACUUUAGCUUUUCUUCUUCCAGGAAGGGAGAGAGAGUGGGGAGUUGGGGAUCCGGCGGCGGCCGGCCGGCGGGGCUUCGCCGGCGGCGAGCCAUGGGCCGGGGGCGGCGGAGGGAGGGGGAUCCAUUUGGCCCCUUACCUUGGAGUUUCGGAGAGGGAAAAAGGGGGGCGGCCGGCGGUGGUCCGGUGGAGGCAGCGUUUGGGCGGAGGAGUUUGGGUGGUGGCGGCGCUAUUUGCGGCGGCGGGGCUCGGCGCGGGCACCCGGGUGGCGGUGGCGGGGGUUGGGUGUGGAGGAGGUGGCCGAGGCGCCCCUCCUUUUAUAGGCCGACAGUGGCGUACUAACCGGCGGGAAGGGUGGGGGUCCGGGUCCGGCGGCGUACGGCGGAGGUAGGGGUCAGACAGGUCGGGCCGGCGGCGUGGGCGCUGGGUGGAGUCGUUGCGGCGGUCGGCAUGGCAAGGGGCGGGUCCGGCGGCGUGUGGGAGGUGGGGGUCCGGUGGUGGCGCGCCGGGCAAAGUGGCCGAUGGGCCAAACCGGCCGGGGAGCCGGCGCGGGGCGGCGGCACGUGGCCCGAGUGCGGGCCUAAGGUGGCCGGGCGGCGUGGCGCCAGGGGGCGUGGGCACCGGCGGGAGUAAUGGCACCGGGCCGAAUGGAGCAGUGGCGCCAGUGGAAGUGGUGCCGGGUGCCAGGGAGAAGAAAGGAGGAGAGAGAAGAAGGAAGGAAGAAGAAAGAAGGAGGAAGAAAGGAAAGAGGAAAAAGAAAAGAAAACGGGGAGGGAAAAAGAGAAAGAAAAAGAGAGGGACCGGCGGCGUUCGCGGCACGCGGUUAGAGCACGCGCGCGGCGUCUGGUGACGGCACGCGGCGGAAAAUAUGGGCACGGAUAAAGAGAUAGGGGUCGGCUUGGGUGCCGGGACGGCGAAAUCGCCGGGAAGGUUUUGGAAUUCCGGGAGCUCAGCGGUAAAAAGAUUUUAAAGACGAUUUUUAACGGGUGAUUUUAGUUGGUGAUUUUCGCGGAUGUUACAAACCUACCCCACUUAAAUUGAAUCUCGUCCUCGAGAUUCGGCUGAGUCCUGAAGAGGUGGGGAAAUUCCUUCUUUAAUGUGUCCUCAUGUUCCCACGUGGCCUCUUCUUCGCCAUGUCUACUCCAUUGCACUCUGCAGAUCCGGACUGCUGUAUUUCUUGUCCUUCUUGUGACGGUGUCCAAAAUCUUGACGGGCACUUCUUGAUACUGAAGGUCCUUUUGUAGGUCUAUUGUCUCCACCGGUACUUGUUCCUCCGGUACUCUCAACCAUUUCCUCAGCUGAGAGACAUGAAAUACCGGGUGUAUAUCCGACAUUUCUUCGGGCAGUUGGAUACGGUAUGCUACGGCUCCAACUCUCUUUAACACCUGGUAUGGUCCAAUAUACCGAGGGGCUAGUUUUCCUUGCACUUGAAACCUUCGAGUACCCCAAAUCGGAGAGACCUUGAGGUAGACAAAAUCUCCCUCAUUGAAGCACAAUUCCCGUCUUCUUUUGUCCGAGUAGCUCUUCUGUCUGGACUGUGCAGGCUUCAGCUUCUCUCGGAUUUCUGCCACAUGGUCUUCUGCUUCCUUGAUGAAAGCUGGUCCGACCAGGGAGCGUUCUCCCACUUCUGACCACAUCAAAGGGGUCCAACACUUUCUACCAUAAAGGGCCUCAAAUGGUGACAUGCCUAGGCUGGCUUGAUAACUAUUGUUGUAUGAGAACUCUGCAUAGGGUAAACUUUGUUCCCAAUCCUUGCCACAGGUGAGGACACAUGCUCUCAACAUAUCCUCCAUGAUUUGAUUUACCCGCUCUGUUUGGCCAUCGGUCUGGGGGUGAUAGGCUGAACUAAAGUCCAAUUUAGUGCCCAUGGCUUUAUGCAAACCUGUCCAAAACCUGGAGGUGAAUUGGGUCCCUCUAUCCGAGACGAUCCUGCUGGGCACACCAUGCAGCUUUACUAUGUUAUCGACGUAGAGUCGGGCUAGCCUUUCUCCACCAUAAGUGGUCCGUACGGGUAAAUAGUGAGCAACUUUAGUGAGUCGGUCCACUAUUACCCAUAUGGAGUCAUUUCCCUUCUGAGUUCUAGGCAAGCCUACUACAAAAUCCAUGCCAAUCUCAUCCCACUUCCAAACCGGGAUAGGCAAGGGUUGCAGCAAGCCGGCUAGCUUCUGGUGCUCGGCCUUGACCCUUUGGCAAGUAUCACAACGGGCGAAAAACUGAGCUAUGUCCUCCUUCAUUCCAUUCCACCAGUACUUCUGUUUCAAGUCCAUAUACAUUUUGGUGGACCCGGGGUGAAUGGAGUAUGCCUAGUUAUGGGCUUCGUCCAUGAUGGUCUGCUUGAACUCUUCGUCCUUGGGGACACAAAUUCUAUCCUUGUACCACAGGGUUCCUUUGUCGUCCACCCUGAAAUCUGGGGCUUUAUUUACUCCGGUUUGCUUGCGGAUUUUUACUAAGUCCUGAUCUGAACUCUGGGCUUCUCAGAUUUUAUCCUCCAAGGUGGGCUGGACACUUAGCUUGCAGCUAGUAUUCUGGGGAACUAUGUGUACAUUUAGCCGAGUUAUCUCCUCUUGUAGGCGGGUGUUCUCGGGUCUGGGCUGUCCAUAGGACUUUCGGCUUAAGGCGUCAGCCACAACAUUAGCCUUACCGGGGUGAUAGUGGAUUUCUAGGUUGUAGUCCUUUACCAGUUCUAACCACCUCCUUUGCCUUAAAUUCAGAUUGGGCUGGGUGAAAAUGUACUUUAGGCUCUUAUGGUCGGUGUAGAUUUCACACUUAUUCCCAAUCAGAUAAUGUCUCCAGAUCUUGAGGGCACGCACUACGGCUGCAAACUCUAAGUCAUGGGUUGGGUAGUUCUGUUCAUGGGGCUUAAGUUGUCGGGAAGCGUAUGCCACAACCUUCCCAUCCUGCAUGAGGACACACCCUAAUCCUUGUCGGGAUGCAUCACAGUAGAUGACGAAGUCUCGCUGGAUAUCAGGUAAGGUUAAUACUGGGGUUGUCGUCAACCUCUUCUUCAGCUCUUGGAAGCUCCGCUCACAUGACUCAGUCCAGGUGAACUUCUUAUCAUUCCUGAGCAGCUCUGUCAUGGGCCGGGCUAUCUUGGAGAAUCCCUCAAUAAAUCUCCGGUAGUACCCAGCUAAACCCAGAAAACUCCUGAUCUCACUAACAUUGGAGGGUUGCUGCCAGUUGGAGAUGGCUUCAAUUUUCUCAGGAUCAACUGCAACUCCUUCUGCGGUCAGGAUAUGACCAAGGAAUGCCACUUUCUCGAGCCAAAAUUCACACUUGCUGAAUUUAGCAUAGAGUCGGUGGGCUCUCAAUUUCUCUAACACCACCCGUAUGUGUUGUUCAUGCUCCUGAACACUCUUGGAGUAAAUAAGUAUGUCGUCAAUAAAGACUACGACAAACUUAUCUAACUCAUCCAUAAACACCUUGUUCAUGAGAUUCAUGAAAUAAGCAGGUGCAUUGGUCAAUCCAAAAGACAUCACGGUAAACUCAAAUUGACCAUAACGGGUGACAAAAGCCGUCUUUGGGAUGUCGCUCUCCUUGAUCUUGAGCUGAUGAUACCCUGACCUUAGAUCUAUCUUAGAGAAAUACUUGGCUCCUUUCAGCUGGUCGAAUAGGUCAUCUAUUAUGGGGAGGGGGUAUUUGUUCUUAAUGGUGACCUCAUUCAGUGCGCGAUAAUCUACGCACAUCCUCAUACUCCCAUCUUUCUUCUUGACAAAAAGUACGGGGGCUCCCCAUGGGGAUGAGCUAGGCCUGAUAAAGCCACUCUGCUGCAAUUCCCCCAACUGCUUCUUCAGGUCGGCUAACUCUGAGGCUGCCAUCCUAUUGGGUCUCUUGGCUAUAGGGGAGGUUCCGGGGACGAGGUCAAUUACGAACUCUAUGUCCCUGUUAGGGGGCAUUCCAGGUAGUUCCUCAGGAAAGACAUCCGGGUAUUCACUCACUACUGGGACCUCUUCUAUGGUCUUGGUCUCCAUGCUAAACACCAUGGGGUCUGGACCACUUCCUCGGGUGUGACAGGUCACUUGCACACCAUCCCUAUUGGUCAGGCGUACUACCUUAUCAGCACACCCUAUAUGACCGUCAUGCAGGCUCAACCAGUCCAUACCAAGAAUCACAUCUAUCCCCUUAGACUUAAGUACUACUAGAUCUGCUAUAAAUUCUACCCCACUUAAAUUAAUCCUUACCCAGGAACAACCUAGUCGACACUGGAUGUCGGCCCCAGGAGUCCGGGUUAAUAGGGGUAACUUUAGUAAUACUGUGGGUAUAUGGUGUUCUUCCACAAAACUUGAGGAUAUGAAGGAAUGUGAUGCUCCAGAGUCAAAAAGUAUUGUUGCCAAGACUGAGCUGACUAAAAACUCACCGAGUACCACGCCCUGAGCUUCGCGAGCCUCUUGCGCGCUGAUGUGGUUGACAUGGGCUCGUCCAAAUGAUUGCUGGGGCGGCCUCAUCUACUAACUGUUGUUGUUGCUGGGCUUGUUGUUGCUGCGGCCCUGGAGAAGGCUGCUGGCUUGUUGGCAUAGAGGCAGUUGGCGAUGAAAUGACCUGGCUCUCUGCAGUUGAAGCAUGCCCUGCCGUUGCUGGUGAUUUGGCUGGCGCUGCUCUGUGGGGUCUUGGCAGGGUUCUGGCUCCUGAACAGGGCAGCGGUCUGGUGCGAACCGGGUGUUUGGGACUGGGUCCGGUAAUGCAUGGGAGCUUGGGACCUAGGUAAGGGGUGACCGAAGCUCCUUUGCUUCUGGAAUCGGUCCUACUGGUGAGUCUUGCUCUCCAGGAACCGGCACUUGUUGUCCCUCCGUUCUUCUGCCUUGGCCCUCUCGGUCAAGAUGGCCAUGUUCAUCAAGGUGUUGAAGUCGGGGUAGAUCUGGGGAGUGAGUAGGGUCCUCAGUUCUGCGUUCAAGCCUUUCUUGAACAUGUCCUGCUUCUUCUCAUCCUUAUCCACCUCCUCUAGAGCAUAACAGGCCAGCUCCAUGAACUAGAAGGUGUACUCCUCCACAGAUCUGUUUCCUUGGCGGAGCUCGUGGAACUCAUCCGCCUUGCGCUUCAUGGUGGCUGUGGGGAUAUGGUAGCGACGGAAUUCCAUCAUGAACUCAUCCCAGGUGAUCGUGGAGGCAUCCUGGGCGGCAGAGCAGUAGUUCUCCCACCAGGCUAGGGCAGUUCCAAUGAGCUGGUGGGCCGCCAAGAGAACUUUGUCCCUGCCCUCGCAACCAAAUGGCUCCAGCUUCCUCUGGAUGAUGCACAACCAGUCAUCUGCGUCCAGCGGGUUGACGGACCCACCAAAAGUGGGUGGCUUGGUCCAGAGGAAGUCCGUCAACUUCUCAUUCAUGUUCUGCCCGCAGGGCCUCUGGUGGGUAACGGCGUUGGCCAGAGCUUCCAGCAGAAGGGUCUGGUUGUUCAUUACUUGAACCAGAUCAAUAACUGGUGGGGGUGGUGGCUGCUGUGUUCCCACUUGGCUUUCUCCCCUUCCUUCUGGCUGGCUUACUUCCUGUUCCUCAGGAAGCACUGCUGAAGGUGGUUCUUGCCUUUUUGGCUGCCUCUCAGCACUGGGGGUGGCAUGGGCCUGACUUGGGGAAGUCCUGGUGGUACACUUGGGCGGCAUCUGCAGAUUGAGUGAGACUUUAUGAGAGUGGGAUUUGGAUUUUAGUGAUCUUUAAAGUGGUUAUUUCGUAUUUUUGAAGAGACAGAAUCCACCUCCUGUCGACAAACACACAGACUAACAAGCAACAAACACAAGCGAUUUUAUUUAUUUUGCCACGAGGGGGGGUACAACACUGCUGGGGUAAGGCCAAAACACGUACUACACGACCGGUUACAACAACACAACUGGAGGGGGUACAACUCUAAACUAUGGACCAUGUCGGCUUCAUUCUCUGGACAUCUUUGGGCGGGGCAUACUACUCGCGGGGCGAGUCUUCUCCCUGGACUAAGUGGUCUUCUAACGGGAUGAGGAGGGCCAGCACCUCAUCCUUCAAAGUCCCGCCCGCUGGAGGGGUCUCGGGCGCCUCUCCAUCCGACACCUCAGAGUUCCUUUCCGAGGGCGGUGGCGCUGGGGUGGCAUCUGGGCUCUUCCGUUUACUGGACCCUGGGGCGAUGGGAAUUCCUUCAAGGAUCGGGGCCUCUUCAUCCUCGGUGGCCACCAUCCUCCUCCUGGCACGAAUGGUGAGGUGGGCAUCCUUCAGUUCCUUGGAGUGCUGAUCCUCAGCCUCCUUGAGAGCCUCCACGGCAAUGGCCUCGUUGCUUUGAGCGGCUGCGGCUCGGGCUUCGGCGGCGGCUAACUUCACCUGAAGCCUUCUCACCAUAACCUCUGCAUCCUCGGCCCUACGAGUCUACUGCUUCAACUUAGCAGCCUACUCGUCGUAGAGCUCGUCCAAGGUGAGAAGGUAGGCAGCCAUGUGGAGUACAGUGGGAUCGUCCUCGCGCUGUCCACGUCCUUCCAAGGUUCUCACCCGGGCCAGCCAUACCGGGCGGUUCUUCUUGAUAGGCGGGUAGAACCUCAUCGGAGUGCGGCCGAUGUGCCUCUCGUAGAUCUGGCAUAGGAAACGGAGGGCCUUCCGAGCUGCCACUUGAUAAGUAUCCUUGUGUCGGAAGCCGGUGGCAGUCACAUUCCAAGGCUGGAUGUCGGGGUAGCGGCUACUCCGCCCGAUGUAGAUAAUCAUCUCACAUCGAGGGGUUCCGCGGUCCUCGUAUUCCCUGCUGGUGUACUCCGGACGCUCGUAGAUUCCGAGGCGGUCCAUGCAAGCGAACAAUAAUCUAGGAAAACCGGGCUCCUCCAGGCAGUGGCUGUUGACCCAUCCUUCCUCGGCCAUCUGGAAAAGAUCCGGGCAUAAAUUAGUUUCGCAAUAGAGCAGAGGUAGGCAAAAAUUUUAUAAAUCUUUUAUUUUGGUCAAAAAGGGCUAAUCCAGUCCUAAGGUCGCGUCCUACAGCCAACGAUGGCUCUGAUACCACCUGAAGCGUCCCCAUGUAAGUAGAGACUAAAUGUGACACAAAUAUCAGUCCCAGGAGGCUGAUAACACAUUUAUUCAACAGGUAAUUAAGUUAGGGAGUGUUCGUUAAUCGAAUUGCCUCUGCAACUAAAGUCUCUUAACCCCACUGGUACUUUGAUUCCUACUAAAAUUAGUACUGACUGAANNNNNNNNNNNNNNNNNNNNNNNNNNNNNNNNNNNNNNNNNNNNNNNNNNNNNNNNNNNNNNNNNNNNNNNNNNNNNNNNNNNNNNNNNNNNNNNNNNNNUUCAGUGAGUCUUUACGGACUCAAGCUUGGGAGUGUUAUUCACACUCAGUACAUGUCAGCCACAUUAUAGGAUUAGAAAUACUACAGAGCUCCCACUAACAUUCUUGUAAACACAAGACUUUUUUUCGUUCUUGGUGAAGUCAAACCCUUGACCACUUCAUCAAAACAAAUGUUCCAAACUCCUAGAUGCGUGCUUCAAUCCAUAAAUGGAUUUAAGAAGCUUGCAUGCCUUUCCAGCAUUUUUCGGAUCGACAAAACCCUCGGGCUAUAUCAUAUACAGUAACUGAAUUACUUGUCAAAUAAAUGUGUUAUCAGCCUCCUGGGACUGAUAUUUGUGUCACAUUUAGUCUCUACUUAAGUGGGGACGCUUCGUAGAUCCAGGAAAAUUAAAAAAAUUUAUUGGCAUGUCAAAAGAAGUAAAGAGGAUUGUACUAUCGAACUACGAGUGUUCGUUAGUUAAGUCUGAUUAGAAGAAAAAAUGGCGAGGAGUGUCAUUUUUUAGUCGUACUGCCCCCAGCUCAGGGAUCUAGCAGAUAAAGAUGCUCAAACUAUAGCAGCAAUGCCCUUAGAACAACAAAUCAGAGUCAUUGGAUUUAUGCAAGAUACAUGUAUGUCGCUUGCUAAUGUUCUAGGGCAAUUUGAACCGCUAGCUCCAGAGCCAAUUGUAUCUUAAUGGUGCUUUGAGGUAGGCAAGCGUCUAGUAAGGCUGAAUUGGUAUGGAAGCUCUCCACGAAGAUAUACGAAUUCCAUGAAUGGUACAUGGAGCAAUCUGCCAACGAGAGGCUCAUGUUCGCUCUUCGGGUUAAACCGAUUGAUUUUUUCGAUGAAGGUGAGAAACUCCUAUGGAUGGAAUUCAAGGCCUUGACGUCUCUCUCAUGAGCACCUGGUUCUGUAAGUGUCUCUUUAUCAGUAUGUAAAUUUUUGCUCAGGUCAUUAUUUUUUAUGUGUGCGUCAUCCUACUAAAUUCGUCUUCCAUUGUAUGUAGAAUGCAAAUUCAGAGGUGCCACAGAGAAUCAUACUUUAAUGUUGGCUUCAUAGAUCCAUUGUUCGUUAACCAAAAUCAAAUACGGGAUCAGCCAAAGAAAACAUUGGAGGCAGUAUACAAUUUUUUGGAGAAACAAAAUUACAAAGAAUACAUACUACUACCAUACAACUUUAAGUAAAUGUGGGUACCAUCUAUUUUCAUUUUCUUAUUCCUUACCUAAUUAAUGGUAGUUAGAUCUAAUAUGAACAUUUAUGUACGCAGUUUUCAUUGGAUCCUCCUAAUAAUUAUGAUUGAUAAAAGCCAUGUCGUUGUGUUCGAUUCAUUGAGGAUUUCGAUUCAUUGAAGAAACCACCGGUGAAGUACCAAGACAUUCAAGAUAUGCUAAACUCUUGGAGAAGGGGAAUAUUUUGGCAAUAUGUGAAGGUCUCAUAGGAUUCCUGGUGGACGAGGUGAUAAAUCCCGCGGGAGAAUUUUAUUACGACGGACGUUCAAUAGCCGCACCGAGCAACACCACGACAGGACGAUGCUAGAAAUGAAGUGGACAAAUUAUUGUAUAUAUAGUAAUUAUACAAAUACUAGUUUGAUGUGUAUAAUAUACUAAUAAUUGUAUUUAUAUAUAUUACUACUAUGAAAUAUAUAUACAACUUGCAUACAAUAUUAAUAUGACUUGAAUACAAUAUUAAUAUGGAAAAGAAUUUUUUUAAAAAAAUCUGUUGGCGCUAAAAAUCAGCCGAUUGACUCUCAGCGUCGGACACACGACCUGGGAGAAUCUGCUUAGCUCCAGUUCGGGUGAUCGCCCUGGUGAGGUUGGCGUGGUGUGCCAGCCAAUCUGACCUGUUGAUUGGCAAGGAAGAAACAUGUCAAAUUCCAGGGGUUGCGAUCGGCUAAGGUUCCGAUCUCGAGGAAGCGUAUCAGCGAAUCGGCCGAUUUGCUAUAAAAAGAUAAUCGGCUAUAAUACAGCCGACAAACACGCAGCGAUUAUAAAGAAAACUACUAGAGUAAACUAGAUAACGCUACAGGAGCAACACUUGAAAUAGAUCUAAUCAGCUAUGUGAAGAUAAUGAAUGAAAAUAACGAUAAUCAAGCUGACAGCUCUAAUCUCAAGCUGGAUAACUGGUGAUAAAACUAAAACAACAGGUAAAACCUAGAAUUCUAGUAAAUAUCGAUAACUGGUGAAUAAAUCUAAACGAAACGACAGCAAUGCGCCCGAAAUUAAAGCUUAGAUAUUACUCGAUAAACGGAACUUACAGAAUCGGCCGGAUAUCGUGUCGAUGCAGCCCUGCCAACCCGUACGAACUCGUGAAAGAAGAAAAGUAUUGGUGAAGUCGCCGACUUGAAAGUAAAGUAUGAGGAAAUAGUAGAUUGUUGUAUUGAUUGAUGUGUUGUUUAGAGAUCUCUAAAGAUGGCUAUUUAUGGCCUAUUACAACCAAUUUCCUAACCGACUAGGAUCUAUCUCUAAUUUUAAACGAAAACGAAUAUUUACAAGUACAACUCGUAUCGGAGUUGGUUGUUGCACUCCUGCGGGCCAAUCCCCCUUCGUCUUGUCUUUCUGAUCCACUUUAAACCCAUAUUGGCCCAAUUGCUCCAGCCUUUCAAUUGGCCGAUCUCUACCAACUCUAUCCAUCAGAAUACUGUAGCGCCAAUCGGCCGAUCUCCAACUGUAGCACCAAUCGGCCGAUUCCCAAUCGUGACCUUUUAACUUGCCGUAUCAGCCAAUCCUUUCCUCCUUGACGCCGAUUCCAUACGUGUCAAAAUCUGGCAUCAACACAUGCCCCCCAGUUUCGGAGUAAAACAUAAUCUUUACUUCGAAAUUCCUUUUCAACUUCUCCUCCGAAACAAACGCAUUAAAAAUAUCCUUCCAUUUCGCGGUCUUCUGCCUGAUGAUUGCAAUCUUUUUGAAACGGGUGCCUGAGACAAGAACUCCCUCCUCAGGGUCUUCCUCCUCCUCCGGGGCGAUAUGCUCAUCCAGCUGCAUUUCCAAAGCAUGGAUAGCAUCGACCUCGGCAUGGUGCUCGGCCAAGUGUGCAUUAGCAACUGCGAGCUCCAUCUCAACCCCUAGCUUUUCCUCCGUGAGCAGCACCAUAUCAUGCUCCAUGUUCGUCACUUCUUCUUCGAGCUCGGAAAUCCUGGUCUGCAUAUUGGAGACCUGUAUGGCCCUUUGGAUAAGCUGAUAUGACUGUUCUACCAAGUCUCUCUUGGUGGUGUUGAAAUGCUCCUGGGUGUCUACAGCUAUCCGAGCCAAGACAGCCAUAGCCCGUCCUUGAAGCUCAAUCAGUCGGUACAAAGCUGACAUGCACCUUGUCGUGGUAGAAAUAGUGACCAGCGAGUGUGAGGCUGCCAACACCUCCAUGUUGUUGACGCGGUCAAGCCAAGCCAGGUCCAGCCGAUCCCUAGCAGGGAACAAACUCAUCGGGUCCAAAAGGACCUCAAACGGGUGUAGCCGGCAAAACUGAGUGAGAGCUUGCAAGGCAGCUGACUCCCAAGUGUCCUCAAGGGUAUGACCGUAGGUCGAGACCUCAAGCUGGGGCCACUCGGGCUGCACAGCGGAUGGAGGUACAACCACUUGCACAUUGCACUGUUGUACUCCGUGUUCUUGGUACUCACGUCCCGCGUAAAGAGGCGGUGACUGGUACCCGAACCACCUCAAAGUAUCCCACAAAAUAGCAGGAAAGCCCUCGAAGUGUAGGCAUGUGGAGUGGGAAGUGCCAUCGACGCCACGAAACACAUGUCCGGAAGCAGCCAUCUGGAACUAAGAACCAAAACAAGCGUGAGAUAGAAACCUCAAAAGAGAACAGAUCGGGCAGGGUGAGACACUCGGAUUUCUAACCAGAGCGCAAACUAAGAAGGUAACUAGAAAUCCUUAAAGUGAAGAAGAGCUUAAAACCAGGGCAAGGUUGUUUUAGGGAUGUGGGUUUACAGAUUUUUGUUCAUGAUGCAUGCACGACCUACAUCGUCCUCUCAACCAAAAUAACUGCCAAAAGCCUUGGUCUUACGCAGUCAGUGUCGGUGGCAAGGCAACAAUUACGUCACUCCCUAUAGUAGCUAGUCAGUUGCUAACAUCGUUUUCCUUUGCGAACGCGGUUAGUGUACCUGCAGAAAACACAACCACAUGAACCUUUCAUGCCAGCACUCAUGAAAGCGUCCCCAAGCAUUACCGUUCACUAUAGAAACGGUACCCAUGCGUUUAACGCUGCAUGGACAGUGCAACAACCGUGGAAAUAGGUCCCCUUUGAAUAGGACCAUAUAACCCUUCGCAUACUCGCGAUGCGGAAUCUGCACACGUAUAAUAGACGUGGGUGAACAACCGUGAUGAUAGGCUUGUUGGAAUCGAACCAUACCACCCUUCGUAUCAGUUAACAUAUGGAACCUGCGCAAGUAUAACAAAUGUGGGUGAAAACAACCACGAUGAUAGGGUCCCUUGAAUAGAACUCCCUAUCAACCCUGCAUACUCGUGAUGCCGAAAUCGGCACACGUAUGAUACACGUGGCGAAGUGCUUGUGGUUAGCAAAAUAACUAAUAGAUAGUAGCCACCUGAAAUAACCCCAAAAUUCCCCUAGGGCCUCUCGUACUAAGGUCAUCCUUAACAAUCGUACGAGAUUUUUCAACACAUUUCUUGCAAGUUUUAAUUUUUGAAAAGGUGUUUAGGACCUAUUGUGUUCUCUGUCCUGCUAAACCUGGUUCUGAUACCAGCUAUGGUGGAACACCUCAGAUUAACUUAGCUAAAGCACAUUUGAGUUGCCUAACACGCGAUCAUAUCCUUUAAUCAAGUUAACUCGACGAUCCGUUGGAUUUCAUCCGAUAAAACCACUUUACAGGACCGGGUUAGCAUAGCCUACCCGAGGGUGAGUGGUUCCAGAGAAAACAACAGAUCAACCUCUUAAACAAGUUCAAAUUGUAUUCCAACAUUGGUUUGAAAAUCAGAGUUUUAACAAGGUUCAAAAGCAAUGGAAAAAAAAGAUAAACAGAACAGCGGAAGCUAGAGCCGGGUUGGAUGUCCCUGAUGAGGCCGAUCAGGACAUCAAUGAUCCCUCUCCUCGCCGUCCGAGGAGGGAUCCCACUCGACCGUCCACCCAGGAGGAAGCUGGGGAGGCCAAGUGCCAACAGCAGCACACUCCAAAGCUUCAACAUCACCUGAAAGAUGUGCCACAAACAAGGCUGAGUUACUAAGCUCGACAAGACUUAACCAACAGGUGGAAAAACUACUCUGCCACUUCUAGACAUGCAAGGCUCUUUGGUUGAGGGGUUUAUUUUGCCAAAAGUGACUACAGUAGGUCCUUACUUUCAAUAUUUUAGCUCCGGUUCUAAGUUCACUAACCAGUCUACAUUGGCACUUAGGCUAAACAAACAUAGUUUCCAAACAACAUAUAUAUAGAACAAGCAUCAAGUUCAUAUCAUCAUCAUGUUCCAUCUUUACUCAGUGUAGCAUAGCGAUCAAGCAGUCUCAAGCUGUGAGAGGCAGAUGAAUCGAUUUGAAUUUCUUAACCAUGCAUGGCGAACCUAAUCUCACGACAUCUGCGCACCACCGAGGGUCGCUUCCUGUGUGGCCCGUCCCCAUCGAUCCCCUGACCCGUGUCGGGCCCACUUCUCUUGGUGCAAUGUUCCACAGACCUGGCCUCUGCUGUUCUGUGACCACACUUGCCACCACAUGCGUCCGCAAGGGAAAACUCCAUUCCAGAGAUAGUGGAUCGAACCGCUCACAUCCAGGUUCAAUCAGGUACUAGGCUUCCCCAUCCCAUACUAGGUAUAAGAUUAGUACUUUCAAACACAUGAUCACGAACACCAUCACUUUUAGAACUUAAUUAGAUUCAAGUAGACAGACGGGGCGAUCCAUCGACCACCAAAAAGAGUUCACAAGGCCCUGCCCCGUCCACCGUCCUUAUAGUUUUAACCAGAAGGAGAACAACCAACUCCUAUAACUCGCGAGUGACAGGAAAUCACUCGACUUUUACCGAGUCCUCUUAAGCACUACAACUACUCGGACUUAUCAUGCUAGUGUUCAGAUCAAGGGAACUGAGUCAUGCAUCUAUGGUUUCAAACAACUCCUAUAACAUAAAUGCACAUACAUACAAAAGAAGGCAUGCGCAAGUUUAGAAAGAUUGGGUUAUGCUCCGGGGCUUGCCUUCGAUCGGGGUGGAAGCAAACUAGUCUUCGGCGCACUCGGCUUCAGCUCCUGCAGUCGGCAGCUCAGCUACCGCUCCGUCUUCAGGCAUCGGGUGCAGCUCAUAGGUGCCAUCAGCGAGGUUUAGUUCUACACAGAAAUGCAAAUGCAGAGGUUAAACAUUUAGACGGUUAUUUCAACAACACUUGCACGCUUUAGCUCAGAAACUUGUAGCAAAGCUACAUGAAAAGGUGUGGAAUCCCAAGCUUCUGUUGAUAGAGAACAAGAUAAAGGGGUCGGGUCAGGAAAACUCAUGAUCUGACCCUCAGACGUAAGGAAUAACUGUACCAGGGUCCUCAGACUUGACACAGAGAAGUCCCGAAUUUUUAAACAGAUACCCUUGGUCAAAAGAAAGGAUACAGCCGAGCCCUCGGGCGAGGCGGACAAGGGUUGGCAAAACAGACAGGGUCGGACAAGAUGGAAAAGGGUUUGGGCGAAACGGGAAGGGUCAGGUGAGAGGGAAAGGGUUUGGGCGAGAUGGAAAGGGGUCAGGUGAGACGGAAAGGGGUCGGGCAAGAUGGAAAGGGGUUGGGCGAACCGGACAGGGGUCGGCAGCUUACCUUUAGGCCUACUGAUGAAGUCUUGGGGUCAGGAAGGAAUAGACUCAGGUGGAAAGACUUUGGGCGGCGGCGGGGUUCGACAGUGCUUCAGCGGUGGCAACGCUUCUUGUCAACAACAAGCAAGCUCUAGCACCGUGCGGAGGACACAAGUGGCUGGUAGGUUGGGAAAAGCGGGUGUUGAGCAGAGAGGGGGGGUUUCUCAAGAGCUUAUGCGGCAGUGCUUGAGUGCGAAACAGAGAAAGGUGCGGCAAGGCAACGAUGGUGAAGGGAACUCUGAUAGAGGCUCUGGUACUCCCAUUUAUAUCUGCGCGGAAGAGAAGGAGUUCGGGCAGCACGAGGAUCAGGUCGAAGAGGAUGGAGUGCUCUGCCGAGGUGGCGAUUGGUCAACACCUCCAUUGGCCGGCAAAGCGGAGCUUCGGGGAUAGGGUCUUCGGUCAUUGGGCACUAGAGACAGAGCUUGUGCAGGCGCGGUUUUGCCGGAAGGAAGGAUUGGUGAGGGUGAGCGCGGGUCUGGUUGCGUUAAGCGGCGGAUUGGGGGCGGCGGCUCAGCUAGCGUGCGGCAGGAAGGAACGAAGGCGCACUGCAGGCAAGGGCGCUGCAGGCGAGUUGACAGGGCGAGCGGCGACGCUAGUAGGCACAGACCAGCGGCUUUAUCAGGGCAUGCUACUGGCGAGGCGGAAAAAGGAGUUGUCACUGCCGGAGAUGGGGUUGGCGAGGGUGGUAUCGUCACGGUGCGUGCGCGGGGGCAGCGCAACUGAGGGGACGACAGAAAAGAUGGAAGGCAUUGGGACACGGCCGGGGAUCCAAGUGAGAUGAUGAGCACGGGAGGUGAGCUGGUCUGGCGCGGCAGCGGCCAAUCCUUGGUCAUAGCGGCGACAGGGCGCCUGGCGCGGCUGGCGAGGUUGCGGGCGAGACGAGACGAGGCGGAAAGGGCUGCAGGGCGCUUCCGCGUGCGAUUGGGAAGGAGGCGCGCUGAUCCAUCUUGUCGCGGCCGGCGACUUGGCGAGGCGGCGCUCGUCGGGGAGGUGGAGCCACGCGGCGGAGAGGCUCUAAAACCGGGCGCACGCUUGCUCGGGUGCGCUUGACCCGAGAGAUCCGUGGGAUCUAUUUCUGGGUCCACCUUCCAGUCUCUCGCUCUCCCAAACCCCCAAGUUUGGAGGAACACUAGUUUUUGGGACAUAGAGAGAAAAAUGGCGGUUUGGCUGGGUUUCAAGGGUCGGGAUUGAGUCGAACGGCAGAUUUGGGAACUUGUCUCAAGACUAAGCUCGGCUGAUAAACCUAAGUCGUUACACCUGGGCUUCGCGUUUGGCCUUGCCCUUGUCCUAGCCGCCGUUGAAGACCACCCCGACUGUCUCCUUGCCAGAGGUGUGGUUUGUGGUGAUGUCAAGCAAGUCACAGGUGGUCCGGGGUUUGAUGCAGCCGAGCUUGUGGAUUAAAGAUUUGUAGGUCAUCCUAGAGAGGAACGUGCUGACAACGUCAGGGAGGGAGUUGCAUUGCUUGGAGAACCUGCGGACCGCAAGGACUCAUUGGGCUCCUAUUUACAACUUUUGAUGUCCUAGGAGUUCCUAGGGCGGACGUAGGUCCCCUAGAAGUUCCCUAUGAAGACCUUCUUGAGGUCCGCCUAGUCGCAGAUGCUUUUGGGUAGAAGGAACUCGAGCCAAGCUCAAACGAACUCCCCUACAUAGAUGGGGAUGUACUGGAUGAUAAAGUAAUCAUCAUCUGCGCCGUCGGCUCGGCAGGCGAGCUGGAAGUCUUCCAACCAUACACCGGGUUUCAUCUCCCUAGUGUACUUGGCGAUGUUGAUGGGCGGUUGGAAGCGCUGUGGGAAUGGCGCUUUCAAGAUGCGGCAACCAAAAGCCCGUGGUCCCGAUUCAUUUGGGCUAGGACUCCGGUCGCCAUUCCGGUCACUCGGUCGGCCACCACACCUAGGGUGCACCUCCUCGCGUUCCUCGUCGGACCGGUCAUGGCCCGCGCCGCCUGCGCUUGCCACCAUUCGGUGGAUGUUGGUGUCAUGUCGAGCCAGGCGUCUCACGUGGAUGACACUGUGUGCGUCACGAUUUGGCCCAAGCUGCUCAUGCACGCGCUGGCACCAUGGAGCUAGUGCCGGGUUAAGCUGCGGCGUGGAUGCAGCAUUCCAUCCUGCACGAUGCGGCUGCGGGGGCAACCGGAUGGAGCGAUUCGGCUGGUGCGGCCCUAAUCCCUCGGUCGGGCAAAAGGCCGUGUGCCACUGUCGUGAUGCGGAGCUUUCUGCCUGCUGGAUGGCGGUGGUCUCUAUCAAUGCCCGGAGGUUCCGGUGGAUUGCCUGCUCCUGCGGGUCUAUUGCGCAAGCAAAGGAGCCAAGGAAUCACUAGAACAACAAACACGUAAUGCGAUGAUUUCAACUCAUUCAAGACUUCGUUAACUGAGGAAAGAUCAAGAUAUGCAAAAUACACAUAGAUUUAAAUAUUUUGAUCCUUUGACAAAGCCUCUCCCACAGUCUAAGCAUGAUGCGCACAUAAGAGCUAUGGGUAUUACAUAUCUUCUAGAUUGACUCUAGUGCAAGUGGGAGACUAUUGGAGGUAUGCCCUAGAGGCAAUCAUAGAGAUGAUGAUAUUCCAUUGUAUCCAUGAUUUAUAUUGUGUUCCUCGAAUAUCCUUUAAAUGCUACUUGAAUUGAUUUGCAAUUAUGUGAGUUGUGUGUGAAACUCUUUACUUGUAUGAUUAUUCUAGAAGUUAUCCCUAGUCAGAGUUCAUGUGAGGACACACAUGAAUAUUAGACUAGCACAUGUAUUAGUUGAUGACUAUGUUUCAUAAGUCAUGGACAUGGAGAUGUCAAACUAAUAAUGUGGGCACGUGUAGAGACAUGCGCUAGGAAUGACCCAACGCGAGUUACAUAGUUCUCUCUUUACACAACGUGUAUGCUUUGUCCUUAGACCUGAGAUUGUCGCAUGUACUCAAGAUGUGGAUCUACUUACUUAGGGGCUAUCAAACGCUACACCAUAACUGGGUAGUUAUAAAGGUAGCUUUUGGGUUUGUCAAGAAUCAUGCUGUGAGGCAUGGUCAGUCAUGAUGGAAUUUGCCCCUCUCAACUUGAGAGAGAUAUCUCUAGACCCCUCAAGCAAUCGGAUUCGAAAAUGCAUGGCCAUGCUAGGUGAGGUUAAGAGUUAACCUAGAGAGGGAUUUCAAAUCACAGGAUUGAGAAAGAGAGGUCGGCUUGGAGCUAGACCAAAUAUCGUGAGGCAAAGGGAAUAGCAUGUACGUGAUGUUGUGAUGGUUCGUUUGAUAUGAUCUUCGUGUGCGUACAGGAGUUGGCACGUCUUGCUAGAGGCUACUGCCAACUAUUGGCUGAGUAGGAGUAGGGCUGGAAGCCCAAUGAGGAUAUGAUCUGAGUUGGACCAGGUUUAGGAGUACUAAUGGGCCUCGGACCUAGAGGCCCGUCAGGAACACCUAUAUAUUGAGGGGUGGAGGCAGCUUAGGGUUUGAUCUCUUUUACACGAGCAGCAGCCACGCCUCCCACGCCCUCACCUUAUUGCACUCGUGGACCUAGCAGUCCAGCUUGUGACACUUCCUCCCCGCACGUGUAGAUACCUUGGAGGUGUUGCAUCUAUAGCACUUGGAGGAGCCACCGCACAAGAGCUUGACGAGCCAACGAGGAGCCUGACAAGCCUGCGAGGAGCUUGACGAGCCAGCGCACGAGGAGGAAGUCGCUGCACAUGGACGAGCUGUUGAGAUGCUAUUGGACAUGGAGGUUUCGACCACGCUACCCUAACAAAGUGAUCGACUACACUACUCGACACGGUUCAUCAACUUCCGCAUCUGCGGGUCUAGUGGUAACAACAGUAUUCCUGGUUUACGUGGUAGAAAAUUUUGUUUUUGGCGCUAGCGUAGCCUACCUACUAACCCUUCAGUGGUAUCAGAGCCGAUGCUAUUUAGUCAUGGGUUCAGGAUGUGUGCAUAUGGUGAUAUGCGAUUUUCAGAUUGAUCUAUGAUAUGGUUUUGUGAUCUUGCUGCAAUGAUCGUGUAACGACAUACUCCUACCAGUCAGAUUUCUGCCAUCGGAAUUAAGUGAUGCACGUAAUGCCAGUUGCAGCGAGCGAAGAUCAAUGUGAUUGGUCAAAUCGAAACCUAGGUUCAUACGCCAGAUGCAUAUGUGUUGGAGGUAUACCCUAGAGGCAAUCAUAGAGAUCAUGAUUAUAGGUAUGCCCUAGAGGUAUGCCCUAGGUCCAUUUGUAUCCAUGAUUUAUAUUGUGUUCCUUGAAUAUCUCUUAAAUGCUACUUGAAUUGAUUUGCAAUUAUGUGAAUUGUAUGUGAAACUCUUUACUUCUAUGGUUAUUCUAAAGUUGUCCCUAGUCGGAGUUCAUGUGAGGACACACAUGAAUAUUAGACUAGCACAUGUAUUAGUUGAUGACCAUGUUUCACGAGUCAUGGACAUGCAGAUGUUAAACUAAUAAUGUGGGCACAUAUGGAGACAUGUGCUAGGACUGACCCAACACGAGAAGUAGUUCUCUCUUUACACAACAUGUACGCUUUUGUCCUUAGACCUGAGAUUGUCGCAUGUACUCAAGAUGUGAAUCGACUUACUUAGGGGCUAUCAAACACUACACCGUGAUAGGGUAGUUAAAAGGUAGCUUUCGGGUUUGUCAAGAAGCAUGCUGUGAGAUAUGGUCACUCAAGAUGGGAUUUGCCCCUCUCUGAUUGAGAGUGAUAUCUCUGGGCCCCUCGAGUGAUCGGAUUCAAAAAUGCAUGGCCAUGCUACGUACGGUUAAGAGUUAACCUACAAAGGGAUUCCGAAUCAAAGGAUCGAGAAAGAGCGGUCAGCUUGAAGCUAGACCAAAUAUCAUGAGGCAAAGCGAAUAGCAUGUACAUAAUGUUGUGAUGGUUCGUCUAAUAUGAUCUUCGUGUGCGUAUAGGAGUUGGCAUGUCUUGCUAGAGGCCGCUACCGACUAUUGGGCCGAGUAGGAGUACUUCGGCCAUGUCUAUACGUAUCCAAACCCAUAGGGUCACACACUUAAGGGGCUGGAAGCCCAAUUUGGAUGUAAUCUGAGCUGGAUUAGGUUUAGAAGUACUAAUGGGCCUCGGACCUAGAGGCCCGUCAGUAACCUCUAUAAAUAGAGGGGUGGGGGCGCCCUAGGGUUGACACCUUUUUGAAAAAACACAUCUGCCGCGCCUCCCACGCGCUCACCUAUUGCAACUCGCGGACCUAGCAGUCCGGCUUGCGACGCUUCCUCCCUGCACAUGUGGAAACCUUGGAGGUGUUGCGCCUGCAGCACUUUGACGAACCGCCGACGAGCCGCCGAUGAGCCGCGGCAUGAGGACGACCUUGCUGCAUGUGGACGAGCUGCUGAGGAGCUGCUCAACGUCGACGUGAUCGACUACGUGUUCGACUACGCUGAUCGACUUCACUGCCCCAACUCGAUUCUACAUCUUCCGCACCAGUACGUUGAGUGGUAAUCCUGUAAUCCAUAUACGGCAGUUUUCCUAGUUUACGCGGUAGAAACAAUUUUGUUUUGUGCUAGCGUAGCCUACCUCGUAUCCCAACAGUGGUAUCAGAGCCAUAGCUGUUUCAUUUUGGAUUUGGGAUGUGUGCAUAUGGAGAUAUGCGAGUUUUCAGUUUGAUCUAUGUCCUGGUUUCGUGUUCUUGCUACAAUGGUUGUGUAACGACAUACUCCUACCAGUCAGAUUUCCGCCAUCGAAGUUAAGUGAUACACGUAAUGCCAGUUGCAGCGAGCGAAGAUCAAUGUGAUUGGUUGAAUCGAAAUCCAGGUUCAUACACCAGGCGCAUGAGAUGCACAAUAGUAGAUUGGAUCUACUGCCGGGUUGAAAUUUUGCCGUGUGCGUGUGCUUCAGUAAAACAGCCGUAACUUUUCGGUACGAUCUCGGAUCGGGGUGAAUUUUAUAUGAAAAUUGAUCUACAGAAAAGGUUACACAUGAAAUUCAACCGCUUUUCUAUUUUCGGUAAAAUUAAUUUUCCCAAAUUCGGCUUGGAAGAUGGAGUUUUGGGCCUCUGAAGUUUGGAACGUUAGAACACCUAACUCAGUUUUGCAGACUGUAUGUAUCUUGUGAUCAGUAUGGCCCUUUGUGUAUGUGAUGCAUGUGUGUAACUCAUUCAUGACCUGCAUGUCACGCGUACGGCAACACGGCUGGAGCCAUAUGUGUUGUCACUUUAAUGUAUUUAAUGGUCUGCGUACAAAUCUGUGAUGAUCCAAGCAACUAUGUAAUCUUCCUUACUAGCUAUUAGGCAUCAUAGCAUGUUCUAGUUCUUGGAGGACUCAUCACCAGGAGGAUGGCGCACAUGGAACAUGGAGAUGAAGAUCACCAUGGUGAACAGGUUCUGUGGAGAUGGAGGUCACCAUAAGAAAAUGGGCCAUAUUGUGUCACAACUGUGUGCAUGUUAUUCUUUAUGUUUUACUUCCUGCAUGAUGUGAUGUUAGAAGUAGAACGAUCCCACACAAAUUUUAAGUUAGUAUGAAAUUAGGGUGCCACUAGUUUUCCUUGACUAGACGGGUUUGUGUCGGACACUUACACGCAUAAGGGUUGGUUUGCUUAAAAAUGUUACCUUAACGGUUAAGGACCUUGGGGCAUCAAGGUUGGGCGCCGAGACAUGGAGAUGUCACCCAACAACAGGAGUCAUAUGUGAUAUGAUUAGCAAGGAAUUGCUUACCGAUCUACCUUGUUUGCUAGCGGUGAUGCUAAAGCUCACUAGUAGACUUGUUAGUUGUGGAUCCUGAAUCACUAAGUACCAAUAGAGGGAUAUUGAUUUUAGUGGGAGUAGAUUCUGUAAAUAGUUUAAUGUGAUUUACUCUAUCAUGGAUACAUUUGUCUUAGUGUAUUUUGCAUUACUUUUGUUGUAGAUUAAAUGGCACCUAGCAACACCAUAUCAUUUGCUUUGCGUUCGGUCCUUGAGAAGGACAAGUUGAAUGGAACAAACUACUCGGAUUGGAUCCGUAACCUAAGAAAAGUUCUAGACACCCCAUUACCAUAAGUGCCUGGUGAUGAUGCAUCUGCUGCCGUUAAGGCUGCUUACAAGAAAGCAUUUGAUGCCAAUCUUGAGGUUAGCUGCCUUAUGCUCGCUUGCAUGGAACCUGAGCUACAAAUGCAGUUCGAAACGAAUCAAGAGGCACAAAAUAUUAUUGUGGCGCUCAAGGAUAUAUUCCAGACACAGGCUAGGACCGAAAGGUUCAAUGUGUCCAAGGCCUUUCUGGAGUGCAAGCUAGCAGAAGGCGUAGCAGUAGGACCACACAUAAUCAAAAUGGUUGGUUACACUCAGCGAUUGAAGAAGCUGGGCUUCUCAAUGGGCAAAGAGUUGGUCACUGACUUCAUUCUUUCAUCUAUUCCUCCUAGCUAUGGGAUCUUCAUCUCGAACUACCAUAUGCAUGGGACGGAGAAGGAUCUGAAUGAACUGUGUGGCAUGCUCAAGACAGCAGAGGUUGACAUUAAGAAAAGCGCUAGUAGCAGCCAUGUGAUGGCUAUACAGAACAAGCCUAGCUUCAAGAAGAAGGGCAAUUCUUGGAUGAAGAAGGGCAAGGCUGGAGUGUCCAAGCCAAACCUAGCGCCCAAGGCUAAAGCUGGACCUGCUCCAGACAAAGAGUGUUUUUAUUGUCAUGAACUUGGUCACUCGAAGAGAAAUUGCAAGCAGUACCUAGCUUCGUUGAAGAAUGGCAGAAGUAAGAGUACUUCCACCUCAGGUAAGCUUGUUAUUAAUGUUAUAGACAACUUUCUCACUGAUACAAUUAUUAAUUCUUGGGUAUUUGAUACCGGAUCGGUUGCUCAUAUUUGCAAUUCGAUGCAAGGAAUGAUAAGAAGUAGAAGCGUGGAAAGAGGAGAAGUUGAUUUCCGCGUGGGCAAUAAUGCAAGAGUUGAUGCAUUGACCGUCGGGACGAUUCAACUCCACCUCCCAUCAGGAUUUAUUAUGGAGUUGAAUAAUUGUUAUUUCGUUCCGAGUUUAAGUCGAAACAUUUUGUCUCCUUCAUGCUUGAUGAAGGAUGGUUAUUCAUUUGCGAGUGAAAACAAUGGUUGUGUGAUCUCUAAGAAUGAUAUGUUUAUGUCUUUUGCACCCAUUGUGAAUGGAUUGUUUGUUUUAAAUCUUGAUGGUUCACCUAUCUGUAACGUAAGUGCUAAAAGGUCUCGGCAUAAUGAUUUGAGUCCUACCUACUUGUGGCAUUGUCGUUUGGAUCAUAUAAGUGAAAAGCGCAUGAAGAAGCUCCAUUCUGAUGGACUUCUAACUUCGUUUGAUUUUGAAUCAUACGAGACAUGUGAGGCUUGCUUGCUAGGCAAGAUGACCAAGACGCCUUUCACAGGUUUUCCUGAGAGAGCAGUAGACUUGUUGGAACUCGUACAUAGUGAUGUAUGCAGACCAAUGAGCACGACGGCUAGAGGAGGAUUCCAAUACUUCAUAACUUUCACUGAUGAUUUUAGUAGAUAUGGUUAUGUCUACUUGAUGAGGCACAAGUCUGAAACCUUUGAAAAGUUCAAAGAAUUUCAGAAUGAAGUUGAAAAUCAGCGUGGCAAGAAAAUUAAGGCCUUACGAUCUGAUCGUGGAGGCGAGUAUUUGAGCCAUGAGUUUAGCAAUCAUCUAAAGAGUUGCGUAAUUGUUCCACAACUUACGCCGCCUGGAACACCUCAGAGAAACGGUGUAUCCGAGCGACGUGAUCGAACUUUGUUAGACAUGGUUCGAUCAAUCAUGAGCCAGUCGAACCUACCGUUAUCAUUUUGGGGAUACACUCUGGAAACAACAGCUUUCACACUUAAUAGGGUACCAUCUAAAUCCGUAGUUAAGACACCAUAUGAGAUGUGGACCGGAAAAAUUCCCAGUUUGUCUUUUCUAAAGAUUUGGGGAUGUGAAGUGUUUGUCGCGACUUCAGUCGGACAAGAUCACACCCAAGUCGGAUAAGUGCAUUUUCGUGGGAUAUCCAAAGGAAACUUUAGGAUAUUUUUUCUACAACCGAUCAGAGGGCAAAGUGUUUGUCGCUCGGAUCGGGGUUUUUUUCCUAGAGAAAAAGUUUCUCAAAGGAGAAAAUAGUGGAAAGACAGUGCAUCUUGAAUAAGUUCAAGAUGAGCCGAUUGGACAAGAAUCAAUGAGUGAUGCUAACGUAGCAGAAUAAGUUGAGAUACCCAUGGUAAGAGAAGCAUCACCACAGCCACGAAGGUCGGCAAGGCUCUGCGAAAUGCGGGAAAUAUUAUUGUUGGAUAAUGAUGAGCCUGCGACAUAUGCAGAAGCAAUGAUGGACCCAGACUCCAAAAAAUUGCAGAGUGCCAUGCAAUCCAAAAUAGAGUCCAUGGGAGACAAUCAAGUUUGGAACUUGGUUGACCCGCCUGAUGGUGUUAAAGCCAUAGAGUGCAAGUGGAUCUAUAAGAAGAAAAAGGACAUGGAUGGAAAUGUUCACAUCUAUAAAGCACGGCUUGUCGCAAAAGGUUUUCGACAAGUUCAAGGAGUUGACUACAACGAGACCUUCUCACCCGUAGUGAUGCUUAAGUCCAUUCGGAUUAUUCUAGCUAUAGCUGCAUAUUUCGAUUAUGAGAUAUGGCAGAUGGAUGUCAAGACAGCUUUCCUGAACGGAAACCUAUCUGAGGACGUGUAUAUGAUACAGUCCGAGGGUUUUGUCGAUCCAAAAAAUGUUGGAAAAGUAUGCAAACUUCAGAGAUCCAUUUAUGGAUUGAAGCAAGCAUCUAGGAGUUGGAACAUUCGUUUUGAUGAAGUGGUCAAAUGGUUUGACUUCACCAAGAAAGAAGAAGAGUUUUGUGUUUACAAGAAGGUUAGUGGGAGCUCUGUAGUAUUUCUAAUAUGAUAUGUGGAUGACAUAUUGAUGAUUGGAAAUAACAUUCCUAUGCUUAAGUCCGUAAAGACUUCACUGAAAAAUAGUUUUUCGAUGAAGGACUUAGGGAAAGCGGCAUAUAUUCUGGGCAUUUAGAUCUAUAGAGAUAGAUCAAGAAGGCUUAUAGAAUUAGGCCAGGAUACUUACAUUGACAAAGUGUUGAAGCGGUUCAGCAUGGAAGAGGUGAAGAAAGGGUUCUUGCCUAUGUCAAAUGGCAUAUUCUCAGUAAGACUCAGUGUCCUUCGACUACUGAUGAGCGGGAUCGCAUGAGUAGAGUGUCAUAUGCCUCGGCUAUUGGAUCUAUCAUGUAUGCAAUGAUAAGUACUCGCCCAGAUGUUUCAUAUGCGCUAAGUAUGACAAGCAGACACCAGUCUGAUCCGGGUGAGAGUCACUGGACAGCGGUGAAAAACAUUCUUAAGUACUUGAGAAGGACUAAAGAUAUGUUCCUCGUCUAUGGAGGUGAGGAGAAGCUCGUUGUAACAUGUUACACCAAUGCUAGUUUCCAAACCGAUAGAGAUGAUUCAAAGUCACAAUCAUGAUUUGUGUUCACGCUAAAUGGUGGUGCUGUUAGUUGGAACAGUUCCAAGCAGGUGACAGUGGCCGAUUCUACGAUAGAAGUUGAGUACAUCGUGGCUUUUGAAGCCGCGAAGGAGGGUGUUUGGAUAAGGAAUUUCCUCAUUGAGCUUGGUGUGUUCCCAAAUGCGUCCAGCCCAUUGAAUCUCUACUGUGAUAAUAAUAGGGCAAUUGCGCAAGCAAAGGAGCCAAGGAACCACCAGAAGAACAAACACGUAAUGCGGCGAUUUCAUCUCAUUCGAGACUUCGUUAACCGGGGUGAGAUCAAGAUAUGCAAGAUAUACCCGGAUCUGAACAUUUCUGAUUCGUUGACAAAAUCACUCCCGCAGGCUAAGCAUGAUACGCAUGUAAGAGCUAUGGGUAUUAGGUACCUUCUAGAUUGACUCUAGUGCAAGUGGGAGACUGUUGGAGGUAUACCCUAGAGGCAAUCAUAGAGAUGAUGAUAUUCUAUUUGUAUCCAUGAUUUAUAUCGUGUUCCUUGAAUAUCCAUUAAAGGCUACUUGAAUUGAUUUGCAAUUAUGUGAAUUGUAUGUGAAACUCUUUACUUGUAUGGUUAUUCUAAAGUUGUCCCUAGUCGGAGUUCAUGUGAGGACACACAUGAAUAUUAGACUAGCACAUGUAUUAGUUGUUGCCUAUGUUUCACGAGUCACGGACAUGGAGAUGUUAAACUAAUAAUGUGGGCACAUGUGGAGACAUGUGCUAGGACUGACCCAACACGAGAAGUAGUUCUCUCUUUACACUACAUGUACGCUUUGUCCUUAGACCUGAGAUUGUCGCAUGUACUCAAGAUGUGGAUCGACUUACUUAGGGGCUAUCAAAUGCUACACCGUGACAGGGUAGUUAAAAAGAUAGCUUUCGGGUUUGUCAAGAAGCAUGCUAUGAGACAUGGUCAAUCAAGAUGGGAUUUGCCCCUCUCUGAUUGAGAGUGAUAUCUCUGGACCCCUCGAGUGAUCGGAUUCGAAAAUGCAUGGCCAUGCUACGUACGGUUAAGAGUUAACCUACAAAGGGAUUUCAAAUCACAGGAUCGAGAAAGAGCGGUUGGCUUGAAGCUAGACAAAAUAUCGUGAGGCAAAGGGAAUAGCAUGUACAUAAUGUUGUGAUGGUUCGUCUCAUAUGAUCUUUGUGAUGUAUAGGGGUUGGCACAUCUUGCUAGAGGCCGCUACCGACUAUUGGGCCGAGUAGGAGUACUCGGGCCAUGUCUAUACGUAUCCGAACCCAUAGGGUCACACACUUAAGGGGCUGGAAGCCCAAUUUGGAUAUGAUCCGAGUUGGAUUAGGUUUAGAAGUACUAAUGGGCCUCAGACCCAGAGGCCCGUCAGGAACCUCUAUAAAUAGAGGGGUCGGGGCGCCCUAGGGUUGACACCUUUUUGAAAAAACACAUCUGCCGCAUCUCCCACGCCCAACUCACAGACCUAGCAGUCCGUCUUGCAACACUUCCUCCUUGCACGUGUGGAUACCUUGGAGGUGUUGCGCUUGCAGCACUUGGACGAAUCGCCGAUGAGCCACGACGAGCCGUUGACGAACCACGACGAGCCGACGAUGAGCCGCGGCACGAGGACGACCUUGCUGCACAUGCAAAAGCUGCUGAGGAGCUGCUCGACGUCGACGUGAUCGACUACGUGUUCGACUACGCUGAUCGACUUCACUGCCGCAACGCGAUUCUACAUCUUCCGCACCAGUGCGUCGAGUGGUAAUCCUGUGAUCCAUAUAUGACAGUUUUCCUAGUUUAUGUGGUAGAAAAAAUUUUGUUUUGCACUAGCGUAGCCUACCUCGUAUCCCAACAAUAUGAUGCGCAGUAGUCGAUUCGAUCAACUACUAGAUCAGAUUAUUUACCGAGAUCAUGUGUUUUGGUAAAACGGACGUAACUUUUUGGUACGAUCUCGGAUCAAGGCAAAUUUUAUAUGAAAAUUGAUCUACAGAAAAAGUUACACAUGAAAUUCAAUCACUUUGUCAUUUUAGGCGAUAUUAGAUAUCCCAAAAUCGACUUGCAAGAUGGAGUUUCGAGCCUUUUAAAUUUGGACGAUAGAACGUCUAACUCUGUUUUGCAGGAUUUUGUGAUCGGUAUGGCCCUUGUGUAUGUGAUGCAUGUGUGUAACUAAUUCAUGACCUAUGUGUCAUGCGUACGGCAAUUCGGCUGGAGCCAUAUGUAUUGUCACAUUAAUGUAAUUAAUGACCUGCGUGUCAAUCUGUGAUGAUCCAAGCAACUAUGUAACCUUCUUUACUAGUUGAUUAGAUGUAAUAGUUUGCACUAGUUCUUGGAGGACUCAUCACUAGGAGGACGGCGCACAUAGAUCAUGAAGAUUGAGAUCAUCAUGGUGAACAGGUUCUGUGGAGAUGGAGAUCACCACUAGAAAUCGGGCCAUACUGUGUCACAACUGUGUGAAUGCUAUUCCUUUUAUUUUACUCCUUCAUGAUGUGAUGUUAGAAGUAGAACGAUCCUUCGCAAAUUUUACGUUAGUAUGCCCUCCCAACUAAAACUUGCACUGUCCCAUAUCUUGUACAAUUGGUGGUGGGUCUAUGAGAUUAGAGUAUCACUAGUUUUCCUUGACUAGAUGGGUUUGUAUCGGCUACUUACACGCAUAAGGGUUAGUUUGCUUAAACAAGGUCAUCUUAACGAUUAAGGACUUUGGGGCAUGAAGGUUGGGCGUCGAAACAUGGAGAUGUCACCCAACAAUAGGACUCAUAUGUGAUAUGAUUAGCAAGGAGUUGCUUACCGAUCUACCUUGUUUGCUAGCGGUGAUGCUAAAGCUCACUAGUAAGCUUGUUAGUUGUGGAUCCUGAAUCACUAAGUAUCAAUAGAGGUAUAUUGACUUUAGUGGGAGUAGAUUCUGUUAAAUAGUUUAAUGUGAUUUGCUCUAUCAUGGAUACGUUUGUCUUAGUGUAUUUUGCAUUACUUUUGUUGUAGAUUAAAUGGCACCUAGCAACACCACACCAUUUGCUUUGCAUUCGGUCCUUCUUUCGUCCUCACCCCGCUUCAUUCUCUCCAAUGGCGGCUCCAUCAGCGACCAUGAACUUCAUCCCAGAGGUAAACAUCUAAAGCUUUACCUUUUACUUUUUAGUGCUCAUGCGUCUUUUAUUCUUAGUUUUCCCUUUUUCAUCUUCCUUAGGCGAUUAGGCAGCGAAUUACCAUCCCUUUCUCAGACGCACCUGGUCUCAUCGGCCUUGGCCCUAUGGGAAACUCAGAUCCAACCGACUUCAUCAAUUUGGAAACCCACAGAAUUCCUUUCAAGCAAUCACCCAUGGAUCUGGAUCAACGGACGGGCGUAUUUAGAUCUUGGCCGAACGAGACCCCUGGUUGGAAGGAAUGGUUUCAAAGGAUGGCCGAUUCUAAGAGGGUUCUGGGGGAUGAAUAGAAAAUUGGCCAUUGCAUAAACUUGUCUUUAUCUCAGAUGGAGAAGAAUGAGCCCCUGGUUAUGGCAGCGUCUUAUUUCUGGUCUGACGCCCUCAACGCAUUCCUCUUUGGCCAUGGGCCCAUGACUUCGACUCUAGCCGACGUCAUGUUAUUGACCGGCCUUGACAUUUCUUCACCCGACAGACCCUUCGACUUCCAGAUCAAGUCCACCCAUCGCCUUGAAAUGAAAGGAAUCAGCAGAUGGAAAGGCUAUAUCGAUAGGAAUAUGAAGACCGGAACCAUUGGCAACAGAGAGCACACAGCCUUCCUGAUGAUGUGGCUAGAAAACAUUUCUUCUGUGGCCAAGCAGUCGGCCCUUCGUCGAACACGCAAGCUUUGGAUGAAGCAUUAGCGAGGGGUUCCAAUGUUCCUCUAGGAAAUCACAUGUUGGGAUCGGCCUACCAUAUGCUACAACAAAUUUCCGUAAAGUUGUCGACUGGAGAGGCGAUUGGAAACCCCAAUGGCCCUUGGUGGUUCAUUACCCUUUGGCUCAAUCUAUACAUGAUCAAAGUUUCUCGGGAACGAAUUGAAACCCAAACAUUUCCCAAUAUUGAGUUAAGGGAAAAUCCAACAGUUUGCUGGCAUUGCACUUCUUUUGGUGAAGCAGCGUCGGUGCUCCCCAGUAGUAAAUUCACUCCCACCAAGACCGCUGAGUACUUCAGGUGCUUCUAUGCUGGCUUCAGUGAAGAAGCCAUAAGCUGGUAUCCAUAUCAAAGAACUGAGCCACUCUUUGAAAACCUUGCCUGUUUUAAUUCAACCACCAAUUCUUUUGACAAUGAACUUAUGGAUAUCUUGAUCAAGCCUAGGAUUCUGCCAGCGAACUCCUUUUCGGGGAAAGACUCCCCGACUUAUGAGUUUUACAACCCAUCAGUGGCAGCAUGACAAUUCGGCCUUGGACAAUUGCCGAUUGGGAUUUAUUUUGCUGGCCGCGUGAAAUUUCGGGACGAGCUUACCACGGGGCUCGAAUAUAAUCGGCUAUCCAGUUGGCACUAGAUUCCAACACCAUUGACUUGGCCAACUGGGUGGUGGUUCCCUUCACCGUCCAACAAUUCAAGUUAUGGUGGGGCGAAUGGAAACAGCAUCUCUUCUGCAUGUACCCCGCAACAUACUGCAACGACCUGGAUCCCGCCAACAUUGAUCCAAAUGUAGCGGUACUACCCCUUUUUUAGCCGAUUUUAACAUAAUUCCUUUGCACUGCAAGAUUACCACUGACUUUCUUUUUCUUCUGCAGUCUGGAAGUCAUCUCCCCCCAACGCGCAGUCGCAGCGGAAGGCCGAUAGAUAAUCGCCAUCCUUAUACUUCAUUUCCAAUUAUUGGUUUCCAGGCUCCGUCCAUCAAAGAUAUCUCAAUUGAAACAGAAGCUAAAGAUAUCUUCUUUAAAGAAAACGAGCCGUUGGGUGCGCGCUCGUAUAGAAUCGGCGGACCAAUCAGCGGCGGCACCGGUUGAGUCUUUGGCCAUACCGACCCCGCCAAUUGUCGAAGAAGUCGACCCCCAAGCUGCUGUAGAAGCCGGAUCAGCGGCCGCAUCUUUACUGCUAGAAGCUGUUCAGGUAACUUCAUACUCUUUGAAUUUUUCCAAGUACACUGUCAGUAUUAAUUUCUUCUUUCUGUUAGGCUGCACAAACCAUCCUAGAGCAAUCUCCACAGCAAUCGGCCACACUCCAGGUAGAGACUGAGAUGCCAGCAAUCCCUCCCACCGAGGAAGAGAAUAUUUGUUUUACUCAAAUCUCUUAAUCCUUAGUCGAAAUCUGACCGAUUUCUAAUGCAGGCUACUUUGGGUGCGUCGAUUGUGCCCUUCCAAUGAUCGCCGGCUGGACGACUCGUAGAGGUAGAGCAGUUAUUAUUCAUCAUCAGAUUUAACCAUUGCUUCAUACUUAUAGAGAUCCAUUUCAUGUAACUUUCCAGGAGGCUGGCCCGAGUACGGCACCGAUAAUCGUGGAAUCUUCUUCUUCCAAUGAGCCAGCUGCGUCGAUUCCCGAAAUGAGGGUAGCACUCCCACCAACACAAAUAGAAGAAAUCCGUUUUAAAGAGGUGAGAAACUUGAUGUCCAAAUCGGCCGAUUUUUUGCUACCGUCGGCUAAUCCGUCUCUUUAUUUUAUCAGGAGCAGGACACUCCCAACAACAGCCAUUUUUCUUUUGCGGUCGCAAUUUCUGAUGAUGAGGAGGUCACCUCACACCAGGUUGCUCUGAGUUCAAUCCCUGAUGAAGUUCACACCAAGCUCCAGAGCAUACGAACCCUUCUCCAGGAUGAUAUCGGCCGACUGGUGGAAGAUGCCUCGCCGAUUUGGCAGCUCUUCAGUGAAAUCAGAGGCCGAGUUCCAGAAGAAGCAGAAGAAGCCCUAGCACCCGCAGCAUAUAUCGAGUCAAUGCGAAUCCCGAUGUUCAGAGUUUUACAACACAUGGUCGAUCGUGCCAAACUAGCAAAAGCAUGUGAAGAGGAGGAUUCCUACAAACACCAAGCUCAAUAAGUACACCAGCGAAUCAGCUUUCUCGAAAACUCUCACCCAGACAUCGUUGGCACCAUAGACCGCUCAAACGGCAAAGGGCAGAGCUCGCCAAGGAAAUGGAGGAGGUGACCAAAGCUAUAACCGCCGAAGAGAAGAAACUCCAUGAUCUCCCAUCUGUUAUCGCCGAUCUGAAGCAGGAGAGGCAAAACCUUGCCCAUGAAGCCAUCAGACUUCAUCGCAACAUGCCAGAAGUCCCUGGAUCGGCUGACGACGACCAAAGAACCUUAGAUUCGGCCGAUCAGAUCUGGGAGCGAGCGAUCGCGGUCAUUAAUGCUCUCCUCGGGUGAACCGUAGAAACACUAAAUGCUUUUGUACAAACAUUUAAUGCUCUUUUUCCAUUGCCGUGCGAAUUUAAACUUGGACGGUCUUUUGUUGCAGCAUUUAAUGGCCCUUUACUCCGACGGGACGUGUUUUACCAACCGUUACCCUUCAUCUUUUCCCUCUAUAAGUAUGAGACCCCUGAGCUGCUUCUAGGGGCAUUCGCACCUUGCCCAGCCUUCCAUCCUUAAGUUGUCUUAUUUCCAUACUCUUAAGCUAGGUGCCAAGAUGUCUUCCUCUUCCUUCGUCAAUCAAGUUUGAAAUCCCCCUUCGUUCCUCUGCCAGAUGCUCAUCAAUCUGACGACGGGCGAUUAUUUGUUAUUUUCCCAGCUAAGAUGCCUUAGCCCUGGCCUGGAACGGGCUAUCAAGAUUAUGCACUCCGAGGAAUCACUGACGCAGGCGGAUAAAGAUCUGAUCGAGGCCCAUCGCGAAGAACUCAAAGAUCACAUCCCCGCUCAUAUCCACAAGAUCUUGGAUCAUAUUGAAGCCAACUGCUCCAGGCGGCCGCCAACCGAGAAGAGCCACCAGCUACCUUGUCAGAUCGUUCUUGAGGAUGCCAUGGCAGGAACAUCCCAACCACCUCUCAACAGAAGCCACCAACUUCCUCGUCAAGUUGCCAUUGAAGCCGCCAUGGAGGAUUUGGAGGAAAAGAGCACCCGUCUCUUAAUAGAACUAGGCCGGGUCGAAAGAGAGAUUAAAAAGAACAAAGCUCAGCUGAAACAUGGUCAAUGAAUGUAUUGGUACUUUUGGUCUAAGGGCGACUUGUACCGUGUCGGCCAUGUAUCCUAUUGCUAUACCGAAUAAUAAAUCGGCUAGACUGGUCAAAGGUUCCAUCCUCAAGGCGAUGUCUCCUUGCACUGGCUAUAUGAAUACGAGUCAAUAGGAGUCGGCCACAACGUCUCAAUACGCCAUAUCGUCGGCUACGCAUCCACCCAUAUGCAAGGAUAAUAUCUCUUCAGAUACCUUCCAUUUAAAGCUCUUGUGAAUUCCUCUCCUUCGAUAGUCUCUAAUAUGUACGCAUUUCCUGGAGCGCAUCGGCCGAUUCUAUACGGCCCUUCCCAAGUAGGCGACCAUUUACCAAAUUUGGGAUCUUUAGACCCUAUCGGCAGCACCAGCUUCCAUACCAAGUCUCCUUGAGAGAAUUGCUUGACCUUGACCUUCUUGUCGUACCACCUAGCCACCCUUUUCUUAUUUUCUUCGACACUGAUCAAGGUCCUUAAUCGCUGACCCGCCAAAUCAUCAAGCUCCCCCUUCAUGAGGAGGGAAUAAUCACCGGCUGUCAACUGAUCUUGAAGUGACGUGCGUCUAGACCCGAUCCUUAAUUCCUAAGGCAAUACUGCCUCGUGACCGUACACCAAUUGAUAAGGAGAUAUUUUAGUAGCUCCAUGGCAGGCCAUCCUGUAGGCCCAUAAAGAUUCAGUCAAGGAUGCGUGCCACAUCUUGGGCUGCUCCUCUAUCUUCCUCUAGAUCAACUUGAUUAUCCCCUUAUUGGAUAACUCGGCCUGACCGUUAGCUUGAGCAUAAUACGGAGAAGAAUUCAACAAUUUAAUUCCCAUAUCGGUGGUGAACUCUUCAAACUCUCCCGAAGUGAACAUUGUCCCUUGAUCAGUUGUGAUGGUUUGAGGGAUACCGAACUGAUAAACAAUGUGGUCUCUCACAAAAUCGAUCAUAGCGGCCGAUGUCACGAUUUUCAGGGGAACUGCCUCCACCCACUUGGUAAAGUAAUCAGUGGCUACUAAUAUGAACUUGUGUCCCUUGCUUGAUGCAAGAUAAAUCUAUCCCAUGAGGUCUAUUCCCUAACCCCUAAACAGCCAUGGAUUAAUUAUUGGGUUCAUAGCUGAGGCUGGUGGAUGUUGCACGUUGCCGAACUUCUGGCAAUCCUAACACCCUUUAUUAUAUUUAAAGCAAUCCUCGAGUAUCGUCGGCCAAUAAUAACCAUUGUUCCUGAUCAUCCACUUAAUUUUGUAAGCUGAUUGAUGAGCCCCGCAUACGCCAUCGUAAAAUUCUCCCAUCAGAACCUUCGCCUCUUCCAUUCCAAGGCACUUGAGCAGAACCCCAUCAAUCGUCUAGUAAAACAAAUCAUCCUCAAGUAACACAUACUUCGUGGCCUGAAAACGUAUUUGCCGAUCCACUUUCUUGGACGGAUCUUUUAAGUAAUCGGCGAUCUCCUUUCGCCAAUCGUCAGCCGCAAGCUCCAGAGUCAUGGCACCUUGAAUCGGCCGAUACCCGGAAGCAUGUUGGGCAAGCCUGUUGGCCUCUUCAUUGUAAUUUCUAGGAAUAUGCUCAAUAACCGCAGACUUGAAUUCUUUUAACAACCGAAGGCAAUAUUCGUAGUAAAUCCUUAAGACAUCAUCUUUGCAUUCAGAUUUCCGCGUCAAUUGAUCGACAAUGAGCAUGGAAUCCCCAAAAAUCUCCACUCCAUCGGCUUUGAUCUCUCUCAAUAAUUGGAUACCUUUUAGGACAGCCCGGUACUCUGCCUGAUUAUUGGUGGCGGACGCCUCUAUCGGCAGAGAGAAAUCAUAACUUGCCCCCCGAGGCGAUAUGAGGAUGAUGCUGAUUCCUGAUUCGGCCCCACAUGAAGAACUAUUGAAGUACAGUGUCCAUGGAGCUGGCUCGACGAUGGCGAUUUCCGAUCCACAAUGCUGGGCCACAAAAUCGGCCAUAACUUGCCCCUUGACAGCUUUGGCCGAUUCGUACCUCAGGUUGAACUCUGAUAGAGCUAGAAUCCAUUUUCCAAUUCUUCCUUUCAAAAUCAGCAAUGACAGCACGUACUUUACCACAUCAUCUUUGCACACGACUACGCACUCCGCUGAUAACAGGUAGUGUCUGAGUUUGGUACAUGAAAAAUACAGACAAAGGCACAGCCGUUCCACUGGGGAAUAUCUAGUCUCAGUGUCUAGGAGCCUUCUACUGACAUAAUAGACUACCCUUUCUUUUCCUUCAAAUUCUUGUACCAGCGCCAAUCCGAUAGCUUGUUCUUCGGCCGACAAGUAUAGUCUGAACGGCUUGUCAGCCUGUGGCAGGACCAACACCGGUGGUGAGAUCAGGUACUGCUUGAUGUCUUCCAACUCUUUUUGUUGUUCUUCUCCCCACACGAAUUCCGGGUCGGGUUUCAAUUUCAACAAAGGGGUGAAGGCUUGAAUACGCCCGGACAAGUUGGAUAUGAACCUUCUAAUAAAGUUAACUUUGUCGAUUAGGGACUGCAGCUCAGUUUUGUUCUGUGGGGCCACAACUUUAUUGAUGGCAGCUAUAAUCUUCCGGUUGACUUCUAUCCCGCGCUCAUGUACCAUGAAUCCUAGAAAUUGUCCAGCUGAAAUGCCGAAGGCACAUUUGUUUGGGUUCAUUUUCAAUCCAUGCUUUCUCAUGCACUCCAACACUUCUCGCAAAUCAGCUAGAUGCUCCUAAUGUCCUUUUGACUUGAUCACGAUGUCAUCAAUGUAAAUUUCCACCAGGACACCAAUAAGCUUGUGGAAAAUAUAAUUCAUAGCCCGUUGAUAUGUAGCUCCGACGUUUUUUAAACCGAAGGUCAUCACCACCCACUCGAACAAACCGAGGUGGCUUGGACACCUGAAAGCCAUCUUUGAAAUAUCUUCUUCGGCCAUUAAUAUUUGAUUAUACCCAGCAUUACUGUCCAAGAAACUGAUGACUUUAUAUCCUGAGGCGGCGUCUAUCAAAACAUCGUCUGUUGGCAUUGGAUACCCAUCCAUCGGCGUAGCCUGAUUAAGAUUCCUGAAGUCAAUGCACACGCGUAGCUUUCCAUUUUUCUUGUAUAUGGGUACAAUAUUAGAAAUCCACUCGGCAUAACGGCACUGCCGAAUAAAUCCUGCUUCAAUCAAUCUUGUAAUGUCGGCCUUUAUAUCAGGUAGGAUUUUAGGGUUGCACCGUCAUGCGCGUUGCUGAUACGGCCGGUAUCCUGGUUUUAUAAGCAACCGGUGCUCGACCAUGGAUCGGUCUAGACCGGGCAUCUCAUGGUAUUCUCAAGCAAAACAAUCUUUAAACUCUUUUAAUAAACUUGUCAAUUUACGCUUGUACUCGGGGUCUAAACUAGCACUAAUAUACGUCGGCCUUGGUUUGCUGCCAUCUCCUAAGUCCACCAUUUCCAACGAAUCGGCCGACGUAAAUCCGUGCCCAAGCUUCCAGUCUUCUCGGAUGAACUGAUCCAUCUAGUCCGAUUCUUCAGAGCCGACUGCUUGGAUCGGCUGUAGACCAAAAUCGGACACCCUUAGGAAAUCGGUGUCCCAGAUUCUGCCAGAUAUGCACCUGACGUGUUCGCAGCUCCACUGUUGCACAUCGGUCACGGCAACACUGUAGGCGGAAUCGGUAGUGACUAUCUCGAUGUUGUCGCUGACCCACUGGACGAGGCACCGGUGCAUUGUAGAUGGGACACAGCAAUUCGCGUGUAUCCAAUCGUGCCCGAGCAACAUGUUGUAGGACCCUUUGCUAUUAAUGAUAAAGAAAGUAGUGGUAGGGUCUUACUGCCGAUGGUGAGGUCGACGCAGAGUGCUCCACGGGCCGGGGACACGUUCCCUUCAAAAUCCUUGAGCAUCAUAUCUGUCUUGGUCAGAUCUUCAUCAUUUUUGCCCAAUUUCCGGAACAUAGCAUACAGCAUGAUAUUGACCGCAGCGCCUCCAUCUACCAGUAGCCUAGUGACUGGCCGUCCGUUGACGUGUCCUUUGAGGAAUAGGGCUUUGAGAUGUUGUCGUUUUUCAUCGUCGGGUUUCUCAAAAGUGGUUGUCAUUGGCUCCAAAGCCAAUUGUGCCAUUUGCUCCUCUAUUGUUGCAUCGUCCCGAUCGGCGGGAGUCAUGAACUCCAUCAGCAAGAUGAACACCAAGCUGACAUCAGCUACCGAUCCCUAAUUGUCGUCGUCCUCAUCGGUUUUUCUUCUAGGGAGCCAGACUCGAGGCCUAUCCUCCUUCUUAUCCAUCGUCUGCCUCUGUUCUUCUUCUUCUUGUUCCCAUUGGCGCAGACGCUGGAUUCUUCAUUUCUGGGAUUUGGUCAAGCCGUCUGGGCACCAUCUGGGGUUCACCGGUUUGACCGGUGGUUUUGCACGCUUCCAGUCUGGUUCUCAUCCUAGGGGGUUUUCAUCAGCCGCUCUGGCAUUGGCCAUCUUCUCCAGUCGAUCAUGUGUGCUGGCCUUGCCCCCCAGUCAAUCACGCUGGUCAACUCUGCCCCCAGCUGAUCACGCACUGAAAUGCGCUUAUCCUCUUGUUCACGCUAGUAUCUGCUGAUCGGCUCUGAUCCUCGAUCCCUGGAUCGUGACCUCUUGAACGGGCGACCGCUAUGAUACUGACCGUUGCACUCAGGGCAAUUAUUGACUGAUGGUAACCUGAGGUUGUUUUCCCAGCAGUGGAUGAAGAAUAGGCACCGCCAGGGAUCUUCGUGUCGGCAUAUCAUCUCUUCAUGGCAUCUAGAACUUUCUUGCUACCGUUGAUACUUGCUGAGUAAGUAUUGGGUGGUGAUAGGUCGACGUGAUCUCUCUGAUCUUUUGCCCUCGUCUUCAAUCCGUCCUUUUCCUUUGAUGUCCUCGACCCUGGCCUGAUUUCUAGGGUCCACGGUGCCGCUUCUCCUGGCCGAUUCUGAUGUUAGCACCUUGGUCUGGGGUACGUUCCUUCCUGCAUCGACCAUGUUAGUAGGGAAAGGAUGCUGAUCAAUCUUCAUUAGCUUUACUAGCUUUGUCGGAACUUCGAACUUGAGUCUACCUUGCUCAAUGGCCGAUUGUAUCUGCUGUCGGAAGAUUUUGCACUCGUUCGUGUCGUGGGACGUGGCAUUGUGCCAUUUGCAAUACUUCAUCUUUUUGAGCUGCUCGGCCGAUGGAAUCGUGUGAUAAGGUGAAAGCUUGAUCUGCCCCUCUUGGAGAAGUAAAUCGAAGAUUUUGUCGGCCUUUGAUGUGUCAAAGCCAAAUGCUUCUAGUUCUUUCUUUCCAAACGCGCACGAUAUCGAUUUUUUCCCUUUUACCCAUUCUGUUAGGCCGAUUUCCGCCUCUUCCUCCGAUUCAGACCCCUCCAAGUAUGCCACUUUUUUUUGAAAAUUCCUCCGUUGGUCGAAAGGGUGCACCUCUUGACUGAACAGUCAGUGGACGAUCUGACUUAAGCUUUCAAACUCCUGGGAGGCGUACUUCUCCUUGAUGUGUGGCAAGAGACCUUGGAAGGCGAUAUCGGCUAGCUGAGCAUCAGUCAGGACUAGGGUGUAGCACUUAUUCCUGACCUCUCUAAAUCUCUGUACGUAACUUGUCACUGGUUUGUCGCUCCUCUGCCUAAGGCUAGUGAGAUCUGAGAGCUUCAUCUCGUGGAUUCCUGCGUAGAAGUACUUAUGGAACUGCUUCUCCAGAUUGGCCCAAGUGACGAUGGAAUUGGGCAGCAGCGUAGUAAAACAUUGGAAGGCCGAUCCGGAUAGGGAUGAUGAGAAUAAUCGCACUCGUAGAGCAUCUUGUGUGGCGGCUUCCCCACACUAGAUAAUGAAUCUAUUCACAUGCUCCACAGUUUAUGUGUCGUCCAGUCCUGAGAACUUGGUGAAUCGGGAACCUUGUACCGAUGGGGAAAUGGCAACAGGUCGUAGGCAGGCGGGUAUGGCUUCUUGUACAUAUAGGUUUGCACCUUUGGUUUCAACCCGAAUUGAUCUUGAAUUACUUCUGCUAUCCUUGUGGUCCAAUCCAUCUGCUGCUGAUGUAUGACCAGUUGAGGAAUCAGUACAUGCUGCUGGACCGGCGGUGUCAUGGCUGGGUGAUGGAUAAGAGUGUGCUGCAGAUUUUGCGGUUGCGUAGUCGGCUGAACAGCCGAUAGUUGGUGGCGCAGGGGAUCUGACGCCCCAUCGUAUAGCAUCAUCGGCGUCGCACCCCUGAGUGUUUCUGCAGUGUCUGCCCCCCGCCAAUUUCUAACGAAGCCGACUGAUAUUGUGGGACCAUCGGUCGGAUGGCCGAUUGGAAUGAUGCUUGGACCAGAGACUUCCCAUAACUGGUUGAUUGAUCCGGCCCGGCUAUCGUCGCUGGUGCCCCCUAAGGCACUGAGUUUGAAGGCAGUGACUGUACGGAGGAAAUUUGAGCAGGCUGAGAUGGCGCUUGCGAUUGGUAGCAUGGCACGCCGUUGUACCCUAUGGGCAUUGAAGUGUUGUAUCCUCCAUGUUGCGUCGGUAUCGGCUGAGGAGCUGACUGAGAUGUGCUUGGUAACGCUGAGGAGCCUCUGAUUGGAGCUACGAUGGGUGGGGGUGUACGCUUUCAAAAGAAGGGCCAUUCUUGGAAGAAAAAGGGCAAGGCUAUCUCCAAGCCAAACCCAGUGCCCAAGGUUAAAGCUGGACCUGCUCCAGACAAAGAGUGCUUUUAUUGUCACGAACUUGGUCACUGGAAGAGAAAUUGCAAGCAGUACCUAGCUUCGUUGAAGAAUGGCAGAAGUAAGAGUACUUCCACCUCAGGUACGCUUGUUAUUAAUGUUAUAGAUAACAUAUUUCUCUCUAAUAUAAUUAUUAAUUCUUCGGUAUUUGAUACCGGAUCGGUUGCUCAUAUUUGCAAUUUGAUGCAGGGACUGAUAAUAAGUAGAAGCGUGGAAAGAGGAGAAGUUGGUUUCCACGUGGGCAAUAAUGCAAGAGUUGCUGCAAUGACCGUGAGGACAAUGCAACUCCACCUCCCGUCAAGAUUUAUUAUGGAGUUGAAUAAUUGUUAUUUUGUUCCUAGUUUAAGUCGAAACAAUAUGUCUCCUUCAUGCUUGAUGAAGGAUGGUUAUUCAUUUUCGAGUGAAAACAAUGGUUGUGUGAUCUCUAAGAAUAAUAUGUUUAUGGCUUUUGCACCCAUUGUGAAUGGAUUGUUUGUUUUAAAUCUUAAUGAUUCACCUAUCUAUAACAUAAGUGCUAAAAGGCCUCGGCCUAAUGAUUUGAGUCCUACCUACAUGUGGCAAUGUCGUUUGGGUCAUAUAAGUGAAAUGCGCAUGAAGAAGCUCCAUUCUGAUGGACUUUUAACUUUGUUUGAUUUUAAGUCAUACGAGACAUGUGAAGCUUGCUUGCUAGGUAAGAUGACCAAGGCAAAUUUCACAGGUUUUCCUGAGAGAGCACUAGAUUUGUUGGAACUCAUACAUACCAAUGUAUGCUGACCAAUGAGCACGACAGCUAGAGGAGGGUUCCAAUACUUCAUAACUUUUACUGAUGAUUUUAGUAGAUAUGGCUAUGUCUACUUGAUGAGGCAUAAGUCUGAAACCUUUGAAAAGUUCAAGGAAUUUCAAAAUGAAGUUGAAAAUCAGUGUGGCAAGAAAAUUAAGGCCUUACGAUCCGAUCGCGGAGGUGAGUAUUUAAGCCACGAGUUUAGCAAUCAUCUGAAGAGUUGUGGAAUUGUUCCACAGCUUACGCCGCCUAGAACACCUCAGAGAAACGGUGUAUCUGAGCGACAUAAUCGAACCUUGUUGGACAUGGUUCAAUCAAUGAUGAGCUAGUCAGACCUACCGUUAUCAUUUUGGGGAUACACUCUAGAAACAACAGCUUUCACACUUAAUAGGGUACCGUCUAAAUCCGUAGUUAAGACACCAUAUGAGAUGUUGACUAGAAAGACUCCCAGUUUGUCUUUUCAAAAGAUUUGGGGAUGUGAAGUGUUUGUCAAGCGACUUUUGUCCGUACGCUCAAAUUUCUAAGCCCUCAGAUAUGAAACAAACGGUUGAGAUCAUCCUCUCUUCCUCCUUUUGUCUUCUAACUUGGGCAUUCUUAUCCACUCGUUAGCGUGGCCCGUCCUCCCUCCUCCUUCUCCCUUCGUCGUUCGUUCCUGUUGUCAAGCUCACCUUCAGCAGCAUUCGUGUUAUGAAGCCUCUACGGCCAGUGUUGGCCUACCCAUCUCCGACUGCUAGAUCCACCACCUCUGUCUCAACCACCGCCACACCAACUCAUUGUUGCUGCUCGCCCCCACCUCUCCACGGCCCAAUCGAGGGGUCCACUGCUACCUCGGUGGGUGGCUACGCCGUCGCCUCAACCGGCGUCUCUAUCGCCACCACCGCCUACUAUCUUUCUAUCCCGAAGCUUUGUCUUGGUGCGUUGGAGAUAGGUAAGACCCAUCCCCGAACCCCGAACUCUAUUGGCAUAGUUUAGCUUUUCCUGAAGGUAAACUUUGCCAUAAGUUUUUUGAGAAAAGAUAGAGAAAAUCCUAAAAAAAUUUGGGGCUUGCUGGGCCGGUGCGCGAGAGGUGGGCCGCGGGCUUGUCAAGCCAAGCGCAACGCCUGGGCCAUCUUGGCUGGGACCCACCCGCCAGCCAGACUUCGCCAUCCCUCUCCUCUCCCCGCCUAUAUAACGGCCGUGCCCUCCACCUGUUGCCCGGAACGGAAGCCAAAACCACCAGAGAGCAGAGAGGCGAGACCGCGAGCGCCACCGCUAGCCGCGCAGCAGCACCGAGAGCCCGGUGAGGGAGGGACACAUCACGCCGGCGACCCGAUGGCGACCGGGAGUGGUGUCCGCGUCGUCAACACGGAGGGGCGGGACGAGGGCGACGCCUACNNNNNNNNNNNNNNNNNNNNNNNNNNNNNNNNNNNNNNNNNNNNNNNNNNNNNNNNNNNNNNNNNNNNNNNNNNNNNNNNNNNNNNNNNNNNNNNNNNNNCGCCGCCGACGACGACGCCGACGACGAUACCGACGCCGACGCCGACGACGACACCGACGCCGACGCCGACGACGACACCGACGCCGCCGACGACGACGCCGACGCCGACGACGACACGACGCCGCGACGACGACGCCGACGCCGACGCCGCCGCCGCCGAUGCCGCGCCUGGGGGCCAGCCGCACGAGGACGAGGACGGAGACGCGACCCCUCCUCCUCCCUCGCUUCCUCGCCACACCGUCGAUCACCGCAGGCCGGGCCCGGCUUCUUGGAGCCCCUUCUUCUCGCGGGUGCGGGCGGCGCUCCUCAUCAUGGGCACAGCCGCCGCCGCAGCCGCCGCGCGCGACCUGUUCCCUUCCAUGGUCCAGGUCCCGCCACUGGACUCCCGCCCCAUCAGCGCCGUACCAGGUGUCUAUUCUUCUUUUCCUUUUUCUUGUUUUCUUGUUUAUGUCCUUAAUAGUCCCAACUUCUUGAUUAUGAUGACUGAAGCAUGAUCGAAAUAGAUCAGCACAUAAUCCUAUGCUCUGAUUAAACCAAACAUUCUUGAUUGCGUUGGCAAUGAAUUACAAUCUGGACCCUUGUUGCAUAAAAAAAUAUACUGUUGCUCCAAAUCUUGUUUUUAAAGAUUAGCAUAAACUUCUUUUGAUGCUCUAUAUUACUUAUCAUCAUGUGUUAUGACAAUUGUAUUUGUAUCUUUCCGUACUUUGGUUACUGAAUCUUUUAAACUGAACUCAGGGGUUUUACCAAACCUGCUUGAGCACCAGUUGGUGUGGUCCAACAUCCCCCGUGGCGGAACCUCCAUUGUACUAUCCCAUGCUCCGGGUAUGACUACAGAAGAUGAACUCAAUUUCCGACUUUCUUCUGAUAAUCUAGAAAAGUAAAUAAGCUUAUAAUAAUGUACAGUUACCGCUUGUUGACAUUGCCAAAUAAUCUGUAUCUCUCAACAUAUUUUGUUGUUACAGUCUGUGUUAUGUGAGAUUGCAAAAAUACAACCUGAAAAGUAGUCACUUGACACAAUACUGGUGCCUGUUGCCCAAAGCCCUCUUUGAAUUUUCAUCUACUCACUGUUCUUUAUUCUGCUAAUGAACACUUGUCUGGUGAAAAAUAUUUGUUCAUAGUUGCUGCAAUCCCUGAUUCUGUGUAUGCAUUAUUCUCUAUUUGGUGCUGAGUUCAAUUGAGUGGCAUUUAUUAUUUCAGAUCAACUUUCACCUGGUAGGUGGUUAACACAUUCUGUGGCCCUAGUGUUAAUGAAAUGCAUUAGAGUAUUUUCUGGACAUUUAUGUAUUUGUUGUUCCUUGGAAGGACUGUUUUCACCAUCCAUAGAGUUGCUGCUAGACAAAUCUUGUUUUUCUAGAUUAGCAUAAACCUUGCUUUGAUGCUCUGUAUUACUUAUCAUGAUGUGUUAUGACUGUUGUAUUUGUAUCUUUUCGUACUUUGGUUACUGAAUAUUUUAAACUGAACUCAGGGGUUGUAGCAAACCUGCUUGAGCACCAGUUGGUGUGGUCCAACAUCCCCCGUGGCGGGACCUCCGUCGCACUAUCUCAGGAUCCAGGUAUGAUUACCAAAAGAUGAAAUCAAUUUGCAACUUUGUUCUGACAAUCUAGAAAAGGAGAUAAGCUUAUAAUAUUGUACAGUUACUGUUUGUUGACAUCUUGCCAAAUAAUCUGUAUAUCUCAACAUAUUGUGCUGUUACAGUCUGUUUAUGCGAGAUUGCAGAAAUGCAAACUGAAAAGUAGUCACUUGACACAAUACUAGUGCCUGUUGCUCAGAGUCCUCUUUGAAUUUUCAUCUACGCAUUGUUCUUUAUUCUGCUAAUGAACACUAAUCUGGUGAAAAAUAUUUGUUCAUUUUGCCGCUAUCCCUGAUUCUGUGUAUGCAUUAUUCUCUAUUUGGCUCUGAGUUCAGUUUAAUGACAUUUAUUAUUUGGUCUUACUUGACAGCCACUGUGCAUUUCUGUUGAGAUCUGUUAGUUUGUUGUCCUUAUGAUCUGAUAAAUUUAUGUGUCAAACAGAAAUUCAUGUCAGUCCAGAGGCCUUGCCUGUAGAUCAGAUUUCUCCUGGUAAGUGGUUAACACAUUCUGCGGCCAUAGUGCGGCAAAGAACUGGAUCAGAUUAUUUCCUGGAUAUUUAUGUAUUUGUUGUUCCCUUGGAAGCAGGACUUUCUGCCCCUCCCAGUCUCAUCAUGGAUGAUCCGGUGCCACGGGCUAUGCAUCAUACUCGUAGAGGAACUUCAAUUGCAGUGCUAAGUGACAUCCAACAAUCAGGUAACCUUGGCAUAUAAAGGCAUUGCCAUAUGCAUGCCUCCUAGUAAACACUGGAGGCCUUUUGGUUGACAAAAAGAAACUGUCACUUACGUUUGCCAUAAUAAGCAGGUACACUGGCAUCGGAGCCUGGGCCUGCAUCAGCAACUGUAGGACCUUGGUCAGCCUCUUGGGCGCAAGGCACUAUCUACUUCCUCAACUUCAUGAUAGUCAUGGUACUUUUUUCAGCAGUGGUGGCUAUGUUACAGGAGCCUUGAGAGAAUUGGAUCCUUUGGUCCUCAUGGCUUAGAGGAAGAUUCAUGUUCCUGUGGUAGUUACUGAAACCAGGGAUAACACUAUACUCUGUGGCAGCAUAUGCAGAAUCCUCUAGAUUUUCUCUGCCUGCUUAGCUUCUGAGGACAAGUCAUCUUGUGUGGUCCUUUGAAUGGUGAUUGAUGGUGGAGAUUUGGAUUUGUGCAGUACCUGCUAGUAGGAUGAUGUGCUGCAUGUGGAAUGGAUAUUGUGAAGUACACUUGGCGCCUUUUGUGGUUUUGUCUGAAAAUGCUGAUGCUUCUGCUUUGAGUCCUAAAGUUCAGUUGUUUUGAUAUUGCCUUUAUUUUGGGUGUGUCCAGAUGAAAUUAAGAAGAGAGGGGAACAUAGUUGAGUAACAGUCCUGGAAUAUGCAGUGUUAUAAAGGAAAAUACAGAAUAGUACAAGAUCUUGGGACAAAAGCAACUGUCUGACAACCUAAGGGUUCAAGUGAAUUGAUGAUACUUUCAUGCAUAUCUGAAAUCUGUUGAAUUGAAUAAGUAAUACAGUAUGGAUUCUUGAUAAAUCAAUCACAGGCGUCAUUGCUUCAUUUUAUUUGAAGGUGCGCUGGGGGGAUGAAACCCCCUCCUGUAUUCAAUUAAACCACAGACUUCUGGCUACUGAAUUCAUCCUGUUGGCUUCGCAGCCUCUGCGCCAUGGGACAGGCCCGUGUUGCUUUGUAUGAUGAUUGAUGGUCAACGUUUGGAUUUGUGCAGCACCUGCUAGUAGGAUGAUGUGCUGUAUGUGGAAUGGAUAUAGCGAAGUACACUUGACGCCUUUUGUGGUUUUGUCUAAAAAAUGCUGGAGCUCCACUUUGAAUCCUAAAGUUGAGUUGUUUCAAGAUUUCCUUUAUUUUGGGUGUCUUCAGAUCAAAUAGAGGGAGAAAAUAGUUGAGCUACAGUGCUGGAAGAUGCACAGCCGUAUAAAGGAAAAUACAGAGUAUUACAAAAUCUGGGGACAACAGCCACUGUCUGCCAACCGAGUUCAGGUGAAUCUACAAGAAAUGUGGUGCGGGUACUUGAUCUAUCCAUCGCAGGCAGCAUUCCUUCCUGUUUGCAUUCAGUUGUAGACUACAUCUGCCCCUUAGGUAGAUUUCUGGCUACUGAAUUCCUCUAGUUCUCCUUCCAGCCUCACUAUGCCAUCGGAUGGGCCCAUGUUGCAUGCAAGCUUCUGCUAGGUGACAGUGACACUCCCCCACGGCCACGUCUCCUCUCUGGUGCAGUGUUUUCCGUUGAGAUCUUAGUGCUGUUCUAGAUUAUUUGUCAUUUGCAUCAGUGUUUUUUAAGUGCAGCCACACCAAUAUUUUCUGCGCUUGCAAACUUCUCAUUAUACUUUCUCCCUAUGCACUAUUCUAUACUCUGCCAGCGUACUCUGUCGUAGUAAACACUUGAGUUACAUGCUGAUCAUAUGUCUGUUGCAGAUGUUGUCCCUGAUUGGCUGAGUCAGUAUCCACACCGAUGGAGGAGGUUCCACCAGCCUCUGUUCUAGCCCGGUCAGACAUUCCAGUGCCUGGUCCUCAAUUAUCUGAAGGUUAAGUGGUUAAUGACACAUUUUUCCUGUUGUGCUAGAGUAAACCAGCACGUGCCUUUGUUUGACUUACUAAUUUCAUUUUUAUGUCUUUGUUGUUCUAUCUUGAACUCCAAGGACCGUCGGGCUUGGGCUUUGGUCAAUCAGUCAGAGUACUACAGAGACUCAGCCACUCAGGUACAAUUAGCAUGAAAAAGCAUUUGGAUCCAGUCACUCUGGUAAGGACUAAGAAGUCCUCAAUACAGCUAGUUUGCUUCUCUGUGUUUGUUGAGUUGGUUUUUCAUCCUAACCAAUGAUCUGAUAAAAUAAAAUAGUUCAGCAGAUUGUGCAAGCUUGAGUCCCCACUCCCCAACAUGAUAUACCAUCAUUUAUCUCUUUAUGGUUACCUUUCUGAAAUAGAGAUCGAGGUCACUCCAGAAUACUCAUCUACUUCUGAAAUGUCUGAAGGUAGGUGUCCAACAUAUUUCUACUGCUCCAGGGUUUCAGUGAACCAGCAGAACUCUUGGGCAUGAUCUUUUUGUCUUUGUUGUUACCACGGAAACCGAGUUCUACUUUGAUUGAAUCUUGCAAUGCUUGAUUCAUCUCUGCUGCACUCAGUCAGGUCUGAUACUUUGCUAGAUUUGUGUCCUUAGACUCUUAAGCAAAAUCUUGUUGUAGUCUUUCUGAAGCAAAAUUGAUUCCUGUUUUGCAGUCUACUUAGACUCUUAGACCGCUGUUAGUUGAAACUGACGAAUCAUACUGGCACCUAGGUGGUAUCUUGUAUCACAAGUAGUGUUUGCCUUGGCUUGGUGCAGCAUUGUUUCUUGAGUCAGUGUCCAUGCAGAUGAUAGACGAGGUUGCACCAGCCACUCCGCUGUCCCAGUCAGGAAUUCCAAUGGAAUGCCUGGUCCUGGUCCAGGACUUUCUAAGGGUUAAAUGUUAACAACACCAUGUCCAAAUACUAACACUGCUUUUGUGCCUUUAUCCUUGCCAUGGAAACAGGGUUUGCUUCACUUUCUAUCCUAAACAAUCACAUUCCUUGGGCUUGACUUUGCAUAAUUAGCCAUGGUACAACAAAUAGUGUUAGGUAAUUAGCACCUAAAAAACAUUUAGGUUCAGUCUGAUUACUCUGUACAUACGUUAUAUUGGUGGUCUUACCUGGUAGUGCAUAUUGUGCAAGCUCGAGUACUGUACACAAUUCAGCAAACCAGCACAACUUGUUUGGCCAUCAAUUUAAUUUGUCUCUUUGGUCUUAACAUAGAAAUAGAAUUCUCUGCUGAGUGUCACCGUGCACGGCACCAGGCACUAGUGCCACCAGAACAGCCAACGUACACCGUUGUCCUCAAAUUUGUUCAGGGGUGUCACAUGCGUCCUACACUUUUAAAUUUGCAGAUUAUGUCGCUCAAGUUCCAAACAUCAGUAAUUAGCAUAUGCUUGCCUUUACCAUGCCAUUAAGUUGUUACACUCGCUUUCCUUUAGUCACUUGGUCUAUUUUGCAAAUUUUUACCGCUUUCGAUUGUGUUGUCAUCAGUCAUAAAAAAUAGGGAUAUUACUGAAAGUAGUUCCAUUAGGCUAUUGUCUUGUGAUUUUGGUGGUUGAGUGGUUUUGUAAUCACUAGGACUAAUAUGUUUGUAAAGUAUAUGUUUUGGAAGGGUUUCCUAGCUCUCAAGAUGAAAUACAAGUGAAGCAAGCAACCAUGGCGCAAAGAAUGGAGCAAACCAAGCAAAGAUGUACACUGGAGUGUUUGGUCGGUCACUGUGACUGAAAAAUAGUAUGUGGGACUGAAAUAGUUGAAGAUACACUAAAGAUAUACAUGUGGGACUGAAAAAUAGUAUUACAGAAGGGCGUAUACUCUGAUGUUUCAAGUGGGAAGUUAUGCAGAAAAGAAGAUUCUACAUGCCAGAUGAUCCAGCGUUGGUAAAAAAAAAAUAUAUAAACUACACGGCAUUGUAUUCACUACAUUACUGACGACUCAGACUAUCUGUAUAAUCGAUUUGAAUAGAAUGAAAUUAAUUCAAAGAGCAAAAAAAAAAUACCGAAAUUCAAGUAAGGAUUUUGGGAUUCGAUAUUUCGGGGGACAACUCCGAUUUGAAUUUUUGGUACUCAACCUGUAUCCGGAUAGGAUAAAUAGACGACCCCAAGGUUGAAACUGACGAAUGAGGAUUAGCUCAUGGCUUUGAGUGUGAACUCAACUUGAGAUAAUGAGCUCUGACUCAGCGGGAUUCUAAAUUGGAGAUGACGUGGGAAAUUGAUAAGGACUCGACGUUUAACAUUGAAGGGAAUUUGUAUUGACAAGUUAUAUAGGGAUAACGGCUUAAAUUCUGAGCUAGGUUUAAAUUUAAACCCGCACACAAUUAAUAUCCAAGAAGACUUGAACAAACCCAGAGAAACCCAAAACAAAAACAAUCAACACCUUACCUUAUUAUUAGCUAGCAAGAUUCACAUGUAAAUAAUUAGAAUAAAGUUUUAAAUGAAUAGAAAUAUCCAUAGUCCAUUCCUUUGCUAUCUACUCUACCCAUUUAAAUACAGGUGCUCUUUGCUCGGUAGCAACCCGCGGGCAUGUUUGCCUAUUAUGAAUAAAAUAUAUGUUCCUUAAUAAUGUAUUAUUUUAUCUAUUUAUUUUGUUUAUUUAUUUAUUCUAUCACACCUGUAAUAUUUUUCUCACACGUGUAGAGAAAUGCUUCUGGUAUUUUUUCUCACACAUGUAGAGAAAUGCUUAUGGUAUUUUUCUCCCCAAAUAGUACGACCAUAAAGAUACUUAGACUUUUUUAAAAUCAUUUAGGUGAAAACCUUGCAUGUAGGGAACUUUUUUUUAUUUUUAACCCUUUUUUUUCUUUAUUUUUAAAAAUAACCUCAGCUGGGUUUUAUUUGCGGGGCUGACCCUUUUGGCCGCGCCAGACCGCCUGGCGCGGCAGGAAGAUGCUGCCGCGCCACAUGCACUGGCGCGGCAGCCCCCUGCCACGCUGGCGCGGCGAGUCGCGUCGCCAGGCGGGCGCUGACGUGGGCGUGCGUUCGCCGCGCCAGCCCGCCUGGCGCGGCAGGGCCAACACUUAGGCCGCGCGCCGGUCCCUUCCUCCUCCCUCCCUCCUUUCUUCCUCCUCCAGAAACACCACACAGCAGCACCUUGCAGCGCCGGCCCCCGCCACCCCACCCCCAAAUCCACCAAAAAUCCGGCGUUUUUGGUGGGGGAAAGUAGUGGGAAUCGAUCCCUACUUCGUGUGGAAGGUAUUCCCCUACUUAUUCUCGUGUUUUACCGUUGCAUUUGGUAGAUCGGAGGAUGUUUAGGUGACUUAGGGUUAGGUUAGUGAUUUGAAAUUUCAAUGAAAUGCAAUGGUGUUUUGUGUUAGAUGAUACGUAGUUCAUACGCAAUUGAGUCUCUGCCCGCGAUAUUGACGUGUAGAACUCGUUGAAUGCUUCGAUUAAGGUAUAUAUUCAUCCAAUUGUGUGGUUUACAUGACAUGUAUUUUUUUUAUAUGUUCAAUUAAUUAGUCUCAUUUCUGUUUCAGUGUUUGUAUUUUGUAGAUCGAUUGUUUACAUUUUAUCAAAAUGAUGUAUAUAGCUAGUAUGGAUUACGUGUGUAAAGUUUAUUUCUAUAUUAAAUUUGUUGCACUUGAUUUCCAGGUGAGAUGGCGUCGUUUGGUUGUGAAUACAAACGGUGUAGGUGGUAUGUGCGUUAUGUCGGGGAGUCCAAUGUUGCUGGUCCCGUACCUCCUGCUCUUCCGGUACCACUUUGUAGAUGUGGCGCGCAAGCAGAGGUGAAACAAUCAAGGCAUCCAAAGACAGCCGGAAGAGCCUUCUAUGUAUGCAAAUGGACUUUUGAUCCAUUGCCUGCCGCACCUUGCGAUUUCUUUCAGUGGAUCGAUGGACCCGACAAAUAUGAUCCUAGGAUCCGCCUAUUCCCAUAUCAUAGCACAGAGCUUAAACCAUACCAUUAGUUUAGGCGUUGGGUUCCUCCUCCACCAAACCCACCUAGGAUGACCGAUGAGGAGAAGCAGGAGGCUGCUUGUAGGCGUGUGAGGGAUCCUCCCAUGUGCAAGUGUGGUGUUCCUGCUAAGCUUAUGCGUCCUAACUUAGGGGAUCCACCUAAGUUUACUCCAUUCUUUCGAUGCUCCCUAAAGACUCAUGUAAGUAUAUUACGAGAAUAUUAGUAUGUCGUUUAGCUAGCAGUUAUAAUUUUGCAGUAUAUUGUUCAUACUUUAAUUUGAUGUUAUUGCUUGGAAGUUGGAGUAGCGUUUUGUAGUUACUUUACAUAUGAGUAGUUCACGUCGUGGGUUUUUUGCAGGAUGGGUGGCCGUUGUGUGAUUUCAAUGAGUAUAUAUACGGCCCAAUGGCAAUGUGGCCAACAGAGGAGGAAGUGCGGGAGUUUGAAAGUGAAAAUGCACCGUGGCCAUGUGUGUCCUCUCCUAGUGAUAGAUGCAAGUGUGGUAUAUUGGCAACAGAAGGUGUGGUGCCUUCUGAACUUGGAUAUGGUUCGUUCUGUGGAAAUGCACAUGGCGAUUACUGGGUUAGUAACUACUCGUCUCCUAUGUUUUAUGAAGGUUGUAACUUGAUUCAAAUUUGUAAGAAUAUUUAAUUGUUGUUGCAGGAGGGAAGGACAUGUGAUUGGGAAGAUUUUUGUGGUCGAUAUGAUUUGUUAUUAAAGUUGGGAAAUACAUCGGAACCAUGGAAGUCAAGGAAACAACAAGAAAUUAAAGAAAAGAUUAGGAAGAAGUAUGAUGUGCCUAUUCCUGACGACGACUUGCUUUGGGGAAAAAUAUAUCAAGAUAUGGUGCAUGAGACUUGAGUGGAACCUAAAGGACUUUAUGCAAGGGAAACUAUUAUUAAGUAUUGGAGGCAAAAUAGAUCCAAGUAUCCACGACCUCUAACUGAAAAUGAGAAGAGAGAAAAUAGGAGGAAGUUGCAGGAGGAGAGGGAGUUGGAGAAACAAAGGUUGAUGGAGGAAAGAGAUCGCUUAGGUUAUGUGGUUGAUCCGAAUGUGAAAUACCCUGAGGGUUCAUGGGAACAAUAUUUGCAGCAAGUUAGGGCAAGAAAAAGAAGGCUUGAAAUGGAAGAGUUACAACAAAAAGCGGAAGAGGCACAGAUGGAGACGAUGAAGGCUCUUGUUGCCGAUUUACCUGUUGGUAAGGUUAAUGUCGAUAAGAAAGGCAAGGGAGUUGUUGUUGCCGGAGAUGAUGAUGAUGAUGAUGAUGACGACGAGUUACUAUAUGAAGGUGACUCGGACUAGAUGAACGUGUUGAUGUAGCUGGAUCAUGUUUCUCUGUAGCUGUGAAAACUAUGUAGAACAUUAUGUUUAUGUUUAUUCUGGAAACUACAAUUAGUUGUCAAAAAUUAUUUUCAUUUCCGAGAGAACUAUGUUCAAACGCAUCAAAGUUUCCAAAGGUAGACCUGAAUGGAAACAAAGGCAAACCGAUGAAACAUCCCGACUAGACAACGACGUAGUGAACUAUGCGAGAGAGGCCAGGCCGUGCACAGGCCGUGCACAGACCAGCGUCCAAUUUCCACGCGUUUCCUUGGGUCGCUUGUAGGAAACCGGACGGUGGAUUCCUUGGUUCCUUUUUAUUUCAUCUUUUUUCUGUUUCUCACAUACAGCACUUCUCAGGCAGCUGAUCUGAUUUGCUACCUACUCCUAGUAUUCUGUACUACUAGCUGAUCGAGUGCGUAGAGAGUGAGGUAGUGGAGUGAGAAUCACUGUAAACGUGUCGAACGUUUCGUAACCCCCUAAUUUUCAACUUUGCAAAUUAAUAAAAUUUGUUAGAAUUUACAAGAAUUUAAUUACUUUUACUUAAAGAUUUAAGGAAUUUCUAAGGUUUUAUUUAAUUUCUUGGGCACUUAAAUCUUUUCUGAAAUGAAUCAUAGGAGUUAAUCAGGCGCAUUGAUUUUGGUCGUUUGAAUUCAAAUUAGUAUUUGAAUUGAUGUUUGAAUCCUUUUCAACCAAUAGGAAAAUCUUUUCAGUAGGGUUGGCCUUGCCGCGCCAGGCGGCCUGGCGCGGCAGGGGUGAGCUGCCGCGCCAGCUGCAACCUACUUUCAGUGGGUUUCGGGGCGGUGGCCGGCCUUGCCACGCCAGGCCGCCUGGCGCGGUAGGGGUGAGCUGCCGCGCCACCUGGAACCUACUUUCAGUAGGUUUCGCCGGGUGGGAGGCCGGCCUUGCCGCGCCAGGCGGCCUGGCGCGGCAGGGGUGAGCUGCCGCGCCAGCUGCAACCCACUUUCAGUAGGUUUCGGGGCGGUGGCCGGCCUUGCCGCGCCAGGCGGCUUGGCGCGGCAGGGGUGAGCUGCCGCGCCAAAUGCAACCCAAUUUCAGUAGGUUUCGCCAGGGGGGGGUGGCGCUCUUGCCGCGCCAGGCGGCCUGGCGCGGCAGGGGUGAGCUGCCGCGCCAAAUGCAACCCAAUUUCAGUAGGUUUCGCCGGGGGGUGGUGGCGGCAAGGGUGCACGGCCGAGCCAAUUUUAGUAAACUUUCAUUAGGUUUCGGCCCAGGGGGGUGGGGCAUCAGGAGCGCGCUGCACAAUCCGAAACGUAUUUUUGUGCUAAACAUUUACGGAAAAAUACACGAAAUACAAGUACAUCAUGGAGCAAACAUAUAACAUUGUACGGACAUAAAAAAUGUAACAACCAACUUAGUCUUUUACAAACGUGACAUGAAUAAACCUAACAUGCUUAGUCUUUUACCAACUUAGUCUUUUACAAACGUGACAUGAAUAAACGUGACAUGGAAUAAUUGGGCACAUGAUAGGUUCAGUGGCGUGACCGCCGCUCAUCCGGAGGGCUAAAAGGAUCUCUUGGGCGACGCUCCCUCCUUGGAUGCGUGGGCAGCACAUUGGCGCUGCCAACAUCGGUGUGGUCCCGGGAACGACGACGUCGGCGUGGCAACCGGGUAUGAGUUGCAGGUUUCUAUUGAAUAAUUGGGCACAAAUCAUAAAAUUUGUAUGACACUUCGGGAGCGAACAUUAAAAUGUAUAAUUGAAAUUGGAGGAACUUCUGAAUAUACCUGGCUGGACUCUCCCUGCGUCUGAGUCACAGGUGGAGCAUCGUGAGAAAUCUCGAGUUCCUCACCAUACGUAGGGUCAUCAUCCUCAGACUGCUCACCUUCCGAGUCCUCGCUUUCCUGAGGGGAUGCGCGUUCCUUACCUCGCGAUCUCCUGCUAGGACCUGCCGCAGUGGACGGUGUUGCAGCCCUGGGGGUAGUCACCAAUGCAGUCCGACGUGAUCCUGAAGAAGUACCCUGGACAUUGGCCCCGUCGUGCGCAUCUGAGGAUGUCAUGCAGUUCAUCCUCUGCGCCAUUCGCCUGCAACUUUUACGAACCCUCUGCCAUAUAUUCACGACUAUGUUAUUGAUGGUUACAAAGAUAGUACGAGUAUAAGUGAAAAUUUGUUUGGGCUUCUACCUCUGCAAAAGCACGAAGCAGACUAUCACCUUCCCCAACAGCGUGCUCCAUAAUCACGCCCGCCUCGUUAGAGAGCCUUGCAAGCUGCUGUCCCUGCACGCAGUAGUUUUCAUUCCAUAAGUGAUCAAUGUGACGAUACUAUAAUUACAAACCGAAAGCUUACCAUGUAGUCGUGGAGAGGUGCACGCUCAGGCUGUGUCCCAUGGCAUGUCACGGUGUCGUACGCGUCAGCUAUGUCAGCGUCAUCAUCAGACGGUGCAUCCUCAAUGGGCACAUUAGUCCAAGAUGGUUUCACUUUGGUUCUCGUCGAAGUACAGUACCGUCUUAUGUACUCAUUGUUGGGUCGCCAGUACGGUCCACCUUUAGGAUCGCAUCCUUCCUUGUUCUGCCACAGGUGGAUGUACCGGUCAUGCUUCACCCUCCAAUCAUUUUCCUUGUACCGCUUUCUGCGGUCGAUACUGCAUCAGAAAUUAGUGAAGUAUUAGUAUAACACGUUAAUUGCGUUAAUUGAAUACCCUCCAAUAGUUAUUUAUUCCUGCGUACCUGUGCAGCUGCUGCGAAGUCGAUAAUUCCAAAGGAGGGCACGGUUGCAUCCUCCCAAACUGCCGCAUCACCCUAUGCGGCAUAUGAAACUCUACCACGUAGUACAGUAUCAUUGGGGUCGUGCACCUCCACAGCUCUCUGUCUCUGUAGCACGUCGGUGAAAAGACGAUCUCGCUAAGCUGCUGACGGUCAUACGGUUUCCAUUCCACCUUCAAAAAUUUUCACGCAAUACUUAUUUCAUCUACCAUUAUACGCAAGUUAGCUUAAAAAACUAUUAUGGUUACCAAAUUACCUGGUACUGCGUGAGAACAUCAAACUCGUUCGUGUAGGCCCUGUAGCGCCUAUCCGGAUUGCCACGAACGGGCCGCACAUGCUUCCACACGUGAUAGAAUGUGGGAAGAGCGUCGUCUCGAUGCCAUGGCUGAAAUUGCAAGUAAGUCCAAUUGGUCACAUGAUACAAUAGUUUUUCGAACAUUAACGUAGAAAAAGGAAUUAGCCGUUGUGACUUACAUCGACACGGAGGCGGGAAGGUCGACCCACGGGCAUUCGCUCCCAAAUCCAUAUCUGGAGCAUAUAAGUGCACCCUCCAACAUUAGAAUCUCUCGCUGUGCGCCGGCAAGCCUCACAUAACUGUCUGUACAGCCAGGCAAGAGCCGCUGAGCCCCAACUGUAAGUGGCUAUGUUUUCCCAAACUUGACCUAGAAUGGGAAGAACCAUCCACGAUACUGUGUUCCCAGCUGCAUCUGGAAGGAGGAAUGUACUGACAAAGUGCCAUAGCCACACUCGAGCAAAGCGCUGCACGACCUCGUCAUUUGCUCCCGGAGGACACACCUCGAAGUGCUCCCUCAACCAUGCCGAGCUAACACCGGACGUCUUCUUCGAGCUAUCUCCGCCCUCUGGCUCUGGCGACCUAAUCCCGAUAUGCAUCUCGACCAUAUCACGCCAAUUCUCAUUCUGGAUAAUACCUGUCACUGGCAGCCCAUGCAGUGGAAGGCCGAGUAUCAUAGCCGCAUCCUGCAUUGUGAUAGUCAUUUCUCCGAACGGCAUGUGGAACGUGUGAGUCUCCGGACGCCACCUAUCGACCAUAGCGGUCAACAGUGGUCCGUCCAUUGGAGGGAGACCCCCCACGACCUGAACAGCGAUAUCCAAGAAACCUGCUCUCUGCAGGUACUGGGCGUACCGCUCAUCCCACCUAAGUGGUGAGUGCACCCUAGCCCUCAGUGGUGUCAAAUUCUGCAAAAUAUUAUAAGAACAUUUCAGUAUGAGAAGUCAAUCCAAUUGUGAAUAACGGGCUUCUAAAGUGGUAAGUAACACAAAUAUGAUACAAAUGACAUUUGUAGUAUGAAAUUGUUUACACUCUACACAAGCGAAUAGUAACGAUAGGCACAUCCUUAAUUAAUUUAUAAGAACAUUUCAUACGAAAAUCUUGCAAUUCUCAUCCUAAGGUAUGCAUUCAUCAGCAAAAAUUAGCAACCAUUGUUAUACCUCAUUCAUGUCCGCGAGGUGGUGGGCACGGUAGUGCAAGUCGUAAGCAGCCUCAAGAAGAGGGUACCCCGGGGCCGCCAUCCUAAAGAAACAACAUAAAUGAUCGUUAGUAAAAAGCUUCAUUACAUGAUAAGUACGGAAAAUAUGAUAAUGUACUACUAUAAAAAAGAUAAAAUAAUAGCCACGCAUAAUACAAGCAAUGCGCAUACCCAAUUGUUCGAAGUACGCGGCCUAUUACUGCUCGGUCUAGAUUUAGUGCCUUUUGAUUUUCUACUGUGGCAUGUGCAAUUCCUGAUGAUCUUGUGGCACUUGGAGCAACGAUUUUCCGACUUGUCAAUAUCAAAAUCACCAGUAUCAUAAUCUGCAGAAAGCCUCCCUUCCGACACGUCCAUCUCGCCUGUGAAAUGCUUCUUCUGCCGCUUUCCUACUUUAUUUCUCAUUAAACUGGGGUUAGGCACGUACCCUACCCCUUCAUAUGCCGGCCAUUGUGACGGAUCUAGGUAAGGUUGAAAGCUUGAUUCCCAAAUUUUGAUGGUGUGCUCCCUAGAGUACAACGGUGACAUGUACAUGGGGCUUUCAAAGUUAAGACCUCUUGCCUUGCAAGCUGUAAUGAAGUGUGAACAUGGAAGGUGCAACAAUUGAGGAACAUUGCAGGUGCACGAAACUUCGUGCAGAUCCACUCUAUAGUGUCGGCCUCCAUGACUCUCACCCCCAAUGUUAGUCGUACCGUAACUUCUUAUAGAAUACACCAUCCUUUCUGGCCCGUACGGUUCUGCUAAGUGGUGCACGGAUCUAAGCUCAGCCUCUGAUAAAUAAUUAUCUGCAACUUGCCCAAUUCUAUAGCCUUGAUCUAACAUUUCACGCGCCUUUCCCCAUCGGUUCACAAAGUAGGCGUUGCAUUUUUCGAAUGUGUAUUCAAUAAUUCCAGCAACGGGCCUACUUCGGAUGCCUUUGAAAACUCCGUUGAGUGAUUCCGAGAAGUUCGUGGUCAUAAUACCCCACCGCAUCCCUCCCUCAUCGAAAGCCUGCGCCCAUUUAUCCUUGUCCCCCAUUUCACCCUUCAACCAUUCUUUUGCGUCGUCGUUCAAGUCCUUCACUAAAUCUUCUAACUUCUCACGAAAUUCUCUCUCUGUAUGAACCGUGCAUAAUAAUUUCAAUUUUCCAAUCACACGAUUGCUCUUCUGCCGACGCGACAUGUUGGCAGCAAAGUGCCUCAUGCACCACCUAUGCACAAGCGGUGGAAAACCAUCAAUGUGGUCCUUUGCACAAUUUAGAAGCCCAUGAUGCCUAUCUGAUAUCAUACACACUAUCCGUGAAGGUCCAAGAACAUUUACCCGAACAAGUUUCAUAAACCAUGACCAACUCUCAUUAUUCUCACUCUCGACCAAGGCAAAAGCAAGAGGCACAAUCUGUUGUUCUGGAUCUACAGCAACUUCCAUCAUUAAUGUACCCUUGUACUUGCCAGUCAAGAAUGUACCGUCCACCAGUAUCACAGGAUGGCAAUGUUGAAAUGCCUCACUACAUUGAGGGAAGCACCAAAAUAACCUUUGCAGUAUAUGCUUCAACACUCCAUUGUCAGGAACCAUCAUGCCACAUGAGUCGAUCCACCAUUUAACUCCGGGAUUGUAGUAGGUUAUAGCUGAGAGUACCCUAGGAACCAUGCCGUACGACUCCUUCCAGUCGCCCCAAAGCAGGGCAACAGCGUGUUGCUUCGCCCGCCAAGCCUUCGAAUACUUCACACGGUACCCACUAAAGAUAAAGAUGGACUCCACGAGUGAUGGCACCGAUGUCUCGCUGUCUUUACGGAUAAUGCCUAGGAUACGCCGUCAAAGGUACUUUGCUGUGCACUGUACAUGCUCUCGCUUCGGCUGUGACGACCGACAAGUAUGCGGUUGCACAACAUUUGAAAUUCUCCAUUGUGCGGUGCUUGAUAUUAGCCGAGACCAUACACGCCAAUGGCAUCCUUGCUUGCACAUCACAUUGUAUCUUAAGUUCUUGUCAGAGUGAACUACGCUAAAAGGUCUAUGUAACCUCACCGCGUAGUCAGCCAAGAAAAACUUCAGCUCCUCAAGACUAUUGAACUUCAUCCCCUUCUUAAUCACUGGACUCUCACCAAUGGACGUCCCUUCGGCAUUCACAAUACUAGAUUCACAUAUUGCUUUGUGAACCAUACUUAUGUCCUUAUCAUUGGGAACGGAUGACAGUUCGACAUCACGUUCUUUUAACAUCCGCAACUCACACUGGGUGUAAGAAAAACAAUCGUCCAUACGACGAAUGCCUUCUACAUCAUGUACGGUUGCGGUGUCAAAUUGCAGUCCAUCCUCUUCAUUUUCUACCCCGACGUUCUCAUAUUCAUGCCCACCACUCUCAAAUAGUGAUUCCUCCUCUACCUCCUCACCUACUACCCCAUCUUCCUCCAAUUCACAAUCUUCGGAACCCAUAGAGACAUUAUCAACAUCUAUAUUUGCUUCAUCCCUCUCAAAAAUGUUAUUGGGAAAAUCAUCAUUGGCAAUAGCCAAGUCAAAAUCACGUUCUGUUUCACCUAACACGUGAUGCAACAUUUCUGACUCCUGGGUACCAUUAUGGUUCACUACCGUCACUUCCUCCCUCAUGACAACAUUUGGGCCAGGCAUACGAACAAUUUCGACUAUAACCUCCAAACAUGCAACAUUAGCUUCGUGCACAACAUCCUUAUAGUGCUUCCAAUUCGCAUCGGAUGCUAACUUCAUGAGAACAUAAUGAGCUCUAGCUUUCCCACAAUCAAAACGACCUCUCAAACUGAUCUCAUCCACUCUACAUCCAUACUUCGUCAUUACACGGUCAACUAAAUCACUAAAACUUGGAGGACCAUCAAAUAUUUCAAUUGACUCAUUCAUAUUCUCUAACUCCCCAUUUUGUUUCACAACACCACCAUGAAAAAAUCGAACUAAACGAUCCAUCUACAAAAUACAAACAUUUCACCAUGUCAUAUACACUACACAUUGCACAUAUUCGACAUAUCAACUACACACAUUACAUAUAUUGGACAAAUUGCAAACAAAAAAUACACAUAUACAUUGCACUAUACGAUUCAAUGAAUAUAUCCUUAAAUCAAUAAGUUCUACACGUCAAUAUCGCGGGCAGAGACUCAAUUGCGUAUGAACUACGUAUCAUCUAACACAAAACACCAUUGCAUUUCAUUGAAAUUUCAAAUCACUAACCUAACCCUAAGUCACCUAAACAUCCUCCGAUCUACCAAAUGCAACGGUAAAACACGAGAAUAAGUAGGGGAAUACCUUCCACACGAAGUAGGGAUCGAUUCCCACUACUUUCCCCCACCGAAAACGCCGGAUUUUGGGUGGAUUUGGGGGUGGGGCGGCGGGGGGCGGCGCUGGAGCUUCGGGCUCGGGCGUUUCUGGAGGAGGAAGAAAGGAGGGAGGGAGGAGGAAGGGAGCCGGCGCGCGGUCUAAGUGUUGGCCCUGCCGCGCCAGGCGGGCUGGCGCGGCGAACGCCCGCCCACGUCAGCGAACGCCCGCCCCCGCGCCUGGCGCCGCGACUCGCCGCGCCAGCGUGGCAGGGGGCUGCCGCGCCAGUGCAUGUGGCGAUGCAGCAUGUUCCUGCCGCGCCAGGCGGUCUGGCGCGGCCUAACCGGCCGCGCAAAUAAAACCCCGCUGAGGUUAUUUUUAAAAAUAAAGAAAAAAAAGGGUUAAAAAUAAAAAGAAGUUCGCAUGUAGGUUGGGCAGCUAAGCAAAUUGUUGUGUGGAAAGGUAUUAGCAUUUCAUCAUAUCUUUUUUUUUGCGGGCAAGGCUUUCAUCAUAUCUUUAAGGUGAGAGAAUCACCAAGUCAUCAUUUUAUCGUUAUAUCUCAUAGUUUCGAUAUUAUUGCAGCCAAAUGUUAGUACCAGUGUCUUGGUCCAGUACAGUAAAGCAUGGGGAGUUUUGGCACUAAUUCUACAGAUUUUUGUUUUUUUCUACCUAAAAUAUUGAAAUGAUUGUUUAUCAGUUCUAUUGAGCUCCAUCUCGUACGCAAAAAAAAAAGACAAAGGAACAAUCGGUCCACGACACUGGUUGUAAAAGAAAGCAGACAUAUAGCGCACAUAGGGCAUAUCACUAGGAACAUCUCAGCCGUCAAGAUUUGAGUGAGAGUGGGCAGUCUAGAGCCCACUCGAGCAUUUUUAGGCCAGUCCACACCCGAAUUUCCAUCCAUCCAUUUAAUCCAAGUCCAUCCCCUACCCUAGUCUCUGCAUCAUGGUCAUCUUCACGCACGCGAAACGCAGUAGCCGCACACCCGCAAGCAAACCUUGUAGGUUGCAGCGCCGAAGCACCCAUAGCUUGCUCCACCGAUUUCGGCGAGGCCCUGUGGCAGCAAUCACCACCAGCCUCCCAUUUUUCGACUCUGGCGAACUUGUUCAUUGUGUUGCCAUCCCCACCCCGCCCUCCUUCCUCGUCUCUAGCGGCUCUCGCCACUGGAUACGACCCUGCCGUCCACCCCCACGCUAAAUCACCGUUGGUGCUCUCCCUACUAGUAGGGUGCUUUUGUCCCGGUUAACUUUGGAUUCAUGACUAAAGUGCCUUUAGUACUGGGCCAAAAAUGUGCCACCGAAGGCCACCGCCAGGGGGGGUUGUCGUUGUCAAGAAUCACAGGUCAAGACCGUGCAAGUGAAUUUGUCUUCUAUGCACGUAAGGCUCGGAUGGUUGCACGAGAGGACACGAGGUUUAUACUGGUUCGGGCAGGUAUAGCCCUACGUCUAGUGUGGGAGACUGCUUGUGUUACUCAUGCAGAGUUUGCAGUAGGGGUUACAAACGGGGGAGAGAGGGAAGCUAGUCCCAAAUCUCUUUGGGUGUGCACUGAUGCUCGUGUGGAAGGGUUGUGGGUGGAGAGUAGCUCUGGUUUGCUUGAGAGCCAUCCUUGUCUCGGGCCUCCUGGUCCUCCUUUUAUAGCGUAAGGAGGGCACAGGAGUUAUAAUUGAGCUAGGAGCAGAAGGGGGAGUGAAGAAGGUAAGCAGGGAAGUAAGGAGGGAGAAGGAUCGAGCCCCCGGGGUUGCCGCCUUCCCUUCCGGUCUCUGUCUCCUGUCAGCAUGACCACUGGAGGGGGAUGGUUGUCGUUGGGCCCCAUCGACGAUCCUCCGGUUGGCCGUCGUAGCCGAGCGCACGAGAUAUGCAUGGCGACCGAUCGCUAUAGCCAUGCAUGAUGAUGAUGAUGACUGGUCGCCGUAGUUGUGCACUCGUGGAGGACAGUCGACCUCUGUAGCCUCACGUAUUGACCGGGAGGUGCGGCUAACACGCCCCUGCCGCCAGGUCGAGCGGGAGACCGGGCGGCGCAUCCUCCUUUGUCAGGCGGCGUGGGCGAUGAGUGCCCUAUAACGAAUGUUACAGGGGAGGAUUAGGACGGUGCAGCUGUAGCCCUGUGCAGUCGUGGCUACAGUGUGCCACCCAAAAACUUUGGCCGGUCACGUCGAGGAGCGCGGGCAUCUUUCUGCGUGCUAGAGCCGUAUCGCAUUUAUGGAGAGAUCGGUGGGGGCCUACCAGAUCUGCGCCCUCGUCUGCUAAUCCGCGCCCGCCCUCCGGUGAGGCGAAGCUCUGUCGUGUGAGUCCGGAUGUGCCCAACCUCUAGCACCUGGGGUCAUGCGAGAUGGAGCCUUGCGGCGAGGGGUCGGGCGCGUCCGACCCCUCGCGCCCGACCCCUUGCGCCCGGGGUUAGGUGAGGCGGAGCCUUGCGGCGUGGGGUUGGGCGCAUCCGACCCUUGGACCAUGGGUUGGGCAAGACGAAGUGGAAUAUUCCCUAGCCGUGACAAGUCGGUGGAGGUUACUGUCGCUGCAGGUGGGCCCGGGCCCUUAUGAUCGUUGUUUAAGGAAUAUAAGGAGGUCAUUAAUAUUUCCCCCUAACAGUAGCCCCCGAGCCAUUGGUGGAGCAAAAAUGCUCCUCCAGAGGCUGCAUUCGUUGUUUGUCAAGGACCUUUGUUUGUUCUGCAACCUUUAUUUGAUCAGGGAGAAAGAGUUUCGCUCGUUUGGUUUGGCUGUGGAGUUUGGGUAGGCAAGGUGCUCCGAGGAUGGCUCAGCUCGGGAAGAUUCCCUAUCGUUCCGACGACCACUCCUACUCCAAGACUCCAAAUUGUGACCACACGCGUGGUCGUUGGUUGCGAUGCCAGCCCCCGAGCCCCCGCACAUUGCAGGAGACUGAUCAAGUGGUUAGAUCGACUUUUGAUCGUUACCCCUCAAGCGCCCGUUCGCUGGGAUGGAGGGUGUGAGCCGUGCCACGUUAUCCUCGUUGGAUGAAAGGCGUAUGACCAAAUUGACGCAGCGCCAGAAGAAAAGGCACGCGGCAUCACCAUCAACACCGCACACGUCGAGUACGACCAAGCUGGUGGCAUACUCCAGAUUCCGGAUGACCAGUUCAUAUAGUUCCCGGGUCCAUUCGAUUGGAUCUGGGGGCUCGUUGCCUUUCUUCAGGGAAAAACCAUGAACUUAAAUGCCAGUGGGUCCUGUGGGUCCGGAUGUGCCCGACCUCUAGCGCCUGGGGUCGGGCGAGACGGAGCCUUGCGGUGAGGGGUCGGGCACGUCCGACCCCUUGCGCCCGGGGUCGGGCGAGACGGAGCCUUGUGGCGAGGCGUCGGGCCCCUCCGAGCCCUUGCGCUCGGGGUCGGGUGAGGUGGAGCCUUGCGGCGUGGGGUCGGGCGCGUCUAACCCUUGGACCAUGGGUCGGGCGAGGCGGAGUGGAAUAUUCCCUGGCCUUGCCAAGUUGGCGGAGGUUACUGUCGCUGCAGGUGGGCCCAGGCCCUUAUGACCGUUGUUUAAGGAAUAUAAGUGUUGAUGCUAGAUUUCAACACGUAUGGAAUCGGCAUCGAGAAAGGAGAAGAUUGGCUGAUGCGGCAGAUUGGAAGGUCACGAUUGGGAAUCGGCCGAUUGGUGGUACAAUUGGGGAUCGGCCGAUUGGCGCUACAGUGUUUUGGUAGACGGAGUUGAUGGAGAUCGGCCGAUUGAAAGGCUGGAGCGAUUGGGCCAAUAUGGGCUUAAAAUGGGUCAGAGAAAGAAGAUGGAGGAAGAUUGGCCCAUGGGAAUACAAUAACCAACUCCGAUACGAGUUGUACUUGUAAAUAUUUGUUUUCAUUUAAAAUUAGAGAUAGAUCCUAGUCGGUUAAGAAAUUGGUUGUACCAGGCUAUAAAUAGCCACCUUUACGGAUUUGUAAAAAACACAUCAAUCAAUACAACAAUCUACUAUUUCUUCGUACUUUACUUUCAAGUCGGUGACUUCGCCAAUACUUUUCUUCUUUCACCAGUUCGUACGGGUUGGCGGGGCUACAUCGACACGAUCUCUGGCCGAUUCUGUAAGUUCUGCUUAUCGAGUAAUAUCUAAGCUUUAACUUCGGACGUAUCGCUGUCAUUUCAUUUAGAUUUAUUCACCAGUUAUUGAUAUUUACUAGAAUUAUAGGUUUCAUCUGUUGUUCUAGUUUUAUCACCAGUUAUCCAGCUUGAGAUCUGAACUGUCGGCUUUAUUAUUCAUUAUUCAUUAUUUUCAUAUAGCUGAUUAGAUCUAUUUCAAGUGUUGCUCCUGUAGCGUUAUCUAGUUUACUCUAGUAGUUUUCUUUAUAAUCGCUAUGUGGUUGUUAGCUGUAUCAUAGCCGAUUAUCUUUUUAUAGCAAAUCGGCCGAUUUGCUGAUACGCUUUCUCGAGAUCGGAACCUUAGCCGAUCCGAACCCUUGGAAUUUGACACGUUUUCUUCCUUGCCAAUCAACAGGUCAGAUUGGCUGGCACGCUGCGUGAACCGCACCAGGGCGAUCACCCGAACAGGAGCUAAGCAGAUUCUCCCGGGUCGUGUGUCCGACGCUGAGAGUCAAUCGGCUGACUUUUAGCGUCAACACACUUUUGGCACACCCGGUGGGACCAAUUCGACCUCCAACAUGUCGAAAGCCGCUGAAGUCUCCGAAGACAACGUCAUCGAAGUGACGGAAGUAGAUCUUAAGAAUGACCAGAAGGAAGAGUUGGAAAAGCAGGUAGAACAAUACCGGAAGACAUGCCUGCAAUCUUUCAGUCGUACUAGGAGCGGGGAGACUAUCAAGAAAGCUCCUUUGCCAACUCCCCGCCAGAUCACCAUCGCUGAGGACUCGGGCAAGAUGUCCGAUAUGGUUCAGCAGUUCGUCUAUCAGGCCUUCAUCGAUCAAUCCCCGGUGAUGGCUAACACGGUGUACAAUGCCGUCAUCAGCUCCCUGGCCAAUGGUGUAUCUCAAGGAUAUCAGGGGCCAGCAUACACCCCACCCAUUACGACCCCAGUCAGGAGCUUUCCAAGCACAUCUCACUCGGCUCCUCAGCCGAUGCCAGCUCAACAUGGAGGAUCCAGCACUUCCCUGCCUUCAAUGCAUCCAGGAUACAACAGUGCGCCAUACCUUCAACCACAAGCACCACCACAGCCUGCUCAAGUUUCCUCUGUGCAAUCAGUGCCAUCGAACUUAGCACCUUGGGGGGCACCGUCGACAACAACCGUUCUAGAUCAAUUGGCUGGCUAUGGAGGCCCACCAUUCCAGGCACUAUUCCAAUCGGCCAGUCGGCCGACGGUUCCACAGUAUCAAUCUACCAUGUAAGAAAUCGGCAUGGGGGCAGACGCUACUGAGGUGCUCCGAGGUGCGGUGCCAAUGAUACUAUACGAUGAGACGGCCGGUUCACUGCACCACCAGAUGUCAACCACUCAGCCGGCCACAUUACCACAGAAUCCGCCGCAUGCAUUGAUUAAUCACCCGGUUAUCCCAACGCCGAUCCACCAACACGCGCCAAUUCCCCAGCCAGUAAUUCGUCAGCAGCAAGUGGAUUGGACGGCAAGGAUAGCUAAAGUAAUUCAAGAUCAGUUCAGGUUGAAGCCGAAGGUACAAACUUACACAUACAGGACGCCAUACCCGCCUACCUAUGAUCUACUGCCGUUUCCCCAUCGAUACAAAGUGCCCGACUUCACCAAAUUUUUGGGGCUAGAUGAUACUUCAAUUGCGGAGCACGUGAACAGAUUCAUUAUCCAAUGCAGGGAGGCGGCUGCACAAGAUGCUCUACGACUGCAUCUGUUCUCAGCGUCCCUGUCCGGGUCGGCUUUCGAGUGGUUCACUACGCUACCGCCCAACUCCAUAGUUACUUGGGCCGACCUGGAGAAGCAGUUCCAUAAAUACUUCUACGCGGGGGUCCAUGAGAUGAAGCUUUUGGAUCUGACCACCCUCAGGCAAAGGAGCGACGAGCCAGUGUCCAAUUAUGUGCAGAGGUUCAGAGAGGUCAGAAACAAGUGCUACACCCUAGUCCUGACCGACGCGCAGCUGGCCGAUAUCACCUUCCAAGGCCUCCUGCCGCAUAUCAAAGAGAAGUACGCUUCCCAGGAGUUCGAGAGCCUGAGUCAAAUCGUUCACCGAUUGGCCGGUCAGGAAGUACGCCCUUUUGAUCAGCGGAGAAAUUUUCAGAAGAAGGUGGCAUAUCUAGAGGGAUCUGAAUCUAAGGAGGAAGCGGAAAUCGGUCUAGCAGAGUGGGUUAAAGGAAAAAAGCUGAUAUUGUGUCCUUUCGGGAAAAGAGAACCGGAGGCGUUCGGUUUUGACACGUCAAAGGCCGACAAAAUUUUCGAUCUACUUCACCAAGAAGGGUAGAUAAAACUCUCACCCUACCAUACGAUCCUAUCCGCAGAGCAGCUAAAAAAGAUGAAGUAUUGCAAGUGGCACAAUGCCACGUCCCACGACACGAACGAGUGCAAGAUCUUCCGUCAGCAGAUACAAUCGACCAUCGAGAAGGGCAGGCUCAAGUUCGAAGUCCCAACAAAGCCAGCAAAGCCGAUGAAGGUUGAUCAGCAUCCUUUUCCCACUAACAUGGUUGAUACGGGAAGAAACGCGCUCCAAACCAAGGUGCUAACGUCGGAAUCGGCUAAAAAGAGUGGCGCUGUGGACCCCAGAAAUCAAACUUCUGUGGAAGAUGUCAAGGGGAAGCGACGGGUUGAUGACAAGGGUGAAGGAUCGAAAAGGCCGCGUAGACCUAUUACUUUCCAAUUUCUGCUCAACAAAUAUCAGUGGCAACAAGAAAGUUCGAGAUAUCGCGAAGAGAUGAUACGACGACAUGAAGAUCAUUGGCGAUGCCAGUUCUUCAUCCAUUGUUGGGAAAAUAACCUCAGGUUGCCAUCGGCCUAUAAUUGCCCGGAGUGCAGCGGUCCAUAUAGCAAUAAUCGCCCAUUCAGGAGGUCUCGCUCCAGGGACAGAAGAAUAGAGCCAAUCAGCAAAAACUGGCGCAAACAAGAAGAUCAGCGCCUUUCAGUGCGUGAUCGGCUGGGGGGCAGAAUGGCCUGAUAUGAUCGGCCAAGCGAUAGAAGCGAGCAAUAUGAUAGGCCGGGGGGCAGGUGUGGUGAAGCACCUCGGAUUAACUUAGCUAAAGCACAGUUAAGUCGCCUAACACGUGAAUCACAUGCUUUAAUCAAGUUAAUUCGAGAUCCGUCGGAUUUCAUCUGAUAAAACCACUUAGAUAGGACCGAGUUAGCAUAUCUCACACAAAGGUGAGUCGUUUAAGAGAAUACAACAGAUCAAAUAAACAGUUCAACGAUUUAUUACACACUGGUUCGAAAAUCAAAGUUUUACAAGAUUCAAAAGCAGCGGAAAGAUAAAAUAGUGGAAGCUAGCGCCGGGGUCGGAUGUCCCUGAUGAGGCCGAUUAGGACAUCAAUGAUCCCUCUCCUCACUGUCCGAGGAGGGAUCCCACUUGACCGUCCACCCAGGAGGAAGCUAGGGCGGCCAAGUGCCAAUAGCAGCACACUCAGAAGCUUCAGCUUCACCUGAAAAGAGAUGCCACAACAAGGCUGAGCUUCUAAGCUCAACAAGACUUAACCGACCAGUGGGAAAAACUACUCCACCACUCCAAGACAUGCAAGGCUCUUUGGCUGAGGGGUUUGUUUUGCCAAAAGCGACUACAGUAGGUCCUUACUUUCAAUAUUUUAGCACAGAUUCUGAGUUCAUUAACAAGUCUACAUUGGCAACUUAUCCGAAACAAACAUAGUUUCCAACAUCAAUAUAUAGAACGAGCAUCGAGUUCAUAUCAUCUUCAUGUUCCAUCUUUACUCAGUGUAGCGUAGCAAUCAAGCAGUCUCAAACUGUGAGAGGUAGACAAAUCGAUUCGAGUUUCUUAACCAUGCAUGGCAAACCUAAUCUCACGACAUCCGCGCACCACAAAGGGUCGCUUCCUGCGGUCGGCGGCUCAACUACUACUCCGUCUUCUCGCACCGGAUACAGCUCGUAUGUGCCGUCGGCGAGAUUUUGUUCUACACGGAAAUGCAAAUGCAGGGGUUAAACAUUUAGUCGCUUAUUUGAACAACACUUGCACGCUUUAGCUCAGAAACUUGUAGCAAAGCUACAAUAAAGGUGUGGAAGUCCAAGCUUCAGUUGAUGGAGAACAGACGAAAGGGUCGGGUUGGGAGAAACUUAUGAUCUGACUCUUAGAACUAAGGAAUAACUAUACCGGGGUCCUCAGACUUAACAUAGAGAAGUCCCCAAAAUUUUACAUAGAUACCCUCGGGUCAAAGAAAAAGACACAGCCGAGCCCUCGGGUGAAGCGGACAAGGGUCGGUGAAACAGACAGGGUCGGGUGAGACGGAAAAAGGGGUCGGGCGAAUCAGAAAUGGGUCAGCAGCUUACCUUUAGGCCUACUGGUGAAGUCUUGGGGUCGGGAAGGAACAAACUUAGGCGGAAGGACUCGAGGCGCUAAGGCUUGGGUAGCGGUGGGGUUCGGCAUUGCUCCAGCGGCGGCGGUGCUUCUUGUGGACAACAAGCGAGCUCUAGCACCAUGCGGAGGAACAGGCAGCUGGUGGGUUGGGAAAAGCGGGUUUGAGCGGAGAGGGAAAGUUCCUUAAGAGCUUAAGUGGCAGCGCUCAAGUGCGAGCAGAGUAAGGUGCGGCAAGGUAGCGAUGGCGAAGGAAACUCCGGUAGAGGCUGUGGUACUCCCUUUUAUAGUUGCGUGGAAGAGAGAGAGAGAGAGAGAGAGAGAGAGAGAGAGAGAGUCCGAGCAGCGCAAAGUUCAGGUCGAAAAGGAUGGAGUGCUCUGCCGUGGCAGCGAUUGGGCGGCGCCUCCAUUGGCUGGUGAAGCGGAGCAUCGGGGCGCGCGGUCAGGGAUCCGGGCGAGAUGAUGGGUGCAUGAGGCGAGGCGGUCUAGCGAGGCAGCGGCCAAUCCUCUGUCGCAGCGGCGACAGGGUGCCUUGGCAUGGCCGGUGAGGGUGCUAGCGAGACGAGGUGAGGCGGAAAGGGCUGCAAGGGCUUCUGCACACGAUUGGGAAGGAGGCGCACUGAUCUAUCUUGUCGCGGUCGGCGACUGGGCGAGGCGGCGCUCGUCGGGGAGGUUGAGCCACGCGGCGAAGAGGCUCUGAAGCGGGGCGCACGCGGGCUCUGGCGUGUCUGACUCGAGAGAUUCGUAGGAUCUGGUUUUGGGUCCACCAUUCAGUCUCUAGCUCUCCCAUAGCUCCAAGUUUUGGAGGAACACUGGUUUCAGGACUUAGAGAAGAGCUGCCGUUUGCUGGGUGGGUGCGAUUUUGCUGGGUUUCAGCGGUCGAGCUGAUGGAGACUGUAGAUUUAGGAUUUGCCUGGAGAUUAACUCGGCUGAUUAAACCAAGGUCGUUAUAGCCUACCCAUCUUAAAAAGAAUCUCAUCCUGAGAUUCGGGUGUAAGGGCAAUCGGUGGGGGUGUGCGGUUCUUACCUUCUCAGCUGAAAAGAAAACCUCUGAAGUGCUUGUUCAGAUACUCCUCUGUUUCCCAGGUUGCUUCCUCCUUCGUGUGGUUGCUCCAUAGUAUCUUGUACAUUUUCAUAACCUGCCGUCGGGUGUGUCUCUCCUUAUGGUCGAGGACUUUGGCCGGGUACUUGGCGUAGGUCAGGUCGGGCUCGAUUUGAAGCGGCUCCUGUUCCAAGACCUCAGUUGGGACUUGGACACAUUUCUUCAGUUGGGAAACAUGGAAAACAUCAUGAAUGGCCAAAAGCUGUUCUGGUAGUUGGAUCCGGUAAGCAACGGGCCCGCAAAUUUCCACAAUCUCGUAAGGGCCAAUGUAACGGGGAGCCAAUUUCCCUUUUACUCCAAAUUGUUGCACUCCUUUGGUCAGGGAGACUCGAAGAUAUACGUGAUCACCGAGGUUAAACCGCAGGGGUCUCCUUCUCUUGUUGGAGUAACUCUUUUGUCGAGAUUGGGCUGCCUUGAGAUUUGCCUGAAUCACCCUAACUUGUUCUUCGGCUUCUACUACUAGAUCAGGACCGUAGGUUUGUGUUUCUCCAACUUGUGACCAUCUCAAUGGUGUCCGACACCUCCAACCAUAUAAGGCUUCAAACGGUACCAUCUUCUAGCUAGCCUGGUAGCUGUUGUUGUAGGAGAACUCUGCCAACGGUAAGCACUUAUCCCAAUUCUUAUCAUAGUGGAUGACACAAGCUCGUAGCAUGUCUUCAAGGAUCUGAUUUACUCUCUUAGUCUGACCAUCGGUUUGAGGGUGAUAGGUCGAGCUACGAAUGAGCUUGGUGCCAAGUGAUGCUUGUAGCUGUUCCUAAAAACGUGCUACAAACUAAACACCUCGAUCAGAUAUGAUCGUCCUAGGCACACCGUGCAGAGAAACAAUGCGGUCAAGAUACAACUCUGCAUAUUUCUUGGCCGGGUAGGUGGUGUGAAUAGGAAGAAAGUGGGCAGACUUGGUGAGGCGGUCCACGAUAACCCAAAUGGAGUCAUGCCACUGAAAUGUAGGGGGCAGUCCAACAAUGAAAUCCAUGCUGAUGUCCUCCCAUUUCCAGGAUGGGAUAGGUAGCGGUUGCAGGGUACCGGCUACCUUCAAAUGGCUGGCCUUAACACGUUGGCAGGUGUCACACUCCGAGAUAUAGCAUGCAAUUUCUAGCUUCAUUCUACCCCACCAAAAAGUUUGACGGAGAUCAUGAUACAUCUUAUUGCUGCCAGGGUGGAUUGAGAACUUGGAGAUAUGGGCUUCAUCGAGGAGUUGCUUCUUAAGAGUGGGGUCGGAUGGGACAACAAGUCGGUUCCCAUAGUACACUCUCCCAUUCUCAUCCUGUCGGAAAUGCUUGUACCCUUCAUCUUUCCAGGAAAUCUUCCUUUUAAUUCGCUUUAUUUCCUCAUCCUCUAACUGUGCUGACCCAAUUUGGUCUUCCAAAGCAGACUCAAGGGAAAUAUGAAUGAGGGUUCCAUGGGAAAUAAUUUCCAAACUAAGUUUUCCCAUCUCAUGACACAGAGUUUCGGUGAAGUUGAUUACCGACAAGCAAUUGCAAUGGGUCUUGCGGCUGAGAGCGUCUGCUACUAUGUUGGCUUUGCCGGGGUGAUAAUGUACCUCCAAUUCAUAAUCUUUGAUCAACUCCAACCAUCUUCUUUGGGGCAUGUUCAGAUCGGCUUGAGUGAAGAUGUACUUGAGGCUCUUGUGAUCGGUGUAGAUGUUGCAGUGGGUGCCCAUCAGAUAGUGUCUCCAUAUCUUUAAGGCAUGAACCACUGCUGCUAACUCAAGAUCAUGGGUCAGAUAGUUCAGCUCAUGAGGUCGCAACGCCCGUGAGGCAUAGGCAAUGACUCAGUUGUCUUGCAUAAGAACACACCCAAGUCCAGUGCUAGAGGUGUCACAAUAUACGUCAACCAGCCUGGAAGGGUCGGGUUGAGCUAAAACUAAGGCAGAAGUCAGCAAGCGUUUCAAGGUGUGGAAAGCUUCUUCGCAUUCGUGACUCCACAUAAACUUGACUUCCUUUUUCAGUAGCUCGGUCAUCGGCUUAGCUAUCUUUGAAAAAUCCGGAAUGAAACGCCGAUAGUAGCUACUAGUCCACAAGAUCUGUGUUCUCAUCAGCUGGUCAGCACACAACCUUGGGCGAGUCAAAACCUCAGCCAGUGGGUCCCACUAUGUCCGACCUUAAGUGUCUGGGUCGGGUGAAGCAAAACCGUGCAACAAGGGGUCGGGUGAGGCGGAGACCUGCCGUGAGGGGUCGGGUGCGUUCGACCUCAUGACCCUGGGUCGGCCAUGCUUGGACAGACCCAAAGGAACAGAAACCUACGUGCGGUCACAGCACAAAAACUCACACAACUUUGGCAUCAAAGGCGUGUCCCAAAAAGGAAUUGAUUUUACCAAGAUCAUUACAUUGCUGGUCCUUUAACACAGAGGGAGUACUCAACUCAACGCUAACCCAUUACAUUGCUACCCAAAAUUUAGGUUGCCGAGGAGUACAACAAAAGAUUAGCUUCCUACAUCCUUCAACCUAAAAAUCAUCUAGGUUGCCUACUGAGGGAACACUAUGCAUCGGAGAAGGGGCAUCGCCAUCUUCAAUGUCCAUACUAGAGACUCCCCCUACCUCCUCAGGGUCUUCCUCCUCCUCCGGAGCCAUUUGCUCAUCUAGCUGCAUUUCCAAAGCAUGGAUGGCAUCGAGCUUGGCGUGGUGCUCGUCCAAGUGUGCAUUAGCAACCGCGAGCUCCAUCUCAACCUCCAACUUCUCUUCAGCAAGCUAAGUUAUGUCAUGCUCCAUGUCUGUCACUUCUUCUUUGAGCUCGGAAAUCCUAGUCUGCAUGUCGGAGACCUGUAUGCUCCUUUGGAUAAGCUGAUAUGACUGUUCCACCAAGUCUCUCUUGGCGGUGUUGAAAUGCUCCUGGGUGUCUACAGCUAUCCGAGCCAAGAUAGCCAUAGCCCGUCCUUGAAGCUCAAUCAGUCGGUACAAAGCUGACAUGCACCUUGUUGUGGUAGAGAGGGUGACCAACGAGUGUGAGGCUGCCAACACCUCCAUAUUGUUGACGUGGUCAAGCCAAGCCGGGUCCAGCUGAUCUCUGGCGGGAAACAAACCGAUCGGGUCCAAAAGGACACCAAACGGGUGUAGCCAGCAAAACUGGGUGAGAGCCUGCAAGGCAGCUGACUCCCAAGUGUCCUCAAGGGUGUGACCGUAGGUCGAGACCUCAAGCUGGGGGCACUCGGGCUGUACAGGGGAUGGAGGUACAACCACUUGCACGUUGCACCGCUGCACUCCGUGCUCCUGGUACUCCCGUCCCGCGUAAAGAGGCGGUGACUAGUACCCAAACCACCUCAAGGUAUCCCACAAAAUAGCAGGAAAGCCCUCGAAGUGUUGGCAUGUGGAGUGGGAAGUGCCAUCAGCGCCGCGAAACACAUGUCCGGGAGCAGCCAUCUAGAACCAAGAACCGAAACAAGUGUGAGAUAGAAACCCCAAGGAGAACAGAUCGGGCAGGGAAAAGCACUUGGAUCUCUAACCAUAUCGCAAACUGAGAAGGUAGCUAGAAAUCCUUAAAGCAAAGAAGAGCCUUAAACCAGGGCAAGGUUGUUUUAGGGAGGUGGUUUUACAGAUUUUGCUCAUGACUCAUGCACGACCUACCUCGUCCUCUCAACCAAAAUAACUGCCAAAAGCUUUGGUCUUACGCUGUUAGUGCCGGUGGCAAGGCAACAAGUACGUCGCUCCCUAUAGUAGCUAGUCGAUUUCUAGCAUCGUUCCCUAAGCGAACGCGGUUCGUGUACCUGCAGAAAAGACAACCACAUGAACCUUUCAUGCCAGCACUCAUGAAAGCAUCCCCAAGCAUUACCGUUCACUAUAGAAACAGUACCCAUGCGUUUAACGCUGCAUGGACAGCACAACAACCGUGGAAAUAGGUCCCCUUUGAAUAGAACCAUAUAACCCUUCGCAUGCUCGCGAUGCGGAAUCUGCGCAUGUAUAAUAGACGUGGGCAAACAACCGUGAUGAUCGGCUUGUUGGAAUCAAACCAUACCACCCUUCACAUGAGUUAACAUGUGGAACCUACGCACGUAUGAUAAACGUGAGUGAAACAACCGCGAUGAUAGGGUCCCUUGAAUAGAACUCCCUAUCAACCCUCGCAUACUCGCGAUGCAAAACUCGGCACACGUAUGAUACACGUGGUGAAGUGCUGGAGGUUAGCAAAAUAACUAAUAAGUAAUAGCCACCUAAAAUAACCCCAAAAUCUCCUAGGGCCUCUCGUACUAAGGUCAUCCUUAACGAUCGUAUGAGAUUUUUCAACACCUUUCUUGCAAAUUUUAUUAAAAAAAGGAAGUGUUUUAGGACCUAUUGUGUUCUUUGUCCUGCUAAACUAGCUCUGGUACCAGCUGUGCCGGAGCACCUCGGAUUAACUUAGAUAAAGCACAGUUACGUCGCCAAACACGCGAAUCACAUGCUUUAAUCAAGUUAAUUCGAUGAUUCGUCGGAUUUCAUCCGAUACAACCACUUAGACAGGACCGAGUUAGCAUAGCUCACACGAAGAUGAGUGGUUUCAGAGAAUACAACGGAUCAAAUAAACAGUUCAACGAUUUAUCACACAUUGGUUCGAAAAUCAGAGUUUUACAAGAUUCAAAAGCAGCGGAAAGAUAAAAUAGCGGAAGCUAGCGCCGGGGUCGGAUGUCCCUGAUGAAGCCGAUCAGGACAUCAAUGAUCCCUCUCCUCGCCGUCCGAGGAGGGAUCCCACUCGACUGUCCACCCAGGAGGAAGUGGGGCGGCCAAGUGCCAACAGCAGCACACUCAAAAGCUUCAACUUCACCUGAAAAGAGAUGCCACAGCAAGGCUGAGCUUCUAAGCUCAACAAGACUUAACCGACCGGUUGGAAAAACUACUCCACCACUCCUAGACAUGCAAGGCUCUUUGGCUGAGGGGUUUGUUUUGCCAAAAGCGACUACAGUAGGUCCUUACUUUCAAUAUUUUAGCUCAGAUUCUAAGUUCAUUAACCAGUCUACAUUGGCAACUUAUGCGAAGCAGACAUAUAUAGAACGAGCAUCGAGUUCAUAUCAUCCUCAUGUUCCAUCUUUACUCAGUGUAGCGUAGCGAUCAAGCAGUCUUAAACUGUGAGAGGCAGACGAAUCGAUUCGAGUUUCUUAACCAUGCAUGGCGAUCCUAAUCUCAUGACAUCUGCGCACCACAAAGGGUCGCUUCCUGUGUCGGCCAUCCUCAUCAAUUCCCAGGCACGUGUCAGGUCCAAAACUUCCCUUGGCAUGCAAUACUCCAUAGUCCCGACCUCUUGUCGUACUGUGGCUGCACUUGCACCCACAUGAUGCACCAUGGGAACCUCAUUCCAGGGACAGCAGGGGUAUAAGCCACGCCCUAGUUCAAUCAGGUACUAGGCUUCCCCAUCCCAUACUAGGUAUGAGAUUAGUACUUUCAAACACUGGAUCAUGAACGCCACCACUAUCAGACCUUAAACAGAUUCAAGUAGACAGAGAAGGCGAUCCACCAACCACCAAAAAAGUUCACCAGACCCUACCCCGUCCACCUUCCUUAUAGUUGUAACCGGAAGGAUAACAACCAACUCCUAUUGUUGGAGGUAUGCCCUAGAGGCAAUCAUAGAGAUGAUGAUAUUCCAUUUGUAUCCAUGAUUUGUAUGUUGUGUUCAUUGAAUAUCCAUUGAAGGCUACUUGAAUUGAUUUGCAAUUAUGUGAAUUGUAUGUGAAACUCUUUACUUGUAUGGUUAUUCUAAAGUUGUCCCUAGUCGGAGUUCAUGUGAGGACAAACAUGAAUAUUAGACUAGCACAUGUAUUAGUUGAUGACUAUGUUUCACAAGUCAUGGACAUGGAGAUGUUGAACUAAUAAUGUGGACACAUGUGGAGACAUGUGCUAGGACUGACCCAACACGAGAAGUAGUUCUCUCUUUAAACAACAUAUACGUUUUGUCCUUAGACCUGAGAUUGUCGCAUGUAUUCUAGAUGUGGAUCGACCUACUUAGGGGCUAUCAAACGCUACGCCGUAACAGGGUAGUUAUAAAGGUAGCUUUUGGGUUUGUCAAGAAGCAUGCUAUGAGACAUGGUCAAUCAAGAUGGGAUUUGCCCCUCUCUGAUUGAGAGUGAUAUCUCUGGGCCCCUCGAGUGAUCGGAUCCGAAAAUGCAUGGCCAUGCUACGUACAAUUAAGAGUUAACCUACAAAAGGAUUCUGAAUCACAGGAUCGAGAAAGAGCGGUCGGCUUGAAGCUAGACCAAAUAUCAUGAGGUAAAGGGAAUAGCGUGUAUAUUAUGUUGUGAUGGUUCGUCUGAUAUGAUCUUCGUGUGCGUAUAGGAGUUGGCACGUCUUGCUAGAGGCCGCUACCGACUAUUGGACCGAGUAGGAGGACUCGGGCCAUGUCUAUACGUAUCCGAACCCAUAGGGUCACACACUUAAGGGGCUGGAAGCCCAAUUCGGAUCUGAUCCGAGUUGGAUUAGGUUUAGAAGUACUAAUGGGCCUCGGAUCCAGAGGCCCGUCAGGAACCUCUAUAAAUAGAGGGGUGGGGGCGCCCUAGGGUUUACACCUUUUUGGCGAAACACACCUGCCGCGCCUCCCUCGCCCUCGCCUGUUGCAACUCGCGGAUCUAGCUGUCCGGCUUGCGACGCUUCCUCCCUGCACGUGUGGAUACCUUGGAGGUGUUGCGCCUGCAGCACUUGGACGAGCCGCCGACGAGCCACGACGAGCCAACGACGUGCCGCGGCACCGGGGGCGAUCUUGCUGAACGUGGACGAGCUGCUGAGGAGCUCCUGGACGUUGACAUGAUCGACUACGUACGACUAUGUUGAUCGACUACGUACGACUACGUGAUCGUCUUCACUGCAUCGACGCAUAUCUACAUCUUCCGCACCAGUAGUGCGUUGAGUGGUAAUCCCGUGAUCCUUAUACGGCAGUUAUUCCUUGUUUUACGUGGUAGAAAUUUUGAUUUGCGCUAGCGUAGCCUACCUCGUAUCCCAACAGUCGUAUCAGAGCCGUAGCUGCUUAGUUUUGGAUUCAGGAUGUGUGCAUAUGGAGAUAUGCGAGUUUUCCGUUUGAUCUAUGUCCUGGUUUCGUGCUCUUGCUGCAAUGGUAGUGUAACAACAUACUCCUACCGGUCGGUUUCCGCCAUCGGAGUUAAGUGAUACACGUAAAUCCAGUUGCAGUGAGCGAAGAUCAAUAUGAUUGGUCAAAUCGAAAUCCAAGGUCAUAUGCCAGGCGCAUUAGAUGUGCAAUAGUAGAUGAGAUCUACUGCCGGGGUUGGGAUUUUUGCCGUAUGCGUAUGCUUCGGUAAAUCAGCCGUAACUUUUCGGUACGAUCUCGGAUCGGGGCAAAUUUUAUAUGAAAAUUGAUCUACAGAAAAAGUUACACAUGAAAUUCAACGGCAUAGCCGUUUUCGGUGAAAUUAGAUUUCCCAAAUUCGGCUUGGAAGAUGGAGUUUCGGGCCUCCGAAGUUUGGAACGUCAGGGCGCCUAACUCUGUUUUGCAGGAUGUAUGUAUGUAUCUUGUGAUCAGUAUGGCCCCCUUGUGUAUGUGAUGCAUGUGUGUAACUCAUUCGUGACCUGCGUGUCGCGCGUACGACAACACGGCAGGAGCCAUAUGUGUUGUCACUUUAUUGUAUUUAAUGGUCUGCGUACCAAUCUGUGAUGAUCCAAGCAACUAUGUAAUCUUCAUUACUAGCUUCUUUACUAGCUAUUAGGUGUACUAGCAUGUUCUAAGUUCUUGGAGGACUCAUCACCAGAAGGAUGGCGCACAUGGAACAUGGAGAUGGAGAUCACCAUGGUGAACAGCUUCUAUGGAGAUGGAGAUCACCAUAAGAAAAACGGGCCAUACUGUGUCACAAUUGUGUGAAUGCUAUUCUGUUUAUGUUUUACUUUCUGCAUGCUGUGAUGUUAGAAGUAGAACGAUCCCUCACAAAGUUUAAGUUAGUAUGCCCUCCCAACUAAAACUUGCACCGUCCCAUGUCUUGUACAAUUAGUGGUGGGUCUAUGAAAUUAGGAUGCCACUAGUUUUCCUUGACUAGACGGGUUUGUGUCGGACACUUACACGCAUAAGGGUUGGUUUGCUUAACAAGGUUAUCUUAACGGUUAAGAACCUUGGGGCAUAAAGGUUGGGCGCCGAGACAUAGAGAUGUCACCCAACAACAGGAGUCAUAUGUGAUAUGAUUAGCAAAAGUUGCUUACCGAUCUACCUAGUUUGCUAGCGGUGAUGCUAAAGCUCACUAGUGGACUUGUUAGUUGUGGAUCCUAAAUCACUAAGUUUCAAUAGAGGGAUAUUGAUUUUAGUGGGAGUAGAUUCUGUUAAAAUAGUUUAAUGUGAUUUGCUCUAUCAUGGAUACGUUUGUCUUAGUGUAUUUUGCAUUACUUUGUUGUAGAUUAAAUGGCACCUAGCAGCACUACACCGUUUGCUUUGCGUUCGGUCCUUGAGAAGGACAAGUUGAAUGGAACAAAUUACUCGGAUUGGAUCCGUAACCUGAGAAUCGUUGUCAGGGCUGAGAAAAAGGAAGAUGUUCUAGACAACCCACUACCAGAAGAACCUGCUGAUGAUGCACCCGCUGCUGCUAAGAUGCUUACAAGAAAGCAUGUGAUGCUAACCUCGAAGUAAGCUGCCUUAUGCUUGCUUGCAUGGAACCCGAGCUGCAGAUGCAGUUCGAAACAAACCAUGAGGCGCACGAUAUGAUCGUGGCGCUUAGAGACAUGUUCCAAACACAGGCCAGGACUGAAAGGUUCAAUGUGUCUAAGGCCUUUGUCGAGAGCAAGCUAGCAGAAGGCGCAGCAGUAGGACCACACGUAAUCAAGAUGGUUGGUUACACUCAACGGUUGGAGAAGCUAGGCUUCCCACUAGGCCAAGAGUUGGCCACUGAUUUCAUUCUUUCAUCUCUUCCGCCUAGCUAUGGGAACUUCAUCUCGAACUACCAUAUGCAUGGGACGGAGAAGGAUCUGAAUGAGCUGUGUGGCAUGCUUAAAACAGCAGAGGCUGACAUUAAGAAAAGCGCUAGUACCAGCCAUGUGAUGGCUGUACAGAACAAGCCUACCUUCAAGAAGAAGGGCAAUUCUUAGAAGAAGAAGGGUAAGGCUGGAGUGUCCAAGCCAAACCCAGCGCCCAAGGCUAAAGCUGGACCUGCUCCAGAUAAAGAGUGCUUUUACUGUCAUGAACUUGGUCACUGGAGAGAAACUGCAAGCAGUACCUAGCUUCGUUGAAGAACGGCGGAAGUAAGAGUACUUCUACCUCAGGUACGCUUGUUGUUAAUGUUAUAGACAACAUAUUUCUCGCUGAUACAAUUAUUAAUUCUUGGGUAUUUGAUACCGGAUUGGUUGCUCAUAUUUGCAAUUCGAUGCAGGGAAUGAUAAGAAGUAGAAGCGUGGAAAGAGGAGAAGUUGAUUUCCGCGUGGGCAAUAAUGCAAGAGUUGCUGCGUUGACCGUCGGGACGAUGCAACUCCACCUCCCGUCAGGAUUUAUUAUGGAGUUGAAUAAUUGUUAUUUUGUUCCUAGUUUAAGUCGAAACAUUUUAUCUCCUUCAUGCUUGAUGAAGGAUGGUUAUUCAUUUGCGAGUGAAAACAAUGGUUGUGUGAUCUCUAAGAAUAAUAUGUUUAUGGCUUUUGCACCCAUUGUGAAUGGAUUAUUUGUUUUAAAUCUUGAUGGUUCACAUGUCUGUAAUGUAAGUGCUAAAAGGCCUCGGCCUAAUGAUUUGAGUCCUACCUACUUGUGGCAUUGUCGUUUGGGUCAUAUAAGUGAAAAGCGCAUGAAGAAGCUCCAUUCUGAUGGACUUCUAACUUCGUUUGAUUUUGAAUCAUACGAGACAUGUGAGGCUUGCUUGCUAGGCAAGAUGACCAAGACGCCUUUCACAGGAUUUCCUGAGAGAGCAGUAGACUUGUUGGAACUCGUACAUAGUGAUGUAUGCGGACCAAUGAGCACGACGGCUAGAGGAGGAUUCCAAUACUUCAUAACUUUCACUGAUGAUUUUAGUAGAUAUGGCUAUGUCUACUUGAUGAGGCACAAGUCUGAAACCUUUGAAAAGUUCAAGGAAUUUCAGAAUGAAGUUGAAAAUCAGCGUGGCAAGAAAAUUAAGGCCUUACGAUCUGAUCGUGGAGGCGAGUAUUUGAGCCACGAGUUUAGCAAUCAUCUAAAGAGUUGCGGAAUUGUUCCACAACUUACGCCGCCUGGAACACCUCAGAGAAACGGUGUGUCCGAGCGACGUAAUCAAACUUUGUUAGACAUGGUUCGAUCAAUGAUGAGCCAGUCGGACCUACCAUUGUCAUUUUGGGGAUACGCUCUAGAAACAGCAGCUUUCACACUUAAUAGGGUACCAUCUAAAUCCGUAGUUAAGACACCAUAUGAGAUAUGGACUGGAAAGGUUCCUAGUUUGUCUUUUCUAAAGAUUUGGGGAUGUGAAGUGUUUGUCAAGCAACUUCAGUCGGACAAGAUCACACCCAAGUCGGAUAAGUGCAUUUUCGUGGGAUAUCCAAUGGAAACUUUGGGAUAUUAUUUCUACAACCGAUCAGAAGGCAAAGUGUUUGUCGCUUGGAAUGGGGUUUUCCUAGAGAAAGAGUUUCUCAAAGGAGAAAAGAGUGGAAAGACAAUGCAUCUUGAAGAAGUUCAAGAUGAGCCGAUCGGGCAAGAAUCAAUGAGUGAUGCUAACGUAGCAGAACAAGUUGAGAUACCCAUGGCAAGAGAAGCAUCGCCACAACCACGAAGGUCGGCAAGGCUCCGCGAAAUGCGGGAAAUAUUAUUGUCGGACAAUGAUGAGCCUGCGACAUAUGCAGAAGCAAUGAUGGACCCAGACUCCGAAAAAUGGCAGAAUGCCAUGCAAUCCAAAAUAGAGUCCAUGGGAGACAAUCAAGUUUGGAACUUGGUUGACCCGCCUGAUGGUGUUAAAGCCAUAGAGUGCAAGUGGAUCUAUAAGAAGAAAAAGGACAUGGAUGGAAAUGUUCACAUCUAUAAAGCAUGACUUGUCGCAAAAGGUUUUUGACAAGUUCAAGGAGUUGACUACGACGAGACCUUCUCGCCCGUAGUGAUGCUUAAGUCCAUUCGGAUUAUUCUAGCUAUAGCUGCAUAUUUCGAUUAUGAGAUAUGGCAGAUGGAUGUCAAGACAGCUUUCCUGAAUGGAAACCUAGCUGAGGACGUGUAUAUGAUACAGCCCGAGGGUUUUGUCGAUCCAAAAAAUGCUGGAAAGGUAUGCAAGCUUCAGAGAUCCAUUUAUGGAUUGAAGCAAGCAUCUAGGAGUUGGAACAUUCAUUUUGAUGAAGUGGUCAAAGGGUUUGACUUCACCAAGAACGAAGAAGAGUCUUGUGUUUACAAGAAGGUUAGUGGGAGCUCUAUAGUAUUUCUAAUCUUAUAUGUGGAUGACAUAUUACUGAUUGGAAAUAACAUUCCUAUGCUUGAGUCCGUAAAGACUUCACUGAAAAAUAGUUUUUUGAUGAAGGACUUAGGGGAAGCAGCAUAUAUUCUGGGCAUUAAGAUCUAUAGAGAUAGAUCGAGAAGGCUUAUAGGUUUAAGCCAAGAUACUUACAUUGACAAAGUGUUGAAGCGGUUCAGCAUGGAAGAGGCAAAGAAAGGGUUCUUGCCUAUGUCACAUGGCAUACAUCUCAGCAAGACUCAGUGUCCUUCGACUGCUGAUGAGCGGGAUCGCAUGAGUAGAGUGCCAUAUGCCUCGGCUAUUGGAUCUAUCAUGUAUGCAAUGAUAAGUACUCGCCCAGAUGUUUCAUAUGCGCUAAGUAUGACAAGCAGACACCAGUCUGAUCCAGGUGAGAGUAACUGGACAGCGGUGAAAAACAUUCUUAAGUACUUGAGAAGGACUAAAGAUAUGUUCCUCGUCUAUGGAGGUGAGGAGGAGCUCGUUGUAACAGGUUACACCGAUGCUAGUUUCCAAACCGACAGAGAUGAUUCAAAGUCACAAUCAGGAUUUGUGUUCACGCUAAAUGGUGGUGCUGUUAGUUGGAAGAGUUCCAAGCAGGAGACGGUGGCUGAUUCUACGACAGAAGCCGAGUACAUCGCGGCUUCGGAAGCCGCGAAGGAAGGUGUUUGGAUAAGGAAUUUCCUCAUUGAGCUUGGUGUGUUCCCGAAUGCGUCCAGCCCAUUGAAUCUCUACUAUGAUAACAAUGCUAUGAUUACAAUGGGGCAAUUGCGCAAGCAAAGGAGCCAAGGAACCACCAGAAGAACAAACACGUAAUGUGGCGAUUUCAUCUCAUUCGAGACUUCGUUAACCGGGGUGAGAUCAAGAUAUGCAAAAUACACACGGAUCUGAACAUUUCUGAUCCAUUGACAAAACCACUCCCGCAGGCUAAGCAUGAUGCGCAUGUAAGAGCUAUGAGUAUUAGGUACCUUCUAGAUUGACUCUAGUGCAAGUGGCAGACUGUUGGAGGUAUGCCCUAGAGGCAAUCAUAGAGAUGAUGAUAUUCCAUUUGUAUCCAUGAUUUGUAUGUUGUGUUCGUUGAAUAUCCAUUGAAGGCUACUUGAAUUGAUUUGCAAUUAUGUGAAUUGUAUGUGAAACUCUUUACUUGUAUGGUUAUUCUAAAGUUGUCCCUAGUCGGAGUUCAUGUGAGGACACACAUGAAUAUUAGACUAGCACAUGUAUUAGUUGAUGACUAUGUUUCACAAGUCAUGGACAUGGAGAUGUUGAACUAAUAAUGUGGACACAUGUGGAGACAUGUGCUAGGACUAACCCAACACGAGAAGUAGUUCUCUCUUUAAACAACAUAUACGCUUUGUCCUUAGACCUGAGAUUGUCGCAUGUAUUCUAGAUGUGGAUCGACCUACUUAGGGGCUAUCAAACGCUACGCCGUAACAGGGUAGUUAUAAAGGUAGCUUUCGGGUUUGUCAAGAAGCAUGCUAUGAGACAUGGUCAAUCAAGAUGGGAUUUGCCCCUCUCUGAUUGAGAGUGAUAUCUCUGGACCCCUCGAGUGAUCGGAUCCGAAAAUGCAUGGCCAUGCUACGUACGGUUAAGAGUUAACCUACAAAAGGAUUCCAAAUCACAGGAUUGAGAAAGAGCGGUCGGCUUGAAGCUAGACCAAAUAUCGUGAGGCAAAGGGAAUAGCAUGUAUAUUAUGUUGUGAUGGUUCAUCUGAUAUGAUCUUCAUGUGCGUAUAGGAGUUGGCACGUCUUGCUAGAGGGCGCUACCGACUAUUGGGCCGAGUAGGAGUACUCGGGCCAUGUCUAUACGUAUCCGAACCCAUAGGGUCACACACUUAAGGGGCUGGAAGCCCAAUUCGGAUCUGAUUCGAGUUGGAUUAGGUUUAGAAGUACUAAUGGGCCUCGGAUCCAGAGGCCCGUCAGGAACCUCUAUAAAUAGAGGGGUGGGGGCGCCCUAGGGUUUACACCUUUUUGGCGAAACACACCUGCCGCGCCUCCCUCGCCCUCGCCUGUUGCAACUCACGGAUCUAGCAGUCCGGCUUGCGACGCUUCCUCCCUGCACGUGUGGAUACCUUGGAGGUGUUGCGCCUGCAGCACUUGGACGAGCCGCCGACGAGCCACGACGAGCCAACGACGAGCCGCGGCACCGGGGGCGAUCUUGCUGAACGUGGACGAGCUGCUGAGGAGCUGCUGGACGUUGACGUGAUCGACUAUGUACGACUACGUUGAUCAACUACGUACGACUACGUGAUCGUCUUCACUGCAUCAACGCAUAUCUACAUGUUCCGCACCAGUAGUGCGUCGAGUGGUAAUCCCGUGAUCCUUAUACUGCAGUUAUUCCUGGUUUUACGCGGUAGAAAUUUUAAUUUGCGCUAGCGUAGCCUACCUCGUAUCCCAACACCUAUAACUCGCGAGUGAUAGGAAAUCACUCGACUUUUACCGAGUCCUAUUAAGUAUUGCAACUACUCGGACUUAUCAGACUAGUGUUCAGAUCAAGGGAAUUAAGUUAUGCAUCUAUGGUAUCAAACAACUCCUAUAACGUAAAUGCACAUACAUACGAAAGAAGGCAUGUGCAAUUUUAGAAAGUUGGGGUUAUGCUCCAGGGCUUGCCUUCGAGCAGAGCGGAGGCAAACUUGUCUUCUGCGGGUUUUGCUUCAGCUUCUACGGUCGGCAGCUCAGCUACUACUCCGUCUUCUGGCACCGGAUGCAGCUCGUAUGUGCCGUCGGCGAGAUUUAGUUCUACACGGAAAUGCAAAUGCAGGGGUUAAACAUUUAGUCGGUUAUUUCAACAACACUUGCACACUUUAGAUCAGAAACUUGUAGCAAAGCUAUAGGAAAGGUGUGGAAGUCCAAGCUUCAGUUGAUGGAGAAUAGAUGAAAGGGUCGGGUUGGGAGAAACUUAUGAUCUGACUCUCAGAACUCAGGAAUAACUGUACCGGGUCCUCAGACUUAACACAGAGAAGUCCCCAAAAUUUUACACAGAUACCCUCGGGUCAAAUAAAAAGAUACAGCCGAGCCCUCGGGCAAAGCGGACAAGGGCCGGCGAAAUAGACAGGGUUGGGCGAAACGGAAAAAGGGGUCGGGCGAACCGGAAAGGGGUCAGCAGCUUACCUUUAGGCCUACUGGUGAAGUCUUGGGGUCGGGAAGGAACAGACUUAGGCGGAAGGACUCGAGGCGCUAAGGCUUGGGCGGCGGCGGGGUUCGGCAGUGCUCUAGCGACGGCAGUGCUUCUUGUGGACAACAAGCAAGCUCUACCACCGUGCGGAGGAACAGGUGGCUGGUGGGUUGGGAAAAGCGGGUUUGAGCGGAGAGGGGAAGUUCCUUAAGAGCUUAAGCGGUAGCGCUCAAGUGCGAGCAGAGUAAGGUGCGGCGAGGCAGCAAUGGUGAAGGAAACUCCGGUAGAGGCUCUGGUACUCCCUUUUAUAGUUGCGCGAAAGAGAGAGAGAGAGAGAGAGAGAGAGAGAGAGAGAGAGAGUCCGAGUAGCGCGAAGUUCAGGUCGAAAAGGAUGGAGUGCUCUGCCGUGGCGGCGAUUGGGUGGCGCCUCCAUUGGCCGACAAAGCGGAGCUUCGGGGACAGGGUCUUUGGUCAUUGGGCACUGGAGACAAAGCCGGCGCAGGCGCGGUUUUGUCGGGAUGAAGGGUUGGCAAGGGCGAGCACGGUAUGGUCGCGUCAAGUGGCGGAUUGGGUGCGGCGACUCGACUAGCGUGUGACAGGAAGGAAGGAAAGGCACUGCAAGCGAGGUUGCAGCAGGCGAGGUGACAGGGCGAGCAGCGACGCUAGCAAAUGCAGAUCAGCGGCUUUGCCAGGGCACGUUACUAGCGAGGCGGAAAAAGGAGCUGUCUCUACCGGAGCCGUGGUUGGUGAGGACGGUAUCGUCAUGGAGCGCGCGCGUGGGCAGCGCGACUGUAGGGGAGACGAAAAAGUCGGAAGGCAUCGGGGCGCGCGGCUGGGGAUCCGGGCGAGAUGAUGGGUGCGGGAGGUGAGGCGGUCUGGCGCGGCAGCGGGCAAUUCUCUAUAGCAGCGGCGACAGGGCGCCUUGGCGCGGCCGGCGAGGGUGCGAACGAGAUGAGGCAAGCCGGAAAGGGCUGCAGGGGCUUCCGCCCGCGAUUGGGAACGAGGCGCGCUAAUCUAUCUUGUCGUGGCCAGCGACUGGGCGAGGCGGCGCUCGUCGGGGAGGUUGAGCCACGUGGCGGAGAGGCUCUGAAGUGGGGCGCACGCAGGCUCUGGCGCGUCUGACUCAAGAGAUCUGUGGGAUCUGGUUUUGGGUCCACCAUUCAGUCUCUAGCUCUCCCACAGCUCCAAGUUUUGGAGGAACACUGGUUUCAGGACUUAGAGAAUAGCUGCCGUUUGCUGGGUGGGUGCGAUUUUGCUGGGUUUUCAGGAGUCGUGCUGAUGGAGACUGCAGAUUUGGGAUUUGCCUAGAGAUUAACUCGGCUGAUUAAACCAAAGUCGUUACAGCAGGUCUGAUCAGCAUGACUGACCAGAGAGCAGAGUCAGCGCACACGAUCGACUACAAGAGAUGGCCGAUGCUCGGGUGUCAGAUGAAAAUCCCCUGGGAUGGGAGCCAGACUGGGAGCGCGCCAGACCGCCAGCCAAAUCGGUGAACCCCAGGUGGUGCCCUGACAGAUUGACCAAAAUCCCAAAAACGAAGAAUCCAACGCCUGCGCCAAUGCGAACAAUAGGAAGAAGAGCAGAAGCAGAUGGUGGAUAAGAAGGAUGACAGGUCUCGAGUCUGGCGCCCCAAAAGAAACAACAAUGAGGAAGAUGGCAACCAGGAAUCGGCAGCUGACGUUAGCAUGGUGUUCAUCUUGCCGAUGGAGUUCAUGGCUCCCGCCGAUUGGAAUGACACGACGAAGAUGGAGGAACAAAUGGCGGAAUUGGCUUUGGAGCCAAUGACAACUACUUUUGAGAAACCAGAAGAUGAAAAAUGACAACACCUUAAGGCACUGUUCCUCAAAGGGCACGUCAACGGUCAGCCCGUCACCAGGCUACUAGUAGAUGGAGGCGCUGCAGUCAACAUCAUGCCGUACGCCAUGUUCCGAAAGCUGGGUAUAAGCGAUGAGGAUCUAACCAAGACGGACAUGAUGCUCAAGGACUUCGAAGGCAACGUAUCCCCCACCCACGGAGCACUUUGCGUCGACCUCACCAUCGGCAGUAAGACCCUUCCCACUACCUUCUUUAUUAUUAAUGGCAAAGGGUCCUACAAUAUGUUGCUCGGUCACGAUUGGAUACAUGCAAAUUGCUGUGUCCCAUCUACAAUGCAUCAAUGCGUCGUGCAGUGGGUCGGCGACAACAUCGAGAUAGUCAUCGCCGAUUCCGCCUACAGUGUUGCUGCGGCCGAUAUGCAACAGUGGAGCUGCGAACACGUCAAGUGCAUAUCCGGAAGAACUUGGGACACCGAUUUCCUGAAAGUGUCCGAUUUUGGCCUACAGCCGAUUUGAGCAGUCGGCUCUGAAGAUUCAGAUUAGAUGGAUCAAGUCGUCCGAGAAGAUGGGAAGCUGGGGCACGGGUUUACUAACGGAGAAAGGAGAUGAUAGAUCUAGGUGAUGGCACCAAACCGAGGCCGACGUCCAUUAGUGCUAACUUGGAUCCAGAAUACAAGUGUAAAUUGACAAAUUUAUUGAAAGAAUUUAAAGAUUGUUUUGCUUGGGAAUAUCAUGAGAUGCCUGGUUUAGACCGGUCCACUGUUGAAGACCCGUUGCCUAUAAAGCUGGGAUAUCGGCCAUAUCAGCAGCCCGCGCGAUGAUGCAAUCUUAAAAUUCUACUUGACAUAAAGGCCGAAAUUACAAGACUAUGUGAGGCAAAAUUUAUUCGGCAAUGCCGUUACGCUGAGAGGAUCUCUAACAUUAUACCCGUAUACAAGAAAAACAGAAAACUGCGCGUAUGCAUUGAUUUCAGGAACCUUAAUCAGGCCACGCCGAUGGAUGGAUAUCCGAUGCCGACAGUAGAUGUGUUGAUAGAUGCCGCCGCAGGAUGUAAAGUCAUCAGUUUCAUGUACGGAAAUGCCGGGUACAAUCAAAUAUUAAUGGCCGAAGAAGACAUCUCAAAAAUGGCCUUCAGGUGUCCGGGCCACCUCGGUUUAUUCGAGUGGGUAGUAAUGACCUUUGGAUUAAAGAAUGAUGGCGCUACAUAUCAACGGGCUUUGAAUUACAUCUUCCACAAGCUCAUCGGCGUCCUGGUGGAAAUCUACAUCGACGUCAUCGUGGUCAAAUCAAAAGGGCAUCAAAAACAUCUAGCCGAUCUGCGAGAAGUAUUGGAAUGCACGAGGAAACAUGGGUUGAAAAUGAACCCGAACAAGUGUGCAUUUGGCGUAUCGGCCGGGUAGUUCCUAGGAUUCAUGGUCCACGAGCGCGGGAUAGAAGUCAACCGGAAGAUCAUAGCGGCCAUCAACAAGGUUGUAGCCCCACAGAACAAAACUGAGUUGCAAUCUCUAAUUGGCAAAGUUAACUUUAUCAAAAGAUUCAUAUCCAACUUGUCUUGGCGUAUUCAAGCCUUCACGCCGUUAUUGAAGUUAAAGCCCAACCAGGAAUUUGUGUGGAGAGAGGAACAACGGAAAGCAUUGGAAGACAUCAAGCAAUACCUGAUCUCGCCACCUGUAUUAGUCCCACCACAAGCUGACAAACCAUUCAGACUAUACUUAUCGGCCGACGAAUGGGCUAUCAGAUCAGCGCUGGUACAGGAGUUCGAAGGGAAGGAACGGGUGAUAUAUUAUGUUAGCAGAAGACUUCUGGACGCCGAGACAAGAUACUCACCGGCAGAGCGGCUGUGCCUAUGUCUUUAUUUCUCAUGUACCAAGCUUAGGCACUACCUUUUGUCGGCAGAAUGCAUAGUCGUAUGCAAAGACGACGUGGUAAAGUACAUGCUAUCAUUGCCAAUUUUGAAAGGACGAAUCGAAAAAUGGAUCCUGGCACUGUCAGAGUUUGACCUAAGGUAUGAAUCGGUCAAAGCUGUCAAGGGUCAAGUCAUGGCUGAUUUCAUGGCCCAACACUGCGGACCAGAAAUCAUUGUCGUGGAGCUGGCUCCAUGGACUCUAUACUUUGAUGGUUUGUCAUGUGGCGCCGGAUCAGGAAUCGGCAUCGUCCUCAUAUCGCCUCGGGGGGCAAGCUAUGAUUUCUCUCUGCCGAUAGAAGCUUUCGUGACCAAUAAUCAGGUGGAAUACUGAGCUGUCCUAAAAGGCAUUCAAUUAUUGAGAGAGAUCAAAGGUGAUGCUAUGGAGAUUUUUGGGGAUUCCAUGCUCAUCAUAGACCAGCUAAUAGGAGAUCAGAAUGUAAAGAUGACGUCCUGUGGAUUUACUACAAAGAUUGCCUCCAACUUUUAAAUAAGUUUAAGACUGCAGUUAUUGAGCAUAUUCCUAGAGAUUAUAACGAAGAGGCCAAUAGGCUCGCACAACACGCGUCCGGGUAUCGGCCAAUUCAGGGCGCCCUGACUCUGGAACUCGCAGCCGACGAUUGGCGAAAGGAGAUCGCUGAUUACUUAAGGGACCCGUCCAAGAAAGUGGAUCGGCGAAUACGUUUUCAAGCCACAAAGUACGUGCUACUCGAUGAUAAUUUGUUUUACCGAACGAUUGAUGGAGUUUUGCUCAAAUUCCUAGGGACGGAAGAGGCACAGAUCCUGAUGGGAGAAAUCCACGAAGGGGUGUGCGGAGCCCACCAAUCGACCCAUAAAAUGAAGUGGAUGAUUAGGAAUAACGGAUAUUAUUGGCCGACGAUACUCAAAGACUGCUUCAAAUAUUAUAAAGGUUGUCAAGACUGUCAGAAGUUUGGCAACGUGCAACGUGCACCAGCAUCGACUAUGAAUCCGAUAAUCAAGCCAUGGCUGUUCAUGGGUUGGGGAAUAGACCUCAUCGGACAAAUUUAUCCUCCUUCAAGUAAGGGGCACAAGUUCAUAUUGGUAGCCACUGACUACUUUACCAAAUUGGUGGGGCAAUCCUACUAAAGGCUGUGACAUCGGCCGCUAUGGUCGAUUUUGUAAGAGACCACAUUGUUUAUCAUUUUGGGAUUCCUCAAACCAUCACAACCGACCAAGGGACGAUGUUCACUUCGGAAGAGUUCGAGGAAUUCACUGCUGAUAUGGGGAUCAAGUUGCUAAAUUCUUCCCCAUAUUAUGCUCAAGCUAACGGCCAAGCUGAAUCGUCCAAUAAAGGGAUAAUUAAGUUAAUCAAAAGGAAGAUCGAAGAACAACCUAAGAAGUGGCACUUGUAAUUGACCGAGGCUUUAUGGGCUUACAGGAUGGCCUACCACGGGGCUACUAAGAUAUCCCCUUAUCAAUUGGUGUAUGGUUACGAAGCAGUGUUGCCUUGGGAAUUAAGAACAGGGUCAAGACGUACAUCGCUUCAAGAUCAGUUGACGGCCGACAACUAUUCCUCACUCAUGAAAGGAGAACUCAAUGAUUUGGCAGGUAAAAGAUUGAGGGCUUUGAUCAGCAUCGAGGAGAAUAAAAAGAGAGUGGCCAGGUGGUACGACAAGAAGGUCAAAGUCAAGCAAUUCUCCCAAGGAGAUUUGGUAUGGAAGUUGGUGCUGCCGAUAGGGUCUAAAGAUCCCAAAUUUGGUAAAUGGUCGCCCACUUGGGAAGGGCUGUAUAAAAUCGGCCGAUGCGCUCCAAGAAACGCGUAUAUACUGGAGACAAUCGAAGGAGAAGAAUUCACAAGAGCCUUGAAUGGGAGGUACCUAAAAAGAUACUAUCCCAGUAUAUGGGUCGAUGCAUAAGUAGUUACAGAGUAUAUCAAGAUGAUGCGGCUAGCUCCUAGUAGAUCUUGUAGCCGGUGCAAGAACAACAUCGCCUCAAGAACAAUACAUUCGUUCAAGUUGUCCGAUUUAUUAUUCGGUGCGAACGAUAGGGUACAUGGCCAACACGGUACAAGUCACCCUUAGAACAAAAAGUACCAACACGCCUACUGACCAUGCUUUUUCUUAAUUUUCCUCUCUACCCGAUCUAGUUCUAUCAAGAGAUGGAUGCUUCUCUCCUCCACAUCCUUCAUCGCGGCUUCAGCCUCAACUUGACGGGGAAGAGGAUGGCUCCGGUCAAGCAGUGGUUGAGAUAUUCCCGCUGCAGCGUCUUCAAGGGCGAUUGGGCGAGGGAGCGGAUGACUCCUUUCUAUUGGCGGCCGCCUAGAGCAGUUGGCGUCGAUGUGAUCCCAGAUCCGCUUGACUUCUGCAUGAACAUGAUCCCUGAGUUCUUCAUGGUGAGCUCUAAUCAAAUCCUUGUCCUCCUGCGACAACGGUUCAUCGGAGUGCAUGAUCUCGAUUUCCUUGUCCUUUCUAUUAGGGAUUGUUUAAAUGGUAUUCUGUGAGUUUCUAAGUUUAUCAGAUCGAUUGGGUCUGGACUUCCCAUAGGGCCUAAGCAAAUGAGACCGGGAGCUUCGGAAAGGCGAAUGGUGAUUUGGUGCCUAACCGCCUAAAAAGGUAAUAAGGGAAGAACUAAGAAUGGAUCUAAAAGCCAAUGCCUGGGCGGUAAAGGGUAAAAAGAAAAGUUCCGGGUAAAUACCUCCGGGAUGAAGGUCAUCGUCGCUGACGGGGCUGCUAGUAGAGCUGCCACCGCCGAAGCCGCUGGUGGGACCUAGGUCGCCGAUGGAGCUGCUGCCGCCGCCGUUGGAGCUGCCUCCGGAGUUUCUGUUGCUGGAGGGGUUGCCGAUGGUGUCGCCAUUGUUAAGAUGAGGCGAAAUGUGGAUGAACUAGGGGGUCGCCGGAGGGUUUGCUUGGAAGUCAAGAGGGUGCCAGAAGAAGAUGGAAACUAGUGCGCCAAAGAAAGGAAGUUACUGGCUUGUGAAGAAGAAGUGCGGGACGUGCUAGUAUUUAAGGACGGUUCGAGAAGGGGUAAAGUCAGGAUUUUUACCGCGCCGUCUACACAAAUUUUGGGGGAGUGGUUGUCCUAGGCGCCCAUUUCGAAACGAUUGCAAUCAUCAGGUAGGAGACCGCGAAAUGGAAGGAUAUUUUUAAUGCGUUUGUUUCGGAGGAGAAGUUGAAAAGGAAUUUCAAAGUAAAAGCUAUGUUUUACUCCGAAACGGGGGGGCAUGUGUUGACGCUAGAUUUCGACACAUAUGGAAUCGGCGUCGAGAAAGGAGAAGAUUGGCUCAUGCGGCAGAUUGGAAGAUCACGAUUGGGAAUCGGCCGAUUGGUGCUACAGUUGGGGAUCAGCCGAUUGGCGCUACAGUGUUUUGGCAGAUGGAGUUGAUGGAGAUCGGUCGAUUGAAAGGCUGGAGCGAUUGGGCCAAUAUGGGCUUAAAAUGGGUUAGAGAAAGAAGAUGGAGGAAGAUUGGCCCAUGGGAAUACAAUAACCAACUCCGAUACGAGUUGUACUUGUAAAUAUUUGUUUUCAUUUAAAUUAAGAGAUAGAUCCUAGUUGGUUAAGAAAUUGGUUAUAACAGGCCAUAAAUAGCCGUCUUUAGGGAUUUGUAAAAAACACAUCAAUCAAUACAACAAUCUACUAUUUCUUCGUACUUUACUUUCAAGUCGGCAACUUUGCCAAUACUUUUUCUUCUUUCACGAGUUCGUACGGGUUGGCGAGGUUGCAUCGACAUGAUCUCUGGCCGAUUCUGUAAGUUUCACUUAUCGAGUAAUAUCUAAGCUUUAACUUUGGGUGCAUCGCUGUCGUUUCGUUUAGAUUUAUUCACCAGUUAUCGAUAUUUACUAGAAUUAUAGGUUUCAUCUGUUGUUCUAGUUUUAUCACCAGUUAUCCAGCUUGAGAUCUGAAUUGUCGGCUUUAUUAUUCAUUAUUCGUCAUUUUCAUAUAGCCGAUUAGAUCUAUUUCAAGUGUUGCUCCUGUAGCGUUAUCUAGUUUACUCUAGUAGUUUUCUUUAUAAUCGCUACGUGGUUGUCGGCUGUAUCAUAGCCGAUUAUCUUUUUAUAGCAAAUUGGUCGAUUCGCUGAUACGCUUUCUCGAGAUCGGAACCUUAGCCGAUCGGAACCCCUAGAAUUUGGCACGUUUUCUUCCUUGCCAAUCAACAGAUCAAAUUGGCUGGCACGCUGCGCGAACCACACCAGGGCGAUCACCUGAACAGGAGCUAAGCAGAUUCGCCCGAGUCGUGUGUCCGACGUUGAGAGUCAAUCGGCUGACUUUUAGCAUCAACAAUAAGGAGGUCGUUAAUAUUUCCCCCCAACAGGGGGGUAGUAGGGUGGCGGCUUUAGUCCCGGUUGUAAAGACCAACCGGGACUAAAGCCCCUUUUAGUCCCAAUUGUAACGGCUAUAAAAAUUGCACCGACGCCCCCCUUGUCCCGGUUGGAAAUUCCAACCCAGACAAAAGACCCCCUUUUGUCCCAGUUGGUAAUUCCAACCGGAAUAAAAGGGGGGUCUUUUGUCCCGGUUGGAAAAAUCACCAACCGAGACAAAGGGGGGAUACUUUGUCCCGGUUGGAAUUUCCAACAGGGACAAAAUCUCCUCCCCUAUAAAUCCAACCAGCCUAAAACUCUUCUUCCUCCCCCAACCAGAGCCACUCCACCAGAGACCGAGAGCUUCAUCCUCCUCUCCAUGGCGAGCAAGCAACCUUAGGGGAGGUGCUGCCCGAAUUUUUUUCCUCAUUUUCAUGGGGAUUUCACUCAUCCAAAGUGUUGUGAAGGUUAGCUACUUCAUCCUUCCUUCAUUUAUUGUUAUUAUGCUUUGUUUUAUGCUUUCUAGAGGGAGAAAAAUAAGUUUUUUAGAAUGAAGGAGAAUGGAGAGGAUUUUUAUUUAUACAUAUUUUUGAGCUAGAAUUUGAUGGAUAGCUUGUUAUAUAUGAUUCAUAUUAGUUAAAAGAACUUGAUCAAUAUUAGGUAUGUGAGGAAACAUAAAGUAAAUGUAUUUUUAAUAUUUAGUCAUUGCAAUAAAAUUAAGGUAAAUAAAUUUUAGGUGUAAGAAAUAGAAUUUGGUCAUUGCUACAAUUUUUCAUGUCACUGUAAUUUAACAAUAAUUGCAUUUAUUUGACCAAUAAUUUAUUUAUCUCAGGUUUAUUGCAAUAAUUAAAUAUUAUAAACACACUUACUCUAUUUUUCACGUAAUAUGAUGCAGACAGACUGGCAAUGGAUGUACCACCACCGUUUCUCCAAUCCCAGAGAAUAGUGUUUGCACAUGGCAUGGAUGUGCUUACACUAUUCUCUACAUAUAACUCAAUCUUCUACAAAGUCUAUGGAGAGUUACCUCCGCUCCUCUAGUACCAGAAAAUAACUGUAGAACAGAAGAGCUUUGAAUCCACAAACUCGGGUUGAAUACCAUAAAAUAAUCUUGAAAUAGUAUUCCAAACGCCUUUCGGAGCUUAAUUCUCAUAAUAGAAGUCCAAUAUCCUGUUCAGGAAGAGAUUUGUUCACUAACCUUGAUCCAUAGCUUUUAGUUGGUUUUGCCUCGCUAAAAUAAGCCAUGCUCAGUGUGUUGGGAUAUGAGGUAGGCUACACUAGCGCAAAUCAAAAUUUCUACCGCGUAAACUAGGAAGAACUGCCGUAUAAGGAUCACGGGAUUACCACUCGACGCACUACUGGUGCGGAAGAUGUAGAUUUGCGUCGAUGCAGUGAAGACGAUCAACGUAGUCGUACGUAGUCGAUCAACGCAGUCGUACGUAGUCGAUCACGUCAACGUCCAGCAGCUCCUCAGCAGCUCGUCCACGUGCAGCAAGAUCGCCCUCGUGCCGCGGCUCAUUGUCGGCUCAUCGUGGCUCGGCGGCGGCUUGUCCGACUGCUGCAGGCGCAACACCUCCAAGGUAUCCACACGUGCAGGGAGGAAGCGUCGCAAGCCGGACUGCUAGAUCCGUGUGUUGCAACAAGCGAGGGCGUGGGAGGCGCGGCAGAUGAGUUUCGCCAAAAGGUGUUAAACCCUAGGGCGCCCCCACCCUCUAUUUAUAGAGGUUCCUGAUGGGCCUCUGGGUCCGAGGCCCAUUAGUACUUCUAAACCUAAUCCAACUCGGAUCAGAUCCGAAUUGGGCUUCCAGCCCCUUAAGUGUGUGACCCUAUGGGUUCGGAUACGUAUAGACAUGGCCCGAGUACUCCUACUCGGCCCAAUAGUCGGUAGCGGCCUCUAGCAAGACGUGCCAACUCCUAUACGCACACGAAGAUCAUAUCAGACGAACCAUCACAACAUAAUAUACAUGCUAUUCCCUUUGCCUCACGAUAUUUGGUCUAGCUUCAAGCCGACCGCUCUUUCUCGAUCCUGUGAUUCGGAAUCCCUUUGUAGGUAACCAGGAAGAACUGUCGUAUAAGGAUCAUGGGAUUACCACUCGACGUACUACUGGUGCGGAAGAUGUAGAUAUGCGUCGAUGCAGUGAAGACGAUCACNNNNNNNNNNNNNNNNNNNNNNNNNNNNNNNNNNNNNNNNNNNNNNNNNNNNNNNNNNNNNNNNNNNNNNNNNNNNNNNNNNNNNNNNNNNNNNNNNNNNNNNNNNNNNNNNNNNNNNNNNNNNNNNNNNNNNNNNNNNNNNNNNNNNNNNNNNNNNNNNNNNNNNNNNNNNNNNNNNNNNNNNNNNNNNNNNNNNNNNNNNNNNNNNNNNNNNNNNNNNNNNNNNNNNNNNNNNNNNNNNNNNNNNNNNNNNNNNNNNNNNNNNNNNNNNNNNNNNNNNNNNNNNNNNNNNNNNNNNNNNNNNNNNNNNNNNNNNNNNNNNNNNNNNNNNNNNNNNNNNNNNNNNNNNNNNNNNNNNNNNNNNNNNNNNNNNNNNNNNNNNNNNNNNNNNNNNNNNNNNNNNNNNNNNNNNNNNNNNNNNNNNNNNNNNNNNNNNNNNNNNNNNNNNNNNNNNNNNNNNNNNNNNNNNNNNNNNNNNNNNNNNNNAGUCGGUAGCGGCCUCUAGCAAGAACGUGCCAACUCCUAUACGCACACGAAGAUCAUAUCAGACGACCAUCACAACAUAUAUACAUGCUAUUCCCUUUGCCUCACGAUAUUUGGUCUAGCUUCAAGCCGACCGCUCUUUCUCGAUCCUGUGAUUCGGAAUCCCUUUGUAGGUUAACUCUUAACUGUACGUAGCAUGGCCAUGCAUUUUCGGAUCCGAUCACUCGAGGGGCCCAGAGAUAUCACUCUCAAUCAGAGAGGGGCAAAUCCCAUCUUGAUUGACCAUGUCUCAUAGCAUGCUUCUUCACAAACCCGAAAGCUACCUUUAUAACUACCCUGUUACAGCGUAGCGUUUGAUAGCCCCUAAGUAGGUCGAUCCACAUCUAGAAUACAUGCGACAAUCUCAGGUCUAAGGACAAAGCGUAUAUGUUGUUUAAAGAGAGAACUACUUCUCGUGUUUGGUCAGUCCUAGCACAUGUCUCCACAUGUGUCCACAUUAUUAGUUCAACAUCUCCAUGUCCAUGACUUGUGAAACAUAGUCAUCAACUAAUACAUGUGCUAGUCUAAUAUUCAUGUGUGUCCUCACAUGAACUCCGACUAGGGACAAUUUUAGAAUAACCAUACAAGUAAAGAGUUUCACAUACAAUUCACAUAAUUGCAAAUCAAUUCAAGUAGCCUUCAAUGGAUAUUCAAUGAACACAACAUACAAAUCAUGGAUACAAAUGGAAUAUCAUCAUCUCUAUGAUUGCCUCUAGGGCAUACCUCCAACAGUCUCCCACUUGCACUAGAGUCAAUCUAGAAGGUACCUAAUACCCAUAGCUCUUACAAGCGCAUCAUGCUUAGCCUGCGGGAGUGGUUUUGUCAACGGAUCAGAAAUGUUCAGAUCCGUGUGUAUUUUGCAUAUCUUGAUCUCACCCCGGUUAACGAAGUCUCGAAUGAGAUGAAAUCGCCGCAUUACGUGUUUGUUCUUCUGGUGGUUCCUUGGCUCCUUUGCUUGCGCAAUUGCCCCAUUGUUAUCACAGUAGAGAUUCAAUGGGCUGGACGCAUUCGGGAACACACCAAGCUCAAUGAGGAAAUUCCUUAUCCAAACACCUUCCUUCGCGGCUUCCGAAGCCGCGAUGUACUCAGCUUCUGUCGUAGAAUCGGCCACCGUCUCCUGCUUGGAACUCUUCCAACUAACAGCACCACCAUUUAGCGUGAACACAAAUCCUGAUUGUGACUUUGAAUCAUCUCUGUCAGUUUGGAAACUAGCAUUGGUGUAACCUGUUACAACGAGCUCCUCCUCACCUCCAUAGACGAGGAACAUAUCUUUAGUCCUUCUCAAGUACUUAAGAAUGUUUUUCACUGCUGUCCACUGACUCUCACCUGGAUCAGAUUGGUGUCUGCUUGUCAUACUUAGCGCAUAUGAAACAUCUGGGCGAGUACUUAUCAUUGCAUACAUGAUAGAUCCAAUAGCCGAGGCAUAUGGCACUCUACUCAUGCGAUCCCGCUCAUCAGCAGUCGAAGGACACUGAGUCUUGCUGAGAUGUAUGCCAUGUGACAUAGCCAAGAACCCUUUCUUUGCCUUUUCCAUGCUGAACCGCUUCAACACUUUGUCAAUGUAAGUAUCUUGGCUUAAACCUAUAAGUCUUCUCGAUCUAUCUCUAUAGAUCUUAAUGCCCAGAAUAUAUGCCGCUUCCACUAAGUCCUUCAUCGAAAAACUAUUUUUCAGUGAAGUCUUUACGGACUCAAGCAUAGGAAUGUUAUUUCCAAUCAGUAAUAUGUCAUCCACAUAUAAGAUUAGAAAUACUAUAGAGCUCCCACUAACCUUCUUGUAAACACAAGACUCUUCUUCGUUCUUGGUUAAGUCAAACCCUUUGACCACUUCAUCAAAACGAAUGUUCCAACUCCUAGAUGCUUGCUUCAAUCCAUAAAUGGAUCUCUGAAGCUUGCAUACCUUUCCAGCAUUUUUCGGAUCGACAAAACCCUCGGGCUGUAUCAUAUACACGUCCUCAGCUAGGUUUCCAUUCAGUAAAGCUGUCUUGACAUCCAUCUGCCAUAUCUCAUAAUCAAAAUAUGCAGCUAUAGCUAGAAUAAUCCGAAUGGACUUAAGCAUCACUACGGGCCAGAAGGUCUCCUCAUAGUCAACUCCUUGAAGUUGUCGAAAACCUUUUGCGACAAGUCGUGCUUUAUAGAUGUGAACAUUUCCAUCCAUGUCCUUUUUCUUCUUAUAGAUCCUCUUGCACUCUAUGGCUUUAACACCAUCAGGCGGGUCAACCAAGUUCCAAACAUGAUUGUCUCCCAUGGACUCUAUUUCGGAUUGCAUGGCACUCUGCCAUUUUUUCGGAGUCUAGGUCCAUCAUUGCUUCUGCAUUUUUCAGAUAGCAUGCUUCUUGACAAACCCGAAAGCUACCUUUAUAACUACCCUAUUACGGCGUAGCGUUUGAUAGCCCCAAAGUAGGUCGAUCCACAUCUUGAAUACAUGCGACAAUCUCAGGUCUAAGGACAAAGCGUAUAUGUUGUUUAAAGAGAGAACUACUUCUCGUGUUUGGUCAGUCCUAGCACAUGUCUCCACAUGUGUCCACAUUAUUAGUUCAACAUCUCCAUGUCCAUGACUUGUGAAACAUAGUCAUCAACUAAUACAUGUGCUAGUCUAAUAUUCAUGUGUGUCCUCACAUGAACUCCGACUAGGGACAACUUUAGAAUAACCAUACAAGUAAAGAGUUUCACAUACAAUUCACAUAAUUGCAAAUCAAUUCAAGUAGCCUUUAAUGGAUAUUCAAUGAACACAAUAUACAAAUCAUGGAUACAAAUGGAAUAUCAUCAUCUCUAUGAUUGCCUCUGGGGCAUACCUCCAACACAGUGAACAUAUCUUUUGCCUGGACAGGCUAUUGUGUGCGGCUAUUGUGUGCUACCAUACUUCUAUUAUGAGAAUAUAGCACUUGCUCCAAAAGAUGUUUGGACAAUGAUUUCUAGAUUCAUUUAUGAUAUUCAGCCCAAGUAUAUGGAUUCGAAGAUCUUCUAUUGUACCAUUAUUUUCUGGUACUGGAUAUGUGGAGGUGACUCUCGAUAGACUUCUUAGAAGAUUGAGUUAUGUGCAGAGAUGUCUUGGAGGCCGAACAUUCUACUAUAUUGUACCAUUCUUUUAGGAUAAUUGACUACAUGAACUAAAGUACGGAGCGUCUGUAAUCUUUAGUGUAUAUGUAUCUUUAUUGUCUUGUUAUGAGUGUAAUCUUUAUAUAUAUCUUUAGUGAAUGUUAUGAAUAUUGAUUGGUGUAAUUUUCAUGUGAAUUGUUUUUAUCGUUGAUUGGUGUAAAUUAUGAAUAUUGAUCAAUUUCUUUAUCUAAUACGAAGACCAAUGUCCAUUUCUCAUGUAAUAAUUGAUUCAUCUAAUGUUGUUUGCAAGGACUAAAUAUUAUAAUCACAUUAGCUCUAUUUCCCCCCUACCUAAUAUUGAGCAAGUUAUUUAUCUAAUACAAAGAUCUAUGUCCAUUUCUUACGUAAUACGAUGCAGAUGGACGGGCAAUGGAUGUAUAACAUAGAAAGAUGGACCAAGAAAUUUGUUGAUGGCUUGCAUUAUUUUUUUGAAGUGGCCAAAGCCAACAAGCUAGAGAAUAGAUUCAUAUAUUAUCCAUGCUUCCACUGCAGUAACAAGAAGGACUACUCUUCCUGGGGACUGUUCACGACCACUUAUUUAGAUAUGGUUUCAUGCCUAACUACUUGGUUUGGACCAAGCAUGAUAAAAAGGGGUUAUAAUGGAAGAUGAUGAAGAAGAGGAGGAUGAUAACAAUAUUCUGGAGUGGGCUGUAGGCCAAACUUUUACAGAUACUACAAUGGGCGAGGCUGAUGAAGAUGAGUUUGCAGAAGAUGACCCUACUGAUGAUCUUGGUUAGGUGCUAUGGGAUGUACAGAGAGAUUGCAAAACUAAGAAGGAAUCAAAAAAGUUGCAACGUAUGAUACAUGAUCACAAAAAAAUUGUUGUACCCAGAUUGCAAGCAAGGGCAUAAAAAAAACUGGGUACCAUACUAGAACUGCUAUAAUGGAAGGUAAAAAAUGAUGUGUCCGAUAAGGCAUUUGAGGGGAUAUUGAAAAUUGUAAAGAAUAUUUUUCUUGAGAAUAAUGAAUUGUCGUCCACAACAUAUGAAGCUAAAUAGAUUGUUUUCCCUCUAGGAUUGGAGGUUCAAAAGAUACAUGCAUGCCCUGAUGAUUGUAUCCUCUAUUGUAGUGAUAACUAUGAGAAAUUGGAUGCUUGUCAUGUGUGCGGAUCGCUGCGGUAUAAGAUCAGGCGAAAUGAUCCUGAUGAUUUCGAGGGGAAGCCUCCCAAGAAGAGAGUUGCUGCGAAGGUGAUGGGGUAUUUCCCUAUAAUACCACAUUUGAAGCAUUGAUUCAGAAACAAGGUGAAUGCUAAGUUGAUGCGAUAGCACAAAGAAGAACGUAAGCAAGAUGAGAUGCUGAGGCACCCCAUGGAUGGGUCCCACUGGAGAUCAAUUAAUAGAGCAUUCCCGAGCUUUGAAAGUGAUGCAAGGAACAUAAGGUUUUUUUUAAGUACUAAUGGAUUCAAUCCAUUCCGUGAGUUGAGUAGUGGUCAUAGUACUUGGCCUGUGACCCUAUGUAUGUUCAACCUUUAUCCUUGGCUGUGCAAGAAGUGGAAGUUCUUUAUGAUGCCGAUGCUUAUUAAAGGCCUAAAACAACUCGGCAACAAUAUUGACGUGUACCUAAGACCGUUGGUUGAUGAACUUUAACUGCUCUGGAAGGAAGAAAGUGUACGUGCGUGGGAUGAGGAUAAACAAGAGAGGAUUUACCUACGAGCAUUGUUGUUCGUAACCAUCAAUGAUUGUCCUGCGCUGAGUUAUCUUUCAGGAUAGACAAACAGCGGAUAUCGAGCCUGCACCCACAGUUUAGACGACACAGACAACAUGUAUUUGAAAUUCUAUAGGAAGGUUGUGUAUAUGGGCCAUCGUCGAUUUCUUCCUGCUAACCACCCGUUAAGAAAGAAAGGGAUGCAUUUCAAAGGGGUGCCAGACCAUCGUAAAAAACCUGCACACCGUAAUGGAAAGCGUGUAUUUGAGAUGAUAAAGGAUGUAAGGGUAGUCUUUGGAAAGGGUCUUGGUAGCGAAUCUGUUAUGAACGACGAUAACGGACGUGCACCCAUGUGGAAGAAAAAGUCUAUAUUUUGGAAGCUACCUUAGUGGGAAAUCCUAGAGGUUCGCAACACAAUAGACGUAAUGCACCUAACAAAGAAUCUUUGAGUGAACAUGCUAGGCUUUAUGGGUUGUUAUGGUAACUCAAAAGUUACAUUGGAAACAUGAUAGGACCUAAAACAUAUGAAGUAACGAGAUGACCUACAUCCGGAAAAAAGAGAUAAUAGACAACACUACUUACGUCUUGUCAGUUACACUCUUAGCAAGGAAGAGAAGGAUAACAUGUUUGAAUGCAUGAAUAGUAUCAAGGUUCCAUUUGGGUAAUCCUCGAAUAUAAAGGGAAUAAUAAAUAUGAAAGAAAAGAAGUUCACAAAUCUCAAGGCCCAUGAUUGCCACAUGUUGAUGACCCAGUUGCUUCUGGAUGCACUGAGGGGUAUUCUACUAGAGAAUCUACGAUUAGUGCUUGUAAAGCUAUGUGCGUUUCUCAAUGCAAUUUCGCAGAAGACAAUCAAUCCAACCAAGCUAGUAAAGCUACAGAACGAUGUGGUACAAUGUCUUGUCAGCUUUGAGUUGGUAUUUCCACCAUCCUUCUUCAAUAUUAUGACGCACCUCAUGGUUCACCUAGUCAAAGAGAUUACUAUUCUCGGUCCAAUAUUCCUGCACAAUAUGUGGUCUUUCAAGAGGUUCAUGUGAGUCCUAAAAACUAUGUUCUUAAUCGUGCCCAUCCAGAAGGAAGCAUCCCCAAGGGAUAUGGAAUAAAGGAGGUUAUUGAGUUUUGUGUUGAUUUUAUUGACUCAAUUAAUUCGAUUGGGGUUCCAAUAUUAGGCCACGAGGGGAGACUGCAGGGAACAGGCACCCUUGAAAGGAAAUCAAGUUUGAGAAAUGAUACUAAUUUGUUCCAUAAAGUACGCUUCACUAUUCUACAACAAUCAUCCUUUGUGGCUUCGUAUAUCGAGGAACACAAGCAGAUUCUAUUUUUCCAAUACCCGACGAAAUCCGAUGCCUGGAUAGUGGUGUCCGCAUAGAUGCCAUAGACAACAAUAGGAGCAAGGACUCGUAUUAUGGUUUCAUAGAGGAGAUCUGGAAACUUGAAUACAGACCGUUGAACAUCCCUUUGUUUCAUUGCCAAUGGGUGAAGCUAACUAGAGGUGGUGUAACGAAAGAUCAGUAUGGAAUGACAAUAGUGGACAUGACCAAGACUAGAUAUAAUGAUGAACCAUUCAUCCUUGCCAGUGAUGCGCACUAGGUUUUCUAUGUGAAGGAUAUGUCUAGCAAGCUUAAGAAAAAUUCAGAAGAUAAAGAAAAACCAUGGGAGCCAAAGCGCCACAUAGUUCUUCCAGGUAAAAGAAAAAAUCAUGGGAGUCGAGGACAAAACAAAAUAGUUAGAUGAUUAUGAUUAGUUUGAUGGCAUGCCUCCAAUCGCUGUCAAAGUUGACCCAAGCAUUAUGCUAGCCAAAGAAGAGGCUCCGUACUUACGCUAUGACCAUGACCAAGGAACUUUUGUCAAGAAGUUUUUUAAUGUUACAUUGUAAUGCACUAAAUAUGAUUCAUUUUUAUUAAAUGCUCUAUGGCCAUCAGAACCUUUGAAUUAUAUUGUAAUGCUCUAUGGAGAAAAUUUAUUCGAUCAAUAUAAACAAUGUUAACUUAACCACAUACACAAUUGCAUUUUUUCCACAUUGAAAUUAUUUUGAAUAGUUUGUUGAUGAUAGUAAUGCAUUAAAAUAAUUAUUUUAGAAACUUAAACAACUAGUAUAGAAUUAAUGAUAGAUUCAACCUUAUUUUAAAUAUACUUGCUAAUUUAAUAUAUUUUUGCAUGUUCAAAAUAUAUAAAGUUUUUAUUUUUUUCUUUAACAAAACCAGUGGAAAACAACUAAAACAUACAUAAAUUAUAAUUGGAAAACAAGCGGGGAAUGAAAAUUUCCACUAAAGGGCCUUUAGUCCCAGUUGGAAAGUCAAUCCGGGACUAAAGGCCCCCCUUUAGUCCCGGUUGCAAUUUGCAACCAGGACUAAAGGGUGCAUUUUCAGCUCCCACGCGUAAAGCACCUGUUGGAUUUAUAAACCCGGCAGUCCACUAGGGGGUUACCCAAGUGGUUGAUUUGUAGGUGGAGGCGAUUGCGAAACCAAGAACUUGAAGGUGAUCGUGAGAACACGAGGGACACGAGGGUUUUAGACAGGUUCGAGCCUCCCGAGCGUAAUACCCUAUGUCCUGUAUGCUUGGUGGCUUGUAUUGCUUGAGAAUCUCGAUGCCCCUGGCCGCCUUAUAUAGGCUGAUGACCUAGGUUUACAACUCAGUUUGAAUCUAAUCUACUCAGUACUUAAUUAAAAGGUGAUCUGAGUUAGACUACAAUACGUAUCACACAAUAUCCGGGUUGGUUUGAACUGCCCGAUCUCCUUGGCGUGUACUCCAAGUAUCUUCAUAUCCAUAGCCCACACGCCCUGGUCAGGCGAGCUCAUUUGUCAGGUCCAGCCAGUAUCCUGGUCGGUAGGGACCCAUGAGGUAUCCAUAUCCCUCAAGCCCUCAAGUGAUGUGUAGGCGAAUAGGAACUUGAGGACAUCGUAGCGAAGCUUGGAAUGUGGUUAGUGUCAUAAUGACGGAGAGGCUGCACAGUGCUCAAAAAGAAGAAAAUUUGAGCGAACGCAGAGCCAUACGCGUAGAGCGAAGUCGAGUGCCAAGUUGAUGGAUGGCAGGCAUCCAGUAAGUUGAAGCGAAGGACAUGGAGGGCGUCGCAAGAUGCACUCUAUAUGGAGUAGCCCCCGAGCAUUGAAGUGAUUAGUGUAAUCAGUCUAAUGGUUAAAAAGGAAGAAAAAAUUGAUCCCAGUACUCGAGCACAAGAAUAGGCAAAGCCACAGAGGCACACCAACCUGAAAUAGGCACCCAGCCCUUGAGCGUGAGCGCGAGGACUGGCAGAGCCACGGAGGCACGCCAACCUGAAAUAUGCACCCAGCCCCCUAGCAUGAGCGCGAGGACUAACGAAGCCAUGGAGGCAGCCGACUUGAAAUAGGCGCCUAGCCCCUAAGCCUGGGAGCCGGACGAAUCGCGGAAGCACAUCGAGUCGCGUCCCACCCCGAGCCAGAGAGGUUGGCCGGGAGAGAGGAGGCACGCUGAGUUGUUUGCGAAGCCCAACAUCCAAGCUUGGGAGCCGAAUGAGCUGCAGAAGAACGCUAAGUCACCUCCCGCCCCAAGCCAAAGAAGUCGGCUGGGCAACAGGAGGCACGCCGAUUAGUUUUUGAGCUGUAAAAGGACAGUACAAACAUUAUGUAGUGUAGUGUAGAUUAUUUAAUAAUUGAACAACUCAGAAGUUUAAUUCGCUUUAGAAGUAAAUUCUUGCACGUCCUGCUCUUGUAGGUCAUGUAAUUUCCCUAGGUAGUUAGCCUGUUACGUUUAAGCACCUAGACCUGCUAACCACUGCUCACGGAGAGGAUGGCUUAUCUCAGGCUAUAGCGCUAGGGCUGACCUGAUGCUUGCAUAUAGGAGACGUGCAAGAUGAGUUAAGGUUUCACGGAUUAAGGUGUGUGCUACCUGAGUACUUUAGCAACCAUUAAGAGAAGAUGUACAAGACAUGAAGGAGAUCGCAAAAUAGUAGAAACUGUACGAAAAAAGUGAGAGUCUGCAUUGGACACUCGUAGGUCGCAGUCCUGACUACCCGUGUAGUGGAUGGACCAAGCUGUAUGAGCAAUCGGGGUGGUCGGCAGAAGUCACAGAGACAUAGGAGAGCCAAGACGGGCGGCGAAAGUCAUGGAGACAUGGAGAAGCCAAAACGUAUGUAGGUAUAUGGAAGCCGCAAAAUAUUUAAUUGUAAAUAAGACUUAGCUUGAUUCAUGGCAGAGCUGAAAAGUCAGUGUCAUGCCCGAGUGGGCAACCGUCGGUGAAUAGUUGUUGAUGAAUCCGUUGACGGGUCCGGGUGGUCAAAGUUGUCAUAGGUGUGUCAGCGUCAAUCAUUGAUGCUGCUCUACUAUGGAAGGCAUCCAAGCUGAAGUCGUCGUAGACCCGCAGGCCGAGCCAUGCAAGGAGUAGUCCCAAUUUGCAUGUCAUUGCUAGUGCCAUGCAUCCCGAUCACUCUUGUAGUCUUGUUUAUCCCCGGCGAUAAACAAUCGCUUGGGCUUUUUGUUCCAUGCGGCAUUGUUUUUAGUUAGCCUGAUCCAUGCAUCUGUCAGACUUGAUAGCUCAUCCGUAUCACCAUUAGCCACCCCUCAAAUCUCCCAGUAGAUAACGAGACGGCAAGAGCUGCUAGUGCUAGCCCUCACAAGCAUCCAGGCUAGCACGUAGUAGCAUAUUCUUCCCAGCCAGCCCGGACACGCAAUGCAAUGCAUCGCGUCGACCCUCCUCUCCUUGUACGAGGAACCACCUGUGACGCACGCCAUGGUAUGCAUGAUUACUCGCAUUCGUAUACGUUGUACCAAUCGCCGAUUGCGUCGCCAGUGCAUUCACCACCACCGCAACAUGCCCGGCGACAGCCAAUCUGAUCUGACUUGGCGACAGCAACGCAGUGGCGUUUGCUCGGUGCAAGGCCAACCUCCCUCCAUCCCCCGAGCUCGAGAACGAAACGGGACAUGCCCCGCGAUUAGGUCGGAGGACGUGGGUGGGUAGGUUGUAGCAAGGAUGUUGGGAAUCAUCUCGGAGAGGGAGAGAUCACCGACCUACUGGGCAAGCGGCGUGAUGAUCCUCGGUUGAAGACCUUGGUCUGUCGAAGUAGAUCCGACGGAUGCUGAGUUGGCAGUGGGCGUCGAGUUGGUGGAGGAGGUGAUGGAGUCAGAUUCCAUCAGCAUGCUCCCGAAGCGGAACUAGAUCGGGUUGGCGAGGAAGUCCUUCAUGCCCUCGGGAAGAUGACACCGGGACGGGAUGCCAUCGAGCUCACUGGGGAGGAUCUCACAAUCACCCCAUAGAGCAUGUUGUCAGUGCGAACCCUAGCCCUCUCCAAGCACUCAUUGAGGAGAGUGCAAAAGCCUAUGUAGCGCACUCCGUCUCUAGAAAACGUACACCACUCCUUGGUCGUCAUCUGAAACAUGCAGUUAAGGGUUGUUAGAAAGUCGUAUAAGUCAGAGUAAACAAGGUAAUAACUAUAACAAUUCAAGGAGUUGUACACAGGUAGUUUAGGCUUCUUGAACUAAUGUCCAUUACUAGAGAUCAUCCUACGGUCAAGUAUGGCUCUGAUACUAGCUGAAACGGAUCCGAAUUCCUAUUUCUGAGAAUUCAAGCCUACGCACAUCGGUGAUAGUCCCAAGAAGGCUAUCACAUGCGAAUCCCUAUCUCAGAUAGUACAAAUCCAUACCAACACAGAAAUAGAAGGAGAAAUAGAGUACAAACAUCAUAGAUAACAUGAGUACGAGUACAUAUCAAUAGCACAUGUCGGUACAAGUCCCUCAGGACUAAAUCAGGAAAGGUAAAACAUCUACGCAGUGGAAACAAAAGCUAUGGUGAUCUCCAUCUUCGCUGGCGACUCGAGUGAAGAAUGGUCCCUAGUCCUCCCAACCGUCAUUGUCGAAGUUGUAGUGGGGCUACGAACCUAAAAAGCUAGCAUCUACCCGAGAAGCGGGUAGGCCAUGUCAACUCCCAAAAGUAGCAAAGCUAAAGAAACGGGGGAAUUAUACUAUAUGCAUGAAUAAGACCUAUAUAUGGCUGUAGAGGUUUAUGCAGCAGCAACAACAACAAUCAAGGUAGCAGCAAAGCAACAUCACCUCCGAGGUCAACACCUCAAAUAAGGAAGUUGGUACAAAUCAUCAGAUCCUUCACCCAAGGGUCUAGCACCCAAACACACUAGGCGAUGUAAGAGCUCCAUUCCCUCACAUCUCAAUGGCAAACGCCGGCCUAUCUCAAAAAGGAGAAAAGUAGAAGGAUGAGAAAAGUCUAGUUAGAAGUAGUGGUAGUCAACAGCACUGUCCAUAACCAGUGGACACAGACUAUAGCUAUAGCUUUAUACACUCUGCAAAGAUUUUAUAACUGUACCCGCACGGAUGGAGCCUGAAUGGUAGCGAUCCGUCCAAACCCCACCUAUUAGCCGGAGCCCUAGUAAGUGGAUAGCUCUCUCCUGUUUUAUCAAGUCUAGAACCAUCCUCAGCGGCAAGGCACGCUAUCACCAGUGAGGACCUCGAAGCUGUGGAACGUACCCACACCGGGGUGCAGUCUGGUUAGAGCAGGACAAUGCCUCAAACUCCUAAAAUGAUCCUCCAAUCUGCCUAUAGGCAGAGCACUAUCCACUACUAGUCUCGAACCGAACCCCGCCCAUAACGUAAGCGAGCGGUAAGUACAAAAAGUAGCUACUGUGAUUGGUGGUAAACUGACUCGGUCCUUAAGCUGCUGAGAGCAAGCACUCUACCAACAAGUACAUGCCAAAGCACCUGCAACGUACAAGUACGCCACCUGCUCCUUAGUAACAAACAAGGUACCUGCCACAGGUACGGGGUAUAGAAAAAGUCCAAAAAGCUCUCUCCUGGCUAGGCACUUCUCUGUACCAACCAUGGCUCACACCCACCAAGAACACAUCAAGGAGUCACACUCCCCCAAAACACAUGCAAGAGUGUUCAAGGAAUCCCAUCACCAAAUCCAUGGAAAAUGCACAUCCAUAACUCAAAAGCAUGUAUAUGGAUAAAUGAGCGGUGGACUAGCUAGGGGUCCGUAGCUAGUCCACAAAAGUAGGUGAACAAGGAAAAUAGGAUAAACAAUUAUCAAGGCAUGGCUAGAAACAUUGGCUAUGAAAUCCAUCAUCAUCAAGCAAUAUAAGUAAAAAGCUAGCAACUAAGCAUGCAUAGGAGCUAUAUGAUUGGAAGUAACAUGACACCUUGUUCGUAGUCGAACGGGUCCUACUCAGUGUAGUCGGGGUCUUGAAGGUCUUCCUGGUCGUAGCUUGGGUCUGAACAGAGCGAGAUACGACGAAGCAUAAAUUAAACAACAAUAAAUCUAGGCAAAAACUCUAAGAAAGCUAAAUUAGAAGAUCCAAAUAACACCAAACUAGCUACAAAUAGCACAGGUUCGAUUUUAUGAAUUUAAUGCAACUAGUUUCAUAUUUUUUGAGUUAAAAUGAAUUAGUUAUGACUUUUUAAAGUUUAAAGGAUCGAUUCGAUUAUUUAAUAAUUUCAGAAAACAUUUAUUUAAAGGUGACACAUGUCAGCUCGGGAUUGGUUCAUGUGGCAUCCCUAGGGGGCGCCAUGUGUCCUGCUAACAUCACAUUGACCUUAGCGUUGACUGGUCAACAUGGGCCCCAUGGGUGGGCCCAGCUUGGUGCGCCUGGCCUGGCCACAUCAGCCAUGUGGCACCUGUCGGGAUACGAGGUAGGCUACACUAGCGCAAAUCAAAAUUUCUACCACGUAUAACCAGGAAGAACUGCCGUAUAAGGAUCACGGGAUUACCACUCGACGCACUACUGGUGCGGAAGAUGUAGAUAUGCGUCGAUGCAGUGAAGACGAUCACGUAGUCGUACGUAGUCGAUCAACGUAGUCGUACGUAGUCGAUCACGUCACGUCCAGCAACUCCUCCACGUGCAGCAAGAUCGCCUCCGGUGCCGCGGCUCGUCGUCGGCUCGUCGUGGCUCGUCGAUGGCUCGUCCAAGUGCUGCAGGCGCAACACCUUCAAGGUAUCCACACGUGCAGGGAGGAAGCGUCGCAAGCCGGACUGCUAGAUCUGCGAGUUGCAACAGGCGAGGGCGUGGGAGGCGCGGCAGGUGUGUUUCGCCAAAAGGUGUAAACCCUAAGGCGCCCCCACCCCUCUAUUUAUAGAGGUUCCUGACGAGCCUCUGGAUCCGAGGCCCAUUCGAACUUCUAAACCUAAUCCAACUCGGAUCAGAUCCGAAUUGGGCUUCCAGCCCCUUAAGUGUGUGACCCUAUGGGUUCGGAUACGUAUAGACAUGGCCCGAGUACUCCUACUCGGCCCAAUAGUCGGUAGCGACCUCUAGCAAGACGUGCCAACUCCUAUACGCACACGAAGAUCAUAUCAGACGAACCAUCACAACAUAAUAUACAUGCUAUUCCCUUUGCCUCAUGAUAUUUGGUCUAGCUUCAAGCCGACCGCUCUUUCUCGAUCCCGUGAUUCGGAAUCCCUUUGCAGGUUAACUCUUAACCGUACGUAGCAUGGCCAUGCAUUUUCGGAUCCGAUCACUCGAGGGGCCCAGAGAUAUCACUCUCAAUUAGAGAGGGGCAAAUCCCAUCUUGAUUGACCAUGUCUCAUAGCAUGCUUCUUGACAAACCCGAAAGCUACCUUUAUAACUACCCUGUUACGGCGUAGCGUUUGAUAGCCCCUAAGUAGGUCGAUCCACAUCUAGAAUACAUGCGACAAUCUCAGAUCUAAGGACAAAGCGUAUAUGUUGUUUAAAGAGAGAACUACUUCUCGUGUUGGGUCAGUCCUAGCACAUGUCUCCACAUGUGUCCACAUUAUUAGUUCAACAUCUCCAUGUCCAUGACUUGUGAAACAUAGUCAUCAACUAAUACAUGUGCUAGUCUAAUAUUCAUGUGUGUCCUCACAUGAACUCCGACUAGGGACAACUUUAGAAUAACCAUACAAGUAAAGAGUUUCACAUACAAUUCACAUAAUUGCAAAUCAAUUCAAGUAGCCUUCAAUGGAUAUUCAAUGAACACAACAUACAAAUCAUGGAUACAAAUGGAAUAUCAUCAUCUCUAUGAUUGCCUCUAGGGCAUACCUCCAACAGUCUCCCACUUGCACUAGAGUCAAUCUAGAAGGUACCUAAUACCCAUAGCUCUUACAUGCGCAUCAUGCUUAGCCUGCGGGAGUGGUUUUGUCAACGGAUCAGAAAUGUUCAGAUCCGUGUGUAUUUUGCAUAUCUUGAUCUCACCCCGGUUAACGAAGUCUCGAAUGAGAUGAAAUCGCCGCAUUACGUGUUUGUUCUUCUGGUGGUUCCUUGGCUCCUUUGCUUGCGCAAUUGCCCCAUUGUUAUCACAGUAGAGAUUCAAUGGGCUGGACGCAUUCGGGAACACACCAAGCUCAAUGAGGAAAUUCCUUAUCCAAACACCUUCCUUCGCGGCUUCCGAAGCCACGAUGUACUCGGCUUCUGUCGUAGAAUCGGCCACCGUCUCCUGCUUGGAACUCUUCCAACUAACAGCACCACCAUUUAGCGUGAACACAAAACCUGAUUGUGACUUUGAAUCAUCUCUGUCGGUUUGGAAACUAGCAUCGGUGUAACCUGUUACAACGAGCUCCUCCUCACCUCCAUAGACGAGGAACAUAUCUUUAGUCCUUCUCAAGUACUUAAGAUUGUUUUUCACCGCUGUCCAGUGACUCUCACCUGGAUCAGAUUGGUGUCUGCUUGUCAUACUUAGCGCAUAUGAAACAUCUGGGCGAGUACUUAUCAUUGCAUACAUGAUAGAUCCAAUAGCCGAGGCAUAUGGCACUCUACUCAUGCGAUCCCGCUCAUCAGCACUCGAAGGACACUGAGUCUUGCUGAGAUGUAUGCCAUGUGACAUAGGCAAGAACCCUUUCUUUGCCUCUUCCAUGCUGAACCGCUUCAACACUUUGUCAAUGUAAGUAUCUUGGCUUAAACCUAUAAGCCUUCUCGAUCUAUCUCUAUAGAUCUUAAUGCCCAGAAUAUAUGCCGCUUCCCCUAAGUCCUUCAUCAAAAAACUAUUUUUCAGUGAAGUCUUUACGGACUCAAGCAUAGGAAUGUUAUUUCCAAUGAGUAAUAUGUCAUCCACAUAUAAGAUUAGAAAUACUACAGAGCUCCCACUAACCUUCUUGUAAACACAAGACUCUUCUUCGUUCUUGGUGAAGUCAAACCCUUUGACCACCUCAUCAAAACGAAUGUUCCAACUCCUAGAUGCUUGCUUCAAUCCAUAAAUGGAUCUCUGAAGCUUGCAUACCUUUCCAGCAUUUUUCGGAUCGACAAAACCCUCGGGCUGUAUCAUAUACACGUCCUCAGUUAGGUUUCCAUUCAGGAAAGCUGUCUUGACAUCCAUCUGCCAUAUCUCAUAAUCAAAAUAUGCAGCUAUAGCUAGAAUAAUCCGAAUGGACUUAAGCAUCACUAUGGGCGAGAAGGUCUCGUCGUAGUCAACCCCUUGAACUUGUCGAAAACCUUUUGCGACAAGUCGUGCUUUAUAGAUGUGAACAUUUCCAUCCAUGUCCUUUUUCUUCUUAUAGAUCCACUUGCACUCUAUGGCUUUAACACCAUCAGGCGGGUCAACCAAGUUCCAAACUUGAUUGUCUCCCAUGGACUCUAUUUCGGAUUGCAUGGCAUUCUGCCAUUUUUCGGAGUCUGGGUCCAUCAUUGCUUCUGCAUAUGUCGCAGGCUCAUCAUUGUCCAACAAUAAUAUUUCCCGCAUUUCGCGGAGCCUUGCCGACCUUCAUGGUUGUGGCGGUGCUUCUCUUGCCAUGGGUAUCUCAACUUGUUCUGCUACGUUAGCAUCACUCAUUGAUUCUUGCCCGAUCGGCUCAUCUUGAACUUCUUCAAGAUGCACUGUCUUUCCACUCUUUUCUCCUUUGAGAAACUCUUUCUCUAGGAAAACCCCGUUUCGAGCGACAAACACUUUGCCUUCUAAUCGGUUGUAGAAAUAAUAUCCCAAAGUUUCCUUUGGAUAUCCCACGAAAAUGCACUUAUCCGACUUGGGUGUGAUCUUGUCCGACUGAAGUCGCUUGACAAACACAUCACAUCCCCAAAUCUUUGGAAAAAGACAAACUAGGAACCUUUCCAGUCCAUAUCUCAUAUGGUGUCUUAACUACGGAUUUAGAUGGUACCCUAUUAAGUGUGAAAGCUGCUGUUUCUAGAGCGUAUCCCCAAAAUGACAACGGUAGGUCCGACUGGCUCAUCAUUGAUCGAACCAUGUCUAACAAAGUUCGAUUACGUCGCUCGAACACACCGUUUCUCUGAGGUGUUCCAGGCGGCGUAAGUUGUGGAACAAUUCCGCAACUCUUUAGAUGAUUGCUAAACUCGUGGCUCAAAUACUCGCCUCCAUGAUCAGAUCGUAAGGCCUUAAUUUUCUUGCCACGCUGAUUUUCAACUUCAUUCUGAAAUUCCUUGAACUUUUCAAAGGUUUCAGACUUGUGCCUCAUCAAGUAGACAUAGCCAUAUCUACUAAAAUCAUCAGUGAAAGUUAUGAAGUAUUGGAAUCCUCCACUAGCCGUCGUGCUCAUUGGUCCGCAUACAUCACUAUGUACGAGUUCCAACAAGUCUACUGCUCUCUCAGGAAAUCCUGUGAAAGGCGUCUUGGUCAUCUUGCCUAGCAAGCAAGCCUCACAUGUCUCGUAUGAUUCAAAAUCAAACGAAGUUAGAAGUCCAUCAGAAUGGAGCUUCUUCAUGCGCUUUUCACUUAUAUGACCCAAACGACAAUGCCACAAGUAGGUAGGACUCAAAUCAUUAGGCCGAGGCCUUUUAGCACUUACAUUACAGAUAGGUGAACCAUCAAGAUUUAAAACAAAUAAUCCAUUCACAAUGGGUGCAAAAGCCAUAAACAUAUUAUUCUUAGAGAUCACACAACCAUUGUUUUCACUCGCAAAUGAAUAACCAUCCUUCAUCAAGCAUGAAGGAGAUAAAAUGUUUCGAUUUAAACUAGGAACAAAAUAACAAUUAUUCAACUCCAUAAUAAAUCCUGACGGGAGGUGGAGUUGCAUCGUCCCGACGGUCAAAGCAGCAACUCUUGCAUUAUUGCCCACGCGGAAAUCAACUUCUCCUCUUUCCACGCUUCUACUUCUUAUCAUUUACUGCAUCGAAUUGCAAAUAUGAGCAACCGAUCCGGUAUCAAAUACCCAAGAAUUAAUAAUUGUAUCAGCGAGAAAUAUGUUGUCUAUAACAUUAACAACAAGCGUACCUGGGGUAGAAGUACUCUUACUUCCGCCAUUCUUCAACGAAGCUAGGUACUGCUUGCAGUUUCUCUUCCAGUGACCAAGUUCAUGACAGUAAAAGCACUCUUUGUCUGGAGCAGGUCCAGGUCCAGCUUUAACCUUGGGCGGUGGGUUUGGCUUGGACGUUCCAGCCUUGCCCUUCUUCUUCCAAGAAUUGCCCUUCUUCUUAAAGCUGGGCUUGUUCUGUAUAGCCAUCACAUGGCUGGUACUAGCGCUUUUCUUGAUGUCUACUUCUGCUGUCUUGAGCAUACCACACAGUUCAUUCAAACCCUUCUCCGUCCAAUGCAUAUGGUAGUUCGAGAUGAAGUUCCCAUAGCUAGGCGGAAGAGAUGAAAGAAUGAAGUCAGUGGCCAACUCUUUGCCCAUUGGGAAGCCCAGCUUCUCCAAUCGCUGAGUGUAACCAACCAUCUUGAUUACAUGUGGUCCUACUGCUGCGCCUUCUGCUAACUUGCACUCCAGAAAGGCUUUGGACACAUUGAACCUUUCGGUCCUAGCCUGUGUCUGGAACAUCUCCUUGAGCGCCACGAUCAUAUCGUGUGCCUCAUGAUUUGUUUCGAACUGCAUCUGCAGCUCGGGUUCCAUGCAAGCAAGCAUAAGGCAGCUUACCUCAAGAUUAGCAUCAAAUGCCUUCUUGUAAGCAGCCUUAACGGCAGCAGAUGCAUCAUCAGUAGGUACUGAUGGUAGUGGGGUGUCUAGAACAUCUUCCUUUUUCUCAGCCCUGAGAACAAUUCUCAGGUUACGGAUCCAAUCCGAGUAGUUUGUUCCAUUCAACUUGUCCUUCUCAAGGACCGAACGCAAAGCAAACGAUGCGGUGGUGUUGCUAGGUGCCAUUUAAUCUACAACAAAAGUAAUGCAAAAUACACUAAGACAAAUGUAUCCAUGAUAGAGCAAAUUACAUUAAACUAUUUUAACAUAAUCUACUCCCACUAAAAUCAAUAUCCCUCUAUUGAAACUUAGUGAUUCAGGAUCCACAACUAACAAGUCCACUAGUGAGCUUUAGCAUCACCGCUAGCAAACGAGGUAGAUCGGUAAGCAACUUUUGCUAAUCAUAUCACAUAUGACUCCUGUUGUUGGGUGACAUCUCUAUGUCUCGGCACCCAACCUUUAUGCCCCAAGGUCCUUAACCGUUAAGAUAACUUUGUUAAGCAAACCAACCCUUAUGCGUGUAAGUGUCCGACACAAAUCCGUCUAGUCAAGGAAAACUAGUGGCACCCUAAUUUCAUAGACCCACCACUAAUUGUACAAGACAUGGGACGGUGCAAGUUUUAGUUGGGAGGGCAUACUAACUUAAACUUUGUGAGGGAUCGUUCUACUUCUAACAUCACAGCAUGCAGAAAGUAAAACAUAAACAGAAUAGCAUUCACACAGUUGUGACACAGUAUGGCCCGUUUUCAUAUGGUGAUCUCCAUCUCCAUAGAACCUGUUCACCAUGGUGAUCUCCAUCUCCAUGUUCCAUGUGCGCCAUCCUCCUGGUGAUGAGUCCUCCAAGAACUAAAGCAUGCUAUUACACCUAAUAGCUAGUAAAGAAUCUAGUAAUGAAGAUUACAUAGUUGCUUGGAUCAUCAGAGAUUGGUACGCAGACCAUUAAAUACAAUAAAGUGACAACACAUAUGGCUCCUGCCGUGUUGCCGUACGCGCGACACGCAGGUCACGAAUGAGUUACACACAUGCAUCACAUACACAAGGGGGCCAUACUGAUCACAAGAUACAUACAUACAUCCUGCAAAACAGAGUUAGGCGUCCUAACGUUCCAAACUUCGGAGGCCCGAAACUCCAUCUUCCAAGCCGAAUUUGGGAAAUCUAAUUUCGCCGAAAAUGGCGAAGCGGUUGAAUUUCAUGUGUAACUUUUUCUGUAGAUCAAUUUUCAUAUAAAAAUCGCCCCGAUCCGAGAUCGUACCGAAAAGUUACGGCUGAUUUACCGAAGCAUACGCAUACGGCAAAAUCCCGACCCCGGCAGUAGAUCCCAUCUACUAUUGCACAUCUAAUGCGCCUGGCGUAUGACCCUGGAUCUCGAUUCGACCAAUCAUAUUGAUCUUCGCUCACUGCAACUGGAUUUACGUGUAUCACUUAACUCCAAUGGCGGAAACCGACCGGUAGGAGUAUGUCGUUACACUACCAUUGCAGCAAGGGCACGAAACCAGGACAUAGAUCAAACAGAAAACUCGCAUAUCUCCAUAUGCACACAUCCCGAAUCCAAAACUAAGCAGCUACGGCUCUGAUACCACUGUUGGGAUACGAGGUAGGCUACACUAGCGCAAAUCAAAAUUUCUACCGCGUAUAACCAGGAAGAACUACCGUAUAAGGAUCACGGGAUUACCACUCGACGCACUACUGGUGCGGAAGAUGUAGAUAUGCGUCGAUGCAGUGAAGAUGAUCACGUAGUCGUACGUAGUCGAUCAACGUAGUCGUACGUAGUCGAUCACGUCACGUCCAGCAGCUCCUCCACGUGCAGCAAGAUCGCCUCCGGUGCCGCGGCUCGUCGUGGCUCGUCGGCGGCUCGUCGAUGGCUCGUCCAAGUGCUGCAGGCGCAAUACCUCCAAGGUAUCCACACGUGCAGGGAGGAAGCGUCGCAAGCCGGACUGCUAGAUCCGCGAGUUGCAACAGGCGAGGGCGUGGGAGGCGCGGCAGGUGUGUUUCGCCAAAAGGUGUAAACCCUAGGGCGCCCCCACCCCUCUAUUUAUAGAGGUUCCUGAUGGGCCUCUGGAUCCGAGGCCCAUUAGUACUUCUAAACCUAAUCCAACUCGGAUCAAAUCCGAAUUGGGCUUCCAGCCCCUUAAGUGUGUGACCCUAUGGGUUCGGAUACGUAUAGACAUGGCCCGAGUACUCCUACUCGGCCCAAUAGUCGGUAGCGGCCUCUAGCAAGACGUGCCAACUCCUAUACGCACACGAAGAUCAUAUCAGACGAACCAUCACAACAUAAUAUACAUGCUAUUCCCUUUGCCUCACGAUAUUUGGUCUAGCUUCAAGCCGACCGCUCUUUCUCGAUCCCGUGAUUCGGAAUCCCUUUGUAGGUUAACUCUUAACCGUACGUAGCAUGGCCAUGCAUUUUCGGAUCCGAUCACUCGAGGGGCCCAGAUAUAUCACUCUCAAUCAGAGAGGGGCAAAUCCCAUCUUGAUUGACCAUGUCUCAUAGCAUGCUUCUUGACAAACCCGAAAGCUACCUUUAUAACUACCCUGUUACGGCGUAGCGUUUGAUAGCUCCUAAGUAGGUCGAUCCACAUCUAGAAUGCAUGCGACAAUCUCAGGUCUAAGGACAAAGCGUAUAUGUUGUUUAAAGAGAGAACUACUUCUCGUGUUGGGUCAGUCCUAGCACAUGUCUACACAUGUGUCCACAUUAUUAGUUCAACAUCUCCAUGUCCAUGACUUGUGAAACAUAGUCAUCAACUAAUACAUGUGCUAGUCUAAUAUUCAUGUGUGUCCUCACAUGAACUCUGACUAGGGACAACUUUAGAAUAACCAUACAAGUAAAGAGUUUCACAUACAAUUCACAUAAUUGCAAAUCAAUUCAAGUAGCCUUCAAUGGAUAUUCAAUGAACACAACAUACAAAUCAUGGAUACAAAUGGAAUAUCAUCAUCUCUAUGAUUGCCUCUAGGGCAUACCUCCAACAUCCCAGCGCAAAAGCGAGGCGCGGGCGGGGGUCACGGGCACGUGGGUGAGCGUGGAACUGCACUCCAGCUCGACGCGGUGCGGCGCGUGUGGCGUGCGUGAGCGGGUGUGGUGGUACGGUGAGGUGGAGAAGUAGAAUAGUGCACGGCUGAUGUGUGGGCCUAGGGCAUCGGCAAAGGAAGAAGGGAGUAGCACGGGCAUGAGCUAGGCCGACUGCGGCCUACUGGGCUUGGAAGCAGCGCGAGCGAGCAGGCGGGUGAGCGCGGUGUAGCGAGCUGGGCCAGCAAACGCGGGCACGCGCGCGAGUGAGGGCGGCACGAGCGAGCUCGAGCGGUUAGCAGGCCGAUGAGCGGGCCAGGUUAGCGGGCUGAGUUAGUUUUGGUUAGAUUUAGGUUUUGUUUUUAUUUGGUUUAGAUUUUAGGUUUAAUUUACUCAAGUAUGAACUCCAAAUAAAAUUCAAGAAGAUCCAAAUCAUGCCACACAUAUUUUUGAAAUGGAAUUUAGGGUAAGAGAGGAAAUAUCUAGCUUUUCAAAUGAGCACACAAUUCAAACAAGAAGUUUUAAAUUUUUGCAAAAAUUCACUCAUUCAAAUAUUGUAAGUUUUUGGAAUAUUACAGUCUCCCCCCUAAGAGAAUCUCGUCCUCAAGAUUUAAGGUUUGACCUCCUCCUCAAAUAGAUGUGGAAACUCCUUCUUCAAAUUUGCCUCUUUCUCCCAAGUUGCCUCCCUCUCGGUAUGGUUGCUCCAAAGCACUUUGCAGUACGGGACGGACGUCCUCCUCAUAGCUUUUUCUGUGCGAGCCAAGAUCUUGACUGAGUUUCUUCAUACUCCAAGGAGUCUUGCAAGUCUAGUGCCUCAGUGUGAACCUGCUCCUUGGGAACCCUUGGACACUUCCUCAGCUGUGAGACAUGAAACACCGAAUGCACUCCAGCCUUGCUCUCCGGUAAGGCAACCUUAUAGGCAAGGUCUCCAAUCCUCUUAAUCACCUGGUAGGGACCCACAAACCUCGGUGCAAGCUUCCCCUUAAUCAGAAGUCUCUUGGUUCCUCGGAGUGGUGAGACCUUGAGGUAGAUGUGAUCUCCAACUUCAAAAGAUAAGUCUCUCCUUCUCUUAUCUGUGUAACUCUUCUGGCAACUAUAAGGAAUCUUUAGGUUCUCUCGGACCUUGCUCAUGUUCUCUUUAGCCUCCUUGAUAGUUGCUGGCCCAAAGUGAGUCCUCUCUCCAAUCUCGAACCACAUCAGAGGUGUCAUACACUUCUUUCCGUAGAGAGCCUCAAAUGGUGACAUCUGAAGACUGACUUGGUAACCAUGGUUGUAGGAAAACUCUGCAAAAGACAAACUGCUCUCCCAAUCAUCUCCAUAGGUAAGCACAUAAGCCCUCAGCAUGUCCUCCAGGAUUUGGUUUACUCUCUCAAUCUGCCCAUCUGUCUGUGGGGGAAUGCUGUGUUGUACUCCAACGUAGUCCCCAUAGCCUUGUGAAAGCUCUUCCAGAACUUAGCAACAAAUUGUGGACCUCUGUCAGAAACGAUACUCUUAGGUGCUCCAUGUAGCCUCAAAAUGUUGUCCACAUACAUCUCUGCAAGAACUCAGUUCUUAAGGUGUUCUUCACUGGUAUGAAGUGAGCUACCUUGGUGAGCCUGUCCAUAAUCACCCAAAUCGAGUCGUUUCCCUUCUAAGUCUUGGGCAAACCCAUAAUGAAGUCCAUGGAGAUGUCUUCCCACUUCCAAACUGGUAUCUCGACUGGUUUAUGCAACCCUGCCGAUCUCUGGUGCUCAGCCUUUACUCGCUUGCAAGUGUCAUAACAGGCGACGUGGUUGGCUAUGUUGACUUUCAUAUCUUUCCACCAAAACCUCUCCUUCAAAUCUUGGUACAUCUUGGUGCAUCCUGGGUGAAUGGAGUACUUUGAGUCAUGAGCUUCCUUCAGAAUAGACUCGUGAAUAGCUUGAUCUUUGGGUACACAGAUCCUGUCCCUCAGCAGAUAGUGCCUUUGUCAUCCAUCCGGUAAUCAGUUGCCUUACCUCUUUUCAUCUGCUUCCGAAGAGGCUCAAUUUUUGAACAUUGCACUUGUGCCUACCUGAUCUGAUCUUCCAAGUUGUAUGCCACUUAUAGUUCACAAAGUUGUCCCUGCUCAACGAUCUCCAGCUUGAGUUUCUCCAACUCCUCACACAGAUCAGGUUGCUCUUCCCUCACCAUCAGGUUGUUGCUAUAGGCUUUCCUACUUAGAGUGUCAGCCACAACGUUGGCCUUUCCGGGGUGGUAGUGGAUCUCCAACUCAUAAUCCUUGAUUAGCUCCAGCCAUCUCCUUUGUCUCAUGUUUAGCUCAGACUGAGUGAAGAAGUACUUCAAGCUCUUGUGGUCGGUUUAGAAUGCACACUUGUUGCUGAUUAAGUAAUGCCUCCAAAUCUUGAGAGCUUGCACAACAACUGCCAGUUUCAGAUCAUGUGUCAGGUAGUUCUCUUCAUGCUUCUUUAGCUGUCUAGACGCAUAGGCCACGACCUUUCCUUCCUACAUUAGCACACAGCCCAAACCCUGCUUGGAAGCAUCACAAUACACCACAAAGUCCUUGAUAUCUGCUAGAGUCAGCACUAGAGUGGUUGUAAGUUUCGACUUAAGCUCCUGGAAACUCUUCUCACAAGCUUCAAACCACUCAAACUUCAUGUUGUUCUUUAGCAGCUCGGUCAUGGGCUUGGCAAUCUUGGAAAAGUUCUCAAUAAACCUCUAGUAGUAUCCUGCCAAACCACAGAAGCUCCUGAUUCCUAUCACGUUGAGAGGCUACUCCCACUCUGUAACUGCUUCAAUCUUAGCUGGAUUAAUAUCUACUACCUUUCCUGACAACAUGUGACCUAUGAAGGCAACUUCCUCCAUCCAGAACUAACACUUGCUGAACUUGACAUAAAGCUGGUGUUGCCAUAACCUCUCUAGCACGAUCCGAAGGUGCUCCUCGUGCUCUUCUACUAUCUCGGAGUAGAUUAGAAUAUCAUCAAUGAACAUUGCCACAAACUUGUCCAACACCUCCAUAAAGAUCUUGUUCAUCAUGUUCAUGAAGUAAGCAGGUGCGUUGGUCAAGCUGAAAGAAACCACUGUGAACUCGUACAACCCGUACCGAGUAGUGAACGCGAUCAUGGAUAUGUCACUCUCUCGAAUGUUCAUCUGGUGGUAUCCCGACCUCAAGUCAAUCUUGGAGAAGUACUUUGCUUUCCUGAGCUAGUCAAGCAGAUCGUCAAUUCGUGACAAAGUAUACUUGUUAUUAAUGGUCAUGGAGUUGAGCGUUCGAUAACCUAGAUAGAUCCUCAUGGACCCAUCCUUCUUCCUCACAAAUAGAACAGGCGAACCCCAUGAUGAAGCACUUGGUCAAAUGAACCCUUGCUCUAGCAACUUCUUCAACUGCUUCAUCCAACUCAUCGGCCGACAUCUUUUGGAUUUAUAAGCCCGGUAGUCCACCAUGGAGUUACCCAAGUGGUUGAUUUGUAGGUGACGGCGAUUGCAAAACCAAGAACUCGAAGGUGAUCGCAAGAAAAAGAAGGGGACACAAGGGUUUUAGAUAGGUUUAGGCCUUCGGAGAGUAAUACCCUACGUCCUGUAUGCUGGAUUCUAUUGCUCGAGAGUUAUUUGAUGAUAGGGAUACCCUCGUGGGCUGCCCUUGGCUGCCUUAUACAGGCUGACGACCAAGAGUUACAAAUAAAUUUGAAUCUAAUCUACUCAGUAGUUACAUGGAAAGAAAUCUGAGUCGGAUUGUAAUACAUGUUCCAUGAUAUCCGGGUAGGUUUGGACAGUCUUGUUACCUUCACAUGUACUCCAAGUAACUUCAUGUCCUCGGCCCACACGCUCUGGUCAGGCAGGCCUACUUGUUAGGUCUGGCCAGUAUCCUGGUCGGUGGGGACCCAUAGAGUACCCAUAUCCCUCAAGCCCCCGAGCAAUGUGUAGGGGAACAGGAACUUGAUGUCAUCAUAGUGAAGCUUGGAAAGAGGUCGGCUGAAGCUGCUAUGCCGUCAUGGUGACGGAGAGGCUGCGCAGUGCUCAAAAAAGAAGAAGAUCCAAGCGAGCACAGAGCAAACGUGCAGAGUGAAGAUGAGUGCCGAGUUGAUGGAACAUAGCAUCCAGCAGGUCGAAGCAAUUGUCACGGAGGGCGUCGCAAGACGCACUCUAUAGGAGUAGCCCCCGAGCAUUGAAGUGAUUAGAAUAAUUAGUCCAAUAGUCAAGGAUGAAAAAAGUUAUGUGUUGAAUUAGAUCCCAGUGCUCGAGUACAAGGAUAGGCAUAGCCACAGAGGCCUGCUAAAAAAGAGAUAUGCGCCAAAAUCUUCUGAAGAUAAGGACUCGUGCAAUGAUAGGUAAGCGACAAAAAUUCCUACUCAUGGGAGGACUCCACUGUCGGAGCAACUUCACAGGAGUACUGCCCGUCACUAUUUGAAGAUGAAGCCGAGCAUCACAUGAACACUUUAGAGUUGUAUCAGUAUGGAACCUCCUUGUCAUGCAACCUCACGAGUCUACUGUAGCACCUUGGAUGUUAGCUUGUGGCACAGCUAUAAAUAGACCAACGUUUAGCUUUGAGAGUCAUGGCUCGAGUAAUACCGCUCGUAGGCUUGAAGCUUGUAGUGUUUGAUAAGAGUAGCACCCGCCCAGAAGCAUGAUGCUAGAAGAAUUCUCAUGAGGGAGAUCAAGGUGCUCCUUCCCUUCACAGUCUCUACGAUAGAGUCGGGGGGUAACGAUGCUAGACGAAUCCUCGUGAGGAAGCUGUAUCGUGAACGCCCCCAACUUUGUCCAGAACACCGCUAGGGAAGUAUGUCGCACAACUUUCUUAUAUUGUGCCUUUUUCUUUUUCUACAUUCUAGCUUCUUAUCCUAGGAUGUCGGCUACCCCAGAGCUGUUCAUAGUUACUUGUAAUAUGUAAUGCCGAGAAUUUGAUAUUAGCUGAGUAAAAAUAUGCCCUUGCAUCUGUUUAUGGGGAUUUAUAAGGCCACAGAGGUGUGCUUUCCUCAAACUGGGCAACUAGUUCCUGAGAUUGAAGACUGGCUGUGCCACGGAGGCAAGUCGAGUAGAAUUAGGUGCCCAGCUCCCGAGGACGAGGACUGGCAGAGCCGCUGAGGCAUACCGAGUGGAAUUUAGGCGCCCAGCCUCCGAGAAUCAGGACUGGCAGAGCCGUUGAGGUGCGUCGAGUAGAAUUAGGCACCCAGCCCUCGAGUAUGAGGACUGGCAGAGCCACAGAGGCAUGCCAACCAGAAUUUGGCACCCAGCCCCCGAGGGCAAGGACUGGCAGAGCUACUAAGGCCCGCCGAGUAGAAUUAGGCGCACAGCCCCCAAGGAUGAGGACUGGCAGAGCUGCUGAGGCACCCUGACCAGAAUUCAGCGCCUAGCCCCGAGGAUGAGGACUGGCAGAGCCGCUGAGGCGCACUGACCAGAAUUUGGCAUCAGCCCCUGAGGGCGAGGACUGGCAGAGCCGCUGAGGCACGCUGAGUAGAAUUAGACACCUAGCCCCUGAGGACGAGGACCGGUAGAGUUGUUGAGGCGCACCAUUAAAAGUGCAACAGAGAUCCUGCAGAUUCAGUCCCAUGCACAUGGCGCUAACAGAAAAUCCCAUAGAUUACGCCCCACAUACACCACGAUAACAAAAGGCCCGCGAUUUCCAUCCAUGAGUUACGCCGUCAUCCUCCUCAGAAGCACGAUGUCACACCCGAUUUUAAGGACAAAAUCAAGUGCAUUAAAUACAUGUGCGCUAGGAUCAAGUUACACACAUGUACGACAUAAGCGAAUAUCAAAGAUAGUGCCAUAACGAAAUAAAGAGUGUUAACCAUUAUUACAUGACCGAAAGUCACAAAUAAACCACAAAGUCUAUUUAUUACACAACGGAACUCCAAAGAUAGCAACGACUCCAUAGGCAGCUGACUGAAGAACUGUACGCCUAGAACUCCUCAAAGUCGUGCAGGUACUCCUCCAAAUUAGCUUGGUCUGAACAGCGGUUUUGCAAGGGUGAGUACACUUAUGAGUGGUACUUAACAAGUCAUGGGGAACAGUGUAGUGUAAGGCAAAUCAAGGUAUGGCUAAGGUUUAAACAACAUCAGCUUUUAAUUUAGUUGGUCAAAUUUUAUUAGCAAUUAAUUAGAUGUAAGUUUAUACCACCCGAAAUUAAACAAGGACAUGAAUAAAGUAAUAACAUAACCAUAAAUGAAAUGAUAACAAUUUAAAUCCAUCUUUCAAUAGCAUUAUCAUGUGAGGGUCCAGGCCGCUCUUAACCGUGAACACGGCUGACCGAUCAGUUUUACACUCUGCAGAGGUUGUACAUCUUUACUCACAAGUCGCGUAAAAGUUCAAAAGAACUUUGGACCCAACCAUGAGGUGUUUGUAAGGCACAUACCACACUUCCGAGGUAUGAUUGUAUAGAGACGCUACGAGGUCUUUACAAAUAUUCAUUAGUCAGUGGUAAUCCGCUAAGUUUCGGUGUCUGGCGUGCACAACCCUUCAUAGGCCGCUAAUGCAACGACUCAGUUCCCCCUCUUGCCUUAUCACAAGUAAGAUUACCCCAGACUAAUGUUUCUAAUUAUUCAGCCAAGACUAGAGCCAUUUAGUCUUGUGGUAGCAUUGUUUUCCAAGGUGGUUCUCAAGGUUCCGAUUAAACAUUUGUGAUCUUGACUUAAUGAAAGGUAUAUCAUAAAUAAUACCAAAUUAAUGAUGUUUCAGAUUAAACCACCAUAACCAUGUUUGAGCACUAAGCACGAGCUACCCGACAUAAAUUUAACCUGGUUGGUCAAGGCAAGGUAGCUAAAGUCUAGGAAAUUCUUAAUUGGGACCCAUCAAGUUUAAAUUAUACUGUGCAUGGCAUUGUUGUAUAGAACAUGAAAGUCAAUGUGAAUAGGACUAAAAAGGAGUGAUCAAGGACACAACUUGCCUUCUUAACCUUGCUCUUGCUAUUCGUACUCCUCGAAAGCUUGCUCUUCGAAUCCUUCGAAUUGCUGACCGUCUACACGCGUCACACGAGCACAUACAAGCAAACAAAUACAACAUAUAAGAAAACAGUACAUCAAUCAUAAUUAAACAGAGAAAACAAGUUUGAAAAGCUAUUCUACGCAUUAAAAUCAAUACACAUAUAUAAAGAAUGCCAAAAACGAAGCUAUAAUGCAAAAACUACGCUUAAAAUAAGAUGCAGGGGCAUAACUGUGAGAAACCAAACUUCCAGGGACCUAAUUUAAAAUACUUUAAAACAGCAGGAGGGCAGCUGCGUAAAAACCAAAAACUGCAGGGCUAUAAUGUGAAGGCGCUGCUGCUGAUUCGGCUGACUCAAUGCGAACCGUUGGAUGGAUGUCCGGCGGCUGGUAGCUACUGCGCUGACGUCAGCGAUGGCAAGCGGCGGCGGAAAAAUGGCAGUUCGCCGGAAUCGCCUGGGAAUGCGCGACAAGGCGCAGAAUUGGGCAAGGAUUAGCCCAGGAGAGCAGGGGCUUGAGGCGGACUCGUUCCGGCAGUUGGUGAUGGCCGAAACGCGGCGAGGUGGCGCACACAACGCGACGGUGCAUGGCGGCGCUCCGACGAGGUCUCGCGGGCGAAAGGAACGAGGUACCGCGCGGGAGCAGCUUGGCCGGGUCCUCACCAGGAUGCGAAGCUUCGAGCGGCGCUGUUGGACAUGGAGAGAUGAUGGCGGCGCAGAUCGUCAAUGCACGAGCGGUGGCGCAAGUGCGAGCUUGGAGGAAGCGGGCGGUCUGUAGAUGCAAAAAAACAAGGGUUUGGUGGGGCUCAGAGGCGAUGGUUUUGCAGCGUCUAAGGGCAUGUACAUUGGGUGACUGUGAGCUGUCUACGAGCCGGCGUUUUUGCAAAAGUGUCCUCAUUUGAGCCAAGCAACGGGCACGCCGUCGUCUCGCGGGCUCGUGCUCCAACACUCGGCGACGACCUGCAGGCGCCGUUGUACGAUCCAUCGGCGCACCUCCGGAUCGAGAGCGAAAUCAGCCCGCGCUGCUCCAACCGAUUCCAACCACUUCCCUCCCUGCGUGCGGGACGCCGACGGGAGGCAAGGCCGGAUAGCUUGGCCGCCGCCGCGCCACGCCUCCUCCCUCCGCGCGGGACGCCGAUGGGAGGCGAGGCUGGAUAGCUGGGCUGCCGCCGCGCCACGCCUCCUCCAUCUCCGCGGCGUCACCGGAGGCGAGCCCCCCCUCCCCUGAGAGAGCAGAUCGAAAUCCCCCGUCACGAGCUCCCCUUCAGCAUCCAGAUCCGUGACUCCCUUCUCUCCGUCUCCACAUCGACACGAGCUCACGCUGCUGCCGAAGAGUAGCGCCUUCGUGUACGCGUCGUCGCCGCGGCUCCACAUCAUCUGGGGCUGCUUUGAUUGGGGACUGACGAUGACGCGCCGCCGACGGGCAAACAGAGGGGAAGAGGUGAGCCAUGACUCUUCUUGCCGAGAUUCAUCAGCUGAGCUGUUGUUUCUUUUCUUCCCUUUUGUUCACUUCACUAGUUCACUUCAGUAGAUCAAUCAAAGCACUGUCUCUGAACAUGAGGUGCUCAUGGCUCCGUCGCGAAAGGAAGGGAUGAACAGUGAAGAAGCUAGUUAACUCAAUUAUACUUGUACCUAUUCAGAUUUUUUAGACGACUACAAUAUGACUGUUGCUAUCUUCUAUUGUAUGUUCAUACUAGAUUACACUCAACAUGACUAGUCUGCAGUUUGAUAGUGAAAUUUGAUCGGUGAGGUAUUGGUGUCAAAAUCAUUAGUACUCUUUAGGAUUGGACCAUCGAUUGACGGUGUGAGCAGAACUGCAGAAGACAUUUGAUUGGCACUCAAGAUUACCUUCAGUUUGCUUUAGUUCUCUAAAGAUUCGAUCGUUUGGAAACCUGUCAUUUGUUAUUGGCAGACAUGCAUGUCUCGUUGAGCCAUCUCAUUCUCUAAUGCUCGUUUGGAAGGAAAGUUUGAGAAUGAGUUAGAGUGUGGGCUGAAUUGAGAUUCUGAUAACACUGUAAAUAUUUUGUUGGUCUUUGCAGUCUGGGAGAGCUAGCUUGCAGCUUCCAGUGGAUAUGAUCGAUAAGAUCCUAUCUCCCAUCACUGAUCCUGCCUCCCUAGCAUGCCUUGCUUCACCCUGCAAGUUUGGCGUAAUAUCAUAAAGGGGAGAAGCUUUCUUAAUUGCCUCAGGAAGCAUGCAUUGCAUUCAACGAAUAAGCAACAAAAUGGCAUGCAUAGAUCAUAUUUAUACCUAAUCAUCUUGAUUUGAAUGAAUUAAAUAACUUGCAGAUAAGUUAAAAGACAAAUCAUUGUAUAAAAUCACUGUCUAUACGUGACUUACCGACGGCAGCUGUCUAAAAUGUUGAAGGUGCUCUAAAUGCGGCCUUGGCGUGCGGCCCCAGAGGCCAAGGUGGAUACAAACGGUUCGUUUCGCGAGUGUGACUCGGACCUGAGUCCGACGCGGAGAAGUCUCGUCAACCAGCUCGCGGAGAAGGAGCGAGGCGUGCGAGUUGGGCGUAAGCAGGCGGAAAGAAGGAGCUGAUGGCAGGGCCCCAGCGGCCAGAGGAAAGGAAUAGCGGUGCGUGAGGGAAAAGGGCAGCUGGGCCGCUGCUUGUUGGGCCGGCACAGGGAUAAACGGAACUGGGCCAGAGGGAGUAGCAGGUGCUGCGCUGGGCUAAAAAAGAAAGGGGCUUUGGGCCGGCGCAGCAAGGAAACAAAACUGGGCCGGAAAGCAAAGGAAACGACAGUCCAAAACAAAAAGGAAACUGCGCCCGCAGCUUGCUCCUGACUCAGAACUGAAAAUAGCAAAACAGGAACAACGCCCAGCAGACAGCAACUCUGAAACCUGACUGAACUUCCAGGAAACUGACAGAACUCCCAAAGACAGAACUGAAGCUCGACAGGAACAAGCAAACUGCAACCGAACUGAAGACAAGAAAACCACAUCAAAGAACUACAGAACUCUGAGCCGAAGAACUGAACCUGGACAAUGGCUUGACUGAAAACAGAAACACCACCAGAACUGAACUAACUGACAGAAAAAAAAAGAAACAGCCACCUAAAGCAAACCACAAGCUCGAAACCAAGCAAACAAGAUGAACACUAUGCAGCGGCAUGAAUGCACAAACAAAAUCCUAUGUUUCAUUAUUAAAUUAGAAAAAUGCUUAAAUGCCUAGUAAAUGCAAAAAUGACCUUAUAUGCCUUAAACAUGCAAAUUGUUUCUAGCAAAUUUUAAUAAAAUGCAAAGUUGUAAAUUUUGGGUGUUAUACGCGAGGGGUUACGGAGCCGUUUUCAUCCUUAUCUUCAACAUUCUUAGUGCCUCCACCUUGAGCUCACUGAGCACUUUGCCGCCGCACUCGCUAACCCUAGGCGUGCCGCCGCAAUCAACAUUCCGCUAGCGCGCAUCGCCGCUGCUGCCCGAGUUGCCGUACCACCACCACCUGAGCCGCCGCACCGUCGUAUGCACAGCAAGACCCUAGUCCUUUCUAGAUCUAAAUCUCAAGGCAUCGAGCUUGAAGAAAUGGCGUAAUCCAAUGCCCCGGAGCAAUCUUCAAUCUGGAUGAAGUUCGUGAUGACACAAGAGCACAUCCAAUCCCUCGUCGACCGAGGCCUCCUCGGAUCACAAGCGCUGCUGGAGUGGAAGCCCAUCGCCAGCCAAGAGUUCCUAUCGGAGGACACGGUGGAGAUGUUGGUGUUUGCGCUGUUCUUCAAGCGCGGAUUUAGGUUCCCAACAGGAGACUUCUUCCACGGCCUCCUCCACUACUACAAGAUUGAACUGGUACACUUGAAUCCAAACUCAAUCUUGGAUAUCUUUGUCUUAAUCCAUCUGUGUGAAGCAUACUUGGGCAUCCCUCCACACUUUCAUCUGUGGCGCUACUUGUACCAAUUGAAACCCGUGAUUACUAAGGGGAAAAAAGAAUGGGUUAUUGGGGGUUGUGGAUUCUCGCUACGGCCCAAGAAGGUGUAGGAGUAUUUUGAUCUGCAGUUGAGAGAGUCCAACCAGGGGUGGCACAGCGAGUGGUUCCUCAUCGCAAAUUAGCAUCCUGAGCUACUGCCGCGCAAAGGGUAUGGGCUAGUGUCUAUGCCCGAGUGGUCAAACCAGCCCACCUCGAAAGAGCAGGUCCAAGUAGAUGAGCUGCUAGCGAAGAUCGUCGACUUGAAGGCACGCGGACUGACAUCCACGGCCAUCAAUAUCAACUUCUGUCAAAGGGCGAUGCAACCGAUCAAGUACCAAGUGCAUGCAUCCGUCGUACGAGUACUCGGGGCUAGAUGAUUCGACCCGAGAGAUUCGUGGCAAGGUCCCCAACAAAGAGGUCAUCGGCAGGGUGUGUGAGUUCUUCAAGGUGUGUGCGUCGAAUCCAACACCGCAAAGGGAUGAGGCUGGCUCCAAAGAUGAAAACGCCACCAUGGUCGACCCCGAGGUCGAGAAGAAGGCUGAGGUAGAUGCUAGAGUCAAGCCUCAACAGGAUGAGCUACCCAGGGAUGAUCCGCCACCGGAAAGAUCCAGCAGUGGUGCUGACAUUGGCAUGAAAGGCACUCAUAGGGGCUGACCUCUCGGAGAAAUAGGAACUCGCGCUCACCAGUUUCCUCCGAGAGAACUCGGACAUAUUUGCGUGGAAGUCAUCCGAUAUGCCUAGUAUCCCUAGGGAGCUGGCUGAGCACUCCUUGGACUUGAGCAAGACUGCACAGCUGGUCAAGUAGAAACUUCGUUGCUUCACCCAAGAUCGCAAGGAGGCCUUUAGGGUAGAAUUAAAUAAGCUCCUAGUUGCCGGAUUCAUUCGUGAAUAUAAGCAUUCUGACUAGUUAACCAACCUAGUUCUUCUAAGAAAGAAAACUGGUAAAUGGAGAAUGUGCAUUGAUUACAUUGACCUGAACAAGCAUUGCCCUAAGGACCCCCUCCCUCUUCCGUGCAUGGACCAAGUCAUAGACUCUACAGCAGGGAGCAUCCUGCUCUGCUUCCUCAACUGCUACUCAGGCUAUCACCAGAUUGCCCUUGAUCCAGCCAACCAAGACAAGACGACAUUCAUAAUGCCCUUUGGCAUCUAGUGCUACAAUAUAAUGACCUUUCGGUUGAAAAAUGCCAGCGCCACCUACCAAAAGGCAAUCCAGGGUUGCCUCGCAACACAGCUGCAGGAAUGCUGAGGCUUACGUCCCAUCUGGAAAGCUCCUGGAGUUCAUGGUCAGCCAGCGAGGCAUCAAGGCCAACCCCGUGAAGGUGGAUGCAAUCCGAAACAUAGCAAAACCAUCUAACAAGAAGGACAUUAGGAAACUUACUAGCAUGAUGGCAGCCCUUAGCUGCUUCAUCAGCAAACUUGGAGAAAAAGGUCUGCCCUUCUUCAAGAUCCUUAAAAAGGCAGACAAAUUUGUGUGGGAUGAUGAGGCCAGCAAGGCACACAAAGAGCUCAAAGCUUUCCUCAACACUCCUCCCAUCAUGACGGCCCCGGCCCACCAAGAAAUGUUGUACCUCUACAUCUCCACAAUGACGCAUGUUGUCAGGACCGUGCUAGUUGUAGAGCGCCAAGAGCUCGACCAUGCUUACAUGGUGCAACGGCUAGUGUAUUCUGUCAGCGAAGUCCUUAGCGACACCAAGACACGCUACACCCAGGUUCAAAAACUGUUCUACACAGUGCUGAUGUCAUCAAGAAAGUUGCGCCAUUACUUCCAGGCACACAAGAUUUGCGUAGUAUCUUCAUUCCUUAUUGGUGAAAUCCUACAUAACAGGGACGUCAAUAGUCAAGUUGUUAAGUGGUCUGUGGAGCUCAGCGAAUUCGACCUUGAUUUCUGCCCACGUCACAUGAUCAAGUCACAAAUCCUGGCUGACUUCGUGGCUGAGUGGACAAAGAUCCAGAAGCCACCCUCUCUGGAGAGGCCAGAACACUGAACCAUGUACUUUGACGGCACCCUGAACCUCGAAGGAGUCGGCGUGGGGGUCCUCUUCAUAUCCCCUAAAGACGAGCAGCUCAAGUAUAUGCUCCAGAUCUACUACAACACCACCAACAAUGGCGCCGAGUACGAAGCUCUGAUCCACAGCCUCCACAUCACCGUGUCCCUCGAAAUCAAGCAUAUACUCGCUUAUGGCGACUCCAAGGUUGUCAUCGAGCAAGUCAACAAGUAUUGGGACUGCACCAAGGAAUCCAUGGAUGCUUACUACAUGGAAAUCUACAAGCUCGAGGCCCACUUCAAUGGCCUUGAGUUCCAUCAUGUCCCCAAGGACCAUAACAUCGCCGACCGAUGUCCUGUCCAAGCUCGGCUCCAAGCGUGCGUAGGUUCCGGUUGGCGUAUUCGUACAAGAUCUCUGGAAAAUCUUCCAUCAAAAUUCUGGAUCCGGACCAAGCAACGACGCUGGCGCUCAGGGCCUGGCUGACCCAAAACCCACUGACGUCAUGAUGAUCGAGGUAGAAGAAGAUUGGUCGCCCCAUUCAUAGCCUUGAUCACUGACCAGAUGUGCCAGAGGAUAAGAUAGAGCAUGAAAAAUUAGCUCGGCGCAGUGCAAACUAUGUCGUCAUUGGCUAGGAGCUCUACAGGAAAGCCGCAUCCAUGAGAAUCCUGAUAAAGUGUAUCCUAUGCAAUGAAGGCAUCGAACUCCUGAAUGAAAUCCAUUUGGGAACAUGUGGCAACCAUGCUGCCUUGGGCACUUUGGUCGGCAAAGCCUUCCGCUUUGGUUUCUACUGGCCAAUGAUGCAAAGGGUGUCAAUUCUUCUCCAAGCAGCAGCACUUUUAAGCUUAGACCCUACACACCAUCCCACCAUCCUAGCCUUUCGCAUGCUGAGGGCUAGACAUGGUCGGACCAUUCAAAACUGCUUCGGGCGGCUACACACACAUCUUCGUGGUAGUGGACAAAUUUACCAAGUGGAUUAAGGUCAAGGCUGUUACCAGCACUGAGUCGGCUAAAGCCGCCUAGUUUGUGGAGGAAAUUAUGCACCUCUUUGGAGUGCCAAAUAGGAUCAUAACCGACCUUAGCAUGCAAUUCACAAGCUCCAAGUUGUGGGAUUUUUGCCAAGACAACCUCAUCGACGUGUACUACUCCUCAGUAACGCACCCACGCUGCAAUGGUUAGGUUGAACGUGCAAACGGGAUGGUCCUCCAAUCCCUCAAAUCACGCAUUUUCGACGACACGUCCAAGUACGCCAUGAAGUGGCUACGUGAGCAAUGUUAUCUGGGGUCUACGAACGCAGAAAAGUUGGGCUACCGGCUACACCCCUUUCUUCAUGGUAUACGGCUUAGAGGCCGUCCUAUCAUCAGACGUGGCCUUUGUCACCCCACGCAUCCAGUACUACAAGAAAGGCGAUGCAGAAAAAAGUUAGCGGGUCGACAUCGACAGCCUUUAAGAGUAUCGUGUGGCAGCCCUCAUCCAACAUGCCUGCCAUAAGCAGCAGAUACAGUGCUACCAUGAUCGAAAUGUCAGGGAAUGCUCCUUCAACAUUGGUGACUUAGUGCUUCACCGGGUCCAGUCCACCAAGAACAUGCACAAAUUGGCUACCCCCUGGGAGGGCCCCUUCAUCAUCAAAGAAGUCAUCCAGCCAGGCAUCUACCAACUACAAUUGGCAGACGGCUUCGACACCCCCAAUCCAUGGAAUAUCGAGCAUCUACGAUGUUUCUACCCCUAUAAAUAUAAAGCUAUGUACCCUAUUUCCCUUCUAUAUUAAAUAAAUAAAACCUCGGUGGUUCUUUCUACGUACCUACUAUCUUAUUGUUCUCCUUCCCAAGCUAUCCCUAACGCUCGGGGGUUGUCCGACCUGUUCAAUAGCCCGCUUGCUCACAAGCUCGGGGGCUUUCCCCAGGCGCUAACCUCUGGGUCAUGAAUUUUUCUCCUCCCCCUCUCAAGGAUAUACAACUAACUCAUGUGGUCGGCGUCCUAGCUCGUGAAACCUAGACAACCUCGUAUUCACCCCUCCUACAAGCUCGAGAUCCGGUCUCAGCAGGACGCUGGCCAGGCAAGGUUAGGUGCUUAGCGGCUACGGGCCUUAGCUACAUGCUGUCCUGUCGUAUACACCAAGGGAGGGAUGGAGUUUCUCUUCAUUACAUAUAAUUAAGAACAUUGCAUUCAACGUUUCAUCAAACAGCUUGAUACAUCUUAAAUGUUUUUCCUACAGGUCCAAGUCAUUUACAAUGGUCUCAGCCACAUCAUGGUACUGCUCAACCACCUCAGGAAUCAAGUCUUCUUCGAAGUCGGCCGCGACUCCUAUCACAACACGUUCCAAGGGAAGUUUCAGGAAUUAUGAUGCCAACAAAGCAAAGGUGUUCUUGAUGCAUUCCAAUGCAGUAUCCUUCAGCAGCGCCUUGAGCUGACCUGGUGCAGCCUUGAGACGGUCCAGUAGCAGCAUUGGUGCAGAUGGGUCGGCGUCUGCUUGGACCAUGUCCAUCACAUAGCCGGCUGCCUUCCACAGCUGCUCCAUCUCUAACUCCAACCCUGCAAUUACACACUGGUCAUUCUGGAGAUUACUUACAGCAGCCUCUAAGUAGCACUCGGUUUCCUUGCGUGCAUUGGUUUCGUGGGCCAACUUCUAUGAUACUGCAUACUCACGCUUGAUCGCCAUGUCAUGCUCCUGCUCAAGACGUGUGUUGGAUUGUUCGCACUCCUUGAGGUGCCGUUUCAGCCUCUCCUCCCUCAUCAUGGCAUCUAUUUGUCCGACCAAGUCUACAUGAGCAUCAAGAUAUCCAUGAGAAAUAUGAUUUAACAAGUCGGCGCAGCAUACCUCUCAAGUGCGAAGUGAAAACUUCCUUCUCAAAAGCAAAGUCAAUCCUAUCCUUCAACAAGUGAUUGGCCUACUUCACGACAUCCUCCUUGGCCUUCUUAAGGUCGACCUCGAGUCACUCCACCUUAAGGCAGUAGUGGUCAGCUUGGUAGGCCGUAUCCGCCCACUUCUGCGCUUGUUCGGCCAGACCCUGCACAUAUCUUCACAUUUAGAAUUCGGGAACUAAAAGGGAUUUCUGCAACAGGUCUUCUAGGUUGGUCAGCAAACUUACACUCAAAAACUCGAUGAUCCUUGAGGACGACUGCUGCAGCUCGGCAAGAGCCUUGUGGUCCACCUCAACGCCUUCACCAACGCCUUGUGGCCCGGAGGGUCUUCUAGGCCGAGGCAAAUCUUCUUGAGUCGGGGGUCGGGCUGCAGCGCGUUGGCUCCUUACUAAUCUUUUGGGCCUUGGUUACCAUGGCGGUGGCCUUAGCUGAUAACUCCAGUGCUUCUGCGAGCUGAACUGCCUCGGUGUCGCAUCUGUAUGACGUCUCCACAUCACCGUAGAUGGAGAGGACUCCGUUUGGGGCCGGCAUCUUGAGGAAAAGGUAGGUGUGGUGCAGGAUUGCCAUAAAUCUUGCUAGCAUGGGCCGACCAAGGAUGGCAUGGUAGGAAGUCUUGAAAUUUGCCACCUCAAAUGUGAGAUGCUCCGUGCGGUAGUUGGCCUGUGUGCCAAAAGUAACCGGCAAAACAACUCGACUAGUGGGGUAAGAUCCUUUGAUAGGGACGAUGUCGUAGAAGGGUUCUUCACAAGGCUGGAGCCGCUCAAAGUCGAAGUCCAUGCACUUCAAAGUCUUAGUGAAGAUGAUGUUUAGGCCACUGCCACCAUCAAUUAGCACCAUCAGGAAAACCACUAGUGGGUAGGACCCGGGAUGUGGGAUGUGGCCCUAGUGAUCUUGCCUGGAGAAAGUUAUGGACUGUUUUGACCAGCGCAGAUACUAGACUAGCUAUACAGAGACAAAGUGCACCUCUCACUAGCAUAACUUCUGCUAGCGCUUGCAGCAAAAGGUGUUACGGCCACCCAUGAUGAUCUUGACUUGGUGCUCUGGUCGCUGGAAGUCUUUGUUCUAGUCGACACCGAGCUGUGGGGCGUCUUGAUGUGGUUGGUCGCCGUGCUCCUCUCUAUUCUAGUUGUCACGGUCGUCGUGUCUGCUGUUAUUGUGGUCUUCAUGGUCGUCGCGGUUGUCGCGAUGGUGGCUGUUGCGGUCGUCGUGGUGACGGUCAUCAUGGUCGUUGUGGCGAUGGUCGUCGUCACGGCUACGGUAGUCAUGUUUGUUGUGAUCCCGGUGGUAGUGGUUGCGGCGGGGUCGCUUGUAUUCCACUGGGGUGCCGAGCUCUUUCUUCAGGACUGUGCAAUCCCUAAAAGUAUGACGUGUGUCCUUAUGGAAGGGGCUUGGAGCACUGAGGGUUCUAUCAAAUUCUUCCCGGAUGAAAGUGGUCGGCCUGGCCGGAUCUCCUUCAGCAACAUAGACCUCUGGGGCCCUUUUUCGAAGUCGGAACUCCGAGCGUGCAUGUGGUUUGUCAUGGAUUGGCUGAUCAUAGUUGUCGACAGUGCAAUGCUUGAUGUUCUGGAACUAAACUUUUGCCACCUCCUCUAUGUCUGCUUGUCUAUUGACAACUUCCAUCAUCUGCCUGACCGUCUUGGGAGCAGCCUCGUACAACUUGUAGAACAUGGGGUGGUUCAUCAAGCCAGAGCGAAAAUACCAGAUGAUAUCACGGAAUUUGAUGCUAGCUAGUGUGUUGCGGUUCUCGAAGAAGCAGUUGGCAUAUUCUCGAAUAGUUUCACAUAUCCUUUGACAGACUUGGCCUAGUUUCUCCCUAUUACCAGGUCGGCUAUACGUGGCCUUGCAAUUCUAGGUGAAAGCUCUAGCAAGCUAACCCCAACUAUCGAUGCUAUUCGGAGGGGGAUUCUCCAGCCACAGGAGUGGAGCAGGACCCAUCACCACCGAGAAGUAGGCGACCAUUUGGUUGUAGGUGCCAUUCGCAGCUCUCACUGUGAUACCGUAUGUCUUGAGCUAGAUGGCAGUGUCGGAGCAACCAUCAUACUUUUCAUUAAUGGUCGGCUUGAAUGUGGCUGGCCAAUCAACAGCCCUAAGGUGUGGGGUGAAAGCAGCGAAGCCAUCGAUCAUCAUGUCAUCAUCGUAAUCAUCAUCGAUGUAGUGUUGGAUGGGUGGGGCCCUGUGGCGUCCGCUAUAAUUGUGCCUGGGCAGGUAGUAGGCAUCUUCGGGAGCGCCGUACAUGUGGUCGUAGUCGCACCUUGUCCGGUUGUAGGAGUCUUCAAGGGCGUAGUAUACACGAUCGUAGUUGGUGUGGCAGCGCAUCUCAUCUUCUUGGCGACAACGGUCCUCACGCUCCUCAUUGCGAUUUAGCCCAGGAGCGCCAUAGUCACGGUUGUGCUCGGCACGGCGAUGGAGCUUGGCCCCUUCACGCUCAUGGUGGUAGUUGUUGAGGUUGGCAUGGAUGUCACGAUGCUGGUGGAGGUCGCGCAGCUCAUCACGGAGAUCACAUUGCCGUUCUGGUCGACCUCGGUUGUCAUCAUUGCCUCACCUGCCAUGGAGGCGGUUGUCGUUGUUGUCGUACUGGCAUGCGUUGUUGACGUUGUUGUGGACAGGUGGAUUGACAUGAUUGUUGGCCGGUGGGUUGGCAUUGUUGUUGACAGGUGGGUUGGUGUGUAGGAUGCUGUUCUGCUCCACCUCCUCUUCACGGAUUGGCUCCAUCUGACACCGAAAAUGCAUUUGGUAGGGUUAAGUUUCCAGCGGAAAGCUCGCAGGCUUGAGAAGAUUUCCUCCAAAUCAAUGAUUAGGUCUUCCUUAUUUCUUGUUUUGAUGACUACAUCGUCCACGUAAGCUUCUAUAUUGUGAUGCAAUUGUUUUCAAAGCACAUCUGUAUGGCGCGUUGGUAAGUUGCGCCUGCGUUUUUUUAACCCAAAUGACAUUGUUUUGUAGCAAAAAGCCCCAAAUGGAGUGAUGAAGGCUGUUUUGGUUUGAUCUUCUUCUUUGAGACUUAUCUGGUGGUAGCCUGAGUAACAGUCAAGAAAGCAUAGCAAGUCGCAUCUGGCAGUAGAGUCGACUACUUGGUCGAUCCUGGGUAGUCCGAAAGGGUCCUUUGGACAACGUUUGUUGAGAUCCAUGUAAUCGACACACAUUCUCCAUUCAUUGUUUUCUUGCGAACUAGUACAGGGUUGGCUAGCCAAUCAGGGUGAAAGACUUCUUUGAUGAACCCUGCUGCGAGUAGUUUGGCUAACUCUUUUUUUAUUGCUUCUCGUCUGUCUUGGGUGAACCUUCGGAGGCGUUGUUGUUUUGGGGUAGCCUUGGGAUCAACAUUUAGAGAAUGCUCAAUCAGUUCGUUGGGCACACCAGGCAUGUCGGCUGGUUUUCAGGUGAAGAUGUCAUGGUUAGCCCGAAGAAAACUGAUGAGCAUGGUUUUCUAUUUGGGAUCCAGUCCUAUCCCAAUUAGUGCUGCCUUAGUAGGAUCACCGGUCUUGAGAUCGACUGCUUUGAAGUCUGUCUCAUUUGUUGCCUUCAAUUUUGCUAUCCCUGAAUUGUUUUCUGGGAUUUCAAGUUCUGUUGGAUGAAGCUUCUUUGAGGCUGAAAAAACUUGUUGCAUGGGACUGGGCCCUUAUGAAGUUGCUGCAAUUUCCACGGCUUCGGUGUCGCAUUCAUAAGAUCUCCUUAGGUCUCCUCGUAGUGUUAAUUCUGCCUUGGGUCCUAGCAUUUUGAGUACCAGGUAAACGUAGUGUGGAAUAGCCAUGAAUUUAGCCAGAGCUGGUCUCUCGAGUAUGGUGUGGUAAGAGGUUUCAAAGUCGGCGACUUCGAGUCUGAUGUACUCGGUUCGGUAAUGCUCCUUAGUGCCGAAAGUAACUGGUAGGAUGACUUGUCCUAGUGGUAUAGCUGCGUUGCCUGGUACGAUUCUGUAAAAGGGAGAAUCUGUUGGAGUGAGCAUGUCCGUGACGUCGAGACACAUUUUUCUUAAUGUCUUGGCAAAAAUGAUGUUGAGUCCACUUCCGCCAUCGAUAAGUACUUUUGUUAGUUUUGAGCCUGCCACGACAGGAUCGAGUACUAGGGGAAAUCGGCCUGGCUCUGAAAAGUUUGUCCAUUGGUCCUUUCUGCUGAAGGUUAUGGGUACCUCGAACCAUUUUAGCGGUGUUGGAUCUAUCGGUUCGAUGGCCAUGAUUUUCCUGAGUACCAACUUGCUGGACCGCUUCGAAGCGAUACUCGGGAUUCCGCAAAAGAUGAUGUUGACUAUUUUGGAGGCGGUCUGGAAGUCUCCUGCUCCUUCUUCAUUCUUAUGGACUUUGUUUUUUCCUUUAUCUUUUUUCUGGAUGUACUCCUUGGGAGGUGGUGGUGCGGGUAAUUCUUGCAUUGCUCGGCGCAUGCUGUAGCAGUCUAUGGCAGAAUGUUUGCUGUUUGGGUGCCAUGGGCACUAUUUUUUUGAGCAAUUCGGUGAAGCUAGGUCCUUCAUCAUGUUUGCGGGAUCAUUUCUUCCCUGAGUUGGUCAUGGAAGUAAUGGUGUUGUCAGGUUUCCGUUUGCGAUUUUGGUUACUCAAAAAUUUGUUCCGAGUAUCGCUUUGUUGUUUCCUGUCCUGUUCGUGGCUGCUAUUGUCGCACCCACGGUUGCGAUGGGAGCCGAAUCGUUCUUGCUCUUUAUCUUCUUCAUCUGCCUAUUGUUGUACCAUUAUUUUAAGGUCUUUGACAGUGCAUGGUCGUCGUCUACCAAAGUCCUGAUACGUUCGACGAUCAUAGAGGCCAUUUUGGAAACACUUGAUGACGUCUGUUUCUGAAAUGUCGACUAUUGUGGCCUUCUUUUCAAAGAAUCGCUGUAGGUAGUCGCGUAGUGUUUCGCCUUCUUUUUGUUUUACUCAGCUUGGAUCGAUCUUGUUGCCUGGUCUAUUCAUGGAGCCUGCGUAGUUGUUGGUGAAUGCUUUUGUCAGAUCCUCCCAAGAGUCAAUUGUUUUGGGCUUGAGUGGCUCAAGCCAUGUUAGGGGUACGGGUUCCAUGCAUAUAGGAAAAUGGAUGACUUUGGUGUCAUUGUUGCCUCCGGCUGCUUGGACCGCCAACAAGUAGCAUCAGAGCCAUUGAAUUGGGUCUUGCUUGCCAUCAUACUUGGUGAUUCCUGUUGGCUUGAAUUUUUCACGUAGUCUUAUCCUCAUUACCUGAGCUAUGAAGGUUGGGAAGUGGUUGUAGUUGUCGACUUCUCAUUCUCGGCGACUAUUGAUUAUUUCGUGUAGAUUGCUGAAAUUUGACACUUCGUAAUUGUUCCUAAUGUGGCGAGGGCUUUUUGCUGAAUUGGUCUAGCUAGCCUCUCCGAGGUCUUUAUGUCGUGCUGGAGCUUCGUGUUUACUCGGUCCUUGGCUAAGCUGCCUUGGUUGGUUGAUUACCUCAUUGUUUCUUUGUGUUUUGUGAAGGCCAUUGUCGACUGCAGUGCCCCUGCUGCCCACUUGAUGAGCCGUGUUGUGAGGGAUAGAUGGGAUUGGUGAUUCUUUAUCGAGUAAUUUGUAUGCUUGCUGUGUGAGUUGCACAAUUAGCCCAUUGCCUCGCUACACGAGUUGGGCCGUUACUUCAGUGUCUCUAUUUUGAGGUAUCAGAGUUGAUAUGAGAUUGAUUGAGGCAAUCGCUGCAAGUGGAGUGGUGUGUUCUUGAGCUUGUACUGCAUCAAAUGUUCUUUCAAGGUUUGUGAUGGGAAUGUUUGUAGCUAGUAAUUGUCGGCGCUCUGCCCGAUUAAUGUUUCGUAUCCUUCUUUGGUUUCUUUGAUCAGGAGUUUCGUCUUGUGGAGCGUUAGCCGAAGACUCAUCUUCUGAAAUGUUGUCGAGCUGCGCUAGUACCCACAUUGUUAUUUUGAGUGAUGACAAAGACUUCUCUGUCCGGGUAGUAGCUUCCAGAGCUUGAUCUUGUGAUUUCUGUGGAGCUCUCCUCGCGGCUUGAUGUAAGCAAGGUGUCUUCUUGGUAUGGAAGGUUGUCUAUGUGAGCGACAAGACGUGACUCGUAGUCGCGGGUAAGGAAAGAUGGCUUCAUUCCUAGCCAGUGAACGAAUCUACCUUGUGGUAUUGAGGUUAUUACCAAACCUUGGGCUGGCCCUGAUAACGGGAUUUCUUGGAUAUAGUCCGAGUCAAAGUCGUGGUCCUCGUCUUCCCCGAGUUCGAGUUGAGUUCGGUGAAGAGAUCUUGGUAGACUUCGGCUGUAUUACGGAGUCCAUAUGGGAAUCACUUUUGAGUUGAAGUCGACUUGUGAAGUGACUCGGGCUCCAGCUUGUGUCGACUAGUCCAAUCCGAGGCUGAGUCGGGAGUGUAGUCGAACUCGGGGUUGUUGACUUUGAGAAUUUGGCUUUUCUUGAUGAACUCCCUUGUUUUCGGCUGAGGAAAACUUUUGUCGUGGGGUUUCUUCUCCUGGAUGCUGACGAUCUAACGCUGAAACGAUCCAGUGCCAUCGGCGAUGCACAGCCAGGAUCCAAAAACGAAGGUUGCGCCUGCCUCGAAGGUGAAGACAGGCUUGAUAACGAUCGGUGCCAUUGAACUCGCGCAGGGAAACUCGGCGACUACCCCUACCUGGCGUGCCAGCUAUCAGUAUUUUAGACCAGUAACCCACCUAGGGGGUACCCUAGGAGGUCUUUUGUGCAGUGGGUGUUGGAGGUAUGCCCUAGAGGCAAUCAUAGAGAUGAUGAUAUUCCAUUUGUAUCCAUGAUUUAUAUUGUGUUCCUUGAAUAUCCAUUAAAGGCUACUUGAAUUGAUUAGCAAUUAUCUGAAUUGUAUGUGAAACUCUUUACUUGUAUGGUUAUUCUAAAGUUGUCCCUAGUCGGAGUUCAUGUGAGGAUACACAUGAAUAUUAGACUAGCACUUAUAUUAGUUGAUGACUAUGUUUCACGAGUCAUGGACAUGGAGAUGUUGAACUAAUAAUGUGGGCACAUGUGGAGACAUGUGCUAGGACUGACCCAACACGAGAAGUAGUUCUCUCUUUACACAACAUAUACGCUUUGUCCUUAGACUUGAGAUUGUCGCACGUACUCAAGAUGUGGAUCGACUUACUUAGGGGCUAUCCAAUGCUACACCGUAACAGGGUAGUUAUAAAGGUACCUUUCAGGUUUGUCAAGAAGCAUGCUAUGAGACAUGGUCAAUCAAGAUGGGAUUUGCCCCUCUCUGAUUGAGAGUGAUAUCUCUGGGCCCCUCGAGUGAUCGGAUCUGAAAAUGCAUGGCCAUGCUACGUACGGUUAAGAGUUAACCUACAAAGGGAUUCCGAAUCAUAGGAUCGAGAAAGAGCAGUCGGCUUGAAGCUAGACCAAAUAUCGUAAGGCAAAGGGAAUAACAUGUAUAUAAUGUUGUGAUGGUUCGUCUGAUAUGAUCUUCGUGUGCGUAUAGGAGUUGGCACGUCUUGCUAGAGGCCGCUACUGACUAUUGGGCCGAGUAGGAGUACUCGAGCCAUGUUUAUACGUAUCCGAACCCAUAGGGUCACGCACUUAAGGGGCUGGAAGCCCAAUUCAGAUAUGAUCCGAGUUGGAUUAGGUUUAGAAGUACUAAUGUGCCUCGAACCCAGAGGCCCGUUAGGAACCUCUAUAAAUAGAGGGGUAGGGGCGCCCUAGGGUUUACACCUUUUUGGCGAAACACAUCUGCUGCGCCUCCCAUGCCCUCGCCUGUUGCAACUCACGGACCUAGCAGUCCGGCUUGCGACGCUUCCUCCCUGCACGUGUGGAUACCUUGGAGGUGUUGCGCCUGCAGCACUUGGACGAGCCGCCGAUGAGCCACAAUGAGCCGCCGACGAGCCACGACGAGCAGCCGACGAGCCACGAUGAGCCGACGACGAGCCGUGGCACGAGGGCGAUCUUGCUGCACAUGGACGAGCUGCUGGACGUCGACAUGAUCGACUACAUACGACUACACUGAUCAACUUCGCUGCAUCGACACGAAUCUACAUCUUCCGCUUCAGUGCGUCGAGUGGUAAUCCCGUGAUCCUUAUAUGGCAGUUUUUCUUGUUUACGCGGUAGAAAUUUUUUAUUUGCGCUAGUGUAGCCUACCUCAUAUCCCAACAGUGGUAUUAGAGCCGUAGCUGUUUAAGUUUUAGAUUCGGGAUAUGUGCAUAUGGAGAUAUGUGAGUUUUCAGUUUGAUCUAUGUCCUGGUUUCGUGUUCUUGCUGCAAUGGUUGUGUAACGACGUACUCCUACCGGUCGGGUUUCCGCCAUCGGAGUUAAGUGAUACACGUAAUGCUAGUUGUAGCAAGUGAAGAUCAAUGUGAAUGGUCGAAUCGAGAUCCAGGUUCAUACCCCAAGCACAUGAGAUGUGCAAUAGUAAAUUGAAUCUACUACCAGGUCGGGAUUUUGCCGUAUGCGAGUGCUUCGGUAAAUAAGCCGUAACUUUUUGGUACGAUCUCGGAUUGGGGCGAAUUUUAUAUGAAAAUUGAUCUACAGAAAAAGUUACACAUGAAAUUCAACCACUUCACCAUUUUCGACAAAAUUAGAGUUCCCAAAUUCAGCUUGGAAGAUGGAGUUUUGGGCCUCCGAAGUUUGGAAUGUUAGAACGCCUAACUCUGUUUUGCAGGAUGUAUGUAUCUUGUGAUCAGUAUGGCCCUUUGUGUAUGUGAUGCAUGUGUGUAACUCAUUCGUGACCUGCAUGUCACGUGUAUGGCAACACGGCUGGAGCCAUAUGUGUUGUCACUUUAAUGUAUUUAAUGUAAUCUUCAUUACUAGCUUCUUUACUAGCUAUUAGGCGUAAUAGGAUGUUCUAGUUCUUGGAGGACUCAUCACCAGGAGGAUGGCGCACAUGGAACAUGGAGAUGGAGAUCACCAUGGUGAACAGGUUCUGUGGAGAUGGAGAUCACCACAAGAAAACGGGUCAUACUGUGUCACAACUGUGUGAAUGUUAUUCUAUUUAUGUUUUAGUUUCUGCAUCCUGUGAUGUUAGAAGUAGAACAAUCCCUCACAAAGUUUAAGUUAGUAUGCCCUCCCAACUAAAACUUGCACCGUCCCGUGUCUUGUACAAUUAGUGGUGGGUCUAUUAUAUUAGGGUGCCACUAGUUUUCCUUGACUAGACGGGUUUGAGUCGGACACUUACACGCAUAAGGGUUGGUUUGCUUAACAAGGUUAUCUUAACAGUUAAGGACCUUGGGUCAUAAAGGUUGGGCGCCGAGACAUGGAGAUGUCACCCAACAACAGGAGUCAUAUGUGAUAUGAUUAGCAAGAAGUUGCUUACCGAUCUACCUUGUUUGCUAGCGGUGAUGCUAAACCUCACUAGUAGACUUGUUAGUUGUGGAUCCUGAAUCACUAAGUAUCAAUAGAGGUAUAUUGAUUUUAGUGGGAGUAGAUUCUGUUAAAAUAGUUUAAUGUGAUUUGCUCUAUCAUGGAUACAUUUGUCUUAGUGUAUUUUUGCAUUACUUUUGUUGUAGAUUAAAUGGCACCUAGCAGCACUACAACGUUUGCUUUGCGUUCGGUCCUUGAGAAGGACAAGUUGAAUGGAACAAACUACUCGGAUUGGAUCUGUAACCUGAGAAUUGUUCUCAGGACUGAGAAAAAGGAAGAUGUUCUAGACAACCCACUACCAGAAGAACCUGCUGAUGAUGCACUUGCUGCUAAGAAUGGUUACAAGAAAGCAUGUGAUGCUAACUUCAAAGUAAGCUGCCUUAUGCUUGCUUGCAUGGAACCCGAGCUGCAGAUGCAGUUCGAAACAAACCAUGAGGCGCACAAUAUGAUUGUGGUGCUUAGAGACAUGUUCCAAACACAGGCCAGGACUGAAAGGUUCAAUGUGUCUAAGGCCUUUGUGGAGAGCAAGCUAGCAGAAGGCGCAGCAGUAGGACCACACGUAAUCAAGAUGGUUGGUUACACUCAACGGUUGGAGAAGCUGGGCUUCCCACUAGGCCAAGAGUUGACCACUGAUUUCAUUCUUUCGUCUCUUCCGCCUAGCUAUGGGAACUUCAUCUCGAGCUACCAUAUGCAUGGGACAGAGAAGGGUCUGAAUGAACUGUGUGAUAUGCUCAAGACAGCAGAGGUAGACAUUAAGAAAAGCGCUAGUAGCAGCCAUAUGAUGGCUAUACAAAAUAAGCCUAGCUUUAAGAAAAAAGGGCAAUUCUUAGAAGAAGAAGGGCAAGGCUGGAACGUCCAAGCCAAACCCAGCGCCCAAGGUUAAAGCUGGACCUGGACCUGCUCCAGACAAAGAGUGCUUUUACUGUCAUGAACUUGGUCACUGGAAGAGAAAUUGCAAAUAGUACCUAGCUUCAUUGAAAAUGGCGGAAGUAAGAGUACUUCCACCUCAGGUAUGCUUGUUAUUAAUGUUAUAGACAACAUAUUUCUCGCUGAUACAAUUAUUAAUUCUUGGGUAUUUGAUACCAGAUCGGUUGCUCAUAUUUGCAAUUCGAUGCAGGGAAUGAUAAGAAGUAGAAGCGUGGAAAGAGGAGAAGUUGAUUUCCGCGGAUUGGUUGCUCAUAUUUGCAAUUCGAUGCAGGGAAUGAUAAGAAGUAGAAGCGUGGAAAGAGGAGAAGUUGAUUUCUGCGUGGGCAAUAAUGCAAGAGUUGCUGCGUUGACUGUCGGGACGAUGCAACUCCACCUCCCGUCAGCAUUUAUUAUGGAGUUGAAUAAUUGUUAUUUCAUUCCUAGUUUAAGUUGAAACAUUUUGUCUCCUUGAUGCUUGAUGAAGGAUGGUUAUUCAUUUGCGAGUGAAAAUAAUAGUUGUGUGAUCUCUAAGAAUGAUAUAUUUAUGGCUUUUGCACCCAUUGUGAAUGGAUUGUUUGUUUUAAAUCUUGAUGGUUCACCUGUCUGUAACGUAAGUGCUAAAAGGCCUCGGCCUAAUGAUUUGAGUCCUACCUACUUGUGGCAUUGUCGUUUGGGUCAUAUAAGUGAAAAACACAUGAAGAAGCUCCAUUUUGAUGGACUUCUAACUUUGUUUGAUUUUGAAUCAUACGAGACAUGUGAGGCUUGCUUGCUAGGCAAGAAGACCAAGACGCCUUUCACAGGAUUUCCUGAGAGAGCAAUAGACUUGUUGGAACUCGUACAUAGUGAUGUAUGCGGACCAAUGAGCAUGACGGCUAGAGGAGGAUUACAAUACUUCAUAACUUUCACUGAUGAUUUUAGUAGAUAUGGCUAUGUCUACUUGAUGAGGCACAAGUCUGAAUCCUUUGAAAAGUUCAAGGAAUUUCAGAAUGAAGUUGAAAAUCAGCGUGGCAAGAAAAUUAAGGCCUUACGAUCUGAUCGUGGAGGCGAGUAUUUGAGGCACGAGUAUAGCAAUCAUCUAAAGAGUUGCGGAAUUGUUCCACAACUUACGCCGCCUUGAACACCUCAGAGAAACGGUGUAUCCGAGCGACGUAAUCGAACUUUGUUAGACAUGGUUCGAUCAAUGAUGAGCCAGUCAGACCUACCAUUAUCAUUUUGGGGAUACGCUCUAGAAACAGCAGCUUUCACACUUAAUAGGGUACCAUCUAAAUCCGUAGUUAAGACACCAUAUGAGAUGUGGACUGAAAAAGUUCCCAGUUUGUCUUUUCUUUAGAUUUGGGAAUGUGAAGUGUUUGUCAAGCGACUUCAGUCGGACAAGAUCACACCCAAGUUGGAUAAGUGCAUUUUCGUGGGAUAUCCAAAGGAAACUUUGGGAUAUUACUUCUACAACCGGUUAGAGGGCAAAGUGUUUGUCGCUUAGAACGGGGUUUUACUAGAGAAAGAGUUUCUCAAAGGAGAAAAGAGUGGAAAGACAGUGCAUCUUGAAGAAGUUCAAGAUGAGAUCAGGCAAGAAUCAUUGAGUGAUGCUAACAUAGCAGAACAAGUUGAGAUACCCAUGGCACCGCUAAAACCACGAAGGUCGGCAAGGCUCCGCAAAAUGCGGGAAAUAUUAUUGUUGGACAAUGAUGAGCCUGCGACAUAUGCAAAAGCAAUGAUGAACCCAGACUCUAAAAAAUGGCAGAGUGCCAUGAAAUCCGAAAUAGAGUCCAUGGGAGACAAUCAAGUUUGGAACUUGGUUGACCCACCUGAUGGUGUUAAAGCCAUAGAGUGCAAGUGGAUCUAUAAGAAGAAAAAAGACAUGGAUGGAAAUGUUCACAUCUAUAAAGCAUGACUUGUCGCAAAAGGUUUUCGACAAGUUCAAGGAGUUGGCUACGACGAGACCUUCUCGCCCGUAGUGAUUCUUAAGUCCAUUCAGAUUAUUCUAGCUAUAGCUGCAUAUUUCGAUUACGAGAUAUGGCAGAUGGAUGUCAAGACAGCUUUCCUGAAUGGAAACCUAGCUAAGGACGUGUAUAUGAUACAGCCCGAGGGUUUUGUCGAUCCAAAAAAUGCUGGAAAGGUAUGCAAGCUUCAGAUAUCCAUUUAUGGAUUGAAGCAAGCAUCUAGGAGUUGGAACAUUCGUUUUGAUGAAGUGGUCAAAGGGUUUGACUUCACCAAGAACAAAGAAGAGUCUUGUGUUUACAAGAAGGUUAGUGGGAGCUCUGUAGUAUUUCUAAUCUUAUAUGUGGAUGACAUAUUGCUGAUUGGAAAUAACAAUCCUAUGCUUGAGCCCGUAAAGACUUCACUGAAAAAUAGUUUUUCGACGAAGGACUUAGGGGAAGCGGCAUAUAUUCUGGGCAUUAAGAUCUAUAGAGAUAGAUCGAGAAGGCUUAUAGGAUUAAGCCAAGAUACUUACAUUGACAAAGUGUUGAAGCGAUUCAGCAUGGAAGAGGUGAAGAAAGGGUUCUUGCCUAUGUCACAUGGUAUACAUCUCAGCAAGACUCAGUGUCCUUCGACUGCUGAUGAGCGGGAGCGCAUGAGUAGAGUGCCAUAUACCUCGUCUAUUGGAUCUAUCAUGUAUGCAAUGAUAAGUACUCGCCCAGAUGUUUCAUAUGCGCUAAGUAUGACAAGCAGACACCAGUCUGAUCCAGGUGAGACUCACUGGACAGCGGUGAAAAACAUUCUUAAGUACUUGAGAAGGACUAACAAUAUGUUCCUCGUCUAUGGAGGUGAGAAGGAGCUCGUUGUAACAGGUUACACCGAUGCUAGUUUCCAAACCGACAGAGAUGAUUCAAAGUCACAAUCAGGAUUUGUGUUCACGCUAAAUGGUGGUGCUGUUAGUUGGAAGAGUUCCAAGCAGGAGACGGUGGCCGAUUCUACGAUAGAAGCCGAGUACAUCAUGGCUUCGGAAGCCGCGAAGGAGGGUGUUUGGAUAAGGAAUUUCCUCAUUGAGAUUGGUGUGUUCCCGAAUGCGUCCAGCCCAUUGAAUCUCUACUGUGAUAACAAUGGGGCAAUUGUGCAAGCAAAGGAACCAAGGAACCACCAGAAGAACAAACAAGUAAUGUGGCGAUUUCAUCUCAUACGAGACUUCGUUAACCGGGGUGUGAUCAAGAUAUGCAAAAUACACACUGAUCUGAACAUUUCUGAUCCGUUGAUAAAACCACUCCCGCAGGCUAAGCAUGAUGCGCAUGUAAGAGCUAUAGGUAUUAGAUACCUUCUAGAUUGACUCUAGUGCAAGUGGGAGACUGUUGGAGGUAUGCCCUAGAGGCAAUCAUAGAGACAAUCCAUUCACAAUGGGUUUAAAAGCCAUAAACAUAUCAUUCUUAGAGAUCACACAACCAUUAUUUUCACUCGCAAAUGAAUAACCAUCCUUCAUCAAGCAUGAAGGAGACAAAAUGUUUCAACUUAAACUAGGAACGAAAUAACAAUUAUUCAACUCCAUAAUAAAUCCUGACGGGAGGUGGAGUUGCAUCGUCCCGACGGUCAACGCAGCAACUCUUGCAUUAUUGCCCAUGCGGAAAUCAACUUCUCCUCUUUCCACGCUUCUACUUCUUAUCAUUCCCUGCAUCGAAUUGCAAAUAUGAGCAACCGAUCCAGUAUCAAAUACCCAAGAAUUAAUAAUUGUAUCAGCGAGAAAUAUGUUGUCUAUAACAUUAAUAACAAGCGUACCUGAGGUUGAAGUACUCUUACUUCCGCCAUUCUUCAACGAAGCUAGGUACUGCUUGCAAUUUCUCUUCCAGUGACCAAGUUCAUGAUAGUAAAAGCACUCUUUGUCUGGAGCAGGUCCAGGUCCAGCUUUAACCUUGGGUGCUGGGUUUUGUCUUGGAUGUUCCAGCCUUGCCCUUCUUCUUCCAAGAAUUGCCCUUCUUCUUAAAGCUAGGCUUGUUCUGUAUAGCCAUCACAUGGCUAGAACUAGCGUUUUUCUUAAUGUCAGCCUCUGCUGAUUUGAGCAUGCCACACAACUCAUUCAGACCCUUCUCCGUUCCAUGCAUAUGGUAGUUCGAGAUGAAGUUCCCAUAGCUAGGCGAAAGAGACAAAAUAAUGGAAUCAGUGGCCAACUCUUGGCCCAGUGGGAAGCCCAGCUUCUCCAACCAUUAAGUGUAACCAACCAUCAGUAAGCAAGCAUAAGGCAGCUUACUUCGAGGUUAGCAUCACAUGCCUUUUUGUAAGCAUUUUUAGCAGCAGCAGGUGCAUCAUCAGCAGGUUCUUCUAGUAGUGGGUUGUCUGGAACAUCUUCCUUUUUCUCAGACCUGAGAACAAUUCUCAGGUUAUGGAUCCAAUCCGAGUAGUUUGUUCCAUUCAACUUGUCCUUCUCAAGGACCGAACGCAAAGCAAAUGGUGUAGUGCUGCUAGGUGCCAUUUAAUAUACAACAAAAGUAAUGCAAAAUACACUAAGACAAACGUAUCCAUGAUCGAGCAAAUGACAUUAAACUAUUUAACAGAAUCUACUCCCACUAAAAUCAAUGUCCCUCUAUUGAUACUUAGUGAUUCAGGAUCCACAACUAAUAAGUCUACUAGUGAGCUUUAGCAUCACCGCUAGCAAACAAGGUAGAUCGGUAAGCAACUCUUUGCUAAUCAUAUCACAUAUGACUCCUAUUGUUGGGUGACAUGUCCAUGUCUCGGCGCCCAACCUUUAUGCCCCAAGGUCCUUAACUGUUAAGAUAACCUUGUUAAGCAAACCCACCCUUAUGCGUGUAAGUGUCCGACACAAACCCGUCUAGUCAAGGAAAACUAGUGGCACCCUAAUUUCAUAUACCCACCACUAAUUGUACAAGAUAUGGGACGGUGCAAGUUUAAGUUGGGAGGGCAUACUAACUUAAACUCCACCACUAAUCAUUCUACUUCUAACAUCACACCAUGCAGAAAGUAAAACAUAAAUAGAAUAGCAUUCACAUAGUUGUGACACAGUAUGGCCCGUUUUCUUAUGGUGAUCUUCAUCUCCACAGAACCUGUUCACCAUGGUGAUCUCCAUCUCCAUGUUCCAUGUGCGCCAUCCUCCUGGUGAUGAGUCCUCCAAGAACUAUAACAUGCUCUUACGCCUAAUAGCUAGUAAAGAAGCUAGUAAUGAAGAUUACAUAGUUUGCUUGGAUCAUCACAGAUUGGUACGCAGACCAUUAAAUACAUUAAAGUGACAACACAUAUGGCUCCAGCCAUGUUGCCGUACGCGCGACACGCAGGUCACGAAUGAGUUACACACAUGCAUCACAUACACAAGGGGGCCAUACUGAUCACAAGAUCCAUACAUCCUGCAAAACAGAGUUAGGCAUUCUAACAUUCCAAACUUCAGAGGACCAAAAGCUGAAUUUGGGAAAUCUAAUUUUGUCAAAAAAGGCAAAGUGGUCGAAUUUCAUGUGUAACUUUUUCUGUAGAUCAAUUUUCAUAUAAAAUUCGCCCCGAUCCGAGAUUGUACCGAAAAGUUACGGCUGAUUUACCGAAGCACACGCAUACAGCAAAAUCCCGACCCGGUAGUAGAUCCAAUCUACUAUUGCACAUCUCAUGUGCUUGGCGUAUGAACCUGGAUCUCGAUCCGACCAGUCACAUUGAUCUUCGCUCGCUGUAACUGGCAUUACGUGUAUCACUUAACUCCGAUGGAGGAAACCCGACCGGUAGGAGUAUGUCAUUACACAACCAUUGCAGCAAGAACACAAAAUCAGGACAUAGAUCAAACUGAAAACUCGCAUAUCUCCAUAUGCACACAUCCCGAAUCCAAAACUAAACAACUACGGCUCUGAUACUACUGUUGGGAUACAAGGUAGGCUACGCUAGCGCAAAUCAAAAUUUUUCUACCACAUAAACCAGGAAAACUGCCGUAUAAGGAUCACGGGAUUACCGCUUGACGCAUUGGUGUGGAAGAUGUAGAAUCGCGUCGGGGUAGCGAAGUUGAUCAGCGUAGUCGAACGUAGUUGAUCACGUCGAUGUCGAGCAGCUCCUCAGCAGCUCGUCCACGUGCAGCUAGAUCGUCUUCGUGCCGCGGCUCAUCGGCGGCUCGUCGACGGCUCGUCCAAGUGCUGCAGGAGCAACACCUCCAAGGUAUCCACACGUGCAGGGAGGAAGCAUCGCAAGCCGGACUACUAGGUCCGCGAGUUGCAAUAGGCGAGAGCGUGGGAGGCACGGUAGAUGUGUUUCGCCAAAAAGGUGUAAACCCUAGGGUGCCCCCACCCCUCUAUUUAUAGAGGUUCCUGACGGGCCUCUGGGUCUGAGGCCCAUUAGUACUUCUAAACCUAAUCCAACUCAGAUCACAUCCGAAUUGGGCUUCCAGCCCCUUAAGUGUGUGACCCUAUGGGUUCGGAUACGUAUAGACAUGGCCCGAGUACUCCUACUCGGCCCAAUAGUUGGUAGCGGCCUCUAGCAAGAUGUGCCAACUCCUAUACGCAUGCGAAGAUCAUAUCAGAUGAACCGUCACAACAUUAUGUACAUGCUAUACCCUUUGCCUCACGAUAUUUGAUCUAGCUUCAAGCCGAUCGCUCUUUCUCCAUCCUGUGAUUCGGAAUCCCUUUGUAGGUUAACUCUUAACCGUACGCAGCAUGGCCAUGCAUUUUCAUAUCCGAUCACUCAAGGGGCCCAGAGAUAUCACUCUCAAUGAGAGAGGGGCAAAUCCCAUCUUGAUUCACCAUGUCUCACAGCAUGCUUCCACAUGUGCCCACAUUAUUAGUUUAACAUCUCCAUGUCCAUGACUUGUGAAACAUAGUCAUCAACUAAUACAUGUGCUAGUCUAAUAUUCAUGUGUGUCCUCACAUGAACUCCGACUAGGGACAACUUUAGAAUAACCAUACAAGUAAAGAGUUUCACAUACAAUUCACAUAAUUGCAAGUCAAUUCAAGUAGCCUUUAAUGGAUAUUCAAGCAACACAAUAUAAAUCAUGGAUACAAAUGGAAUAUUAUCAUUUCUAUGAUUGCCUCUAGGGCAUACCUCCAAUAGGCAUGGAGUCCAUACUACCCCUCAUGUGGCCCUCGUAGAACACGCCGUCAGUGCCAACCCCGGCCCUCUCCAAGCACUCGUUGAGGAGAGUGCAAAAGCCUCCAUAGCGCACUCUGUCUCUAGAAAAUGAAUGCCACUCCUUAGUCAUCAUCUGAAACACAUAGUUAAGGGUUGUCAGAAAGUCAUAUAAGUCAGAGUAAACAAGGUAAUAAUAGUAACAAUUCAAGGAGUUGUAUAGUAAUCAAGGGGUAUAUACUUGUUGACGCCGGAUUUCGUCAUCAGUAGAAUCGGCGCCAAAGAAGAAAGAAAUCGAAGGAGUGCAGAUGGGAAUCGGUCAAAAGGUGCUACAGUGCGGAAUCGGUCAAGUGGCUUUUACUUCGCUUCAGAGUGAAUACGCCAGGUUCCCAAUCGGCAAUCCUUUGCUGAUGGGAAAUCAGCCGAUCAGGAAGGUAGACUAAAGUGGGCCUGUAUGGGCUUGGAAAGGUGGAGAGAUAAGGUGGGGUUCAGCCCACGAAAUGUGGGGUAGUUAGUUUAGCACAGAUUGUGCUCGUAGAUAUUUGUUUCCUGUUUGAAUUAGAGAUAGAGUUCUAGUCGGUUAAGAAGAUUAUUUACGGGGGCUAUAAAUAGCUACCUUUGUAAAUCUGUAAAAACAACAAUCAAUCAAUACAACAAGUUACUUUAUUCUUCAUACUUACUUUCGAGCAGGCGACUUCGCCAUCACUUUUUCUUCUCACGAGUUCGUGCGGGUUGGCAGGGCUGCAUCAUUUUGAUCUCCGGCCGAUUCUGUAAGUUCCGUUUAUCGAGUAAUAUCUAAGCUUUAACUUCCGGCGCAUCGCUGUCGUUCCGUUUAGAUUUAUUCAUCAGUUAUCGAUAUCAACUAGAUUCAUAGGUUUUUACCUAUUUUCCUAGUUUUUAUCACCAGUUAUCCUACUAGGAAUCGGUAGCAUCGGCUUUCGUUACUUUCUGUUGCUAGAUCUAUCUAUUGCCGAUUAGAUCUUUUCCUAGUAUUGUCACUACGUACCUUGUACCGAUUACUUUAAUAUUUUUCUAUCUACAAGGCUACAAGGAUCGUGCUGUCUUACGGCCGAUUUCUUCAUUACAGUAAAUCGGCCGAUCUGCCGAUAAGCUUUCUCGAUCGGAAAUUCAGCCGAUCGCGGUUACUGAAUUUGACACGUAUUCUUCCUUGCCAAUCAACAGGUCAGAUUGGCUGGCACGCCGCGCGAACCGCACCAGGGCUUUCACCCGAACAGGAGCUAAGCAGAUUCUCCUGGGUCGUGUGUCGGCCGCUGGGAUUUGGUUGACCGAUUUCUAGCGCCAACACACAUUUUGGCACGCCCAGUGGGACCAUUACAACCGCUGUCAUGUCGAAAACUGCUGAAGUCACCGAGGAUAACGUCAUCGAAGUGACGGAAGCAGAUCUAAAGGACGACCAAAAAGAAGAUCUAAAUCAAUAUUUGGAGCAAGUCCGGAAAACUUGUUUGAAAUCCUUCAGUCGUUCCAGGAGCGGGGAAACUGUUAAAAAGUCUCCUUUCCCUACUCCCCGCCAGAUCACGAUUUCAGAAGAUUCGGACAAAAUGUCCGAUAUGAUUCAGCAAUCUCUUCAUCACGCCUUCAUCAACCAAUCCCCGGUACUUUCAAACAUGGUGCACAAUGCUGUUGUCAACUCCUUCGCCGGAGGUAUACCACAAGGGUACAGGGGGCCUACGUAUUUUCAGCCGAUUCCACCGAAUCAGGCUUAUCAGGCUUCACAGCCGAUCCAAUCCUCUGUCGGAGGGUCUGGUGCCUCCACGUCAUCAACUCUGUUGGGAUACGGCCCCAUCCAGCCGUCCACUGCACCACUCCCUCCAGUCAUCCCUUUACCCUGGGGGGCACCCUUAAAUACGACCGGUUUGAAUCAAUCGGUCAGCCAAGGAAAUCCUCCGUUCCAGACACUCUCCCAAACGGCCACUCGGCCGAUCAUACCACCAUACCAGCCUAUCGCUCCGGAGGUCAACAAGACGUCAGAGCUCAUGCUAUAUGAUGAAACGAGUGGCGCCUACAAACAGCCGUCCUUCACUACACCGCCGGCUUACACUCAGAUACCAUCUUUUCAUCAACCUCCCUUUAUUCAACCUCCGAUUCAUCAACAUGUGCCGAUUCCACCGCCAAUUAUUCCCCAACAACAACCAGAUUGGGCGGCGCAAAUCGCGGAGGUAAUGCAAGAGCAAUUCGGCCUGAAGCCGAAGGUGCAAACUUAUACAUACAGAACACCAUACCCAUCUACGUAUGACUUGUUGCCGUUUCCCCAUCGGUACAAAGUUCCUGAUUUUACCAAAUUUUCGGGGAUGGAUGAUACUUCUACCGUGGAACAUGUGAAUAGAUUCAUCAUCCAAUGCGGAGAGGCAGCUACUCAAGAUGCCUUACGGGUACGGUUGUUCUCGUCAUCUUUGUCUGGAUCGGCCUUCCAAUGGUUCACCACUUUGCCACCGAACUCGAUUAUCACAUGGGCCGAUCUAGAGAGGCAGUUCCACAAAUACUUCUAUGCUGGAGUCCACGAAAUGAAGCUGUCUGAUUUGACUAGCCUCCGGCAACGAAGUGAUGAGCCGAUACCCUCAUACAUACAGAGGUUUCGGGAAAUCAGAAACAAAUGCUACUCCCUGGCUCUAACCGAUGCACAGUUGGCCGAUAUAGCCUUUCAAGGCCUGCUGCCACACAUUAAAGAGAAAUAUGCUUCACAAGAAUUCGAGAGCCUGAGCCAGAUUGUCCACCGAUUGUCCGGGCAAGAGGUACGUCCAUUUGAUCCAAGAAGGAAUUUCCAGAAGAAGGUAGCAUUCCUAGAAGAGGUAGAGGAUGAAGAAGACGCCGAAAUCGGACUCGCAGAGUGGAUUAAGGGAAAGAAGCCGAUAUCAUGCCCGUUCGGCAAAAAGGAGCCGGAGGCGUUCGGUUUCGAUACUACUAAAGCUGACAAAAUAUUCGACCUUCUACUCCAGGAAGGACAGAUUAAACUCUCGCCUUACCAUACGAUACCCUCUGCCGAACAAUUGAAGAAGAUGAAGUAUUGCAAGUGGCAUAACGCCACAUCACAUGAUACCAACGAGUGUAAAAUCUUCAGGCAGCAAAUACAGUCGGCCAUUGAGCAAGGCAGACUCAAGUUUGAAGUACCGGCAAAACCAGCUAAACCUAUGAAGAUUGAUCAACAUCCUUUUCCUACCAACAUGGUGGAUACGGGUAAAAAUCCCCUCCAAACAAAAGUGCUGACGUCCGAAUCGGCAAAAAGGAGCGGCUCUGUCGACCCCAGAAAUCAAGUCACGCCCGAAGACGUCAAAGGGAAACGGCGAAUCGAGGACGACGAUGGUGAGUCUGAUAGACCACGUAUUACUUCCCAGUUCCUGCUCCAAAAGUACCAACGCCAACAUGAACGAUCGAGGUCCCGAGAGGAAGCAAUGCGUCGGCACGAAGAACACUGGAGAUGCCCAUUCUUCAUCCAUUGUUGGGAAAAUAACCUCAGACUUCCAUCAGCCGAUACUUGCCCAGAAUGCAACGGUCCCUAUCGAAGCAAUCGGCCGUUCACAAGGUCUCGCUCCAGAGACGGAAGACCAGAACCGAUCAGCAGGAAUCGGCGCAACCCAGAUGAUCAGCGCCCUUCCAUGCGUGAUCGGCUGGGGGGCAGAAGUGACCGAUAUGAUCGGUCAGAAGAUAGAAGCCAUAAUAGGCAGGGGGGCAGGACCGAUCGACAUGAUCAAUCAAGUAGCAAAGCCAGCGUUCACAGUCGGCUCCAAGAUAUGGCCGAUGCUCGGGUAACAGACGAGAACCCGUUAGGACGCGAGCCAGAAUGGGAACACGCCAGGAAAGAAGGGAGGCCAAUAAACCCCAGAUGGUGUCCUGAUGGUUUGACCAAAUCACAAAAACGAAGAGUCCAGCGCCUCCGCCAGUGGGAACAGCAAGAAGAAGAAAGCGCGAUGGACAAAAAGCAAGAGAGGCCUCGGGUAUGGCGCCCCAAAAGAAACGAUAAGGGCAACGAUGAGUCGGCGGGCGACGAAUCGGCAGCUGAAAUCGGUAUGGUUUUCAUAUUGCCGAUGGAAUUUAUGACCCCUGCCGAUCAACAGGGUGUAUCGGCGAUAGAAGAACAAACAGCACGGUUGACUUUAGAACCGAUGAUGGCCACGUUCGAAAAGCCCGAAGACAACGAACGACAACAUAUGAAGGCAUUGUUCCUUAAAGGGCAUGUUGACGGACGUCCCCUCACUAAGUUGAUGGUCGACGGAGGAGCCGCCGUCAAUAUCAUGCCAUAUACCGUACUUCGGAAACUAGGAAAGAGCGACGACGACUUGACCAGGACGGACAUGAUGCUCAAGGACUUCGAAGGCAAGGUGUCAAACGCUCGCGGUGCCCUCUGCGUCGACCUCACCAUCGGAAGUAAGACCCUUCCUACCACGUUUUUCGUCAUUAAUGGCAAAGGGUCCUAUAAUAUGCUUCUUGGACGAGACUGGAUACACGCAAACUGCUGCAUACCGUCAACUAUGCAUCAAUGCCUGGUACAAUGGGUCGGCGACAACAUCGAGGUGGUCAAAGCCGACUCCGCGUACAGCAUCGCAGCAGCCGACGCACAGCAAUGGAGCUGCGAGACCGUCAGGUGCAUAUCAGGUAGGGUGUGGGAAACCGAUUUCCUGAAGGUCACCGAUUUUGGCCUACAGCCGAUCCAAGCAGUCGGCUCCGAAGAAGCGCAAUAAAUGGAUCAGUUCGCCCGAGAAGACGGGAAGCUUGGACACGGAUUCACGUCGGCCGAUUCAUUAGAGAUGGUAGACUUAGGCGACGGGACCAAACCAAGGCCGACCUUUAUUAGUGCGAAUUUGGAUCCAGAGUACAAGUGUAAAUUGACAAAUUUAUUAAGAGAAUUCAAGGAUUGUUUUGCGUGGGAGUAUCACGAGAUGCCCGGAUUAGAUCGAUCUAUUGUUGAACAUCGGCUACCCAUAAAACCAGGGUAUCGGCCGUACCAACAACCCGCACGGCGAUGCAAUCCUAAAAUAUUACCAGACAUAAAAGCCGAAAUAACUCGGCUAAUUGAAGCAAAAUUUAUUCGGCAAUGUCGUUACGCCGAGUGGAUUUCUAAUAUCGUACCAGUAUAUAAGAAAAACGGGAAGCUGCGCGUGUGCGUCGAUUUCAGAAAUCUUAAUCAGGCCACACCAAUGGACGGUUACCCCAUGCCUACGGCCGAUGUACUGAUCGACGCUGCCGCGGGGCACAAAAUUAUUAGUUUCAUGGAUGGGAACGCCGGAUACAAUCAAAUACUUAUGGCCGAAGAGGACAUACCCAAAACGGCUUUCAGAUGUCCAGGUCAUCUUGGUCUAUUCGAGUGGGUGGUGAUGACUUUCGGUUUGAAGAAUGCUGGUGCUACAUAUCAGAGGGCCAUGAACUAUAUUUUCCACAGACUCAUCGGCCUCCUGGUGGAGAUCUACAUUGACGACGUUGUGGUCAAGUCCAGAAGCCACGAGGAACACCUAGCCGAUUUGCAAAGGGUCCUAGAGUGUACCAAAAAACAUGGUCUUAAGAUGAAUCCCAACAAAUGCGCUUUCGGCGUCUCCGCCGGACAGUUCUUAGGAUUCAUGGUGCACGAGCGAGGCAUUGAAAUCAAUCAGAAGACUAUAGCAGCUAUCAACAAAGUCAUCGCCCCGCAGAACAAAACUGAGCUACAGUCUUUAAUCGGCAAGGUAAACUUCAUCAGAAGAUUUAUAUCUAAUCUAUCUGGGCGAAUCCAGGCGUUCACACCACUUCUGAAGUUGAAGCCAGACCAGGAAUUUAUUUGGGGAGAAGAACAGCGCAAGGCGUUGGAGGACAUCAAGCGAUACUUGGUCUCACCCCCGGUCCUGGUUCCCCCUCAAACGGGUAAGCCGUUUAAACUAUAUUUAUCAGCCGAUGAAAAAGCUAUUGGGUCGGCUCUAGUCCAAGAGUUUGAAGGCAAAGAACGGGUGAUUUAUUACGUUAGUAGAAGACUCCUGGAUGCUGAAACAAGAUAUCCUCCAGUAGAACGUUUGUGUUUGUGUCUUUACUUUUCGUGCACCAAACUCAGACAUUAUCUACUGUCGGCAGAAUGUAUAGUCGUAUGCAAAGAUGAUGUCGUAAAAUACAUGCUGUCAUUGCCGAUAUUGAAAGGACGAAUCGGUAAAUGGAUUUUAGCUUUAUCAGAAUUUGAUCUGCGUUACGAAUCGGCAAAAGCCGUCAAAGGCCAAGUCAUGGCCGAUCUCGUCGCACAGCACUGUGGGCCGGAGAUCGCCUUCUUGGAACUAGCGCCUUGGCAGUUAUUUUUUGAUGGGUCCUCAUGCGGAGUCGGAUCGGGAAUCGGCAUCGUCCUCAUAUCGCCUCGGGGGGCAAGAUAUGAUUUUUCUCUGCCUAUAGAAAACGCCGCCACAAACAAUCAAGCGGAAUACAGAGCUGUAUUAAAAGGCUUACGAUUAUUGAGGGAAGUCAAGGCCGAUUCUGUUGAGGUCUUCGGAGAUUCGAUGCUGAUUGUGGAUCAACUAACCGGAAGAGCUGAGUGCAAAGAUGACAUAUUGCGAAUCCAUCACGAAGAUUGCUUACAGCUUUUGAGAGAAUUCAGAUCGGCAGUAAUCGAACACGUCCCAAGAGACCACAACGAAGAAGCAAACAAACUCGCUCAACACGCAUCUGGGUAUCGGCCGAUUCCGGGCGCCAUGGCCUUAGAACUUGCAGCUGACGAUUGGCGUAAGGAAAUUGCCGAUUACCUAAAAGAUCCGUCCAAAAAGGUUGAGCGACGGGUGCGUUUUCAUGCUACCAAGUACGUAUUUCUCGAAGAUGAUCUGUUCUACCGAACGAUCGAUGGUGUUCUUCUUAAAUGCCUUGGGACAGAAGAAGCCAAGACUCUGAUGGGAGAAAUCCAUGAAGGGGUAUGCGGAGCUCACCAAUCGGCACACAAGAUGAAGUGGAUGAUCAGAAACAACGGGUACUAUUGGCCUACGAUCCUCGAAGAUUGUUUCAAAUAUUAUAAGGGUUGUCAGGAAUGCCAGAAGUUUGGAAAUGUCCAGCGUGCACCCGCAUCGGCCAUGAAUCCCAUCAUUAAACCAUGGCCGUUCAGAGGGUGGGGAAUAGACCUCAUCGGCCAAAUUUAUCCACCAUCGAGCAAGGGGCACAAGUUUAUUCUGGUUGCCACUGAUUAUUUCACCAAAUGGGUAGAAGCAAUCCCACUAAGGACCGUGACGUCGGCUAUCAUGGCCGAUUUCGUAAGGGAUCACAUCGUCUACCGAUUCGGUAUUCCUCAAACUAUAACGACCGAUCAAGGAACAAUGUUCACAUCGGGAGAGUUUGAAGAAUUUACGACCGAUAUGGGCAUCAAGUUGUUAAAUUCUUCUCCAUAUUACGCGCAAGCCAAUGGUCAAGCAGAAUCUUCCAACAAAGGAAUAAUCAAGUUGAUCAAAAGGAAGAUUGAAGAAUGCCCGAAGAAGUGGCACCUAUGUUUGACCGAGGCCCUGUGGGCAUACAGAAUGGCGUGUCACGGGGCGACCAAGCUAUCCCCCUAUCAGUUGGUAUACGGUCACGAUGCGGUGCUUCCAUGGGAGUCAAGGGCAGGAUCAAGGCGCAUUUCACUUCAGGACCAGUUGUCGGCCGAUGACUACUCGGCUCUGAUGAAGGAAGAACUGGACGACUUGGCCGCCCAACGACUGAGAGCUCUAAUAAGCAUCGAAGAGAAUAAAAAGAGAGUGGCCAGAUGGUACGAUAAAAAGGUCAAAGUCAAACAAUUUUCCCCUGGAGAUUUGGUAUGGAAGUUGGUACUACCGAUUGGGUCAAAGGAUCCUAAAUUCGGCAAAUGGUCUCCUACCUGGGAAGGGCCGUAUAGAAUCGGCAGAUGCGCUCCAGGGAAUGCAUAUAUUUUGGAAACAACAGAGGGGGAAGAAUUCACUAGGGCUCUGAAUGGGAGAUAUUUAAAAAGAUAUUACCCGAGUAUAUGGGUCGGGGCCUAAAGGAAUAAACACAGUCAAAUAUGACCGACACAACUCGGUUUUAAGAUUCAUACGAAAUCGACCAGAACGGCCGAUUACAUUCACAAUGGCCGAUUACAUUCAUUCGGGCCGAUUACAUUCGUUCGGUACGAGCGACCGAUUACAUGGCCGACAAAACACUAAGUCGCCCUUAGAAUAAAAAUACAACAACUAAUUAUUUUUUGUUCUUACGAUCCCUCUCAGCCCGACCCAACUGUAUCAUGAGUCGAAUGUACUCUUCUUCUACGGCCUUCAUUGAACUCUCUGCUUCGAUUUGACGGGGAAGAUCUACGAGAAGGCGCGAGGCCUCCGCCGCCACCAGAACGACGGGCCGAGGAAGCAUGCGGACCCUAUCGGUGGAAGGCCGCAGGUUCCGAGGGAACGGACAAACCCUAUCGGCAGGAAGCCGCGGGUUACCAUUCCUUUCCAGGAAAUCCAGGACCGGGCAGGUCGUCGAGGUGAUAACAUCGCCAGGAACGGUACAGCGAUGACCCUUCGUGGCUCGAAGCAUGUGGUGGUGCUCGUUCACCACGGCCUCCAGGACUACUCGAGCUUCCGCGGUGAUAUGAUCUUGAAGCUCCGCCUGAUGAGCUAAAAUUAGGACUUUGUCAUCCGGAGUCAGAGGAUCCUCAGAAUGCAGGCACUCGAUAGCGCGCACAAGCUCUGGACUAAGACGUUGGGGCUGAAACAUGAGAGGGAAUAAGGUAGCGCAUUCGCUUCCUAAGAUCUGAAAGGAGAAGGCGAAGCGUCACCUGGUUGACGGAAGAAGACGACGAUGAAGCCAUAACGAAGUAGUUGCGCCGAUGAAAGAAAAAGGAGAGAUGAAAUAGAAGCCAAAAUCAGUGUUAUCGGAGGGGAAGCGCCGGGGUCGAUAUUUAUGGGGGAACACAGUAAAAUCUGAUGAGGCCACGUCCCAUCGGUAAUAAGGAAGGCAGUAAAUAGAAGGCAUCACGAAAGGUCAGUCAAAGACGGCAGUAAAUGUUCGUACAAAUCGGUCGAUGUUUUACAGAUUACCCAAAAGGGUAUCGAUAGCCGUGAUGGCCCGACGCCGGAUCUGAUCGGCGGAAUCAAGAACCCGUUGGUCUUCUUCUGCCGAUCCAGGUACUUCCGAUGCGGUGCGGUGGAGUCUCAGUGCCUCCUGAGCAAGACGCUGCCUCUCCCAUGUCAAAUCGGCAAUAGCCGAAGGAAGUUCUUGAAGUCUGCGCUCUUCGGAGCUAAUGGCUUUGGUCACUCGUUCCAUCUCUUUGGCAAGGUCCGCUCUCCGUCGUUUGAGGCGAUCUAUUUCACUAAUGAUCGCCGGUCGUGAAUCUUCCAAGACAUGGAUCCGCCGAUUCGCUUCUUGGGCCUGGUGCUUGAAAACAUUUUCAUCUUCACGGAUCUUGGCCAGUUUCGCGCGAUCGGCCAUAUGACGAAGGGCUCUAAAAACGGGAAUCCUCAUGGACUCAAUAAAAGCCGCCGGUGCCAACGCCUCUUCCGCUUCCUCUGGUACGCGUCCGCUGACGUCACUAAAAAGUUGCCGAAUCGGCGAAGCAUCUUCUACCAAUCGGCCGAUAUCCCCUUGAAGGAGGGAUCGGAUAUUGAUAAGCUUAGCCCGGACGUCGUCAGGGACGGAGCUUAAGGCGACUUGGCGAGAAGAAGUCUCCUCAUCAUCAGAGAGAGCGACCGCGAAAGAGAAGAGACUGUUGUUGGGAGAGUCCUGUUCCUGAAAAGAAUAAAGAAAAAAGGGUAAAUCGGCAGGGGGGCAGAGUAAAUCGGCUGGUAAGGCUGGUUCAAAAACUUACCAUCUUAAAACGGAUUUCCUCGUGCUGCGCUUGUAAAGCCGUUGUGCCCUGUUCAGUGACCUGAGUCAUGGGUUCAUCCGAUGAAGAAGAUUCUACGACAAUCGGCACGGUGCUUGGGCCGGCUCCCUGGGAAGGAAUCGGUUGUCGAAGAACGCUUGGUGUGCCGAUAGUCUGCGUCAAGGGAUCAGUUAAAUAUGUUAUGCAAAUACCCGAAGGGAGUCCAUAAGACAAGUACCGUACCUCAAUGGAUGAAGGCAAGGGCGUGUUGGCCUCCGGUCGAAUUGUUGCUGACUGUGGUAUUUCCAUAGAAGAGCCCUAAGAAGCACGAAAAGUUAUUAAGAGUUAAUGCCGAGUUGACAAAUCGGAAGUAAUAAAGCUUGAACUCACUUGUAGAGCUUCCAGCAAUAGUGAGGCAGCAGCUGCCCCGGCUUGUGUAAUGGCUGGAGUAUCAGUACUCUGCAUGGUCGGAGGUGGUGCAGUCAAGAUUUCUGCCGAUGCGAGUACAGGAGGGUCCACCGAUUCCGUACGAGCCCGAACUCGGCGACUGGUUUUCUUGACGACUUUCUUCUGAACUCUCUUCGAUCGGCCAGCAAUCACAUCGACUGAUGGAGCGUCAUAGCCGAUGAGAGGGUAAGUGGUGUACGGAUAACUUUCUAUUAGCCGGCCACUACGGCUGUGCGUAGGAGGGGCUUGAUUCCCAGCCUGAAGGAAAAAUGAAAUCAUUGGGUGCUCAAUUAUGGUGAAAAGAAUGCAAUCGGUAAUCGGAAAAUACCUCGGCGUUAGGAUCAAUAUUGGAUGGAUCCAGAAGGUUGCAGUAUGCCGAUGCUGAAUGGCAGAAUAAGAACUGCUUCCAUUCAGCCCACCAAAGCUUGAAAGGCUGGGUUGCAAAUGGAUAUAAUAGCCAUUCAUUCAAGUUGAUCGUACUGGAAUCCGGAACUCGGUCUCGCAACCGACAAUAGUCCACGCCAGUUUUAAGCGCUUCUCUAAACUUGAUCUGGCCAGCGAAGUACACCCGUAUCGGCAGUUGACCCAUGCCGAAUUGCCGAGCAGCAGUAGAUGGGUUGUAGAACUCAUAUGUGGGGGCGUUUUUCCCCGAGAAGAAGUUGGCCGGUAAAAGUCCUGGUUUGAUCAACUCUUCAUAGAGACCCUCGUCAAAUCGGCCAGAAGUUGAGUCAAAGCAGGAGGGGAGCUCAAACACUGGGAUGUCUCGCUGGUAUGGAAACCAGAUGGUAGCAUCCUCAUUGAAUCCAUUGUAGAAGCACCGAAAGUACUCGGCUACUUUUGUGGCAGAAUAUGCACAACCUGGAAAAGCUGACGCUGCUUCGCCAUAAGACAUACAUCGGCGACGCUCGGUAGGGUCUUCCGCCGAUUCAAUGUUGGGAAAUGACAUACGGUCCACUGGCUGCCGAGUGAUCUUGCUCAUAUAGAGGUUCAACCAUAGAUUAACAAACCACCAAGGCCCACCUGGGUUGCCGAUUGGUUCUCCCUUGGAAAGUUUUGUGCCGAUUUGGUGGAGCAUGUGGUACACGGCACCCAGAAGAUGUUUCCCGAGAGGAAUGCGGCUUCCUUUGGACAAUGCCUCGGCUAAAGAUUGGGUGUUGGUUGUUGGGCCGGCGGCUCUUCCACAGAAGAAAUGUUUUUCGAGCCACAUUAUCAGGAAAGCGGUGUACUCCCUGUUCUCAACAGUACCGGUCUUCUUGUUAUCACUAAUAAAGCCCUUCCAACCGCCGAUUCCUCUUGUGUCCAGCCGAUGCGACGGAACGGUCAGGAGUUGGAAAGGCGUGUCAGGGGAGGACACAUCUAAGCCAGUCAAAAGGACUACAUCGGCCAGAGUGGGGGUCAUAGGACCAUGACCAAAUAAAAAUGCAUUAAGAGCAUCAGACCAGAAAUAGGAAGCUGCCAUCACUAGCGGCUCAUUUUUCUCCAUUUGCGACAGAGAAAGGUUGAUGCAUUGGCCGAUUUUAAGCUCAUCCCACGAAACGCUCCUUGAUGCGGCCACCCGUUGGUACCAUUCCCUCCAACCAGGGGUCUCGUUCGGCCAGGAUCUAAAAGUACUUGCCCAUUGGUUUAAGUUCAUAUCGGAUCGUUUGAAAGGUAUCCGGUCAGUUUCCGAAUCUAUAAGAAUCGCCGGAUCUGGGUUUCCCAUGGGACCAAGACAAACAAGGCCGGGACUAUCCGUGAGGUGAAUGGUAAUUCUAUCUCUAACUGCCUAAAAAGGAAAAGAGGGCAUGGGAAUGUAAGGAGCAGAUCUAAAAUAUUGCCGAUAAGGAGAGGGUUCGGUAUUUACCUCUGGGAUAAAAUUCUGAGUAAUCGGCGUAGCCGCCGACGUUGGCGCAGAUGAUGGGGCUGUGAGGGGAACCGCCAUUGGGAUUUCUGAUGAAGCCCUUGCAUCUGUUGAAGAAGUGAUGGCCGUCGCUACCUCCACUGGAGGAAUUGUCCCUGGAGCAUCGCGUGCUGGAGAGUUGCCGGGGGGGGUCGCCAUUGAAGGAAAAAGGGGAAGAAGUGAUUGGAUGCUGAAGCUGGAAGACUUCGAUGGCAAGAUUGAAGAAAGAAGGGAGUGCGCGCGCUGGAAAAGGGGUGUGAGCUUGAAGAUGAGUUGCGGUGAAAUAAUAUUUAUAGGGUGCCUGAAAGAAGGGUAAAGAUGGAAUUUUCACUGCGCCGGCGCGUCAAGUUUUUCGGGGUAGUGGCUGUCGUGGGCGCCCGUUUCAAAAAAUUGCAAUGAUCAGCCGGAAGACCGCGAAACGGAAGGAUAUUUCACUGCGGCCGUUUCGGAGGAGAGGUUGUAAAGAAUUUCGAAGUAAAGGAUUAUGUUUUACUCCGAAACUGGGGGGCAUGUGUUGACGCCGGAUUUCGUCAUCAGUAGAAUCGGCGCCAAAGAAGAAAGAAAUCGAAGGAGUGCAGAUGGGAAUCGGUCAAAAGGUGCUACAGUGCGGAAUCGGUCAAGUGGCUUUUACUUCGCUUCAGAGUGAAUACGCCAGGUUCCCAAUCGGCAAUCCUUUGCUGAUGGGAAAUCAGCCGAUCAGGAAGGUAGACUAAAGUGGGCCUGUAUGGGCUUGGAAAGGUGGAGAGAUAAGGUGGGGUUCAGCCCACGAAAUGUGGGGUAGUUAGUUUAGCACAGAUUGUGCUCGUAGAUAUUUGUUUCCUGUUUGAAUUAGAGAUAGAGUUCUAGUCGGUUAAGAAGAUUAUUUACGGGGGCUAUAAAUAGCUACCUUUGUAAAUCUGUAAAAACAACAAUCAAUCAAUACAACAAGUUACUUUAUUCUUCAUACUUACUUUCGAGCAGGCGACUUCGCCAUCACUUUUUCUUCUCACGAGUUCGUGCGGGUUGGCAGGGCUGCAUCAUUUUGAUCUCCGGCCGAUUCUGUAAGUUCCGUUUAUCGAGUAAUAUCUAAGCUUUAACUUCCGGCGCAUCGCUGUCGUUCCGUUUAGAUUUAUUCAUCAGUUAUCGAUAUCAACUAGAUUCAUAGGUUUUUACCUAUUUUCCUAGUUUUUAUCACCAGUUAUCCUACUAGGAAUCGGUAGCAUCGGCUUUCGUUACUUUCUGUUGCUAGAUCUAUCUAUUGCCGAUUAGAUCUUUUCCUAGUAUUGUCACUACGUACCUUGUACCGAUUACUUUAAUAUUUUUCUAUCUACAAGGCUACAAGGAUCGUGCUGUCUUACGGCCGAUUUCUUCAUUACAGUAAAUCGGCCGAUCUGCCGAUAAGCUUUCUCGAUCGGAAAUUCAGCCGAUCGCGGUUACUGAAUUUGACACGUAUUCUUCCUUGCCAAUCAACAGGUCAGAUUGGCUGGCACGCCGCGCGAACCGCACCAGGGCUUUCACCCGAACAGGAGCUAAGCAGAUUCUCCCGGGUCGUGUGUCGGCCGCUGGGAUUUGGUUGACCGAUUUCUAGCGCCAACAAUACUCAAUCAAGGGUAGUUUGGGCUUCCUGAACUAACAUGCUAGGGAUCGUCCUAUGGUCAAGUAUGGCUCUGAUACCAGCUGAAACGGACCCAAAUUCCCAUUUCUGAGAAUUCAAGCCAACGCACAUUGGUGAUAGUCCUAGGAAGGCUAUCAUGUGCAAAUCCCUAUCUCAGAUAGUACAAAUCCAUACCAACAUAGAAACAGAGAGAGAAACAAAGUACAAAGAUCAUAGAUAACAUGAGUACGAGUACAUCUCAGCGGCACAUGCCAGUACAAGUCCAUCAGGACUGAAUCAGGAAAGGUAAAAUAUCUACGUAGUGGAAACAAAAGCUAUGGUGAUCUCCAUCUUCACAGGUGACUCGAGCGAAGAACGGUCCCUAGUCCUCCCAACCGUCAUUGUCGAAGUCAUAGUUGGGCUCUAACCCUGAAAAGCCAGCAUCUACCCAAGAAGCGGGUAGGCCAUGACAACUCCUAAAAGCAACAAAGCCAAGGAAAUGGAGGAAUUAUACUAUAUGCAUGAAUAAGACCUAUAUAUGGUUGUAGAGGUUUAUGCAGCAGCAACAACAACAAUCAAGGUAGCAGCAAAGCAACAUCAUCUCCGAGGUCAACACUCAAACAAGAAAGUCGGCACAAAUCACCAAAUCUUUCACCCAAGGGUCUGGCACCCAAACACACUAGGUAAUGUGAGAGCUCCCUUCCCUCACAUCUCAACAGCAAACACUAGCCUAUCUCAAAAAGGGGAAAGGUAGAAGCACGAGAAAAGUCUAGUCAGAAGUAGCAAUAGACAACAGCACUGUCCAUAACCAAUGGACACGGACUAUAGCUAUAGCUUUAUACACUCUAUAGAGGUUGUACAACUGUACCCGCAUAGAUAAAGCCUGAGCGGUAGCGAUCUGUCUAAACCCCACCUAUCAGCUGGAGCCCUAGUAAGUGGAUAGCUCUCUCUUGUUUCCUCGAGUCUGGAACCAUCCUCAGCUGUAGGGCACGCUGUCACCAGUGAGGACCUCAAAGCUGUGAAACCUACCCACACAGGGGUGCAGUCUGGUCCAAGCAGGACAAUGCCUAAAAACUCCUAAAAUGAUCCUCCAAUCCGCCUACAGGUGGAGCACUAUCCAUUACUAGUCUCGGACCGAACCCCGCCCAUAACGUAAGCGAGCGGUAAGUACGAAAAGUAGCUGCUGUGAUUGGUGGUAAACUGACUCGGUCCUUAAGCAGCUGAGAGCAAGCACUCUACCAACAAGUAUGUGCCAAAGGACCUGCAACAUACAAGUAUGCCACCUGCUCCUCAGUAAUAAACAAGGUACCUGCCACAGGUACGGGGUAUAGAGAGAGUCCAGAAAGCUCUCUCCCGACUAGGCACUUCUCUAUACCAACCAUGGCUCGCUCCCACCAAGAACACAUCAAGGAGUCACACUCACCCAAAACACAUGUGAGAGUGUUCAAGGAAUCUGUUGACGCCGGAUUUUGACAUGUGUUAACGUCGGCGUCAAAGGAGAGGAAGGUGGUCGAUGCGGCAAGCAAGAAGCUACAAUUGGAGAAUCGACCGAUAGAGCUACAGCGUUCCGGCCGAUUGGCUGAGGGAGUCAAUGAGGACUGGCCGAUUGGGAGCCAGAACGGCUUGGCCAAUGUGGGCCUAAAAUGGGCUAGGGUGGUGAUUAGCCGAAGAUGAAGAUUGGCCCGUGGAAAAAUAAUAACCAACUCUGAUGCGGGUUGUGUUCGUGUGUAUAUAUUUGUGAUUAGAGAUAGAUCCGAGUCAGUUAGGAAAUCAGUUGUAAUAGGGUAUAAAUAGGUGCCUUGUAAGGUUUGUAAAAAAUACAACUAUAAUCAAUAUAGAUCUACUCUUUCCAUGUACUUUACUUCCAAGUCGGCGACUUUGCCAAACCCUUUUCCUUUUCAUGAGUUCGUGCGAGUUGGCAGGGCUGCAUCAACACGACCUUCGGCCAAUUUGUAAGUUCCAUGUAUCAAAUAGUAUCUAAGCUUUAACUUCAGGCGCAUCGACGUUCUUUUGUUUAGAUUUAUUCACCAGUUACCGAUAUUAACUAGAAUUAUAGGUUUUACCUGUUGUUUUAGUUUUUCUCACCAGUUAUCCAGCUUGAGACAUAAACUAUCGGCUUUUUAUCAAUAUCUUUGUUUAUCACUAUAUAGCCGAUUAGAUUUGUUCCAAGUGUUGCUUUUGUAGCACUGUUUAGGUUGCUCUAGUGGUUUCUUUUGCAAUCGCUACGUGGUCAUCGGCUAUUUUAUAUCCGGUUAUCUCUAUAGUAAAUCGGUUGAUUCGCUGAUACACACUUUGAAAUAGAUCGGAACAUCAGCCAAUCGAAACCCUAGAAUUUAACGCCUUUCUUUCCUUGUCAAUUAGCAUGUCAGAUUGACUGGCACGCCGCGCGAACCGCACCUGGGAGACAACCCGAAUAGGAGCUAAGCAGAUUCUCCUGGGACGUGUGUGCGAUGCAGAAGCCGGAAUCUCCGUCCGAUUUUUAGUGUCAACACACUUUUGGCAUGCCUAGUGGGACACAAACAAUAUCUAACAUGUCGAAGGCUGCUGAAAUCUCGGAAGACAAUGUCAUGGAGAUCACUGAGGCAGAUCUGAAAGACGACCAGAGGGAUGAGCUGGCAAAGGCUAUGGAAGACUACAAAAAGGCAUGCUUGCAAUCCUACAGUCGCACCAGAAGCGGGGAACCCAUUAGAAAGACCGCUCUUCCGAAUCCUCACCACAUCACCAUCGCUAAAGACUCAGGGAAGAUGUUUGAGAUGAUCCAGCAGUCUGUCCAUCAGGCCAUGAUCGAUAAGUCCAAGGUGAUGACCCACACAGUGUACAACGCCGCUAUCAGCUCCAUGGCCAAUGGCGUCGCUCAAGGAUAUCAGGGGCCAGCUUACGCCCCUCCCAUCACCACACCGGUCAGAGGCUUCUUGGCGGAGCCUAACGUGUCUCAAUCGGCUCCUCAACCGAUGCAGAUGCAGAGUGGGGGGUACAACACCAUGAUACCCCUAGGUUAUCACGGUGCAACACCCUAUCAAUCACAAGCGCCGUUUACCCUGCACCGGUCUCCCCCGUGCAGCCACUGUUUGUAACAUCAACGCAGUGGGGAAUGGCGGGAAUACCUGCCGAUCUAGAUCCGUCUACCAGUUACGGAAAAUCUCUAGUGUAGGCGUCGUUUCCAUCGGCCUCUCGACCAACAGCUCCACAGUACCAGCAGGCUACCCCGGAGGUCGGCAGGGGGGUAGGCGCUCCAGAUCCCCUCAGAACUGCGGCGCCGAUAGUAUUGUACGACAAGGUGGCAGAUGCACUACGUCAUGUUGAUCCCACAUGACAGCAGCCAUCGUCUCCUCAGCCGACAGUCCAGCUGCAAGACCUACAGCACGCUCCGGUCUAUCACCCAAUCACGGUGCCGCAACAGCAGCAUCAACAGUAGGUGGACUGGAUCGCAAGAAAAACUGAUAUAAUACAUGAUCAGUUUGGAUUAAAGCCAAGAGUGCAGACUUAUAUGUACAGGACACCGUAUCCACCCGCCUACGAUCUGUUGCCGUUCCCUCAUCGAUACAAAGUGCCAGACUUCACCAAAUUUUCAGGCUAAGAUGAGACAUCCACGGUGGAGCACGUUAACGAAUUCAUCAUCCAGUGUGGAGAAGCUGCUGCACAAGACACUCUAAGGGUAUGGUUGUUCUCGUCAUCCCUGUCCGGGUCAGCCUUUCAAUGGUUUACGACGCUGCCGCCCAACUCCAUCAUGACUUGGGCCGAUUUGGAGAAACAAUUCCACAAGUGCUUCUUUGUAGGGGUCCAUGAGAUGAAGCUGUCAGAUCUAAUUAGCCUCAAGCAGAGAAGCGAUGAGUCGGUGGCCAGCUACAUAUAGAGAUUCAGGGAGGUUAGGAACAAGUGCUACAGCCUGGUCUUGACCGAUGCCCAGUUGGCCGACACCACUUUCCAGGGACUCCUACCGCAUAUCAAAGAGAAGUACGCGUCCCAGGAGUUUGAGAGUUUGAGCCAAAUUGUUCACCGACUAUCUGACCAAGAGGUGUGCCCCUUUGAACAAUGAAGAAAUUUCUAGAAAAAGGUGGCAUACGUGGAAGGGUCCGAGUCAGAAGAAGAGGCAGAAAUCGGCCUAGCAGAGUGGGUUAAAGGGAAAAAACCAAUCUCAUGCCCAUUUGGUAAAAAGGAGCUGGAAAUAUUCGACUUCGAUACAUCUAAGGCCUAUAAGAUCUUUGACUUGUUGCUACAAGAAGGACAAAUCAAGCUUUCACCCUACCAUACGAUUCCGUCGGCUGAACAACUCAAGAAGAUGAAGUACUGCAAGUGGCACAAUGCUACGUCUCACGACACCAAUGAGUGCAUAGUCUUUCGUCAGCAGAUACAGUCGACCAUCAAGCAAAGAAACUUAAGUUCGAAGUCCCCACAAAGCUAACAAAGCUGAUGAAGAUCGACCAGCACCCCUUCCCUGCCAACAUGGUCGACGUUGGAAGGAACGCGCUCCAGACCAAGGUGCUGACGUUAGAAUCGGCUAGACGGAGUGGCGCGGUGGACUCCAGAAAUCAAACCUCGGCCGAAGAUGUUAAGGGAAAAGGCCGGGUGGAGACGGAAGGCAAAAGCUCGGAGAGGUCCCGUCAGCCUAUCACAUCUUGAGAUUUGCUCAACAAGUACCAGAGACAACGGGAGGACACGAGGCGCCGCGAAGAGAUGAUGUGCCGACACGAAGAUCAUUGGAGGUGUCCAUUCUUCAUCCAUUGCUGGGAAAACAAUCUCAGAUUGCCUUCAGCUGACAACUGCCCUGAAUGUAACGGUCAAUAUCACAGCAGCUGCCCAUUCAAGUGAUCACGCUCCGGGGAUCGAGGACGAGAGCUGAUCAGCAGAAACAGGCUCGAGCAAGAAGAAUGGCCCAUUUCAGUGCGUGAUCGACUGGGGGGCAGAAUAGACUAGCGUAAUCGGCUAGGGGGCAGAGUAGACAAGCGUAAUCGGAUGGGGGGCAGAGCCAAUGCGCAUGAUCGGUUAGGGGAAAUGGCCGACGCAAGGGUUUCUGAUGAGAAUCCGUUGGGCCGAGACCCGAAAUGGGAGCGUGCCAAGCCGCCGAGUAAACCAGUGAACUCUAGAUGUUGCCCAGAUGGUUUGACCAACUCCCAGAAGAGGAGGGUCCAACGUUUGCACCAAUGGGAACAGCAAGAAGAAGAACAAGGCAAGCGGUAGACAGAAGAGGAGUCAAAUCUCAAGUUUGGCACCCCAGAACAAAAGCUGAUGAAGAAAACGAUGAUCAGGAUUCGGCUCCUUACAUCAACAUGGUGUUCAUCUUGCCGAUGGAGUUCAUGGAUCCCAUCGACCACGACAAUGCAACAGAAAUAUAGGGGCAGAUGGCACAAUUGGCUUUGGAGCCAAUGACCGCUACUUUUGAAAAACCUGAGGAUGAAAAAUGCCAGCAUUUCAAGGCUCUAUUCCUAAAAGGCAAGUCAACGGGCGACCAGUCACUAAGCUGUUGGUGGACGGAGGCACUGCCGUGAACAUCAUGCUGUAUGCUAUGUUCCGCAAGCUGGGCAAAGGGGAAAAAGAUUUAAUCAAUAUGGACAUGAUGCUCAAGGAUUUCGAAGGCAACAUAUCUCCGGCCCGGGGGGCACUCUGCGUCGACCUCACCAUCGGCAGUAAGACCCCACCCACCACUUUCUUUGUUAUUAAUGGUAAAGGGUCUUAUAAUAUGUUGGUCGGGCAAGAUUGGAUCCAUGCAAACUGCUGCAUCCCAUCUACGAUGCACGAAUGCCUCGUCCAAUGGAUUGGUGACACCAUUGAAGUAGUCACUGCCAACUCCACUUACAGCGUUGCUGUAGCCGACGCGCAACAAUGGAGUUACGAGCACAUCAGAUGCAUAUCUGGCAGGACUUGGGACACUGAUUUCUUGAAAGUGUCUGAUUUCGAUCUACAUCCGAUCCAAGCAGUUGGCUCGGAAGAAUCAGAUUAAAUGGAUCAGUUCGUCCGAGAAGAUGGAAAGCUUGGGCACGGGUUUAUGUCGAUCGAUUCAUUAGAGAUGGUGGACCUUGGAGAUGGUAGCAAGCCAAGGCCGACAUAUAUCAGUGCUAGGUUAGACCCCAAGUACAAGCGCAAGUUAAUAGAUUUGUUAAGAGAAUUUAACAAUUGCUUCACUUGGGAGUAUCAUGAAAUGCCUGGUCUAGACCGGUCCAUUGUUGAACACCAGUUGCCUAUAAAACCAAGGUAUCGGCCAUAUCAGCAGCCCGAACGAUGUUGUAAUCCUAAAAUUCUAUCUGAUAUAAAGGCCGAAAUCACAAGAUUGAUUGAAGCGGGGUUUAUUCGGCAGUGUCGAUAUGCCGAGUGGAUUUCUAAUCUUGUUCCUGUAUACAAGAAAAAUGGAAAGCUGUGUGUAUGCAUUGACUUUAGAAAUCUUAACCAGGCUACACCGAUGGACGGGUACUCGAUGCCGACGGUAGAUGUUUUGAUAGACGUGGCCGCGGGGCAUAAAGUCAUUAGCUUUAUGGAUGGUAACGCUGGGUAUAACCAAAUACUAAUGGCUGAAGAAGAUAUCUCAAAAACGGCCUUCAGGUGCUAUGGUCACCUCGGCUUGUUCAAGUAGGUAGUUAUGACUUUUGGAUUGAAGAAUGCUGGGGCUACGUAUCAAUGGGCCAUGAAUUAUAUAUUCCAUAAGCUUGAUGGUGUCCUAGUGGAGAUUUACAUUGAUGUUGUCGUCAUCAAGUCAAAGGGGCAUCGACAGCAUCUGGCUGAUUUGCGCGAGGUAUUGGAGUGCACAAGGAAGCAUGGGUUGAAAAUGAAUCCAAACAAGUGCGCUUUUGGCGUUUUGGCUGGUCAAUUCCUGGGCUUCAUGGUUCAUGAGUGCGGCAUUGAGAUCAACCAGAAGAUUAUAGCCACCAUCAAUAAAGUUGUGGCCCCACAAGACAAAACGGAGCUACGGUCCUUAAUCGACAAGGUCAACUUCAUCCGGAGAUUCAUAUCGAACUUGUCUGAGCGCAUUCAAGCUUUCACCCCAUUGUUGAAAUUAAAACCUGACCAAGAGUUUGUCUGGGGUGAGGAAUAGUAGAAAGCAUUAGAUGACAUCAAACAGUAUCUGGUUGCCCCACCGGUGUUGGUUCCUCUGCGGGCUGAUAAGCCUUUCAGACUAUAUCUAUCGGCCGAUGAGCGAGCUAUCAUCUCGGCGUUGGUCCAGGAGUUCAAGGGAAAAGAAAGGGUAAUUAAUUACGUCAGCAGAAGACUUUUGGACACUGAGACUAGAUACCCUCUGGUGGAAUGGUUGUGCCUUUGCCUAUAUUUUUCUUGUACCAAACUCAGGCACUACCUGUUAUCGGCAGAGUGCGUAGUUGUGUGCAACGAUGAUGUUGUCAAGUAUACGAUAUCUUUGCCGAUCUUGAAAGGGAGAAUUGGAAAGUAGAUUCUGGCCCUCUCGGAAUUCGAUCUAAGGUACGAAUUGGCCAAGGCUAUCAAGGGUCAGGUAAUGGCCGACUUCGUAGCCCAGCACUGUGGACCAGAGAUUACUGUAGUCGAACCAGCUCCAUGGAUGCUGUACUUCGAUGGAUCUUCGUGUAGGGCCGGAUCAGGAAUUGGCAUCAUCCUCAUAUCGACUCGGGGGGCAAGUUAUGAUUUCUCUUUGCUGAUUGAGGCGUCCACCACUAAUAAUCAAGCGGAGUAUCGGGCUGUCUUAAAAGGUAUCCAGCUAUUGAGGGAGGUCAAGGCCGACGCAGUAGAAAUAUUUGGGGAUUCCAUGCUUAUCGUAGAUCAGUUGACUGGAAAGUGUGAGUGCAAGGAUGAUAUUCUAAGGAUUUAUCAUGAAGAGUGCCUCCAGUUACUGAAAGAGUUCAAGACAGUAAUUAUUGAACAUAUACCUAGAAAUUACAACGAAGAAGCCAACAGACUUGCUCAACAGGCUUCCGGUUACAGGCCGAUUCAAGGUGCUAUGGCUCUGGAGCUUGCGGCCGAUGACUGGAGGAGAGAAAUUGCCGACUAUCUGAAAGAUCCAUCCAAGAAAGUUGAUCGGCGAAUACGCUUUCAGGCUACAAAAUAUGUACUGCUUAUAGAUGAUUUGUUUUACCAAACAAUUGAUGGGGUAUUACUCAAAUGCCUUGGAGUAGAGGAAGCUAAAACUUUGAUGGGAGAAAUUCAUGAGGGUGUAUGUGGGGCCCAUCAAUCGGCUUAUAAGAUGAAGUGGAUGAUUAGAAAUGAUGGGUACUAAUGGCCGACGAUACUCGAGGAUUGUUUUAAAUAUUAUAAAGGGUGUCAAGAUUGUCAGAGAUUUAGCAAUGUACAACGAGCAUCGGCUUCGGCUAUGAACCCAAUAAUAAAGGCAUGGCCAUUUAGAUGCUAGGGAAUCAACCUCAUCGUUCAGAUCUAUCCACCGUCAAGUAAAGGACAUAAGUUCAUAUUGGUGGCCACUGACUAUUUCACUAAAUGGGUUGAGGCAGUUCCCUUAAAAGUCAUGACGUCGGCCAACAUGAUUAAAUUUGUGAAAGAACAUAUAAUUUAUCGGUUUGGUAUUCCUUAGACUAUUACGACACUAUUACAGCUGAUCAAGGGUCGAUGUUUACCUCUGGAGAAUAUGGGAAUUAAGUUGUUAAAUUCUUCUCCGUAUUAUGCUCAGGCCAAUGGUCAGGCCGAAUCGUCUAACAAGGGGGUCAUUAAAUUGAUUAAGAGAAAGAUCGAAGAACAACCAAGGAGGUGGCGCAUACGAUGCUGAAUGAGUCCUUGUGGGCCUACAGGAUGGCUUGUCACGAUGCCACCAAGGUGCCCCCUUACCAGUUAGUAUAUGGGCACGAAGCAGUACUGCCUUGGGAGUUGAAGACUGGGUCUAGACGCACAUCACUUCAAGACCAGUUGACCGCCGAUGACUAUUCCGUUCUCAUAAAGGGGGAGUUGGAGGAUUUGGCAAGCCAGUGGUUGAGGGCCUUGAUUAGUAUUGAGGAAAAUAAGAAAAGAGUCGCCAGAUGGUAUGACAAGAAGGUUAAGGUCAAACAGUUUUCCCAAGGAGACUUAGUCUGGAAGUUGAUCUUUCCUAUAGGAUCUAAAGAUCCAAAAUAUGGAAAAUGGUCGCCUACUUGGGAAGGGCCGUACAAAAUUGGUCGAUGCGCACCAGGUAAUGCAUACAUAUUUGAGACCCUUGAGGGAGAAGAAUUUACGAGGGCCCUUAAUGGAAGGUAUUUGAAGAAGUACUACCCUAGCAUAUGGGUAGAAGCUUAGCCAGUAAUGUAGCAUAUCAGGUUCUUACGGCCAAUACCUAUUGACCCGCGUUCAUAUAGCUGAUACAGAGGGUAUCGCCUUAACGAUAAAAAAGUAAGAAAGCGUUCAUGCAAAUAGGCCGGUUAAUGUUCUGUACAUUAACUGGAUACAUGGCUGACAUGGUACAAGUCACCCUUAGAAUAAAAAGUACCAAUACACUCAUAAGUCACAGAUAUUCAAAGGUGUUUCAGUUGGGCUUUGCUCGUGUUGAUCUCUUUCUGAAUCCUGCCCAGUUCAAUCAGAAGGUGGGUGUUUUUCUCCUCUACUUCCGUCAUUGCAUCCUCGAGGGCGAUUUGAUGAGUUAGUUGGUGACUCCUUUCAAUCGGCGGCUGGGUUGGGCUCCCGGAAGUGUUGGCUUCAAUGUUGUCUACGAUCUUCUUGAUAUGCGUGGGGAGGUGGUCCUUGAGUUCUUCGCGAUGAGCCUGGAUCAGAUCUCUGUUCGCCUGGGUCAGCAGUUCAUCGGAGUGCAUAAUUUCAAUUGCUUGUUCGAGUUUGGGGCUGAGCCAGUUUGGCUGAAGGGAUAAUAGGAAAAUCAAUCAACAAAGCAAAUCAGUCAAGGAAUGAAGGAGUUAAUGUUGCACCUGAUUGACUGAGGAGGAAGAAGCCAUCCGGAUCCAUGAUUGGAGAUCUGGAAGCGUCUAUAGGGGGGAGUAUAUGGGUGUUAUGUGAGUGCCUCUAGGGAGGAUGUGAAGGUCUCGUAUUUCUAAGACGAGGAGGCGACGAGCAACGGUUAGUAAAGGAAGGUAUUCAAAGAAAAUGACUGUUGAGUCAAAAAGCUGUGGAGAAAGCCAUUCGGACUCAUAUUCACAUAGAAACGUUGAAAGUGUUAAUGCUUUACAAGACAUUCAAAGGGUGUUCAAGUUUAGUACAGUUAUCUGAGGAGGGCAUUUAUGGCCUUAAUCGCUUGUAGGCAGAUCUGAUCUGCCGAAUCUAGUACUCGCUGGUCGUCAUUGGCUGAUCCGAGGAUUUCUGGCAUGUUACGGUUUAGCCACGUGAGCAAGGGUUUGCCUUUCCUAUUUUAAAUCGGCAAUGACGGCUGGGAGGUCUUGGAGCUUCUUCUCCUCAAUAGCGAUGGCCUUCACGACUUGCUCCAUCUCUUUCGCGAGUUCCGCUCUACGCCGUUUAAGUCGAUCUAUGGCACUGACAAUGCUUGGAUGGAAAUUUUCAAGAGCGCCGAUCCGGUGGUGUACCUCUUGAGCUCGGUGCUUAUAAGAUUCCUCUUCCUCGUGUGCCUUUUCCAGCUUGGCACGAUCAGCCAUAUUUCGCAAAGCUCUGAAAACCGGGAUUUGCAUCGACUCAAUAUAUGCCGCAGGCGCAAGAGCUUCUUCCACAUCUUCUGGAACUCAGCCUUUGAUUUCAUUGAAUAUUUGUCGAAUCGGAGAAGCAUCAUCUACCAAUCGGCCGAUGUCGUCCUGGAGAAGGGCUCGUAUGUUCUGGAGCUUGGCACAGACCUCUUCUGGUAUUGAGCCCAAAGCUAUCUAGCGUGAAGCAACUUCCUCGUCAUCGGAGACUGCGACUGCGAAGGAGAAAAGGCUAUUGUUGGGCGUGUCUUGUUCCUGUGAGAAAUAAAGGGAAAGAGUGCUUUAACCGACAGGAGUAAAAAAUUGGCCGGUAGAGGUAGAGGUUCCUUACUUCUUUGAAACAGAUUUCCUCUCCUUGGGUUGGCAAGAUUGCUUCUCCCACUCAGGAAUCGGUGUCGGCAGUUCACCAGAACAGGAGGAUUCAACAAUGAUUGGCGCGGUACUUGGUCCUGCCUCCUUGAGAAUGGGAAGAGAAGUUCUUAUGAGUAUGAAAGGAUAAUUGGAUCUGGGAAUGGGUUUUAGUUAUCUCUGUUGGAGGUAUGCCCUAGAGGCAAUCAUAGAGAUGAUGAUAUUCCAUUUGUAUCCAUGAUUUAUAUUGUGUUCCUUGAAUAUCCAUUAAAGGCUACUUGAAUUGAUUUGCAAUUAUGUGAAUUGUGUGUGAAACUCUUUACUUGUAUGGUUAUUCUAAAGUUGUCCCUAGUCGGAGUUCAUGUGAGGACACACAUGAAUAUUAGACUAGCACAUGUAUUAGUUGAUGACUAUGUUUCACAAGUCAUGGACAUGGAGAUGUUGAACAAAUAAUGUGGGCACAUGUGGAGACAUGUGCUAGGACUAACCCAACACGAGAAGUAGUUCUCUCUUUACACAAUAUAUACUCUUUGUCCUUAGACCUGAGAUUGUCGCAUGUACUCAAGAUGUGGAUCGACUUACAUAGGGACUAUCAAACGCUACGCCGUAAUAGGGUAGUUAUAAAGGUAGCUUUCGGGUUUGUCAAGAAGCAUGCUAUGAGACAUGGUCAAUCAAGAUGGGAUUUGCCCCUCUCUGAUUGAGAGUGAUAUCUCUGGGCCCCUCGAGUGAUCGGAUCCGAAAAUGCAUGGCCAUGCUACGUACGGUUAAGAGUUAACCUACAAAGGGAUUCCGAAUCACAGGAUCGAGAAAGAGCGGUCGGCUUGAAGCUAGACCAAAUAUCGUGAGGCAAAGGGAAUAGCAUGUAUAUAAUGUUGUUAUGGUUUGUCUGAUAUGAUCUUCGUGUGCGUAUAGGAGUUGGCACGUCUUGCUAGAGGCCGCUACCGACUAUUGGGCUGAGUAGGAGUACUCGGGCCAUGUCUAUACGUGUCCGAACCCAUAGGGUCACACACUUAAGGGGCUGGAAGCCCAAUUUGGAUCUGAUCCGAGUUGGAUUAGUACUAAUGGGCCUCGGACCCAGAGGCCCAUUAGGAACCUCUAUAAAUAGAGGGGUGGGGGCGCCCUAGGGUUUACACCUUUUUGGCGAAACACAUCUGCCGCACCUCCCACACCCUCGCCUGUUGCAACUCGCGGAUCUAGCAAUCCGGCUUGUGAUGCUUCCUCGCUGCACGUGUGGAUACCUUGGAGGUGUUGCACCUGCAGCACUUGGACGAGCCGCCGACGAGCCACGACGAGCCGCCGACGAGCCGACGACGAGCCACGGCACGAGGGAGAUCUUGCUACACGUGGACGAGCUGCUGAGGAGCUGCUGGACGUCGAUGUGAUCGACUACGUACGACUAUGCUGAUCCACUUCGCUGCAUCGACGCGAAUCUGCAUCUUCCGCACCAGUAGUGCGUCGAGUGGUAAUCCCGUGAUCCUUAUACGGUAGUUUUCCUGGUUUACGCGGUAGAAAAUUUUGUUUUGCGCUAGUGUAGCCUACCUCGUAUCCCAACAGUGGUAUCAGAGCCGUAGCUGCUUUGUUUUGGAUUCGGGAUGUGUGCAUAUGGAGAUAUGCGAGUUUUCAGUUUGAUCUAUGUCCUAGUUUCGUGGUCUUGCUGCAAUGGUAGUGUAACGACAUACUCCUAACGGUCGGUUUCCGCCAUCGGAGUUAAGUGAUGCACGUAAUUCCAGUUGCAGUGAGCGAAGAUCAAUAUGAGUGGUCGAAUCGAAAUCCAGAUUCAUACGCCAGGCGCAUGAGAUGUGCAAUAGUAGAUGAGAUCUACUAUCGGGGUUGGGAUUUUUGCCGUGUGCGUAUGCUUCGAUAAAUCAGCCGUAACUUUUCGGUACGAUCUCGGAUUGGAGCGAAUUUUAUAUGAAAAUUGAUCUAUAGAAAAAGUUACACAUGAAAUUCAACGCUUUGCUGUUUUCGGCAAAAUUAGAUUUCCCAAAUUUGGCUUGGAAGAUGGAGUUUCGGGCAUCCGAAGUUUGGAACGUUAGGAUGCUUAACUCUGUUUUGCAUGAUGUAUGUAUGUAUCUUGUGAUCAGUAUGGCCCCUUUGUGUAUGUGAUGCAUGUGUGUAACUCAUUCGUGACCUGCGUGUCGCGCGUACGGCAACACGGCAGGAGCCAUAUGUGUUGUUGCAUGAUGUAUGUAUGUAUCUUGUGAUCAGUAUGGCCCCUUUGUGUAUGUGAUGCAUGUGUGUAACUCAUUUGUGACCUGGGUGUCGCGCGUACGGCAACACGGCAGGAGCCAUAUGUGUUGUUGCAUGAUGUAUGUAUGUAUCUUGUGAUCAGUAUGGCCCCUUUGUGUAUGUGAUGCAUGUGUGUAACUCAUUCGUGACCUGCGUGUCGCGCGUACAGCAACACGGCAGGAGCCAUAUGUGUUGUUACCUUAAUGUAUUUAAUGGUCUGCGUACCAAUCUGUGAUGAUCCAAGCAACUAUGUAAUCUUCAUUACUAGCUUCCUUACUAGCUAUUAGGCGUAAUAGCCUGUUCUAGUUCUUGGAGGACUCAUCACGAGGAGGAUGGCGCACAUGGAACAUGGAGAUGGAGAUCACCAUGGUGAACAGGUUCUAUGGAGAUGGAGAUCACCAUAUGAAAAAAGGCCAUACAGUGUCACAACUGUGUGAAUGCUAUUUUGUUUAUGUUUUACUUUCUGCAUGCUGUGAUGUUAGAAGUAGAAUGAUCCCUCACAAAGUUUAAGUUAGUAGGCCCUCCCAACUAAAACUUGCACCAUCCCAUGUCUUGUACAAUUAGUGGUGGGUCUAUGAAAUUAGGGUGCCACUAGUUUUCCUUGACUAGACGGGUUUGUGUCGGACACUUACACGCAUAAGGGUUGGUUUGCUUAACAAGGUUAACUUAACGGUUAAGGACCUUGGGGCAUAAAGGUUGGGCGCCGAGACAUGGAGAUGUCACCCAACAAUAGGAGUCAUAUGUGAUAUGAUUAGCAAAAGUUGCUUACCGAUCUACCUUGUUUGCUAGCGGUGAUGCUAAAGCUCACUAGUAGACUUGUUAGUUGUGGAUUCUGAAUCACUAAGUAUCAAUAGAGGGAUAUUGAUUUUAGUGGGAGUAGAUUCUGUUAAAAUAGUUUAAUGUGAUUUGCUCUAUCAUGGAUAUGUUUGUCUUAGUGUAUUUUGCAUGACUUUUGUUGUAGAUUAAAUGGCACCAAGCAACACCACACCGUUUGCUUUGCGUUCGGUCCUUGAGAAGGACAAGUUGAAUGGAACAAACUACUCGGAUUGGAUCUGUAACCUGAGAAUUGUUCUCAGAGCCGAUAAAAAGGAAGAUGUUCUAGACACCCCACUACCACCAGUACCUGCUGAUGAUGCAUCUGCUGCCGUUAAGUGAUGUGGACUAGGGUCCCGAUCUUCCGAAAGGUUCAGUUAAUCGACAAUUUGGGUGGAGUCGCUACGUAAAUCGAUCCGGCUUCCGAGCAACGCGUUCCGAACCCCGCAAUCGCAGCACAACGUCUCCUCAGGUUAUCGACCGGCGAUGCACGGUCGACCUCGCCAAGAAGGCUAAUCCUUGCCUGCGAAUUGAAGAACACAAGCAAGAACAAGGAAGAAUGCAAACCAAAUUUGCGGAUGAAUGAUUAAGCUCACGAGUUGGGGUUUUACAAACCGAUGACGGCGAAACUGUUCUUGACAGAUUAAUCUAAGCAAAACCCAAAACCUAACAAAGGUGACGGCUACUGUUAUAUAGGGUUUAGGGUCGUGGUCGACCCCCUGGACGCGCCCCUAAUGGCCCAAUGUCGAUACACGGCCCAAAGGUCAAAAUAAGGCGACGCAGCGCCAGGACAGAUUCUGGACGCCAUCUUGUUUCGACGAUUCCUGUUGACUCAGGAUGAAUUUAGGCAUGGAACCAGUGCCAUUGGAAAAUAGAUCUUCUAAACUUUCCAACCAUAUAUAGAACGUCCAAAACGGAGUCCGUAUGCGGUCUGGGCAUCCAAAUCACUGUGGGCUGCUCCGGGACACCGAGGUGGACUCGAACUCGACUUGGCUUGGGCCUCCAACUCGAGUUGUAUGUCCUUGCUGGUCCUCCACGCCUCCAAGCCUCUCUCUAUGCAUCUCCUGGUACUCUCCUUUGUUCCUAAUCAAAAUAUAAUCAUUGAAUAGCAAUCUAUUCUUAAAAUCAUAAAAUGAAUUGGUUAGGAACGAUCUCACCUCUAAAUGCAAUUGUCGUGCGCGAGCUCUAGUGAUUGGACCUUGAAUGUCCAGCGGAGUAUCAUGUGCAUCCGGAGAGGUGAUGUCCUCAUCAUCCUCCCCCGCUUGAAAUGGAGUCGUCCUCGACUCAAGCUCAUCGUCUGCUCCCAAGUAAGGCCUCAAAUCUGAAAUGUUAAAGGUAGGACUAACCCCGAACUCGGGAGGCAACUCAAGUUUGUAUGCAUUAUCAUUAAUCUUCUCAAUUAUCUUGAAAGGACCAUCAGCUCUAGGCAUCAACUUAGACUUUCGCAAAUCUGGAAAUCUAUCCUUUCGUAGGUGCAACCAAACUAGAUCACCCGGUUCAAGUUUAACUUCCUUUCUACCUUUACUACCAGCAAUUUGAUACUUUUCGUUCAUUUUUUCAAUGUUGUGCUUAGUUGUUUCAUGCAUUUGCAAAAUAAAAUCAGCGCGUUCGUUGGCAUCCGUAUGAAUCCUCUCACUAGUAGGCAAAGGCAAAAUAUCAAUAGGAGCACGGGGGUUGAAUCCAUACACUACCUAAAAAGGACUUACUUUUGUGGUGGAAUGUGUUGCCCAAUUGUAUGCAAACUCCACAUGAGGCAAACAUUCUUCCCACAUCUUCAAAUUUUUCUUCAAAACAGCCCUCAACAUGGUGCCUAAAGUGCGGUUCACCACCUCUGUUUGCCCAUCAGUUUGUGGAUGACAAGUGGUAGAAAAUAAUAAUUUUGUACCCAACUUGUUCCACAAAGUACGCCAAAAGUGACUCAAAAAUUUUGCAUCGCGAUCUGAAACAAUAGUAGAAGGCAUACCAUGCAAACGUACAAUCUCUUUGAAAAAGAGGUCAGCAAUAUGAACAGCAUCAUCACUUUUAUGACAUGGUAUAAAAUGUGCCAUCUUUGAAAAACGAUCCACAACAACAAAAAUGCUAUCCCUCCCCCUCUUAGUCCUAGGCAAUCCCAACACAAAGUCCAUAGAAAUAUCCGCCCAAGGAAUAGAAGGAACAGGUAGUGGCAUGUAUAAACCAUGUGGAUUCAAACGAGACUUAGCUUUUUGACAUGUUGUGCAGCGAGCAACGAACCUCUCAACGUCUCUCCUCAUUUGUGGCCAAAAGAAAUGUGAGGCCAAAGCGUCCACCGUCUUCUUGGCACCAAAAUGCCCCAUCAAUCCUCCUCCAUGUGCUUCCUGCAUCAACAAAAGACGAACGGAACCAACUGGAAUGCAUAGGCAGUUUGCUCUAAACACAAAGCCAUCAUUGAUCACAAACUUAUUCCAUGUACGUCCCUCUUUACAAUUGAGCAACACAUCCUUAAAGUCAGGGUCAAGCGCAUAUUGUUCCUUAAUUGAUUCAAGUCCAAAAAGACGACAAUCAAGUUGGGACAGCAAAGUAUAUCUUCUAGAUAAAGCAUCGGCAAUCACAUUGUCCUUCCCUUUCUUAUGUUUGAUGAUAUAAGGAAAAGAUUCAAUAAAUUCAACCCAUUUAGCAUGUCUACGGUUCAGAUUGUUUUGAGAACGAAGAUACUUAAGCGAUUCAUGAUCAGAAUGAAUAACAAAUUCCUUAGGCCACAAAUAAUGACGCCACGUUUGUAAGGAACGUACAAGAGCAUACAAUUCCUUAUCAUACGUAGAGUAAUUCAGAACAGGACCAUGCAAUUUCUCGCUAAAGUAUGCAACAGGUUUACCAUCUUGCAUCAAAACACCACCAAUGCCAACUCCACUAGCAUCACAUUCAAGCUCAAAGGUCUUACCAAAGUUUGGAAGUUGCAGCAAUGGCGCACGCGUAAGCUUGGCCUUCAAAGUGGCAAAGGACUCGUCCUGUGCUUUUCCCCAACGAAACACCACACCUUUCUUCGUCAACUCGUGUAAUGGCGCAGCAAUGGUGCUGAAAUCUUUGACGAAGCGGCGAUAGAAACCUGCAAGACCAAGAAAACUCCUCACCUGUGUGAUGCUUUGGGGCAGCGGCCAACUCUGAAUGGCUUCAAUUUUCGUUCCAUCCACCUCAAUUCCCUGUGGAGUAACAACAUAUCCAAGGAACGAAACUCUAUCGGUGCAAAAGAUGCACUUCUCAAGGUUAGCAAACAAACGUGCAUCUCUCAAAGCCUCAAAAACAGCACGCAAAUGCUCCCUAUGUUCAUCCAAAGACUUGCUGUAAAUUAAUAUAUCAUCAAAGUAAACCACCACAAAUCGACCAAUAAAAGCCCUCAAAACCUCAUUCAUCAAACGCAUGAAAGUACUUGGUGCAUUAGUUAAACCAAAAGGCAUGACUAACCACUCAUACAACCCGAAUUUGGUCUUAAAAGCUGUUUUCCAUUCAUCUCCAAGUUUCAUUCUUAUUUGGUGGUAACCACUACGCAAGUCAAUCUUUGUGAAAAUUAUAGAACCACACAACUCAUCAAGCAUGUCGUCUAACCUAGGAAUAGGAUGUCGAUAUCGAAUGGUAAUAUUAUUGAUGGCUCUACAAUCAACACACAUAUGCCAAGUACCGUUUUUCUUUGGAACCAAAAGCACAGGAACAGCACAAGGACUAAGGCUUUCAUGUACAUACCCGUGGUCCAAAAGGUCUUGGACUUGUCGCUGUAUUUCCUUAGUCUCCUUGGGAUUGGUUCUGUAAGCAGCACGGUUUGGCAAAGUGGCUCCCGGGAUCAAAUCGAUUUGAUGCUCUAUUCCUCUCAAAGGUGGCAGCCCCGGGGGUAUCUCAGCUGGAAAAAUGUCCUCAUACUCCUGCAAAAUGUUAGUGAUAGCAGGAGGCAAAGAGCUAGCAAUAUCAUCAAGAGAGAACAAAGCUCGUUUGCAUAUCAACGCAUAGCAAACAUCAUCAUCAAAAAUUUCAGCAAGAUCACAUCUUGUUGCAAGCAUAACUCCCCCCUUUAAUUUAAUCCCCUUUUCAGGUGGAGAAACAGAACUAGCAACUUGCUGAUGUUUAGAAUUAUCAUUGUUCAAAGUAGCAGCACGUUCCUUAUCAGCUUGCACAAUUUCAACAGGGGUCAAAGGUACCAAAGUAAUUUUUUGUCCUUUAUACAUUAAGGUGUAUUUAUUACUUCUACCAUGGUGUGUAGCAUCAUUAUAAUGUUCCCAAGGAUGACCCAACAGAAGUGAACAAGCUUGCAUAGGUACCACAUCACAAUCAACAAAAUCAGCAUAAGCACCAAUGGAAAAAGAAACUCUGCAAGUUUGUGUUACCUUAGCUUUGCCAGAGUCAUUUAACCACUGAAUAUGGUAUGGAUGUGGAUGCGGUCGUGUGGACAAGCCAAGCUUCUUGACCAAAUCUGAACUCACCAAGUUGUUGCAGCUCUUUCCAUCAAUAAUCACACGUGCACGACGGUUAUUGAUGACGAAGAAAGUCUGGAACAAGUUGUGGCGCUGUAGACUCUCCGGCUGCUGAAUUUGCGUGCUGAGCACACGCUGAACAAUAAUGUUCAUGUAGGCUGAAGUAUCCGCACCAUGAAGGACAUGUCCCUCGGUGUCCUCGACAGCGAUCUCUUCAUCAACAUCAUCUUCAAUGUCAGAGGUGCUGAUGUAACCUCCAUCUUCUGUAGCAAUGUAUGCCCGCUGACUUGGGCAUUCCUUCUGCACGUGGCCAAAUCCCUUGCAGCGGUGACACUGAAGGGCAGUCGUGCGUCCUGUCGAAGCAACGGACGAUGCACUUUGUGCAGGAACCUGCAAAGAAUUUUUACCUGAACCCGAAGGUCGUACAGGCGUUGGUUUUGGCGUUGUAGAAACUCCAGAGUCUGCUGGUCGUGUGCUCGCUGGUGGGGGUGCGCGAAAAGAGGAGGACUUGGUCAGCCCCAAAGAUGGUGUCGUACGCUGGUAUGAGUUACCAACCUUGCUCUUGCCCUGCAACUCACGCCCCUGCAAUUCCUUUUCUGCAAACAUAGCCAACUGAAACAACUGGUUGACAGAGUUAAAAUCCUUAUAAUCAACUAUGUCCUGAAUUUCGCGCCGCAAACCGGAAUAAAAACGGCAAAUAGCAUCCUCAUUGUCCUCAACUAUGCCACAACGCAUCAAACCCUUCUGAAGCUCACCAAAAUAUUCCUACACAGAUUUAUCUCCCUGAUCUAAGCGCAUCAAAUUCUUACGCAGUUCUCUAUGGUAAGAAGGUGGAACAAAUCUAUCAUGCAUAGCAACCUUAAGUUGUUCUCAAGUAGUAGGUGCAACACCCGCAGCAACUAAUCCAGUCCACCAAAUGAUAGCAAAAUCUUUAAACUCACUAGUGGCUUGUCGAACUCUAUGUUGCUCAGGCACAAGGUGGGCACUAAAUUUUUGUUCAACCGUCAUCUCCCAAUCAAGAUAUCCCUCAGCAUCAUAAUGUCCAGAGAACGAAGGUAUAGUAAAUUUAAUCUUAGCAUAAGGGUCAUCGGGAGCACGAUUAGCACCUGCGUUCACGCGAACACGUCGUCGUAUACGUACCUCUCGUGUAGCUACUUUGUCUAUGUUACCAUGGCCAUCAUACACCACAUCUUCAUCGGCUGGUGGUGGUGGUGGUGGUGGUGGUGGACGGGCUUCCAACGCAGCAACCCUGUCAGCUAUUGUGGUUAUCCGUCCAUUCACCUCCCCAAAAAUGUCAGCAAGCCUGAGUCCAUUGAUGGAGUCGGUGACGGCCUUGGCGACCACCUCUGUUAUCCUGGUCUGUGUGGCAUCCAUAAAAGCUUGCAACUGUCCUUGGCUGACACACUCGUUGAAGUCCUUGGGAGUGCCUCCAUCGUUAUCUGCAGCCAUUGUAGAUAGAAAACAGGAACAAACGGUGAAGGUUAACCCUAAUAAUCUCCUACGCAGGUGUGGUGGUGUCUCUCAAAUCAAACAACACAGCAAAAGGAAACACCUUACCAAGCUCUUACAAGGUUCUUACCAGCAAGGCAAAGGAUACCUGGAAGGCGUAGACCGCGAUUGCAAGGCUCAAGAACCUGUGCUAUGCAGAAGUAAUAUGUGGAGCUAUAGGAAGGCCAAAGAUAUGUGAGUGGAACACAAUUCACUAGAAGAUAGCAAUGCUGAAUAAAUGUCCAAAGCUACUUGUCCCUAGUUGUUGGCCUACCCGUGUCCUUAGAACAGUAGUGUCAACAAAUAAGGAACAAGGAUGGAUAUGAAGAACAACAAUGAUACAAGAUCAGCAAGUAUCCCGCACAAUAUCAGCAAACAAGUGGUUCCUCUCCACGUGCCUCCUGCUGUUUCGUCUUUUAGCACUAGUAGAAAUCAAAUUGUUUUUCUUUUUUUCUUUUAUUUUUUUGAUAUUUUUUUUCUCAGCCAGGAGCACAAAAAUAGGAACACCACAAAGUAUCAGCUCAAUCCGAUGUAAGGUGUGAUCGGUAGAAAAUCACGAGCGUUUCACAAAACCGAUACUGGAACUUGGGAACUCGAAUCGAUCCCCUUCUGAGUUUUUUUUGAAUUUUUUAAUUUCGGUUUGACUGGCAAAGCCAGUGAAUCCUAUGUGCAAAAAUUCGAUAGCUUUCUGGGAAAAAAAAUGCCUCAAUUGGAGUUCCGAGCGAAAAGUUAUGCCCGUUUUAAGGAGGACCCUCCGAUGUAGGGUUUUGUGGCAGUCGAGAUGGAAUCGGGUGGGGAGAAAAAGUUAGGAUGAUGGCAGCGGAGUAUGGAUCACACAACCGAACUAAAACACGAUCUAAACCAGCAACAAUGACACGAACUAGGACACAAACUCAACACUACGGACUCUGAAAGGGAAUUAUGCAAAAGGCUAGACACGGUCUUGGACGGGGAAAAUUUUUUUGGCUUUUCUGUGGACUCUAGGAUGAAUGCGAAAAUAAAUCUAACUAGGGUAAGGGUGAACCUGACGGUAUACCUGAAGCUCUGAUUACCACUUGAUGUGGACUAGGGUCCCGAUCUUCCGAAAGGUUCAGUUAAUCGACGAUUUGGGCGGAGUCGCUAUGCAAAUCGAUCCGGCUUCCGAACAACACGUUCCGAACCCCGCAAUCGCAGCACAACGUCUCCUCAGGUUAUCGACCGGCGAUGCACGGUCGACCUCGCCAAGAAGGCUAAUCCUUGCCUGCGAAUCGAAGAACACAAGCAAGAACAAGAAUGCAAACCAAGUUUGCGGAUGAAUGAUUAAGCUCACGAGUUGGGGUUUUACAAACCGAUGACGGCGAAACUGUUCUUGACAGAUUAAUCUAAGCAAAACCCAAAACCUAACAAAGGUGACGGCUACUGUUAUAUAGGGUUUAGGGUCGUGGUCGACCCCCUGGACGCGCCCCUAAUGGCCCAAUGUCGAUACACGGCCCAAAGGCCAAAAUAAGGCGACGCAGCGCCAGGACAGAUUCUGGACGCUAUCUUGUUUCGACGAUUCCUGUUGACUCAGGAUGUUUUUAGGCAUGGAACCAGUGCCAUUGGAAAAUAGAUCUUCUAAACUUUCCAACCAUAUAUAGAACGUCCAAAACGGAGUCCGUAUGCGGUCUGGGCAUCCAAAUCACUGUGGGCUGCUCCUGGACACCGAGGUGGACUCGAAGUCGACUUGGCUUGGGCCUCCAACUCGAGUUGUAUGUCCUUGCUGGUCCUCCACGCCUCCAAGCCUCUCUCCAUGCAUCUCCUGGUCCUCUCCUUUGUUCCUAAUCAAAAUAUAAUCAUUGAAUAGCAAUCUAUUCUUAAAAUCAUAAAAUGAAUUGGUUAGGAACGAUCUCACCUCUAAAUGCAAUUGUCGUGCGCGAGCUCUAGUGAUUGGACCUUGAAUGUCCAGCGGAGUAUCAUAAGCAUCCGGAGAGGUGAUGUCCUCAUCAUUAAGGCUGCUUACAAGAAGGCAUUUGAUGCUAAUCUUGAGGUAAGCUGCCUUAUGCUUGCUUGCAUGGAACCUGAGCUGCAGAUGCAGUUCGAAACAAAUCAUGAGGCACACGAUAUAAUCGUGGCGCUCAAGGACAUGUUCCAGAGACAGGCUAGGAUUGAAAGGUUCAAUGUGUCCAAAGCCUUUCUGGAGUGCAAGCUAGCAGAAGGCGCAGCAGUAUGACCACAUGUAAUCAAGAUGGUUGGUUACACUCAGCGAUUGGAGAAGCUGGGCUUCCCAAUGGGCAAAGAGUUGGCCACUAACUUCAUUCUUUCAUCUCUUCCGCCUAGCUAUGGGAACUUCAUCUCGAACUACCAUAUGCAUGGGACAGAGAAGGGUCUGAAUGAACUGUGUGGUAUGCUCAAGACAGCAGAGGUAGACAUUAAGAAAAGCGCUAGUACCAGCCAUGUGAUGGCUGUACAGAACAAGCCUACCUUCAAGAAGAAGGGCAAUUCUUGGAAGAAGAAAGGUAAGGCUGGAGUGUCCAAGCCAAACCCAGCGCCCAAGGCUAAAGCUGGACCUGCUCCAGAUAAAGAGUGCUUUUAUUGUCACGAACCUGGUCACUGGAAGAGAAACUGCAAGCAGUACCUAGCUUCGUUGAAGAAUGGCGGAAGUAAGAGUACUUCUACCUCAGGUACACUUGUUGUUAAUGUUAUAGACAACAUAUUUCUCACUGAUACAAUUAUUAAUUCUUGGGUAUUUGAUACCGGAUCGGUUGCUCAUAUUUGCAAUUCGAUGCAGGGAAUGAUAAGAAGUAGAAGCGUGGAAAGAGGAGAAGUUGAUUUCCGCGUGGGCAAUAAUGUAAGAGUUGCUGCGUUGAACGUCGGGACGAUGCAACUCCACCUCCCGUCAGGAUUUAUUAUGGAGUUGAAUAAUUGUUAUUUCGUUCCUACUUUAAGUUGAAACAUUUUGUCUCCUUCAUGCUUGAUGAAGCAUGGUUAUUCAUUUGCGAGUGAAAACAAUGGUUGUGUGAUCUCUAAGAAUGAUAUGUUUAUGGCUUUUGCACCCAUUGUGAAUGGAUUAUUUGUUUUAAAUCUUGAUGGUUCACCUGUCUGUAAUGUAAGUGCUAAAAGGCCUCGGCCUAAUGAUUUGAGUCCUACCUACUUAUGGCAUUGUUGUUUGGGUCAUAUAAGUGAAAAGCACAUGAAGAAGCUCCAUUCUGAUGGACUUCUAACUUCGUUUGAUUUUGAAUCAUACGAGACAUGUGAGGCUUGCUUGCUAGGCAAGAUGACCAAGACACCUUUCACAGGAUUUCCUGAGAGAGCAGUAGACUUGUUGGAACUCGUACAUAGUGAUGUAUGCGGACCAAUGAGCACGACGGCUAGAGGAGGAUUCCAAUACUUCAUAACUUUCAUUGAUGAUUUUAGUAGAUAUGGCUAUGUCUACUUGAUGGGGCACAAGUCCGAAACCUUUGAAAAGUUCAAGGAAUUUCAGAAUGAAGUUGAAAAUUAGCGUGGCGAGAAAAUUAAGGCCUUACGAUCUGAUCGUGGAGGCGAGUAUUUGAGCCACGAGUUUAGCAAUCAUCUAAAGAGUUGUGGAAUUGUUCCACAACUUACGCCGCCUAUAACACCUCAGAGAAACGGUGUAUCCGAGCGACGUAAUCGAACUUUGUUAGACAUUGUUCGAUCAAUGAUGAGCCAGUCGGACCUACCGUUGUCGUUUUGGGGAUACGCUCUAGAAACAGCAGCUUUCAUACUUAAUAGGGUACCAUCUAAAUCCGUAGUUAAGACACCAUAUGAGAUGUGGACUGGAAAGGUUCCCAGUUUGUCUUUUCUAAAGAUUUGGGGAUGUGAAGUGUUUGUCAAGCGACUUCAGUCGGAGAAGAUCACACCCAAGUUGGAUAAGUGCAUUUUCGUGGGAUAUCCAAAGGAAACUUUGGGAUAUUAUUUCUACAACCGGUCAGAGGGAAAAGUGUUUGUUGCUCGAAACGGGGUUUUCCUAGAGAAAGAGUUUCUCAAAGGAGAAAAGAGUGGAAAGAUAGUGCAUCUUGAAGAAGUUCAAGAUGAGCCGAUCGGGUAAGAAUCAAUGAGUGAUGCUAACGUAGCAGAACAAGCUGAGAUACCCAUGGCAAGAGAAGCACCGCCACAACCACGAAGGUCGGGCAAGGCUCCGCGAAAUGCGGGAAAUAUUAUUAUUGGACAAUGAUGAGCCUGCGACAUAUGCAGAAGCAAUGAUGGACCCAAACUCCAAAAAAUGGCAGAGUGCCAUGCAAUCCGAAAUAGAGUCCAUGGGAGACAAUCAAGUUUGGAACUUGGUUGACCCGCCUGAUGGUGUUAAAGCCAUAGAGUGCAAAUGGAUCUAUAAGAAGAAAAAGGACAUGGAUGGAAAUGUUCACAUCUAUAAAGCACGACUUGUCGCAAAAGGUUUUCGACAAGUUCAAGGAGUUGACUACGGCGAGACUUUCUCGCCCGUAGUGAUGCUUAAGUCCAUUCGGAUUAUUCUAGCUAUAGAUGCAUAUUUCAAUUAUGAGAUAUGGCAGAUGGAUGUCAAGACAGCUUUCCUGAAUGGAAACCUAGCUGAGGACGUGUAUAUGAUACAGCCUGAGGGUUUUGUCGAUCCGAAAAAUGCUGGAAAGGUAUGCAAGCUUCAAAGAUCUAUUUAUGGAUUGAACCAAGCAUCUAGGAGUUGGAACAUUCGUUUUGAUGAAGUGGUCAAAGGGUUUGACUUCACCAAGAACGAAGAAGAGUCUUGUGUUUACAAGAAGGUUAGUGGGAGCUCUGUAGUAUUUCUAAUCUUAUAUGUGGAUGACAUAUUGCUGAUUGGAAAUAACAUUCCUAUGCUUGAGUCUGUAAAGACUUCACUAAAAAAUAGUUUUUCGAUGAAGGACUUAGGGGAAGCGGCAUAUAUUCUGGGCAUUAAGAUCUAUAGAGAUAGAUCGAGAAGGCUUAUAGGAUUAAGCCAAGAUACUUACAUUGACAAAGUGUUGAAGCGGUUCAGCAUGGAAGAGGCAAAGAAAGGGUUCUUGCCUAUGUCACAUGGCAUACAUCUCAGCAAGACUCAGUGUCCUUCGACUGUUGAUGAGCGGGAUUUCAUGAGUAGAGUGCCAUAUGCCUCAGCUAUUGGAUCUAUCAUGUAUGCAAUGAUAAGUACUCGCCCAGAUGUUUCAUAUGUGCUAAGUAUGACAAGCAGACACCAGUCUGAUCCAGGUGAGAGUCACUCGACAGCGGUGAAAAACAUUCUUAAGUACUUGAGAAAGACUAAAGAUAUGUUCCUCAUCUAUGGAGGUGAGGAGGAGCUCGUUGUAACAGGUUACACCGAUGCCAGUUUCCAAACGACAGAGAUGAUUCAAAGUCACAAUCAGGAUUUGUGUUCACGCUAAAUGGUGGUGCUGUUAGUUGGAAGAGUUCCAAGCAGGAGACGGUGGCCGAUUCUACGAUAGAAGCCAAGUACAUCGUGGCUUCGGAAGCCGCGAAGGAGGGUGUUUGGAUAAGGAAUUUCCUCAUUGAGCUUGGUGUGUUCCCGAAUGCGUCCAGCCCAUUGAAUCUCUACUGUGAUAACAAUGGGGCAAUUGCGCAAGCAAAGGAGCCAAGGAACCAUCAGAAGAACAAACACAUAAUGCGGUGAUUUCAUCUUAUUUGAGACUUCGUUAACCGGGGUGAGAUCAAGAUAUGCAAAAUACACACGGAUCUGAACAUUUCUGAUCCGUUGACAAAACCACUCCCGCAGGCUAAGCAUGAUGCGCAUAUAAGAGCUAUGGGUAUUAGGUACCUUCUAGAUUGACUCUAGUGCAAGUGGGAGACUGUUGGAGGUAUGCCCUAGAGGCAAUCAUAGAGAUGAUGAUAUUCCAUUUGUAUCCAUGAUUUAUAUUGUGUUCCUUGAAUAUCCAUUAAAGGCUACUUGAAUUGAUUUGCAAAUAUGUGAAUUGUGUGUGAAACUCUUUACUUGUAUGGUUAUUCUAAAGUUGUCCCUAGCUUUCGGGUUUGUCAAGAAGCAUGCUAUGAGACAUGGUCAAUCAAGAUAGGAUUUGCCCCUCUCUGAUUGAGAGUGAUAUCUCUGGGCCCCUCGAGUGAUCGGAUCCGAAAAUGCAUUACCAUGCUAUGUACGGUUAAGAGUUAACCUACAAAGGGAUUCCGAAUCACAGGAUCGAGAAAGAGCGGUCGGCUUGAAGCUAGACAAAAUAUCGUGAGGCAAAGGGAAUAGCAUGUACAUAAUGUUGUGAUGGUUUGUCUGAUAUGAUCUUUGUGUGCGUAUAGGAGUUGCACAUCUUGCUAGAGGCCGCUACCGACUAUUGGGCCGAGUAGGAGUACUCGGGCCAUGUCUAUACGUAUCCGAACCCAUAGGGUCACACACUUAAGGGGCUGGAAGCCCAAUUUGGAUGUGAUCCGAGUUGGAUUAGGUUUAGAAGUACUAAUGGGCCUCGGACCUAGAGGCCCGUUAGGAACCUCUAUAAAUAGAGGGGUGGGGGCGCCCUAGGGUUUACACCUUUUUGGCGAAACACAUCUGCCGCGCCUCCCACGCCCUCACCUGUUGCAACUCGCAGAUCUAGCAAUCCGGCUUGUGACGCUUCCUCCCUGCACGUGUGGAUACCUUGGAGGUGUUGCGCCUGCAGCACUUGGACGAGCCGCCGACGAGCCACGACGAGCCGACGACGAGCCGCCGACGAGCCGCGGCACGAGGGAGAUCUUGCUGCACAUGGACGAGCUGCUGGAUGUCGACGUGAUCGACUACGUACGACUACGCUGAUCCACUUCGCUGCAUCGACGCGAAUCUACAUCUUCCCCACCAGUAGUGCGUCGAGUGGUAAUCCCAUGAUCCUUAUACGGCAGUUUUCCUAGUUUACGCAGUAGAAAAUUUUGUUUUGCGCUAGUGUAGCCUACCUCGUAUCCCAACAAUCUCACCUCUAAAAACCACACAACCAAUUUUUGCUUGAAGGGUACAAUCAAUGUGUUCGAGAUAUCUUGCGCCAGAGAUCAAUCAGUUUUAGUGAAAGAUUGGGGAAAUCAAGUGAAAAGCAUACUCUUCACCUCAAUUGGGAGGUUUGCUGGUGCAGUCUCUUCUUGAGGAUCGGCUGGUUGAUGAGUGGUUUGCUCCGGAAGAAGGUGCGCAACCUAAUAAGAAGAGGUGGAAUUAAUGUUGACAACAUACUUAGAAGAGUUAGAGCAUGUGAGAUUACCGAUGCAGCUUCCACCAGCAGAGAUGCAGCUGCUGAUCUAGCUUCUGAAACCACUUGGGGGUUAAUCUCCUGAAUUGUCGGCACGACUUCUGAUGGGGCUAGUAUGGCUGAGGGCUCGACCGAUGGCGUCGCCGAUUGAUCAACCGUCAGAGUUACUGUUGAUUCGGUACGGGCUCGUACUCGGCGGCUUGUCUUCUUUGAAGUAGACAUCUUUAGCUUAUGCUUCAAUCGACCGGUAGCUAUGUCCUCCAUUGAUGGUGCGUGAUAGCCAAUGAGUGGGUAAAGUAUGUACGGAUGACGGUUUUCUAUCGGCCUACCACUUCGGCUGCGUGUUAGAGGUGUCUGGCUAUCAGACUGCGCAAAGAGGGGGAGUCCGUAAUGAGAACCUUGUGGCAUAACGAGGUGAAAAUGAGAAACUGGUCAAAAAGGUUUUGUUACCUCUGCAUUUGGGUCGACAUGAGUAGGGUCCAACUGAUUGCAAUAUACUGCAGGAGCUGUGCAAAAAAGAUGUUGCUUCCAUUCGGCCCACCAUAAUUUGAAUUGUUGAGUGGAGAAGGGUGCUACCAGCCAAUUGUUCAAGUCAAUAGUGCUGGAGUCUGGUAUCAAGUUGCAUAAUCAGUUAUAUUCAAACCCUCUUGAAAGUGACUCUCGAAACUUCACCCGGCUGAUGAAAUAAAUUCCAAUAGGCAUCUAUCCUAGGCCAAAUUGCCGGGCUACCACCGACAGGUUGUAGAAUUCAUACGUCGGGGAGUCCUUUCCAGAGAAGAAGUUUGCUGGCAAAAUCCUGGGCUUGAUAAAGAUCUCCAUAAUCCUGUCUUCAAAAGAAUUGGUGUCCAACUCAAAGCAAUCAGGAUUCUCGAAAAGUGAAUCCUCUCUCUGGUGCAGGUACCACCUCGUGGUCUCUUCACUGAAGCCGAUAUAAAAGCAUCUAAAAUAUUCGGCUGUCCUUGAGGGAGUGAGUUUUCCUCCUAGAAAAGAUGAUACGGCUUCUCUGAAGGAGGUACAGCGGCGCCUUGCUGUUGGGUUGGUCUCUGACUCGAUGUUGGGGAAGGUCUUGGUCUCGAUCCGUUCUCUGGAGAUUUUGCUCAUAUAUAAAUUAAGCCAAAGGUUGAUAAACCACCAGGGACCGCCAGAGUUCCCAAUGGGCUCUCCAGACGAUAGCUUUACGGCAAUCUGGUGCAUCAUGAAGUAAACCGACCCCAACAGAUGUUUUCCCAAAGGAAUAGUAGCACCUCUUGCCAGCGCUUCGGCCAAGGUUUGUGUGUUGGAGGUGGGGCCGACCGAUCUGCCACAGAAUAAGUGUUUUUCUAGCCACAUCAUCAAGAAGGCCGUAUACUGUCUGUCAGUAAUGGGUCCGAUCUUCAUGUUCUUUUCGAUGAAACCUUUCCACCCGUCGAUGCCCUUUGUUUCCAAACGGUGAGUGGGCUUGAUUAGAAGGUCAAAGGGCAUAUCGGCGGAGGAGACGUCAUGACCAGUCAACAUCAAGACAUCGGUCAGAGUAGGAGUCAUCGGCCCAUGGCCAAAAAGAAACGCAUUGAGGGCGUUGGACCAGAAGUAAGACGCUGCAAUGAGUAGGGAGUCGUUCCUCUCCAUAUGAGACAGAGACAAAUUUAUACAGUGGUCAAUUUUCCCCUCAUCCCAAAAGACUCUCUUCGAGUUUGACAUCCUUAAGAACCAUUCUCUCCAACCGGGGGUUUCGUUCAGCCAAGACCUGAAUGUGACUGUCUAGUUAUUCAGAUCCAUCGUUGAUUGCUUGAAAGGGAUUCUGUGAGUUUCCAGAUUAAUCAGCUCGGUUGGAUCAGGGUUCCCCAUGGGGCCGAGUCCGAUGAGGCCAGGAGCGUCAGAUAGGGGGAUGGUGAUUCUUUGCCUAAGCUCCUAAGAAGAUAUGAGAAAAAACUUAGAACAGAUCUAAGAUUCGUAGAACGGUGAAAAGUAAAAAAGGGAGAGUUUCGGGGAAUUUACCUCCGGGAUGAAAACCAUAGUGGCUGAAGGAAUCGCCAUUGGAGUUUGAGGGGCUAGCGCAAUUGAUCAAAGGAUGAGAUGGGCUCAUCGGAGGGCACUAGAAUGCACCUGGAAGCGGAAUGGGUGCCGGAGUGCGUCGGAAGAUGGUUCACCGGGAGAGAAAACUUUUUAGCUCGGGGAAGAAGAAGCAGCGGAAGAGGUGAGUAUUUAAAACAUGGUUUGAGAGAAGGGUAAAGAUGGGAUUUUUACCGCAUCAUCCGCGCAAAUUUUGAAGAGAGUGGUUGCCCGCGGGCGCUUUAUUCAAGAAAAUGCAAUCAUUAAAGAGAAGACUCUGGAGCGAAAUGGGUUUUGCCGCGUUGACUGUUGCACUUUCUCCAGAGGGAAGAGUUGGAGUUGAGAAAAUUUCGGAGCAAAAGGUAUGUUUCACUCCGAAAUUGGGGGGCAUGUGUUGACGUCGGAUUUUGACACGUGUUAACGUCGGCGUUAAAGGAGAGGAAGGUGGCCGAUGCGGCAAGCAAGAAGCUACAGUUGGAGAAUCGGCCGAUAGAGCUACAGUGUUCCGGCCGAUUGGCUGAAGGAGUCAAUGAAGACUGGCCGAUUGAGAGCCAGAACGGCUUGGCCAAUGUGGGCCUAAAAUGGGCCAGGGUGGUGAUUAGCCAAAGAUGAAGAUUGGCCCAUGGGAAAAUAAUAACCAACUCCGAUGUGGGUUGUGUUCGUGUGUAUAUAUUUGUUAUUACGGAUAGAUCCUAGUCGGUUAGAAAAUCAGUUGUAACAAGGUAUAAAUAGGUGCCUCAUAAGGUUUGUAAAAAAUACAACUAUAAUCAAUACAGAUCUACUCUUUCCACGUACUUUACUUUCAAGUCGUUGACUUCGCCGAACCCUUUUCCUUUUCACGAGUUCGUGCGAGUUGGCAGGACUGCAUCAACACGACCUCCGGCCAAUUUGUAAGUUCCACGUAUCGAAUAGUAUCUAAGCUUUAACUUCGAGCGCAUUGCUGUUGUUUUGUUUAGAUUUAUUCACCAGUUAUCGAUAUUAACUAGAAUUAUAGGUUUUACAUGUUGUUUUAGUUUUUAUCACCAGUUAUCCAGCUUGAGACACAAACUGUUAGCUUUUUAUCAAUAUUCUUUGUUUAUCACUAUAUAGCUGAUUAGAUUUGUUCCAAGUAUUGCUUUUGUAGCAUUGUUUAGGUUGCUCUAGUGGUUUGUUUUGCAAUCGCUACAUGGUCAUCGGCUAUUUUAUAGCCGGUUGUUUCUAAAGUAAAUCGGCCGAUUCGCUGAUACACACUUUGAAAUAGAUCGAAACCCUGGAAUUUAACACCUUUCUUUCCUUGUCAAUCAACAGGUCAGAUUGACUAGCACGCCGCGUGAACCGUACCAGGGCAACAACCUGAACAGGAGAUAAGCAGUUUCUCCUGGGACAUGUGUGCGACGCAGAAGCCGGAGUCUCCAUCCGAUUUUUAGCGUCAACAAAAUCCCAUCACCAAAUCCAUGGCAAAUGCCCAUCCAUAACUCAAAAGCAUGUAUAUGGAUAAAUGAGCGGUGGACUAGCUAGGGGUCGGUAGCUAGUCCACAAAAGUAGGUGAACAGGGAAAACAUGAUAAACAAUUAUCAAGGUAGGACUAGAAACAUUGGCUAUGCAAGGAAAACUGCACAAUUGAACAGCCUUUACACUACAUGUAGUGUUUGAUAGCAAAUCUGAUGGAAAAAUGAUAAAUGUGCAGUGCUGGUUAUAUUUGAAGCAACUGCAAAUCUGAAAUCGAAUGUUAAUGUACAGUUGAUGUUAAUGUUAAUGGUUAAGGGUGAAGUAUAUGACAUUGGUUUAAAACGAACCAGAUUUAUGGCUUUCUUUGAUUUACAGAUGAGGGAACUGCCACCGCACAUUAACACCAAGGAUCAUCCCAUGCAUAUUAAUGGAUGCUAGUACAAGCCAUAAAAGUUCAGAGUACAAGCAAUCAACAAAGAGUUGUUUUCUGAUCAACUAAUGUCAAUUCUACUACCAUCUAGCACCACCAUGAACCAAAUCGUAUCAGUGCAAAGUUUGAUCACAACCUUGGCAUAUUGUGCAGCAAACUAACAAUAUAUAUUCAGAAAGCUAUUUCUGUUGAUUGCUUUAUCUAUCAGCCAUCAAUUUUGACUGAUCUGGAAUGACAUUAGCAUAUGGCUGAAACUUGUGUCAUGGUUAUGCCAUAAUAUAACUUCAAAGUAGACUAUGUUCGGUAAAGCGUGCUACUGCCCAAACAUGAAAGGCUGAAACUAUUUAUAGAACCAAACAAAACCUAACAUUAGUUGAUUUUUUUGGACAUAGAGAUUAACUUCCACGAAAGCAUAGUGAAAAUGAUCUACAAAAGGACAUUGUAUCUAAUUUUCUUCCACCCAAAUGCAUAUGACUAGAAGUAAUUAAGAUUAGAAUCAAAUUAGGGCACAGGGAACUAACCUCGUUGGGGGAUUAAGAAAUCCUAACCUCAUCCCCAUGAUUGAACCCUACGGAACGAAGGCCGUUGUUGGUUGCAUUUGGAGCUGGAGCCCCUUGGUCGGCGGUGGCAGCAUGAGGACCAGGAGACCCUUGGCUGCCGGCAGCGUGAACAUCAUAAGCACCACAGUCACCGGCGGCAUGAAGAGGAGUCUCGCGACCGGCGUCGUGAGGAGCAAGAGUGUCAUGGCCGGUGGCGUCAGGUACAGGAGUGUCGCAGCCGUGCGGCGCGACGUGGAGCAGGAGUCCAACGGUUUGCAGUCUCCAUCGGGAGGAACAGAUGGAAACGGUGCCCCCUCCCCACGUAUGAGUCUGGCAAUUUUAAGGGAAGGAUUGCCGGCCUUUUAGUAUAUCUACUCUGGAAAAUAUGGAGGGGAAAUUAGGUGGGGUGGUGAGAAUCAUGGGAAAAAAAUUGGGGAGAAGAGGUGGGAGAGGUUUAGGGCCCCUUUGGUAGCGUGCGCGCGGGCGGUAGGGGCCAAGCGGCGGAUGGUGAGCUGAGCGGGGCACGGGGCCGGGUGCGCCGGCGUGCGCGCGUGGCGCGGCAUCGGCUAGCGGGUAGGGGUCGGUGCAGCGCGGGCAUGGGGCUGGGGGCGCGGCAGGGAGGUGGCGGUGUGCGGUGCAGCAAUGGCGCGAGGCGGGGUGCACGCGUGGCGAGCGGCGGGGCAUAGGGCGCACGGUGCGGCCAGGGGCGAGCGGGGCGUGGGGCCAGCCUGGUGGGAGCGCAGCAGGGUGCGAGGUGGGGCUGGGGGCAUGACAGGGGCGUGAGGUAGUGCCGUGGUGGUGCCCCUGUCCCAGCAGGUAGAUGGAAACGGCGCCCCCUCUCAAUCUACUCAGAUGGAGAAGGCAAUGGAAGCAGAUCUCGGGGAGACGGGGAGGUUAAUGUGGAGGUGGGAAGUUGAGCGACAUGAUUUAAUCGCUAAUCUUGGGACGCGCUGGCCAUUAGGUGGGGAAUAACUGCAAUCAUCUUGGCGGCAUGUGAAUUUUUAGCUAAAUUCAUUGUGGCAGGUGAAUUUUUUCAUUGUGGCAGGUGGCAAAUUGAAUGUACGAAGUUAAUGAUUUUAUUUGUAUGCAUGAGAAUAUUUUUUUUAAAUAUAGUUUGACAUACAUCUAAAAAAAUUACUAAUUAAUAAGUUAUUGAUAUUCAUGACUACCCAUAUCUUAUAACAAUGAUUUUAUUUUGAAGCAUUGGAAAUCUUUAAUAUUAUCAUAUUCAUACUCAACGAAAGAAGAGGACCAGAAUGAUAUAUUGAUAGAGCAAGUGGCGUGCUAUGGUUGGACUUGGUAUAAUAAUGGCUUUCAGAGUGGCACUCAUUCGGAAGUAACGACAAAAAGAUACGCUAAUAGACCAAGUGAUGUGUUACGGUUUAGGCUCGAUGUUAAUAAUGAUCCGAAGAAGAUGACAGGAAAGAUAUAUGAUGGACGGUGCAACUUGGAUGAUCGUCUUUGAUACAAGUGACGUGGAUGUACCUGUCCGGUAAAAAAGGGAGCGAGCGGCGUGAGGGGUGGGGUCUCGAUGCCAUCGCCAUAGGCCACCGCUUCGACGAGUGAGCAAGCAUCUGCUAUCGACAAGCUGCUCCGUCAGUCGUGCACGGGCAUCCGCUUCGUCGCGCCACUCUUGUUGUUCUUGCCAACUGAACCGCCAUCGUCCUCGUUGCUGAUGCGGUGAGCUCGCGAGGUCACCCCCUCCCUGCCACCUGGAUCGUCUUGGAAGCGGAGCUCGCAUGAGGCGGCGGAGCCUGAGACGCAGCCACACGAUAUGGUAGACGCGAAGCAGGCUGGAGCUUGGCUGCCGCCGCGAUGAUCCGUUCCUCGACCUCCGACGCAUAUAGGAGUCGGGUGUCGGAGCAGGGAGAUGGGAGGUCGAUUUCAACAAAUACGGAGGAGGAACGUUCGACACUGUGGAAAGGCCUGCUGUAAUACGCCCAAUACGGCUUGGUAUUGGAAGGGUUUUUCAAAUUCCAAUUUCAUAAACAUCCAAACUAAGAUAUUGAGUGUACCCAAUACCAAUUCCAUUUCCCAAGCUUCAAUAUCUACAUCCAAAUGGGAUGUUAUACUUUUAUAUCACCUAUAAGAUUUCUAAUGAUUGCAGGAUGAAGCCAUAUAUUGGAAUCGUUAUUGCAAACUGCAGAAAAUUCAACAUUAGGUGUUUCUCGGAAUUAAAAGAAUAGCAAGUUUAAAAGGGUAGAAAGAUAAAAACAUAGAGCUCCAAAUAUGGAGUCGAUCCGUUACAUCCAUGUUCGAAACCAUGACGCUAGUGAUGCCUAUUAUGAAAGGCUAUAAGAAAUAUAUAUAUAGAUAGAUAUGUUUCUCGCUAGCUACAGAAUAAGAGCAACUCCAAGAGGCUGCUAAUCUUACCCCCAAUACCUUUUUUAGGAAAAAAGAGAGGAAAAAUGAACUCCAACAAUCCACCUAAACCUUCCCCAAUUUUUUAGCGACGCUAAAAAACAGCCUGCCACCGCGUAUAUUUUAGCGUUGGCGUUCCUCCCCCAAUCCUGAUUCCCGCACGCCCGCACGUCCCUUCCGAUGGGCCCAAUACGAUGACGUGGCCUGUGUUUGAAAUAUUGGGGGCUAUUUAUUAGCGAUCUGCUGUGGACUAAUAUGUUUUUGGGGGAAAUUUUUUUUAGGAGAACCCCCAAUACAUAGUUUUGGGGAAGAAUUUUUUAGGAUACUCUUGGAGUUGCUCUAACCAAUUCUAUGAUCAGACCAUCCAACCCAGCGGACCCACCCAUGCUUCGGAGCUUCAGUUCCCGCACGGCUCGCCUUCCCGCUCGGCUACACAUCCACGGCUCGCCUGUCUGCUCGGCUUUGAGGUGGGAGCGAGCCGAGCGCCGCCCGAAAUUGCGCGCCCAAUUCCAUGUUCUCAGACCUCGCGACCUUUUUUCAUCGCCACCAGAUCCCCCGCUUCCGUCUUCCAUCGCUGCUUCCGUGGCCGGAUUCCAUCGCGCUCAGGUCUAUUCGCGACACUAUCGUAACGCAAUCUAUCGGAGGCGGCGGCGGCGGAGGCGUCCUCGGUGGUGCACGUCCGCCUCCCAUCCUAUCCGCCUCCCAUCCACCACGCGGCUGCUACCCCUGGAUCACGGCGUGCGAGGAUUUUAUGCCGAACUGCUAUACAUCACGCAGCUCAUCCACGGCCUGUGUGCGGACAGGAAGACAUACGAUAUAUAGGGACGGUGGCGCGCCCGUGGCCGCGGGCACCCUCAGCGUGGCUGCAAGUCGCCCAGGCACGGUGAGCUGCUAGCUGCCUUGGGUUUGCUCCUCCAUUGAUGGCUUGUACUCACACGAUUCUUGCAUGUUAUGUAUGAUUUUUUUUUUCAGAUUAACCAAGGGUGAAUGAUAAUGCACGCUCUGUGCUUGCAUAAAUACCCCAGCAAAGCUGAGGACCAGCACGGGCAGAGCAUAGUUCAUUCGUUUCUCUGUGCAGGUUUGCAGCGGGAGCAAGAAAAGAGUUGAAACCUGAACUACAGAUGAGGUUGAAUGCUGCGUCAUGCAGGUCUUUGCUUGUACGCUCAAGAAUCCCAUUUUUGACAGCCCUCGAUGAAAUUCUUUUUUCUGUCAAAUCUUUUUUCUGAUAUAGUCAAGGAGCAAGACUUAUCUACUGGUGCCAGUUAGCUAGUGAUGGAUUUGCUUUGAGUACAAAGUUAUUCCUACAGAUUUCAAAGUAUUAAGAAAGCUCUGUAAAUUUCUCAUUAUUUACUGUUGAUGUACAUGUACUGUCAUUUGUAGUCUACUCAAUUUGGCAAGGAAAGAUAUAUCAUAUAUUAUUUGGCUUUGAACUGUGUAUAAGAGACUAAAUUGUAAAAGUAAUCUUUUCCUGUAAUAUGGACUCUGAUUCUGAACGAAAGAACUUAAAGAAAGUGGUAAAUUGAUUACAAUAGUGUCUGGUAACUACCAUUCACUACCGGAUACAGUAACUUUGCCGAGUGCCCCAGGCACUCGGCGAAGGGCCAAAUACACUCGGCAAACGGUUUGCCGAGUGUAACACUCGGCGAACCUUACUCGGCAAAGUUUUUCUCGGCAAACAGUGUGUUUGCCGAGUGUCGACCAUCGGGCACUCGGCAAAACCUUUGCCGAGUGCCGCAAUACACUCGGCAAAAUAUGACACUCGGUACAAAGAUGUUGACGGGCUGUCACGGCGACGGAAGCUUUGCCGAGUGUCUGACGGCCGACACUCGGCGAAGUCUAAAUCUUUGCCGAGUGUUUCUUUCAUUACACUCGGCGAAGUUUUCAGGGUUUGCCGAGUGUUUUCUUAAUUACACUCGGCGUAGUUUCCAUCAUUGCCGAGUGUAUUUAAGAAAACACUCGGCAAAGAUGCCCGUCCCGCCAUUUUUUUAUGCCCUCUUUGCCGAGUGUUUUCUUAAAAACACUCGGCAAAGAGGCCCGGCCCGCCAUUUUUUAUGCCCCUUUUGCCGAGUGUCUACCCUAUGGCACUCGGCAAAAAAGCAAUUCCGCCAAAAUUUUUGGCCCCUUUGCCGAGUGUUAACACUCGGCAAAGUGUCCUACUUCCUGCUACAAAAUAGAAAUGUUAGGUAUAAAGGACCCCUCUCAAAAAACAACCACAAAUACACAGGCAUAUUAAUGGCAGCACAAGCAUAUAAAUUGCACCACAGGAUUCACAAGCACACAAAUAGCAUUAAUAAGUUCUCGUCUAAAUAAGUAAUUCACAAGUUUUGCAUCACAAACACAGAAAUGACAAUUCACUGAGGAGGAUGAGGAGGACGUGCAGGUGGCCACUGCCCCCAGGAAGAUUCUGCAUUGGACGCCGCCGAUUGAUUCUGCACAAAUGUAGGUAAAGAGAUUUCAUAGUCUAAACAAGUAAUUCUAGUGGAAGUAAGUCUAGAUUGAUUGUAAGGUUGAGAUUGACUCACAGGAGUAGCUGCAGGAGGUGGUGGAGGUGGCGGGAAGAGGUUCGGUGGCAUAGGUGGUGGAGUUUGACCUAAACUGUGGAACACACUCUGCAUGUAUUGGAACAUCUGCUCCGUCCUCUGCCUUUCAAGCUGCCGAUCCGCCUCGAUCCUCGCCUCUAGUUCCUCUCGGCGCUUCCGUUCUACCUCCACCUGGGCCUACAAUAUUUCAUCCCAACCACUUAUUGUCAAGCAAAAGGUAAGUACAAAAUGAAUGAAAAAUUAAAGAAACAGAACUAACCUGCAGAGCCUGCAUUUGUAGCUGUGCAGCGGUAGGCCGUGGCCGUAUCGCGGGGCUCGAGUCCGUGCUCCUUGCUCGGAUCUGGGAGAGAGUGGGAGUACUGGCAGUGUCGAUCACGCUAUCUCCAAUCCAAUACCUGCCAUGCUUCUUCCCUCCUCCUACCCUCAUCACUAUUUCAGCAUCGAUAUCCUGAGAGCUUGGAUCGAACUCUGGCCCGUGAACCUCCCUCGCCAUGGAUGUGUACUCGGUGACGCGGCUGUGGAUGCUGGGAUGGCUGUACGCCUCGGGCGGGUCCUCCGGGUUGAAGUCGAUGUCUGCCGUGGCCUUGCCCUUUUUGGACAUAACCCAUGCCUUGAACCGGGAGCACUCCUGACCAUCAUGUGAUGAACUCUGCAGAAAAAAUGUAAAAUGAUUACAAAAUAUGCAGUAUUAUGUAUGAGAAAACAAAAAUGAAUUCACGUACCCAUUUUUCCUUGUACUCAUCAAGGCUCAGGCUGCCUUGAUGGUGUGAUGCAUAUGGCAUCUGCAGACGCCGCUCCCGGCAGGCAUUGUGGUUCUCCAACCACCCAGGCUGCAACCACACGUCCACCAUUUUUUCCCAGCACCGGGUAAAGGAUCGGCACCACCACGGAGGCACCUAUAUGAAGUGUAUGACAUAUAAAUAACGGAAUUAAGCGUAAUUAAUCUCUCAAAUAGUAAAUAUAGUCUUUAUGGUCGUACCGCCAUGAAUUCUUCCUUGGUCAGGUUCAUUGUCCUAGCCUCUUCUUUUUUGAUCCUCAUCCUUUUGUAUUCAGCAUAAAAGUCGAUGAUGGCCUGAACGCGCGCCUCGUAGUGCAUGUCCUUAACAAGCUUCUUAGCGGCUUGUUCAAUCACGGAGGCCGCCCUAGCCUCGAAGCCCUCCUGACAUCUAUAAAAGUCCUGCGUAUAGACGGCAAGCAUACAAUUAUUAUAUCAAGAAUGUAUUAAGCAAUGUAGUGCUGCGAAGACUUACCCACAGCUCGGCCUUCACCCGCUCCGCCUUAUUCGCAAACUGCCUGUGGUCACGAUCACCGACGUCAGCGGCAGCGACGUAGUGGUCCCACGUGUAGGCCGGCUCCUCCUGUCCGGCGAAGACCACUAGACCGGGGAAGUGUAGCCUACACAAAAGACCGACGAUGUCGUUGACCUUGCGGUUGUGGGCACCCCCACUGAGCUUAGUCCAACUCCUGCACAAGUGAUUAAUAUGUGAGUUUGAACAUAUCAAAAGUACAGAGAAUAUGUGAAGAAACUUACUUUGCCCCAGCGGGUUGAAUCAGGGGGCGUAAAUGAUCAGGGAUGGGUCGCCUCGGGAGGGACGAGGGACCUCGCAACCAAAUCUUGGACUGCUCCUCCCCUCCCUCCUCCCCUGCCUCCUCCCCCUCCUCCCUCUGCUGCUCCUGCUCCUCCUGUACCUCCGCCUCGUCACUAGAGGCGUGCGCGGAGGGUACCUCCUCCUCCGACGACGACGACGACGACGAAGGCACAGGCGACGGGGCCCUCACCCCUUUACCCUUUCCUCGACCCCUGCCCCGACCCCUGCCUCUAGCCAAGACCUGUGCCCCCACCGCUUCCUCCACGGGUGCGUCACCCCUGCCUCCACCCCUCCCUCGACGCCUUCCUCGACCUCUCGAUGCGUCUGACCGUGUACCUGACCCGGAAGCUGCAGCUUUUAAUUUUUCGUAAAGCGCAGCAAUCUUCCUCGUACCGCCCACCAUUGUUCAAUCACCUGCAUUUGCCAAGAGUAAACCAAUCAGCACAUAUAUAAAUAAAACAUAAUUUCAAAAAUAACAUGGUAUGACAAAUAAUAAAUAAAUUGCCACGAUCCAUACAUGUCUUAGAAAUAAUCGUCCUGAUCGGGAUUAGCUGGAUCAUAAGUCUCAUCGUCACUGUCACGCGUGUCAAACAAAUCAUUCCCGUGCUCCGAAGUUUCAGCGUCAUCAUCAAUGUCCUGUCCUAACUGUAACCGCUGAAGUAAUUCUAACUCCUUCAUAUUAUGAACCUCCUCUCCAGCGUCAUCGUCAACAACCCUUUCAUUGUCUACUUCCAUUGCGAAAGCGUCGGUUAAAUCAAUCUCAAAAAUCCCUUCGAGCCCAUCUUCUUGGAAAAAAUCUCCGUCAUAUGUGUUGGGGUUAAUGUUGUAAUCUUCAUUAUUUGGUACAGGUAGUUUACCGUGUGGCGAUACCUUGUACACAACAUCCCAACCCUUCAGACGAUCGUCAGUUUGGCACGGGUAUGACAAAUAAUAAACUUGCGUGGCCUGUUGAGCCACAAUAUAGACAUCGUCUCCUUGCAAGACGGAUGAUUGCCGAAUUUCGACUAACCCAAGAUUAGGUGCCCGUCUCACGACUGAUGGAUCAAACCAAUGGCAUUUGAAUAUGACUGGAUUAAGAACUUUGCAACCAUGAAAAGUUAGUUCGUAUAUUUCUUCAAUUCUUCCGUAGUACUUGACACCAUCAGAGCCUAGCGUGAAUACUCCGGUAUUUGUCGUUCUUCGAUUGGGCCGACUCUGCUCAUGGCUUGUUGUGUGAAAACGAUAACCAUUUACGUCAUAACCGGUAAAAGAUCUGACCCUGUAGGCACAGCCAUCGGCAACCUGUCUAACCUCAACAUUUAUAGACGAAUCGGUUUGAGCCUGCAAGUUGAAGUAGGGUGGUUCGUUAUAUUAUUCGCAUGUACGGCAAACUUGGAACGUGGUAAUCAUGAACGAGCGAAAUUGGAUUGUACCUUAUGUUUGAACCAAGAAAUAAAAUCGGGCAUUCCAUUACCCGCACCCUUUUGAAGAAGGGUCUCGGCUUCGGGCGGGGUAGGUUCCCUUGAAUUACGCCAGAAUUUAUGAUGAAAUUCCCUGUACCAACGAGAAACAUGAGAGUUGAUCCCAGAAUAGUGAUUAAUUGAGAACAAACUAGUUUGUUGACAACUUACAGUAUGUACGGCUCCACCUCGGCAAGGUUGGUCAAUACAUACAGCAUGAUAGUGCGCCACUCUUUAUGUUUCAAUUUCUUCCGUGUCGCACCACUUGCACUUCCAAGUUGUCCUCGAAAAAGGCUAAGGCUCGAUUCAACUUCUGAGUCAUUAUAACGAGCGGGUGGAUUGUGCACGCUAGGAAGGUUGUCAGCAUAGUAUUUGGUUGUGAAGUUUGACACCUCCUCCAGAAUGUAUGCCUCUGCAAUGGAUGCUUCAAUUUUGCAUUUAUUUUUACAUUUAGUUCGAAGAACCUUUUGACAUCUCUCAAUUGAAUAGCACCAACGACCCUGCACAGGCCCCCCCAUUCGUGCUUCAUACGGGAGGUGCAAAAUCAUGUGCUGCAUCGGAUUGAAGAAGCCAGGCGGAAAGAUCUUCUCCAACUUACAGAGCAACACAGGCGCCAUUCUUUCCAUUUCUGCAACCACGGUCCGAGAUAAUUCCUUAGCACACAGCUGACGGAAGAAAUUGCUCAACUCCGCUAGCACUUGCCAGACAUUAUCAGGUACAUAGCCUCGAACCAUCACCGGGAGUAGACGCUCAAGCCAUACGUGGUAAUCAUGACUUUUGAGCCCGUUGAUUCGCAAAGUAGCUAGGUUCACUCCCCUCUUCAAAUUCGCUGCAUACCUCUUCUUUGCCGAGUGUCGAGGAGUUGUUUGCCGAGUGCCUGAUUUUUGGCACUCGGCAAACCUCUUCUUUGCCGAGUGUUUUAUUUUCGCCGAGUGUCUCAUUGUGAACACUCGGCAAAGACGGUGUUUGCCGAGUGCCCGAAAAAAUGCACUCGGCACACUUUUUGCACUCGGCGAAUUUACUGUUUCCGGUAGUGAUUGUCAUAAACUGAUGACGCUACACUUGUAAAGACCUCUGGUAAAUUCAUGACACUAUUUUUGUAAAUACCUUUUUGGUAAGUUGAUGACGAUAUUCCAGUAGGUACUUUGUGGUAAAUUGAUGAUGCUAUUCUGGUAAGUACCAUUCGACUUACACAGUAAAUGGUUUCCUGGAAUAGCUUGACAAAAAGUUGUGGUACCUCCUGAUCCUGAUAUAAAGUAAAUUUUCAGACAUUUCUCAUGCAGUAAGUCCUAUUAUGCAUCAUUGUUAUACAUGCUUCAUUUUUUCGAUUUUCACCUGGAUUAACUAGUUGUUGCUGCCUCGCAUUCCCAGAAACAGCGACCCUGGUACCUGGAUUUGUUCUUGAACCUGUAGAUGUGCUAGAUGAAUUCACUUCUGGUGGUUACUGUUAUACUAAAAAAUAAAAUUAUUGAUGAUGAGUAAGAGAAUACCUAAUGGGUCAGGUAAUGUGAUGAAGUUGUGGUAAAAAUGACAUUUUUCUGAUGGCAUUCGUAUAAAUAGAGUUACCACCUUGUUGGUGCACACUUUUUAAAUUAAAUACAGAAUUAUCGUAAAUCACUUAGAUCAAGUAAAUUAUUUAUAAAGCUCCUGUACAUCACAUAAUUAUAUCGUUCUUUUUAAUUCUGAAUUUCUGAUCAAAUCCAGGCCACCAUGUUUGUGAUAAUGUAGCAGCAUCUCACCUGGAUGUUGAAUUUACCCAAUAAAGGGAUCCAUGUCUAUUAAUCUACCAUUGUUGCAAUUGUCUUGAUAUAGUUCAGUCCUGAUUAUCUUAAACUAAUAACGCAGGAAAAUGUGCCUCACUAUGUCGGAGCGGCUCUGAACCUUUACCACCCACUGAACAGAAUCUAGAAGCUCACUGCUGGACAUGAGUCAGCUAGAUCUUGAUCUUUGCUGAUGGUUGUAGUCAAAGUAAAUACUGACAGUAUCUUAGUUGCCAUCAUUUGUGUUUGUUUUACUCCCAGGGAUAAAAGGAUGAGUACCCUGUGCAACAAAACAGUGUGUACCCAACACUUUUUCUGAAAGCAACGUUUUUUUGUUUUCAGACACACCAAUUCAAUUAUGGUGACUUUUGUAUCGCUGUCAUUAUUUGUGCCUUGGCACUUGUGGUAAAUCACCUGCCACAGUUUUGUCACUAGACUUUUUAAUUAUGGUAAAUACCCAUUGCCCUUAUGCCUUGUGUGGUAAAUCACUUCAUAACUAUCGUCAAUAGACAGUUGAAUUAUGUCAAAUUCUACCAUUUUGCAUCGCUAAAUCAUCUCUUCAAACCUCAUUUUGCUCACUUGUGGUAAAUCACCUGCCACAUUAUUGUUACUAGACAUUUAUUAUAGUAAAUCACUAUUAUUGUAAAUUGAUUCCUCAAUGCUAUAGCUUGUGUAAAUUGUACCUCUCGUUGUAGUAAGUAUGCAUGAAACACCAUGUGCUAUUGCUUGCAUUCUCGUAAAUAAUCCUCUAUCUAUUUUUAAUUGUGUCCAAAAUAUACUUGAAAACAACACAACUAGCACAUGCCGUUUAGUUUCUUGUAAGUGAAUUACCUUGUUUACUACUACUCGCUGAGCAACACAGACUAGUUUUGUAAUAGCCGGAAAUCACUGAAAGCGUGCAAGCGCUGGGCCUCCAUCUCCGGUAAAUAUGCUGCUGAAAUCGGAAGGACUGAUCCGAUGCUCGGCUAGUUAAUUGCCAUAAUAACACUCGGCUCCGCUUGGUCACCUCGCUCGCUUGUGGGCUCAUGUCCAGACCCGAUCUAUCAUAAUUAGUUUAUGAUAAUCUCGUUAUUGUAGUAACAGGUUCCUCGCAAUAUGAGAAUGUCUUGUCGCAUAUAUUGUACAUCUAUAAGUUAUAGAAAAAAUUCCAACUUUCAAACUUUGGAUCCAAAUAAUAAAAUAAAGAAAAGCUACUGACGUGUGCCUGCUGCAGCAGACGUGCUCCGCCCACCUGCCCGUGGCGGCGUGCUAAUGACACUAAUGACGCUAAUCAUUGUUAUGUUUGGCUCGUAAUGACACUGCGUUCGGCUCGUAACUGCCAGCUUGCCUUGUCGGGCCACCGGCGGGGACCUCGCCGCUCGGCUUGCGACAACCAGGAGCGGACGAGUCGGGAGGAAAAAAGGGAACAGUGGCAGAUCGGACCAGUGCUGGCUGUCGGAUGGGGUGGCCACAGAAUAACCUAUUCUAUGACCAGCUACAGAAUUUACUCUUCCUAGGCAAAGCUACUCACGUCGUUUCAUAUAGCAACAUGAGUUUUUCUAGUAGUGAUCCCAGAACUCAAUUCAGUCACAAGAAGGCAAAAUUAACAAGAAGGAAAUUGUACAGCUACCAAGAACUACGAAAAGAAGCUACAAGUAACUUGUACCAAAAUUUUCACUUAGUAAGCAUAUGGUCUACUCCCAAUCACUUCCUGCAACAUAAGACCAUGGAUCAGUAAGUGUUUUUGUUAAACAAACUUUCCUCUGAUUGUUAAAUAAACAAUGAUAUAUACUUGUAGGUGAUAGUAAAACUUACCAUAUAGAUGAGGCACAGGGAUGCUUAUAUAGUGUUGGUAAUGGUUGGCAGGCUGGGAUGCUGAUCUGGUUGUUGUUCAACUUGGACAAAGUAUAAAGGGUACAUAGAACAAGAACAUAUCAGAAAAUAUCAGAGAACCAAAAAGGAAAAAACAGAGCAACAAAAAGAAGAAAUAUGUCAUAUGCCUAUAAAUUGAACUAUGAUUUUAAUUAUACCAAAGAACUGAGCCUGAUGAUUGAGUGAACCAUGUAGUGCCACCACGCCGGGAAUUACAGGGCACAAUACGAAAUAAAAUCACCCAUGACCUCAUACCAUUCCAGUGAAUUUUUGUUGGCAAUGACUACAUGGUUCAAGUAGUCAUUAGGCUAGUAACAAGCAUAUUUUUCUGAAACUCUAUGAAUCCAAUCAACAGCUAAGUAUGUAUCCUAUCACCAACUACAAAUCACAAAAACUGUAUAUAAGAUCAUUGCUUCUAGUUGAAUCCACUGGCCUCUCAUUAGUUCUAUGGUAACCAUGACAGAAAACAAAAAUUUAGAAACCAAAGUAUGUUCAGGCAUCAAAUAGACCACUAUUAUUUUGGGCAAUCACAACUAGCAUGCUAGGAUCCUUGUGAGCAUCUUUCAUGAGACCCCCUUCAAAUCCCUCAUGAAUUUGACUUGGAUUUGAAGUUUUUCCAAAAAUUCAUGUUCUUGGUAGGGUCUCUGUUUUCUCCAAAAUCCAUGAUGAAUAUUUGAGCAUUUUGAGAUCCACCGCCAACCCUCCAUUCAUUCCCCACCGUCGCGCGUGCUACCUUUUCCUCUGAAAUCAGCUGCCCCGCCGCCAACCCCUUCUUCCAUUCCUCCAAAUUGCCGCCGCGCGGGCUCCCCUCCCCUCCGAAAUCAGCUGCCGUGCGGGCUCCCUCCCCUCCAAAAUCAGCUGCCCUGUCCCUCCCUGACCUACAAAUCUCCCGCAGCCCCCAAAUCCUGCGCCUCCCUCCCCUCGCACGCAUCAUCACCCCUCCCCACCCGCAGACCCUCGCACCGCCCCGGCAUUGACGAGUACCUGCGCCAUCCCAGCAUCAAUGAGCUCCUGUGCCGCCCCGGCUCCGUCCGCAACCAAGGGGCCCGCCACUUGGAGUCCGACCCCGGCACCGCUUCUAUGCCGACCCAGAGCUAGAUGCCGGUGCCUCCCUGAUUCGACCUCGAGCAGGAUGCCUCCACCGCCUCCCCAACCCAACUGCCAAUCCACACCAUCACCACUUACCCUACCCGACCCACCCAAGCGCCACCACCUGGAGACGAACCCACACACCACAACCUUCUCCUUCUGUCGCCCGGCACAUCUACCACCACUUUCAGAUUUACUCCUGCCCACGUUUGUGUGCUUUGAUUUGGUCAGGUAGUCAUAGAUUUUGAGCCUUUCGGUGAUGUUGAUGCUUAGUAAAUCUGUUAAGUAAGAGAAUCUACACAUGAUAUGAAAUAUUGCUAAGUUAUGAAAAGAAGUGAAGGUACCAAUUUUCUUGCUGGUUGCUUUAUUUAUCUGUAAUCUAUGUCACUUAGUGCUGCCUGCAGAUCAUAUCAGUCUUACUGUUUAUUCUUUUUUUCUUCAUUUAGGCCAGCCUGUGAGAUAUGAGGUGUAGGGCACGACCACACUCACCUUCAUUGCAAAGAAGUACCCUCCUCCAUGCUACUGCCGAGCGUUUCUACAUCUCAUCUUAGAGGUAUGUUACAACCUGAAAUAUCUAGAGAAAAUUGAUAUCUUCACUGCUAUGCUCAUAUGGAAGUCAGAAGUGUGCUCGUUUGCAGUGGUUGUUACUAAGGAUAGCUAUAUAUUUGCAUCAAGUGUUAUCUACUACAAAUUAAAAAUUUAUAAAAUGAGUAUUCUAAUUAAUCUUUCAUAAUUUCUAUCUUGGCCAAUGUCUUAUUGAUGCAAUGAAUCUACAUGAAAUUUCAGUAAAUGAGUAACUUGUGGGAUUGAUGAGGUAAUUAAAACUGAAUAUUCUAAUUAACUUUCAGAAUCUCUAUACUUAAUGUUCUUGGCCAAUCUCUGAGGUAUGAAACGAAAUGCGUGUGACCUUUUCUUUUAUGGAAUCUGUCACAUCGUGUGCCACUAAUACGCUUUUCUGUAAGGUGUGCUGUUUAAAAAAUGCACGUGCUGAGUAAAUGAGUAACCUGUUGGUCCUUAACCAUCCCUUUUCAGAUAAAAACUGCUGAUGUAGAAUUUUCUUCCUUGCAUUAUUUUAAUCAAUAGUUAUGCAAAUGUUGUGAGAAUAGGAGUGGCGGCGGCAAGAAAAAUGGAGGGCAGCAGGAGCAAGAAUAGGAGUAAGUUAUGCAAAUGUUUUGCCACUGAGAUUGAAAAAGAAGAGGUACUGAAAAUUACAAAUGUCGGGUUAUCAAGGGUCCAAUGAAGGCAGGGGCGCACACCCUAGGCAGAUGCGCGGAUGGUAAGUUCAUGCAUCCAUGUAGCAGGUAGAACAGUAGGGAUUGACCAUUGGAUUCAGUUCAAUGCUGAAAACAGAACUGUGCUCGUUCAAAGCUGAAAAGUUUAUUUUUAAUUAAAACAGGUCAAACUUAGGUGCUACAAAUUAUCACACUUAAACAUAAAACACAUCCUCCACUCCUUCCACGGUAGAAUUCACAGGUGCAAUGUAUCCAUCAUCAAUGUAGUCGUCGGUAUCAUCUUCUUCUUCUUCAUCUACUAAGCCAAUAGUUCUUGGUUCAUGUAUGGAUGCAACAAGUGCUUUUUGAAUAACAUAAGCGGCACCAGUGACACCUUUAAUGCCUGACCUAGUCUAAUUUGUCAACUCUUCAUGUCUGCCCGAAUCAAUCAUAUCUCCCACUCCGACGUCAAGUGAGUCAACAUCAAUUUCUUCCUCAUUAUCUGUACUUACUUAUUCGGUGCCUUAUCGCAAUUUGUUAAUAUCCAGUGCCUAAUCCGCUGCAUAUCUAGCCUAGAAAUUGAGUCAAUUCAAAAUCCUUUCUUAAUAUAAUCAAUGUUGCUGAAUAUACUUAAACCAGUCAGUGGUUCAUUUACUACCGCUUUCAUGACGCUCUGGACGAUUAACCUUGGUGUCAACGUCAUCCAAAAAGCGAGAGCAAAAAGUCACACACUCCUCUAGUAUAUAUCCCUCUACUAUUGAACCUUCAGGAUAGCCUUUGUUCCGCACAUAGCCUUUCAGUGUAUGUAGAAACCUCUCUAUUGGAUACAUCCAUCUAUAGCAUACAGGUCCUCCUAGUUUAACCUCUUUAGCAAGAUGAACCGGCAAAUGCAUCAUGAUAUCAAAAAAAAGCUGGUGGGAAGAUCAUCUCAAGAUGACAAAGAGUCUCUCUAAUCGAAAUGCUCAAUUUUUCUAACUCUUUGGUGCUCAACUCCUUUGAACAUAUUCCACUGAAGAACCUACUAAGCUCAAUCAAUGGUUUAACAACCUCUUCUGGAAGUAUGUUACAAACCAUAAUGGGUAAUAGUUUCUCAAAUAUAAUAGGCAGUCAUGAGUCUUGAGUCCAGAAAGGUUACACCUUGCCACAUCCACACAUCUCUUGAUAUUAGAUGCGUAACCAUCAGCAUCUUGAUACCUUGCAGAAAUUUGCAUAAAUAUACCUUGUCAUCUUGAUCCAAACUGUACAAUGCUGGAGGCAAAGUGUAUUUGUCAUUCUUCACCAAAGGAUGUUGAUCCUUCCUCAUGCCCAAAUGUUCCAUGUCAAGACGAGCCUUCUCGCUAUCCUUGGGUUUACCUGCCAUGUUAAGCAAAGUUCCCAAAAUGCUCUCACAGAUAUUUUUUUCAAUGUGCAUCACAUCCAAAUUAUGCCUUACAAGCAACUUUUCCCAGUAAGGCAGUUCAAAAAAACUACUCUUCUUCCUCCAAUUGUGCCAUCUAUUAUCCAUUUCACGCUGCUUCCUCUUUCUUGUCGUGUUCCCAAAUGUCACUUGCUCAAAGCUUUCAUACUGUUGCAGCACCCCUUCCCCAUGCAGUGGCACUGGAGGCUCCCUAGUUUCCACCUAGUUGUUAAAGCUAAUCUUGUUGCGGUGCCACCUGUGAUCCAUUUGCAAAAAGUAGUUAGUGAUGACCCAUGUAGCAAUGCUUGGAACCAAAUUUCAACCAUAAAUAGUUAGUAUCCUUGUGGCAGUAUGGACAUGCAAACUUGCCUUUUGUACUCCAACUGGAUAGCAUGCCGUAUGCUGGGUCAUUAAUUGUCCAAAGUAGAAUAACACGUAGAGUGAAAUUCUUCUUUACCUUUGCAUCCCAUGUCUCAACACCGUUGAGCCAAAGAUCUUUUAGCUCAUUGAUGAGGGGCUGCAAAUACACAUCAAUGUUAUUUCUAGACGAUUUUGACCCCGGUAUCAACAUUGACAUCAUCAAGAAUGGUUGUUUCAAACACAACCAAGGAGGCAAAUUGUAAGGGAUUAAGAUCACAGGCCAUGUAGUGUAUGUCAUGUUCAACAUCCCAAAUGGAUUGAAACCAUCAGAUGCAGGACCCAUCCUUACAUUACGAGGAUCCAAAGCAAAUUCCUUAUAAUUUUCAUCCACUUGCUUCCAUGCCAUAGAGUUAGCAGGGUGCCACAUUUUUCCAUCUUUGACAAGUCCCUCCUUAUGCCAACACAUAUAUUCAGAUGUGGUCGCUCUCAUGUAUAGCCUUUGCAGAUGAGGGGUCACUAGAAAAUACCUUAGGAUUUUUUGUGGAACAAGCUUCUUUGGUGCAGCAUCACCACUCGCUGCCUCCUUCUCACUUGAACCAGCAGCUUUCCAUCUAGACUCUCCACAUGUUAGACAUUUAUCCAAGUCAGCAUAUUGCUUUCUAAAUAAAAUACAAUCAUUGAUACAUGCAUGUAUCUUUUUGUAGUCCAGGCCAAGAUCAUGAACUACCCUUUACACUUUAUCCAAAGUAUCUAGAACACAACGACUGUCGAGCAUGCUCCCCAGGCCCACGAGUAGACCUUGGGCAGCCCAUAAGGGACGUACUCGGGCAUGAUCAAAACAAGGGGAUAGGCUUAUCCCGAUCGGACUAGUUAAGUAUGUAUAUGGAAACUACACGGACCAUACCAAGUAGAACUCUGUAAAUGUACUCGACUAGGACUCAGACUUGUAACCCUGCCCUCCCGUGUAUAUAAGGGCGGGCAGGGACCCCCUCAAAGAACAACUCUAAGGUAUCUGAGAUCAAUACAAACAAACAUACAGGACGUAGGGUAUUACGCGAUCUAGCGGCCCGAACCUGUCUAAAUCGCGUUCCUUGCGUCACCAUCGACUCCUUGAUUCUCGACGGCCCUUACCGCACAAAAGACCACCUAGGGUACCCCCUAGGUGGGUUGCUGGUCUAAAACACCAAUAGCUGGUGCGCCAGGUAGGGGAGCUCAUCGAGUUUCUCAGCAUGAGCUCGAUGGCGGUUGUUGUUUUUAAGCCUGUCUUCACCAUCGAAGCAGGCGCAACCUUUGUUUUUGGAUCCUGGCUCUGCAUCACCGACGAUGCUGGUUCGUUUCGGCGCCAAGUCAUCAACACCCAGGAGAAGAAAUCGGAGGAUUCGGUCAGGAAAAGCCAAAACUUCAAAAUCAACAAUCCCGAGUUCGACCACGCGUCGGACCCGACCUCAGUUCGGACUAGUCGGUCCCAGUCACUUCCCAAGUCGACUUCGACUACAAAACGGUUUCCACACGGACUCCGCAAUGCAACCAAAGUCUACCAAAGUUUCCUCACUCGAACUCUACUUGAACACAGGAAAGAUGAAGACGACGACUCCGACUCGAUCUACCCCCAGAUAUCGGACUAACAGGACUAGUUAAGGGACUGGUAAUAACUUUGACAUCGCAAGGCAGAUUCAUUCACUAGCCAGGUAUGAGACCAUCCCUCGCCUGCGACUACGAGUCGCGCCUUGUCGCUCACAUAGACAACCUCCCAUUCCAAGAAGGCGUCCCACUCACUUCAAGCCGCGAGGAAAGUUCAACUAAAAUUGCAACAUCAAGCUCUGGCAGCUACUACCCAGACAGAGAAGUAUUUGUUAUUACUCAAAAUAACAACCCGGGUACUAGCCAAAAUAGAACCCCCAGGCGAUUAGCACAACUUGACAAUGUUUCAGAAGACGAGUCAACAACUAACGCCCCACAAGAUGAAACUUUCGAUCAAAGGAACCAAAGAAGGAUGCGCAAUACUACUUCGGCUGAGCGACGACAAACACUAGCUACAAACAUUCCCAUCACGAACCUUGAAAGAACAUUUGACGCAGUACAGGCUCAAGAACAUACCACUCUACUCGCAGCAAUUGCCUCUAUCAACCUCAUAUCAACACUCAUACCUCGAGACAAAGACAACGAAGUCAUAGCUCAACUCGCGCAAUGCGGUAACGGACUAAUCGCGCAACUCGCAGAGCAAGCUUACAAGCUACUCGAUAAAGAAUCGCCGAUCCCGUCUGUUCCCCGCAUCGUAGCUCAUCAAGAAUGCAGUAGAGGUGUUGUAGCUAACAACAACCCCAAUGAAGUACAAAGGAACGGCAACGAAGUUGUAAACCAACCAAGGUAACACAACCAAGGUCCGAGUAAACACAACGCCCCAAUACGCCAGAAGGAUGUUGGAGAAGUCAGCUGCACUAACUCUAUAAAAAGUCCUCGCCCUACUCGGAAACAUCAUGAAGUAUCAAAUUUCAGUGAUCUACGAGAAAUUAUCAACAGUCAGCGUGAGUGAGAAGUCGACAACUACAACCACUUUCCUGCUUUCACAAAUUGGGUAAUAAGGACACGACUACCCAAGAAGUUCAAACCAACAGGAAUAACCAAGUAUGACGGCAAGCAAGACCCAAUUCAAUGGCUACGAUGCUACUCGCUGGCAGUCCAAGCAGCUGGGGCCAAUAACGACACCAAAGUUAUCCACUUUCCCAUAUGCAUGGAACCAGCACUGCUGACAUGACCUUCAGGGAGCAUAAGUGAGAAUAGCUGAAGUACAGCCUCUAGUGCACUGUUACUAAGACCAAACAUGCACUUAAUCUGAAAUAGCCUGACAAUGAGACCUUAAUAGCCUCCUUGCAACCCAGAUAUAGUUCCUUCUACGCCUUUGUUAAUAAUUUAAAGAAUUUCUUAUUGCUUUCAUUUGGCUCUUCAGUUCCACUACCUAUGAUGUCUCCAUGUAUUGCACCACUGAUUAGUGACGAAACCAAAUCCUUCAUAGAAGGACCAUCACCUGAUUCACCAUCAUUGCAAACUCCUUCAAUGAUGCUCUCAUAUGAAUCAUUUUCUUCUCCUUCCCCUUGGAUGAAACUUUCAGAAAAUCCUCUAAAAACCAAAUGACUUCUAACUUUGUUAACUGUUCUGUAUGACAUGGAACGGCAUCUUGAACAUGGACAUGGUGCCGUAUCUCCGUUAGAUGUGCCUGCAAAUCUAGUCUCUAUAAAUUGCUUGAAUCCUUUUUGCCACUCAUCUUAUACAUAAAGCAGUCGCAUCCAACUCCUAUCAUCAUUAUGCGACAUUCUUCCAACUCUUUACAAAUCAAAGUCACACACACUGAUUAAUCUCCUGCAUAUAUACAACAAAAGAAAGCACACAAUUAAACUGUGAUUGUACUAGGGUUAUGAAAUUGUAGUGGGAACUAGACCAUAGUGUUUGUUCAAUUGUCCUGUAGUAAAAUUCUUUUGAAAGGGCAUUUGUUUUCCUUCUAAGUUGAGGCACGUUGUAAUACGAAGUUGUAGCUCCAUUUUUUUGGUAUAUUUCACUCCAUGAGCAUAUUUAGUUUUUCAUUUGAAAAGCAGAAGAAAAAAUGCAUGUGCUCAUUCACUUGCCCUUCCAUUGUCUGCGGCUAUACUUCUGCUCCUUUGUGUUUGUUUCUCAAAGGACAGUGACAAAUUUAACCUGCAUUCAACUUAUUCUCACUUAACUUGCCAUCCUUGUUCCUGUUUUUCUAAGCUGGUACUACCUGUGUCUAGAUUGUUUUGUAAGGGUAUCUGUGGACAAAUCUGCACAUACUUGGCUUCUCUGUAAUAGUCCUCGAAUGUUUGUAGCAUGAUAUUUGUCUGAACGAAAAUCAAUAGUUUUCUUCCAGGAUUUUUCUUGCUUUGGAGUUUGCAAGUUGCUGGCUACAUUCUCAGUCUCCUUUAGUGAUAGAUAGUGUGCUUAUCUGGUCUUUUUCUUUGCUAGGAAUAUCUGUAUUGUUUACAAAGUAUAACUGUUUGGUUAUCUAUCUUCCUCCUAGAGCCCAGGCUGACAUGUUAAAAUGGGCCAUUUGCAUGUUCGUACAUAUGCCUGAUGCUCUAGGAUUCUCACCACUUACAUGUUUGUUUUUGGAACUAAUGAGCUCAUAAUUUAAGUGUGCAGAGAAUGGGUGUCAUCCUUCAGGAUUUCAGCUUUGGAGCUAACUGAACUUAACUCGAGCGCUUUGGCUAGCACAGUUAAACUUUCAGAAGAGCGUUGUUAUCAAAAAAAAAAAAAACUUGAAGGAAACACCGAAUCCCAAAUUACCUUAGCAAGCGCCGGAUAGCAGGACCGAUGAAGACAGGUAGCAGCCGAAGCAGAGAGCAGCUCGCCGUGUCAACAAUGUGCGAAUGGCUCUUUUGAUUCCAAACUCACGUCACCAUGACGCGUUAGUUGCAAGUCAGCAAGUGAUUAGUAUUAUACGUCGAGUGAUAAUUCGAGGCACGGUGACAGUUAAUUUUGAAUGACAGCGUAGCUUUAGGUUUAUGGUCAGCAUCUUGCUUUUGCAUUUGAAUUGAAUUCACCAUGAACUAUCCAUAAAGUGCUUUGCAUGAUAUUUUUUAAAUAAUAAUUGAUAUUUUUUCAAAUUUUGUGCCCGUGGCAAAGCACGGGCUAUUACCUAGUAGUAUUAAACACUAUUCUUGAAGACCAUGGUGAAAGAUUGGGGCCUUAUAUGCUGGGGUUUAAUUUUGAGCCAAAACAUCAAUGGUGUUUACUUUACAUCUCCAGAUGUCAAAACAGGUGCAGAUUAGUUCCUGAGGAUGGUUUCAUGGGUACCUUUGGGUCACUCUGUGGCCAUGUCACACUGUCCUCCACUUGGCAGCAGACCUGUAUAUCAGUGGCAUAUUUGCUAUAAUCUCUACCUAAUAUUAAUAUUAAAGUACAAAACAAAACCUUCAUUCUGCCACCUUAGUUUCGGCCGUCAUCCUUUGAAAAGUGGUCUAGCAUCAUACAACAUGAGUUGAGAACAAACUGAUGGCAACUUUUAGACGAUAAGGAUCCGUAGCAACGCACGGUCACUUCUACUAGUUUUACUCACUCCCCACAUGGAUAUCAAAGAAUGGGAAACAUAGCAUGCAAUUAAUUGAUUUUGCUCUAGUAGACCAAGUGACUAAAUUAUAACUCAUCAAAGAUUACCAUGCCACCAGAUCAUCACAACUAAAUAAAUUAUAACCACAAUGAAAAAAAUCGACAGCUGCUCCCAAGUCUAAAGGACGAUUAUUGUCGGCUGAUGAGAAAUCAGAAAAAAAUUCGUGCAGGAGCCAUGCAUCAAUUUAACUUGCCAAUUAGCAAUGUUGCCAGAUGAUUAUUAUAGAGGAAUAUACAUGCUGGAAGAGCAAUUUGAUUAGAGGGGCCUGGACAUACGAAUGUAGACUCGCAGUUGAGUUAAUUUGCAUUCUAAUCUAAAUUCACCUGCACGUCGACCGGCCAUCCUUUUCCCGUCAUGCUGCUGCCGCCUCACAGGUGACCACACGGUAUGGAGGACCUGCUGCCACCCUCACCAACGAGUAACACCGGCCGAGCAGCCAGCACACUUGCGCCUAGGAUCGGAGUCAGUGACCUCCAAUUGUGCGAUCUGGAGGUGGUGCUGGGCACACCGAGCCGCCGCUCCCCAGCCCUUUUGUCGCGAGCUCACAAGGAAUUUCAAGAGCGACCUUCUGGAGAGAAUAGAUGAAACACGCACAUGGAGAGAGGCCUCCUGGAGAUACACACGUACAUGUUUUUGCUCAUGCACGACGUUCAUGUGGUUCUUUGAUGACGUCCUGUCUAGGAUUUGCCCAACUCAAUUUUUGGUCUCCACAUAUGCAAUGCCCACCAAAAAAUUUGUGGCAAAACCUUGAACCAUUGCAACAUAAACUACCAUGUACCAACAAAAAUAACUAGUGGCAAUAGCAUUUUCUUUCAUGCAACCACACUUAGUUUUGUUGCUAUAUAUAUAGCAAACAUACCACAACGCACAUGCGGAUUAAGACAACACACCAAAUUUGUGGCAAUACUGUUUACGACUUGCAACCAUUUUGAAUUUAAUGUCAAUAAGCCUUGCAUAUAACAGCGAAAAAAAGUUUAUAACAACGCAAAACAAUUGUGGCAAAUUUUUCAGCGACUCGCAACCAUUUUUCAACUGGUGGUGACAACAUUAAUCUUUUGCAAUGGAAUGAUAAAAUGGUGGCAAUAACACCUAUCUAUUGCAACAUAUUUUCUAUUGUUGCCAUGGACUCUGUUGCAAUAGACCAAAAAUCUAGUAGUGGGAUGCAAGGUAUAUAAUGGAGCAGAUUAUUGCCGGUGGUAGUGGCUCAAACAUUCCAAUAACGUACACCAAGGAUGAGGGUAGCCAAGCGGACAUCUUCCUCAACAUGUCCAGUGAUGGCAAUGAUGAGCCCGAGCACCGCGUUGAUGACAAUGCGGAACAAAACCUUGCCAUGAUGGAAGGUUCCGGCGAGUGUUGACGCCGGAUUGUGACACGUAUGAAAUUGGCGUCAAGGAAAGAGAGGGCUGGCCGACGCUGCAGAUUAAAAAGUCACGAUUGGGAAUCGGCCGAUUGGUUCUACGGUUGGCGAUCGGCCGAUUGGCGCUACAGUAUUUUGGCGGACGAUGUUGGUGGAGAUCGGUCGACUGGAAGGCUAGAGCGAUUGGGCCAAUAUGGGCUUGUUGACGCUAGAUUUUGACACGUAUGAAAUCGGCGUCAGGAAAGGAAGAAAUCAAGAGAUAUGGCAAGACGCAGAAGUCACGGUUGGGAAUCGGCCGAUUGGUGCUACAGUUGAGGAUCGGCCGAUUGCCCUUCAAGGGUGGAACUCCGCCUCGCCCGAUCCCCGAGGCCUGGGGUCGGAUGUGCCCGACCCUCCAAGGAUGGAACUCUACCUCGCCCGACCCCGGGUCCUGGAGUCGGAGGUGCCCGACCCUUCGGGGGUAGAAUUCCGCCUCACCCGACCUUAGGUCCGAGGGUCCGAGUAAUCGGCUGUCCUUUGUUGAUGGAGUUGGUAGAAAUCGGCCGAUUAGAAGGCUCGAGCAAUUGGGCCGGUAUGGGCUUAAAAUGAUUAUGAAGAGAAAGAGGGAGUCAGCCCAUGAAAGCAUGAUGAUCAACUCCAGUACGAAUCGUACUUGUAAAUAUUCGUUUUCGUUUAAAAUUAGAGAUAGAGUUCGUUUAAAGUUAGAGAUAGAGUUCUAGUCGGUUAAGGAAUCGUUUGUAACAGGCUAUAAAUAGCCACCUUCAUAGAUCUGUAAUCAUCAUCAAAUCAAUACAACAAACUACUAUUUCCUCGCACUUACCUUCAAGUAGGCGACUUCGCCAAUACUUUUCUUCUUUUCACGAGUUCGUACGGGUUGGCAGGGCUGCAUCAGCUUGAUCUCCGGCCGAUUCUGUAAGUUCCGCUUAUCGAAUAGUGUCUAAGCUUUAACUUCGGGCGCAUCACUGUCGUUUCGUUUAGAUUUAUUCACCAGUUAUCGAUAUUCACUAGAAUUCUAGGUUUUACGUGUUGUUCUAGUUUUAUCACCAGUUAUCCAGUUAGGAAUUGGAACUUUCGGCUUUCUUGUGCUUCGUUAUUCAAUCUAUUUGUUUUAUGCAUAGCUGAUUUAGAUCUAUUCCUAGUGUUGUUACUGUAGUGUUGUUUAGAUUACUCCAGCAGUAUUCUUUAUUAACGCUGCCCGGUAAUCGGCUGCAUUAUAGCCGAUUUCUUUAUUACAGCAAAUCGGCCGAUUCGCUGAUAAGCUAUCUCGAGAUCGGAACCUUAGCCGAUCGCUACCUCUGGGAUCGGACACGUUUCUUUCCUUGCCAAUCAACAGGUCAGAUUGGCUCGCACGCUGCGCGAACCGCACAAGGGCAAUCACCCAAACAGGAGUUAAGCAGAUUCUCCCGGGUCGUGUGUCCGACGCUGGGGAUUCGAUCAGCCGAUUUCUAGCGCCAACACACUUUUGGCACGCCCGGUAGGACCAAUACAACCGCCACUAUGUUGAAAGCUGCCGAAGUCUCGGAAGACAACGUCAUCGAAGUGACGGAAGCAGAUCUCAGGGAUGACUAGAAGGAAGAAUUGGAAAAGCAGAUGGUGUACUACCGAAAGAUGUGUUUGCAAUCCUUCAGUCGUACCAGGAGCAGAGAAACUGUCAAAAAGACUCCGUUUCCGACUCCUCGCCAGAUCACAAUCGCCGAGGACUCGGGCAAGAUGUCCGAGAUGGUUCAACAAUCUGUCUAUCAAGCCUUCAUUGAUCAAUCCCUGGUGAUUUCUAAUACGGUAUACAAUGCCGUCAUCAGCUCCUUGGCCAACGGCGUAUCCCAAGGAUACCAAGGGCCGGCAUAUGCUCCACCUAUUAUGGCCCCGACCAGGAGUUAUUCAACAAUACCCUACUCGACUCCUCAGCCGAUCCAAGCCCCAAUUGGAGGUCCCGGCACCUCUUCAUCAUUAAUCCCUCUGGGGCCUAACGGCGCGCCAUAUCUCUGGCCGCAACCCAUUUAGUUAUCCUCCGUGCAGUUUCCUCCUUUGAAUUCAAUGCCUUGGGGGUACCAUCGGUAAUGGCCGUCCAGGAUCAAUCGGCCAGCCAUGGAGGUUCUCCAAUCCAGACACCUUUCCAAUCGGCCGUUAGGCCGACGAUGCCACAAUAUCAGCCAGUCACGCCGGAGAUGAGCAGGGGGGCAGAAGCAACGGAAAUACUUCGGGGCGCUACGUCGAUCAUACUAUAUGAUAAAGCGGCCGAUUCAUUUAGACAGCCGACCCCGACUACGCAGCGGGCUAUGACACAUCAGGCGCAAUACGCUUUCGCCCAUCACCCGGUCAUCCCGCCACCAAUCUACCAACAAGUGCCAGUUCCCUAGCCGAUAGUCCAUCAACAACAACCAGACUGGACGGCACGCAUAGUGGAGGUAAUUCAAGAGAAAUUCGGUUUAAAACCGAAGAUGCAAACCUACACAUACAAGACGCCGUACCCGCCUACCUAUGACUUGCUGCCGUUUCCCCAUCGGUACAAAGUUCCUGAUUUCACCAAGUUUUCGGGACUUGAUGAUACCUCAACUGUAGAGCACGUGAACAAAUUCAUCAACCAAUGCGGAGAGGCAGCGGCGCAAGAUGCUCUACGGGUGCGCCUCUUUUCGUCAUCCCUAUCCGGGUCAGCCUUUCAAUGGUUCACCACACUGCCACCCAACUCAAUAAUUACAUGGCUGACCUGGAGAGGCAGUUUCACAAAUACUUCUACGCGGGAGUACAUGAGAUGAAGCUUUCAGAUUUAACCAGCCUUAGACAGAGAAGUGAUGAACCGGUACCCUCGUACGUGCAGAGGUUCAGGGAAAUCAGGAACAAAUGCUACACCCUAGCCCUGACUGACGCACAAUUGGCCGAUAUAGCCUUCCAGGGUCUCCUGCCUCAUAUCAAAGAGAAAUAUGCUUCGCAGGAGUUUGAGAGCUUGAGCCAAAUUGUUCAUCGACUGUCUCGUCAGGAAGUACACCCCUUUGAUCCGCGCAGGAACUUCCAAAAGAAGGUAGCGUACUUAGAAGAGGUUGAAUCCGAAGAAGAAACAGAGAUCGGCCUGGCGGAGUGGGUUAAAGGAAAAAAGACGAUAUUGUGUCCGUUCGGGAAAAAGGAGCCGGAAGCAUUCGGUUUCGACACAUCAAAGGCCGAUAAAAUUUUCAAUCUUCUCCUCCAGGAAGGACAGAUCAAGCUCUCGCCAUACCAUACCAUUCCGUCGGCCGAACAGCUGAAGAAGAUGAAGUAUUGCAAGUGGCAUAAUGCUACUUCCCAUGAUACAAAUGAAUGCAAAAUCUUCCGACAGCAGAUACAAUGAGCCAUCGAACAAGGCAGGCUCAAAUUUGAAGUCCCAACAAAGUCGGCCAAGCUGAUGAAGAUUGACCAGCAUCCCUUCCCCACCAACAUGGUUGACACGGGGAAGAAUUCGCUCCAGACUAAGGUGCUGACAUCUGAAUCGGCUAAGAAAAGCGGCGCCGUGGACCCCAGAAAUCAAGCGGCGCCCGCAGACAUCAAGGGGAAACGGCGGAUGGAGGACGAAGACGACAGAUCGGGAGAACCACGCAGGCCCAUCACCUCCCAAUUUUUGCUCAACAAAUAUCAACGGCAACAAGAAUGCUCAAAAUCCCGGGAAGAGGCAAUGCGACGACACGAAGACCACUGGUGAUGCCCAUUCUUCAUCCACUGCUAGGAGAGCAACCUUAGGUUGCCAUCGGCCGAUAAUUGCCCUGAGUGCAACGGCCCGUAUCGUAACAAUCGGCUAUUCAGGAGGUCUCGCUCCAGAGAUGGAAGACCAGAGCCGAUCAACAGGAACUGGUGCGAACAAGAAGACCGGCGCCCUCCAGUGCGUGAUCGGCUGGGGGGCAGAAGUGACCGAUAUGACCGGUCGGAAGACAGGCGCGAGCGAAACAAUAGGCCGGGGGGCAGAUUUGACCGGCGCAGUCAACCAGAAAACAAAGUCAGCGUUCAUGAUCGGCUGGAAGAGAGGGCCGACACUCGGGUAUCAGAUGAGAAUCCCUUAGGGCGCGAACCAGAAUGGGAACGCGCUAGACCAUUGACUAAGCUUGUGAACCCCAGGUGGUGCCCUGACGGAUUGACUAAGUCUCAAAAACGAAGAAUCCAACGCCUCCGCCAAUGGGAACAACAGGAAGAAGAGCAACAGAUUGUGAUAGACGAGAGAACCAGCAGGCCUCGGGUUUGGCGCCCCAAAAGAAAUAACAGAGAAGACGACGACAACCAGGAAUCAGCAGCCGACGUCAGCAUGGUUUUCAUUCUGCUGAUGGAAUUCAUGACUUCUACCGACCGACAGAACAUAUCGGCAAUAGAAGAGCAGAUGGCACAAUUGGCUUUAGAGCCAAUGGCAGCCACGUUCGAGAAACCCGAGGACAACAAACGACAACACCUAAAGGCAUUGUUCCUCAAGGGGCAUGUCAACGGCCGACCCAUCACCAGAUUACUAGUAGACGGAGGAGCUAUUGUUAACAUCAUGCCAUACGCCAUGUUCUGGAAGCUAGGAAAGAGUGAUGAUGACCUAACUAGGACAGACAUGAUGCUCAAGGACUUCAAAGGCAACAUGUCUCCCGCCCACGGCGCACUCUGCGUCGACCUCACCAUCGGCAGUAAGACCCUUCCCACUACUUUCUUUAUUAUUAAUGGAAAAGGAUCCUACAACAUGCUACUUGCCCGAGACUUUAUACAUGCAAAUUGCUGCAUCCCGUCUACGAUGCACCAAUGCCUCGUAUAGUGGGUCGAUGACAACAUCAAAGUGGUCACCGCCGAUUCUGCAUACAGCGUCGCGGCAGCCGAUACGCAACAAUGGAGCUGCGAGAACGUCAAGUGCAUAUCCGAGAGGAUAUGGGACACUGAUUUCCUAAAGGUGUCCAAUUUUGGUCUACAGCCGAUCCGAGCAGUCGGCUCCGAAGAUUCAGAUUAAAUGGAUCAGUUCGCCCGGGAGGAUGGAAAGCUAGGACAUGGGUUCACGUCGGCCGAUUCAUUAGAGAUGAUAGAUUUAGGCGAUGGCACCAAGCCAAGGUCGACGUAUAUUAGUGCGAAUCUGGAUCCGGAAUACAAAUGUAAAUCGAAAAAUUUAUUAAGAGAGUUUUAAGGAUUGUUUUGCUUGGGAAUACCAUGAGAUGCCCGGAUUAGACCGAUCUAUUGUCGAACAUCGGUUACCCAUAAAGCCGGGAUAUCGGCCAUAUCAGCAACCUGCACGGCAGUGUAAUCCUAAAAUCCUACCCGAUAUAAAGGCCGAAAUAACAAGGCUAAUCGAAGCAAAAUUUAUUCGACAAUGCCGUUAUGCCGAAUGGAUCUCAACAUUGUACCCGUAUACAAGAAGAACGGAAAGCUCCACAUAUGCAUCGAUUUCAGGAAUCUCAAUCAGGCCACGCCGAUGGACAGAUACCCGAUGCCGACGGCCGAUGUGCUAAUAGAUGCCGCCGCGGGACACAAAGUUAUUAGUUUCAUGGAUGGAAAUGCUGGAUAUAAUCAGAUACUAAUGGCCGAAGAAGACAUAUCCAAAACGGCCUUCAGAUGCCCGGGUCACCUUGGUUUAUUCGAGUGGGUGGUAAUGACUUUCGGUUUGAAGAACGCCGGUGCUACGUAUCAGCGAGCCAUGAAUUACAUAUUUCACAAACUUAUCGGCAUCCUGGUGGAAAUUUACAUCGACGAUGUCGUAGUCAAAUCAAAGGGACACCAGGAACAUCUAACUGAUUUGCAGCAGGUACUGGAAUGCACGAGGAAACAUGGGCUGAAGAUGAACCCGAACAAGUGUGCUUUUGGUGUAUCCGCCGGACAAUUCUUGGGAUUCAUGGUUCACGAACGUGGAAUAGAAAUCAACCGGAAGACCAUAGCGGCCAUCAAUAAAGUUGUGGCCCCGCAGAAUAAGACUGAGUUGCAGUCCCUAAUUGGCAAGGUCAAUUUUAUCAGAAGAUUCAUAUCUAAUCUGUCCGGGUGUAUCCAAGCCUUCACACCAUUGUUGAAGUUGAAACCCGACCAAGAGUUCGUAUGGGGAGAAGAGCAACGCAAGGCACUAGAAGAUAUCAAGCAGUACUUAUUCUCGCCACUAGUAUUGGUCCCACCUCAAACUGGUAAGCCGUUUAAACUGUAUUUAUCAACCGAUGAACGAGCUAUCGGGUCGGCUCUGGUUUCAGGAAUUUUAGGGAAAGGAACGGGUAAUAUAUUAUGUUAGCAGAAGACUUCUGAAGCCGAGACAAGGUAUCCCCCGGUAGAGCGGCUAUGCCUAUGCCUUUACUUCUCAUGCACCAAACUCAGGCACUAUUUGUUAUCGGCAGAGUGUGUAGUAGUAUGCAAAGACGACGUGGUAAAAUACAUACUUUCGCUGCCAAUCUUGAAAGGACGAAUCGGAAAAUGGAUCUUGGCUUUAUCGGAGUUCGAUCUACGGUAUGAAUCGGCAAAGGCCGUCAAAGGACAGAUUAUGGCCAAUUUUGUUGCCCAGCACUGCGAACCAGAGACCACCGUCGUGGAACCAGUGCCAUGGACCUUAUAUUUUGAUGGUUUGUCAUGUGGGGCCAGAUCAGGAAUCAGCAUCGUUCUCAUAUCGCCUCGGGGGGCAAGCUAUGAUUUCUCUCUGCCGAUAGAAGCAUCCGCCACUAAUAACCAAGCAGAAUAUCGAGCCGUGUUAAAGGGAUUACAAUUGUUGAGGGAAAUCAAGGCCGACGCCGUUGAGAUUUUCGGGGAUUCCAUGUUUAUCGUGGACCAAUUGACAGGAAGAUCCGAAUGCAAGGAUGACGUAUUAAGGAUUUUUUACGAGGAUUGCCUUCAACUUCUGAAAGAAUUCAAGUCCGCGUUUAUUGAGCACAUCCCUAGGAAUCAUAACGAGGAUGCCAAUAGGCUUGCCCAACACGCGUCCGGAUAUCGGCCGAUUCAGGGCGCUAUGGCUCUAGAGCUUGCGGCCGACGACUGGCGAAGGGAGAUCGCCGAUUAUCUGAAAGAUCCGUCUAAGAAAGUGGAUCGGCGAAUACGAUUUCAGGCCACAAGAUAUGUGUUACUAGAAGACGACUUGUUCUACCGGACGAUUGAUGGCGUUCUACUCAAAUGCCUAGGAACAGAGGAGGCGAAGACUCUGAUGGGGAAAAUCCACGAAGGAGUGUGUGGAGCCCACCAAUCGGCACAUAAGAUGAAAUGGAUGAUUAGGAAUAAUGGGUAUUACUGGCCCACAAUCCUCGAAGACUGUUUCAAAUAUUAUAAAGGAUGCCAGGAUUGUCAGAGAUACGAGAAUCUGCAACGUGCUCCCGCAUCGGCCAUGAAUCCUAUUAUCAAACCAUGGCCGUUCAGAGGUUGGGGAAUAGACCUCAUCGGACAAGUUUAUCCUCCGUCAAGCAAAGGACAUAAAUUUAUUCUAGAAGCCACAGAUUAUUUCACUAAAUGGGUGGAAGCGAUUCCGUUGAAGGCCAUAACAUCGGCCGCCAUGGUCGAUUUCGUAAGGGACCGUAUCGUCUAUCGUUUCGGCAUCCCCCAGACUAUCACAACCGGUCAAGGAACGAUGUUUACAUAGGGAGAAUUCGAAGAGUUCACGACCGAUAUGGGAAUCAAACUGCUAAACUCCUCUCCGUACUAUGCCCAAGCUAAUGGUUAGGUCGAAUCUUCCAAUAAAGGGAUAAUUAAGUUAAUCAAGAGAAAGAUAGAAGAACAGCCCAAAAAAUGGCAUCUAUGUCUGACCGAAGCCCUAUGGGCAUACAGGAUGGCCUGCCACGGGGCUACCAAGAUGUCUCCUUAUCAGUUGGUGUACGGUCACGAGGCAGUACUGCCGUGGGAAUUGAGGACAGGAUCGAGACGCACGUCGCUCCAAGAUCAGCUGAUGACCGACAAUUACUCCUCACUCAUGAAAAGGGAGCUUGAUGACUUGGUAGGCCAACGAUUGAGAGCUUUGAUCAGUAUCAAAGAAAACAAGAAGAAAGUGGCCAGAUGGUACAACAAGAAGGUCAAAGUCAAGCAGUUCUCUCCGGGGGACCUGGUAUGGAAGUUAGUGCUGCCGAUUGGGUCAAAGGAUCCUAAAUUCGGUAAGUGGUCUCCCACGUGGGAAGGGCCGUAUAGAAUCGGCCGAUGUGCCCCGGGAAAUGCUUACAUUUUGGAAACGAUCGAAGGGGAAGAGUUUACUAGGGCUUUGAACGGAAGAUACUUGAAGAGGUAUUACCCUAGUAUAUGGGUCGGAGCAUAAGGAUCGGCCGCAGAAUAUGAUAAACAAAUACACAGCCGAUAUAAAAGAAAAUCACCUAAAGAGAAAAUAUAAUCGUCCAAAUCGGCCGAUUUAUCAUUCGGUACGGACGAUGGGUUACACGGCCGACGCAGUACAAGUCGCCCUUAGAACAAAAAUAAUCAACCAUGCUUUUUCUUAAGUUCUCUCUCAACCCGGCCUAGUUCUAUCAGAAGAGGGAUGUGUCGUUCUUCUAUGUCUUUCAUCGCGGCCUCCGCUUCAACUUGACGAGGAAGAGGAUGACUCCGGUCCAUUGCCGGGCACGACGUCCCUGCCGCGGCAUCUCCAAGGGCAACCUGACGAGGAAGCGGGUGGCUCCUGUCAACUUGAGGGCGCCUGUAGUCGUUACUGUCGAUGAAGUCCCAGAUCCGUUGGACGUCGGCGGGGAUGUGAUCCUUAAGUUCUUCACGGUGAGCCCUAAUUAGGUCCUUGUCUUCUUGCGAUAAUGGUUCGUCAGAAUACACGAGUCCAAUGGCUCGUUCAAGUUCAGGACUAAGGCGCCGUGGCUGGAAAAUGAGAACAACACACAACUGCCUAAGAUGGUGUUUGGAGAAUCAAACCAUGGCGGAGGCAGAUCUCUUACCUGGUCGACAGAGGAAAAAGAAGAAGACGAAGAAGACAUGACCACAGAACGCGCCGACGGAAACAAGUCAGGGAAAGAGAGAACCAAAUCAAACAGGUGCUUUCAAGAGCGAAACCAAGGUUUGUAUUUAUAAGUCGAGAAGGUGUGGAUGUUUGGUAAGACGCAUCUCAUCAGAGGUAAAAAGGCAAUAAAUGAGAGAGCGCCGCAAAGGACGGUCAAAAGAGGCAUUAAUGUUCGUACAAAAUGACCAGUACUUUUACAGAUCGCCCAGAAGGGCGUUGAUGGACGCAAUCGCUCGACGACGAAUCUGAUCGGCCGAAUCCAGAACCCGUUGGUCAUCCUCUGCCGACCCUGGGACUUCUGACAUGUGGCGGUGGAGUCUAAGGGCUUUAUGGGCCAGGUGCUGCCUCUCCCGCUUUAAAUCGGCGAUGACGGAGGGGAGCUCCUGAAGCCUCUUCUCUUCGGUGGCUAUUUCCUUGGUCACUUGCUCCAUCUCCUUGGCGAGUUCUGCUCUUCAGUGUUUGAGGCGGUCUAUCGUGCUGACGAGUCCAGGGCGGGAGUCCUCAAGAAAAUAAAUCCGGUGAUGUACCUCCUGAGCCUAACGCUUGUACGAAUCUUCUUCAUCACGAGUCUUGAUCACUUUGGCGCGAUCGUCCAUGUGACGCAGAGCCCUGAAGACCGGAAUCCGCAUUGCCUCGAUGUAAGCGGCUGGCGCCAAGGCUUCUUCCGCUUCCUCUGGGACUCGCCCGCUGACGUCACCAAAGAGCUGCCGAAUCGGCGAAGCAUCCUCCACCAAUCGGCCGAUGUCCUCUUGAAGAAGGGAUCAUAUGUUUUCGAGUUUGGCGCGGACAUCAUCAGGGACAGAGCUCAAAGUAACCUGACAGGAAGCUACUUCCUCAUCAUCAGAAAGUGCGACCGCAAACGAGAAAAGGCUAUUAUCAGGGGUGUCUUGUUCCUGUAAAAUGGUAGAUGAAAAGAGAAUAGGUCAGCCGAUUGUGGUGGCAGAAUCGGCCAAUAAAGGUUAGGAGAUCUCUUAAUUCUUUAAAACGGAUUUCUUCCAUCUGCAUUUGCGAGACCGUCGCCCUCGACUCUGGGACUGGUACCAUCAGUUCGUCGGAAGAGGAAGUCUCAACGACAAUCGGUGCUCUGCUCGGGCCGGCUUCUUGGGGGUGGCCAGUGGUCGAUCAGGCAACGUGCUUAGUGUACCGGUAACCUGGGUCAAAGUUAGUAAGAGCAUCAUCCAAAUACUAGAAGAUCGGGUUGAAGGAUCGUAUACCUCAACAGGAGGGAGCGCUGGCAUUUCAUUAGCCGCUUGGGUCGCCGCUGAUUGCUGAGGAUUCACAAGGGUAGUCUGUGCAGCCUAAUAUAAGAGGGGUCAGUAUGGAAAUAGCAAUCGGGAAAAUCGGACAGUGAGUUUACCUGUAUAGCCUCCACCAAUAAUGAUGCGGCGGCUGCUCCGGCUUCUGUGGCGACUUGAACGUCUACCUCUUCAGCAGUCGGAAGGGUCGGCACGGCCAAAGUUUCUGCCGAUGCGAUCAUAGGUGGAUCGGCCGAUUCUGUACGAGCACGCACUCGGCGACUGGUUUUCUUGAUGACUUUCUUCUGCGCCUGUUUUACUCGGCCAGGGAUGUCGUCUACAGAAAGGGCAUGAUAGCCGAUGAGGGGGAAUGUUGUGUAUGGAUAGCGGUCCUCUAUCGGCCAACCACUCCGGCUGCGUUUUGGAGGAGCGCGGCUUUCAGACUGAAUCAACAGCAAGAGUCAGUAUACAUAUAUAAAAAAUGAGAGGAAAUGAAAAUCGGCUAGGGAAAAGGAAGAAUACCUCAGCGUUCAGAUCAAUGUUGGCUAGAUCCAGGAGAUUGCAGUAUACCGACGCAGAAGUGCAGAACAGGUACUGUUUCCAUUCGGCCCACCAUAGCUUGAACUGCUGAACGGCGAAAGGAGCUACUAUCCAACCAUUCAGAGCUAUGGUACUGGAGUCUGGAAUCCGAUCACGCAGCCAGCUAUAGUAAAGACCCUUGGUGAGUUUAUCUCUGAACUUUGCUCGGCCGGCGAAAUAUGCAUAAAUCGGCAAUUGACCCAGGCCGAAUUGCCGUGCUGUGAUAGAGGGGUUGUAGAAUUCAUAAGUAGGGGCAUCUUUCCCCGAAAAGAAGUUUGCCGGUAAGAUCCUCGGUUUGAUUAAUUCAUCCAUGAGAUCUUCAUCGAAUCGGCCAGUGGUUGAGUUGAAACAAGAAGGGAGUUCGAAGAUUGGGUCCUCUCUUUGAUAAGGGAACCAGCUGGUUGCAUCUUCGCUGAAGCCAUCAUAAAAGCACCUGAAGUAUUUGGUCACCUUUGUAGCCGAAUAUGAACAACCAGAAAAGGCUGAUGCCGCCUCACCGAAGGACGUACAACGGCGUCGGACAGUGGGAUUCUCUGCCGAUUCGAUGUUGGGGAAGGUCAUGUGCUCCACUCGUUGCUGGGAGAUCUUGCUCAUGUACAGAUUAAGCCACAAGUUGAUGAACCACCAGGGUCCACCAGGGUUUUCAAUCGGCUUCCCUUGGGAUAAUUUGAUGCCGAUUUGGUGCAGCAUAUGAUAGGCUGCUCCCAAUAAGUGUUUUCCAAGGGGAAUAGAGGCCCCUAUCGAUAAUGCCUCAACUAGAGCCUGUGUGUUGGUGGAUGGACCGGCUGCUCUCCCACAGAAAAAAUGUUUCUCAAGCCACAUCAUCAGGAAAGCCGUGUGCUCUCUGUUCUCGACUGUUCCAGCCCUUUUGUUACAUAUGAUGAAUCCCUUCCAUCCGUCGAUUCCCUUUGUAUCGAGCCGAUGAGAUGUCUUGGCCAAAAGGCGAAAAGGGGUAUCUGGAGAGGAGAUGUCAAGGCCAGUCAACAUGACCACAUCGGCCAAAGUGGGAGUCAUAGGUCCGUGUCCGAAGAGGAAUGCGUUGAGGGCAUCGGACCAGAAAUAGGAAGCUGCUAUCACUAAGGGCUCAUUUCUUUCCAUUUGGGAUAAAGAUAGAUCAAUACACUGGCCGAUUUUGUGUUCGUCCCAUUGGACUCUCUUGGAGGUAGCUAUCCGUUGGUACCAUUCUCUCCAGCCGAGGGUUUCAUUCGGCCAUGACCUGAAGGUACCUGACCAGUGGUCUAGGUCCAUGGUUGAUUGCUUAAAAGGGAUCCUAUAAGUUUCCAGAUUGAUUAGGUCAGUUGGAUCCGGGUUUCCCAUGGGACCAAGAUAGAUAAGGCCGGGAGUUUCUGUGAGGCGAAUGGUAAUUUGAUGCCUAACUGCCUAAAAAAGGAAAAAAGGGGGUACGGAAGUAAGAACAGAUCUAAAGUAAAUGCAUUAUUGUUAAGGAAAGUUUCGGUAAUGACCUCCGGGAUGAAGCUCAUCGUAGUUGGCAGAAUCGCCGGCAGAGCCGCAGAUGCUGAAACCAUUGAUGGGACUUCGGUUGAAGCCCCAACUCCCGCUGAUGGAGCUCCUUCUCCUGUCGAUGAAGCCGUCGCCGUUGCCACUGGAACUUCUGCCGGUGAAGCUAUCUCCGGGGCUUCGGGUGUUGAUGAGGUGCCUGAAGGUGCCGCCAUUGGAAAAAGUAGGGAGAAAUGUAGAUGGAAGGAGAUGCCGGGGGAAAGCUGGAGGCUAAGGAAGGCACCGGAGGAAGAAGAAGGCCAGUGCGCUAAAGAAGGAAGAUGUGAGCUCGUAAGGAGGAGUACGGGACGUGCUGAUAUUUAAAGGUGGUCUGAGAAGGGGUAAAAGUGGAAUUUUAACCACCCAGCGUUUCGAAUUUUUCGGGAGGAGUGGUUGUCGUGGGCGCCCGUUUCGAAAAGAUUGCAAUCAUCAGGUUGGAGACCACGAAACGGAAGGAUAUUUUCUAUGCGUUUGUUUUGGAAGGGAAGUUGAAAAGAAUUUCGAAGUAAAGACUAUGUUUUGCUCCGAAACUAGGGGGCAUGUGUUGACGCCAAAUUUUGACACGUAUGAAAUCGGCGUCAGGAAAGGAAGAAAUCAAGAGAUAUGGCAAGACGCAGAAGUCACAGUUGGGAAUCGGCCGAUUGCUGCUACAGUUGAGGAUUGGCCGAUUGCCCUUCAAGCGUGGAACUCCUCCUCACCCGAUCCUCGAGGCCUGGGGUCGGAUGUGCCCGACCCUGCGAGGAUGGAACUCUACCUCGCCCGACCCCGGGUCCUAGAGUCGGAGGCGCCCGACCCUUCGGGGGUAGAAUUCCGCCUCGCCCAACCUUAGGUCCCAGGGUCGGAGUAAUCGUCUGUCCUUUGUUGAUGGAGUUGGUAGAAAUCGGCCGAUUAGAAGGCUGGAGCAAUUGGGCUAGUAUGGGCUUAAAGUGGAUUAUGAAGAUAAAGAGGGAGACAGCCCAUGAAAGCAUGAUGAUCAACUCCAGUACGAAUUGUACUUGUAAAUAUUUGUUUUCAUUUAAAAUUAGAGAUAGAGUUCGUUUAAAGUUAGAGAUAGAGUUCUAGUCGGUUAAGGAAUCGUUUGUAACAGGCUAUAAAUAGCCACCUUCAUAGAUCUGUAAUCAUCAUCAAAUCAAUAGAACAAGCUACGAUUUCCUCGCACUUACCUUCAAGCAGGCGACUUCACCAAUACUUUUCUUCUUUUCACGAGUUCGUACGGGUUGGCAGGGCUGCAUCAGCUUGAUCUCCGGCCGAUUCUGUAAGUUCCGCUUAUCGAAUAGUGUCUAAGCUUUAACUUCGGGCGCAUCGCUGUCGUUUCAUUUAGAUUUAUUCACCAGUUAUCGAUAUUCACUAGAAUUCUAGGUUUUACCUGUUGUUCUAGUAUUAUCACCAGUUAUCCAGCUAGGAAUUGGAACUUUCGACUUUCUUGUGCUUCGUUAUUCAAUCUAUUUGUUUUAUGCAUAGCCGAUUUAGAUCUAUUCCUAGUGUUGUUAUUGUAGUGUUGUUUAGAUUACUCCAGCAGUAUUCUUUAUUAACGCUGCCCGGUAAUCGGCUGCAUUAUAGCCGAUUUCUUUGUUACAGCAAAUCGGCCGAUUCGCUGAUAAGCUAUCUCGAGAUCGGAACCUUAGCCGAUCGCUACCUUUGGGAUCUGACACGUUUCUUUCCUUGCCAAUCAACAGGUCAGAUUGGCUGGCACGCCGCGCGAACUGCACAAGGGCAAUCACCCGAACAGGAGUUAAGCAGAUUCUCCCGGGUCGUGUGUCCGACGCUGGGGAUUCGAUCAGCUGAUUUCUAGCGCCAACAGAUACAUUAUUCCACAAACAUCAACUUCAAUAGUAAUUACAUCGUAAAACAUCAUAAUUUAUAAUGCAAGAUAUUUAAAAUUGUUGGUUUAGACCUUAUCUACAUUAUGAUAACUAAUCAAAACACAUUUAUUAUCAUAUUGCAAUUGCAUGGAAUAAAGAGAAAAAGGUAACAAUUUCCUUAAUGAAUUUACUGGAAAAAAAUGAACAAAAAUAGAAAAAAACAACCGGGGUGCUCGGGGAGGAGGCGGCGUCGGCGGCAGAGAGGAGGUGGUUCGGCGACGCAUCGGGAGGACGGAGGCGGUGGGGAGGAUGCAGUGUCAGCGGCAAGGACGAGGUGGCCCGGCGGCGCGUCGGGAGGACGGAGGUGGUGGGGAGGAGGCGGCAUCACUAAUCUCAGUGUUUGCACAACACUAAUGGUUUUGAUUCUUGACUUCGUGAAGUCCUACAAUCUGAAAUCAGUGUUUGCACAUCACUAAUCUCAAUGAGUGUGCCCGUUUGCGUUCGGAUCUCACUAGCUCUUUAGAAUGUUCCUUUUCAUCUCGGAUUUCUCGAUUGAAAUCACAUUAUUCAUGCGAAUUCCAAGUCUAUGGAGAGCCUGUGUGUUGGUGGAUGGACCGGCUGCUCUCCCACAGAAAAAAUGUUUCUCAAUAUUCUCACUAUUCAUGCCAUGUGUAUCCAUUGCCGGUCUAUCUUGAUCGUAUUACAUGAAAAAUGAGCAUAGGGCUUCGUAUUAGAUAAAGAACUUGAUCCAUGUGUUUAUAAUAUUUAGUCCUUGCAAUAAACAUGAGAUAAAUAAAUUAUUGGUCAAGAAUCCUGAAAUCAACAGUUUUUGCCUAACAUUGCAUACCGUUAGCACACUAGAAAUGCUGCAAUAAACUAUACAUUUUCCUCAAUCUAAUAAAUCAACAAGUACUCCAUUUGUAACAUAAAACUCAUUCUAAAAACCGCUCCAUUCUCCGCAUUCUAAAAUACUCUCCUUAUUCUAAAAAAUCAACAAAUACUCAAUUUGUAACAUAAAACUCAUUCUAAAAUGGAAAGAAUCCAUUUUACUCCUCUCAUUUUACACCCCUCACCUAUUUAUUUUGUCCACUUAACCCCCUAAGCAAAAUUUAGGCUCACUUUACUCCCCCCAAACUACUUCAUUUGGUCCAAUCUACCCCCUAAUUAGAUUUCUCUUUUUUGUUUCUUCAUGUACAAACUCUCCUUGUUCUAGCUAAUGUACUCUCCAUUCUAGCUACAAAACAUAAAAUAUAGAAUACUAAGUAUGAGAGGAGGGAUUUGCUAACCUUUUCCUCCCCUAGUUCGAGUGAAGAAGAAGCCUGAGCUCACGGUCAAAUGGCUAAGCUCGGGCUUGGGAAGGAAGAAGCAGCUCAAUUUAUAGGAUUACCUCUAGCGCCAGGUGAUGGGUCGAGCUGGUACUAAAUGGUUUCAUGUUAGUACCGGUUGAAGAUAUCAGCCGGUACUAAAUGGUACAUCUAGCCGUUGGCCACGCGGUCCACGUGCUGCCAUUUAGUACUGGUUGAGACUCCAAACUGGUAUUGUAGGGGUUCUGGUGGCACUGUACAUGAUGACCGAUACUAAUGCGUUGGACGAAUGAUCAGUUUUUCAGCAGUGGAAUGUGCAAACACCAGCUAGCAGUACUGAAGUUGGAUGGAAGGUUGGCUUUGUCCGAACAAAUCAGUCCUUUCUGAGGCGAGGGCCCUAGCACGCAUCAUUUUGCAGUCGCUCUGAUAGAGUGCUAGGUUUUGGCGUUCAGCCGAAGUAGCUUUGGUGGGGUUCAUAUUGCUCCGUCGGUACAAGAACUAGCACCCAGACAACCCAGAAUUGUGGAGUGCCCAGACAUCCAAGAUCCAACCCAGACAGAUGUUGGAGGUAUGCCCUAGAGGCAAUCAUAGAGAUGAUGAUAUUCCAUUUGUAUCCAUGAUUUGUAUGUUGUGUUCAUUGAAUAUCCAUUAAAGGCUACUUGAAUUGAUUUGCAAUUAUGUGAAUUGUAUGUGAAACUCUUUACUUGUAUGGUUAUUCUAAAGUUGUCCCUAGUCGGAGUUCAUGUGAGGACACACAUGAAUAUUAGACUAGCACAUGUAUUAGUUGAUGACUAUGUUUCACAAGUCAUGGACAUGGAGAUGUUGAACUAAUAAUGUGGACACAUGUGGAGACAUGUGUUAGGACUGACCCAACACGAGAAGUAGUUCUCUCUUUAAACAACAUAUACGCUUUGUCCUUAGACCUGAGAUUGUCGCAUGUAUUCUAGAUUUGGAUCGACCUACUUAGGGGCUAUCAAACGCUACGCCGUAACAGGGUAGUUAUAAAGGUAGCUUUCGGGUUUGUCAAGAAGCAUUCUAUGAGACAUGGUCAAUCAAGAUGGGAUUUGCCCCUCUCUGAUUGAGAGUGAUAUCUCUGGGCCCCUCGAGUGAUCGGAUUCGAAAAUGCAUGGCCAUGCUACGUACGGUUAAGAGUUAACCUACAAAGGGAUUCCGAAUCACAGGAUCGAGAAAGAGCGGUCGGCUUGAAGCUAGACCAAAUAUCGUGAGGCAAAGGGAAUAGCAUGUAUAUUAUGUUGUGAUGGUUCGUCUGAUAUGAUCUUCGUGUGCGUAUAGGAGUUGGCACGUCUUGCUAGAGGCCGCUACCGACUAUUGGGCCGAGUAGGAGUACUCGGGCCAUGUCUAUACGUAACCGAACCCAUAGGGUCACACACUUAAGGGGCUGGAAGCCCAAUUCGGAUCUGAUCCGAGUUGGAUUAGGUUUAGGAGUACUAAUGGGCCUCCGAUCCAGAGGCCCAUCAGGAACCUCUAUAAAUAGAGGGGUGGGGGCGCCCUAGGGUUUACACCUUUUGGCGAAACACACCUGCCGCGCCUCCCACGCCCUCGCCUGUUGCAACUCGCGGAUCUAGCAGUCCGGCUUGCGACGCUUCCUCCCUGCAUGUGUGGAUACCUUGGAGGUGUUGCGCCUGCAGCACUUGGACGAGCCAUCGACGAGCCGCCGACGAGCCACGACGAGCCGACGACGAGCCGCGAUACCGGAGGCGAUCUUGCUGUGCACGUGGACGAGCUGCUGAGGAGCUGCUGGAAGUGAUCGACUACGUACGACUACGUUGAUCGACUACGUACGACUACGUGAUCGUCUUCACUGCAUCGACGCAUAUCUACAUCUUCCGCACCAGUAGUGCGUCGAGUGGUAAUCCCGUGAUCCUUAUACGGCAGUUCUUCCUGGUUAUACGCGGUAGAAAUUUUGAUUUGCGCUAGUGUGGCCUACCUCGUAUCCCAACAGUGGUAUCAGAGCCGUAGCUGCUUAGUUUUGGAUUCGGGAUGUGUGCAUAUGGAGAUAUGCGAGUUCUCUGUUUGAUCUAUGUCCUGAUUUCGUGCCCUUGCUGCAAUGGUAGUGUAACGACAUACUCCUACCGGUCAGUUUCCGCCAUCGGAGUUAAGUGAUACACAUAAACCCAGUUGCAGUGAGGGAAGAUCAAUAUGAUUGGUCGAAUCGAGAUCCAGGGUCAUACGCCAGGCGCAUUAGAUGUGCAAUGGUAGAUAGGAUCUACUGCCGGGGUCGGGAUUUUGCCAUAUGCGUAUGCUUCGGUAAAUCAGCCGUAACUUUUCGGUACGAUCUCGGAUCGAGGCGAUUUCUAUACGAAAAUUGAUCUACAGAAAAAGUUACACAUGAAAUUCAACAGCUUCGCAGUUUUCGGCGAAAUUAGAUUUCCCAAAUUCGGCUUGGAAGAUGGAGUUUCGGGCCUUCGAAGUUUGGAACGUUAGGACGCCUAACUCUGUUUUGCAGGAUGUAUGUAUGUAUCUUGUGAUCAGUAUGGCCCCCUUGUGUAUGUGAUGCAUGUGUGUAACUCAUUCGUGACCUGCGUGUCGCGCGUACGGCAACACGGCAGGAGCCAUAUGUGUUGUCACUUUAUUGUAUUUAAUGGUCUGCGUACCAAUCUGUGAUGAUCCAAGCAACUAUGUAAUCUUCAUUACUAGAUUCUUUACUAGCUAUUAGGCGUAAUAGCAUGCUCUAGUUCUUGGAGGACUCAUCACCAGGAGGAUGGCGCACAUGGAACAUGGAGAUGGAGAUCACCAUGGUGAACAGGUUCUAUGGAGAUGGAGAUCACCAUAUGAAAACGGGCCAUACUGUGUCACAAGCUGUGUGAAUGCUAUUCUAUUUAUGUUUUACUUUCUGCAUGCUGUGAUGUUAGAAGUAGAACGAUCCCUCGCAAAUUUUAAGUUAGUAUGCCCUCCCAACUAAAACUUGCACCGUCCCAUGUCUUGUACAAUUAGUGGUGGGUCUAUGAAAUUAGGGUGCCACUAGUUUUCCUUGACUAGACGGGUUUGUGUCGGACACUUACACGCAUAAGGGUUGGUUUGCUUAACAAGGAUAUCUUAACGGUUAAGGACCUUGGGGCAUAAAGGUUGGGCGCCGAGACAUAGAGAUGUCACCCAACAACAGGAGUCAUAUGUGAUAUGAUUAGCAAAAGUUGCUUACCGAUCUACCUCGUUUGCUAGCGGUGAUGCUAAAGCUCACUAGUAGACUUGUUAGUUGUGGAUCCUGAAUCACUAAGUUUCAAUAGAGGGAUAUUGAUUUUAGUGGGAGUAAAUUCUGUUAAAAUAGUUUAAUGUAAUUUGCUCUAUCAUGGAUACGUUUGUCUUAGUGUAUUUUGCAUUAUUUUGUUGUAGAUUAAAUGGCACCUAGCAACACCACCGCAUCGUUUGCUUUGCGUUCGGUCCUUGAGAAGGACAAGUUGAAUGGAACAAACUACUCAGAUUGGAUCCGUAACCUGAGAAUUGUUCUCAGGGCUGAGAAAAAGGAAGAUGUUCUAGACACCCCACUACCACCAGUACCUGCUGAUGAUGCAUCUGCUGCCGUUAAGGCUGCUUACAAGAAGGCAUUUGAUGCUAAUCUUGAGGUAAGCUGCCUUAUGCUUGCUUGCAUGGAGCCCGAGCUGCAGAUGCAGUUCGAGACAAAUCAUGAGGCACACGAUAUGAUCGUGGCGCUCAAGGACAUGUUUCAGACACAGGCUAGGACCGAAAGGUUCAAUGUGUCCAAAGCCUUUCUGGAAUGCAAGUUAGCAGAAGGCGUAGGACCACAUGUAAUCAAGAUGGUUGGUUACACUCAGCGAUUGGAGAAGCUGGGCUUCCCAAUGGGCAAAGAGUUGGCCACUGACUUCAUUCUUUCAUCUCUUCCGCCUAGCUAUGGGAACUUCAUCUCGAACUACCAUAUGCAUGGGACGGAGAAGGGUCUGAAUGAGCUGUGUGGUGUGCUCAAGACAGCAGAGGUAGACAUUAAGAAAAGCGCUAGUACCAGCCAUGUGAUGGCUGUACAGAACAAGCCUACCUUCAAGAAGAAGGGCAAUUCUUGGAAGAAGAAGGGUAAGGCUGGAGUGUCCAAGCCAAACCCAGCGCCCAAGGCUAAAGCUGGACCUGCUCCAGAUAAAGAGUGCUUUUACUGUCAUGAACUUGGUCACUGGAAGAGAAACUGCAAGCAGUACCUAGCUUCGUUGAAGAACGGCGGAAGUAAGAGUACUUCUACCUCAGGUACGCUUGUUGUUAAUGUUAUAGACAACAUAUUUCUCGCUGAUACAGUUAUUAAUUCUUGGGUAUUUGAUACCGGAUCGGUUGCUCAUAUUUGCAAUUCGAUGCAGGGAAUGAUAAGAAGUAGAAGCGUGGAAAGAGGAGAAGUUGAUUUCCGCGUGGGCAAUAAUGCAAGAGUUGCUGCGUUGACCGUCGGGACGAUGCAACUCCACCUCCCGUCAGGAUUUAUUAUGGAGUUGAAUAAUUGUUAUUUUGUUCCUAGUUUAAGUCGAAACAUUUUGUCUCCUUCAUGUUUGAUGAAGGAUGGUUAUUCAUUUGCGAGUGAAAACAAUGGUUGUGUGAUCUCUAAGAAUAAUAUGUUUAUGGCUUUUGCACCCAUUGUGAAUGGAUUAUUUGUUUUAAAUCUUGACGGUUCACCUGUCUGUAAUGUAAGUGCUAAAAGGCCUCGGCCUAAUGAUUUGAGUCCUACCUACUUGUGGCAUUGUCGUUUGGGUCAUAUAAGUGAAAAGCGCAUGAAGAAGCUCCAUUCUGAUGGACUUCUAACUUCGUUUGAUUUUGAAUCAUACGAGACAUGCGAGGCUUGCUUGCUAGGCAAGAUGACCAAGACGCCUUUCACAGGAUUUCCUGAGAGAGCAGUAGACUUGUUGGAACUCGUACAUAGUGAUGUAUGCGGACCAAUGAGCACGACGGCUAGAGGAGGAUUCCAAUACUUCAUAACUUUCACUGAUGAUUUUAGUAGAUAUGGCUAUGUCUACUUGAUGAGGCAAAGUCUGAAACCUUUGAAAAGUUCAAGGAAUUUCAGAAUGAAGUUGAAAAUCAGCGUGGCAAGAAAAUUAAGGCCUUACGAUCUGAUCGUGGAGGCGAGUAUUUGAGCCACGAGUUUAGCAAUCAUCUAAAGAGUUGCGGAAUUGUUCCACAACUUACGCCGCCUGGAACACCUCAGAGAAACGGUGUGUUCGAGCUACGUAAUCGAACAUUGUUAGACAUGGUUCGAUCAAUGAUGAGCCAGUCGGACCUACCGUUGUCAUUUUGGGGAUACGCUCUAGAAACAGCAGCUUUCACACUAAAUAGGGUACCAUCUAAAUCCGUUGUUAAGACACCAUAUGAGAUAUGGACUGGAAAGGUUCCUAGUUUGUCUUUUCUAAAGAUUUGGGGAUGUGAAGUGUUUGUCAAGCGACUUCAGUCGGACAAGAUCACACCCAAGUCGGAUAAGUGCAUUUUCGUGGGAUACCCAAAGGAAACUUUGGGAUAUUAUUUCUACAACCGAUCAGAAGGCAAAGUGUUUGUCGCUCGGAACGGGGUUUUCCUAGAGAAAGAGUUUCUCAAAGGAGAAAAGAGUGGAAAGACAGUGCAUCUUGAAGAAGUUCAAGAUGAGCCAAUCGGGCAAGAAUCAAUGAGUGAUGCUAACGUAGCAGAACAAGUUGAGAUACCCAUGGCAAGAGAAGCACCGCCACAACCACGAAGGUCGGCAAGGCUCCGCGAAAUGCGGGAAAUAUUAUUGUUGGACAAUGAUGAGCCUGCGACAUAUGCAGAAGCAAUGAUGGACCCAGACUCCGAAAAAUGGCAGAGUGCCAUGCAAUCCGAAAUAGAGUCCAUGGGAGACAAUCAAGUUUGGAACUUGGUUGACCCGCCUGAUGGUGUUAAAGCCAUAGAGUGCAAGUGGAUCUAUAAGAAGAAAAAGGACAUGGAUGGAAAUGUUCACAUCUAUAAAGCACGACUUGUCGCAAAAGGUUUUUGACAAGUUCAAGGAGUUGACUACGACGAGACCUUCUCCCCCGUAGUGAUGCUUAAGUCCAUUCGGAUUAUUCUAGCUAUAGCUGCAUAUUUCGAUUAUGAGAUAUGGCAGAUGGAUGUCAAGACAGCUUUCCUGAAUGGAAACCUAGCUGAGGACGUGUAUAUGAUACAACCCGAGGGUUUUGUCGAUCCGAAAAAUGCUGGAAAGGUAUGCAAGCUUCAGAGGUCCAUUUAUGGAUUGAAGCAAGCAUCUAGGAGUUGGAACAUUCGUUUUGAUGAAGUGGUCAAAGGGUUUGACUUCACCAAGAACGAAGAAGAGUCUUGUGUUUACAAGAAGGUUAGUGGGAGCUCUGUAGUAUUUCUAAUCUUAUAUGUGGAUGACAUAUUACUGAUUGGAAAUAACAUUCCUAUGCUUGAGUCCGUAAAGACUUCACUGAAAAAUAGUUUUUCGAUGAAGGACUUAGGGGAAGCGGCAUAUAUUCUGGGCAUUAAGAUCUAUAGAGAUAGAUCAAGAAGGCUUAUAGGUUUGAGCCAAGAUACUUAUAUUGACAAAGUGUUGAAGCGGUUCAGCAUGGAAGAGGCAAAGAAAGGGUUCUUGCCUAUGUCACAUGGCAUACAUCUCAGCAAGACUCAGUGUCCUUCGACUGCUGAUGAGCGGGAUCGCAUGAGUAGAGUGCCAUAUGCCUCGGCUAUUGGAUCUAUCAUGUAUGCAAUGAUAAGUACUCGCCCAGAUGUUUCAUAUGCGCUAAGUAUGACAAGCAGACACCAAUCUGAUCCAGGUGAGAGUCACUGGACAGCGGUGAAAAAUAUUCUUAAGUACUUGAGAAGGACUAAAGAUAUGUUCCUCGUCUAUGGAGGUCAGGAGGAGCUCGUUGUAACAGGUUACACCGAUGCUAGUUUCCAGACCGACAGAGAUGAUUCAAAGUCACAAUCAGGAUUUGUGUUCACGCUAAAUGGUGGUGCUGUUAGUUGGAAGAGUUCCAAGCAGGAGACGGUGGCCGAUUCUACGACAGAAGCCGAGUACAUCGCGGCUUCGGAAGCCGCGAAGGAAGGUGUUUGGAUAAGGAAUUUCCUCAUUGAGCUUGGUGUGUUCCCGAAUGCGUCCAGCCCAUUGAAUCUCUACUAUGAUAACAAUGGGGCAAUUGCGCAAGCAAAGGAGCCAAGGAACCACCAGAAGAACAAACACGUAAUGCGGCGAUUUCAUCUCAUUCGAGACUUCGUUAACCGGGGUGAGAUCAAGAUAUCCAAAAUACACACGGAUCUGAACAUUUCUGAUUCGUUGACAAAACCACUCCCGCAGGCUAAGCAUGAUGCGCAUGUAAGAGCUAUGGGUAUUAGGUACCUUCUAGAUUGACUCUAGUGCAAGUGGGAGACUGUUGGAGGUAUGCCCUAGAGGCAAUCAUAGAGAUGAUGAUAUUCCAUUUGUAUCCAUGAUUUGUAUGUUGUAUUCAUUGAAUAUCCAUUAAAGGCUACUUGAAUUGAUUUGCAAUUAUGUGAAUUGUAUGUGAAACUCUUUACUUGUAUGGUUAUUCUAAAGUUGUCCCUAGUCGGAGUUCAUGUGAGGACACACAUGAAUAUUAGACUAGCACAUGUAUUAGUUGAUGACUAUGUUUCACAAGUCAUGGACAUGGAGAUGUUGAACUAAUAAUGUGGACACAUGUGGAGACAUGUGUUAGGACUGACCCAACACGAGAAGUAGUUCUCUCUUUAAACAACAUAUACGCUUUGCCCUUAGACCUGAGAUUGUCGCAUGUAUUCUAGAUGUGGAUCGACCUACUUAUGGGCUAUCAAACGCUACGCCGUAAUAGGGUAGUUAUAAAGGUAGCUUUCGGGUUUGUCAAGAAGCAUGCUAUGAGACAUGGUCAAUCAAGAUGGGAUUUGCCCCUCUCUGAUUGAGAGUGAUAUCUCUGGGCCCCUCGAGUGAUCGGAUUCGAAAAUGCAUGGCCAUGCUACGUACGGUUAAGAGUUAACCUACAAAGGGAUUCCGAAUCACAGGAUCGAGAAAGAGCGGUCGGCUUGAAGCUAGACCAAAUAUCGUGAGGCAAAGGGAAUAGCAUGUAUAUUAUGUUGUGAUGGUUCGUCUGAUAUGAUCUUCGUGUGCGUAUAGGAGUUGGCACGUCUUGCUAGAGGUCGCUACCGACUAUUGGGCCGAGUAGGAGUACUCGGGCCAUGUCUAUACGUAACCGAACCCAUAGGGUCACGCACUUAAGGGGCUGGAAGCCCAAUUCGGAUCUGAUCCGAGUUGGAUUAGGUUUAGGAGUACUAAUGGGCCUCCGAUCCAGAGGCCCAUCAGGAACCUCUAUAAAUAGAGGGGUGGGGGCGCCCUAGGGUUUACACCUUUUGGCGAAACACACCUGCCGCGCCUCCCACGCCCUCGCCUGUUGCAACUUGCGGAUCUAGCAGUCCGGCUUGCGACGCUUCCUCCCUGCACGUGUGGAUACCUUGGAGGUGUUGCGCCUGCAGCACUUGGACGAGCCAUCGACGAGCCGCCGACGAGCCACGACGAGCCAACAACGAGCCGCGGUACCGGAGGCGAUCUUGCUGUGCACGUGGACGAGCUGCUGAGGAGCUGCUGGAAGUGAUCGACUACGUACGACUACGUUGAUCGACUACGUACGACUACGUGAUCGUCUUCACUGCAUCGACGCAUAUCUACAUCUUCCGCACCAGUAGUGCGUCGAGUGGUAAUCCCGUGAUCCUUAUACGGCAGUUCUUCCUGGUUAUACGCGGUAGAAAUUUUGAUUUGCGCUAGUGUAGCCUACCUCGUAUCCCAACAACAGAAACAUAAGCUAGGAUUGGAAGGUAAAUCAACCUCAAUGCCCCACGCAUAGCAUGAGCAUCAUCGGCCUGGCACUUCUCAGCCUACUACGUACAACUCUAGCCUAUGUGCAUGUGGAUAGACCCAGGUUAAGAGAUAGACCUUGGUGGGCUAGCUUAUCAUUUUUGUUCCUUUUUUUUAAAAAAAGAGGGAGGAUUUUAAAUGACUAUAUUUUUUUUAAAAAAAGAUGAACUGACAUAAUUAUAUCUUUUGUGUGGAUGGUGGUUUGAAAAUGGGCCACAGUAGGCCCAAACUCGAGUCAAGGGCAUAUAACUGUCAAUACACGUAUUUUCGCAGUUAACUAUACUAAUGUACGCACCAAGUGUGUGUAUAUAUGUAUGUACAUAUAUAUAUAUGUGUGUAUAUAUAGAGUAUAUAUACUCUGUGGCUGGCUAUACAAUAAAUUAUUUUGUGUCCACCUAAUCCAACCGCACGUACCCAGCGCGAUCUCCAUUGAAACCACGCGGCACAUCCAGGAUUCUAGUUUCCAUCAGGCGCGGGCGGGUCCCCUGAACCGGCUGCAUGAGCCGAGCUAGCCGGGAGUUACUAACGAGCUGGUCGCUAGAGCUGAUAGCCUGGAGCGCCGGAUUUCAUUGACCGACAUGCACCCGUGAUCCGUAAUCAACGCCGGACGACAGUUCCUGCCAUACACAGCCGCAGUUGACGAGACUGACUCCACGACACAAGAUGUAAUUGGGUACUUGGUUGUACGAUAAUUCUAAAGUUUAUGUAUUUACGAGAAUACAAGAUGUAAUUGGGUACUUGCAUCCUUAAUGAAGCCAAAGUCAUUCCUUCCGUCCAGGCUGGAUGCAAGUAAUAUAUGGGUUACCAUAAUACAACAUCUGUACGUGGUGCAGGCUCCUCUGAAUGCAAACGUAUGUGAUACAAGAAAACAAGGUUAGGAGCCCAUCGUAUACAAGAAUACAAGGAAUAGAAACAAGUAACCACAAUUAGGAUAUGAGUUACAACGGCUUGGCGGCAAGUAAUUCCAAGGACCUGGUUACUAUAACUUCGGACCAAUUUACAAUGGAAGUUAGGAAGACGAGUUACCAACUUAGCACAAUUUGACAGUAAUCACGUCUGAGGACCUGGUACUAUAAUGCCGGGACCAAAUUACUACGAAGCUUAUUUAGGUAAAUACACUGAGAAAUGUGCUUGCAUGAUCCAUCUAUCUUGCCGACUAUACUUGUGAAGAAUUAGGAAAUGUGCAUAAGGAAUGCAUACCAAAUAAAGAUCAUGUAAUUACCAUAGUGACGUUAUGGAGUUAUCACAAUAGCAUUUACCAAUUACCAUAAUGGCGUAAUCCACUUACUGUUAUAAAAUGGUGCUUAAUUUAUUGAAUCAAAUGCCCCUGGAUCUACCACAUGGUAGUACAUAAUAUAAGCUAUAUUGACGUGGCACAUAUGAGCGAUAACAUUGGUUCGACUACUGUACAACAAUUUACAAAACAUUGCAGGCAUACCGUGUUCAUCUCGGUAAACAUGUUCUUCGCUGAGCAGCAACGGACGUCAACGAGGAGCUCCGAUUCUACGAGAAAAAGUGGCAACGGACAUCGUGGAAGACCGUGUCCCCUUUCUCGUAGAAUCGAAGCUCUUCCAUGACGAAGUACGGUGCCGCCCAGCGGAGAACAUGCUCGCCGAGAUGAUCACAGUCUCCAAGUUCAACAAGUUCUGCAGUGCUAAGGUAUGAAUUUUCUACUACUGGAGGUAGUGGUGAUGGUGGGGGCGAUCGUCGUUCCUCUCGUGGCAAGGGGAAAACAAUAGUUGGCCCUCAUGAUAAGUUGAAGAAAAUGAGCACAUGGGAGAAAGUAAUGCUUCAUUUUUUGCAGAGAUGUCAUGAAAAUGCUGUUCCAACGGGUUAGGAACCUCCUUUUGGUGGUCGUUAUGCUCCGCCGUCAGUCCCGGGUGUUUCACGUCUACUUAGUACUACCGUUGCAGGAAGCACAAAUAAACCAUAGGAUGAGGCUGGGUCAGCGGAACCUUCAUCUUCGCCACCCAAGGAUGCUUAAAGUCUUCCUAGAUAAUACUCAGUAGAUGGCUUGUUGUAGUGUAACAUGUUGUUUGGAUCUAUAAUUUAAAUGUGUGUAUUUCUAUCUAUAUCUAAACUUUGAGCAUGAUUUGCACUAUGAAGUUUGACAUGCUUUCAAUCGUGAAUAGCAUGUCGAUAAGUUGUAAAGCAUAUCAAAUAAUUGUAAUCCAUUUUCAUGCGUAAUCCAUUUUCGUGUGUAAUAUGAUGCAGAUAGACCGGCAAUGGAUGUAUAAUGCGUACAAAUGGAGCAAGGUGUUUAUUGAUGGCUUGCAUUAUUUUCUCAAAGUGACUAAAGCGAACAAGCUAGAGAAUGAGUUCGUAUGUUGUCCAUGCUUCCAAUGCAGUAAAAGAAGGACUAUUCAAAGGAUUCCUGGGGGACUAUUAACAACCACUUGUUUAGAUACAGUUUCAUGCCUAACUAUUUGGUUUGGACCAAGCAUGGCGAAAGAGGGGUUGUAAUGGAAGACAACGAAGAGGAGGAGGAGGAGGAUGACAACAUUCUGGACUGGGCUGCAGGCCAAGCUUUUGCAGAUACUACAAUGGCCGAAGCUAAUGAAGAUGAGUUUGCAGAAGAUGAUCCUACUGAUGACCUUGGUCAGGUGUUACGAGAUACACACAGAGAUUGCGAAACUGAGAAGGAAGCAGCAAAGUUGCAGCGCAUGAUAGAUGAUCACAAAAAAUUGUUGUACCCAGAUUGCCAGCAGGGCCAUAAAAAAUGGGGUACCACACUAGAAUUUAUCCAAUGUAAGGCCAAAAAUGGUGUGUCCGAUAAGGCAUUUCAGGGGAUGUUGAAAAUUGUCAAGAAGAUUCUUCCUGAGAAUAAUGAAUUGUCAUCCACAACAUAUGAAGCUAAAAAGAUUAUUUGCCCUCUAGGAUUGGAGGUUCAGAAGAUACAUGCAUGCCCUAAUUACUAUAUCCUCUAUCAUUUUGCUAAAUACGAGAAAAUGGAUGCUUGUCCCAUUUGUGAAGCGCUGCGGUAUAAGAUCAGGCGAGAUGAUCCUGGUGAUGUCGAGGGGCAGCCUCCCAAGAAGAGAGUUCCCGAGAAGGUGAUGUGGUAUUUCCCUAUAAUACCAUGCUUGAAGCGCUUGUUCAAGAACAAGGCAAAUGCUAAGUUGAUGCGAUGCCACACGCUUUCGUUCAUCACCCGGUCAUCCCGCCGCCGACCCACCAACAUAUGCCAGCUCCCCAGCCAGUAAUUCAUCAGCAGCAGGUCGACUGGACGGCAAGGAUAGCAGAGGUGAUUCAAGAUCAAUUUAGGUUGAAGCCGAAGGUACAAACCUACACAUACAGAAAUCCAUACCUGCCUACCUACGAUCUACUGCCGUUUCCCCAUUGGUACAAAGUUCCUAACCUCACCAAAAUCUCGGGGCUAGAUGACACCUCAACUGUGGAGCACAUAAACAGAUUCAUCAUCCAAUGUGGGGAGGAGGCUACACAGGAUGCUCUGCCGGUGCGUUUGUUCUCUUCGUCCCUGUCCGGGUCGGCUUUCCAGUGGUUCACUACGCUACCGCCCAAUUCCAUAGUUACUUGGGCCGACCUGGAGAAGCAGUUCCAUAAAUACUUCUACGCGGGAGUGCAUAAGAUGAAGCUCUCAGAUCUGACCAGCCUCAGGCAAAGAAGCGACGAGCCCGUGACCAAUUACGUGCAAAGGUUUAGGGAAGUCAGAAACAAAUGCUACACCCUGAUCUUGACUGAUGCGCAGCUGGCCGACAUCACCUUCCAAGGCCUCCUGCCACAUAUCAAGGAAAAAUAUGCAUCUCAGGAGUUCGAGAGUCUGAGUCAGAUCGUUCACCGAUUGGCCGGACAGGAAGUACGCCCUUUUGAUCAGCGGAGAAAUUUUUAGAAGAAGGUGGCGUACUUAGAGGGAUCUGAAUCUGAGGAGGAAACAGAAAUCGGCCUAGCGGAGUAGGUUAAAGGAAAGAAGCCGAUAUCGUGUCCUUUUGGGAAAAAGGAACCAAAGGCGUUCGGUUUCGACACGUCAAAGGCCGACAAAAUUUUUGACCUACUUCUCCAAGAAGGGCAGAUCAAACUCUCACCCUAUCAUACGAUCCCGUCGGCUGAGCAGCUAAAAAAGAUGAAGUAUUGCAAGUGGCACAAUGCCACGUCCCAUGACACAAACGAAUGCAAGAUCUUCCAUCAACAAAGCCAAUGAAAAUUGAUCAGCAUCCUUUUCCCACCAACAUGGUCGACACGGGAAGAAACGCACCUCAAACCAAGGUGCUGACAUCGGAAUCGGCUAAAAAGAGUGGCGCUGUGGACCCCAGGAAUCAGGCUUCUAUGGAAGAUGUCAAGGGGAAGCGACAGGAUCCAGAAUAUAAGUGUAAAUUGACAAAUUUAUUGAAAGAAUUUAAAGAUUGUUUUGCUUGGGAAUAUCAUGAGAUGCCUUGUUUAGACCAGUCCAUUGUUGAACACCGGUUGCCCAUAAAGCCAGGAUAUCGGCCAUAUCAGCAGCCCGCACGACGAUACAAUCCUAAAAUUCUACCUGACAUGAAGGCCGAGAUUACAAGGCUGAUUGAGGUGAAAUUUAUUCGGCAGUGCCGUUAUGCCGAAUGGAUCUCUACUAUUGUACCCGUAUACUAUUGUACCCGUAUGCAAGAAAAACGGAAAACUGUGCAUGUGCAUUAAUUUCAGAAACCUUAAUCAAGCUACGCCGAUGGAUGGGUAUCCAAUGCCGACAGCUGAUGUGUUGAUAGAUGCUGCCGCAGGACAUAAUGCCGGGUACAAUCAAAUAUUAAUGGCUGAAGAAGAUAUUUUGACAACGGCCUUCAGAUGUCCGGGCCACCUUGGUUUAUUCGAGUGGGUAGUAAUGACUUUUGGAUUAAAGAACGCCGGCGCUACAUAUCAACGGGCUAUGAAUUACAUCUUCCACAAACUCAUCGGCAUCCUGGUGGAAAUCUACAUCGAUGAUGUUGUGGUCAAGUCAAAAGGACAUCAAGAACAUCUGGCCGAUUUGCGAGAGGUAUUGGACUGCACAAGAUAGCAUGGUUUGAAAAUGAACCCGAACAAGUGUGCAUUUGGCGUGUCGGCCAGGCAAUUUCUGGGAUUCAUGGUUCAUGAGCGCGGGAUAGAAGUCAACCGGAAAAUCAUAGCGGCUAUCAACAAGGUCGUGGCCCCACAGAAUAAAACUGAGUUGCAAUCCUUAAUCGGCAAAGUUAACUUUAUCAGAAGAUUCAUAUCCAAUUUAUCCAGACGUAUUCAAGCCUUCACGCCAUUAUUGAAGUUAAAGCCCGACCAAGAGUUCGUGUGGGGAGAAGAACAGCGAAAAGCACUAGAAGACAUCAAGCAAUAUCUGAUCUCGCCAAUUGGCAAAGUUAACUUUAUCAGAAGAUUCAUAUCCAAUUUAUCCAAACGUAUUCAAGCCUUCACGCUAUUAUUGAAGUUAAAGCCCGACCAAGGAAGGAGUAAUAUACUAUGUCAGCAGAAGACUUCUAGAUGCGGAGACAAGAUACUCCCCAGUGGAACAGCUUUGCCUGUGUCUUUAUUUCUCAUGCACCAAGCUUAGGCACUACUUGUUAUCGGCAGAGUGCAUAGUUGUAUGCAAGGAUGACGUGGUAAAGUACAUGCUGUCGUUGCCGAUUUUGAAAGGGUGAAUUGGGAAGUGGAUUCUAGCGCUGUCGGAGUUUGACCUAAGAUAUGAAUUGGCCAAAGCUGUGAAGGGUCAGGUCAUGGCCAAUUUCGUGGCUCAGCACUGCGGAUCGGAAAUCGUCGUAGUUGAGCUGGUUCCAUGGACUUUAUACUUUGACGGUUCAUCAUGUGGGGCCGGAUCUGGAAUCGGCAUCGUUCUCAUAUCGCCUUGGGGGGCAAGUUAUGAUUUCUCUCUGCCGAUAGAAGCAUCAGCGACUAAUAAUCAGGCGGAAUACCGAGCCAUCUUAAAAGGCAUACAAUUAUUGAGGGAGAUCAAAGUCGAUGUUGUGGAAAUUUUUGGGGAUUCCAUGGUCAUCGUAGACCAAUUAACGGGAAGGUCCGAAUGCAAAGAUGAUGUUUUAAGAAUUUACUAUGAGGAUUGCCUCCAACUUCUAAAAGAAUUGAAUUCCUCGGCUAUUGAGCAUAUUCCCAGAAACUAUAAUGAAGAGGCUAAUAGGCUUGCCCAACACGCAUCCGGGUAUCGGCCGAUUCAAGGCGCCAUGACUCUAGAACUCGCGGCCGACUAUUGGCGAAGAGAGAUUGCCGACUACUUGAAAGAUCCAUCCAAGAAAGUGGAUCGGCGAGUGUGUUUCCAAGCCACAAAGUAUGUACUACUAGGAGAUGAUUUGUUCUACCGAAUGAUUGAUGGGGUUCUGCUCAAAUGCCUGGGGAUGGAAGAAGCAAAGAUCCUGAUGGGAGAAAUCCAUGAGGGCGUGUGUGGAGCUCACCAAUCGGCUCAUAAAAUGAAGUGGAUGAUUAGGAAUAACGGAUAUUAUUGGCCGACUAUCCUUGAAGACUGCUUCAAAUAUUAUAAAGGGUGUCAGGAUUGUCAGAAAUUUGGAAAUGUACAACGUGCGCUCGCAUCGGCCAUGAAUCCGAUAAUCAAGCCAUGGCCGUUCAGGGGUUGGGGAAUGGACCUCAUCGGACAGAUUUAUCCUCCAUCAAGCAAGGGACACAAGUUCAUAUUAGUAGCCACUGACUAUUUUACCAAAUGGGUGGAGGCGAUCCCACUAAAGGCCGUGACAUCGGUCGCUAUUGUGGAUUUCAUAAGAGACCACAUUGUCUAUCAUUUCGGUAUCCCUCAAACCAUCACGACCGACCAAGGGACGAUGUUCACUUCGGGAGAGUUCGAGGAAUUCACUGCCGAUAUGGGAAUUAAAUUGCUAAAUUCUUCUCCAUAUUAUGCUCAAGCUAACGGCCAGGCUUAAUCAUCCAAUAAGAGGAUAAUUAAGCUGAUCAAAAGGAAGAUUGAGGAACAACCUAAAAAGUGGCAUUUAUGUUUGACCGAGGCUUUAUGGGCUUAUAGGAUGGCCUGCCACGGGGCCACUAAGAUAUGUCCCUAUUAAUUGGUGUAUGGUCACAAGGCAGUGUUGCCUUGGGAAUUAAGGACGAGGUCAAGACGCACAUCGCUUCAAGAUUAGUUGAUGGCCGAUGACUACUCCUCACUCAUGAAAGGAGAACUCGAUGAUUUGGCAGCUCAACGAUUAAGGGCCCUGAUCAGCAUUGAGGAGAAUAAAAAAAGAGUGGCCAGGUGGUACGACAAGAAAGUCAAAAUCAAGCAAUUCUCCCAAGGAGAUUUGGUAUGGAAGUUGGUGCUGCCGAUAGGGUCUAAAGAUUCCAAAUUCGGUAAAUGGUCGCCCACUUGGGAAGGGCAGUAUAAAAUCGGCCGAUGCACUCCAGGAUAUGCGUAUAUACUGGAGACGAUCGAAGGAGAAGAAUUCACAAGAGCCUUGAACGGGAGGUACCUGAAAAGAUACUAUCCCAGUAUAUGGGUCGAUGCAUAAGUAUUUACGGAGUAUACCAAGAUGAUGCGGCCAGCUCCUAGUAGACCUUGUAGCCGGUGCAAGAACAACAUCGCCUCAAGAACAAGAAAUUCGUUCAAGUUGGCCGAUUUAUUAUUCGGUGCCAAUGAUAGGGUACAUGGCCGACACGGUACAAGUCGCCCUUAGAACAAAAAGUACCAACACGCCUACUGACCAUGCUUUUUCUUAAUUUCCCUCUCUACCCGAUCUAGUUCUAUCAAGAGACGGACACUUCUCUCCUCCACAUCCUUUAUCGCGGCUUCAACCUCAAGUUGACGGGGAAGAGGAUGGCUCCGGUCAAGCGGUAGUGGAGACAUUCCCGCUGUAGCGUCUUCAAGGGUGACUGGGCGAGGGAGCGGAUGACUCCUUUCUAUUGGCGGCCGCCUAGAGUAGUUGGCGUCGAUGUGAUCCCAGAUCCGCUUGACUUUUGCAGGAACGUAGUCCCUGAGUUCUUCACAGUGAGCUCUGAUCAAGUCUUUGUCCUCCUCCGACAACGGUUCAUCGGAGUGCAUGAUAUCGAUUGCCCGUUCCAGUUUGGGACUAAGGCGUCUCGGCUAAAAAAAUUGAUAAAUGGCCGCUCGACGUCAGAUUAAUCAUAAUGUCGAACCAUGGACCAGAGGGCAAAGUAAGAUCUCGUACCUAGUUGAUGGAGGAGGAGGAAAAGGAAGAAGAUGAAGAAGACAUCUUGGUGAUAGUCCGAUGGUAUGAACUACUAGAGGAGAAAAGGACGAGCGAGGCGAGUGCGCUUGGAAACAAUACGGGGUCUCGUACAUAUGAAGAGAAAAGGGGUGAGAGUUUGGUAAGACCCUCCCAUCGGAGUAAAAGGGGUGAUAAAUGAAAUGCCGCCAUGAAGGAUGGGUCAAAGUUGGAUUCAUACGCCAAACGGACAAAAGGCUUUGAUGUUUUUACAGAGCGGCCAAUUUUUUUACAAUUCAUCCAAGGAGGGCAUUAAUGGUCGCAAUCGCUCGUUGCCUAACUUUAUCGGCCAAAUCUAAGAUUCGCUGGUCAUCAUCGGCCGAUCCUGGGACUUCUGGCAUAUGACGGUGAAGUCUGAUUGCUUCAUGGGCUAGGUUUUGUCUCUCUUGCUUCAGUUCGGCGAUAACAGAGGGGAGGUCUUGGAGUCUCUUCUCUUCAAUGGCGAUAUCCCUAGUCACUUGCUCCAUCUCCUUGGUGAGCUCCGCCCUUCGGCGCUUGAGGCGAUCUAUGGCACCAACGAUACCCGGGCGGGAAUUUUCAAGGAAGAUGAUUCGGUGAUGCACAUCUUGUGCUCAGUGCUUGUAAGAGUCUUCCUCCUCACGAGCCUUAGCCAGCUUGGCGCGAUCGGCCAUGUGGUGCAGAGCCCUGAACACUGGGAUUCGCAUUGAUUCGAUGUAUGCGGCUGACGCCAGGGCUUCUUGCGCCUCCUCUGGGACUUGGCCACUAAUAUCACUAAAGAGUUGCCGAAUCGGCGAAGCGUCCUCCACCAAUCGGCCGAUGUCUUCUUGGUGGAGGGUCCGUAUGCUCUCGAGUUUGGCACGGACAUCAUCAGGGACUGAGCUCAGGGUGACCUGACAUGAGGCAACCUCCUCAUCAUUAGAUAGUGCGACUGCGAAGGAGAAGAGGCUGUUAUUUGGGGUAUCUUAUUCCUGCAGGAAAGUAAAAUGAUAAGCAUCGAUUAGACGACGGUAAUAGGAAAAUCGGCCGAUUUGGGUGACAAGUUUCUUAUUUCUUUGAAGUAGAUCUCUUCUGUUUGCGUCAACGGGAGUGCUGCCCUAGGUUUAGAAGCUGGUGCGACUGGCUCAUCGGAAGAGGAGGACUCGACGAUUAUUGGCGUCCUGCUUGGACCGGCCUCCUGGAAGGGUACAAGGAGCAAGUUCUUAUGAGUAUUGUUGGGGGGAAAUAUUAACGACCUCCUAAUGCCACUUAAAGCAAUAGUCAUGAAGACCCAGGCCCAUCUAAGGUAGCGAAAUUGCUGUCAGCCCAACAUGAAAGGGAGAGGCCAUGUUCCGCCUCGCCCGACCCGGAGUCCCGGGGUCGGACGCUCCCGAACCCUUGAAGACUAAACUCCGCCUCGCCCGACCCAGGGGACCGGGGUUGGGAACGCCCGACCCCCACCACAGAAACUCCGCCUCGCACGACCCUGGGCGCGGGGGUCGGACUCGCUCGGGUCCACAAGAUGAAUAUUCGCCUCGGGCGCGGACUGGAGGAUCAGGAUGACGAUCUCGUGGGUCCUCCUAUCGACCUCGCCAUUAAUGCGCCGUGGCCCUGCCAAGCCAAAAGGGAGCGGCGUCCCCAACGUAACCGGUCUCGAAUACCGGUGCGCGGCCGUGCGGCGCGAGCUGCAGUGGCCAUGGCUCCUUCUGAUUUGCCACAGAGUACUCAUGAGCUGCGCCGAACGACACAGGAGGGCGCAUCACUUGCCCUCGCGCCCCGUGCGCUCAACGGCAGUUUCAGGGAUGCGACGUCCGGGUCUUACGGUAAUCGGCGGGGUAACAGAAUCGGGCCUCCUCCCCAGCGGGCAUGAAUGCCGAGGCUGAGGGUCAUCAUCACGCUCGACGGCGACGGCGACCAGGGAGAUUAUCGACAAGAUCUGGAAGGAAUCCCCCUCCCUCUCCGGAUGCACUGACAGGGAUCGGAGGCUGGAGCAAGAGCAGGGGCCUUGGGACCCUCCCCUUGUAUUAUUUUUUUCUACUUGGCUUAUCCUUUCUACCUCUUCUCCUGACGCCCAGUUCGACUGUAACCCCGAGCUCCCUCUUGUGCUAUAAAAGGGGGACUCGGACUCUCUCUCAGGGGAACAAUACACUCUCACACUCCCUUAGAGCACAAGCACGCUCAAGAGACCUGCGAUAAGUUCCCUCUCUCGUCCAUCUGUAACCCCUACUACAGAGCCCCGUGUGGGCAACACGAGCCGCCUCGAUACUGGACGUAGGGCCUCCUUUGCCCAAACCAGUCUAACCCCGUGUCUCCCACGCCACCAUCCGAAGCCUUACGCGCAUAAAAGAAAUUUACUAGUCUAGAGUCUUGAUCCGCAAAUCUUGACAACGAUAGUUGGCGCGCCAGGUAGGGGACCUUUGCGCGUACAUCUCCGGCUUCAGAUGGCCAGCCACAACACCAGCUUCACUCCGGGCUCCCUGAUCCGCUUCGGGAGUCUGGACUUCCUCACCACCGGGGAGGGGAUCGAGCUGAUCCCUCUCCUCGUCUUGCCCGCUCGUCCUGCCAUCCCCGGCCCCACAGCUGGGACAACGGCGAGCGGCCAGGCGUGCGCUGGAGGGCCCUUCCCAAGUGGUCGGCUCUUUGGGCUGCGCAAUGCUGCGGUGACUUACGGUCACCUCCUGACGCGGUCCAUGACCGUGUCGCCCGCGAGCAACAAACUCGCGGGCGUGGCGAGGACAAUCUCCGACACCGGCUCCGACAGCGGGAGCCACCACCCCUCACGUGAGUGCUUCAUGGCCGACGUGCACUCCGAGGGGUCCAACAACGACGGCGCCAAAGGGAGACAGAGGACUCCCCCUCCGCGCGCCGUGGUGACGACCGGGGCCGUUGGCAAGGCUCCGAAGCACCCUCGGCAACCGGGGACGCGCACGGCGUCCUACCAAGAAGUCGAAUGCCCGAUACUAAUGUGUUGGAUGAAUGAUCAGUUUUUCAGCAGUGGAAUGUGCAAACACCAGCUAGCAGUACUGAAGUUGGAUGGAAGGUUGGCUUUGUCUGAACAAAUCAGUCCUUUCCGAGGCGAGGGCCCUGGCACGCGUCAUUUUGCAGUUGCUCUGAUAGAGUGCCAGGUUUUGGCGUUCAGCCGAAGUAGCUUUGGUGGGGUUCAUAUUGCUCCGUCGGUACAAGAACUAGCGCCCAGACAACCCAGAAUUGUGGAGUGCCUAGACAUCCAAGAUCCAACCCAGACAGAAACAUAAGCUAGGAUUGGAAGGUAAAUCAACCUCAAUGCCCCACGCAUAGCAUGAGCAUCAUCGGCCUGGCACUUCUCAGCCUACUACGUACAACUCUAGCCUAUGUGCAUGUGGAUAGACCCAGGUUAAGAGAUAGACCUUGGUGGGCUAACUUAUCAUUUUUGUUCCUUUUUUUUUAAAAAAAGAGGGAGGAUUUUAAAUGACUAUAUUUUUUAAAAAAAAAGAUGAACUGAAAUAAUUAUAUCUUUUGUGUGGAUGGUGGUUUGAAAAUGGGCCACAGUAGGCCCAAACUCGAGUCAAGGGCAUAUAACUGUCAAUACACGUAUUUUCGCAGUUAACUAUACUAAUGUACGCACCAAGUGUGUGUAUAUAUGUAUGUAUAUAUAUAUAUCUGUGUGUGUAUAUAUAGAGUAUAUAUACUCUGUGGCUGGCUAUACAAUAAAUUAUUUUGUGUCCACCUAAUCCAACCGCACGUACCCAGCGCGAUCUCCAUUGAAACCACGCGGCACAUCCAGGAUUCUAGUUUCCAUCAGGCGCGGGCGGGUCCCCUGAACCGGCUGCAUGAGCCGAGCUAGCCGGGAGUUACUAACGAGCUGGUCGCUAGAGCUGAUAGCCUGGAGCGCCGGAUUUCAUUGACCGACAUGCACCCGUGAUCCGUAAUCAACGCCGGACGACAGUUCCUGCCAUACACAGCCGCAGUUGACGAGACUGACUCCACGACACAAGAUGUAAUUGGGUACUUGGUUGUACGAUAAUUCUAAAGUUUAUGUAUUUACGAGAAUACAAGAUGUAAUUGGGUACUUGCAUCCUUAAUGAAGCCAAAGUCAUUCCUUCCGUCCAGGCUGGAUGCAAGUAAUAUAUGGGUUACCAUAAUACAACAUCUGUACGUGGUGCAGGCUCCUCUGAAUGCAAACGUAUGUGAUACAAGAAAACAAGGUUAGGAGCCCAUCGUAUACAAGAAUACAAGGAAUAGAAACAAGUAACCACAAUUAGGAUAUGAGUUACAACGGCUUGGCGGCAAGUAAUUCCAAGGACCUGGUUACUAUAACUUCGGACCAAUUUACAAUGGAAGUUAGGAAGACGAGUUACCAACUUAGCACAAUUUGACAGUAAUCACGUCUGAGGACCUGGUACUAUAAUGCCGGGACCAAAUUACUACGAAGCUUAUUUAGGUAAAUACACUGAGAAAUGUGCUUGCAUGAUCCAUCUAUCUUGCCGACUAUACUUGUGAAGAAUUAGGAAAUGUGCAUAAGGAAUGCAUACCAAAUAAAGAUCAUGUAAUUACCAUAGUGACGUUAUGGAGUUAUCACAAUAGCAUUUACCAAUUACCAUAAUGGCGUAAUCCACUUACUGUUAUAAAAUGGUGCUUAAUUUAUUGAAUCAAAUGCCCCUGGAUCUACCACAUGGUAGUACAUAAUAUAAGCUAUAUUGACGUGGCACAUAUGAGCGAUAACAUUGGUUCGACUACUGUACAACAAUUUACAAAACAUUGCAGGCAUACCGUGUUCAUCUCGGUAAACAUGUUCUUCGCUGAGCAGCAACGGACGUCAACGAGGAGCUCCGAUUCUACGAGAAAAAGUGGCAACGGACAUCGUGGAAGACCGUGUCCCCUUUCUCGUAGAAUCGAAGCUCUUCCAUGACGAAGUACGGUGCCGCCCAGCGGAGAACAUGCUCGCCGAGAUGAUCACAGUCUCCAAGUUCAACAAGUUCUGCAGUGCUAAGGUAUGAAUUUUCUACUACUGGAGGUAGUGGUGAUGGUGGGGGCGAUCGUCGUUCCUCUCGUGGCAAGGGGAAAACAAUAGUUGGCCCUCAUGAUAAGCUGAAGAAAAUGAGCACAUGGGAGAAAGUAAUGCUUCGUUUUUUGCAGAGAUGUCAUGAAAAUGCUGUUCCAGCGGGUUAGAAACCUCCUUUUGGUGGUCGUUAUGCUCCACCGUCAGUCCCGGGUGUUUCACGUCUACUUAGUACUACCGUUGCAGGAAGCACAAAUAAACCAUAGGAUGAGGCUGGGUCAGCGGAACCUUCAUCUUCGCCGCCCAAGGAUGCUUAAAGUCCUCCUAGAUAAUACUCAGUAGAUGGCUUAUCGUAGUGUAACAUGUUGUUUGGAUCUAUAAUUUAAAUGUGUGUAUUUCUAUCUAUAUCUAAACUUUGAGCAUUAUUUGCACUAUGAAGUUUGACAUGCUUUCAAUCGUGAAUAGCAUGUAGAUAAGUUGUAAAGCAUAUCAAAAAAUUGUAAUCCAUUUUCAUGCGUAAUCCAUUUUCGUGUGUAAUAUGAUGCAGAUAGACCGGCAAUGGAUGUAUAAUGCGUACAAAUGGAGCAAGGUGUUUAUUGAUGGCUUGCAUUAUUUUCUCAAAGUGACUAAAGUGAACAAGCUAGAGAAUGAGUUCGUAUGUUGUCCAUGCUUCCAAUGCAGUAAAAGAAGGACUAUUCAAAGGAUUCCUGGGGGACUAUUAACAACCACUUGUUUAGAUACAGUUUCAUGCCUAACUAUUUGGUUUGGACCAAGCAUGGCGAAAGAGGGGUUGUAAUGGAAGACAACGAAGAGGAGGAGGAGGAUGACAACAUUCUGGACUGGGUUGCAGGCCAAGCUUUUGCAGAUACUACAAUGGCCGAAGCUAAUGAAGAUGAGUUUGCAGAAGAUGAUCCUACUGAUAACCUUGGUCAGGUGUUACGAGAUACACACAGAGAUUGCGAAACUGAGAAGGAAGCAGCAAAGUUGCAGCGCAUGAUAGAAGAUUCUUCCUGAGAAUAAUGAAUUGUCAUCCACAACAUAUGAAGCUAAAAAGAUUAUUUGCCCUCUAGGAUUGGAGGUUCAGAAGAUACAUGCAUGCCCUAAUGACUAUAUCCUCUAUCAUUUUGCUAAAUACGAGAAAAUGGAUGCUUGUCCCAUUUGUGAAGCGCUGCGGUAUAAGAUCAGGCGAGAUGAUCCUGGUGAUAUCGAGGGGCAGCCUCCCAAGAAGAGAGUUCCCGUGAAGGUGAUGUGGUAUUUCCCUAUAAUACCACGCUUGAAGCGCUUGGUCAAGAACAAGGCAAAUGCUAAGUUGAUGCUAAGUUGAUGCGAUGCCACACGCUUUCGUUCAUCACCCGGUCAUCCCGCCGCCGACCCACCAACAUAUGCCAGCUCCCCAGCCAGUAAUUCAUCAGCAGCAGGUCGACUGGACGGCAAGGAUAGCAGAGGUGAUUCAAGAUCAAUUUAGGUUGAAGCCGAAGGUACAAACCUACACAUACAGAAAUCCAUACCUGCCUACCUACGAUCUACUGCCGUUUCCCCAUUGGUACAAAGUUCCUGACCUCACCAAGUUCUCGGGGCUAGAUGACACCUCAACUGUGGAGCACAUAAAUAGAUUCAUCAUCCAAUGUGGGGAGGAGGCUACACAGGAUGCUCUGCCGAUGCGUUUGUUCUCUUCGUCCCUGUCCGGGUCGGCUUUCCAGUGGUUCACUACGCUACCGCCCAAUUCCAUAGUUACUUGGGCCGACCUGGAGAAGCAGUUCCAUAAAUACUUCUACGCGGGAGUGCAUAAGAUGAAGCUCUCAGAUCUGACCAGCCUCAGGCAAAGAAGCGACGAGCCCGUGACCAAUUACGUGCAAAGGUUUAGGGAAGUCAGAAACAAAUGCUACACCCUGAUCUUGACUGAUGCGCAGCUGGCCGACAUCACCUUCCAAGGCCUCCUGCCACAUAUCAAGGAAAAAUAUGCAUCUCAGGAGUUCGAGAGUCUGAGUCAGAUCGUUCACCGAUUGGCCGGACAGGAAGUACGCCCUUUUGAUCAGCGGAGAAAUUUUCAGAAGAAGGUGGCGUACUUAGAGGGAUCUGAAUCUGAGGAGGAAACAGAAAUCGGCCUAGCGGAGUAGGUUAAAGGAAAGAAGCCGAUAUCGUGUCCUUUUGGGAAAAAGGAACCGAAGGCGUUCGGUUUCGACACAUCAAAGGCCGACAAAAUUUUUGACCUACUUCUCCAAGAAGGGCAGAUCAAACUCUCACCCUAUCAUACGAUCCCGUCGGCUGAGCAGCUAAAAAAGAUGAAGUAUUGCAAGUGGCACAAUGCCACGUCCCAUGACACAAACGAAUGCAAGAUCUUCCAUCAACAAAGCCAAUGAAAAUUGAUCAGCAUCCUUUUCCCACCAACAUGGUCGACACGGGAAGAAACGCACCUCAAACCAAGGUGCUGACAUCGGAAUCGGCUGAAAGGAGUGGCGCUGUGGACCCCAGGAAUCAGGCUUCUAUGGAAGAUGUCAAGGGGAAGCGACAGGAUCCAGAAUAUAAGUGUAAAUUGACAAAUUUAUUGAAAGAAUUUAAAGAUUGUUUUGCUUGGGAAUAUCAUGAGAUGCCUUGUUUAGACCAGUCCAUUGUUGAACACUGGUUGCCCAUAAAGCCAGGAUAUCGACCAUAUCAGCAGCCCGCACGACGAUACAAUCCUAAAAUUCUACCUGACAUGAAGGCCGAGAUUACAAGGCUGAUUGAGGUGAAAUUUAUUCGGCAGUGCCGUUAUGCCGAAUGGAUCUCUACUAUUGUACCCGUAUGCAAGAAAAACGGAAAACUGUGCAUGUGCAUUAAUUUCAGAAACCUUAAUCAAGCUACGCCGAUGGAUGGGUAUCCAAUGCCGACAGCUGAUGUGUUGAUAGAUGCUGCCGCAGGACAUAAAGUCAUCAGUUUUAUGGACGGUAAUGCCGGGUACAAUCAAAUAUUAAUGGCUGAAGAAGAUAUUUUGAAAACGGCCUUCAGAUGUCCGGGCCACCUUGGUUUAUUCGAGUGGGUAGUAAUGACUUUUGGAUUAAAGAACGCCGGCGCUACAUAUCAACGGGCUAUGAAUUACAUCUUCCACAAACUCAUCGGCAUCCUGGUGGAAAUCUACAUCGACGAUGUUGUGGUCAAGUCAAAAGGACAUCAAGAACAUCUGGCCGAUUUGCGAGAGGUAUUGGACUGCACAAGAUAGCAUGGUUUGAAAAUGAACCCGAACAAGUGUGCAUUUGGCGUGUCGGCCAGGCAAUUUCUGGGAUUCAUGGUUCAUGAGCGCGGGAUAGAAGUCAACCGGAAAAUCAUAGCGGCUAUCAACAAGGUCGUGGCCCCACAGAAUAAAACUGAGUUGCAAUCCUUAAUCGGCAAAGUUAACUUUAUCAGAAGAUUCAUAUCCAAUUUAUCCAGACGUAUUAUUGGAUCGACGCUGGUACAGGAGUUCGAAGGAAAGGAAGGAGUAAUAUACUAUGUCAGCAGAAGACUUCUAGAUGCGGAGACAAGAUACUCCCCAGUGGAACAGCUUUGCCUGUGUCUUUAUUUCUCAUGCACCAAGCUUAGGCACUACUUGUUAUCGGCAGAGUGCAUAGUUGUAUGCAAGGAUGACGUGGUAAAGUACAUGCUGUCGUUGCCGAUUUUGAAAGGGUGAAUUGGGAAGUGGAUUCUAGCGCUGUCGGAGUUUGACCUAAGAUAUGAAUUGGCCAAAGCUGUGAAGGGUCAGGUCAUGGCCAAUUUCGUGGCUCAGCACUGCGGAUCGGAAAUCGUCGUAGUUGAGCUGGUUCCAUGGACUUUAUACUUUGACGGUUCGUCAUGUGGGGCCGGAUCUGGAAUCGACAUCGUUCUCAUAUCGCCUUGGGGGGCAUGUUAUGAUUUCUCUCUGCCAAUAGAAGCAUCAGCGACUAAUAAUCAGGCGGAAUACCGAGCCGUCUUAAAAGGCAUACAAUUAUUGAGGGAGAUCAAAGUCGACGUUGUGGAAAUUUUUGGGGAUUCCAUGGUCAUCGUAGACCAACUAACGGGAAGGUCCGAAUGCAAAGAUGAUGUUUUAAGAAUUUACUAUGAGGAUUGCCUCCAACUUCUAAAAGAAUUCAAUUCCGCGGCUAUUGAGCAUAUUCCCAGAAACUAUAAUGAAGAGGCUAAUAGGCUUGCCCAACACGCAUCCGGGUAUCGGCCGAUUCAAGGCGCCAUGACUCUAGAACUCGCGGCCGACUAUUGGCGAAGAGAGAUUGCCGACUACUUGAAAGAUCCAUCCAAGAAAGUGGAUCGGCGAGUGUGUUUCCAAGCCACAAAGUAAAGAUCCUGAUGGGAGAAAUCCAUGAGGGCGUGUGUGGAGCUCACCAAUCGGCUCAUAAAAUGAAGUGGAUGAUUAGGAAUAACGGAUAUUAUUGGCCGACUAUCCUUGAAGACUGCUUCAAAUAUUAUAAAGGGUGUCAGGAUUGUCAGAAAUUUGGAAAUGUACAACGUGCGCUCGCAUCGGCCAUGAAUCCGAUAAUCAAGCCAUGGCCGUUUAGGGGUUGGGGAAUGGACCUCAUCGGAUAGAUUUAUCCUCCAUCAAGCAAGGGACACAAGUUCAUAUUAGUAGCCACUGACUAUUUUACCAAAUGGGUGGAGGCGAUCCCACUAAAGGCCGUGACAUCGGUCGCUAUUGUGGAUUUCAUAAGAGACCACAUUGUCUAUCAUUUCGGUAUCCCUCAAACCAUCACGACCGACCAAGGGACGAUGUUCACUUCGGGAGAGUUCGAGGAAUUCACUGCCGAUAUGGGAAUUAAAUUGCUAAAUUCUUCUCCAUAUUAUGCUCAAGCUAACGGCCAGGCUUAAUCAUCCAAUAAGAGGAUAAUUAAGCUGAUCAAAAGGAAGAUUGAGGAACAACCUAAAAAGUGGCAUUUAUGUUUGACCGAGGCUUUAUGGGCUUAUAGGAUGGCCUGCCACGGGGCCACUAAGAUAUGUCCCUAUUAAUUGGUGUAUGGUCACAAGGCAGUGUUGCCUUGGGAAUUAAGGACGAGGUCAAGACGCACAUCGCUUCAAGAUUAGUUGAUGGCCGAUGACUACUCCUCACUCAUGAAAGGAGAACUCGAUGAUUUGGCAGCUCAACGAUUAAGGGCCCUGAUCAGCAUUGAGGAGAAUAAAAAAAGAGUGGCCAGGUGGUACGACAAGAAAGUCAAAAUCAAGCAAUUCUCCCAAGGAGAUUUGGUAUGGAAGUUGGUGCUGCCGAUAGGGUCUAAAGAUUCCAAAUUCGGUAAAUGGUCGCCCACUUGGGAAGGGCAGUAUAAAAUCGGCCGAUGCACUCCAGGAUAUGCGUAUAUACUGGAGACGAUCGAAGGAGAAGAAUUCACAAGAGCCUUGAACGGGAGGUACCUGAAAAGAUACUAUCCCAGUAUAUGGGUCGAUGCAUAAGUAUUUACGGAGUAUACCAAGAUGAUGCGGCCAGCUCCUAGUAGACCUUGUAGCCGGUGCAAGAACAACAUCGCCUCAAGAACAAGAAAUUCGUUCAAGUUGGCCGAUUUAUUAUUCGGUGCCAAUGAUAGGGUACAUGGCCGACACGGUACAAGUCGCCCUUAGAACAAAAAGUACCAACACGCCUACUGACCAUGCUUUUUCUUAAUUUCCCUCUCUACCCGAUCUAGUUCUAUCAAGAGACGGACACUUCUCUCCUCCACAUCCUUUAUCGCGGCUUCAACCUCAAGUUGACGGGGAAGAGGAUGGCUCCGGUCAAGCGGUAGUGGAGACAUUCCCGCUGUAGCGUCUUCAAGGGUGACUGGGCGAGGGAGCGGAUGACUCCUUUCUAUUGGCGGCCGCCUAGAGUAGUUGGCGUCGAUGUGAUCCCAGAUCCGCUUGACUUUUGCAGGAACGUAGUCCCUGAGUUCUUCACAGUGAGCUCUGAUCAAGUCUUUGUCCUCCUCCGACAACGGUUCAUCGGAGUGCAUGAUAUCGAUUGCCCGUUCCAGUUUGGGACUAAGGCGUCUCGGCUAAAAAAAUUGAUAAAUGGCCGCUCGACGUCAGAUUAAUCAUAAUGUCGAACCAUGGACCAGAGGGCAAAGUAAGAUCUCGUACCUAGUUGAUGGAGGAGGAGGAAAAGGAAGAAGAUGAAGAAGACAUCUUGGUGAUAGUCCGAUGGUAUGAACUACUAGAGGAGAAAAGGACGAGCGAGGCGAGUGCGCUUGGAAACAAUACGGGGUCUCGUACAUAUGAAGAGAAAAGGGGUGAGAGUUUGGUAAGACCCUCCCAUCGGAGUAAAAGGGGUGAUAAAUGAAAUGCCGCCAUGAAGGAUGGGUCAAAGUUGGAUUCAUACGCCAAACGGACAAAAGGCUUUGAUGUUUUUACAGAGCGGCCAAUUUUUUUACAAUUCGUCCAAGGAGGGCCUUAAUGGUCGCAAUCGCUCGUUGCCUAACUUGAUCGGCCAAAUCUAAGAUUCGCUGGUCAUCAUCGGCCAAUCCUGGGACUUCUGGCAUAUGACGGUGAAGUCUGAUUGCUUCAUGGGCUAGGUUUUGUCUCUCUUGCUUCAGUUCGGCGAUAACAGAGGGGAGGUCUUGGAGUCUCUUCUCUUCAAUGGCGAUAUCCCUAGUCACUUGCUCCAUCUCCUUGGUGAGCUCCGCCCUUCGACGCUUGAGGCGAUCUAUGGCACCAACGAUACCCGGGCGGGAAUUUUCAAGGAAGAUGAUUCGGUGAUGCACAUCUUGUGCUCAGUGCUUGUAAGAGUCUUCCUCCUCACGAGCCUUAGCCAGCUUGGCGCGAUCGGCCAUGUAGUGCAGAGCCCUGAACACUGGGAUUCGCAUUGAUUCGAUGUAUGCGGCUGACGCUAGGGCUUCUUGCGCCUCCUCUGGGACUUGGCCGCUAAUAUCACUAAAGAGUUGCCGAAUCGGCGAAGCGUCCUCCACCAAUCGGCCGAUGUCUUCUUGGAGGAGGGUCCGUAUGCUCUUGAGUUUGGCACGGACAUCAUCAGGGACUGAGCUCAGGGUGACCUGACAUGAGGCAACCUCCUCAUCAUUAGAUAGUGCGACUGCGAAGGAGAAGAGGCUGUUAUUUGGGGUAUCUUAUUCCUACAGGAAAGUAAAAUGAUAAGCAUCGAUUAGACGACGGUAAUAGGAAAAUCGGCCGAUUUGGGUGACAAGUUUCUUAUUUCUUUGAAGUAGAUCUCUUCUGUUUGCGUCAACGGGAGUGCUGCCCUAGGUUUAGAAGCUGGUGCGACUGGCUCAUCGGAAGAGGAGGACUCGACGAUUAUUGGCGUCCUGCUUGGACCGGCCUCCUGGAAGGGUACAAGGAGCAAGUUCUUAUGAGUAUUGUUGGGGGGAAAUAUUAACGACCUCCUAAUGCCACUUAAAGCAAUAGUCAUGAAGACCCAGGCCCAUCUAAGGUAGCGAAAUUGCUGUCAGCCCAACAUGAAAGGGAGAGGCCAUGUUCCGCCUCGCCCGACCCGGAGUCCCGGGGUCGGACGCUCCCGACCCCUUGAAGACUAAACUCCGCCUCGCCCGACCCAGGGGACCGGGGUUGGGAACGCCCGACCCCCACCACAGAAACUCCGCCUCGCCCGACCCUGGGCGCGGGGGUCGGACUCGCUCGGGUCCACAAGACGAAUAUUCGCCUCGGGCGCAGACUGGAGGAUCAGGAUGACGAUCUCGUGGGUCCUCCUAUCGACCUCGCCAUAAAUGCGCCAUGGCCCUGCCAAGCCAAAAGGGAGCGGCGUCCCCAACGUAACCGGUCUCGAAUACCGGUGCGCGGCCGUGCGGCGCGAGCUGCAGUGGCCAUGGCUCCUUCUGAUUCGCCACAGAGUACUCAUGAGCCGCGCCGAAUGACACAGGAGGGCGCAUCACUUGACCUUGCGCCCCGUGCGCUCAAUGGCAGUUUCAGGGAUGCGACGUCCGGGUCUUACGGUAAUCGGCGGGGUAACAGAAUCGGGCCUCCUCCCCAGCGGGCACGAAUGCCGAGGCUGAGGGUCAUCAUCACGCUCGACGGCGAUGGCGACCAGGGAGAUUAUCGACAAGAUCUGGAAGGAAUCGCCCUCCCUCGCCGGAUGCGCUGACAGGGAUCGAAGGCUGGAGCAAGAGCAGCGGCCUUGGGACCCUCCCCUUGUAUUAUUUUUUUCUACUUGGCUUAUCCUUUCUACCUCUUCUCCUGACGCCCAGUUCGACUGUAACCCCGAGCUCCCUCUUGUGCUAUAAAAGGGGGACUCGGACUCUCUCUCAGGGGAACAAUACACUCUCACACUCCCUUAGAGCACAAGCACGCUCAAGAGACCUGGGAUCAGUUCCCUCUCUCGUCCAUCUGUAACCCCUACUACAGAGCCCCGCGUGGGCAACACGAGCCGCCUCGAUACUGGACGUAGGGCCUCCUUUGCCCAAACCAGUCUAACCCCGUGUCUCCCACGCCACCAUCCGAAGCCUUACGCGCAUAAAAGAAAUUUACUAGUCUAGAGUCUUGAUCCGCAAAUCUUGACAACGAUAGUUGGCGCGCUAGGUAGGGGACCUUUGCGCGUACAUCUCCGGCUUCAGAUGGCCAGCCACAACACCAGCUUCGCUCCGGGCUCCCUGAUCCGCUUCGGGAGUCUGGACUUCCUCACCACCGGGGAGGGGAUCGAGCUGAUCCCUCUCCUCGUCUUGCCCGCUCGUCCUGCCAUCCCCGACCCCACCGCCGGGACAACGGCGAGCGGCCAGGCGCGCGCCGGAGGGCCCUUCCCAAGUGGUCGGCUCUUCGGGCUGCGCAAUGCCGCGGUGACUUACGGUCACCUCCUGACGCGGUCCAUGACCGUGUCGCCCGCGAGCAACAAACUCGCGGGCGUGGCGAGGACAAUCUCCGACACCGGCUCCGACAGCGGGAGCCACCACCCCUCGCGUGAGUGCUUCAUGGCCGACGUGCACUCCGAGGGGUCCAACAACGACGGCGCCAAAGGGAGACAGAGGACUCCCCCUCCGCACGCCGUGGUGACGAUCGGGGCCCUUGGCAAGGCUCCGAAGCACCCUCGGCAACCGGGGACGCGCACGGCGUCCUGCUAAGAAGUCGAAUGCCCCUGCCACAAAGGCGGAGCGCGACAGCGGGCGCGCGAUGUCUAGCAGCGCAUCUGCGCAGACGAAGAGCGCCCUCAGCUCUUCGCUCGCGCCAACCAGAACAUCGCUGCCGCGGUGGCCCUACUCCGGCAACUCCCCGAGCCGGUGACGCUCGAGGAGCGAUGGGUGCGCCAAGAGAUGCGCGACUUGCUCGAAUGCGCCGCCGUCCAGCAGGUGGAAAGUUCCACGUCCAAGCGACGCGGACAAAACGCCAGCAGGGCGGCGCCCGACGCGCCUCCGGAGAGACGGGGGGAGUCUGUCCACCAACCUCCUCCUAGGGCAAACCAGGCCGCGUCCGCCCGGCGGACACCACCACCCGCGGGAGGCGGGGCUCGAUCCGUUCAUCGACGCGUCGGCCCCGUCCGCGAUGCCCGCGACACCCUGGAUGCGCGGAGGCGCUCCCGCGCGGAUAGGGAGGACGGGGUAGAUCGUGGCUACCACGUCCACUGUGGCGGGCGCUACGACAGCGAGGAAGACUGCAGCCCGAGCCCCGACCCGGGGGGGGGCCGGGCCUUCUCCGCGCGCAUCCUGAACGCGCCUUUUCCACCGCGCUUCAGGCAACCGACGAACGUAGCCAAAUACUCGGGGGAGACGAACCCUGGGGUUUGGCUCAGCGACUACUGGCUCGCAUGUCAAGCCGGCGGGGCGGACGAUGAUCUGUUCAUCAUCCGCAACCUACCACUCUUCCUGGCCGACUCGGCACGAGCCUGGCUGGAACAUAUCCCUUCGGGACAGAUUCGCUGCUGGAACGACCUGAAGGAGAUAUUUAUAGGAAACUUCCAGGGCACGUACACAUGCCCCGGCAACUCCUGGGAUGUCCGGAGCUGUCGCCAGGGAUCGGACGAGUCCCUCCGGGACUACAUCCGGCGCUUCUCCAGGAAGCGCACUGAGCUCUCCAACGUCACGGACGCCAACGUCAUAGGGGCCUUCUUAGCGGGAACCUCCUGCUGACCCCUCAUCCACGAGCUAGGGCGCCGAGGCCUGCGAACUACGGAGGAGCUCCUCAAUAUUGCCACCAGCUACGCCUCGGGCAAAGAGGCCGUUGGAGUGAUCUGCGACUGCUCCAAAGGCAAGGCAAAGUGGGAGGAGGAUGCUGACGAGGGCACCUCCAACCGCCACCAGAAGAAGAAAGGCAACCAGCGGCGCGAGGCCCCCCUCGUAGCUGCUGUCGAGAGCAAGCAAGGACAGCCGCCCCCGGAGGGCACUCCUGGCUUGUUUGACAAGUUGCUCGAGGGACCAUGCCUGAACCAUGAGUUCCCCGUGAAACACGCCUACAAGGACUGCAAUCUCAUGAAGAGGUACUUCGUAGGCAACCCAGUGAAGGGCGACCGGAAGCGGAAGCCCGAUGAGGAGAAGAAGGGCAACGAAGAGAAGGAAGACGGCUUCCCCAAGGUGGACGGCUGCUUCAUGAUCUUCAGCGGCCCGGCGGCGUACGACUCCAAGCGCAGUCAGAAGCUGGAGUGCCGAGCGAUCUACGCGGCCGAGCCGGCGAUGCCGGCCUUCCUCGACUGGUCGGGAUCAGCCAUCACCUUCGAUCGGUCCGACCACCCGGGAUGCGUCCGGCAUCCAGGACGCUACCCCCUUGUCGUCAACCCCAUCGUCGGCACGACGCGCCUCACCAAGGUGCUCAUGGAUGGAGGCAGCGGCCUCAACAUCCUCUACGCCGAGACCCUCGACGCUAUGGGGAUUGACCGCUCCCGCCUCCGUCCCAGCAAGGCGCCGUUCCACAGCGUCGUGCCAGGAAAACAGGCAAUGCCUCUCGGGCAGAUCGACUUGCCCGUCACUUUCGAGACCCCCUCCAAUUACAGGAAGGAGGUUGUUGGGAUACGAGGUAGGCUACACUAGCGCAAAUCAAAAAUUUCUACCGCGUAUAACCAGGAAGAACUGCCGUAUAAGGAUCACGGGAUUACCACUCGACGCACUACUGGUGCGGAAGAUGUAGAUAUGCGUCGGUGCAGUGAAGACGAUCACGUAGUCGUACGUAGUCGAUCACGUCCAGCAGCUCCUCAGCAGCUCGUCCACGUGCAGCAAGAUCGCCUCCGGUGCCGCGGCUCGUCGUCGGCUCGUCGUGGCUCGUCGGCGGCUCGUCGAUGGCUCGUCCAAGUGCUGCAGGCGCAACACCUCCAAGGUAUCCACACGUGCAAGCCGGAUUGCUAGAUCCGCAAGUUGCAACAGGCGAGGGCGUGGGAGGCGCGGCAAGUGUGUUUCGCCAAAAAGGUGUAAACCCUAGGGUGCCCCCACCCCUCUAUUUAUAGAGGUUCCUGAUGGGCCUCUGGAUCGGAGGCCCAUUAGUACUCCUAAACCUAAUCCAACUCGGAUCAGAUCUGAAUUGGGCUUCCAGCCCCUUAAGUGUGUGACCCUAUGGGUUCGGAUACGUAUAGACAUGGCCCGAGUACUCCUACUCAGCCCAAUAGUCGGUAGCGGCCUCUAGCAAGACGUGCCAACUCCUAUACGCAUACGAAGAUCAUAUCAGACGAACCAUCACAACAUGAUAUACAUGCUAUUCCCUUUGCCUCACGAUAUUUGGUCUAGCUUCAAGCCGACCGCUCUUUCUCGAUCCUGUGAUUCGGAAUCCCUUUGUAGGUUAACUCUUAACCGUACGUAGCAUGGCCAUGCAUUUUCGGAUCCGAUCACUCGAGGGGCCCAGAGAUAUCACUCUCAAUCAGAGAGGGGCAAAUCCCAUCUUGAUUGACCAUGUCUCAUAGCAUGCUUCUUGACAAACCCGAAAGCUAUAUUUAUAACUACCCUGUUACGGCGUAGCGUUUGAUAGCCCCUAAGUAGGUCGAUCCACAUCUAGAAUACAUGCGACAAUCUCAGGUCUAAGGACAAAGCGUAUAUGUUGUUUAAAGAGAGAACUACUUCUCGUGUUGGGUCAGUCCUAACACAUGUCUCCACAUGUGUCCACAUUAUUAGUUCAACAUCUCCAUGUCCAUGACUUGUGAAACAUAGUCAUCAACUAAUACAUGUGCUAGUCUAAUAUUCAUGUGUGUCCUCACAUGAACUCCGACUAGGGACAACUUUAGAAUAACCAUACAAGUAAAGAGUUUCACAUACAAUUCACAUAAUUGCAAAUCAAUUCAAGUAGCCUUUAAUGGAUAUUCAAUGAACACAAUAUACAAAUCAUGGAUACAAAUGGAAUAUCAUCAUCUCUAUGAUUGCCUCUAGGGCAUACCUCCAACAGUCUCCCACUUGCACUAGAGUCAAUCUAGAAGGUACCUAAUACCCAUAGCUCUUACAUGCGCAUCAUGCUUAGCUUGCGGGAGUGGUUUUGUCAACAGAUUAGAAAUGUUCAGAUCCGUGUGUAUUUUGCAUAUCUUGAUCUCACCCCGGUUAACGAAGUCUCCAAUGAGAUGAAAUCGCCGCAUAACAUGUUUGUUCUUCUGGUGGUUCCUUGGCUCCUUUGCUUGCGCAAUUGCCCCAUUGUUAUCACAGUAGAGAUUCAAUGGGCUGGACGCAUUCGGGAACACACCAAGCUCAAUGAGGAAAUUCCUUAUCCAAACACCUUCCUUCGCGGCUUCCGAAGCCGCGAUGUAAUCGGCUUCUGUCGUAGAAUCGGCCACCGUCUCCUGCUUGGAACUCUUCCAACUAACAGCACCACCAUUUAGCAUGAACACAAAUCCUGAUUGUGACUUUGAAUCAUCUCUGUCGGUUUGGAAACUAGCAUCGGUGUAACCUGUUACAACGAGCUCCUCCUGACCUCCAUAGACGAGGAACAUAUCUUUAGUCCUUCUCAAGUACUUAAGAAUGUUUUUCACCGCUGUCCAGUGACUCUCACCUAGAUCAGAUUGGUGUCUGCUUGUCAUACUUAGCGCAUAUGAAACAUCUGGGCGAGUACUUAUCAUUGCAUACAUGAUAGAUCCAAUAGCCGAGGCAUAUGGCACUCUACUCAUGCGAUCCCGCUCAUCAGCAGUCGAAGGACACUGAGUCUUGCUGAGAUGUAUGCCAUGUGACAUAGGCAAGAACCCUUUCUUUGCCUCUUCCAUGCUGAACCGCUUCAACACUUUGUCAAUAUAAGUAUCUUGGCUCAAACCUAUAAGCCUUCUCGAUCUAUCUCUAUAGAUCUUAAUGCCCAGAAUAUAUGCUGCUUCCCCUAAGUCCUUCAUCGAAAAACUAUUUUUCAGUGAAGUCUUUACGGACUCAAGCAUAGGAAUGUUAUUUCCAAUCAGUAAUAUGUCAUCCACAUAUAAGAUUAGAAAUACUACAGAGCUCCCACUAACCUUCUUGUAAACACAAGACUCUUCUUCGUUCUUGGUGAAGUCAAACCCUUUGACCACUUCAUCAAAACGAAUGUUCCAACUCCUAGAUGCUUGCUUCAAUCCAUAAAUGGAUCUCUGAAGCUUGCAUACCUUUCCAGCAUUUUUCGGAUCGACAAAACCCUCGGGCUGUAUCAUAUACACGUCCUCAGCUAAGUUUCCAUUCAGGAAAGCUGUCUUGACAUCCAUCUGCCAUAUCUCAUAAUCGAAAUAUGCAGCUAUAGCUAGAAUAAUCCGAAUGGACUUAAGCAUCACUACGGGCGAGAAGGUCUCGUCGUAGUCAACACCUUGAACUUGUCGAAAACCUUUUGCGACAAGUCGUGCUUUAUAGAUGUGAACAUUUCCAUCCAUGUCCUUUUUCUUCUUAUAGAUCCACUUGCACUCUAUGGCUUUAACACCAUCAGGCGGGUCAACCAAGUUCCAAACUUGAUUGUCUCCCAUGGACUCUAUUUCGGAUUGCAUGGCACUCUGCCAUUUUUCGGAGUCUGGGUCCAUCAUUGCUUCUGCAUAUGUCACAGGCUCAUCAUUGUCCAGCAAUAAUAUUUCCCGCAUUUCGCGGAGCCUUGCCGACCUUCGUGGUUGUGGCGGUGCUUCUCUUGCCAUGGGUAUCUCAACUUGUUCUGCUACAUUAGCAUCACUCAUUGAUUCUUGCCCGAUUGGCUCAUCUUGAACUUCUUCAAGAUGCACUGUCUUUCCACUCUUUUCUCCUUUGAGAAACUCUUUCUCUAGGACAACCCCAUUCCGAGCGACAAACACUUUGCCUUCUGAUCGGUUGUAGAAAUAAUAUCCCAAAGUUUCCUUUGGAUAUCCCACGAAAAUGCACUUAUCCGACUUGGGUGUGAUCUUGUCCGACUGAAGUCGCUUGACAAACACUUCACAUCCCCAAAUCUUUAGAAAAGACAGACUAGGAACCUUUCCAGUCCAUAUCUCAUAUGGUGUCUUAACUAUGGAUUUAGAUGGUACCCUAUUUAGUGUGAAAGCUGCUGUUUCUAGAGCGUAUCCCCAAAAUGACAACGGUAGGUCCGACUGGCUCAUCAUUGAUCGAACCAUGUCUAACAAAGUUCGAUUACGUCGCUCGGACACACCGUUUCUCUGAGGUGUUCCAGGCAGCGUAAGUUGUGGAACAAUUCCGCAACUCUUUAGAUGAUUGCUAAACUCGUGGCUCAAAUACUCGCCUCCACGAUCAGAUCGUAAGGCCUUAAUUUUCUUGCCACGCUGAUUUUCAACUUCAUUCUGAAAUUCCUUGAACUUUUCAAAGGUUUCAGACUUGUGCCUCAUCAAGUAGACAUAGCCAUAUCUACUAAAAUCAUCAGUGAAAGUUAUGAAGUAUUGGAAUCCUCCUCUAGCCGUCGUGCUCAUUGGUCCGCAUACAUCACUAUGUACGAGUUCCAACAAGUCUACUGCUUUCUCAGGAAAUCUUGUGAAAGGCAUCUUGGUCAUCUUGCCUAGCAAGCAAGCCUCACAUGUCUCGUAUGAUUCAAAAUUAAACGAAGUUAGAAGUCCAUCAGAAUGGAGCUUCUUCAUGCGCUUUUCACUUAUAUGACCCAAACGACAAUGCCACAAGUAGGUAGGACUCAAAUCAUUAGGCCGAGGCCUUUUAGCACUUACAUUACAGACAGGUGAACCAUCAAGAUUUAAAACAAAUAAUCCAUUCACAAUGGGUGCAAAAGCCAUAAACAUAUUAUUCUUAGAGAUCACACAACCAUUGUUUUCACUUGCAAAUGAAUAACCAUCCUCCAUCAAGCAUGAAGGAGAUAAAAUGUUUCGACUUAAACUAGGAACAAAAUAACAAUUAUUCAACUCCAUAAUAAAUCCUGACGGGAGGUGGAGUUGCAUCGUCCCGAUGGUCAAAGCAGCAACUCUUGCAUUAUUGCCCACGCGGAAAUCAACUUCUCCUCUUUCCACGCUUCUACUUCUUAUCAUUCCCUGCAUCGAAUUGCAAAUAUGAGCAACCGAUCCGGUAUCAAAUACCCAAGAAUUAAUAAUUGUAUCAGCGAGAAAUAUGUUGUCUAUAACAUUAACAACAAGCGUACCUGAGGUAGAAGUACUCUUACUUCCGCCAUUCUUCAAGGAAGCUAGGUACUGCUUGCAGUUUCUCUUCCAGUGACCAAGUUCAUGAUAGUAAAAGCACUCUUUGUCUGGAGCAGGUCCAGGUCCAGCUUUAACCUUGGGCGGUGGGUUUGGCUUGGACGUUCCAGCCUUGCCCUUCUUCUUCCAAGAAUUGCCCUUCUUCUUAAAGUUGGGCUUGUUCUGUAUCGCCAUCACAUGGCUGGUACUAGCGCUUUUCUUGAUGUCAGCUUCUGCUGUUUUAAGCAUGCCACACAGCUCAUUCAGACCCUUCUCCGUCCCAUGCAUAUGGUAGUUCGAGAUGAAGUUCCCAUAGCUAGGCGGAAGAGAUGAAAGAAUGAAAUCAGUGGCCAACUCUUGGCCCAGUGGGAAGCCUAGCUUCUCCAACCGUUGAGUGUAACCAACCAUCUUGAUUACGUGUGGUCCUACUGCUGCGCCUUCUGCUAGCUUGCUCUCAACAAAGGCCUUAGACACAUUGAACCUUUCAGUCCUGGCCUGUGUUUGGAACAUGUCUCUAAGCGCCACGAUCAUAUCGUGCGCCUCAUGGUUUGUUUCGAACUGCAUCUGCAGCUCGGGUUCCAUGCAAGCAAGCAUAAGGCAGCUUACUUCGAGGUUAGCAUCACAUGCUUUCUUGUAAGCAUUCUUAGCAGCAGCGGGUGCAUCAUCACCAGAUUCUUCUGGUAGUGGGUUGUCUAGAACAUCUUCCUUUUUCUCAGCCCUGAGAACAAUUCUCAGGUUACGGAUCCAAUCCGAGUAGUUUGUUCCAUUCAACUUGUCCUUCUCAAGGACCGAACGCAAAGCAAACGAUGUGGUGGUGUUGCUAGGUGCCAUUUAAUCUACAACAAAAGUAAUGCAAAAUACACUAAGACAAACGUAUCCAGGAUAGAGCAAAUUACAUUAAACUAUUUUAACAGAAUCUACUCCCACUAAAAUCAAUAUCCCUCUAUUAAAACUUAGUGAUUCAGGAUCCACAACUAACAAGUCUACUAGUGAGCUUUAGCAUCACCGCUAGCAAACGAGGUAGAUCGGUAAGCAACUUUUGCUAAUCAUAUCACAUAUGACUCCUGUUGUUGGGUGACAUCUCCAUGUCUCGGCGCCCAACCUUUAUGCCCCAAGGUCCUUAACCGUUAAGAUAACCUUGUUAAGCAAACCAACCCUUAUGCGUGUAAGUGUCCGACACAAACCCGUCUAGUCAAGGAAAACUAGUGGCACCCUAAUUUCAUAGACCCACCACUAAUUGUACAAGACAUGGGACGGUGCAAGUUUUAGUUGGGAGGGCAUACUAACUUAAACUUGGUGAGGGAUUGUUCUACUUCUAACAUCACAGUCAUGCAGAAAGUAAAACAUAAACAGAAUGGCAUUCACACAGUUGUGACACAGUAUGGCCCGUUUUAAUAUGGUGAUCUCCAUCUCCAUAGAACCUGUUCACCAUGGUGAUCUCCAUCUCCAUGUUCCAUGUGCGCCAUCCUCCUGGUGAUGAGUCCUCCAAGAACUAGAGCAUGCUAUUACGCCUAAUACCUAGUAAAGAAUCUAGUAAUGAAGAUUACAUAGUUGCUUGGAUCAUCACAGAUUGGUACGCAGACCAUCAAAUACAAUAAAGUGACAACACAUAUGGCUCCUGCCGUGUUGCCGUACGCGUGACACGCAGGUCACGAAUGAGUUACACACAUGCAUCACAUACACAAGGGGGCCAUACUGAUCACAAGAUACAUACAUACAUCCUGCAAAAGAGAGUUAGGCGUCCUAACGUUCCAAACUUCGGAGGCCCGAAACUCCAUCUUCCAAGCCGAAUUUGGGAAAUCUAAUUUUGCCGAAAACGGCAAAGCGGUUGAAAUUCACGUGUAACUUUUUCUGUAGAUCAAUUUUCGUAUAAAAAUCGCCCCGAUCCGAGAUCGUACCGAAAAGUUACGGCUGAUUUACCGAAGCAUACGCAUACGGCAAAAUCCCGACCCCGGCAGUAGAUCCCAUCUACUAUUGCACAUGUAAUGCGCCUGGCGUAUUACCCUGGAUUUCGAUUUGACCAAUCAUAUUGAUCUUCCCUCACUGCAACUGGAUUUACGUGUAUCACUUAACUCCGAUGGCGGAAACCGACCGGUAGGAGUAUGUCAUUACACUACCAUUGCAGCAAGGGCACGAAACCAGGACAUAGAUCAAACAGAAAACUCGCAUAUCUCCAUAUGCACACAUCCCGAAUCCAAAACUAAGCAGCUACGGCUCUGAUACCACUGUUGGGAUACGAGGUAGGCUACACUAGCGCAAAUCAAAAAUUUCUACCGCGUAUAACCAGGAAGAACUGCCGUAUAAGGAUCACGGGAUUACCACUCGACGCACUACUGGUGCGGAAGAUGUAGAUAUGCGUCGGUGCAGUGAAGACGAUCACGUAGUCGUACGUAGUCGAUCACGUCCAGCAGCUCCUCAGCAGCUCGUCCACGUGCAGCAAGAUCGCCUCCGGUGCCGCGGCUCGUCGUCGGCUUGUCGUGGCUCGUCGGCGGCUCGUCGAUGGCUCGUCCAAGUGCUGCAGGCGCAACACCUCCAAGGUAUCCACACGUGCAGGGAGGAAGCGUCGCAAGCCGGAUUGCUAGAUCCGCAAGUUGCAACAGGCGAGGGCGUGGGAGGCGCGGCAAGUGUGUUUCGCCAAAAAGGUGUAAACCCUAGGGUGCCCCCACCCCUCUAUUUAUAGAGGUUCCUGAUGGGCCUCUGGAUCCGAGGCCCAUUAGUACUCCUAAACCUAAUCCAACUCGGAUCAAAUCCGAAUUGGGCUUCCAGCCCCUUAAGUGUGUGACCCUAUGGGUUCGGAUACGUAUAGACAUGGCCCGAGUACUCCUACUCGGCCCAAUAGUCGGUAGCGGCCUCUAGCAAGACGUGCCAACUCCUAUACGCAUACGAAGAUCAUAUCAGACGAACCAUCACAACAUGAUAUACAUGCUAUUCCCUUUGCCUCACGAUAUUUGGUCUAGCUUCAAGCCGACCGCUCUUUCUCGAUCCUGUGAUUCGGAAUCCCUUUGUAGGUUAACUCUUAACCGUACGUAGCAUGGCCAUGCAUUUUCGGAUCCGAUCACUCGAGGGGCCCAGAGAUAUCACUCUCAAUCAGAGAGGGGCAAAUCCCAUCUUGAUUGACCAUGUCUCAUAGCAUGCUUCUUGACAAACCCGAAAGCUACCUUUAUAACUACCCUGUUACGGCGUAGCGUUUGAUAGCCCCUAAGUAGGUCGAUCCACAUCUAGAAUACAUGCGACAAUCUCAGGUCUAAGGACAAAGCGUAUAUGUUGUUUAAAGAGAGAACUACUUCUCGUGUUGGGUCAGUCCUAACACAUGUCUCCACAUGUGUCCACAUUAUUAGUUCAACAUCUCCAUAUCCAUGACUUGUGAAACAUAGUCAUCAACUAAUACAUUAGCUAGUCUAAUAUUCAUGUGUGUCCUCACAUGAACUCCGACUAGGGACAACUUUAGAAUAACCAUACAAGUAAAGAGUUUCACAUACAAUUCACAUAAUUGCAAAUCAAUUCAAGUAGCCUUUAAUGGAUAUUCAAUGAACACAAUAUACAAAUCAUGGAUACAAAUGGAAUAUCAUCAUCUCUAUGAUUGCCUCUAGGGCAUACCUCCAACAGAGGUCCUCACCUUUGAGGUGGUGGGGUUCCGCGGAACCUAUCACGCCAUCUUGGGGCGACCAUGCUAUGCGAAGUUCAUGGCCAUCCCCAACUACACCUACCUCAUGCUCAAGCUGCCGGAGCCCAACGGGGUCACCACCGUCAGCACGUCUUUCCAAAAGGCGUACAAGUGCGACGUGGAAUGCUGCGAGUACGCUGCAGCCAUCACCUUCACGGGGGAUCUGGUGGUCCAGCUCGCGGAGGGCGCCGAGGACCAGCCUGACUCCAAGCAGUCGGCCACCUCCUUCGAGGCCACCGAAGGCGUCAAGGAGGUCCUCCUCGACCCCAGCAGAUCCGACGGCAAGACCGUACGGAUCGGCGCUACCCUAUCUCCCAAAUAGGAAAGCGCGCUCGUCGAUUUCCUCCGCGCGAACAGCGACGUCUUCGCGUGGAAACCCUCGGACAUGCCCGGCAUUCCGAGAGAAGUCGCCGAGCACUCCUUGAACAUCAAGGCCAGCUCCAAGCCAGUGAAGCAAGGACUACGCCGCUUCGACGAGGAGAGGCGCAAGGCCAUCGGCGAGGAGCUCUAGAAGCUUAUGACAGCCGGAUUCAUCAAGGAAGUGUACCGCCCCAAGUGGCUAGCUAACCCUGUUCUUGUACGAAAAAAGAAUGGGAAAUGGAGGAUGUGUGUUGAUUAUACCGGUCUCAACAAGGCGUGCCCAAAGGAUCCGUUUCCUUUGCCACGCAUAGAUCAGUUAGUCGACUCAACCGCCAGGUGCGAAACCCUUAGCUUCCUUGACGCGUAUUCCAGCUACCAUCAAAUCGCGAUGAAAGAAUCCGACCAGCUCGCUACCUCUUUUAUCACCCCCUUCGGCCCCUGCUGCUACAUUAAGAUGCCGUUCGGCCUCAAAAACGCGGGGGCUACGUUCCAGCGAUGCAUGCUGAAGUGCUUCGGGGACCUCAUCGAGCGGACUGUUGAGGCUUACGUCAACGAUAUCAUAGUCAAAUCCAAGAGGGGUGACCAGCUCAUCCCUGACCUCGAACUAGCCUUCGAAAGGCUAAGGGAUAAGCGUAUUAAGCUAAUUCCUGAAAAAUGCGUUUUUGGAGUUCCAAGGGGCAUGCUGCUAGGCUUCAUCAUCUCCGUGCGCGGCAUCGAAGCCAAUCCAAAGAACAUAGCGGCCAUCAGCGACAUGGGGCCAAUCUGAAACAUAAAGGGAGUCCAGCGCGUCACGGGAUGCUUAGCGGCCCUGAGCCGCUUCAUCUCGCGCCUUGGCGAACGGGGGCCUUCCUCUCUAUCGACUCCUGAAGAAGACCGACCGCUUCGAAUGGACCGACGAGUCCCAGGAGGCACUUGACCGACUCAAGGACCUCCUAACGAAGGCCCCGAUCCUGGUCCCGUCGAUCGACGGUGAGCCCCUCCUGCUCUACAUCACGGCGACCACCCAGGUGGUUAGCGCGGCCCUAGUGGUGGAACGAGAAGAGGAGGGACACGCUCUCAAGGUGCAACGCCCGGUGUAUUUCGUCAGCGAAGUCUUGUCCGAGUCCAAGUCGCACUACCCGCAGAUUCAGAAGCUCAUCUACGCCGUCCUCAUCACGAAGAGGAAGCUGCGCCACUACUUCACCUCCCACCCGGUAACGGUUGUUUUGUCGUUCCCACUAGGCGAAGUCAUCCGGAACUAGGAUGCCACGGGACGGAUCGCGAAGUGGGCGCUUGAGCUCAUGGACCAGGGCGUCACCUAUGCCCCCCGUACCGCCAUCAAGUCCCAGGUACUUGCCGAUUUCAUAGCAGAGUGGACGGAGGUCCAAACACCAUCGGCCCCGGAGAAGCAGGAGUACUGGACAAUGUACUUCGAUGGAUCGUUGUUGAGGGCCCAUGCCAGAGUGGACCUCGUCUUUGUCUCUCCUCUAGGCGUGCGCACCAGGUACAUGAUCCGCCUCCACUUUCCUGCGUCCAAGUACGAGGCCCUCCUCAACGGGCUUCGCAUCACCAUCGAGCUGGGCAUCCGCCAGCUAGACAUCCGGGGCGACUCCCAACUAGUCGUCGAACAAGUCAUGAAGGAGUGGAGCUGCCACGACCCCAAGAUGGCAGCCUACUGCAACGAGGUUCACAAGCUUGAAGACAAGUUCGACGGGCUGGAGCCAACCACAUCGCAAGGCGCUUCAACGAAGCCGCCGCCGAGCUGGCGAAGGCAGCAUCCGGCCGAAUGCUCGUCCCCGACGACGUCUUCGUUAGCGACCAGUUCAAGCCUUCAAUCCGUUACCCAGAACCAGCGAGGGUCAGCGAAGCGCCACCAGCCCCGGGAUCAGGCCCUGACCUAGGGGAGGUCGGCAGCGCGCCACCCGUCCCAGGCCCUGACGCCAGCCCCGACGGGGUCGGCACCGCUUCACCCGCCUUGGCCCCGGAAGCCGACCCCUCCGGCCCUAUGGUCAUGGAAAUCGCGGCAGACCCCGCGGCGGGUCCCGACCCCCCAGCCAACUGGAGAGCCCCAUACCUCGAUUACCUCAUCCGCGACACGCUCCCGGUGAACAAAAUGGAGGCCCGUAGGAUCGCGCGUCGCGCCAAAUCCUUCGCCAUUAUCGAUCAAGAGCUCUACAAGAGAAGCCACACCGGCAUCCUCUAGCACUGCAUCCCGAUCGAACAGGGGAAGGCGUUGAUCCAGGACAUCCACGUCGGAGCCUGCGGCCACCACGCUACGCCAAGAACCCUCGUUGGUAACGCCUUCCGGCAAGGUUUCUACUGGCCGACGGCGGUCGCCGACGCCACCAAAUUAGUCCGCACCUGUGAGGGCUACUAGUUCUUUGCACGCCAAACCCAUCUGCCCGCGCAGGCGCUCCAGACCAUCCCCAUCGCGUGGCCGUUCGCAGUCUGGGGGCUGGAUCUCGUCGGGCCCUUCAAGAAAGCGCCUGGGGGAUUCACCCACCUGCUUGUCGCCGUCGACAAGUUCUCUAAGUGGAUCGAAGCAAGACCGGUCACGCAAAUCAAAUCCGAGCUGGCGGUGCAGUUCUUCACUGACAUCAUCCAUCGCUUCGGAAUCCCCAACUCCAUCAUCACCGAUAAUGGCACGUAGUUCACUGGGAAGAAAUUUCUCCAGUUCUGCGACGACCACCACAUCCGGGUAGACUGGUCGGCUGUAGCACACCCCUGCACGAACGGGCAGGUCGAGCGAGCCAACAGCAUGAUACUCCAGGAUCUCAAGCCACAGAUCUUUGACCGCCUCAAAAAGUUUGGCGGACGGUGGGUCGCCGAGCUUCCCGCAGUCCUUUGGAGCCUGACGACAACGCCCAGUCAGGCGACUAGCUUCACCCCGUUCUUCAUGGUCUACGGGUCCGAGGCCAUCCUACCCACCGACCUGGAAUACGGAUCGCCGAGGGUCAAGGCGUAUGACGAACAAGGGAACCAGGCAUCACUCGAAGACGCACAGGAUCAGCUCGAUGAGGCGCGCGACGUGGCCAUGCUGCACUCGGCCAAAUACCAGCAGGCCCUACAACGUUACCACAGCCACAAGGUGCAAGGCCGAGCCUUCAACGUUGGUGACUUGGUGCUCCGCCUCGUCCAGGAUAACAGGGGUCGGCACAAGCUGACUCCCCCGUGGGAAGGUCCUUUCAUCGUCGCGCAAGUACUACGGCUAGGCACCUACUAGCUAGCAACCCCCGACGGGCAGAUCUUCGGCAAUGCUUGGAACAUAGAACAGCUAAGGCGUUUCUACCCCUAGUUUUCAUUUCCAAGUUCUGUACGUAAACUUUUAUGUAAAUUGGAAGAUUUCUUUUUACAGAAAAAGGAAUUUCAAGCCGGUUCUGUUCAAGCUUUUCCGUCGAGCUCAGGGAUAUCCGUCCCUGGCUUCGCUCCGGGGUCGCAUAUCCCUCGGGGGGUUAUCAAGGGCUCCGGCUCAAGCCACUUGGCACCAUCUAAAAAAUGUUUUUUCCUUCUGAGCCGACCCUCCCUCUGAACUUUCGGACAUGAAAAGGGGAGAGCGCACGAACGGUGUUCAGGCAAGACUAAUCAGACUGCGAAAAACCUAUGCCCUAGCGGCUACGGUACCUUCGCCCAUCAAUGCUUACUGACACACCCGACAACGCGCUUUAAACUUUCCAAAUCCAGAAAUGAGAAGGGGGAUCGGAAACUUGUUUACGACAAGUUAUGAAAAAGGCCCCUAUGGCCGUUACAAAACAAGCUUAAAACUAACGUAUUUACAACUUGGGCGCCAGCCCGAUACAGUUAGUUCGCCAGGGGAUCCUCGAGAGGGACAACCUCAUCCUCCAAGAGCUUCGCCAGGGCCUCCGCCGGGUUGUACACCGACGCGUCGAUCUCAUCCAGCUCGGCCUCGGAGUAGCCGGCGGUGUAUCCUCUGCUCAUCCCGGUGAAGUUGAUGCCAGAGUAAUGGGAGCCGAAGACCCCGAUGGCUCACCGCACGCCGGUGUGAAGCGCAUCCACGGUGAUCUCGCGGGCCCGACGGUACAUCCCGAGGACAUGAGCCGUCAGCGAGCUCGACCCCUCCCCCUGGACCACGCCGAGUCCGUCGCUGACGACGCGGACCGCAUCCCACAGGGCGCCGUGCUCACCACGCUCCGCGUCGAGUAGCUCCCUCAGCUUGGCAAUUUCGUCUGCAAGAACCACCCGGAAAGACCCACCAAGUUAGAAAUCACCAUAGAGACACAGAAAUGAAAAGGAGUCUCACCGUCGGACCGGGCCUUCAGCUCACGCUCCCGGUUGGCCCCCUGAGACACAGCGUUCUGGAGCCUCUGCACUGGUGCCCAGAGCUGACCGACCUCCACGCCAAGCUCGACCGCCAUCUUCUCAGCCUCGCUCUUCCGGGCCGCCUCGGAAUCCCGCUCGUGCCAGGCCUUUUGCCGCUCGCGCCGGAUGCGCUCGACGGUCUUCUGAAGGGCAUCAAGAUCCCCCCUCAGCCGUCCGAGCUCCUCGGCAUCAAGGCAGACCUUCUCGGCAGCAGCAGCCUAAAGUUCCUCGCGGUCGAGGCAGGCCUUAUCAACAACGGCUUGGAGUUUGGCCUCCGACCGCCGCACGUCCUGCUGCGCCACUUCCUCGCACCUUAGCAGGUCGUUGAUGACCCCCUAGGUGGUAGCAACCUGCAUGGUUAGCUCCCUGGUCCGCUCCCUUUCCAAGUUGAAGUGCUCCUAGAGCCCCCGCUCCAGCUAGAGGAAAUCAGAUUUCCCCCGACUGCAUUCUUGGAGAGCCUACAAAGCAGUACACCAUCAGGGUUAAGGCAACGGGAAAAGAGACAAUCACCAACAGGAGAGGUAACAUACCUGGCUACCAGGGAGCACGACGUUGUCCAACUCCCCCAGCACCGAGGAUAGAGCCGCACGGGUGUUGGCGAGGCUACCCUGCACCGCCUGCCACUUGCGCCACUCCGCGGCGUCAUCCAGGGUGAAGAGGUGCCUCGGCGGGUCCUCACGGGACGUCCAACGCAGGUCAGACCCUCUUCAUGCCUUGGGAACGGUAGCGGCCAAGGCCAAGGCGGGAGCCGAUCCCGACGCCACCGUCGAAGCAGGCUCCAUCAUCCCAGAAGCCGCCGACCUCGCCGACGGUCCCAGUGCCUGUGCACCUGUCGCCGUCGGGGCCGCCGCGGGCCCACUUGACAGUGCCAACGCCACCAACACAAGUGGCGGAACAAGUAUCCCCACGGCCACCUUGCCCUCCGCCGCAACCGCCGAGGAAGGCUCCUCCGCCCCUGCCGGAGCCCCUCGAGCGGGCACCUCCACCUCCGCCGCCGGUGCCAACUCCGCCGGGACCUCCGGGGCGGAGGUCCCCGCCUCCAUCACCACCGCCACCUCCGCCACGGCCGCGGAGGCAGGCCCUCCCUCCUCUAUCGCCGCUGCCAUCCCCUUAACGGCUGCAGGGACAUCCGUCCCUGUUCCCGUCGCCGCCGUUCCCUCCACCUUGUCGGCGUCGAGGUCGAUCACCUCCCCGACCUGAGGGCCCUGAAGAAGUGGAAGGCGGAGCGGGGUCCACACCCUCUCCCGCGCCCGAUGGUGCCACCACUCCACUGGUCGCCAUCACAAGGACCGCUCCCGUGGCGGGACCCGCGACCUCACCGGGGACCCCGCCGCUCGCCGCGGGCGGGGUCGCGGUCUGCUCCGCAGAGGCGGACAACACCCGUAGCGCCUUUUUAGGCGCCAGCUGCAGAACAAGACCACGGGGGGUGGCCCUACGAAACAACAAACAAAUGUUAGCGGAAACAAAUGCAAGGUGGGGAAAGGAGCGAGGUUCGCGAGGAAAUCCAACUCACGUUCCUCCGGAGCAAGGACGGCGCGCGCGCUUCGCCUCCGAGCCGGACGCCGACCCCGAGGCAUCCGGCAGCGGCCGCUUGUCGCCGCUCCUCUGCUCUUGGGCCGCAGGCGCGACAACAGGGGCGGGCUCCGUAGACCUCCGGGGAGCGCUCCACGCUGACUCCUGGGGGGCGCCCCGCGCCGACUCAUGGGGGGGCCCCGCACCGACCCCUGGGGGACGCUCUGCGCCGACUCCUGGGGGGCGCCCCGCGCCGAUCCCUAGGGCAUGGCCCCGGAGCCGUGCGAAACUAAGCCCCGGGCGGACGGUCCGCCCGCUUCAUCCCUCACGGCCAUCUGUGGGCGCGCCUCCCGAAUAACGAGCGUGCCCGACCGAGGGGAUAAGGCAAGCUCUUCCUCCUCCUCAUCAUCCUCCUCAUCUUCCUCCUCAUCGUCAUCAUCGUCGUCGUCAUCAUCGUCACUGCCGCCGUUGGAACUCCUUGGCGGCCUUCUUUUUCUUUUUCGCCGUCUCCUUGUCCUUGCGGCGCUUCUGCUCUUCAGCAAGGAGACGGUUUUGCAGCCGCCGAUCGGCGUCCUCCGGCACCGGCGGGUGUGAGUCCACAACCCGGGUCAGCAUGCCCUACAAACACAAAAUGGCCCCGCGUUAGAGCGACGAACACAAAAAAAGGAGGUCGGCGCACAAAUUCCUUACCAAGUCGACGAAGCCCUCGUUCGAGCGCAUCGGCGGGUGCCCGGGCACCGUGUAGUCGGCGUCCUUGUCCUCCAACGCCUCCCGAAUCCGCUGUCAGAUCUUGGAGGUGGCGAGCGCACCCGUCGCCAGGAUGGUACCUUCAGUCAACGCGCCCGGAGUCAUGUCGGCGAGCGAACGAGCCCGGAGCAUUAGCGGCGCCACCCGCCAGGCAUGGUACGCCCCGAUGACCCCGGCUCCGGUAAGCUCUCUCCUCUUCAAUUGCUCGAUGGCUUGCAGCAGGUCGAGGCGCUUCUUCUCCUUCUCGACUGGUCCAUACGCCCACACCUCCGGCGCCAUGUCGAUGGUGCGGCUGGUGAACUCUGGCAGGGGGGAGUUCGAGUAGUUCUUCACAUAGAACCACUAGUUGUGCCACCCCUUGUGGGACGCCGUGGUCUUCAUCGCCAUGUACUCCUUGGAGCGAGUAUGGCGGAGGUGGAUCCCGGCGCACCCGAUCGGCACCGGCGGCGACCGCUGCUGGUUCCCCCUCCUCUCCGUCUUCUGGUACAGGCUGACCCUAAAAAAGUAUUUCCACAGCGAGAAGUUGGGCUCAAUGCCCAGGAACCCCUCACACAGUGCGACGAACGCCGUGAUAUGCUGGAUCCCGUUGGGGUUGAGGUGCUGCAGCUCGAGCCUGUAGUAAUGGAGGAGCCCGCGGAAGAAGCGGCUCGGCGGAGUCGCGAACCCCCGCUCAUGGAAGUGGGCGAAGGAGACGACGUAGCCGUCGGGAGGCAUCGGCACCUGCUCCGACCCUGGGAGCUCCCACUCGCCCACCUCCGUCCUCUCACAGAGGAGGCCUUUCCUCACCAGGCCUUCGGCGCGUGAGGAGUUAAAGUGGGAAAUCCCCUAGGAUCCCAUCACCGAAGGAGGAAGGAACUCGACGGGGAUGGGGAGAAAGGGCGUAGCGCUGAGCGGAGGAAGACGAAGCGGGCGCGGAUGAGCUGAGGGCGAGCUAGGAAGGCGAAAAGACUUGAAAGCAGAAGCCGGGGGGAACCUGCGAGGUGGAGCCUUUGUUUUAUAGGGAAGGCGCGAAGGGAGCGGAACUGACGCCCUUGUCGCCAUAAAUACGGCGCCAAGUAUGCCCCCAUCACGCCCACUUUCCUUUCGGAAACCGCGCGCACGAUCGGCCGCAGAGACAUCCUCUCCUCCUCGAUUCGUGGGUCGAUGCCCUCCAUAACUCCGUCUCCCGGAAGACACGCACACGACGUCCCCCACAUUCGGCCCAAGACACAACAUCUGCCCUGAUUCAGCCCAAGGCCCACCGAAAGGUAAUAAGGGAUACGGGGCUGGAAAGGCCCCUACGGCCCAUUACGAUCUAGAGGUUCGAAGGCUGGCCCACUACGGGUUCGACAGCCGCCUCAGGAUGCCCACGAGCGAGGGGUGAAAAGGGACGGGUCCGCUAGCGACCGUGACCCGGGCGUGCGAUGGCCCCGAGCAUCUCAAAGUCACAUUCGAGUCCAAACCGGCAUCAAAGUUUAUGGUUUUUCCACGAGGAAAGGCAACGAGCCCCCGGAUCCGACUGAACGGACUCGGGAACUAUAUCAGCUGCCGGCUAGAGCCUGGGGUACGCCACCAGCCUGGCCCUAGCCGGACCCCCCCUGAACGGGGACCGGGACCCCACUCGAACCGACUCGUUCGCAGCUCAACGAGCACCACGGUUCAUCCAACGAGGAUAGUGUUGCACGGCUCAUCCCCUCCGUCCCAGCGAACGGAUGCUUGAGGGGUAACGAUCAAAAGCCGAUCUAGCCUCCCGAUCAGUCUCCUGCAACGCGCGGAGGCUCAGGGGCUAGCGUCGCAACCAAUGACCACGCGUGUGGUCGCGAUUUGAGGACGCGAGGCGGGAGCGCCCCAGAGAGCAAUGAGGAGUCCCCCGUGCCAAGUCAUCCACAGGACAUCUCUCCUGAUCAAACUCCCUGGCCAAGCUGGACCAACAACACUCCCUAUCCCUGAUCAACCGCAGCUUGCAGGGCGAGCAGAGAUCCCCGAUGAGUGACCAAAAAAGCCUCUGGAGGAGCAUCUUUGCUCCACCACAGGCUCGGAGGCUACUGUUGGGGGGAAAUAUUAACGACCUCCCAAUGCCGCUUAAAGCAACAGUCAUGAAGGCCCAGGCCCAUCUAAGGUAGCAAAAUUGCCGUCAGCCCAACAUGAAAGGGAGAGGCCACAUUCCACCUCGCCCGACCCGGAGUCCCGGGGUCGGACGCUCUCGACCCCUUGAAGACUAAACUCCGCCUCGCCCGACCCAGGGGACCGAGGUCUGGAGCGCCCGACCCCCACCACAGAAACUCCGCCUCGCCCGACCCAGGGCGCGGGGGUCGGACUCGCUCGGGUCCACAAGAUGAAUAUUCACCUCGGGCGCGGACUGGAGGAUCAGGAUGACGAUCUCAUGGGUCCCCAUAUCGACCUCGCCAUAAAUGCGCCACGGCCCUAUCAAGCCAAAAGGGAGCGGCAUCCCCAACGUAACCGAUCCGGAAUAUCGGUGCGCGGCCGUGCGGUGCGAGCUGCAGUGGCCAAGGCUCCUUCUGAUUCGCCACAGAGUACUCAUGAGCUGCGCCGAAUGACACAGGAGGACGCAUCGCUUGCUCUCGUGCCCCGUGCGCUCAACGGCAGUUUCAGGGAUGCGACGUCCGGGUCUUAUGGUAAUCGGCGGGGUAACAGAAUUGGGCCUCCUCCCCGGUGGGCACGGAUGCCGAGGCUGAGGGUCAUCAUCACGCUCGACGGUGACGGCGACCAAGGAGAUCAUCAACAAGAUCUGGAAGGAAUCGCCCCCCCUCGCCGGAUGCGCUGACAGGGACCGGAGGCCGGAGCAAGAGCGGCGGCCUUGGGACCCUCCCCUUGUAUUAUUUUUUUCUAAUUGGCUUAUCCUUUCUACCUCUUCUCCUGAUGCCCGGUUCGACUGUAACCCUGAGCUCCCUCUUGUGCUAUAAAAGGGGGACUCGGACUCUCUCUCAGGGGAACAGUACACUCUCACACUCCCUUAGAGCACAAGCACACUCAAGAGACCUGGGAUCAAUUCCCUCUGUCGCCCAUCUGUAACCCCUACUACAGAGCCCCACGUGGGCAACACGAGCUGCCUCGAUACUGGACGUAGGGCCUCCUUUGCCUGAACCAGUCUAACCCCGUGUCUCCCACGCCACCAUCCGAAGCCUUACGCGCAUAAAAGAAAUUUACUAGUCUAGAGUCUUGAUCCGCAAAUCUUGACAAUGACAAGUAUGAUACAAAUGUUUGGAUCUGCUGACUUGUUGUGAUUACCGUACCUCCGUGGUUUCCCUGGCCGAUGGCUGUUGAGAAGGCACAAUUGACGUACCAGGGGUAGCCUGCAUCAGAAUCGGUCAAGUUUUUGGUUAAGUAUUAAAGAAUUGAAUGAAGGGAUUCUUUACCUCAGUGGGAGGAGCUACUGGUGCUCCAAUUUCUGUUUGGGGCGUUGCCGAUUGCUGCGGAGGCACUGGAGCGUCUUGUGCGGCCUGAUAUAAAAGAGAAGUUAGUAUCGGGAGAAUACUCAGGAGGAUGUGAAUAUGAGGUUACCUAAAUGGCUUCCAGUAGCAGUGAUGCAGCGGCCGCUCCAGCUUCCGUAGCAGCUUGAGGAUCAACUUCCUCGAUGACCGGGAGAAUCGACGCAACCAAAGAUUCCGCCGAUGCUGCCGCAGACUGAUCGGCCGAUUCCGUGCGGGCACGCACUCGGUGGCUUGUCUUCUUUACAGCUUUCUUCGGCGUCUGUUUCAAUCGGCCGGCGGUGAUGUCGUCAAUGGUCGGGGUGUGAUGGCCGAUGAGUGGGAAUUCCGUGUACGGGUAGCGGUUUUCUAUCGGCCUGCCACUCCGGCUGCGUUUUGGGGGAAGUUGACUCCCGGACUAUAAAAGAAAGCAAGAGUUAGCAACAAAUUUGUGGCAUAAGAACAAAAAUGACAUCAGAAUUGGCUGAAGGAAAACAGUACCUCCGCACUCCGGUCAAUGUUCUCAGGAUCCAGAUCAUUGCAGUAUGUUGCAGGAGAUGCACAAAAUAGAUGCUAUUUUCAUUCUGCCUACCAUAAUUUGAAUGGUUGGACAGCAAAGGAGCUACUAUCCAGUCGUUCAAAUCGAUGGUGCUAGAAUCAGGCACUCGAUCGCACAGCCAACUGUAGUCAAGGCCCUUGGUGAGCCCGUCUCGGAAUUGCACGUGACUGGCGAAAUAGACUCGAAUCGGCAGCUGACCUAGGCCAAACUGCCAUGCAGCAACUGAUGGGUUAUAAAAUUCAUAAGUAGGGGCAUCCUUCCCCGAGAAAAAGUUCACCGGUAAGAUCCCCGAUUUAAUCAAGACGUCCAUAAGGUCAUUCUCAAAGGUGUUGGUCGUCGAAUCAUAACAGAAAGGGAGUUCAAACAGUGGCUCUGCCCUCUGAUACGGGUACCAGCUGGUGGUUUCUUCACUGAAGCCAUUGUAAAAACAUCUGAAAUAUUCGGCUACUUUGGUGGCAGUGAGCUGGCAACCGGGGAAGACUGAUGCUGCCUCGCCGAAAGAAGUGCAUCGGCACCGUACAGUGGGAUUUUCUUCCGAUUCAAUGUUGGGGAAGGUCAUGUGCUCCACCCGAUGCUGAGAGAUCUUGCUCAUAUACAGGUUGAGCCAGAGACUGAUGAACCACCAGGGGCCACCCGGGUUUCCAAUCGGCUCUCCCUUGGAUAGUUUGAUGCCGAUUUGAUGCAGCACGUGAUAGGCCGAUCCUAGCAGAUGUUUUCCGAGGGGGAUAGAGGCUCCUCUCGAUAAUGCUUCAGCCAAAGCCUGUGUGUUGGAAGACGGACCAACUGCCCUACCACAGAAAAGAUGUUUCUCCAACCACAUUAUCAGAAAGGCCGCAUACUCUCUCUCUGAAAUGGCCCCGGUCUUCAUGUUGUUCUUGAUGUACUCCUUCCACCCGCCGAUUGCUUUUGUCUCUAGCCGAUAGGUCGGCUUGACCAGAUAAUGGAAGGGGGUGUUGAGAGAAGAAAUAUCAAGGCCAAUCAAGGCCGGUCAACAUUACCACAUUGGCCAGAGUGGGGGUCAUAGGCCCAUGGCCGAAGAGGAAAGCAUUGAGGGCGUCGGACCAGAAGUAGGAGGCUGCCAUCACCAUGGGCUCAUUCCUCUCCAUCUGAGACAGAGAAAGAUUCAUACACUGGUCGAUUUUUCGUUCAUCCCAUUGAACCCUCUUGGAGUCGGCUAUCCUUUGGUACCAUUCUUUCCAACCCGAGGUUUCAUUCGGCCAAGAUCUAAAGGUUCCUGACCACUAAUCCAAUUCCAUUGGGGAUUCUUUAAAUGGUCUUCUGUGAGUUUCUAAGUUUGUCAGAUUGGUUGGAUCUGGACUCCCCAUAGGGCCUAAGCAAGUGAGACUGGGAGCUUUGGAAAGGCGAAUGGUGAUUUGGUGCCUAAUUGCCUAAAAAGGUAAUAAGGGAAGAACUAAGAAUGGAUCUAAAAGCUAAUGCCUGGGCGGUAAAAAAUAAAAAGAAAAGUUCCUAAUAAAUACCUCCGGGAUGAAGGUCAUUGUCGCUGACGGGGCUGCUGGUGGAGCUACCGCUGCCGAGGUCACCGGUGGGACCUCUGUCGCCGAUGGAGUUGUUGCUGCCGCCGUUGGAGCUGCUGCCGGAGUUUCUGUUGCUGGAGGGGUUGCCGAUGGUGUCCACUGGGUAGAUGAAGCGGAAUGCGGGUGAACUGGGGGGUCGCCGGAGGAUUUGCUUGGAAGCUAAGAGGACGCCGGAAGAAGAUGGAAACUAGUGCACCAAAGAAAGGAAGUUACUGGCUUGUGAAGAGGAAGUGCGGGAUGUGCCAGUAUUUAAGGAUGGUCCGAGAAGGGGUAAAGGCGGGAUUUUUACCGCGCCGUCUACACGAAUUUUGGAGGAGUGGUUGUUUUAGGCACCCGUUUCGAAAUGAUUGCAAUCAUCAGGUAGGAGACCGCGAAAUGGAAUGAUAUUUUUAAUGCGUUUGUUUCGGAGGAGAAGUUGAAAAGGAAUUUCGAAGUAAAAGCUAUGUUUUACUCUGAAACUGGGGGGCAUGUGUUGAUGCCAGAUUUCGACACGUAUGGAAUCGGCGUCGAGAAAGGAGAAGACUGGCUGAUGCGGCAAAUUGGAAGGUCACGAUUGGGAAUCGGCCGAUUGGUGCUACAGUUGGGGAUCGGCCAAGUGGCGCUACAGGGUUUUGGCAGACGGAGUUGGUGGGGAUCGGCCGAUUGAAAGGUUGGAGCUAUUGGGCCAAUAUGGGCUUAAAGUGGAUUAGAGAAAGAAGAUGGAGGAAGAUUGGCCCGCGGGAAUACAAUAACCAACUCUAAUACGAGUUGUACUUGUAGAUAUUUGUUUUCGUUUAAAAUUAGAGAUAAAUCCUAGUCGGUUAGGAAAUUGGUUGUAACAGGCUAUAAAUAGCCAUCUUUAGAGAUUUGUAAACAACACAUCAAUCAAUACAACAAAUCUACUUUUUCAUCGUACUUUACUUUCAAGUCGGCGAUUUCGCCAAUACUUUUCUUCUUUCCCGAGUUCGUACGGGUUGGCAGGGCUGCAUUGACACGAUCUCCGACCGAUUCUGUAAGUUCCGUUUAUCGAGUAAUAUCUAAGCUUUAACUUUGGGUGCAUCGUUGUCGUUUCAUUUAGAUUUAUUCACCAGCUAUCGAUAUUAACUAGAAUUAUAGGUUUUAUCUGUUGUUCUAGUUUUAACCCGUUAUCCAGCUUGAGAUUCGAAUUGUCAUCUUUAUUGUUCUUAUUUUCAUUCACUAUUGCCAUAUAGCUGAUCAGAUCUAUUUCGAGUGUUGUUUCUGUAGCUUUCUCUAGUUUACUCUAAGUAGUUUUCUUUGCAAACGCUGCGUGGUUGUCGGCUGUAUUAUAGCUGAUUAUCUUUUUACAGCAAAUCGGCCGAUCCGCUGAUACGCUCCUCGAGAUCGGAACUUUAGCCGAUCAAAACCCCUGGAAUUUGACACGUUUUCUUCCUUGCCAAAUCAACAUGUCAGAUUGGCUGGCACGCCGCACAAACUGCACCAGGGCGAUCACCCAAACAGGAGUUAAGCAGAUUCUCCCGGGUCGUGUGUCCGACACUGAGGGUCAAUCGGCUGACUUUUAGCGCCAACAAAAAGGAAUAAUAAACAUGAAACAAAAGAAGUUCACAAAUCUCAAGGCCCAUGACCGCCACAUGUUGAUGACCCAGUUGCUUCCGGUUGCACUGAGGGGUGUUCUAUCAGAGAAUGUCUGAUUGCCACUUGGAAAGAUAUGCGCGUUUUUCAACGCAAUUUUGCAGAAGGCAACCCGAUGCGCAGACGCCAAGAUUACCCAAUGUGAGUUGUGCUUCUACAGGGUUCCUCGAUGCGCAGACGCCAAGAUUACCCGUGGACGAGCAACGGUUCGUUGUCGAUGCCAUCACGCAAUGCACCUCAUGUGAGCUACAUACACCGCGGCAACCUCACUAUUAAGUUAUACUUAUACAUAAUAUUUAUGCAAUCUUCUCAAUUGAUCCACGCCUCGAGAUCAGAGUUUAAUAACUUGUUUACUUCUGCUAUAUGUACAGGUGGCGUAUAGGAGUGCCUUACCAAUCCUGGCAGGGUAGACAAGCCAUGGCAUAGAGAUUCCACCUGGCUAUGCCAGCAUUAGCCUAGAGCAGAUCGCUGAUAGCCAAUAUAAAGACUUAGAGCUUGACCUCCCGGGAGGCGUCGGGGAAAGAACACUAGGAGAUGCACUUCACGGGAUCAUUCUAUGGCGCAAACGCUACAUCAUCAUCCCCGGCAUGGAAGCACCUCCUCAGAGCUCAAGACCACUCCCUGCAGAUCCAUAGCAGCGACCAUCUCCUCAAAGCUCAAGACCAUCAUCUCCAGCACAACCUACUCCAGAACCGUGGUGGUGGGAGCGACGACGACAAUAACAACUGUGGCGGAUCCACUUCGGAUUUGCUUAGUUAAACAUGAUUUAGCUGCAUGACACGCGACGCUCAUGCCUAACUGAGUAAACACGAAGUGCCGUCGGAUUUCAUCCGAUUUAACCACUUGAACAGGACCAAAUAGCAAACUCACACGAAGGUGAGCGGUUCCAGAGAAUACAGCAAGUCCACUGAGUUAAGCAAUUUAACCAUUUAGUUUGGUUCUAAAACAUCAUCAGAGUUUACAAGGUUUGAAAGAAAACCAUAGAAGAUAAAACAACAAGCGGAAGCUACUUCGUCGGGUCGGACAUCCCUAGUGAGGCCAACUGGAACGUCAAUGAUCCCUCUCCUCACCGUCCGACGAGGGAUCCCACUCAACCGUCCAACCCGGAGGGAGUUGGGGCGGCCAAGUGCCAGCAGAAGGAGGCUCGGAGGCAGCAACUUCACCUGAAAAGAAGAGCCACAACAAGGCUGAGGUACUAAGCUCAACAAGACUUAACCGACAGGGAGCGCUCUAAACUACCUCUUCUAGACAUGCAAGGCUUUUUGGCUGAGGGGUUUGUUUGCCAAAAGCGCUAGAUGUAUCCCUACUUUCAAGUUUUAGCUCUGGUUCUAAGUUCAUUAUCCGAUCUAAGUUUGCAACCUAUUCUAAGCAAACAUAGAACCAAUCAAAAGGUAUAUACAUCAUCAACAAAAUCAUGUCAGCAUCAGAUUCCUUAUUUACUCAGGGUGACAUAGCGAUCAAGCAGUCUCAAACUGUGAGAGGCAGACGAAUUGAUUCGAGUUUCUUAACCAUGCAUGGCGAACCUAAUCUCACGACAUUCACGCACCACAAGGGCCGCUUCCUGUUUCGGCCGUCCCCAUCAAUUUCCAGGCGCGUGUCAGGUCCAAACUUCCCUUGGCAUGCAAUGCUCCACAGUCCAGGCCUCUACCGUACUGUGACCGCACUUGCACCCACAUGAUGCACCAUGGGAACCUCGUUCCAGGGACAGCAGGGGUAUAAGCCACGCCCUAGUUCAAUCAGGUACUAGGCUUCCCCAUCCCAUACUAGGUAUGAGAUUAGUACUUUCAAACACUUGAUCACGAACACCACCACUGUCGGGCCUUAGCAAGCUUCAUAGACAAACGGGGCGAUCAACCGACCACCAAAGAGUUACCUCAAACCCUGCCCCGUCCAUCAUCCUUAUAGUUGUGACAGAAGGGUAAACAUCCAACUCCUACAACUCGCGAGUGACAGGGAAUCACUCGGCUUUUACCGUCUCCUAAUUAAGCAAAGCAUCUACUCGGUCCAACAGCUAGUGUUCAGAUCAAGGGAGCUAGGUUAUGCAUCUAUGGUUCCAAACAACUCCUAUACGUAAAUGCACAAGCAUGUUAAAGAAGGCAUGCGCAAGUCUGGUAAAACAUAGGGGAUUUAUGCAUCCGAGGCUUUCCAUCGAGCAAGGAGGAAGGGAACUGCGUGUCUUCUUGGGCAGCUUCGGCUUCGGGAAGCAGGAGCUCAGCUACACCGUCGUCUUCUGGUGCCGGGUGCAGCUCGUAGUAGCCGUCGGCGAGAUGCAGCUCUACACGAAUGCAAUGCAUUGGUUAGCAUAGACGGUUAUUUCAACAGCAAUACUUGCAAGUUUGAGCCCAGAAACUUGCGACAAGUUACAGGAGGGUGGGGAGGUUCAAUGGAGUUGAUGGAGAUCAAGAGGUAAGGGUUGGAGGGAAGGAACUUAUGAUCUGACCCUUAAUCUAGAGGAAUAGAUGUGCUAGGGGUCCUCAGACUUAACGCUGAGAAGUCCCCAAGUUUUACACAUGCACCCUCGGUUCAAAGAAAAAGAUACAGCCGAGCCCUCGGGCGAGGCGGAGAAGGGUCAGCGGAACAAACAGGGUCGGGCAACAUGGAACCGGGGUCGGGCGGAUAAGAGGGGUCGGACGAGGCGAACAAGGCUCGGCAGCCUACCUUCGUCUUACAGAGAAGGCUGGGCAGAAGAACUAAGGGCUUGGGACAGCGGUGAGGAGGUCCGGCGGUGGUGGUGCCUCUUGUGGAUCACAAGCAACUCUUGGGCAGCACUGAAGCAGUGGCUGGCGGAUUUGGAAAAGGUGGUGUUUGAGCGGAGAGGAGAGUUCCUCAGACUUAGGUGGUGGCGCUGUGAGCUUCGAAUAGGAACCAAGAGAGAUGGCAGCGAAGGCAAAGGGGGAACUCCAGCGGGACUCCGGCUUCUCAUUUUAUAGCUGCACGGAAGAGGGAAGGAGGAGCGGCGCGAAGGCCGGGGAAGAAACGAUGGAGUGCUCUGCCCGGGCGGCGAUUGAGCGACGAGGGUGGUGGAGCAGGACUUCAGGGAUGACGCCGGCAGUCAUUGGGCACUGACGUCAGGGCGGUGCAGGCGUGGGUUUGCCGGUGGUUGAGAUUUGGCGGAGGUGGGCGUCGUCGUGCAGUGGAUCUGAUGGAAGUGACCAGGAAAACAGCGCUAGGAACGAGGGCGCACAGGUGAGAAGACAGGAGGUUGCGGUCGCGUGGGUGAGCGCGGAGCAACAGAUUGUCGGGGCGACUUUUGACAGGGCGGGAAAAGGAGCUAUCGCUGCCGCGGUCUGGGUGGGCGGAGGAGGAAUCGUCCCAUAGUGAGAACUGGGGCGGCGCGACUGUGGCGAGGUGACGGAAAAGACGGGCAGCAUCGGGCUCUGCAGCCGGGAUCUGGCGAUGUGAUGAUGGGCGCGGGCUGCGAGGUGCUGCAGAAAGGGUAGCAGAGGAGCUUCCGCCGCGAUUGGGGAAGGGGGCGCGAGAAUCCAUCCGGUCGUGGGCCGGAGACGAGGCGGAGUGGCGGGCAUCGGAGGAGCUAUGCCACGCGGCUGGGGAACUCUGAAACGGGCAUGCAACUCGAGUGCGCCUGUCGCGGGAGAUCUGGGGGAAAAGAUCUCAUGGGCCCACCGGUCAGUCUCGGUGGUCCACGGUUCGAACUGAAGGGCGAUGCUGUGAGAUGGCUUAGAAAGAUUCGACGGUGGGUUGGGGGUCGGCGGGGUCGGAACUGGGAAGACCACGGUGAGGGGUCAGAUCGCAGGGGUCGGAAGAUCUAGAGGUUGAACACUUAGGCUUGGAAAAACUAAGAUAGGUGAUCAGGGGCUCGGAUUAAGAUUAACACAAAGGAUUUUUGUCCGGGGCCGUUACAGCCUACCCCCCUUAAGAAGAAUCUCGUCCCGAGAUUCGGAUGUAGAAGCAACCGAUGGGGGUGUGUAGCCUUUACCUUCUUGGCUGGAGAGAAAAGUGGGGAAGUGCUUGUUCAAGUACUCUUCUGUUUCCCACGUUGCUUCAUCCUCCGUGUGGUUCCUCCAGAGGAUCUUGUACAUUUUUACCGUUUGGUGCCGGGUAUGCCUUUCUUUCUGGUCGAGGACCUUGGCUGGAUACUCUGCAUAGGUUAGGUCAGGCUCGAUUUGAAGCUGCUCUUGUUCUAAGAUCUUGGUUGGAACUUGGACACAUUUCUUCAGUUGAGACACAUGGAAAACGUCGUGUAUGGCCGAUAGCUAUUCUGGGAGUUGGAUCCAAUAGGCCACGGGUCCACAAAUUUCCACAACUUCAUACGGGCCAAUGUAACGGGGAGCCAAUUUCCCUUUUACUCCAAACCGUUUCACUCCUUUGGUUGGGGAAACUCGAAGAUACACAUGAUCACCAAUGUCAAACUGUAGGGGCCUUCUUUGCCUGUCAAAAUAACUCUUCUGUCGAGAUUGGGCAGCCUUGAGAUUUGCUUGAAUUACCUUCACUUGUUCUUCGGCUUCUACUACUAAUUCAGGGCCAUAAACUUGUCUCUCUCCCGCUUGGGACCAGUUCAAUGGUGUCCGGCAUCUCCGUCCGUACAAUGCUUCAAAUGGUGCCAUCUUCAAACUGGCUUGGUAGCUAUUGUUGUAGGAGAACUCCGCCAAUGGCAGGCACUUGUCCCAGUUUUUGUCAUAGUGGAUGACACAAGCUCUUAACAUGUCUUCAAGGAUUUGAUUGACUCUUUCGGUCUGACCAUCGGUUUGAGGAUGAUAGGUUGAGCUACGGAUGAGUUUGGUGCCCAUGGAUGCUUGUAGCUAUUCCCAAAAGCGGGCUACAAACUGAAUUCCUCGAUUAGAGAUGAUGGUCUUAGGCACACCGUGUAGGGAAACUAUGCGGUCGAGAUACAGCUCUGCAUACUGCUUGACUGUGUGGGUGGUGUAGACAAGAAGGAAGUGGGCGGUCUUGGUCAGACGGUCCACUAUAACCCAAAUGGAAUCAUGUCGCUGCGAUGAAAGAGGCAGUCCAACAAUGUAAUCCAUGCUGACAUCUUCCCAUUUCUAAGAGGUAAUAGGUAGGGGUUGUAAAGUACCUGCUACCUUUAGAUGAUUGGCCUUGACACGUUGGCAAGUGUCGCACUCUGAAACGUACCGGGCAAUUUCCUGUUUCAUUCCGCUCCACCAGAAAGUUUGUCGUAGAUCAUGGUACAUCUUAUUGCUGCCUGGGUGGAUUGAGAAUUUGGAGAGGUGAGCUUCAUUUAGGAUCUGCUUCCUCAAGUUGGGGUCGGCCGGUACAAUCAGUCGGUUUCCAUAAUAUACGCUUCUAGUUUCGUCCUGCCGAAACUGCUUAUAUCCUUCAUCUUUCAAGGAGAUCUUCCUGGUGAUCCACAUUACUUCCUCAUCCUUCACUUGUGCUGACCUUAUUUGGUCUUCUAAAAUAGAGUCAAGGGUGAUGUGGCCGAGGGUUCCAUGGGAAACAAUUUCCAAACUGAGUUUUCCCAUCUCAUGACACAAAGUUUCGGUGAAGGUCGUCGCCAACAAACAGUUGCAACAUGGCUUGCGGCUAAGAGCGUCGGCCACCACAUUGGCCUUGCCAGGGUGAUAGUGUACUUCCAAAUCAUAAUCCUUUAUCAACUCUAACCAUCUUCUUUGGCGCAUGUUGAGGUCGGCUUGGGUGAAGAUAUACUUGAGGCUCUUGUGGUCGGUGUAGAUGUUGCAGCGGGUGCCCAUCAGAUAAUGUCUCCAUAUCUUUAAGGCAUGGAUCACUGCGGCCAACUCAAGAUCAUGGGUCGGGUAGUUCAGCUCAUGAGGUCGUAGCGCUCGUGAGGCAUAGGCAAUGACUCGGUUGUCUUGCAUAAGAACACACCCAAAUCUAGUGCCAGAGGCGUCACAGUACACGUCAAACGACUUAGGGGAGUCGGGUUGGGCCAGAACUGGGGCUGUGGUCAGCAAUUGCUUCAGGGUCUUGAAGGCUUCUUCACACUUAUCGUUCCACACGAUCUGACCUCUUUCUUCAGCAACUCUGUCAUCGGCUUAGCUAUCUUGGAGAAAUCCGGUAUGAAACGCUGAUAGUAGCCUGCCAGUCCAAGAAAACUUCGGAUCUGGUGCACUGAGGCAGGAGGCUUCCAGUCUAUGACGAGCUGUACCUUGCUGGGGUCGACGGCUAUGCCAUUCUUAAAGAUAGUAUGUCCUAAGAACUUGACACUAUCCAACCAGAACUCACACUUGGAGAAUUUGGCAUAGAGCUGAUGGUCUCUCAGCCGUUGGAGAAUUAUGCGAAGAUGGUUGGCAUGUUCUUCUUCGCUCUUCGAGUACACCAAGAUAUCAUCAAUGAACACCACUACAAACUUGUCCAACUCGGGCAUGAAUACCGAGUUCAUGAGGUACAUGAAGUAUGCGGGUGCAUUGGUGAGUCCAAAAGACAUGACCAGGUACUCGUAGAGUCCAUAUCUUGUGGAGAAGGCAGUCUUAGGGAUGUCACAUGGUCGGAUCUUGAUUUGGUGAUAGCCUGAACGAAGAUCAAUCUUGGAGAACACUCUAGCUCCAGCUAACUGAUCAAACAAGACAUCAAUGCGGGGGAGUGGGUACUUGUUCUUGCUAGUCACCGCAUUGAGAGGUCGGUAGUCUACACACAUGCGUAGACUGCCAUCUUUCUUCUUCACAAACAGGGCCGGGCAACCCCAGGGUGAUGCACUGGGUUGGAUGAAACCUUUCUCCAACAGAUCAUGCAACUGGGUCUUCAACUCGGCCAGCUCAGCUGGUGGCAUCCGAUAGGGUCUUUUGGAGAUGGGGGCGGUGCCGGGGAUCAACUCUAUGGUAAACUCCACGUCUCUAUUAGCUGGCAUGCCAGGCAAGUCCUCUGGGAACACAUCAGGGUACUCAGAGACAACAGGGAGGCUCUCUAGUCGGGCUUGCGGUAGAGGGUACGCACAGGGAAGUGCGGACUUAGGAGGGUUCAAGAACAGGGUAGAACUGCCAUAAAAGGGCGAGUUGAUGUAGAGGGUUCGGGCGGCCGGGUCUAGAACCACUUGGUUUCGGGUCAUCCAAUCCAUUCCAAGAAUGAUAUCUAUUCCUUCCAGGUCAAGGAUGAUCAGAUUUUCCUUAAAAAGGUUUUGGCCUAGCUGAAUAGGCACAUUGACACUCAUCCUAUCAGAUGUGAUCAUUCCACCCGGGGUGGAUAUUCUAAAAGACCCUCUGGUUUGGCAUUCUUGUAACCCACACUUGUCACGGGUCUUUCUCCCGAUAAAACUAUGUGAAGCUCCCGAGUCAAACAAAACCAAAGCUGAAAAACUAUGAAUCAGAAAGGUACCCAUCAUUAUCGGCGCACCUUCAGGAAGUUCUGCUGCGUGGGUGAAGUUCAGACGACCUUGGCGAACUUGCACCUUGGGCCUCUUUCCUUUGUUGAACGUUGCACUGUUCUACCCUGGGCACGGGCUCUGAUUUCUGGGGUAGUCCUUGGCGAAAUGUCCCACAUCGCCGCAGGCAAAAUAGCGGUUACCCGUUGCAGGGCGUGGGGGUGGCGGCAGGGUUGGCCGGUGCGCCUGUGGUUGGAAACCAGGAAAACAGGGCGCUGCUGCUGGCGGGGGUCGAGCAAUCCACCUUCCCGACUGCUGGGGUUAGCUGGGCGCCUGGGGUGGAACCAUUCUGAAAUGCUGCGCAGGUGGGUUGGGCGUUGGCAGUGGGGCUUUCCUCUUCCUCUCGGCUGCCAAAGCCUUCAUGCAGUCCUCUUGGGAGAUGGCCAGGUUGACCAACUCAUUGUAUGUAUCCACCCUUAUCGGGUUUAACCUUUCUCUGAGCUCCAAGCUCAGCCCUCUGCGGAAUCUGUCCUUCUUCUUCUCGUCGGUGUCCGCGUGAUAUCCAGCAUAACGACACAGAUCGUUGAAGGCCUGCACAUAGUGUAAUACGUCUCGGUUUCCUUGGUGUAGAGCCAAGAAUUCAUUGAGCUUGCGCUCCAGGAGACCCUCCGGGAUGUGGUGCGCUCUGAAUGCAGUCUUAAACUCGUUCCAGCUGAUGACAUGGUCUGCUGGCAACAUGGCGUGGUAGUGAUCCCACCAUAGCUGGGCGGAACCACGUAACUGCUGGGCUGCAAACCGGGCCUUGUUGUGAUCGGGGUACUGGGCGGUGAGAAGCUCGAACUUGGAUUUGAUGGUGCGAACCCAGGCGUCUGCAUCGAGCAGGUCUUGGGUCUUCUGGAACAAUGGGGGCUGCGUCCCCAAGAAGUCUUCAUACCGAGCAACAUGAGGUUGCUGCUGAGCCCUUCCGCCAUGGGGCGGCUGCUGUUGUUGCCCUUUUACCAGAUGUCUCAGCAGCUCAGUCUGAGCCGCUAAGAUUGCCUCUAGUGGAGAUGGGGGUGGAGGUGGGGGAAGAUCCUGUCUUUGCUCGCUGCUGCCGGGCACAGAACCAGAUCUGGUGCGAUGCGCCAUCUGCAAGAGUUAACGUUCCAUUAAAUUCAUAAUCUCAGAAAUACUCCAACAGAUGGGAACACACAAGUUAAAUUCUCCAAUGCAACUCUUGCUGAUAAUGCAACACACGUCCUCAUAAGGGAGAUACACUCUUCCCAUUGUCAUCUUAGUUAGUAUUUAUCUUAGCCUUGUACUCGACUUCGGGCGAACCAUAACCAGACUCCUGGAAUUCUCUUAUUUCUGAACUUAAGCCAAGGGGUCGGGCUAGGCGAGCAUCCCGAGAAAGGGGUCGGCCAGUGAUCCACGCAAAAAGGGUCGGGCGAGGUGGAGAACUGCCUCGAAGGGUCGGGCGCAUCCGAUCUCAUGAACCGGGGUCGGCCAAACUGGAACGGACCCUCAGAAAACGGCGUGUGUGAUCACUGCACAACUCACAUGGUCUAACAUUCCAACAUUUUGUAAAGAGUCAAUGGUCAGACUCAGAAUUUGAUUUCACUGGGAUCUUUUUACAAGGGUGUUCUAAAACACAAGGAGUACUCGACUCAAGGCUAACCUAUUACAGGACUUUCCAAAAUUUUAGGCUGCCGAGGAGUACAACAAAAGAAUGGGUUCCCUGCAACUCUCCAUCUACAAGGGAACACUAUGAGUGGGAGAAGGGGCGUCGUCCUCUUCAAUGUCCAUAUUGGACGCUUCCUCAACCUCCUCAGGGUCUUCUUGAGCUUCCAGCUACAUCUGGAGGGCAUGCAUGUCAUCGAGCUUGGCGUGAUGCUCGUCCAGAUGAGCAUUGGCAACCGCCAGCUCCAUUUCCACUUCCAUAUUUUCCUCCGAUAGCUCGAUCAUGCCGUCCACCAAGUCGGCUACUUCUCCCUCGAGCUCAGAGAUUCUGUCCUGCAUGUCAUGGAUCUGAACACCUUGUUGGAUGAGCUGAUAUGUUUGGCCCACCAUGCCUCUUCUGGCGGCCUGGAGGUGCCCCUGGGCAUCCAUGGCGGUCCAAGCAAGGAUAGUCAUGGCUCAUCCUUGGAACUCAAUCAGCCGAUAGAGGGCUGACAUACACCGGAUGUUGGUGGAGAUGGUGACCAUUGAGUAGUUGGUUGCCAACACCUCGAUAUUGCUGAUGCGGUCGAGCCACUCCGGGUCCAACCGGUUCCUGGCAGGGAAUAGGCCAAUGGGGUCUAGGGUGACCUCCAGUGGGUGCAGCUGACAGAAUUGAGUAAGAAGCGCAAGAGCGGCUGACUCCCAGGUGUCUUCCGGGGCAAGACUGUAGGCUGAGAUCCCAAACGAGGGCCAGUCAGGCCGCACAGGAGGUGGAGGUACUACUGCUUGUACAUUGCAUGUUUGGACGCCUCGCUCCAGGUACAAUCGUCCUGCAUACAACGGUGGGGACUAGUACCCGAACCACUUCAAGGUAUUCCACAAGAUCGCGGGAAAGCCCUCGAAGUGUAGACACGUCGAAUGGAAGGUGCCAUCCGCUCCAUACAGGACAUGUCUGGGGACGGCCAUCUGGAACCAAGAACCAAAACCACGUGAGAUGAACUCUAAAGGUUAGGGGUCGGACAGAAAAAGCAUCCGGAUUUAACCGAAAACAAGCUGGAGGAACUAGAAAUCCUUAGAACCGAAGAAGAGCUUUUCCGAGCAAGGUUGCUUUUGAGGAGGGUGACUUUACAGAUUCUUAGCUUAUGUCGCAUGCACGGCCUACCUCGUUCUCAACCAAAACAACUGCCAAACUUGGUCUUACGCGGUUAGUGCCGGUGGCAAGGCAACCAGUACGUCUCUCCCUAUAAUAACUAGUCGGUUCUAGCAACGUCUCCUAAGCGAACGCGGUUAGUGUACCUGCAGAAAAACACAACCACACAAACCUUUCGUGCCAGCACCCACGAAAGCGUUCUCAAACAUUACCGUUCACUACAGGAACGGCACCCAUGCGUUCAAGGCUGCAUGGACAGCACUCAACCGUGGAAAUAGGUUCCCUUUGAAUGGAACCGUAUAACCCUUCGCAUACUCGCGAUGCGGAAUCAGCGCACGUAUAAUAGACGUGGCGAACAACCGUGCUGAUAGGCUCGUUGGAAUCAAACCAUACCAACCUUCGUAUGGAUUACAUACGGAACCUGCGCACGUAUGAUAAACGUGGGCGAAACAACCGCGAUGAUAGGGUCCUUUGAAUAGAACUCCCUAUCAACCCUCGCAUACUCGUGAUGCGGAACUCGGCACACAUAUGAUAAACGUGGCGAAGUGCUAGAAGGUUAGCAAGAUAACCAAAUAAAUAUUAGCCACCUAAAACAACCCCAAAAUCCCCUAGGGCCUCUCGCACAAAAGUCAUCCUUAACAAUCGUACGAGAUAUUUUUCAAAGAGUUUCUUGCAACUUUUAUCUUUUUAAAGCAGUGAUUAGGGCUUAUUGUUUUCUUUGUCUUGCUAAACCGGCUCUGGUACCAGCUGUGGCGGAUCCACUUCGGAUUUGCAUAGUUAAACAUGAUUUAGCCGCAUGACACGCGACGCUCAUGCCUAACCGAGUAAACACGAAGUGCCGUCAGAUUUCAUCCGAUUUAACCACUUGAACAGGACCGAAUAGCAAACUCACACGAAGGUGAGCGGUUCCAGAGAAUACAACAAGUCCACUGAGUUAAGCAAUUUAACCAUUUAGUUUGGUUCUAAAACAUCAUCAGAGUUUACAAGGUUUGAAAGAAAACCACAGAAGAUAAAACAACAAGCGGAAGCUACUUCGUCGGGUCGGACAUCCCUGGUGAGGCCAACUGGGACGUCAAUGAUCCCUCUCCUCACCGUCCGAGGAGGGAUCCCACUCAACCAUCCAACCCGGAGGGAGUUGGGGCGGCCAAGUGCCAGCAGAAGGAGGCUCGGAGGCAGCAACUUCACCUGAAAAGAAGAGCCACAACAAGACUGAGCUACUAAGCUCAACAAGACUUAACCGACAGGGAGCGCUCUAAACUACCUCUUCUAGACAUGCAAGGCUUUUUGGCUGAGGGGUUUGUUUGCCAAAAGCGCUAGAUGUAUCCCUACUUUCAAGUUUUAGCUCCGGUUCUAAGUUCAUUAUCCGAUCUAAGUUUGCAACCUAUUCUAAGUAAACAUAGAACCAACCAAAAGGUAUAUACAUCAUCAACAAAACCAUGUCAUCAUCAGAUUCCUUAUUUACUCAGGGUGACAUAGCGAUCAAGCAGUCUCAAACUGUGAGAGGCAUACGAAUCUGUUGAUGCCAGAUUUCGUCACUAGUAAUCGGCGCCAAGAAGAGAGGGAAUCGGAGAGGCACAGUUGGGAAUCGGUCGAAUGGUGCUACAGUGCGAGAUCGGCCGAUGACUUCUGUCUCGCUUCGGGUCGAAUGUGCCGGAGUCCCAAUCAGUUGCCUUUUGCCGAUAAGGAAUCGGCCGAUUAGGAGGAUGGGUUAAUUGGCCCUGUAUGGGCUUGGAAAGGAAUGAGAGGAUGAGGGGGAGGUUAGCCCAUGAAGCGUGGAAUAACCAACCUAGCACGAAUCGUGCUUGUAGAUAUUUGUUUUCUGUUUGAAUUAGGGAUAGAAUUCUAGUCGGUUAAGAAGUUAUCUGUACGGGGCUAUAAAUAGCAACCUUUGUAAAUCUGUAAUCAUCAACCAAUCAAUACAACAAGCUACUUUUUCCUCGUACUUACUUUCAAGCAGGCGACUUCGCCAUUACUUUCCUCUUUUUCACGAGUUCGUGCGGGUUGGCAGGGUGCAUCAUCUUGAUCUCCGGCCAAUUCUGUAAGUUUCGCUUAUCGAGUAAUAUCUAAGCUUUAACUUCGGGCGUAUCGCUGUUGUUUCGUUUAGAUUUAUUCACUAGUUAUCGAUAUUUACUAGAAUCAUAGGGUUUUUUACCUGUUGUUCUAGUUUUAUCACCAGUUAUCCAGCUAGGAAUCGGUAGUUUCGGCUUCAUUCACGUUUUGUUAUUAAAUUCAUCUAUUACCGAUUAGAUCUAUUCCUAGUGUUGUUAUCAUAGCUCUGUGUCAAUUACUCUAGUAACUUCCUGACUACAAGGCUACAGUGAUCGGCUGCCUCAUAGCCGAUUUCUUUAUUACAGCAAGUCGGCCGAUUCGCUAAUAAGCUCUCUCGAGAUCGGAAACUUAGCCGAUCGUGAUUUCUGAACCUGACACGUAUUCUUCCUUGCCAAUCAACAGGUCAGAUUGGCUGGCACGCCGCGCGAACCGUACCAGGGCAUUCACCCGAACAGGAGCUAAGCAGAUUCUCCCGGGUCGUGUGUCGGACGCUGGGAUUCGGUUGACCGAUUUCUAGCGCCAACACACUUUUGGCACGCCCGGUGGGACAAAUACAACCGCCAUCAUGUCGAAAGCUGCUGAAGUCUCCGAAGAUAACGUCAUCGAGGUGACGGAAGCAGAUCUGAAGGACGACCAGAAGGAAGAGCUGGAAAGUAUACGGCUCAGUUCCGGAAAGCUUGCCUGAAGUCCUUCAGUCGCUCCAGAAGCGGGGAGACUAUCAAGAAGACUCCAUUCCCUGCUCCCCGCCAGAUCACAAUUUCUGAGGAUUCGGACAAAAUGUCCGAUAUGAUUCAACAGUCUAUUCAUCACGCCUUCAUUGAUCAAUCCCCGGUACUUUCAAAUAUGGUGCACAACACCGUUGUCAACUCCUUCGCUGGCGGGAUACCUCAAGGAUACAGGGGACCGACAUAUUUUCAGCCGAUCCCACCAAACCAGAAUUAUUCGAAUUCGGUUUCACAGCCGAUCCAAUUUUCUAUCGGGGGUUCAGGUGCUUCCUCGUCAUCAGCUCCUAUGGGGUAUAACUCCAUUCAACUGUCUUCUGCACCGUUCCCUCCAGUUAGCCCAUCACCCUGGGGGGGGCACCUUCAGCCACGGCCGGACAGAAUCAAUCGGCCAGUCAAGGAAACCCUCCAUUUCAGGCAUCCUUCCAGGCGGCCACUCGGCCGACCGUACCGCCAUACCAGCCUGUCGCUCCAGAGAUCAACAAAACAGCGGAGCUCAUGCUGUAUGAGGAAACGAGUGGCUCCUUCAAACAGCCGAUGUUCAAUGCGCAACCGGCUUUCAAUCAGAUGCCAUCUGCUUUCACUCAACCUCAGAUUAUCCCGCCUCCGGUUUACCAACACGUGCCAAUACCUCAGCCAACGGUUCACCAGCAACAACCAGAUUGGUCUGCACGUAUUGCGGAGGUGAUGCAAGAACAAUUCGGCUUAAAGCCGAAAGUACAAACCUACACCUACAGAACACCAUACCCGCCUACAUAUGACCUAUUGCCGUUUCCCCAUCGGUAUAAAGUUCCUGACUUCACUAAGUUUUCGGGGAUGGAUGAUACUUCAACCGUAGAGCACGUAAACAGAUUCAUCAUCCAAUGCGGGGAGGCAGCUACGCAGGAUGCCCUACGGGUACGGUUGUUCUCUUCAUCUCUGUCUGGUUCGGCCUUUCAGUGGUUUACGACGUUGCCGCCAAACUCGAUUAUCACAUGGGCCGAUUUAGAAAGAUAGUUCCACAAAUACUUCUACGCCGGGGUGCAUGAGAUGAAGCUGUCCGAUUUGACCAGCCUCAGGCAAAGAAGUGAUGAGCCGAUAUCCUCGUAUGUACAGAGGUUUCGGGAAAUCAGGAACAAAUGCUAUUCCCUGGCUCUAAAUGACGCGCAGUUGGCCGAUAUAGCUUUUCAAGGCCUUCUGCCCCACAUCAAAGAAAAAUACGCCUCACAAGAGUUCGAGAGUUUGAGCCAGAUUGUCCACCGAUUGUCUGGACAGGAGGUACGUUCCUUCGAUCCUCGGAGGAAUUUCCAAAAGAAAGUGGCGUUCCUGGAAGAGUUAGAAGACGAGGAGGACGCUGAAGUCGGACUUGCGGAGUGGAUCAAGGGCAAGAAGCCGAUAUCAUGCCCAUUCGGCAAAAAGGAGCCAGAACUGUUCGACUUCGAUACGACUAAGGCCGAUAAAAUCUUCGACCUCCUCCUCCAAGAAGGACAGAUUAAACUCUCGCCAUAUCAUACCAUACCUUCUGCCGAACAGUUAAAAAAGAUGAAGUACUGCAAGUGGCACAAUGUCACAUCCCAUGAUACUAAUGAGUGCAAAAUCUUCAGGCAACAGAUACAGUCGGCCAUUGAGCAGGGCAGACUUAAAUUUGAAGUGCCGACAAAAUUGGCCAAGCCAAUGAAGAUCGACCAGCCACCCUUUCCCCACCAACAUGGUUGAUACGGGAAAGAAUCCACUCCAAACAAAAGUGCUGACAUCCGAAUCGGCUAAAAAGAGUGGCGCCGUCGAUCCCAGAAAUCAAGCUACACCUGAUGACGUCAAAGGGAAGCGGCGGAUGGAGGAUGACGAUGGCGAAUCGGAAGAACCACGCAUUACUUCCCAGUUCCUGCUCCAGAAGUAUCAACGUCAGCAUGAACGCUCAAGGUCCCGGGAAGAAGCAAUGCGAAGGCACGAAGACCACUGGAGGUGCCCUUUCUUCAUCCACUGUUGGGAAAACAACCUUAGGCUACCUUCAGCCGAUAAUUGCCCAGAAUGCAACGGUCCAUAUCGUGGCAAUCGGCCGUUCAACAGGUCUCGCUCCAGAGACGGAAGGCCAGAACCGAUCAGCAGGAAUUGGCGCAACCAAGAUGACCAGCGCCCUCCCGUGCGUGAUCGGCUGGGGGGCAGAAGUGACCGGUAUGAUCGGUCAGAAGAUAAACGCCAUGACAGGCAGGGGGGCAGGACUGAUCGGCAUGACCGGUCAGAGAACAAGGCCAACGUUCACAACCAGCUCGAAGAAAUGGCCGAUGCUCGGGUGACAGAUGAAAACCCGUUAGGACGCGAACCGGAGUGGGAACGCGCCAAAUCAGGGGGAAGACCAAUAAAUCCCAGGUGGUGUCCUGAUGGAUUGACCAAGUCUCAAAAACGGAGAAUCCAACGUCUCUGCCAAUGGGAACAGCUAGAAGAGGAACAACAGAGCACGACAGACAAGAAGGAAGGAAGGCCUCGGGUGUGGCGCCCCAAAAGAAAUGACGAAUCGGCGGGUGACGAAUCGGCAGCCGAGAUCGGCAUGGUUUUUAUACUGCUGAUGGAAUUCAUGACUCCCACCGAUCAGCAGGACGUAUCGGCGAUAGAAGAACAGACGGCACAAUUGGCUUUACAGCCAAUGAUGGCCACGUUCGAGAAGCCCGAAGACGACGAACGGCAACACAUGAAGGCGCUGUUCCUUAAAGGGCAUGUUGACGGCCGCCCCCUCACUAGACUGAUGGUAGACGGAGGAGCUGCAGUCAACAUCAUGCCAUACGCCGUACUCCGAAAGCUUGGGAAAAGCGACGAUGACUUGACCAAGACAGACAUGAUGCUCAAGGACUUCGAGGGCAACGUGUCAAACGCUCGCGGCGCUCUCUGCGUCGACCUCACCAUUGGCAGUAAGACCCUUCCUACCACCUUCUUUAUUAUUAAUGGCAAGAGGUCCUACAACAUGCUACUCGGCUGGGACUGGAUACACGCAAACUGCUGCAUCCCGUCAACAAUGCAUCAAGGCCUCGUGCAAUGGGUUGGCUAUAACAUCGAGGUGGUCAACGCCGAUUCCGCAUACAGCAUCGCGACAGCCGACACGCAGCAGUGGAGCUGCGAAACCGUCAGGUGCAUAUCCGGCAGAGUAUGGGAGACCAAUUUCCUAAAGGUCACCGAUUUUGGCCUACAGCCGAUCCGAGCAGUCGGCUCCGAAGACUCAGAAUAGAUGGAUAAGUUCGCACGAGAAGAUGGGAAGCUAGGGCACGGUUUCACGUCGGCCGAUUCAUUAGAAAUGAUAGAUCUAGGCGAUGGUACCAAACCAAGGCCGACUUAUAUUAAUGCAAAUUUAGACCCAGAAUACAAGUGUAAAUUGACAAAUUUGUUAAAAGAAUUUAAUGAUUGUUUUGCUUGGGAGUAUCAUGAGAUGCCCGGUUUAGACCGAUCUAUUGUUGAACAUCGGCUACCCAUAAAGCCAGGGUAUCGGCCGUACCAACAACCCGCGCGGCGCUGCAAUCCCAAGAUUCUACCAGACAUAAAAGCUGAAAUAACUCGGCUAAUCGAAGCAAAAUUUAUUCGGCAAUGCCGUUAUGCCGAGUGGAUCUCCAACAUUGUACCAGUGUACAAGAAGAAUGGAAAGCUACGCGUUUGCGUUGAUUUCAGGAAUCUUAAUCAGGCCACACCGAUGGACGGUUACCCCAUGCCGACGGCCGAUGUACUGAUCGACGCUGCCGCGGGGCACAAGAUUAUUAGCUUCAUGGACGGAAACGCUGGGUACAAUCAGAUACUCAUGGCCAAAGAGGACAUACCCAAAACAGCCUUUAGAUGUCCAGGCCACCUUGGCUUGUUCGAGUGGGUGGUAAUGACUUUUGGCUUGAAGAACGCUGGUGCUACGUAUCAGAGAGCCAUGAAUUACUUAUUUCACAAGCUCAUUGGCAUUCUGGUGGAGAUCUACAUCGAUGACGUCGUAGUCAAGUCCAAAGGACAUGAAGAGCAUCUGGCCGAUUUGCGAAAAGUGCUAGAGUGCACCAAGAAACACGGGCUCAAGAUGAAUCCCAAUAAAUGUGCUUUCGGCGUAUCCGCCGGACAGUUCUUAGGAUUCAUGGUGCACGAACGAGGGAUUGAAAUCAAUCGGAAGACCAUAGCGGCCAUCAACAAAGUCGUGGCCCCACAGAACAAAACUGAAUUGCAGUCUUUAAUCGGUAAGGUGAAUUUCAUCAGAAGAUUCAUAUCUAAUCUAUCUGGGCGGAUUCAGGCGUUCACGCCACUGUUGAAGUUAAAGCCUGACCAGGAAUUCAUAUGGGGGGGAGGAGCAGCGCAAAGCAUUAGAAGAUAUCAAGCAAUACUUGGUCUCACCACCGGUAUUGGUUCCUCCUCAAACUGGUAAGUCGUUCAAGCUAUACUUAUCAGCCGAUGAAAAAGCUAUUGGGUCGGCUCUAGUCCAGGAGUUCGAAAGCAAGGAACAGGUAAUUUACUAUGUCAGUAGAAGACUUCUGGACACUGAAACAAGAUAUCCUCCAGUGGAGCGGUUGUGCCUAUGUCUUUACUUUUCAUGCACUAAACUCAGGCACUAUUUACUGUCGGCAGAAUGCGUAGUCGUAUGCAAAGAGGACGUAGUGAAAUACAAGCUAUCACUGCCGAUCUUGAAAGGACGAAUCGGCAAAUGGAUCUUAGCAUUGUCAGAGUUUGACCUACGGUAUGAAUCGGCAAAAGCCGUCAAGGGUCAGGUCAUGGCCGAUUUCGUCGCCCAACACUGCAGACCAGAGAUUGCCCUCGUAGAGCCGGCACCUUGGACUUUAUAUUUUGAUGGGUCGUCAUGCGGGGUCGGAUCAGGAAUCGGCAUCAUUCUCAUAUCGCCUCGGGGGGCAAGCUAUGAUUUUUCUCUGCCGAUAGAAGCUACCGCUACUAACAAUCAAGCAGAAUACCGAGCUGUAUUGAAGGGCUUACAACUAUUAAGAGAGAUCAAGGCCGAGUCUGUUGAAGUCUACAGGGAUUCCAUGCUCAUAGUAGAUCAGCUGACCGGAAGAUCUGAAUGCAAGGACGACGUGUUAAGAAUUUAUUACGAAGAUUGUUUGCAGCUCUUAAAAGAAUUUAGAUCGGCAGUAAUCGAGCACAUCCCAAGAGAUCACAACGAGGGUGCCAACAAGCUCGCCCAGCACGCAUCUGGAUAUCGGCCAAUUCUAGGCGCUAUGGCUCUAGAACUUGCGGCCGAUGACUGGCGAAAAAAAUUGCCGACUACCUGAAAGAUCCGUCUAAAAAGGUGGAACGACGAGUAUGUUUUCAUGCUACUAAAUACGUACUGCUCGAAGACGACCUGUUCUAUCGAACGAUCGAUGGUGUUCUACUCAAAUGCCUUGGAACAGAGGAGGCUAAGACUCUGAUGGGAGAAAUCCAUGAAGGGGUAUGUGGAGCACACCAAUCGGCCCAUAAGAUGAAGUGGAUGAUCAGGAAUAAUGGGUACUACUGGCCAACUAUCCUCGAAGACUGUUUCAAAUAUUAUAAGGGGUGCCAGGAAUGUCAAAAGUUCGGGAAUGUCCAGCGUGCACCCGCAUCGGCUAUGAAUCCCAUUAUCAAGCCAUGGCCGUUCAGGGGAUGGGGAAUAGACCUUAUCGGCCAAAUUUACCCACCAUCAAGCAAAGGGCACAAGUUUAUUCUGGUGGCUACAGAUUACUUUACCAAAUGGGUAGAAGCAAUUCCAUUAAGAGCCGUGACAUCGACUAUCAUGGCCGACUUCGUAAGGGAUCACAUCGUCUACCGAUUCGGCAUCCCUCAGACUAUAACAACCGAUCAAGGAACAAUGUUCACAUCGGGGGAAUUUGAGGAAUUUACAACCAAUAUGGGAAUCAAAUUGUUAAAUUCUUCUCCAUAUUACGCCCAAGCCAAUGGUCAGGCAGAAUCCUCCAACAAAGGGAUAAUCAAGUUAAUCAAAAGGAAAAUCAAGGAAUAGCCAAAGAAGUGGCAUCUAUGUUUGACUGAGGCCCUAUGGGCGUACAGGAUGGCUUGUCAUGGGGCUACCAAGUUGUCUCCCUACCAGUUGGUGUACGGUCACGAUGCAGUACUACCAUGGGAGUCGAGGGCGGGAUCGAGGCGUAUUUCGCUCCAAGACCAGUUAACGGCCGAUGACUACUCAUCACUUAUGAAAAGGGAACUUGACGAUUUGGCUGGCCAACGAUUGAGAGCUCUGAUAAGCAUUGAAGAAAACAAAAGGAAAGUAGCCAGGUGGUACGAUAAGAAGGUCAAAGUCAAACAAUUCUCCCCUGGAGACUUGGUAUGGAAGUUAGUAUUGCCGAUUGGGUCGAAAGAUUCUAAAUUUGGAAAAUGGUCCCCUACAUGGGAAGGGCCGUAUAAAAUCGGCAGAUGCGCUCCAGGGAAUGCUUACAUUUUGGAGACAAUAGAAGGAGAAGAAUUUACUAGAGCUCUGAACGGAAGGUAAUUAAAAAGAUACUACCCCAGUAUAUGGGUCGGAGCGUAAAGAAUUAACCGUAGCACGAUCACACAUAGCCAAUACAAAACGGUUCAAAUACAUAGUCGUCCAAAUCGGCCGAUUAUAUUCAUUCGGUACGGGCGAUGGGUUACAUGGCUGACAAAACAUUAGUCGCCCUUAGAACAAAAAAUGCAAAUAACUAAUUAUUCUUCUUCUUACGCUCCCUCCCAUUCCGUUCCAACUCAUUCAUGAUGCGGAGGUAUUCUUCUUCUAUUUCCUUCAUUGAGGCCUCCGCUUCAACUUGACGAGGGAGAGGAUGACUCCGAUCCACGGGCGGGCGCGAAGUUCCUGCUGCCGCGUCUUCGAGAACGACUUGCGGAGGAAGUGGAUGGCUCCUGUCGGUGGGAGGUCACCGGCUACCGUUGCUCUCCACAAAGUCCAAGAUUGUACGGGCCGCCGUGGUGACAUCGUCUUGAAGUUCGUCACAACGAUGGCUCCUGACGGUCGGAGAUCGUCGGCUACUAUCACUCUCCACGAGAUCCAAGACCACAUGGGCCUCCGCAGUAACGUGGUCUCGAAGUAGGUCACGAUGAGCCAUGAUCAGCUCCUUAUCUUCGGACGUCAAUGGGUCCUCGGAGUGAAUGAGCUCAAUGGCGCGUAUGAGCUCCGGGCUAAGACGCUGAGGCUGAAACAAAAAAGGAAUAAGAAGGGACAUCUUCUUCCUAGGAUCUAAAAGGAAAAAGGGAAAUCAAGACAAAGAUUUCACCUGGUUGACGGAAGAAGAAGAAGCCGACGAAGACAUGACGAAAAGCCGCGCCGACGAGGGGAGUAAGGAAAUGAAAACCGAAAGCCAAACUGGUACGUUUGGAAGGAAGUGCCCAGGCCGGUAUUUAUAGGGAAAAGAUGCGUGGAAAUUUGGUAAGGCUACGUCCCAUCGGAAAUAAGAAAGGCAAUAAAUAGAAAGGGCGUCGCGAGGGACGGUCAAAGUAGAUAAUAAAUGUUCGUACAAAACAGUCAGUGUUUUACAGAUUACCCAGAAGGGUAUUGAUAGCCGUGAUUGCCCGACACCGGAUCUGAUCGGCAGAGUCUAGGACCCGUUGGUCGUCGUCCACCGAUCCGGGGACUUCUGAUGCGCUGCGGUGGAGCUUCAGGGCCUCGUGGGCCAGGUGCUGCCUCUCCCGCUUCAAAUCGGCAAUGACGGACAGGAGUUCUUGGAGCCUUUUCUCUUCGGCACUGAUUGCCUUGGUCACUUGCUCCAUCUCCUUGGCGAGCUCUGCCCUCCGACGCUUGAGGCGGUCUAUCUCACCGAUGAUCCCCGGAUGGGAGUCCUCCAGAAAAUGGAUACGCCGAUGCGCCUCUUGAGCUUGACGCUUGAACGCGUCUUCUUCUUCACGAGUCUUGGCCAGCUUGGCGCGAUCGGCCAUGUGACGAAGGGCUCUGAAGACCAGGAUCCUCAUAGACUCGAUGAAGGCCGUCGGCGCUAGGGCCUCCUCCGCCUCUUCUGGUACUCGUCCGCUGACGUCACUGAAGAGCUGCCGAAUCGGUGAAGCGUCUUCUACUAGUCGGCUGAUGUCCCCUUGAAGGAGGGAUCGGAUACUGGUAAGUUUGGCUCGGACGUCAUCAGGAACGGAGCUCAAGGCAACUUGGCAAGAAGCAACUUCUUCAUCGUCGGAGAGGGCGACCGCAAAAGAAAAGAGGCUGUUGUCGGGGGUGUCUUGUUCCUGGAGAUAAUAAGAAGGAAGAAUAAAUCGGCUGGGAGUAAAAACAAAUCGGCUGAGUAAAAGCCGGAACAUAACUUACCGCUUUGAAGCGAAUUUCUUCAUGUUGCACUUGGGAGGCCGUCACGCCUUGCUCAGGGGCCUGCGCCAUGGGUUCAUCAGAUGAAGAAGAUUCCACAACGAUCGGCGCGGUGCUUGGGCCAGCUCCCUGAGAAAAGACCGGUGGUUGAGGAGCGCUUGGUGUGCCGAUGGCCUGUGUCAGAGGAUUAAAUAAGUACAUUAUGCAAAUACCAAGGGAAAUCGGUAAAAUGGUACUAUACCUCAAUGGAUGGAAGCGGGGGUGUGUCGAUGGCCGGUUGGGUUGCUGCCGAUUGUUGUAUUUCCAUAGGAGUGCUCUGUGCAGUCUAAAGAUAAGAAGGGUUAAUAUCAGAACAACAAUCGGAAGGAAUAAAACUUAGGUUUACCUGAACGGCCUCCAAUAACAAUGACGCGGCGGCUGCCCCAGCUUGCGCGACGGCUUGGGUAUCGGCAUCUUGGAUGACCUGAGAAGGUGGUGCGGCCGGAGUCUCUGCCGAUACGAGCACAGGAGGAUCCGCCGAUUCUAUACGAGCUCGGACUCGGCGACUGGUCUUCUUGGUGGUCCUCUUCUGGACUUGUUUCGAUCGGCCAGCGAUCACGUCAACAGACGGAGCAUCAUAGCCAAGAAGAGGAUAAGUGGUGUAUGGAUGACUCUCUAUUAGCCGUCCGCUACGGCUGUGUGUUGGAGGAGUUCGAUUCUCGGCCUGAAGAAAUAGUAAAAUCAUUAGUGCUCAGUCACGUUAAGAAAUAGUAAAAUCGGCUAAGUAAAGUACCUCGGCAUUCGGGUCGAUGUUGGCUGGGUCCAGGAGGUUGCAGUAUGCCGAUGUCGACUUGCAGAAGAGAAAUUGCUUCCAAUCGGCCCACCAGAGUGUGAACGGCUGGACAGCAAAGGGAGCUACUAGCCAGUCGUUCAGGUCAAUGGUACUGGAGUUCGGAAUUCGGUCUCGUAACCGACUGUAAUCCAGACCAGUUGUGAGUUUAUCUCUAAACUUGAUUCGGCCAGCAAAAUACACUUGAAUCGGCAGCUGACCCAUGCCGAACUGACGUGUUGCAACGGAAUGGUUGUAGAAUUCAUACGUAGGGGCAUCCUUCGCCGAAAAUAAGUUGGCUGGCAGGAGUCCUGGCUUGAUUAACUCAUCAUAGAGUUCUUCAUCAAAUCGGCCAGUAGUCGAAUCAAAACAGGUUGGGAGUUCAAAGACCGGGUCAUCCCGCUGAUAAGGAAACCAAAUGGUUGCAUCUUCAUUAAAGCCGUUAUAGAAGCAUCGAAAGUACUCGGCUACCUUUGUAGCAGAAUACAUGCAACCUGGGAAAGCUGAUGCCGCUUCACCAAAGGACAUGCAUCGGCGACGUUCGGUAGGGUCUUCUGCCGAUUCGAUGUUGGGGAACAUCAUGCGGUCCACCUGCUGCUGAGUGAUCUUGCUCAUAUAAAGGUUCAGCCACAAGUUGAUGAACCACCAGGGUCCGCCUGGAUUGCCGAUCGGCUCUCCCUUGGAUAGUCUGAUGCCGAUUUGAUGGAGCAUGUGGUACGCGGCCCCUAGCAGAUGUUUCCCAAGAGGGACAUGGUUUCCUCUGGACAGCGCUUCAGCUAAAGCCUGGGUAUUGGUUGACGGGUCGGCGGCUCUUCCGCAAAAGAAAUGUUUUUCUAACCACAUCAUCAAGAAGGCCGUAUGCUCCCUAUUCUCAACAGACCCGGUUCUCUUAUUACUUCUGAUGAAUCCCUUCCACCCGCCGAUUCCCCUUGUGUCCAGCCGAUGUGACGUUGCGGCUAGAAGGUGGUAGGGUGUGUCCAGGGAAGAGAUGUCAAGGCCGGUCAACAGGACCACAUCGGCCAGUGUUGGGGUCAUAGGUCCGUGCCCAAAUAAGAAGGCAUUAAGUGCAUCAGACCAAAAGUAAGAAGCCGUCAUUACCAACGGCUCAUUUUUGAUGCAUUGGACGAUUUUGAGCUCUUCCCAUGAGACGCUCUUUGACGCGGCUACCCGUUGGUACCACUCCCUCCAACCUGGGGUUUCAUUCGGCCAGGAUCUAAAAGUACCCAGCCAUUGAUCUAAGUCCAUAUCGGACAGUUUGAAGGGUAUCCUGUGGGUUUCCAAAUUGAUAAGAUCUAUUGGAUCUGGGUUUCCCAUAGGUCUGAGGCAAACAAGGCUGGGAUUUCCCGUAAGGUGAAUGGUAAUGCGAUGCCUAACUGCCUAAAAAAGGAAAGGGGAGUGUAAAAAAGUAAGAAACAGAUCUAAGGUAAAUGUAUUGCCGAUAGAAGAAGGAUUCGGUAUUUACCUCUGGGAUGAAGUUCUGAGUGAUCGAUGUGGUCGCCGGUGCAGAUGCGGACGAUGGGGCCGCAAUGGGGAUCGCCAUUGGGAUCUCCGAUGAAGCUCCUUCUUCUGUGGAUGGAGCGACGGCCGUCGUCACCACCGCCGGAGGCGCUACUUCUGGAACGUCGCGCGCGGGAGAGCUGCCGGAAGGAGCCGCCAUUGGAGGAGAAGAGGAAAAAGUAACAGGAGGUGGUGCUAGAAAGCUUCGGCGGCAAGGGAAAGAUGCUGAAGGAAGAAGAAGGCGCGCGCGCUGGGAAAAGAGACGUGAGCUUGAAGAUGAAGUGCGGGGUGAAGCGCUAUUUAAAGGAUGCCUGAAGGGGGGUAAAAACGGAAUUUUCACCGCGCCGGCGUUUCGAGUUUUUCGGGAGUAGUGGCUGUCGUGGGCGCCCGUUUCGAAAAGAUUGCAAUCAUCAGCUGGAAGACCGCGAAACGGAAGGAUAUUUUCAUUGCAGCCGUUUCGGAGGGGAGGUUAUAAAGAAUUUCGAAGUAAAAGACUAUGUUUUACUCCGAAACUGGGGGGCAUGUGUUGACGCCAGAUUUCGUCACUAGUAAUCGGCGCCAAGAAGAGAGGUAAUCGGAGAGGCAUAGUUGGGAAUCGGUCGAAUGGUGCUACAGUGCGAGAUCGGCCGAUGACUUCUGUCUCGCUUCGGGUCGAAUGUGCCGGAGUCCCAAUCGGUUGCCUUUUGCCGAUAAGGAAUCGGCCGAUUAGGAGGAUGGGUUAAUUGGGCCUGUAUGGGCUUGGAAAGGAAUAGGAGGAUGAGGGGAGGUUAGCCCAUGAAGCGUGGAAUAACCAACCUAGCACGAAUCGUGCUUGUAGAUAUUCGUUUUCUGUUUGAAUUAGGGAUAGAAUUCUAGUCGGUUAAGAAGUUAUCUGUAUGGGGCUAUAAAUAGUUACCUUUGUAAAUCUGUAAUCAUCAACCAAUCAAUACAACAAGCUACUUUUUCCUCGUACUUACUUUCAAGCAGGCGACUUCGCCAUUACUUUCCUCUUUUUCACGAGUUCGUGCGGGUUGGCAGGGCUGCAUCAUCUUGAUCUCCGGCCGAUUCUGUAAGUUCCGCUUAUCGAGUAAUAUCUAAGCUUUAACUUCGGGCGUAUCGCUGUUGUUUCGUUUAGAUUUAUUCACUAGUUAUCGAUAUUUACUAGAAUCAUAGGGUUUUUUACCUGUUGUUCUAGUUUUAUCACCAGUUAUCCAGCUAGGAAUCGGUAGUUUCGGCUUCAUUCACGUUUUGUUAUUAAAUUCAUCUAUUACCGAUUAGAUCUAUUCCUAGUGUUGUUAUCAUAGCUCUGUGUCAAUUACUCUAGUAACUUCCUGACUACAAGGCUACAGUGAUCGGCUGCCUCAUAGCCGAUUUCUUUAUUACAGCAAGUCAGCCGAUUUGCUGAUAAGCUCUCUCGAGAUCGGAAACUUAGCCGAUCGUGAUUUCUGAACCUGACACGUAUUCUUCCUUGCCAAUCAACAGGUCAGAUUGGCUGGCACACCGCGCGAACCGCACCAGGGCAUUCACCCGAACAGGAGCUAAGUAGAUUCUCCCGGGUCGUGUGUCGGACGCUGGGAUUCGGUUGACCGAUUUCUAGCGCCAACAGAAUCGAUUCGAGUUUCUUAACCAUGCAUGGCGAACCUAAUCUCACGACAUCCACGCACCACAAGGGCCGCUUCCUGUGUCGGUCGUCCCCAUCAAUUCCCAGGCGCGUGUCAGGUCCAAACUUCCCUUGGCAUGCAAUGCUCCACAGUCCCGGCCUCUGUCGUACUGUGACCGCACUUGCACCCACAUGAUGCACCAUGGGAACCUCGUUCCAGGGACAGCAGGGGUAUAAGCCACGCCCUAGUUCAAUCAGGUACUAGGCUUCCCCAUCCCAUACUAGGUAUGAGAUUAGUACUUUCAAACACUUGAUCACGAACACCAUCACUGUCGGGCCUUAGCAAGCUUCAUAGACAGACGGGGCGAUCAACCGACCACCAAAGAGUUACCUCAAACCCUGCCCCGUCAAUCAUCCUUAUAGUUGUGACAGAAGGGUAAACAUCCAACUCCUACAACUCGCGAGUGACAGGGAAUCACUCGGCUUUUACCGUCUCCUAAUUAAGCAAAGCAUCUACUCGGUCCAACAGCUAGUGUUUAGAUCAAGGGAGCUAGGUUAUGCAUCUAUGGUUCCAAACAACUCCUAUACGUAAAUGCACAAGCAUGUUAAAGAAGGCAUGCGCAAGUCUGGUAAAACAUAGGGGAUUUAUGCAUCCGGGGCUUGCCUUCGAGCAAGGAGGAAGGGAACUGCGCGUCUUCUUGGGCAGCUUCGGCUUCGGGAAGCAGGAGCUCCGCUACACCGUCAUCUUCUGGCGCCGGGUGCAGCUCGUAGUAGCCGUCGGCAAGACGCAGCUCUACACGAAUGCAAUGCAUUGGUUAGCAUAGACAAUUAUUUCAAUAGCAACACUUGCAAGUUUGAGCCCAGAAACUUGCGACAAGUUACAGGAGGGUGGGAAGGUUCAAUGGAGUUGAUAGAGAUCAAGAGGUAAGGGUCGGAGGGAAGGAACUUAUGAUCUGACCCUUAAUCUAGAGGAAUAGAUGUGCUAGGGGUCCUCAGAGUUAACGCUGAGAAGUCCCCAAGUUUUACACAUGCACCCUCGGUUCAAAGAAAAAGAUACAGCCGAGCCCUCAGGCGAGGCGGAGAAGGGUCGGCGGAACAGAUAGGGUCGGGCGAGACGGAACUGGGGUCGGGUAGAUAAGAGGGGUCGGCCGAGGCGAACAAGGGUCGGCAGCCUACCUUCGUCUUACAGAGAAGGCUGGGCGGAAGAACUAAGGGCUUGGGACAGCGGCAAGGAGGUCCGGCGGCGGCGGUGCCUCUUGUGGAUCACAAGCAACUCUUGGGCAGCACUGAAGCAGUGGCUGGCGGAUUUGGAAAAGGUGGUGUUCGAGCGGAGAGGAGAGUUCCUCAAACUUAGGUGGUGGCGCUGUGAGCUUCGAACAGGGAGCAAGAGAGAUGGCAGCGAAGGCAAAGGGGGAACUCCGGCGGGACUCCGGCAUCUCAUUUUAUAGCUGCACGGAAGAGGGAAGGAGGAGCGGCACGAAGGCCGGGGAAGAAAUGAUGGAGUGCUCUGCCCGGGCGGCGAUUGAGCGAUGAGGGCGGUGGAGCAGGACUUCGGGGAUGACGCCUGCGGUCAUUGGGCACUACGUCAGGGCGAUGCAGGCGCGGCUUUGCCGGUAGUUGAGAUUUGGCGGAGGUGGGCGUCGUCUUGCGGUGGAUCUGAUGGAAGUGACCGGGAAAACGGCGCUAGGAAUGAGGGCGCACAGGUGAGAAGACAGGCGGCUGCAGUCGCGCGGGCGAGCGUGGAGGAACAGAUUGUCGGGGCGGCUUCUGAUAGGGCGGGAAAAGGAGCUGUCGCUGCCGCGGUCUGGGUGGGCGGAGGAGGAAUCGUCGCGUAGCGAGGACCGGGGCGGCGCGACUGUGGCGAGGUGACGGAAAAGAUGGGCGGCAUCGGGCUCUGCAGCCGGGAUCUGGUGAUGUGAUGAUGGGCGCGGGCGGCGAGGUGCUGCAGAAAGGGUAGCAGAGGAGCUUCCGCCGCGAUUGGGGAAGGGGGCGCAAGAAUCCAUCCGGUCGUGGGCCAGAGACGAGGCGGAGCGGUGGGCGUCGGAGGAGCUGCGCCACGCGGCUGGGGAACUCUGAAACGGGCAUGCAACUCGAGUGCACCUGUCACGGGAGAUCUGGGGGAAAAGAUCUCGUGGGCCCACCGGUCAGUCUUGGUGGUCCACGGUUCGAACUGAAGGGCGAUGCUGUGAGAUGGCUUAGAAAGAUCCGACGGUGGGUUGGGGGUCGGCGGGGUCGGAACUGGGAAGACCACGGCGAGGGGUCGGAUCGCAGGGGUCGGAAGAUCUGGAGGUUGAACACUUAGGCUUGGAAAAACUAAGACAGGUGAUCAGGGGCUCGGAUUAAGAUUAACGCAAAGGAUUUUUGUCCGGGGCCGUUACAACAACACCCCUCCCCAAUCAUCGUCACCGGGAUUAAAAGCAGCACCGAGGAAAGAGCCUGCAACACCACUUAAGAAGUCGCGACCACCACCUCCCAAGCCUAAACAGAGAAAGAUGAAGAACAGAAAUGAGCCUGAAGUGACUCAUGAGGAACACUGGGAGGCAAUGACUCAUGUGGAAUACUGGGCUGAAAUCCAAGCAGAGGCCAGUGAGUGGUUCAAGAAACAGGUCGAAGAAAAAGAAGCAAGGGAGAUGGAGCCACCGCCAGUAAAUCGAAGAGAAUUAAAGUUUUUUAUUCAGGAUGGAAGAAGGAGCCAAGAAGAGGAUACCACUACUAUCGAACUACGAACGGGCAUUAGUCAAGGCUGAUGAGAGGGCAAAAAGGAAAGGAAAGUCAUCUUCUAGUGGUGCUAUCCUCGACCUUGGGCAUCUACAAGAAAAAGAUGCUGAAAAGAUAGCAGCAAUGCCCUUGGAUCAACAAUCACAAGUAUUGAAAUUCAUGGAAGAAACAGGUAUGGAACUUCAUGAAUGUCUAGGGCAAGUUGAGCUGCCAGCUACACCGCCAGUUGAUCCAAGAUGGACCUUUGAGCUAGGCAAGUCUUUGGUAAGGCCUGAGUUGGUACAGAAGCUAUCAACAAAGAUGUACGAAUUCCAUCAAUGGUACAUGAAGGUGUCCGCCGACUCGAGGGAGAUGUUUGGCCUUAAGGUAAAACCGAUAGAUUUUUAUGGCGAAGGUGAGAAAGUUCUGUGGCUAGCAUUCAAGGAUAUAUACAAAGUGUACCAUCAUGAUGCCCUGGGCGUCUAUCUAAUCAGCGCCUGGGUUUUGUAAGUGUUCGUUUAUCUACAUGUAAAUUUUGGAUCAUAUCAUUAUUUUUUUGCGUGGGUCACCGUACUAACUUCGUCUUCCAUUUUAUGUGGGAUGCUAAUUCAGACGUGCCGACGAGAAGCGUACCUUCAUAUUGGCUUCAUGGAUCCAUCCGUAGUUAACCAAAAGCAGAUACCGGUAUCGCUGGAAAAAACCUUGGUGGAAGUAUACAAUUUCCUAGACAAACAAAAAUUCAAGGAUUUCAUACUACUUCCAUACAACUUCAAGUAAGUGUGUGUAUACCAUCUACUUUCAUUUUUUUUUCCUUACUUGAUUAACGUUAGUUAGCUUUAAUAUAUAUGAACAUUAACGUACGCAGCUUCCACUGGAUCCUUGUUAUAAUUGAGCGUGAAAGAAGCCACGUCACUGUCUUCGAUUCGUUGAGGAAAGAUCCGGUGGAGUACCGAGACACGCAAGACAUGCUAGGCUUGUAAUAAUUCAGGACCUUUAUGUCUAUGCAAAAGUUUGUUUCCUAAAUUUUAACCCAGUUACACUAUAUCAUUCAUUAUUUUAAUCCGCAACGCAUGGAGACAAUUCAUCAGGACACACAAACGUCCAUUCAGAGAAAAACUUACAUGGAACACAGACUUCCCGGUACGUAUGAAGUCUGCACAUUUUGUACAUUCUAUGACACGAAUAUUUCAUAACUUAUUUUUUCCCCACUGAAGUGCUUAAGUCAGGAACCCGGGAAUAAUCUAUGUGGCUACUACAUCUGUGAGCACAUGCACAGUUUUGUGGGAUCAAAGGGACUAAAGAUGACGCCACACAACUUUAAAGUACAUAAAAUAAAACUAUUAAUAGUUAAUUAUUUUCUAGCUCCUUAUAUUUAAUUGUUCAUGUAACAUUCACAUAUUUCUAAAUUAUAGAUGUUAAAUAUUCAAUAAGGACUCUUGAAGAAGGAAACAGUAGAGUCAAUAUGUGAAGGUCUCAUUGGAUUCCUGAUUGAUGAGGUGGUAAAUCCACAAGAAGAAUUUUAUUAUGAUGGACAAAAUUUAGACGCUCCGAGCAACACCUCGAUGGGAAGAUUGUAGAUAUAUAGUUUGAUUUGUAUAUAUAAUAUACUAAGACCGAUUUGUAUAGUAUGCUAAGAAUUGUAUAUAUAUACUAAGAAUUUUAUAUAUAGUAAUUGUAUAAUUACUAGUUUCAUUGGUUUAAAUACUAGUUUGAUUUCAUUAUAAAAAAAGUCUCAACUACCAAAGGUUAACAAAAGGGCCGGGGUACGUACGUGAUGCAUGAAAUUACAGGCGCCAUGCACGCCUGCAGGACUUUAGUCCCGGACCCAACCCGGACUAAAGGGGCACCCUUUAGUCCCAGUUGGUUUUACCAACCAGGAGUAAAGGUCCUGUCCCGCGCCUAGUAUGGCAGGCCCUUUAGUCCCGGUUGGUAGCUUUACUCUCGGUUGAAGGACCCGGGACUAAAGACCCCCCUUUUGUCAUGAUUGGUUUAUUCCGGAUGGAUUUCUGGGAGAUUUGCACCCUACCAAUCGGGACUAAUACUGAGUUCUCUAUUAGUGAUGGUGCCAAUCAGACCUUAAACUGCUAGUUUUUAUUUGAGUUGCCGCAAAGAAAAAGUUCAAAUUAGUGAUGAUGAUAUUGAUCAAAUCGAACAGCAUGUAUCGGAAGAGGGGAUUAACUCACCUAAUCCUAAUCUGACUUGAGCAUGUAUCGUUCCUUUGUACUUCGUUGUUGUUAGCUGCAGCACCUCUACUGCCUUCCUGAUGAACUGCGGUGCGAGGAACAGACGGGAUUGGUGAUUCUUUAUCGAGUAACUUGUAGGCUUGUUCCGCGAGUUGUGCGAUUAGUCUGUUGCCUCGCUGCACAAGUUGAGCUAUGACUUCGUUGUCUUUGUCUCGAGGUAUGAGCAUUGAUAUAAGGUUGAUAGAGGCAAUUGCUACGAGUGGAGUGUUGUGUUCUUGAGCCUGUACUGCGUCAAAUGCUCUUUCGAGGUUUGUAAUGGGAAUGUUUGUAGCCAGCAUUUGUCGUUGCUCAGCCCGAGCAGCAUUGCGCAUCCUUCUUUGGUUCCUUUGAUCGGAAGUUUCAUCUUGUGGGGCGUUAGCUGUUGACUCAUCUUCUGAGACAUUGUCGAGUUGUGCUAAUUGCCUGGGGGUUCUCUGUUGGCUAGUACCCGGGUUGUUAUUUUUAGUAAUAACAAAGACUUCUCUGUUGGGGUAGUAGCUUCCAGAGCUUGAUGCUGCAAUUUCUAUGGAACUUUCCUCGCGGCUUGAAGUGAAUGGGAUGCCUUCUUGGUAUGCGAGGUUGUCUAUGUGAGCGACAAGGCGUGACUCGUAGUUGCAGGCGAGGGAUGGUCUCAUUCCUGGCCAGUGAAUGAAUUUGCCUUGCGAUGUCAAAGUUAUUACCAGUCCCUGGGCUGGUCCUGUCAGUGGGAUCUCUAGGAGAUAGACCGAGUCGGAGUCGUCAUCUUCAUCGUUCCCAUGUUCAAGUAGAGUUCGAGUGAGGAAACUUUGGUAGACUUCGGUUGCAUUGCGGAGUCCGUGUGGAAACCGUUUUGGAGUCGAAGCUGAUUUGGGAAGUGACUGGGACCGACUAGUCUGAACUGAGGUCGGGUCCGAUGCGUAGUCCAACUCGGGAUUGUUGACUUUGAAAUUUUGGAUUUUCCUAACCGAAUCCUCCGAUUCUUCUCCUGGACGUUGACGAUCUUGCACCAAAAUGAUCUAGCGCCGUCGACGAUGCAGAGCUAGGAUCCAAAAACGAAGGUUGCGCCGCUUCGAUGGUGAAGACAGGCUUGAAAACAACGGGCGCCAUUGAGCUCACGUUGAGAAACUCGACGAGCUCCCCUACCUGGCGCGCCACCUAUCGGUGUUUUAGACCGGCAACCCACCUAGGCGGUACCCUAGGUGGUAUUUUCUGCGGUAAGGGCCGUCGAGAAUCAAGGAGUCGAUGGUGACGCAAGGAACACGAUUUAGACAGGUUUGGGCCGCUAGAUCGCGUAAUACCCUACGUCCUGUAUGUUUGUUUGUAUUGAUCGCGUAAUACCCUACGUCCUGUAUGUUUGUUUGUAUUGACAGGUUUGGGCCGCUAGACAGGUUUGGGCCUCCCUCCUCUCCCUCCGUCUCCCGGCACCGCCCCCUGCCCCCGUCGCCGCCUCCCACAACCCCUGCCGCCCCCGCCCCCGCCCCCACCAUCCUCCCUUCCUCUCCGCCUUCUUCUUCCCGACUCCGAGCAUAGCGCCACCGCCGGCGGUCCUUGCGCCUCCCCCGCCCUCCUCCUCCCACGGCUGGCCUCGUCCUCCACCUCUGGCCGCGCCUCCCCUCCCUCUCCCUCGCUCAGAUCUGCCGCCACUACCUCCCUCAGAUCCGCCGGGUGGCUGGGCUCCCGCCGGAUGGCGGCAUCCCUCCAGGCUGGCAGGGUUAGCCAGAUGGAGGAUGGGGAGCAUAGGGUGGGGGAAAGCGAAGAUGAGGCCGGAGGAUGCCAUGGAGGAGGUGGAGGCUGAGGUGGCGCCCAAGGCGGCGGCAGGGCCGAAGCUAGGGUCCUGGAGGUCUUCGUCUCCCUAUCCGUCCUCCGCGAGGCCAGGAGGAUCAUCCAGGAGUCUAAUGUGAGCUCACACAAUCCCUCUCCUUAUCCUUCGAUUCGAUUGCGUUCCAUUCGCUUUCUGAUAUGCUUGUUCGGGUUUCAUAGCUGUGGAAGCAGGGUAGGGACAACGCGGUGACUCCACUACCAUUGGCGGCCUCUCGCGAUGCUGCCUCUCACGGGCUCCCAAGUCUGGCUCUCACGGGCUCUUUGUUUUAAGUGAGAGUCUGAGAUAGUAGGACUAUGUACACUUGUAAUGCUAUUGUCUGAACCAUAGAAGUCAUAGAAGUUUGUUUUCUUGCAAAUCUGCUAGUACGGCUGUAAAUCUAAUCUUCCUGUCGGUGUUCGUUCCUCUGCAGGUUAAGUAAGUGGGAGAUGACGGGGAGGAGCAGAACGGCUUGCAGAUGACUGGCCUGAAUCUCAUGGAUAAGAGGAUGACCGUUCGGGGAGCUAGGAUUGCCUACAGCAUCUGGGACGUCGCAGGUAACCCAGAAAAAAACUGUAGUUUGAAGCUGUGAUUCUCUUUGCUGGUUCCUUUGGUUCAAAUGUCAAAUUACCCAACCUUUCCUGACUAUUUUUAUGUCUUGUGGAAUGGAUGCAGGAGACGUCCAGUCUGUCGAUCACAUCCCAAUCGCGUGCAAGGAUGCCGUUGCGAUCCUGUACAUGUUCGAUCUCACGAGCCGGUGCACGCUUAAUAAGUUCGUGUUCAGAUCAAUUCCAAAUAACUCAAAUUCAGAACAUUAGAGCAAAUUCUUAUUUGGUCCUCAAUUCUGGUUACCUGUUUAUUGGUGCAGUAUUAUAGAUUGGUACGAGAGGGCGAGGAAAGGAAAUGGAAUAAGGUUGGUGCAUUUUUCUUUGCUUACAGCUUCCUGUGCAUCUCAGGUUUCCUUUCUGUAGCAUCUGCUGUUAUAUCUGAACACGUCCUAGUGACUCAACAUAAGCAAAAAUCUGCUACAAAUUACUGCAAACAGUUAACUGCAGAUGGGCUGCCUCUGUACACUUGAAUUUCUACAGAUCACUGUCAGCAACAAUUUAAUAACUCUGAGAUUUGCUCGUAUGCUUUUAGAAGCUUACUGUUCUACAAGUUCCUCCUAUUUUUAGAGCUUACUGAACUCGUAUGCUUUGGAGUUGUACAGAGAGGAGAUGAGCAAGAAUCAACCUGAGUUGGAGGCCAAGCUUGAGCUUGUUCUUGGUCAAAAUCGACCAAGCUGAGUUGGUUCAUGCUAACUGUUUAUGAAAAUAUGAAUGUAUGCUGUUUUUGGUGGCUGUUGUUCAUACUAACUGUUUCUGGAAGCAAAGAAACAUGAAUGUAUGCUGUUUUUGAAUUAUUUUGGUUGUAUGCUCGAACAUGCUACCUGUUAUUUUGGUUGAUGGGUUGAUAUAAUUUGCUAUGUAUUAUGGGUUGAAAUGAUCAUUGUGAUAUAUGGGCUUAGAUUGAAUUUGUGGGCUGAAAUGAACAUUGUAAGAUUUGUGGGCUGAAAUGAUCAUUGUAAAAUCUGUGGGCUGAAAAAUAGCCCAAUUGAGUGGUCCAGUUCUAAAAUGGGCUAUGAAUGCCACGUCAGCAUCCACAUCACUAGCCAUGUCAGCGUCAAGUCAUCGGCCACGUCACCAUGAAUGCCACAUUAGCAUCCACGUCACCGUGAAUGCUUCGUCAGUGUCCACGUCAUCAUCCACGUCACUUGUCACAGCCACGUUGGCUGCCAUGUCGUCACAAAACAUUGGGCUUGGGCUGGGUUAAACGGGCCUGAGGGUGGUUUGUGACAGUUUAAAAAUGUCGUAGAUUGUGUUUAUCUCUGACAAAAAUGAGGGGAACGAAGAAAACGUCACCUGAGUUAAUCUGUGACGCUCAAUUCAUGACGUUAUAUAAAAUCGUCAUAGAUGCUGCUUUAUGACGAUUUUUCAGCAAUCUGUGAUAGAUUUGAUUCAUCACAGAUUAACAGGUUUCUUGUAGUGAUUAUACUAGUUACAAUGGCAUAUCAGAGGACGAGCAGGCCCGAAUGGCAGAAGAAUACAUAAUGCAAUUGAUUGUUGAAGAGGAAUACAUGAUGCAGUUGAUUGUUGAAGGUGGCACAAACGAUUAACCAAAUGAAGAGAUUGAUCAUAGCCAGACUAACAUCUACCUCAACAUGUCUGGUGAUGAUAACGAGGAGCAACCAAUUGCUAAGCAAGGCAAUAAGGAGCAACAAAUUGCCGAGGGAGGCAAUGAUGGGCAACAAGGCGAGGUAUAGCAAUUAUUAUACGUAAACAUUAUUUGAAUUCUCUAAUUAUAAGGAUUACUGGGAAUUAAUAGUGCUUGUUGUUUUCAACCAUCUGAAUCGAGCAGCAAGCCUCAACAGAAAUGAGGCAAGAAGAAAGUUAUAGGGCCGUAUCAUCAUCACAGAAAUUGUUCAAGAUGGUGAACUGAUUGCUCCUGCCAAUGCUAAGACAAAAUUAGUGAAUCAGAUUGGAUUUCUUGUCAGGUAUAACAUCCCAAUAAGCUUUUAUAAUUAAAAAAGCCCUAACAGCGUCGCUUCAACAAGCACGGUACCUGACCGAGAGAAGAAAAUGUUAUGGGAACAGGUAAAAGACAACUUCACAUUCAAAGGUGUAGACAAAGACAAAGUGAAAGAAUGGGGCUUCAAGAAGGGUGUAAUUUCUUUCCAAACGUACAAGAAAAACCUGAAUAAAGAGUACAUAAAGAAGGGGCUUACACCUGAUUUCAUGAAGCACCCGAAGUUAAGAGAUCACUAAGAUUCCUUUGUACAGUUCAAGCAGUUGAAAAAGAGCGCUACGACAACUCAGACAAACGCCAACAAUGCUCACAAGAAGAAAUACUUUCAUCGUCUUGGGAUAGAAGAUUACAAUUUGGGGAUCAUGAAAUGGCAGAGGAUGGAAGAUGACACAUAAUUGGUAGGGGAAUAGUACCACAGACUCUCAAAUGGCCGGAGCGAGCAAAGAAUGGGUAUUAUGCUCAUGGUGGCAUGCUCAAUCCUGAAGAUGGAUCAUUGUGUUCGGCCAUGAAUUAGGAGAAGCGGCUACAAGGCUUGUUGACUUAAUAAAGGCAAUGGUCGAUGGAUCUUUCGUGCCUGAUCAAGAUAAGGAUGAGCUAACUAUGGCACUUGGUAAUUCUGAACACUCUGGACGUUGCCGAGGCAAAGGAGUAAUUCCAUGGAAGUUUGCCUUUCAUGAGCACAUUGAUUCAUACAGAAGUCACCAAACAAGUAAGGCCGACCAGGAACAACAGCUGCGAGAGUUGCAAGAACAAGUAGCUUUGAUAGAGGCAAGAACGGAGGAAGCAAUCAACCGGCGUGUGGCGCUAGCUCUUAGCAAACAAGCUAGUGAACAAGCAGCUGUUGCAGCAUCUGGGGCACAUGUCGACGUAAGCCCCACUCAGCGUCAAGCAGUGUCGCUUCCACGGAAGCCCCAGCUGGAGGAUCUUCUGACAUACUUGAGGACAACCAACACCACCCCAUGGAUGACAUCACUGGGAGAUCUCCUUGUGAGCUUGUUACUCCUGUGAAAAACAAGUUGAUCGUGGUGGCUUAUGGUGUGGUCGAGCAACCGACGCAAGGCUAAACACUUCAUGGUGUGGAGAUUCCAGCUCAUAGUUACACCAAAGUUGGGGUGGACCAAGUGGUCAACGGUNNNNNNNNNNNNNNNNNNNNNNNNNNNNNNNNNNNNNNNNNNNNNNNNNNNNNNNNNNNNNNNNNNNNNNNNNNNNNNNNNNNNNNNNNNNNNNNNNNNNCCGGGCUGGAGGAAGAAGAAAGUCUCUAUCUCGGGAUAUAGUGGGGGAUGAGUUUUUAUCCCGGUUAAAAACUCCAACCGAGACAAAAGGAAACACCUUUUGUCCCGGUUGGAAGUUUAGUCCUGGUUGGAUCCUCCAACCGGGAUAAAAGGGUUCACCUUUUAUCCCGGUUGGAGGAUCCAACCAGGACUAAACUUCCAACCGGGACAAAAGGUGUUUCCUUUUGUCUCGGUUGGAGUUUUUAACCGGGAUAAAAACUCAUCCCCCACUAUAUCCCGAGAUAGAGACUUCUCUUCUUCCUCCAGCCCGAGCCAGUCCAGCACAUUGAUAGAGAGCUGAGCUUCACCUACUCUCCGGUGGUGCCAAAGCAAGGGAGGUGCUGCCCGAAGUUUUUUCCCUCAUUUUCGUGGGAAUUUGACUCAGCCAACACAAGUGUUGCGAAGGUUUGCUACUUCAUCCUCGUGUUAUGCUUUGAUUUAUGCUUUGGAGAUGGAAAGAUUAUUUGCUACAAUGUGAUGAUGAAGUAGAAAAAUGGAGAGGUAUUUUGAGCUAGAAUGUGAGGGAGAUUGAUGUGUCAUAUAUAGUAUGCAUUAUUUCAGUGGUUUAAAAAUGAUGCUACCUUGCCUAGACGGUUUAUCUUAUCAAAUUCAAUAUGGUUUUUUAAAUCCAUAUACUUGUUGAACUUGCAUACCGUGUUCAUUUCGGUGAGAAUGUUCUCCGCCGAGUAGCAACGUAUGUGAAGAAGGAGGUUCGAUUCUACGAGAAAGAGUGGAUACGGACAUCGUGACCGUGUCCCCUUUUCCGUAGCAUCUAACCUCUUUCAUGACGAAGUGCGGUGCCACCCAGCUGAGGACAUCCUCGCGAAAUGAACACGGUCUUCAAGUUCAACAACUUCUGUAGUGGUAAUGAAAGAAUUUUUGUACAUAGAUGACUUCUGCUACUUGUUGAACUUGCAUACCGUGUUCAUUUCUGCUAAGAUGUUCUCCGCCGAGUAGCAACGUAUGUCAAGAAGGAGGUUCGAUUCUACGAGAAAGAGUGGAUACGGACAUCGUGACCGUGUCCCCUUUUCCGUAGCAUCUAACCUCUUUCAUGACGAAGUGCGGUGCCGCCCAGCUGAGGACAUCCUCGCGAAAUGAACACGGUUUUCAAGUUCAACAACUUCUGUAGUGGUAAGGAAAGAAUUUUUGUACAUAGAUGACUUCUGCUACUUAUUGAACUUGCAUACCGUGUUCAUCUCGCCGAGGAUGUUCUCCGCCGAGCAGCAACGUAUGUCAAGAAGGAGGUUCGAUUCAACGAGAAAGAGUGGAUACGGACAUUGUGACCGUGUCCCCUUUUCCGUAGCAUCUAACCUCUUUCAUGACGAAGUGCGGUGCCGCCCAGUUGAGGACAUCCUCGCGAGAUGAUCACGGUCUUCAAGUUGAACAACUUAUGCAGUGUUAAGAUAUAAUUUUGGUACAUAGAUGGCUUCUGCUACUGGAGAAGUGGCGAUGGUUGGGGCGAUCGUGGUUCUUAUUAUGGCAAGGUUCCAAUCAUAGUUGGCCCUCAGCAUAAGCCGAAGAAAAAGAGCGCGCUGGAAAAAGCAAUGCUUCGUUAUUUGCAGCAACGUCAUGAAGAAGCUGUUGCCGCGGGUCAGGAACCUCCUUUUGGUGGUCGUUAUGCUCCACCCUCAGUCUCGGGUGUUUCACGUCCACUUAGUACUACCGUUUCAGGCGGCACAAAUAAACCUAAGGAUGAGGUUGGGUCAGCGGAACCUUCAUCUUCACCGUCCAAGGAUGCUUAAAGUCCUCCGUGAUAAUAACCAGUGGAUGGCUUGUUGUAUUGUAUCAUGUUGUUUGGGACUUUAAUUUAAAUAUGUGUAUUUGGAUCUUCAUGUUGUUGUAUUGUACCAUGUUGUUUGGAUCUUUAAUCGAUUUUCACGCGUAAUCCAUUGUCAAGUGUAAUCCAUUUUCAUGCGUAAUACAAUGCAGAUGGACCGGCAAUGGAUGUAUAAUGCAGACAGGCGGAGCAAGGCGUUUAUUGAUGGCUUGCAUUAUUUUCUCGAAGUGGCAAAAGCGAACAAGCCACAGAAUGGGUUCGUAUGUUGUCCAUGCUUCCAAUGCAAUAACAGGAAGGAGUAUUCAAAGGAUUCUUGGGGGACUAUUCAUAGCAACUUGUUUAAAUACGGUUUCAUGCCUAACUAUUUGGUUUGGACCAAGCACGGUGAACUAGGGGUUGUAAUGGAAGAUGGCGAGGAGGAGGAGGAAGAUGACACCAUUCCGGACUGGGUUGCAGGCCAAGCUUUUGCAGGUACUACAAUGGGCGAGGCUGAUGAAGAUGAGUUUGCAGAAAAUGACCCUACUGAUGACCUUGGUCAGGUGAUACGAGAUGCAUAUAGAGAUUGCGAAACUGAGAAGGAAGCAGCAAAGUUGCAGCGCAUGAUAGAUGAUCACCAAAAAUUGUUGUACCCAGGUUGCCAGCAGGGCCAUAAAAAACUAGGUACGACACUAGAAUUUGUGCAAUGGAAGGCAAAAAAUGGUGUGUCCGAUAAGGCAUUUCAGGGGAUGUUGAACAUUGUCAAGAAGAUUCUCCCCGAGAAUAAUGAAUUACCGUCCACAACAUAUGAAGCUAAACAGAUUAUUUGCCCUCUCGGAUUGGAUGUUCAGAAGAUACACGCAUGCCCUAAUGACUGUAUCCUCUAUCGUGGUGAUGAAUACGAGAAAUUGGAUGCUUGUCCCGUCUGCGAAGCCCUGCGGUAUAAGAUCAGGCGAGAUGAUCCUGGUGAUGUCGAGGGGCAUUCUCCCAAGAAGAGAGUUCCCGCGAAGGUGAUGUGGUAUUUCCCUAUAAUACCACGCUUGAAGCGCUUGUUCAGGAACAAGGCGAAUGCUAAGUUGAUGCGAUGGCACAAAGAAGACCGUAAGGAAGAUGAGAUGCAAAGACACCCCGCAGAUGGGGCACAGUGGAGAUCAAUUGAUAGAACAUUCCUAGACUUUGAAAGUGAAGCAAGGAACAUAAGGUUUGGUUUAAGCACUGAUGGAUUCAAUCCAUUCGGUGAGUUGAGUAGUGGUCAUAGUACUUGGCCUGUGACCCUUUGUAUGUUCAACCUUCCUCCUUGGCUGUGCAUGAAGUGGAAGUUCAUUAUGAUGCCGGCGCUUAUCCAAGGCCCAAAAUAACCCGGCAACGACAUUGACGUGUACCUAAGGCCGUUGGUUGAUGACCUUUUACAGCUCUGGAAGGAAGAAGGUGUACGUGUGUGGGAUUGAGGAUAGACAAGAGAUCUUUAAUCUACGAGCACUGUUGUUCGUAACCAUCAACGAUUGGCCUGCAUUGAGUAACCUUUCAGGACAGACAAAUAAGGGAUAUCGGGCAUGCACCCACUAUUUAGACGACACAGACAGCAUGUACUUGAAGCACUGUAAGAAGGUCGUCUAUAUGGGUCAUCGUCGAUUUCUCCCUGCUCACCACCAGCUGAGAAAGAGCGGGAUGCAUUUCAAAGGGACGCCAGACCAUCGUAAAAAACCUGCACACUGUAAUGGAAAGCGUGUGUUCGAGAUGAUGAAGGAUGUAUAUGUAGUCUUCGGAAAGGGACUUGGUAGCCAACCUGUUCCGAACGACGAUAACGGACAUGCACCCAUGUGGAAGAAAAAGUCAAUAUUUUGGGAGCUACCUUAUUGGGAAAUCCUAGAGGUUCGCAACGCAAUAGACGUGAUGCACCUGACGAAGAAUCUUUGCGUGAACGUGCUAGGCUUCAUGGGUGUUUAUGGAACCUCAAAAGAUACAUUGGAAGCACGACAGGACCUAAAAGCCAUGGGGCAACGAGAUGACCUACAUCCGGAAAAGAGAGAUAAUGGACAGCACUACUUACGUCCUGCCAGUUACACUCUCAGCAAGGAAGAGAAGGAUAGCAUGUUUGAAUGCUUGAAUAGUAUGAAGGUCCCGUCUGGGUACUCCUCGAAUAUAAAGGGAAUAAUAAAUAUGAAACAAAAGAAGUUUACAAAUCUCAAGGCUCAUGACUGCCACAUGUUGAUGACCCAGUUGCUUCCGGUUGCACUGAGGGGUGUUCUACCAGAAAAUGUCCGGUUGCCGCUCGUAAAGCUAUGCACGUUUCUCAAUGCGAUUUCGCAGAAGGCAAUCGAUCCAUCCAAGCUAUCAAAGCUACAGAACGAUGUGGUGCAAUGUCUUGUCAGUUUUGAGUUGUUAUUUCCACCAUCCUUCUUCAAUAUUAUGAUGCACUUACUAGUUCACCUAGUAAAAGAGAUUGGUAUUCUCGGACCUGUAUACCUGCACAAUAUGUGGCCUUUCGAGAGGUUCAUGGCAGUCCUAAAAAACUAUGUUCUUAAUCGUGCCCGUCCAGAAGGAAGCAUCGCCAAAGGAUAUGGAACAGAGGAGGUGAUCGAGUUUUGUGUUGAUUUUAUUGAUUCAAUUGACUCGAUUGGGGUUCCAACUUCACGCCACAAGGGGAGGCUCCGAGGAAUGGGCACCCUUGGAAGGAAAUCAAGUUUGAGCAAUGAUACUGAUUUGUUCGACAAGGCACACUACACUGUUCUACAACAGUCAUCCUUUGUGUCUCCGUAUAUCGAGCAGCACAGGCAGAUGGUAGCUUCCAAAAACCCGACCAAAUCCGAUGCUUGGCUUACCCGUCAUCACAUGGAAACUUUUCCCUCCUGGUUGCGCCAACAACUUAUGGGUAACUCUGAGAUUCACCCACAGCUUGCCUGGUUAGCCAAGGGACCUGCUACCACAAUCGUCAAAUUCCAAGCCUAUGAGAUAAAUGGUUACACAUUUUACACGAGAGCCCAGGACCAGAAAAGCACGAACCAGAAUAGUGGUGUCCGCAUAGAUGCCAUGGACAGAAAUAAUAGCAAGGAGUCGUAUUAUGGUUCCAUACAGGAGAUAUGGGAACUCGAAUACGGACCGCUGUACAUCCCUCUAUUUCUUUGCAAUUGGGUGAAGCUAACUGCCGUCACCAAAGAUCAGUACGGAAUGACAAUAGUAGAUCUGAGCAAGACUGGAUACAGUGAUGACCCAUUCGUACUUGCCAAUGAUGUGCAUCAGGUGUUCUAUGUGAAGGACAUGUGCAGCAAACCCAAGAGGAAUCCAGAAGAGACAUGGGAGCCAAAGUGCCACAUAGUUCUUCCAGGUAAAAGAAAAAUCGUGGGAGUCGAGGAUAAAACAGACCAAUCAGAUGAUUAUGAUCAGUUUGAUGGCAUGCCUCCAUUCGCCGUUGAAGUUGAUCCAAGCAUCCUGCUAUCCAAAGAAGAGGCUCCGUACUUACGCCGCGAUCAUGAUCAAGGAACUUUCGUGAAGAAGAAAUUUUAAAAUGUUGUAUUGUAAUGCGUUAAAUGUACAUGACCUUUGUGUAUUAAUUGAUACAAUUUGUAAUUUACCCUAUGUAUGAUUUCAUGUGUUAUUAAAUUUGUUAGGUGAAGAUUUUUUAGAUAAACAUGAACAUUGUUAACCACAUACUAACAUGGAUUUUUCUGCGCAUUCAAAUAAUUUAAUUGAAUAAUUUCUUGAUCACAGCAAUGCAGUAAAAUAAAUAUUUUACAAGCUAAAUGAGUUGGUAUAGAAUUAAUGAUUACUUCAUACUUAUUGUCAAUUUACUCAUUAAUUAAAUAUAUUUUUGCAUGUACAAAAUCUGUGAAGGUUUUGUUUUUCAUCAUGAAAUGCAGUGAAAAGGUAAAAUAAAAUCCAUUUCCAAAAAACAGGCGGGAGAUGAAAAAUAGGAAAAAAGACCUUUUGUCUCGGGUGCUAACAGUCUCAUAGAUAUAUGCUCGAAAACCGCUGCCUCGACUGGUGACCGCGCCAUCGCCACGACGGGUGACCGUGCUGUCGCCUCGGCCGACAUCUCUAUCACCACCACCACCUACUAUCUUACCAUCCCGAAGCUUCCUCUUAAACCGUUGGAGACAGGUAAAACCCCUCCCUCCAAACCCCGAACUCUAUUGGCAUAGUUUAGCUUUCCCUAAAGGUAAGCUUUGCCAUAUUUUUGUCAGAAAAGAUAGAGAUAAUCCGAAAAAAUUUGUACAGGCUUACUGGGCUGGUGCGCGAGAGGCAGGCCGCGGGCGUGUCAAGUCAAGUGCACCGCCUGGGCCAUCUUGCUCCAGGUAUGAUUACAGAAGAUGACCUCAAUUUCUGACUUUCUUCUGAUAAUCUAGAAAAGUAAAUAAGCUUAUAAUAAUGUACACUUACCACUUGUUGACAUUGCCAAAUAACUGUAUCUCUCAACAUAUUUUGCUGUUACAGUCUGUGUUAUGUGAGAUUGCAGAAAUACAAUCUGAAAAGUAGUCACUUGACACAAUACUGGUGCCUGUUGGCCAAAGCCCUCUUUGAAUUUUCAUCUACUCACUGUUCUUUAUUCUUCUAAUGAACACUUAUCUGGUGAAAAAUAUUUGUUCAUAGUUGCUGCUAUCCCUGAUUCUGUGUAUAUGCAUUAUUCUUUAUUUGGUGCUGAGUUCAAUUGAAUGGCAUUUAUUAUUUCAGAUCAACUUUCACCUGGUAGGUGGUUGUAACGCCUGUAAACUUUACUAACUCAAAUCACCUGCUAAAAAUUUGUUUAAAAGUAUUUCGACUGUUGAGCUCCCGAAAGUCUCGUCCUUCCCGGCGACCCCGCCGUCCCGGCACCUAAUGUUGUCAGUCAUCUUUUUCCAUCCCUGCAAAUUUCGCCGCAUGCCCGUCUCAUCCGUCGCGCGUGCCCGACCAAUUCCGAAAUUUUUGCCCACUCUCCCCCUCUCUUCUUUUUUUCCCUUCCCCUUUUUCUCUUUCAUUUUCUUCUUUUCUUCCUUCUCUUUCUUUUUUUCUUCCUUCUUCCUCCUCCGAUUUCUUCUCUCCUCCCUUCCCUUCCUGGCGCACCCUUCCUGGCACCAAACGUCUGGCGCUAGUGCCUGGCGCCGCUCGCCUAGCCACCUGCGCCUGCACCCAGCCCCGCGCACCGUCGACCGCGCCGAGCCUCUCGCCGGCCAUCGGUCGUCGCCCGCUACCGCACGCCACACCAGUCGUCACCCCUGUGCUCCUCGUCGAUCAAGCCAGCCCCCACCACGCCAUCCACGAGGAGUUCCGCUCCGGCAUGCCACCGGCCGGAAACUCCGGACGGCAUUAAGCUCGCCGGCCCUGCCACCCAUGUGCGCUGUCGCCCCUCCCGCCGCCUAUAAAAAGCGGGUCGAGCCCCUGCCGCCUCACCACCACCACUGGCGUCGUCCCCUGCCUACCGCCAGCACCGCCCCGGCUCCCUGCGCGCUGCCGCUCCGUGGCAAUCCACUGCUGCCGCCCCACGGCACGCCCAGCGCCCCCCCUCCUCCAACACCAUCCGCCCAAGGUGAGGCCUCAAAUGGAGUCCCCUCGGCCUCCUCUACCUCCUCCACCACUCGGCCACCGCCGGCGUGGCCCGGCCAACCGCCCUCUCCCCCUACCAGUUUUCCCCUCCUCUCCCAUCUCCCUAUCACGGUCCAAGGAAGAAGAAGGCCCCAAUUUCAAUCUAACCCCCUGGUUUCCCCUAUUCACAAACCGGCCCUCCCACCUCUCUCAAAGAAGUACCACGGAUACACCCUUCCAUCUUUCAGAAAUAAUUGCAAAUAGGUCCCUGGUUCACGCAGUUUAGUCCUAAACCUUGUUUUAAGCUCCUAACACUCCUUUAACUCAUCAUUUCAUGCACCAAACUUCGUCUAAUUGAUCCCAAAUUUGACCACGGCCUCCUCCCAUAUACUUCCGCCGAAGCAUAUCCAAAUUUUAAUUCUCUUUUAUUUAUUGUGUGCUCGAUUGUGUGUGCCGUAGAUCGCGGAGUACCCGAGGAGGAGCACGAGGAUGAGUUUGAACGCGAGCCCAAGCUCGAGGACCAGUACCGCGAGCAGGAAGUCCUGCAAGGCUUUGAGAACGGCAAGUCUAAUCUCACCCUUUGAUGCAUAUUUAUCCUAGUUUUUCAAACACAACCUAUUGGCCUAUUUUAUAAAUUGCAUAUUGUCUUUCUGCGGAAACAUGGUUGGAUAGCCACUCCUUUAUUGUUAUGAUUAUUCCUUGCUUGUCCUAUAAUUAUCUCUAAAUAUGACUAGCUCUGUUUGGACGAUAAUUACUGCUAGAAUGCUUAGGGCCUUGUUACUCAAUGCAAUCAUGACUACAAUGUAUUUUGUUAAAGACUAAAUGUGUGAGUGUUUUAAAAAGGGAAAUCGGCUUUUCGGAAGUAAAGGAAAGAAACGCUUAGAUGAGAUGGAUGGGUGUUUCAGGUGUGAAAUGCUAAUAAGUUGGGCUCGUACCUUGGUGGUUAAGCAAGGUUGGGAGAUAUCCAUCUUUUCAUGGUUAAGGACCGAGUUGAUGUGUCAUCUUGCCUAACCCAACCUUCGUGCAACCACUCGACCGUUGUAUGCGGCAACGGCUUACCAUAAAUCCCACUAGCUAAACUUUUAGUCUUCAGGAGAGCUGGUGAGCAGCGGGAGUCCAUGGAAAAGGAAUAUGAUCUUGGUUACUUAGGUCCCGGUUAAAGAUCUCGUUGGGAGGUCAUUAACCCCUUGGUUACUUCCAUGUUGAAUAGUCAAGCUUAGCUAAGGUGGGUAAUGGCUUUGUUAGGAUCCGCACCGGCACUAAGGUGAUCGUGCUGCGGUACCCUACUUGAAAAAAAAGUGUACAACCUCUGCAGAGUUAAAACCUAUUUGGGUAGCCGUGUUCACGGCAUUGGACGAGUUACGGCUUGGUCACAUAACUAGCACUUGGAGUUGGAUAAUUUUUAUGGCGUGUGUUGGAUUUUGGAAGUAUCCGACAGUUGUGCGGUGAGCUAUGGCGGAUGGGCAGUCCGAUAGCAAUUAAAUUUUGGAUCUUUUAUGUAGGAUCAACCCCACUUCAUGUUCCGGUUUCUAAAGGAAAUGUUUUGCAAAAAAGCUUUGAAAAUGAACCCUUGCACGUGUUCAAAAUCUAGCUUUACUGCAAAUAAACGUUAAACUCAUCCUUGUUAUAUCAUGUGCACACUCUUGCUUGUAUCCCCCUCCGUGGAUGGGGUUGGACUUGUUGAGUACUUUCGUACUCACCCUUGUUUUAUUGCUUCAGAGGAAGACCCGUACUACGUCGCCGAAGAUUUCGAGUAGGAGGUCGCUUCCGCACGCAAUGCUACCUGUGGUGUUGGCCUUUACAGGAUGCUUCCGCUGACGCUUAGUUCCGAUUGCAGUCCAAAGUCCGACUGGACUGCAACUUGGAUCUGUAUCGUUGUUGGUUUAGUUCUUCUUUGGGUGUGGCUUUCCCUCCCGCUCCUUUGUGAGUUGUACAGUUUUUGAACAAUCUGUUGAAUAAAUGUGUUAUCAGCCUCCUGAGAUUGUUGAAUAAAUGUGUUAUCAGCCUCCUGAGACUGAUAUUUGUAUCACAUUUAGUUUCUACUUACGUGGGGAUGCUUCAGGUGGUAUCAGAGCCGUCAUUGGCUGUAGGACGCAACCAUUAGGAUCGUAAAAGUCUUUUCGACUAAAAUAAAUGAUUUACAAAAUUUCUUGCUUCCCCUACUCAUUUGCAAAACUGAUUUACACCCCGAUUCUUUCCAGAUGGCCGAAGAAGGAUGGGUCAACAGCCACCGCUUGGAGGAGCAUGAUUUUCUCAGGUUGCUGUUCGCCUGCAUGGACCGCCUCGGGAUUUAUGAGCGCCCGGAGUACACCAGCAGGGAGUAUUAAGUGGUUAAUGACAUAGUUUUCCUAUUGUGCUAGAGUAAAUCAGCACGCGCCUUUGUUUGACUUACUAAUUUCAUUUUUAUGUCUUUGUUGUCCUAUCUUGAACUCCAAGGACCGUCGGGCUUGGACUUUGGUCAAUCAGUCAGAGUACUACAGAGACUCAGCCACUCAGGUACAAUUAGCAUGAAAAAGCAUUUGGAUCCGGUCACUCUGGUAAGGACUAAGGAAUCCUCAAUACAGCUAGUUUACUUCUCUGUGUUUGUUGAGUUGGUUUUUCAUCCUAACCAAUGAUCUGAUAAAAUAAAAUAGUUCAGCAGAUUGCGCAAGAUUGAGUCCCCACUCCCCAACAUGAUAUCCCAUCAUUUAUCUUUUUAUGGUUACCUUUCUGAAAUAGAGAUCAAGGUCACUCCAGAAUAAUCAUCUAAUUCUGAAAAGUCUGAAGGUAGGUGUCCAACAUAUUUCUACUACUCCAGAGUUUCAGUGAAACAGCAGAACUCUUGGGCAUGAUCUUUUUGUCUUUGUUGUUACCAUGGAAACCGAGUUCUACAUUGAUUGAAUCUUGCAAUGCUUGAUUCAUCUCUGCUGCACUCAGUCAGGUCUGAUACUUUGCUAGAUUUGUGUCCUUAGACUCUGAAGCAAAAUCUUGUUAUAGGCUUUCUGUAGGAAAAUUGAUUCCUGUUUUGCAGUGUGUACUUAGACUCUUAGACCGCUGUUAGUUGAAACUGACGAAUCAUACUGGCACCUAGGUGGUAUCUUAUCUCACAAGUAGUGUUUGACUUGGCUUGGUGCAGCGUUGUUCCUUGAGUCAGUGUCCAUGCAGAUGAUACAAGAGGUUGCACCAGCCACUCCGCUGUCCCAGUCAGGAAUUCCAAUGGAAUGCUUGGUCCUGGUCCUAGACUUUCUAAGGGUUAAAUGUUAACAACACCAUGUCCAAAUACUAACACUGCUUUUGUGCCUUUAUCCUUGCCAUGGAAACAGGGUUUGCUUGGGCUUGACUUUGCACAAUUAGCCAUGGUACAACAAAUAGUGUUAGGUAAUUAGCACCUAAAAAACAUUCAGGUUCAGUCUGAUUACUCUGUACGUACGUGACAUUGGUGGUCGUACCUGAUAGUGCAUAUUGUGCAAGCUCGAGUACUGUACACAAUUCAGCAAACCAGCAUAACUUGUUUGGCCAUCAAUUUAAUUUGUCUCUUUGGUCUUAACAUAAAAACAGAAUUCUCUGCGGCGGUUCAGUGUCACCGUGCACGGCACCAGGCACUAGUGCCACCAGAACAGCUUGCAACGUACACCGUUGUCCUCAAAUUUGUUCAGGGGUGUCACAUGUGUCCUUACACUUUUAAAUUUGCAGAUUAUGUUGCUCAAGUUCCAAACAUCAGUAAUUAGCAUAUGCUUGCCUUUACCAUGCCAUUAAGUUGCUACACUCGCUUUCCUUUAGUCACUUGGUCUAUUUUGCAAAUUUAUGCCUCUUUUGAUUGUGUUGUCAUCAGUCAUAAAAAAAGGGGAUAUUACUGAAAGUAGUUCCAUUAGGCUAUUGUCUUGUGAUUUUGGUAGUUGAGUGGUUAUGUAAUCACUGGGACAUAUGUUUGUCAAGUAUAUGUUUUGGAAGGGUUUCCUAGGUCUGAAGAUGAAAUACAAGUGAAGCAAGCAACCAUGGCAUGAAGAAUGGAGCAAAAUAAGCAAAGAUGUACAAUGGAGUGUUCGGUCGGUCACUGGACUGAAAAAUAGUACGUGGGAGUGAAAUAUACUAAAAAUUGUAAUUAUAUAUAGUAAUUAUAUAAAUACUAGUUUGAUGUGUACAAUUUUGCUGGUGUCUUAAUCAGAACCAAACCAUAGUGAGCUUGUCACAAUCUCUGUUAGUGUAUUCGUUCCUAAAGUUUGCUUGUGACCUCAUUGUACUCACUGCCGCCCAAGCCUGCAAUAGAACACGAUAGCAAAAGGUUGCAGCAAGCAAAGUGGCAUGCAUAAGCGGAUACUGACAUUUCAGAAUACAUAAGUACGCAUAUGGACAGUAAUUUUCAUCAGAUCUGGGAUUUAUGAGCAACUGACAUGUCACACAAGCAAUUGUACUAAGCAUGCCAUAAAGUGUAGGAAUCAGAAACCUAAAAUCUGAAAUAUCAGCAGCUAAUAAGGGUAGAUAUAUUGAUACCGCAUAUUAUGCCCACUGUUUAAUAGGUGCAAUCUUAGAAGAGAUACUAAAGCUAAAUGGGAGCAUACUGACAAAUGAAGCAAAUGAAACUUCCACCUUCAGGCCAAUAGGCCAUGGCAUACCAAGUGAAAAUUCUAUAUAGUGGGGGAGAAAACCAACAGAUAGUUGCAAGCAUUCUAAUUAUAGAUUUAACUGCACAGCACCAAGUACAAAAGAAUAUGCCUUUUUUAAAAAAACAAGAAACGUCACCUAAUGAGUGCUCUUUGCGAAAAAAACAAGAAAACAAAACUAAAUUCUUCAUGACAGAUAACAGAGAAAACAAUCACAUCUUCUAUCUUCUGGAAACAUCACACUUCUAUCACCAUGGAAAGAAACAAUAUCAUUUAAAUUAACGAUAGAUAUCACUCAGUUCUUCAUCUGAAACAAUUAUCAGCUGGUCCAGGGGCUGAAAGAUUUGAUUGGAUUGAUAUGAGAUGACCCUGGAAAGCAUAUAGUCACUACUUGUAACUUGAUUUAAUUCGCACCAGCAGCUAUACCUAUUGGCUAUUGCACAUAACAACACUGAGGGACAUGUGAGAUGGUAAGGUAAAAAAAACCUUUAUUCUAGAUGUACUACUGGGCUGUAUCCCCUUUUGCCUUGAUUUUUUAAUGUUAUAUCUGGGAUAAUUUGUAUUGCAAACAUGAACCUGUCAGCACGACUGCAUCACAAGGAAAAGGGGAUUAGCAUGCAUGCAAGAAUCUAUAGAAAAACAACAGAGAGACAAUAUGGUUACAAAACAACAAUUACCAUGCAGAUUGAUUAUCGGAGGAAAUAAGAUCCACCUCUCCAGUGGUGUUAGAUCUACACAAAGGAGCAUAAAUUAAAAUUGGAAAUAGGAUUAAUUGAACAAAAAUCACAGGCAAGAUCAAUUUCAUCAGAAGAAUUCCUGAUCUCAUGCAGUCUCAGCAGCAUGCCAUCAUGGAUGCCUUCCAGCAUAAUUGACCAGAUACGGCCGCGCAUGCCCCAGCAACAUUCGUGUGACACAAAUCAAUUUUUAUGCAUCCAAAUCAAUUUCACCAACAUCAAACACAGUUGCUCACCUGAUUGCCGAGAGUGUCGCUGUUGCCACAUAUGCUUGCGUGUGCACGGAUGAGGCACAAGAACCUGGGUACUCGCAGAAGCUGAUGACCACGAGUGAAGAACGAGUACAUGAGCGUGCUGUUAAUGGCAUGAAUCCCAGCGGAGAGAAGGCAUCUAGCAGUAGCACGUAUGCCUGAACUCCAUAGGAAACAAAUCCAAAAACAUCCGCAUGCACAUAAGCACAAAAGUUUUGAAUCUUUGAACUAGAUUUUGGAUGGGGGCACACAGAUUGCACCAACCUGGAGCUCCCUUCGUGAUGGAGGGCAUCUCCGGAGCCACUGAGCACUCACCGCCCACGAGUCAUGAGGAGGAAGCAGCCACAGCCGGGUCGUCGCACGCAGGGGAUUGGUGCCGCGCCGGAUCAUCGCCACUCCACCGGCGAAGAAACUAGGAGCGUCAACCACACAUCAUGGGGAUAGCAAGAUAACGCGGAUGAGAUUUUCUACGCAGAAAAAUCAAAAAUUUUGGGAGACCAUCCGCAUCACUGCAAUGCAUACCUGCCCUCACGCAUCUAGAAGGGGAGCGCACAGCCGCAUCGCCGCUCGCCUGGAGGACGGAGCCCCCGCCUUGAUUUGGUUGUCAGGUCAGCAAAUCCGGUUCGCCCUCACCCACGAUGAGGAUCCGGCCGCGAGGUGGCCCUGUUGUCCGCCGUAAGGGGAAGGAGACCGCAGCCGUCAUCACGUGGAGGGGGAUGGCGCCAACGACCGUCACCGACCGACCAGCCCCCGUAGCUUGUGGCACCGUCCAUUAGGCCCACCCUUGGAUCUGGGUGACAGGAAGGGGAUAAGGAAGCGGCCGCCGCAACACUACCGCCGGAGUGCCAGGGAGGGGCGGAGGCGCUGCUGCGAAGGGCCUAGCGGCGACGGCGGAGUGGAGCAGAGCACGAGAGGGACGGGGAGAGAUGCGGUCGCGGUCUCACAGAACUGUAAAUUCAGUUUGUAGGCCACGAUCUCCGGCUCUCCGCCGUAGAAAAAAAAUAGCAAAAAAACCAGUGCGGGCGGCGGACCGGAGGGGCUCGGGUUAGGUUCAACUCCAUGGAGCGACCCGGGUACGGAAUAGCUUAUUCUGUACCUAGGGUAUUAUUUAGUAUAUAUAUAUAUAUAGAUCUAUAUAUAUAGAUAUAUAUAUUACUGUCAUGAAAUAUAUAUACGACUUGCAUACAAUAUUAAUAUGACUCGAAUAAAAUAUUAAUAUGGAAAAGAAUAUUUUUUAAAAAAAUCUUAAGUACUAAAGGGGGAAACCGUGACAAGGGGGUAGAACUUCCCUUUGUCUCGAAAAUUUAGUCCCGGUUGUAUUUUCGGGAUUUAUGACCCUUUCCAACCGAAACUAAAGCCGCGUUUUCCACCAGUGCCCUGCCAUCUCCACGGACCAUCCAGAUGUCCACCAACCUCCCAUGGUCAGUAGCGUUCACGCCGCCUCGGCGGCUCGAACUGCCUCCACCACCCGCUACUUUGCCGCCCGAACCUCCUUCUAGAUCCACCGGGGAUAGGUACGCCCUUUCUUCAAAACCCCGAACCCUGAAAGCUUGUGGGAAGCUCCCCGGAGCUAGAGAAGAAACAGAGAGCUGAAAAAAACAGGUACGUAAUCUUUCCCCACCCGAGUCAUCUUUAGAAAUUUCGUUUUUUCUUUUGACGGAUAGAUCCGUGUUGGUUAAUUAAGUGCGCAUGCCGCACGUGGGCUCACAACACGACACAAGGCGCAUGCUCCUCCAUGUGAUGCGUCGUGUACGACUCGAACUAGAUCUCGUCUCCGAAAACAUCUCGGCAUGCUCGUGCAGACCGAGUAGAAAACACCCAAACCCUCUGCUAAAGAUUACGAUUAUUAGCCUUUGCGUACGGAACAUACAACCUCGAGGGAGAGAACCAGCUGAUCCAAUUCAAUCAAUCACGCCGACAAUGCAGGACAAGGCNNNNNNNNNNNNNNNNNNNNNNNNNNNNNNNNNNNNNNNNNNNNNNNNNNNNNNNNNNNNNNNNNNNNNNNNNNNNNNNNNNNNNNNNNNNNNNNNNNNNCGCGUCGGCGGCCGCUCGUCCGUCUUCAAGGCCGCCCGGUGGCUCAAGGGCUACUGGAAGCCCAGCGAUGGCGAGGGCACCGUGUCCAAGGUGGAAACCGCCAGCGUGCUCGUCUACUGGGUCGCGUCGUCGCAGCUGGGCGCCGAGAGGUCCGUCGUCCAGGCGUCGUCCACGCCGGCGCACCAGCAGAGCCCUCGCGAUCUGACAUUCUUCCGCGCUGGCGACGACGUCUUGGCAAGGUUCUGGGGCGUGGGCGACCGCUGCUUCUUCCGCGCUCCUUGCCGCCGCCGCGUACUCCCUGCCGGCGAUGUCGGUGCCAACCGGAAUCGGCUGCGGCGGCUGGGGGCGAAGCGGACGCCGCGACGAGAAAGCUGGAGCCACGCAGGGUUCGAGCGGCCGUUGUCCGUCGCCAGCACGCGCACGACGCUCGACGUGCUGUGGCAGGACGGGACGCGGCAGUGCCAGGCGCCGUCGGUGUCGCUCGUUCCCACGAUGCCACAGAACACCCACCACUUGUUCCCGGGCCAGCGCGUCGUUAGCAGGACAUCGUCGGACGACGGCGACGUCGCGCGUUCUGGUGUCGUCAGAAGCCUCAACUUCACGGACCAGACCGUGCGCGUGUCGUGGCAAAAGGCGGCGGCUGAACACGCCGAUGACGAGACACUGAGCAGCACGUACGAUCUCGGCAGGGAUUUCGACAGCAAUGUCUUCUAUGGAGAUGUUGUCGUCCGCAGGCGUCCAACAGACUCCUCAAUUGGGGGUCNNNNNNNNNNNNNNNNNNNNNNNNNNNNNNNNNNNNNNNNNNNNNNNNNNNNNNNNNNNNNNNNNNNNNNNNNNNNNNNNNNNNNNNNNNNNNNNNNNNNGUGCCGAAAGAAGGAGCCCACUAGAGCUCAUGAUCUUUCAUGGGUCGGACACAUAGUUGAUUUUUGUGAUGCACACCAUGUCCAAGUCAAGUGGGGUGACGGCAACAUGUCCAAGGUAUGCAACACGUCCAUAGAAUUACUAUAAUAUUAAUGGACCAUUUUAAAAAUGCUUAAAAGGAAGUGGUUUUCUAGAAACAGCUUUUAUUUUUGACGCCCAAGGAACUUUUUUUUCACCUAGAUACCAAAAUCCAAGUUAAUUUUGGUACCUCUUGAAGGCUCCUUACCAAUACAAAUCACCUCACAAUCACUGAUUGAAUCUUUUUUUUUGCAGCUAUAUAUGUAUACAUUAAUUACUUCAUAUAUUAGGACCAUUAUUCAAAAACGACCUUAUUAACUUCUACUUAUUUGAUGGUACCGAUUUCAGGUGUCUUUCCAUGAGAUAACUGUCGUCAAAGAGCAAAGUUUUGGUGAGUUCCUUCAGGAAAUAGGCGAGUGGGUGUCUGAAGAUGGAGGCAUGAGCAACGACGCUAUUGAUCACGAAGCACAAGUGACUGCCGCUGCCGUUGUAAGUAUCCCUCCGCACACAAAUUUCAAUUCCCCAAGAGAUCGGGUAAAUGGUUGGACGGUGCCGGGAGCGUCAACCUCGGAGCUUACGGCCAGAGGGAACAACAAUGUAUCCGCACCCGUGUCCGGUGGUGAUGGUGAUGCCAAGGAGACCUCCACUGCUGUGGCAGGCAUCAAUGGAGGAGGUGGUGGUGAGGGGAAGCAGGCAGAGGCAGAUGCCACCGGCGAUGACAAGUCAUUUAGCUUCCCACAAUUUGAUAUCGUGCAGAGCCCUUCAGAUCACCAUUACCUUGAUAACAUGGAGCAGGUUCGUAAUUUUCUUUUUUUUUCCUAAGGCCCUGUUUGGAUCUUUGGAAUUGAAUUCCAUUCUAAUAAUCAUUAUUUAGACAUAAAUUAAUUAAGCUAAUAUAAUUGUCUGUGGAAUAUAUUUGUAUAAUAUUGUUGGCGAUAUGGGAGAAAUAGUUAUGUGUUGCACUUCUGCUAUAGAGAAGCGAGUCCAAGAGCGUGCUAUAAGAAUUGAAUUCCAUUCUAAUAAUCAUAAUCUAUGGAAUCAAUUUCCAUCUCCCACCCCGUAAAUUUAAGAUAGGCUUAUAUCUAAACUUUGGAAAGUUGUGGAAUACCACAUUCAAGAUAAAUUAGCCUACUCCAUUAAGUAAAUUCCAAUUCCUUCAAAAUGAAGGAAGCUAAAUGGGUCCUAAGGGUUUUUUAGCUUUAUGAAUAUAUUAACAGUAAUACAUAUGAUGUAUAAACAGUAAUACAUUUUUUUUGGUAAAAAUUAAGAAAACGAUGGUUGCUGAAAACCCUAUAUAAUAUAAUACAAGUUACUGAUGGUUCAAAUUAAUUAAAUGAUUGCCCGUUUAGUUUUCAUACAUUGAAUCUGCCACAGUGAUGUGUCCUAUAUAUAUAGUGACUGCUAAUUAAGUUGAUGUGCUUUUGUAAACAGGGCACUGGUGGGGGGAAGAAGUGGAUGAAGAGGGUGCAAAAGGAAUGGAAUAUUCUUGAGAAUAACUUGCCAGGUACACAGUGAGUUAAUUUGCAUAUGGAGGGAAUAAAAAUUUUGAACUUUUGCAAUCAAACACAAACUCUUUCGACAUGUAUCUAAAGGUUUGUCCGUGCAUGCAGACACCAUCUUCAUGCGGGCGUACGAGGACCGCAUGGACCUCCUGCGAGCGGUGAUGGUCGGAGCUAGCGGGACGCCGUACCAUGACGGCCUCUUCUUUUUCGAUCUGCAGCUACCGCCGUCGUACCCUGCCGCGCCACCGCUGGUGUGCUACCGAUCGUUCGGCCUACGUGUGAACCCCAACCUCUACCCCUCCGGCACGGUGUGCCUGAGCCUGCUCAACACCUUCGGUGGCCACGGAGCCGAGCUGUGGUCCCCGGAGGCUUCGACCGUCCUCCAGGUCGUCGUCUCCAUCCAGGGCCUCGUGCUCAACGCCCAACCAUACUACAACGAGGCGGGCUACGCCGACCUGGUAGGAACGCCGCAGGGUCGCCGGAACGAGCUCCCGUACAGCGAGAACACCUACCUGCUCACCCUGCAGACCAUGCUCCACCUCCUGCGCCGGCCGCCGGCGGGCUUCGAGGAGUUCGUCAGGGACCACUUCCACCGGCGAGGGCAGCACGUGCUCCGAGCGUGCGAGGCAUACCUAGAUGGCUGCCUCGUGGGCACGCUCGAUGGCGAGGGGAGCGGGGCGCGGCGCCCGUGCUCGGCGGGGUUCAGGCUCGCCCUCGCCAACGUGGUGCCCCGGCUUGUUGAGGCGUUCACCGCGAUCGACGCUGAUGGAUGCAAGGAGUUCGAUCGGAUACGGGUGCCAACAGUAUGCACUUAAUUUGUCUCUGCUACUCGCUAGUCCAUUUGUAUCCUACUUACAUUUUAAGUUACAAAACGCGUGUUCACACAUUUGAACUUUGACAUCAAUAUUAUAUUUUUGUAUACUGUUGGGAAUGGUACAACAGUUUUGCUACAUACUCCCUUCGUCCCAUACUUCAUAAAUAAUAUUUAUUUUGACUUAACUUUUGCGAUAUGUCUAGAGAUAGAUGUACCUAGAAAAUCCAAAUAAAAAUAAAUAGUAAACUUUGGGAGGUAGGGGUAUAGUUUCCAGCUGCAAUUCGUGAUCAAAGGUAGUAGUGUGUUGAUGGUAGUAUUUCGUUAUCCAAACACGGCACUCUAUUGUGGCGAACGAACACUGCUGGAUGAUCUCUAUCAGUACUGCUUGUUUGGUACUAAAUGCCACACCAAUCGGUACUAAAUGCACCAUUUAGUACACCAACCAGUACUAACUGCAUGCCACGUCUCGUUGUUGUCGAUGGCAGUUUAGCACCGGUUGGUUUUACUAACCGAUACUAAAUAUUAUUCUUUUUUCCUUUUCAUUUUCCUUUUGUUUUAUCAUUUUCCUUUUGUUUUAUAAUUUCUAUUCAUAUCCGACGGAGCUUUUACUAAUGAUAUUACGUUAAUAUAUUAACCCAUUCAAAUCCAAGUCUCACAAAUAUCAGCCCAUUCAAAUCAUUAACACUCCGAGAAGAUUGUAUAUGCAAUAAAAUAUAUACAUCAACACUUAAGGUCUAAGAGAGAACAAGUUCAAAUUCAUAAGCAAAUAGUAGGGUACCGGUACAUCCAUGCAUGUUACAUAUUUCUUACUUCCUUAGAUGUGGAACAUAGUUAAGGUCUCCAAUCGUCCAGCCUAGACCUUCGUCAAAAUAAGCUAGAGCACGGAUGAGUGCACUCUCCUUCGCUUCGCAUGGAUGGUCACAUACACUACCAUAGAUCUCAAACAAUGGAGAGGUAAACUGAUGUGGCCUGUAUAAAGUGAGAUGAGCUUGGAGCUUGAAAUCUCUGGUGAGUAUCGGAUUUCCACCCAUGUAAGUCUAAUCCAACACAUCCAAGACUUGAGCUAGAAUCACGCGAAAGCUCGUUGCUACAUUGGUAAUACCAACUAAAAGAUGCUAAUAAUGUGAUGAAAGUAAAAUGAUAUAACAUAACUAAAGAUAAAAAAAUGUUCCAUACCAUGUCAUAUUGAUUUCUCCCUCCUCGAGCUGCUUUAUUCAAAAAUAUGAUAAGUCUGGCACAAAGUACCCAUGAUCCUUAAGCUGUUGUAGGUAGGCCUCCACGAUGGUCCUAUCAAAAGUUACCCUAUCUGGUGCUACUUGACCCCAUACAACAAUUGAAACUAUUAGGAUGGCCUGUCCUGGAGAUAUCGAGGUGAAUUAUGUUUCUCGAACAGGUACUUGAAAAAAGAUAUGUACUCUUUUAAAACGAGGUUCACCAACAACAUCAGUUUGCACUAAAGAUAUCGAGGUGAUUGUUUGGAGGGGGUCCCUACCUUGCCUUAUAUUGCUGGGGUAAGGUUACAGGUUGGUUGUUGUACAAAAGUACUAGUCGGAUUCGAUCAAAGAGUCUUACUCUAAUUGCCACGAGUAGUUUUCUAAUCCUCGACUAGUCCUUGUCUACCACAUAGACCACGCCGUCCUGCACCAUAGUUUCCAUAUCUGACACGUCUUGGUGUACAGUCCCAUAUGUAGGACUGUCCAAGCCUCCUGACAGUCUCAUAGAUAUAUGCUCGAAAACCGCCGCCUCGACUGGUGACCGCGCCAUCGCCACGACGGGUGACCGUGCUGUCGCCUCGGCCGACAUCUCUAUCACCACCACCACCUACUAUCUUACCAUCCCGAAGCUUCCUCUUAAACCGUUGGAGACAGGUAAAACCCCUCCCUCCAAACCCCGAACUCUAUUGGCAUAGUUUAGCUUUCCCUAAAGGUAAGCUUUGCCAUAUUUUUGUCAGAAAAGAUAGAGAUAAUCCGAAAAAAUUUGUACAGGCUUACUGGGCUGGUGCGCGAGAGGCAGGCCGCGGGCGUGUCAAGUCAAGUGCACCGCCUGGGCCAUCUUGCUCCAGGUAUGAUUACAGAAGAUGACCUCAAUUUCUGACUUUCUUCUAAUAAUCUAGAAAAGUAAAUAAGCUUAUAAUAAUGUACACUUACCACUUGUUGACAUUGCCGAAUAACUGUAUCUCUCAACAUAUUUUGCUGUUACAGUCUGUGUUAUGUGAGAUUGCAGAAAUACAAUCUGAAAAGUAGUCACUUGACACAAUACUGGUGCCUGUUGGCCAAAGCCCUCUUUGAAUUUUCAUCUACUCACUGUUCUUUAUUCUUCUAAUGAACACUUAUCUGGUGAAAAAUAUUUGUUCAUAGUUGCUGCUAUCCCUUAUUCUAUGUAUAUGCAUUAUUCUUUAUUUGGUGCUGAGUUCAAUUGAAUGGCAUUUAUUAUUUCAGAUCAACUUUCACCUGGUAGGUGGUUGUAACGCCUGUAAAUUUACUAACUCAAAUCACCCGCUAAAAAUUUGUUUAAAAGUAUUUCGACUGUUGAGCUCCCGAAAGUCUCGUCCUUCCCGGCGACCCCGCCGUCCUGGCACCUAACGUUGUCAGUCAUCUUUUUCCAUCCCUGCAAAUUUCGCCGCAUGCCCAUCUCAUGCGUCGCGCGUGCCCGACCAAUUCCGAAAUUUUUGCCCACUCUCCCCCUCUCUUCUUUUUUUCCCUUCCCCUGUUUCUCUUUCCUUUUCUUCUUUUCUUCCUUCUCUUUCUUUUUUUCUUCCUUCUUCCUCCUCCGAUUUCUUCUCUCCUCCCUUCCCUUCUUGGCGCACCCUUCCUGGCACCAAAUGUCUGGCGCUAGUGCCUGGCGCCGCUCGCCUGGCCACCUGCGCCUGCACCCAGCCCCGCGCGCCGUCGACCGCGUCGAGCCUCUCGCCGGCCAUCGGUCGUCGCCCGCUACCGCACGCCACACCGGUCGUCACCCCUGUGCUCCUCGUCGAUCAAGCCAGCCCCCACCACGCCAUCCACGAGGAGUUCCGCUCCGGCAUGCCACCGGUCGGAAACUCCGGACAGCAUUAAGCUCGCCGGCCCUGCCGCCCCUGUGUGCUGUCGCCCCUCCCGCCGCCUAUAAAAAGCGGGUCGAGCCCCUGCCGCCUCCCCACCACCACCGGCGUCGUCCCCUGCCUACCGCCAGCACCGCCCCGGCUCCCUGCGCGCUGCCGCUCCGUGGCAAUCCACCGCUGCCGCCCCACGGCACGCCCGGCGCCCCCCUCCUCCAACACCAUCCGCCCAAGGUGAGGCCUCAAAUGGAGUCCCCUCGGCCUCCUCUACCCCCUCCACCACUCGGCCACCGCCGGCGUGGCCCGGCCAACCGCCCUCUCCCCCUACCGGUUUUCCCCUCCUCUCCCAUCUCCCUAUCACGGUCCAAGGAAGAAGAAGGCCCCAAUUUCAAUCUAACCCCCUGGUUUCCCCUAUUCACAAAUCGGCCCUCCCACCUCUCUCAAAGAAGUAUCGUGGAUACGCCCUUCCAUCUUUCAGAAAUAAUUGCAAAUAGGUCCCUGGUUCAUGCAGUUUAGUCCUAAACCUUGUUUUAAGCCCCUAACACUCCUUUAACUCGUCAUUUCAUGCGCCAAACUUCAUCUAAUUGAUCCCAAAUUUGACCACGGCCUCCUCCCAUAUACUUCCGCCGAAGCAUAUCCAAAUUUUAAUUCUCUUUUAUUUAUUGUGUGCUCGAUUGUGUGUGCUGUAGAUCGCGGAGUACCCGAGGAGGAGCACGAGGAUGAGUUUGAACGCGAGCCCAAGCUCGAGGACCAGUACCGCGAGCAGGAAGUCCCGCAAGGCUUUGAGAACGGCAAGUCUAAUCUCACCCUUUGAUGCAUAUUUAUCCUAGUUUUUCAAACACAAUCUAUUGUCCUGUUUUAUAAAUUGCAUAUUGUCUUUCUGCAGAAACAUGGUUGGAUAGCUACUCCUUUAUUGUUAUGAUUAUUCCUUGCUUGUCCUAUAAUUAUCUCUAAAUAUGACUAGCUCUGUUUGGACGAUAAUUACUGCUAGAAUGCUUAGGGCCUUGUUACUCAAUGCAAUCAUGACUACAAUGCGUUUUGUUAAAGACUAAAUGUGUGAGUGUUUUAAAAAGGGAAACCGGGUUUUCGGAAGUAAAGGAAAGAAAUGCUUAGAUGAGAUGGAUGGGUGUUUCAGGUGUGAAAUGCCAAUAAGUUGGGCUUGUACCUUGGUGGUUGAGCAAGGUUGGGAGAUAUCCAUCUUUUCAUGGUUAAGGACCGAGUUGAUGUGUCAUCUUGCCUAACCCAACCUUCGUGCAACCACUCGACCGUUGUAUGAGGCAACGGCUUACCAUAAAUCCCACUAGCUAAACUUUUAGUCUUCAGGAGAGCUGGUGAGCAGCGGGAGUCCAUGGAAAAGGAGUAUGAUCUUGGUUACUUAGGUCCCGGUUAAAGAUCUCGUUGGGAGGUCAUUAACCCCUUGGUUACUUCCAUGUUGAAUGGUCAAGCUUAGCUAAGGUGGGUAAUAGCUUUGUUAGGAUCCGCACCGGCACUAAGGUGAUCGUGCUGCGGUACCCUACUUGAAAAAAAAAGUGUACAACCUCUGCAGAGUUAAAACCUAUUUGGGUAGCCGUGUUCACGGCAUUGGACGAGUUACGGUUUGGUCACAUAACUAGCACUUGGAGUUGGAGAAUUUUUAUGGCGUGUGUUGGAUUUUGGAAGUAUCCGACAGUUGUGCGGUGAGCUAUGGCGGAUGGGCAGUCCGAUAGCAAUUAAAUUUUGGAUCUUUUAUGUAGGAUCAACCCCACUUCAUGUUCCGGUUUCUAAAGGAAAUGUUUUGCAAAAAAGCUUUGAAAAUGAACCCUUGCACGUGUUCAAAAUCUAGCUUUACUGCAAAUAAACGUUGAACUCAUCCUUGUUAUAUCAUGUGCACACUCUUGCUUGUAUCCCCCUCCGUGGAUGGGAUUGGACUUGUUGAGUACUUUCGUACUCACCCUUGUUUUGUUGCUUCAGAGGAAGACCCGUACUACGUCGCCGAAGAUUUCGAGUAGGAGGUCGCUUCCGCACGCAAUGCUACCUGUGGUGUUGGCCUUUACAGGAUGCUUCCGCUGACGCUUAGUUCCGAUUGCAGUCCAAAGUCCGACUGGACUGCAACUUGGAUCUGUAUCGUUGUUGGUUUAGUUCUUCUUUGGGUGUGGCUUUCCCUCCCGCUCCUUUGUGAGUUGUACGGUUUUUGAACAAUCUGUUGAAUAAAUGUGUUAUCAGCCUCCUGAGACUGUUGAAUAAAUGUGUUAUCAGCCUCCUGAGACUGAUAUUUGUAUCACAUUUAGUUUCUACUUACGUGGGGACGCUUCAGGUGGUAUCAGAGCCAUCAUUGGCUGUAGGACGCAACCAUUAGGAUCGUAAAAGUCUUUUCGACCAAAAUAAAUGAUUUACAAAAUUUCUUGCUUCCCCUACUCAUUUGCAAAACUGAUUUACACCCCGAUUCUUUCCAGAUGGCCGAAGAAGGAUGGGUCAACAGCCACCGCCUGGAGGAGCAUGAUUUUCUCAGGUUGCUGUUCGCCUGCAUGGACCGCCUCGGGAUUUAUGAGCGCCCGGAGUACACCAGCAGGGAGUAUUAAGUGGUUAAUGACAUAGUUUUCCUAUUGUGCUAGAGUAAAUCAGCACGCGCCUUUGUUUGACUUACUAAUUUCAUUUUUAUGUCUUUGUUGUCCUAUCUUGAACUCCAAGGACCGUCGGGCUUGGACUUUGGUCAAUCAGUCAGAGUACUACAGAGACUCAGCCACUCAGGUACAAUUAGCAUGAAAAAGCAUUUGGAUCCGGUCACUCUGGUAAGGACUAAGGAAUCCUCAAUACAGCUAGUUUACUUCUCUGUGUUUGUUGAGUUGGUUUUUCAUCCUAACCAAUGAUCUGAUAAAAUAAAAUAGUUCAGCAGAUUGCGCAAGAUUGAGUCCCCACUCCCCAACAUGAUAUCCCAUCAUUUAUCUUUUUAUGGUUACCUUUCUGAAAUAGAGAUCAAGGUCACUCCAGAAUGAUCAUCUACUUCUGAAAAGUCUGAAGGUAGGUGUCCAACAUAUUUCUACUACUCCAGAGUUUCAGUGAAACAGCAGAACUCUUGGGCAUGAUCUUUUUGUCUUUGUUGUUACCAUGGAAACCGAGUUCUACAUUGAUUGAAUCUUGCAAUGCUUGAUUCAUCUCUGCUGCACUCAGUCAGGUCUGAUACUUUGCUAGAUUUGUGUCCUUAGACUCUGAAGCAAAAUCUUGUUAUAGGCUUUCUGUAGCAAAAUUGAUUCCUGUUUUGCAGUGUGUACUUAGACUCUUAGACCGCUGUUAGUUGAAACUGACAAAUCAUACUGGCACCUAGGUGGUAUCUUAUCUCACAAGUAGUGUUUGCCUUGGCUUGGUGCAGCGUUGUUCCUUGAGUCAGUGUCCAUGCAGAUGAUACAAGAGGUUGCACCAGCCACUCCGCUGUCCCAGUCAGGAAUUCCAAUGGAAUGCCUGGUCCUGGUCCUGGACUUUCUAAGGGUUAAAUGUUAACAACACCAUGUCCAAAUACUAACACUGCUUUUGUGCCUUUAUCCUUGCCAUGGAAACAGGGUUUGCUUGGGCUUGACUUUGCACAAUUAGCCAUGGUACAACAAAUAGUGUUAGGUAAUUAGCACCUAAAAAACAUUCAGGUUCAGUCUGAUUACUCUGUACGUACGUGACAUUGGUGGUCGUACCUGGUAGUGCAUAUUGUGCAAGCUCAAGUACUGUACACAAUUCAGCAAACCAGCAUAACUUGUUUGGCCAUCAAUUUAAUUUGUCUCUUUGGUCUUAACAUAAAAACAGAAUUCUCUGCGGCGGUUCAGUGUCACCGUGCACGGCACCAGGCACUAGUGCCACCAGAACAGCUUGCAACGUACACCGUUGUCCUCAAAUUUGUUCAGGGGUGUCACAUGUGUCCUUACCCUUUUAAAUUUGCAGAUUAUGUCGCUCAAGUUCCAAACAUCAGUAAUUAGCAUAUGCUUGCCUUUACCAUGCCAUUAAGUUGCUACACUCGCUUUCCUUUAGUCACUUGGUCUAUUUUGCAAAUUUAUGCCUCUUUUGAUUGUGUUGUCAUCAGUCAUAAAAAAGGGGAUAUUACUGAAAGUAGUUCCAUUAGGCUAUUGUCUUGUGAUUUUGGUAGUUGAGUGGUUAUGUAAUCACUGGGACAUAUGUUUGUCAAGUAUAUGUUUUGGAAGGGUUUCCUAGGUCUCAAGAUGAAAUACAAGUGAAGCAAGCAACCAUGGCAUGAAGAAUGGAGCAAAAUAAGCAAAGAUGUACAAUGGAGUGUUCGGUCGGUCACUGGACUGAAAAAUAGUACGUGGGAGUGAAAUAUACUAAAAAUUAAUUAUAUAUAGUAAUUAUAUAAAUACUAGUUUGAUGUGUAUAAUAUACUAAAAUUUAUAUAGGCCUUCGCUAUUUGGUACCCAGGGUACAGAAGUUAUUCUGUACCUGAGAACCACCUCCACGCCCGUCCGAGCGCUCCUUCGGUACCGGAUCUUUUUUUUCUUGGUCUACAAACUAUUUCGAGAAAAAACACGUAUUGGAAAAGGACGCACUAAAUGACAAGCCUUCUGAUUAUUUGGAAAUUCUAUAAAAUAGAAUUGUAAAAAUUACAAAAUUUGCUCCAUAGAACAUGCAUUGCUUUUUGUUUGCAGACACUACAUAACAGAAUUUAAAAAAAAUUGCAAAAUUUGCUCCAUAGAACAUUCAUUGGUUAAAAAAGUAUUUAAAAUUGUAUAAUUGUUGGUUCAAGAAUUCAGUUUGUAUGAUCAAACGGACCAAUAUUUAGAUUGAACCAUCGAAAUUGUCAUGUUUCCUUAAUCAAAAUGUUUGUUCAUCAUAUCAAAGGGUCUUUAAGGUCCAACUUAUCUUUUUUAUUAAUUGAAAUGUGAGCUAGUACAGUAAAUAUUCAACGACUGAGUGAUCUUAGUGAUCUUUACAUUCGUGAUAAAUCUAGCCAUACAAAUUGGCGACCAGGUGUCUCAAUUUCAUGAGACGGAAUUUCGCAAUAGACUGAGCAGUCAGGUGCCCCAAGAAUACUAAUUGGUUAAUGAAUCUUUGUUCUCUGUCCUCUCUGUGACCAAUGUCAUCUGCCUCAUAGUCACAUUGCUUGUAACCUACUUACACACAAACAGACUGAAAAACAACAUAUUGAAACAUGUGGGCAUCUAAACAAUAGUACAAUUUUGCUGGUGUCUUAAUCAGAAGCAAACCAUAGUAAGCUUGUCACAAUCUCUGUUAGUGUAUUCGUUCCUGAAGUUUGCUUGUGACCUCAUUGUACUCACUGCCGCCCAAGCCUGCAAUAGAACACGAUAGCAAAAGGUUGCAGCAAGCAAAGUGGCAUGCAUAAGCGGAUACUGACAUUUCAGAAUACAUAAGUACGCAUAUGGACAGUAAUUUUCAUCAGAUCUGGGAUUUAUGAGCAACUGAUGUCACACAAGCAAUUGUACUAAGCAUGCCAUAAAGUGUAGGAAUCAGAAACCUAAAAUCUGAAAUAUCAGCAGCUACAUAUAAAGAUAAGGGUAGAUAUAUUGAUACCGCAUAUUAUGCCCGCUGUUUAAUAGGUGCAAUCUUAGAAGAAAUACUAAAGCCAAAUGGGAGCAUACUGACAAAUGAAGCAAAUGAAACUUCCACCUUCAGGCCAAUAGGCCAUGGCAUACCAAGUGAAAAUUCUAUAUAGUGGGGGAGAAAACCAACAGAUAGUUGCAAGCAUUCUAAUUAUAGAUUUAACUGCACAGCACCAACUACAAAAGAAUAUGCCUUUUUUAAAAAAACAAGAAACGUCACCUAAUGAGUGCUCUUUGCGAAAAAAACAAGAAAACAAAACUAAAUUCUUCAUGACAGAUAACAGAGAAAACAAUCACAUCUUCUAUCUUCUGGAAACAUCACACUUCUAUCACCAUGGAAAGAAACAAUAUCAUUUAAAUUAACGAUAGAUAUCACUCAGUUCUUCAUCUGAAACAAUUAUUAGCUGGUCCAGGGGCUGAAAGAUUUGAUUGGAUCGAUAUGAGAUGACCCUGGAAAGCAUAUAGUCACUACUUGUAACUUGAUUUAAUUCGCACCAGCAGCUAUACCUAUUGGCUAUUGCACAUAAUCACACUGAGGGACAUGUGAGAUGGUAAGGUAAAAAAAACCUUUAUUCUAGAUGUACUGUUGGGCUGUAUCCCCUUUUGCCUUGAUUUUUCAAUGUUAUAUCUGGGAUAAUUUGUAUUGCAAACAUGAACCUGUCAGCACGACUGCAUCACAAGGAAAAGGGGAUUAGCAUGCAUGCAAGAAUCUAUAGAAAAACAACAGAGAGGCAAUAUGGUUACAAAACAACAAUUACCAUGCAGCUUGAUUAUCGGAGGAAAUAAGAUCCACCUCUCCAGUGGUGUUAGAUCUACACAAAGGAGCAUAAAUUAAAAUUGGAAAUAGGAUUAAUUGAACAAAAAUCACAGGCAAGAUCAAUUUCAUCAGAAGAAUUCCUGAUCUCAUGCAGUCUCAGCAGCAUGCCAUCAUGGAUGCCUUCCAGCAUAAUUGACCAGAUACGGCCGCGCAUGCCCCAACAACAUUCGUGUGACACAAAUCCAAAAUCCAAAAUUGACAGAAUCAGAAACAUUUUUAUGCAUCCAAAUCAAUUUCACCAACAUCAAACACAGUUGCUCACCUGAUUGCCGAGAGUGUCGCUGUUGCCACAUAUGCUUGCGUCUGCACGGAUGAGGCACAAGAACCUGGGUACUCGCAGAAGCUGAUGACCACGAGUGAAGAACAAGUACAUGAGCGUGCUGUUAAUGGCAUGAAUCCCAGCGGAGAGAAGGCAUCUAGCAGUAGCACGUAUGCCUGAACUCCAUAGGAAACAAAUCCAAAAAAAUCCGCAUGCACAUAAGCACAAAAGUUUUGAAUCUUUGAACUAGAUUUUGGAUGGGGGCACACAGAUUGCACCAACCUGGAGCUCCCUUCGUGAUGGAGGGCAUCUCCGGAGCCACUGAGCACUCGCCGCCCACGAGUCAUGAGGAGGAAGCUGCCGCGGCCGGGUCGUCGCACGCAGGUUAUUGGUGCCGCGCCGGAUCAUCGCCACUCCACCGGCGAAGAAACUAGGAGCGUCAACCACACAUCAUGGGGAUAGCAAGAUAACGCGGAUGAGAUUUUCUACGCAGAAAAAUCAAAAAUUUUGGGAGACCAUCCGCAUCACCGCAAUGCAUACCUGCCCUCACGGAUCUAGAAGGGGAGCGCACAGCCGCACCGCCGGUCGCCUGGAGGACGGAGCCCCCGCCUUGAUUUGGUUGUCAGGUCAGCAAAUCCGGUUCGCCCUCACCCACGACGAGGAUCCGGCCGCGAGGUGGCCCUGUUGUCCGCCGUAAGGGGAAGGAGACCGCAGCCGUCAUCACGUGGAGGGGGAUGGCGCCAACGACCGUCACCGACCGACCAGCCCCCGUAGCUUGUGGCACCGUCCAUUAGGCCCACCCUUGGAUCUGGGUGACAGGAAGGGGAUAAGGAAGCGGCCGCCGCAACACUACCGCCGGAGUGCCAGGGAGGGGCGGAGGCGCUGCUGCAGAGGGCCUAGCGGCGGCGGCGGAGUGGAGCAGAGCACGAGAGGGACGGGGAGAGAUGCGGUCGCGGUCUCACAGAACUGUAAAUUCAGUUUGUAGGCCACGAUCUUCGGCUCUCCGCCGUAGAAAAAAAAUAGCAAAAAAACCAGUGCGGGCGGCGGACCGGAGGGGCUCGGGUUAGGUUCAGCUCCAUGGAGCGACCCGGGUACGGAAUAGCUUAUUCUAUACCUAGGGUAUUAUUUAGUAUAUAUAUAUAUAGAUCUAUAUAUAUAGAUAUAUAUAUUACUGUCAUGAAAUAUAUAUACGACUUGCAUACAAUAUUAAUAUGACUCGAAUAAAAUAUUAAUAUGGAAAAGAAUAUUUUUUUUAAAAAUCUUAAGUACUAAAGGGGGAAACCGUGACCAAGGGGGUAGAACUUCCCUUUGUCUCAAAAAUUUAGUCCCGGUUGUAUUUUCGGGAUUUAUGACCCUUUCCAACCGAAACUAAAGCCGCGUUUUCCACCAGUGCCCUGCCAUCUCCACGGACCAUCCAGAUGUCCACCAACCUCCCAUGGCCAGUAGCGUUCACGCCGCCUCGGCGGCUCGAACUGCCUCCACCACCCGCUACUUUGCCGCCCGAACCUCCUUCUAGAUCCACCGGGGAUAGGUACGCCCUUUCUUCAAAACCCCGAACCCUGAAAGCUUGUGGGAAGCUCCCCGGAGCUAGAGAAGAAACAGAGAGCUGAAAAAAACAGGUACGUAAUCUUUCCCCACCCGAGUCAUCUUUAGAAAUUUCGUUUUUUCUUUUGACGGAUAGAUCCGUGUUGGUUAAUUAAGUGCGCAUGCCGCACGUGGGCUCACAACACGACACAAGGCGCAUGCUCCUCCAUGUGAUGCGUCGUGUACGACUCGAACUAGAUCUCGUCUCCGAAAACAUCUCGGCAUGCUCGUGCAGACCGAGUAGAAAACACCCAAACCCUCUGCUAAAGAUUACGAUUAUUAGCCUUUGCGUACGGAACAUACAACCUCGAGGGAGAGAACCAGCUGAUCCAAUUCAAUCAAUCACGCCGACAAUGCAGGACAAGGCUGGGCAGUUCAUCUGCUGGCUAGACUUGGUCAGGCUCAACUCGCCGGCGGCAGGCUCCAACCGGGACCGCGGGCUGGUUCUCAAGGGCAUGCCCGGGCCCAAGGUCGUCGUGCAGUGCCUCGAUGGCACCGAGGUGACGGUGAAUGCUCGCAACGUCCGUGUCGCGGACCGGAGCUACUUCUGCCCGGGCAUGGUCGUCGCGUCGGCGUCAGACCGUGGCGGCCAGCUCGGGGUCGUCACGGGCGCCGCCGUGGAAUUGGAUCUGGUCCGGCUAGACGGUGAGGACGCGGCGGCGACGUUGGUCGCGAGGGGCGUGUCCCCAGCGGAGCUGCGCCGCGUCAGUGAGUUCUGCCUAGGCGACUACGUCGUGUCAGGACCGUGGCUGGGCCGGGUCUUCGAGGUGUCCCUCGACGUCGACGUGCUCUUCGACGACGGCACCGUCUGCAGGGUCACAACAGCGGACGGCAAGCUGUGGCCCGUCGGCGAGGGCUCUUCAAAACGCUACACCAACGUCUUCUAUCCGGGGCAGCGCGUCGGCGGCCGCUCGUCCGUCUUCAAGGCCGCCCGGUGGCUCAAGGGCUACUGGAAGCCCAGCGAUGGCGAGGGCACCGUGUCCAAGGUGGAAACCGCCAGCGUGCUCGUCUACUGGGUCGCGUCGUCGCAGCUGGGCGCCGAGAGGUCCGUCGUCCAGGCGUCGUCCACGCCGGCGCACCAGCAGAGCCCUCGCGAUCUGACAUUCUUCCGCGCUGGCGACGACGUCUUGGCAAGGUUCUGGGGCGUGGGCGACCGCUGCUUCUUCCGCGCUCCUUGCCGCCGCCGCGUACUCCCUGCCGGCGAUGUCGGUGCCAACCGGAAUCGGCUGCGGCGGCUGGGGGCGAAGCGGACGCCGCGACGAGAAAGCUGGAGCCACGCAGGGUUCGAGCGGCCGUUGUCCGUCGCCAGCACGCGCACGACGCUCGACGUGCUGUGGCAGGACGGGACGCGGCAGUGCCAGGCGCCGUCGGUGUCGCUCGUUCCCACGAUGCCACAGAACACCCACCACUUGUUCCCGGGCCAGCGCGUCGUUAGCAGGACAUCGUCGGACGGCGACGGCGACGUCGCGCGUUCUGGUGUCGUCAGAAGCCUCAACUUCACGGACCAGACCGUGCGCGUGUCGUGGCAAAAGGCGGCGGCUGAACACGCCGAUGACGAGACACUGAGCAGCACGUACGAUCUCGGCAGGGAUUUCGACAGCAAUGUCUUCUAUGGAGAUGUUGUCGUCGACGGCGUCCAACAGACUCCUCAAUUGGGGUCGCCGGCGACAUUUGUGGAAGCACGGAAGAGCCAGUGCUGACACGGUGCCGAAAGAAGGAGCCCACUAGAGCUCAUGAUCUUUCAUGGGUCGGACACAUAGUUGAUUUUUGUGAUGCACACCAUGUCCAAGUCAAGUGGGGUGACGGCAACAUGUCCAAGGUAUGCAACACGUCCAUAGAAUUACUAUAAUAUUAAUGGACCAUUUUAAAAAUGCUUAAAAGGAAGUGGUUUUCUAGAAACAGCUUUUAUUUUUGACGCCCAAGAAACUUUUUUUUCACCUAGAUACCAAAAUCCAAGUUAAUUUUGGUACCUCUUGAAGGCUCCUUACCAAUACAAAUCACCUCACAAUCACUGAUUGAAUCUUUUUUUUUGCAGCUAUAUAUGUAUACAUUAAUUACUUCAUAUAUUAGGACCAUUAUUCAAAAACGACCUUAUUAACUUCUACUUAUUUGAUGGUACCAAUUUCAGGUGUCUUUCCAUGAGAUAACUGUCGUCAAAGAGCAAAGUUUUGGUGAGUUCCUUCAGGAAAUAGGCGAGUGGGUGUCUGAAGAUGGAGGCAUGAGCAACGACGCUAUUGAUCACGAAGCACAAGUGACUGCCGCUGCCGUUGUAAGUAUCCCUCCGCACACAAAUUUCAAUUCCCCAAGAGAUCGGGUAAAUGGUUGGACGGUGCCGGGAGCGUCAACCUCGGAGCUUACGGCCAGAGGGAACAACAAUGUAUCCGCACCCGUGUCCGGUGGUGAUGGUGAUGCCAUGGAGACCUCCACUGCUGUGGCAGGCAUCAAUGGAGAAGGUGGUGGUGAGGGGAAGCAGGCAGAGGCAGAUGCCACCCGCGAUGACAAGUCAUUUAGCUUCCCACAAUUUGAUAUCGUGCAGAGCCCUUCAGAUCACCAUUACCUUGAUAACAUGGAGCAUGUUCGUAAUUUUCUUUUUUUUCCUAAGGCCCUGUUUGGAUCUUUGGAAUUGAAUUCCAUUCUAAUAAUCAUUAUCUAGAUAUAAAUUAAUUAAGCUAAUAUAAUUGUCUGUGGAAUAUAUUUGUAUAAUAUUGUUGGCGAUAUGGGAGAAAUAGUUAUGUGUUGCACUUCUGCUAUAGAGAAGCGAGUCCAAGAGCGUGCUAUAAGAAUUGAAUUCCAUUCUAAUAAUCAUAAUCUAUGGAAUCAAUUUCCAUCUCCCACCCCGUAAAUUUAAGAUAGGCUUAUAUCUAAACUUUGGAAAGUUGUGGAAUACCACAUUCAAGAUAAAUUAGCCUACUCCAUUAAGUAAAUUCCAAUUCCUUCAAAAUGAAGGAAGCUAAAUGGGUCCUAAGGGUUUUUUAGCUUUAUGAAUAUAUUAACAGUAAUACAUAUGAUGUAUAAACAGUAAUACAUUUUUUUUGGUAAAAAUUAAGAAAACGAUGGUUGCUGAAAACCCUAUAUAAUAUAAUACAAGUUACUGAUGGUUCAAAUUAAUUAAAUGAUUGCCCGUUUAGUUUUCAUACAUUGAAUCUGCCACAGUGAUGUGUCCUAUAUAUAUAGUGACUGCUAAUUAAGUUGAUGUGCUUUUGUAAACAGGGCACUGGUGGGGGGAAGAAGUGGAUGAAGAGGGUGCAAAAGGAAUGGAAUAUUCUUGAGAAUAACUUGCCAGGUACACAGUGAGUUAAUUUGCAUAUGGAGGGAAUAAAAAUUUUGAACUUUUGCAAUCAAACACAAACUCUUUCGACAUGUAUCUAAAGGUUUGUCCGUGCAUGCAGACACCAUCUUCAUGCGGGCGUACGAGGACCGCAUGGACCUCCUGCGAGCGGUGAUGGUCGGAGCUAGCGGGACGCCGUACCAUGGCCGCAUGGACCUCCUGCGCCGGCCGCCGGCGGGCUUCGAGGAGUUCGUCAGGGACCACUUCCACCGGCGAGGGCAGCACGUGCUCCGAGCGUGCGAGGCAUACCUAGAUGGCUGCCUCGUGGGCACGCUCGAUGGCGAGGGGAGCGGGGCGCGGCGCCCGUGCUCGGCGGGGUUCAGGCUCGCCCUCGCCAACGUGGUGCCCCGGCUUGUUGAGGCGUUCACCGCGAUCGACGCUGAUGGAUGCAAGGAGUUCGAUCGGAUACGGGUGCCAACAGUAUGCACUUAAUUUGUCUCUGCUACUCGCUAGUCCAUUUGUAUCCUACUUACAUUUUAAGUUACAAAACGCGUGUUCACACAUUUGAACUUUGACAUCAAUAUUAUAUUUUUGUAUACUGUUGGGAAUGGUACAGCAGUUUUGCUACAUACUCCCUUCGUCCCAUACUUCAUAAAUAAUAUUUAUUUUGACUUAACAUUUGCGAUAUGUCUAGAGAUAGAUGUACCUAGAAAAUCCAAAUAAAAAUAAAUAGUAAACUUUGGGAGGUAGGGGUAUAGUUUGCAGCUGCAAUUCGUGAUCAAAGGUAGUAGUGUGUUGAUGGUAGUAUUUCGUUAUCCAAACACGGCACUCUAUUGUGACGAACGAACACUGCUGGAUGAUCUCUAUCAGUACUGCUUGUUUGGUACUAAAUGCCACACCAAUCGGUACUAAAUGCACCAUUUAGUACACCAACCAGUACUAACUGCAUGCCACGUCUCGUUGUUGUCAAUGGCAGUUUAGCACCGGUUGGUUUUACUAACCGGUACUAAAUGUUAUUCUUUUUUCCUUUUCGUUUUCCUUUUGUUUUAUCGUUUUCCUUUUGUUUUAUAAUUUCUAUUCAUAUCCGACGGAGCUUUUACUAAUAAUAUUACGUUAAUAUAUUAACCCAUUCAAAUCCAAGUCUCACAAAUAUCAGCCCAUUCAAAUCAUUAACACUCCGAGAAGAUUGUAUAUGCAAUAAAAUAUAUACAUCAACACUUAAGGUCUAAGAGAGAACAAGUUCAAAUUCAUAAGCAAAUAGUAGGGUACCGGUACAUCCAUGCAUGUUACAUAUUUCUUACUUCCUUAGAUAUGGAACAUAGUUAAGGUCUCCAAUCAUCCAGCCUAGACCUUCGUCAAAAUAAGCUAGAGCACGGAUGAGUGCACUCUCCUUCGCUUCGUAUGGAUGGUCACAUACACUACCAUAGAUCUCAAACAAUGGAGAGGUAAACUGAUGUGGCCUGUAUAAAGUGAGAUGAGCUUGGAGCUUGAAAUCUCUGGUGAGUAUCGGAUUUCCACCCAUGUAAGUCUAAUCCAACACAUCCAAGACUUGAGCUAGAAUCACGCGAAAGCUCGUUGCUGCAUUGGUAAUACCAACUAAAAGAUGCUAAUAAUGUGAUGAAAGUAAAAUGAUAUAACAUAACUAAAGAUAAAAAAAUGUUCCAUACCAUGUCAUAUUGAUUUCUCCCUCCUCGAGCUGCUUUAUUCAAAUAUAUGAUAAGUCUGGCACAAAGUACCCAUGAUCCUUAAGCUGUUGUAGGUAGGCCUCCACGAUGGUCCUAUCAAAAGUUACCCUAUCUGGUGCUACUUGACCCCAUACAACAAUUGAAACUAUUAGGAUGGCCUGUCCUGGAGAUAUCGAGGUGAAUUAUGUUUCUCGAACAGGUACUUGAAAAAAGAUAUGUACUCUUUUAAAACGAGGUUCACCAACAACAUCAGUUUGCACUAAAGAUAUCGAGGUGCUUGUUUGGAGGGGGUCCCUACCUUACCUUAUAUUGCUGGGGUAAGGUUACAGGUUGGUUGUUGUACAAAAGUACUAGUUGGAUUCGAUCAAAGAGUCUUACUCUAACUGCCACGUGUAGUUUUCUAAUCCUCAACUAGUCCUUGUCUACCACAUAGACCACGCCGUCCUGCACCAUAGUUUCCAUAUCUAACACGUCUUGGUGUACAGUCCCAUAUGUAGGACUGUCCAAGCCUCCUGACAGUCUCAUAGAUAUAUGCUCGAAAACCGCCACCUCGACUGGUGACCGCGCCAUCGCCACGACGGGUGACCGUGCUGUCGCCUCGGCCGACAUCUCUAUCACCACCACCACCUACUAUCUUACCAUCCCGAAGCUUCCUCUUAAACCAUUGGAGACAGGUAAAACCCCUCCCUCCAAACCCCGAACUCUAUUGGCAUAGUUUAGCUUUCCCUAAAGAUAAGCUUUGCCAUAUUUUUGUCAGAAAAGAUAGAGAUAAUCCGAAAAAAUUUGUACAGGCUUACUGGGCUGGUGCGCGAGAGGCAGGCCGCGGGCGUGUCAAGUCAAGUGCACCGCCUGGGCCAUCUUGCUCCAGGUAUGAUUACAGAAGAUGACCUCAAUUUCUGACUUUCUUCUGAUAAUCUAGAAAAGUAAAUAAGCUUAUAAUAAUGUACACUUACCACUUGUUGACAUUGCCAAAUAACUGUAUCUCUCAACAUAUUUUGCUGUUACAGUCUGUGUUAUGUGAGAUUGCAGAAAUACAAUCUGAAAAGUAGUCACUUGACACAAUACUGGUGCCUGUUGGCCAAAGCCCUCUUUGAAUUUUCAUCUACUCACUGUUCUUUAUUCUUCUAAUGAACACUUAUCUGGUGAAAAAUAUUUGUUCAUAGUUGCUGCUAUCCCUUAUUCUAUGUAUAUGCAUUAUUCUUUAUUUGGUGCUGAGUUCAAUUGAAUGGCAUUUAUUAUUUCAGAUCAACUUUCACCUGGUAGGUGGUUGUAACGCCUGUAAAUUUACUAACUCAAAUCACCCGCUAAAAAUUUGUUUAAAAAUAUUUCGACUGUUGAGCUCCCAAAAGUCUCGUCCUUCCCGGCGACCCCGCCGUCCUGGCACCUAACGUUGUCAGUCAUCUUUUUCCAUCCCUGCAAAUUUCGCCGCAUGCCCAUCUCAUCCGUCGCGCGUGCCCGACCAAUUCCGAAAUUUUUGCCCACUCUCCCCCUCUCUUCUUUUUUUCCCUUCCCCUUUUUCUCUUUCCUUUUCUUCUUUUCUUCCUUCUCUUUCUUUUUUUCUUCCUUCUUCCUCCUCCGAUUUCUUCUCUCCUCCCUUCCCUUCUUGGCGCACCCUUCCUGGCACCAAAUGUCUGGCGCUAGUGCCUGGCGCCGCUUGCCUGGCCACCUGCGCCUGCACCCAGCCCCGCGCGCCGUCGACCGCGUCGAGCCUCUCGCCGGCCAUCGGUCGUCGCCCGCUACCGCACGCCACACCGGUCGUCACCCCUGUGCUCCUCGUCGAUCAAGCCAGCCCCCACCACGCCAUCCACGAGGAGUUCCGCUCCGGCAUGCCACCGGCCGGAAACUCCGGACAGCAUUAAGCUCGCCGGCCCUGCCGCCCCUGUGUGCUGUCGCCCCUCCCGCCGCCUAUAAAAAGCGGGUCGAGCCCCUGCCGCCUCCCCACCACCACCGGCGUCGUCCCCUGCCUACCGCCAGCACCGCCCCGGCUCCCUGCGCACUGCCGCUCCGUGGCAAUCCACCGCUGCCGCCCCACGGCACGCCCGGCGCCCCCCUCCUCCAACACCAUCCGCCCAAGGUGAGGCCUCAAAUGGAGUCCCCUCGGCCUCCUCUACCUCCUCCACUACUCGGCCACCGCCGGCGUGGCCCGGCCAACCGCCCUCUCCCCCUACCGGUUUUCCCCUCCUCUCCCAUCUCCCUAUCACGGUCCAAGGAAGAAGAAGGCCCCAAUUUCAAUCUAACCCCCUGGUUUCCCCUAUUCACAAACCGGCCCUCCCACCUCUCUCAAAGAAGUAUCGCGGAUACGCCCUUCCAUCUUUCAGAAAUAAUUGCAAAUAGGUCCCUGGUUCAUGCAGUUUAGUCCUAAACCUUGUUUUAAGCCCCUAACACUCCUUUAACUCGUCAUUUCAUGCACCAAACUUCGUCUAAUUGAUCCCAAAUUUGACCACGGCCUCCUCCCAUAUACUUCCGCUGAAGCAUAUCCAAAUUUUAAUUCUCUUUUAUUUAUUGUGUGCUCGAUUGUGUGUGCCGUAGAUUGCGGAGUACCCGAGGAGGAGCACGAGGAUGAGUUUGAACGCGAGCCUAAGCUCGAGGACCAGUACCGCGAGCAGGAAGUCCCGCAAGGCUUUGAGAACGGCAAGUCUAAUCUCACCCUUUGAUGCAUAUUUAUCCUAGUUUUUCAAACACAAUCUCUUGGCCUGUUUUAUAAAUUGCAUAUUGUCUUUCUGCGGAAACAUGGUUGGAUAGCUACUCCUUUAUUGUUAUGAUUAUUCCUUGCUUGUCCUAUAAUUAUCUCUAAAUAUGACUAGCUCUGUUUGGACGAUAAUUACUGCUAGAAUGCUUAGGGCCUUGUUACUCAAUGCAAUCAUGACUACAAUGCGUUUUGUUAAAGACUAAAUGUGUGAGUGUUUUAAAAAGGGAAACCGGGUUUUCGGAAGUAAAGGAAAGAAAUGCUUAGAUGAGAUGGAUGGGUGUUUCAGGUGUGAAAUGCCAAUAAGUUGGGCUCGUACCUUGGUGGUUGAGCAAGGUUGGGAGAUAUCCAUCUUUUCAUGGUUAAGGACCGAGUUGAUGUGUCAUCUUGCCUAACCCAACCUUCGUGCAACCACUCGACCGUUGUAUGCGGCAACGGCUUACCAUAAAUCCCACUAGCUAAACUUUUAGUCUUCAGGAGAGCUGGUGAGCAGCGGGAGUCCAUGGAAAAGGAGUAUGAUCUUGGUUACUUAGGUCCCGGUUAAAGAUCUCGUUGGGAGGUCAUUAACCCCUUGGUUACUUCCAUGUUGAAUAGUCAAGCUUAGCUAAGGUGGGUAAUGGCUUUGUUAGGAUCCGCACCGGCACUAAGGUGAUCGUGCUGCGGUACCCUACUUGAAAAAAAAGUGUACAACCUCUGCAGAGUUAAAACCUAUUUGGGUAGCCGUGUUCACGGCAUUGGACGAGUUACGGCUUGGUCACAUAACUAGCACUUGGAGUUGGAUAAUUUUUAUGGCGUGUGUUGGAUUUUGGAAGUAUCCGACAGUUGUGCGGUGAGCUAUGGCGGAUGGGCAGUCCGAUAGCAAUUAAAUUUUGGAUCUUUUAUGUAGGAUCAACCCCACUUCAUGUUCCGGUUUCUAAAGGAAAUGUUUUGCAAAAAAGCUUUGAAAAUGAACCCUUGCACGUGUUCAAAAUCUAGCUUUACUGCAAAUAAACGUUAAACUCAUCCUUGUUAUAUCAUGUGCACACUCUUGCUUGUAUCCCCCUCCGUGGAUGGGGCCGGGUUCCCAAUCGGUUGCCUUUUGCCAAUAAAGAAUCGGCCGAUUAGGAGGUUGGGUUAAUUGGGCCUGUAUGGGCUUGGAAAGGAAUAGAAGGAUAAGGGGGAGAUCAGCCCAUGAAGCGUAUAAUAACCAACCUAGCACGAAUCGUGCUUGUAAAUAUUCGUUUUCUAUUUGAAUUAGGGAUAGAAUUCUAGUCAGUUAAGGAGUCGUCUGUACGGGGCUAUAAAUAGCUACCUUUGUAAAUCUGUAAUCAUCAACUACUCAAUACAACCAACUACUUUUUCCUCGUACUUACUUUCAAGCAGGCGACUUCGCCAAAUACUUUCUCUUUUCACGAGUUCGUACGGGUUGGCAGGGCUGCAUCAACUUGAUGUCCGGCCGAUCUUGUAAGUUCCGUUUACCGAGUAAAUUCUAAGCUUUAACUUCGGGUGUAUCGCUGUUGUUUCGUUUAGAUUUAUUCACUAGUUAUCGAUAUUUACUAGAAUCAUAGGGUUUACCUGUCUUUCUAGUUUUAUCACCAGUUAUCCAGCUAGGAAUCGGUGGUUUCGGCUUUCUUUACGUUCUGCUAUUAAAUUCAUCUAUUUUAUAUAUUGCCGAUUAGAUCUAUUCCUAGUAUUGUUAUCAUAGCAUUGUGUCGAUUACUCUAGUAGUUUUCUAUCUACAAGGCUACAGUGAUCGGCUGCCUUAUAGCCGAUUUCUUUAUUACGGCAAAUCGGCCGAUUCGCUGAUAAGCUCUCUCGAGAUCGGAAACUUAGCCGAUCGUGAUUUCUGGACCUAACACGUAUUCUUCCUUGCCAAUCAACAGGUCAGAUUGGCUGGCACGCCGCGCGAACCACACCAGGGCAAUCACCCGAACAGGAGUUAAGCAGAUUCUCCCGGGUCGUGUGUCAGACGCUGGGGAUUCGGUUGACCGAUUUCUAGCACCAACAGGUUUCUAAAGGAAAUGUUUUGCAAAAAAGCUUUGAAAAUGAACCCUUGCACGUGUUCAAAAUCUAGCUUUACUGCAAAUAAACGUUAAACUCAUCCUUGUUAUAUCAUGUGCACACUCUUGCUUGUAUCCCCCUCCGUGGAUGGGGUUGGACUUGUUGAGUACUUUCGUACUCACCCUUAUUUUGUUGCUUCAGAGGAAGACCCGUACUACGUCGCCGAAGAUUUCGAGUAGGAGGUCGCUUCCGCACGCAAUGCUACCUGUGGUGUUGGCCUUUACAGGAUGCUUCCGCUGACGCUUAGUUCCGAUUGCAGUCCAAAGUCCGACUGGACUGCAACUUGGAUCUGUAUCGUUGUUGGUUUAGUUCUUCUUUGGGUGUGGCUUUCCCUCCCGCUCCUUUGUGAGUUGUACGGUUUUUGAACAAUCUGUUGAAUAAAUAUGUUAUCAGCCUCCUGAGACUGAUAUUUGUAUCACAUUUAGUUUCUACUUACGUGGGGACGCUUCAGGUGGUAUCAGAGCUGUCGUUGGCUGUAGGACGCAACCAUUAGGAUCGUAAAAGUCUUUUCGACCAAAAUAAAUGAUUUACAAAAUUUCUUGCUUCCCCUACUCAUUUGCAAAACUGAUUUACACCCCGAUUCUUUCCAGAUGGCCGAAGAAGGAUGGGUCAACAGCCACCGCCUGGAGGAGCAUGAUUUUCUCAGGUUGCUGUUCGCCUGCAUGGACCGCCUCGGGAUUUAUGAGCGCCCGGAGUACACCACCAGGGAGUAUUAAGUGGUUAAUGACAUAGUUUUCCUAUUGUGCUAGAGUAAAUCAGCACACGCCUUUGUUUGACUUACUAAUUUCAUUUUUAUGUCUUUGUUGUCCUAUCUUGAACUCCAAGGACCGUCGGGCUUGGACUUUGGUCAAUCAGUCAGAGUACUACAGAGACUCAGCCACUCAGGUACAAUUAGCAUGAAAAAGCAUUUGGAUCCGGUCACUCUAGUAAGGACUAAGGAAUCCUCAAUACAGCUAGUUUACUUCUCUGUGUUUGUUGAGUUGGUUUUUCAUCCUAACCAAUGAUCUGAUAAAAUAAAAUAGUUCAGCAGAUUGCGCAAGAUUGAGUCCCCACUCCCCAACAUGAUAUCCCAUCAUUUAUCUUUUUAUGGUUACCUUUCUGAAAUAGAGAUCAAGGUCACUCCAGAAUAAUCAUCUACUUCUGAAAAGUCUGAAGGUAGGUGUCCAACAUAUUUCUACUACUCUAGAGUUUCAGUGAAACAGCAGAACUCUUGGGCAUGAUCUUUUUGUCUUUGUUGUUACCAUGGAAACCGAGUUCUACAUUGAUUGAAUCUUGCAAUGCUUGAUUCAUCUCUGCUGCACUCAGUCAGGUCUGAUACUUUGCUAGAUUUGUGUCCUUAGACUCUGAAGCAAAAUCUUGUUAUAGGCUUUCUGUAGCAAAAUUGAUUCCUGUUUUGCAGUGUGUACUUAGACUCUUAGAUCGCUGUUAGUUGAAACUGACGAAUCAUACUGGCACCUAGGUGGUAUCUUAUCUCACAAGUAGUGUUUGCCUUGGCUUGGUGCAGCGUUGUUCCUUGAGUCAGUGUCCAUGCAGAUGAUACAAGAGGUUGCACCAGCCACUCCGCUGUCCCAGUCAGGAAUUCCAAUGGAAUGCCUGGUCCUGGUCCUGGACUUUCUAAGGGUUAAAUGUUAACAACACCAUGUCCAAAUACUAACACUGCUUUUGUGCCUUUAUCCUUGCCAUGGAAACAGGGUUUGCUUGAGCUUGACUUUGCACAAUUAGCCAUGGUACAACAAAUAGUGUUAGGUAAUUAGCACCUAAAAAACAUUCAGGUUCAGUCUGAUUACUCUGUACGUACGUGACAUUGGUGGUCGUACCUGGUAGUGCAUAUUGUGCAAGCUCAAGUACUGUACACAAUUCAGCAAACCAGCAUAACUUGUUUGGCCAUCAAUUUAAUUUGUCUCUUUGGUCUUAACAUAAAAACAGAAUUCUCUGCGGCGGUUCAGUGUCACCGUGCACGGCACCAGGCACUAGUGCCACCAGAACAGCUUGCAACGUACACCGUUGUCCUCAAAUUUGUUCAGGGGUGUCACAUGUGUCCUUACCCUUUUAAAUUUGCAGAUUAUGUCGCUCAAGUUCCAAACAUCAGUAAUUAGCAUAUGCUUGCCUUUACCAUGCCAUUAAGUUGCUACACUCGCUUUCCUUUAGUCACUUGGUCUAUUUUGCAAAUUUAUGCCUCUUUUGAUUGUGUUGUCAUCAGUCAUAAAAAAGGGGAUAUUACUGAAAGUAGUUCCAUUAGGCUAUUGUCUUGUGAUUUUGGUAGUUGAGUGGUUAUGUAAUCACUGGGACAUAUGUUUGUCAAGUAUAUGUUUUGGAAGGGUUUCCUAGGUCUCAAGAUGAAAUACAAGUGAAGCAAGCAACCAUGGCAUGAAGAAUGGAGCAAAAUAAGCAAAGAUGUACAAUGGAGUGUUCGGUCGGUCACUGGACUGAAAAAUAGUACGUGGGAGUGAAAUAUACUAAAAAUUAAUUAUAUAUAGUAAUUAUAUAAAUACUAGUUUGAUGUGUAUAAUAUACUAAAAUUUAUAUAGGCCUCCGCUAUUUGGUACCCAGGGUACAGAAGUUAUUCUGUACCUGAGAACCACCUCCGCGCCCGUCCGAGCGCUCCUUCAGUACCGGAUCUUUUUUUUCUUGGUCUACAAACUAUUUCGAGAAAAAACACGUAUUGGAAAAGGACGCACUAAAUGACAAGCCUUCUGAUUAUUUGGAAAUUCUAUAAAAUAGAAUUGUAAAAAUUACAAAAUUUGCUCCAUAGAACAUGCAUUGCUUUUUGUUUGCAGACACUACAUAACAGAAUUUAAAAAAAAAAUUGCAAAAUUUGCUCCAUAGAAAAUUCAUUGGUUAAAAAAGUAUUUAAAAUUGUAUAAUUGUUGGUUCAAGAAUUCAGUUUGUAUGAUCAAACGGACCAAUAUUUAGAUUGAACCAUCGAAAUUGUCAUGUUUCCUUAAUCAAAAUGUUUGUUCAUCAUAUCAAAGGGUCUUUAAGGUCCAACUUAUCUUUUUUAUUAAUUGAAAUGUGAGCUAGUACAGUAAAUAUUCAACGACUGAGUGAUCUUUACAUUCGUGAUAAAUCUAGCCAUACAAAUUGGCGACCAGGUGUCUCAAUUUCAUGAGACGGAAUUUCGCAAUAGACUGAGCAGUCAGGUGCCCCAAGAAUACUAAUUGGUUAAUGAAUCUUUGUUCUCUGUCCUCUCUAUGACCAAUGUCAUCUGCCUCAUAGUCACAUUGCUUGUAACCUACUUGCACACAAACAGACUGAAAAACAACAUAUUGAAACAUGUGGGCAUCUAAACAAUAGUACAAUUUUGCUGGUGUCUUAAUCAGAAGCAAACCAUAGUGAGCUUGUCACAAUCUCUGUUAGUGUAUUCGUUCCUGAAGUUUGCUUGUGACCUCAUUGUACUCACUGCCGCCCAAGCCUGCAAUAGAACACGAUAGCAAAAGGUUGCAGCAAGCAAAGUGGCAUGCAUAAGCGAAUACUGACAUUUCAGAAUACAUAAGUACGCAUAUGGACAGUAAUUUUCAUCAGAUCUGGGAUUUAUGAGCAACUGACAUGUCACACAAGCAAUUGUACUAAGCAUGCCAUAAAGUGUAGGAAUCAGAAACCUAAAAUCUGAAAUAUCAGCAGCUACAUAUAAAGAUAAGGGUAGAUAUAUUGAUACCGCAUAUUAUGCCCACUGUUUAAUAGGUGCAAUCUUAGAAGAGAUACUAAAGCCAAAUGGGAGCAUACUGACAAAUGAAGCAAAUGAAACUUCCACCUUCAGGCCAAUAGGCCAUGGCAUACCAAGUGAAAAUUCUAUAUAGUGGGGGAGAAAACCAACAGAUAGUUGCAAGCAUUCUAAUUAUAGAUUUAACUGCACAGCACCAACUACAAAAGAAUAUGCCUUUUUUAAAAAAAAAAGAAACGUCACCUAAUGAGUGCUCUUUGCGAAAAAAAUAAGAAAACAAAACUAAAUUCUUCAUGACAGAUAACAGAGAAAACAAUCACAUCUUCUAUCUUCUGGAAACAUCACACUUCUAUCACCAUGGAAAGAAACAAUAUCAUUUAAAUUAACGAUAGAUAUCACUCAGUUCUUCAUCUGAAACAAUUAUCAGCUGGUCCAGGGGCUGAAAGAUUUGAUUGGAUCGAUAUGAGAUAACCCUGGAAAGCAUAUAGUCACUACUUGUAACUUGAUUUAAUUCGCACCAGCAGCUAUACCUAUUGGCUAUUGCACAUAAUCACACUGAGGGACAUGUGAGAUGGUAAGGUAAAAAAAACCUUUAUUCUAGAUGUACUGCUGGACUGUAUCCCCUUUUGCCUUGAUUUUUCAAUGUUAUAUCUGGGAUAAUUUGUAUUGCAAACAUGAACCUGUCAGCACGACUGCAUCACAAGGAAAAGGGGAUUAGCAUGCAUGCAAGAAUCUAUAGAAAAACAACAGAGAGGCAAUAUGGUUACAAAACAACAAUUACCAUGCAGAUUGAUUAUCGGAGGAAAUAAGAUCCACCUCUCCAGUGGUGUUAGAUCUACACAAAGGAGCAUAAAUUAAAAUUGGAAAUAGGAUUAAUUGAACAAAAAUCACAGGCAAGAUCAAUUUCAUCAGAAGAAUUCCUGAUCUCAUGCAGUCUCAGCAGCAUGCCAUCAUGGAUGCCUUCCAGCAUAAUUGACCAGAUACGGCCGCGCAUGCCCCAACAACAUUCGUGUGACACAAAUCCAAAAUCAAUUUCACCAACAUCAAACACAGUUGCUCACCUGAUUGCCGAGAGUGUCGCUGUUGCCACAUAUGCUUGCGUCUGCACGGAUGAGGCACAACAACCUGGGUACUCGCAGAAGCUGAUGACCACGAGUGAAGAACAAGUACAUGAGCGUGCUGUUAAUGGCAUGAAUCCCAGCGGAGAGAAGGCAUCUAGCAGUAGCACGUAUGCCUGAACUCCAUAGGAAACAAAUCCAAAAAAAUCCGCAUGCACAUAAGCACAAAAGUUUUGAAUCUUUGAACUAGAUUUUGGAUGGGGGCACACAGAUUGCACCAACCUGGAGCUCCCUUCGUGAUGGAGGGCAUCUCUGGAGCCACUGAGCACUCGCCGCCCACGAGUCAUGAGGAGGAAGCUGCCGCGGCCGGGUCGUCGCACGCAGGGGAUUGGUGCCGCGCCGGAUCAUCGCCACUCCACCGGCGAAGAAACUAGGAGCGUCAACCACACAUCAUGGGGAUAGCAAGAUAACGCGGAUGAGAUUUUCUACGCAGAAAAAUCAAAAAUUUUGGGAGACCAUCCGCAUCACCGCAAUGCAUACCUGCCCUCACGGAUCUAGAAGGGGAGCGCACAGCCGCACCGCCGCUCGCCUGGAGGACGGAGCCCCCGCCUUGAUUUGGUUGUCAGGUCAGCAAAUCCGGUUCGCCCUCACCCACGACGAGGAUCCGGCCGUGAGGUGGCCCUGUUGUCCGCCGUAAGGGGAAGGAGACCGCAGCCGUCAUCACGUGGAGGGGGAUGGCGCCAACGACCAUCACCGACCGACCAGCCCCCGUAGCUUGUGGCACCGUCCAUUAGGCCCACCCUUGGAUCUGGGUGACAGGAAGGGGAUAAGGAAGCAGCCGCCGCAACACUACCGUCGGAGUGCCAGGGAGGGGCGGAGGCGGUGCUGCGGAGGGCCUAGCGGCGGCGGCGGAGUGGAGCAGAGCACGAGAGGGACGGGGAGAGAUGCGGUCGCGGUCUCACAGAACUGUAAAUUCAGUUUGUAGGCCACGAUCUCCGGCUCUCCGCCGUAGAAAAAAAAUAGCAAAAAAACCAGUGCGGGCGGCGGACCGGAGGGGCUCGGGUUAGGUUCAGCUCCAUGGAGCGACCCAGGUACGGAAUAGCUUAUUCUGUACCUAGGGUAUUAUUUAGUAUAUAUAUAUAUAGAUCUAUAUAUAUAGAUCUAUAUAUAUAGAUAUAUAUAUAUUACUGUCAUGAAAUAUAUAUACGACUUGCAUACAAUAUUAAUAUGACUCGAAUAAAAUAUUAAUAUGGAAAAGAAUAUUUUUUUAAAAAAUCUUAAGUACUAAAGGGGGAAACCGUGACCAAGGGGGUAGAACUUCCCUUUGUCUCGAAAAUUUAGUCCCGGUUGUAUUUUCGGGAUUUAAGACCCUUUCCAACCGAAACUAAAGCCGCGUUUUCCACCAGUGCCCUGCCAUCUCCACGGACCAUCCAGAUGUCCACCAACCUCCCAUGGCCAGUAGCGUUCACGCCGCCUCGGCGGCUUGAACUGCCUCCACCACCCGCUACUUUGCCGCCCGAACCUCCUUCUAGAUCCACCGGGGAUAGGUACGCCCUUUCUUCAAAACCCCGAACCCUGAAAGCUUGUGGGAAGCUCCCCGGAGCUAGAGAAGAAACAGAGAGCUGAAAAAAACAGGUACGUAAUCUUUCCCCACCCGAGUCAUCUUUAGAAAUUUCGUUUUUUCUUUUGACGGAUAGAUCCGUGUUGGUUAAUUAAGUGCGCAUGCCGCACGUGGGCUCACAACACGACACAAGGCGCAUGCUCCUCCAUGUGAUGCGUCGUGUACGACUCGAACUAGAUCUCGUCUCCGAAAACAUCUCGGCAUGCUCGUGCAGACCGAGUAGAAAACACCCAAACCCUCUGCUAAAGAUUACGAUUAUUAGCCUUUGCGUACGGAACAUACAACCUCGAGGGAGAGAACCAGCUGAUCCAAUUCAAUCAAUCACGCCGACAAUGCAGGACAAGGCUGGGCAGUUCAUCUGCUGGCUAGACUUGGUCAGGCUCAACUCGCCGGCGGCAGGCUCCAACCGGGACCGCGGGCUGGUUCUCAAGGGCAUGCCCGGGCCCAAGGUCGUCGUGCAGUGCCUCGAUGGCACCGAGGUGACGGUGAAUGCUCGCAACGUCCGUGUCGCGGACCGGAGCUACUUCUGCCCGGGCAUGGUCGUCGCGUCGGCGUCAGACCGUGGCGGCCAGCUCGGGGUCGUCACGGGCGCCGCCGUGGAACUGGAUCUGGUCCGGCUAGACGGUGAGGACGCGGCGGCGGCGUUGGUCGCGAGGAGCGUGUCCCCAGCGGAGCUGCGCCGCGUCAGUGAGUUCUGCCUAGGCGACUACGUCGUGUUAGGACCGUGGCUGGGCCGGGUCUUCGAGGUGUCCCUAGACGUCGACGUGCUCUUGGACGACGGCACCGUCUGCAGGGUCACAACAGCGGACGCCAAGCUGUGCCCCGUCGGCGAGGGCUCUUCAAAACGCUACACCAACGUCUUCUAUCCGGGGCAGCGCGUCGGCGGCCGCUCGUCCGUCUUCAAGGCCGCCCGGUGGCUCAAGGGCUACUGGAAGCCCAGCGAUGGCGAGGGCACCGUGUCCAAGGUGGAAACCGCCAGCGUGCUCGUCUACUGGGUCGCGUCGUCGCAGCUGGGCGCCGAGAGGUCCGUCGUCCAGGCGUCGUCCACGCCGGCGCACCAGCAGAGCCCUCGCGAUCUGACAUUCUUCCGCGCUGGCGACGACGUCUUGGCAAGGUUCUGGGGCGUGGGCGACCGCUGCUUCUUCCGCGCUCCUUGCCGCCGCCGCGUACUCCCUGCCGGCGAUGUCGGUGCCAACCGGAAUCGGCUGCGGCGGCUGGGGGCGAAGCGGACGCCGCGACGAGAAAGCUGGAGCCACGCAGGGUUCGAGCGGCCGUUGUCCGUCGCCAGCACGCGCACGACGCUCGACGUGCUGUGGCAGGACGGGACGCGGCAGUGCCAGGCGCCGUCGGUGUCGCUCGUUCCCACGAUGCCACAGAACACCCACCACUUGUUCCCGGGCCAGCGCGUCGUUAGCAGGACAUCGUCGGACGACGGCGACGUCGCGCGUUCUGGUGUCGUCAGAAGCCUCAACUUCACGGACCAGACCGUGCGCGUGUCGUGGCAAAAGGCGGCGGCUGAACACGCCGAUGACGAGACACUGAGCAGCACGUACGAUCUCGGCAGGGAUUUCGACAGCAAUGUCUUCUAUGGAGAUGUUGUCGUCCGCAGGCGUCCAACAGACUCCUCAAUUGGGGUCGCCGGCGACAUUUGUGGAAGCACGGAAGAGCCAGUGCUGACACGGUGCCGAAAGAAGGAGCCCACUAGAGCUCAUGAUCUUUCAUGGGUCGGACACAUAGUUGAUUUUUGUGAUGCACACCAUGUCCAAGUCAAGUGGGGUGACGGCAACAUGUCCAAGGUAUGCAACACGUCCAUAGAAUUACUAUAAUAUUAAUGGACCGUUUUAAAAAUGCUUAAAAGGAAGUGGUUUUCUAGAAACAGCUUUUAUUUUUGACGCCCAAGGAACUUUUUUUUCACCUAGAUACCAAAAUCCAAGUUAAUUUUGGUACCUCUUGAAGGCUCCUUACCAAUACAAAUCACCUCACAAUCACUGAUUGAAUCUUUUUUUUUGCAGCUAUAUAUGUAUACAUUAAUUACUUCAUAUAUUAGGACCAUUAUUCAAAAACGACCUUAUUAACUUCUACUUAUUUGAUGGUACCGAUUUCAGGUGUCUUUCCAUGAGAUAACUGUCGUCAAAGAGCAAAGUUUUGGUGAGUUCCUUCAGGAAAUAGGCGAGUGGGUGUCUGAAGAUGGAGGCAUGAGCAACGACGCUAUUGAUCACGAAGCACAAGUGACUGCCGCUGCCGUUGUAAGUAUCCCUCCGCACACAAAUUUCAAUUCCCCAAGAGAUCGGGUAAAUGGUUGGACGGUGCCGGGAGCGUCAACCUCGGAGCUUACGGCCAGAGGGAACAACAAUGUAUCCGCACCCGUGUCCGGUGGUGAUGGUGAUGCCAAGGAGACCUCCACUGCUGUGGCAGGCAUCAAUGGAGGAGGUGGUGGUGAGGGGAAGCAGGCAGAGGCAGAUGCCACCGGCGAUGACAAGUCAUUUAGCUUCCCACAAUUUGAUAUCGUGCAGAGCCCUUCAGAUCACCAUUACCUUGAUAACAUGGAGCAGGUUCGUAAUUUUCUUUUUUUUCCUAAGGCCCUGUUUGGAUCUUUGGAAUUGAAUUCCAUUCUAAUAAUCAUUAUUUAGACAUAAAUUAAUUAAGCUAAUAUAAUUGUCUGUGGAAUAUAUUUGUAUAAUAUUGUUGGCGAUAUGGGAGAAAUAGUUAUGUGUUGCACUUCUGCUAUAGAGAAGUGAGUCCAAGAGCGUGCUAUAAGAAUUGAAUUCCAUUCUAAUAAUCAUAAUCUAUGGAAUCAAUUUCCAUCUCCCACCCCGUAAAUUUAAGAUAGGCUUAUAUCUAAACUUUGGAAAGUUGUGGAAUACCACAUUCAAGAUAAAUUAGCCUACUCCAUUAAGUAAAUUCCAAUUCCUUCAAAAUGAAGGAAGCUAAAUGGGUCCUAAGGGUUUUUUAGCUUUAUGAAUAUAUUAACAGUAAUACAUAUGAUGUAUAAACAGUAAUACAUUUUUUUUGGUAAAAAUUAAGAAAACGAUGGUUGCUGAAAACCCUAUAUAAUAUAAUACAAGUUACUGAUGGUUCAAAUUAAUUAAAUGAUUGCCCGUUUAGUUUUCAUACAUUGAAUCUGCCACAGUGAUGUGUCCUAUAUAUAUAGUGACUGCUAAUUAAGUUGAUGUGCUUUUGUAAACAGGGCACUGGUGGGGGGAAGAAGUGGAUGAAGAGGGUGCAAAAGGAAUGGAAUAUUCUUGAGAAUAACUUGCCAGGUACACAGUGAGUUAAUUUGCAUAUGGAGGGAAUAAAAAUUUUGAACUUUUGCAAUCAAACACAAACUCUUUCGACAUGUAUCUAAAGGUUUGUCCGUGCAUGCAGACACCAUCUUCAUGCGGGCGUACGAGGACCGCAUGGACCUCCUGCGAGCGGUGAUGGUCGGAGCUAGCGGGACGCCGUACCAUGACGGCCUCUUCUUUUUCGAUCUGCAGCUACCGCCGUCGUACCCUGCCGCGCCACCGCUGGUGUGCUACCGAUCGUUCGGCCUACGUGUGAACCCCAACCUCUACCCCUCCGGCACGGUGUGCCUGAGCCUGCUCAACACCUUCGGUGGCCACGGAGCCGAGCUGUGGUCCCCGGAGGCUUCGACCGUCCUCCAGGUCGUCGUCUCCAUCCAGGGCCUCGUGCUCAACGCCCAACCAUACUACAACGAGGCGGGCUACGCCGACCUGGUAGGAACGCCGCAGGGUCGCCGGAACGAGCUCCCGUACAGCGAGAACACCUACCUGCUCACCCUGCAGACCAUGCUCCACCUCCUGCGCCGGCCGCCGGCGGGCUUCGAGGAGUUCGUCAGGGACCACUUCCACCGGCGAGGGCAGCACGUGCUCCGAGCGUGCGAGGCAUACCUAGAUGGCUGCCUCGUGGGCACGCUCGAUGGCGAGGGGAGCGGGGCGCGGCGCCCGUGCUCGGCGGGGUUCAGGCUCGCCCUCGCCAACGUGGUGCCCCGGCUUGUUGAGGCGUUCACCGCGAUCGACGCUGAUGGAUGCAAGGAGUUCGAUCGGAUACGGGUGCCAACAGUAUGCACUUAAUUUGUCUCUGCUACUCGCUAGUCCAUUUGUAUCCUACUUACAUUUUAAGUUACAAAACGCGUGUUCACACAUUUGAACUUUGACAUCAAUAUUAUAUUUUUGUAUACUGUUGGGAAUGGUACAACAGUUUUGCUACAUACUUCCUUCGUCCCAUACUUCAUAAAUAAUAUUUAUGUUGACUUAACUUUUGCGAUAUGUCUAGAGAUAGAUGUACCUAGAAAAUCCAAAUAAAAAUAAAUAGUAAACUUUGGGAGGUAGGGGUAUAGUUUGCAGCUGCAAUUCGUGAUCAAAGGUAGUAGUGUGUUGAUGGUAGUAUUUCGUUAUCCAAACACGGUACUCUAUUGUGGCGAACGAACACUGCUGGAUGAUCUCUAUCAGUACUGCUUGUUUGGUACUAACUGCCACACCAAUCGGUACUAAAUGCACCAUUUAGUACACCAACCAGUACUAACUGCAUGCCACGUCUCGUUGUUGUCGAUGGCAGUUUAGCACCGGUUGGUUUUACUAACCGGUACUAAAUGUUAUUCUUUUUUCCUUUUCGUUUUCCUUUUGUUUUAUCGUUUUCCUUUUGUUUUAUAAUUUCUAUUCAUAUCCGACGGAGCUUUUACUAAUAAUAUUACGUUAAUAUAUUAACCCAUUCAAAUCCAAGUCUCACAAAUAUCAGCCCAUUCAAAUCAUUAACACUCCGAGAAGAUUGUAUAUGCAAUAAAAUAUAUACAUCAACACUUAAGGUCUAAGAGAGAACAAGUUCAAAUUCAUAAGCAAAUAGUAGGGUACCGGUACAUCCAUGCAUGUUACAUAUUUCUUACUUCGCUUCGCUUCCUUAGAUAUGGAACAUAGUUAAGGUCUCCAAUCGUCCAGCCUAGACCUUCGUCAAAAUAAGCUAGAGCACGGAUGAGUGCACUCUCCUUCGCUUUGCAUGGAUGGUCACAUACACUACCAUAGAUCUCAAACAAUGGAGAGGUAAACUGAUGUGGCCUGUAUAAAGUGAGAUGAGCUUGGAGCUUGAAAUCUCUGGUGAGUAUCGGAUUUCCACCCAUGUAAGUCUAAUCCAACACAUCCAAGACUUGAGCUAGAAUCACGCGAAAGCUCGUUGCUGCAUUGGCAAUACAAACUAAAAGAUGCUAAUAAUGUGAUGAAAGUAAAAUGAUAUAACAUAACUAAAGAUAAAAAAAUAUUCCAUACCAUGUCAUAUUAAUUUCUCCCUCCUCGAGCUGCUUUAUUCAAAAAUAUGAUAAGUCUGGCACAAAGUACCCAUGAUCCUUAAGUUGUUGUAGGUAGGCCUCCACGACGGUCCUAUCAAAAGUUACCCUAUUUGGUGCUACUUGACCCCAUACAACAAUUGAAACUAUUAGGAUGGCCUGUCCUGGAGAUAUCGAGGUGAAUUAUGUUUCUCGAACAGGUACUUGAAAAAAGAUAUGUACUCUUUUAAAACGAGGUUCACCAACAACAUCAGUUUGCACUAAAGGAGAAGUACCACCUAUACCUUCGACAACAUCUUUGAGCCAUCUAAUAGGGUCGAUAAGCUACAUUGUAUGUAAGUAAAUUUAGAAAUUAUUCACGUGUAGUAAAAAUAUCAAUUAUAUGAAGGAAAGAAUAUUACUAUGUUGGGAACUGCUCCUUUGGUUCGAUCGCUGGUAGGCAAGUCAAUGAUGCGAUUGGGAAAGUGAAUUCCAAGAGGACGAGAUAAUGGUGGCUCCUCGAAAAUGUAGUGUCCGCCCUUACCACCUCCACGCCCACGACGACCAUAGUGAAAAGAACUUCCGCUUGCCAUAGUUAGCCCAAACUAUCUAAAUAAAAUUGUAAUAAGAUACAUUAUUCCACAAACAUCAACUUCAAUAGUAAGUAUAUCGUAAAACAUCAUUUAUAAUGCAAGAUAUUUACAAUUGUUGGUUUAGACCUUAUCUACAUUAUGAUAACUAAUCAAAACACAUUUAUUAUCAUAUUGCAAUUGCAUGGAAUAAAGAGAAAAAGGUAACAAUUUCCUAAAUGAAUUUACAGGAAAAAAAUGAAAAAAAUAGAAAAAAACAACCGGGGUGCUCGGGGAGGAGGCUGCGUCGGCGGCAGAGAGGAGGUGGUUCGGCGACACAUCGGGAGGACGGAGGCGAUGGGGAGGAUGCAGCGUCAGCAGCAAGGAGGAGGUGGCCCGGCGGCGUGUCAGGAGGAUGGAGGUGGCGGGGAGGAGGCGGCAUCACUAAUCUCAGUGUUUGCACAACACUAAUGGUUUUGAUUCUUGACUCCGUGAAGUCCUACAAUCUGAAAUCAGUGUUUGCACAUCACUAAUCUCAAUGAGUGUGCCCGUUUGCGUUCGGAUCUCACUAGCUAUUUAGAAUGUUCCUUUUCACCUCGGAUUUCUCGAUUGAAAUCACAUUGUUCAUGCGAAUUCCAAGUCUAUGGAGAGCCACCUCCGCUCCUCCGGUAACAGAGAAUAGCGUAAGCACAUUCAUGCCAUGUGUAGACACUAUUCUCACUAUUCAUGCCAUGUGUAUCCAUUGCCGGUCUAUCUUCAUCGUAUUACGUGAAAAAUGAACAUAGGGCUUCGUAUUAGAUAAAGAACUUGAUCCAUGUGUUUAUAAUAUUUAGUCCUUGCAAUAAACAUGAGAUAAAUAAAUUAUUGGUCAAGAAUCCUGAAAUCAACACUUUUUGCCUAACAUUGCAUACCGUUAGCACACUAUAAAUGCUGCAAUAAACUAUACAUUUUCCUCAAUCUAAUAAAUCAACAAGUACUCCAUUUGUAACAUAAAACUCAUUCUAAAAACCACUCCAUUCUCCUCAUUCUAAAAUACUCUCCUUAUUCUAAAAAAAUCAAUAAAUACUUAAUUUGUAACAUAAAACUCAUUCUAAAAUGGAAAGAAUCCAUUUUACUCCUAUCAUUUUACACCCCUCACCUAUUUAUUUUGUCCACUUAACCCCCUAAGCAAAAUUUAGGCUCACUUUACUCCCCCCAAACUACUUCAUUUGGUCCAAUCUACCCCCUAAUUAGAUUUCUCUUUUUUGUUUCUUCAUGUACAAACUCUCCUUGUUCUAGCUAAUGUACUCUCCAUUCUAGCUACAAAACAUAAAAUAUAGAAUACUAAGUAUGAGAGGAGGGAUUUGCUAACCUUUUCCUCCCCUAGUUCGAGUGAAGAAGAAGCCCGAGCUCACGGUCAAAUGGCUAAGCUCGGGCUUGGGAAGGAAGAAGCAGCUCAAUUUAUAGGAUUACCUCUAGCGCCAGGUGAUGGGUCGAGCUGGUACUAAAUGGUUUCAUGUUAGUACCGGUUGAAGAUAUCAGCCGGUACUAAAUGGUACAUCUAGCCGUUGGCCACGCGGUCCACGUGCUGCCAUUUAGUACUGGUUGAGACUCCAAACUGGUAUUGUAGGGGUUCUGGUGGCACUGUACAUGAUGACCGAUACUAAUGCGUUGGACGAAUGAUCAGUUUUUCAGCAGUGGAAUGUGCAAACACCAGCUAGCAGUACUGAAGUUGGAUGGAAGGUUGGCUUUGUCCGAACAAAUCAGUCCUUUCUGAGGCGAGGGCCCUAGCACGCGUCAUUUUGCAGUCGCUCUGAUAGAGUGCCAGGUUUUGGCGUUCAGCCGAAGUAGCUUUGGUGGGGUUCAUAUUGCUCCGUCGGUACAAGAACUAGCGCCCAGACAACCCAGAAUUGUGGAGUGCCCAGACAUCCAAGAUCCAACCCAGACAGAAACAUAAGCUAGGAUUGGAAGGUAAAUCAACCUCAAUGCCCCACGCAUAGCAUGAGCAUCAUCGGCCUGGCACUUCUCAGCCUACUACGUACAACUCUAGCCUAUGUGCAUGUGGAUAGACCCAGGUUAAGAGAUAGACCUUGGUGGGCUAGCUUAUCAUUUUUGUUCCUUUUUUUUAAAAAAGAGGGAGGAUUUUAAAUGACUAUAUUUUUUUUAAAAAAAAGAUGAACUGAAAUAAUUAUAUCUUUUGUGUGGAUGGUGGUUUGAAAAUGGGCCACAGUAGGCCCAAACUCGAGUCAAGGGCAUAUAACUGUCAAUACACGUAUUUUCGCAGUUAACUAUACUAAUGUACGCACCAAGUGUGUGUAUAUAUGUAUGUACAUAUAUAUAUCUGUGUGUGUAUAUAUAGAGUAUAUAUACUCUGUGGCUGGCUAUACAAUAAAUUAUUUUGUGUCCACCUAUUUAAAAUAAGUUUGAAUCAAUCAUUAAUUCUAUACUAGUUGUUUUAGUUUCUAAAAUAAUUAUUCUAAUGCAUCACUAUCAUCAACAAACUAUUCAAUUAAAUAAUUUUAAUGUGCAAAAAAAAUCAAUUGAUAUAUGUGGUUAACAUUGUUUAUAUUCUUCACCUCAACUAAUUUAAACACACAAAUUUAUAUAUAUUUUCCACAAGUUUUGUUAAAGAAAAAAAUAAAAACUUUACAUAUUUUGAACAUGCAAAAAUAUAUUAAAUUAGCAAGUAUAUUUAAAAUAAGUUUGAAUUAGUCAUUAAUUCUAUACUAGUUGUUUAAGUUUCUAAAAUAAUUAUUUUAAUGCAUCUCUAUCAUCAGAAAACUGUUCAAAUAAAUAAUAUCAACGCGCAAAAAAAUCAAUUGAUGUAUGUGGUUAACAAUGUUUAUAUUGAUUGAAUAAAACUUCACCUCAAUUAAUUUAAACACACAUGAAAUUAUAGAUAUGUUAAAUUAAAAAUUGUAUCAAGUGGUACAAUUAAUAAAAAACAUGAAAUCAUAGAACAUUACAAUAUAAUUCACCAUAGAGCAUUACAAUAUAAUUCAAAAGUGCUUACAAUGUAAUGUUUAGUGCAUUACAUAAAGGUGAACCAUAUUUAGUGCAUGACAAUAUAAUGUUAAAAAGCUUCUUCUUAUUGAAGGUGAACCAUAUUUAGUGCAUUACAAUGUAAUUUUAAAAACUGCUUCUAGUUGAAGGAUCGGAAAGGCGACCAGAUGGGGGUGAAUGGGAGCCGAUUCAAAUUUUUCCCAAGAACUUUGGCUAAAAACUCACAAGCCUCUCUUCUAGCAAAAUCAAGUCCAACUAGCUAUGCACAAGCUAAUGGACCUAGGAAUGAUGUUGGGAACCCAAUUUGAGAAUAGCGGAAGCAAGAAAGACUCCAAACAAGCUCCGGAAGACAAAUUUAGAAAACCAACACCUCUGUGCGAAAAAAUCCGGAGGAAUCUUCGGAAAAUUCCGGACAUGCGGAAAUUUCUGGAGGUCCGAAGAUUUCCGGAAUUAUGUCCGGAGAUUUCCAAAAUUCUAAAACAGCCUGCAUGAAGAUGGCAGAAAAAAUCUGAAACUCGAUCAAACGACCCCAAAAAAUCAUGAAAUUUUAAGCAUAGCUUCCGAACAACAUAACAAACAUAUUACCAAAAGAUCUCCUCAAAAAGAUUAGCCAAGCACAGAGAAUUAAAAAUCUUGUGAAGAACAUCGCUUUUUUAACCCUAGAACUUGAAUCGUCCCAAUAUAUGAACUCGUGAGGAGUUAGAUGAAUUCCUUUGGUAGAAAGACUUCACUCAAAUCCUAGUUCAUUUCCAAAUGAUCGGUUUGACUCUAGACUCCCCAGAAAUCACGAAUCGAACGAAAACGUGAGAAGGGAAAAAUAGGAGAAAACAAGAACGCGAAGAACACAAGCGAGAGUUUCACAAAACCGUCAUCCUCCUACACUCAGAGGACACGAGGAGGUUAGGGCCUCCAUUCCCGCAACAAAAACUCAGUUCAAUACAUGAAUUUGCUGCUCAAAAUAUCCGAGGACCUCUAGGGAGAGACUAGAGAGAGAGAGGAAAAACCAAAUGAAAUCCUAGAGAGAGAGGUAGUGACAGAGAGGUGGAAGAGGUGCUAAAAACUUCAGCCCGCCAUCUCUAUCUAUAGGCGCAGACAAAAGACUAAACUACCCCUAUUGCUACUACUAAGAUAACUACCCACGCAGGGGCAUUUUGGUCCAAGUUUUUGUGCGCUCAUCGGACGGACACGCCACCUUCAUGACUUUGCUUCGCCUCAACGCAAGCUAUGCGCUAAUACCACAUGCCCUCCUUCUCGAAGCUCCGACCGCACCGGGCUUGCCCCUGGUUUGGAGGUCCAAACCGGGAAAGCUGCCAGCGCGGUGGUUUUGAGGCUCAAACCAUCCAAACCGUCCAUCUUCGCUUGGCCGCCACGCGACCUCCUCAAUGGCGACGCGUGUCUGAUCUCCGCGAAGCCUUUGACGCCUCCAAGUCAUUUGUUCCUGGCUCCCGGGCCGCCUACUUGACUUGCCUCCGUCCCGCUUGACUCGACCAAUGCCGUCUCCAUCACCGUCAUGCUGUCUUGUCAUUCCGUGCACCAUGUGGACCGCCCAUGACUCCACCCGGACUCCUCAGGUCCAUCGGUCCAAGCCUACUCGCGUUCAUCCUUCAAAGCCCUUGGUCCAUCAGCAUGAACCUUUUGCUUGACCUUCACCGCAUGCCGUCGGCCAUCACACCGCAUCCUACACCUGCACAUCACAAGCCAAGAACAACAUCAAACCAACACAAUGUUGUCAAUCACUCAUCAUCCAAGGGUGACCACCAUUGGUCCUCAAUCUCCCCCUUGAUGAGUGCAUUGACAACACACCACAAAUUCAUAGUAUUUGAAAAAGAAAAUAAGAAACUAAAAACAGAAAAUCUCAGUCCCCUAAGAUAAGGGCAAUGGCUCUACACGACUGAGAUAAAAUCAUGUGAUCCCUCAAGAGGCAGAAAACGGGCUCAACACCAAUCACAUGAAAAACCAAAUCUGGCUCCUCAAGAAGAGGUAAAACAGAUCAACACAACCGAAAAAAGAGCAAAAGAGCACGACAAAGCUCACAUAGACUCCCCCUGAACAAAUGCACUCCCGCUGAGCAAAUACAUGAAAUUUCUCCCCCAUGUUGAAAGAAAUGCAUGAAAAAUCUCCCAAAUUCUCCCAAGAGUCUUUAUGAAUUUCAAUUCUCCCCCUUAUUGACAAUGCAAUCAUCAAGUCAAACAUGAAAGCCUAAAAAAACAUGCCAUGAAAAUGCAGAAACUACCAAGCUUCUCAGAUAUACCACGGAAGACUCUCAAAGGCUACAAGAGAGAUAAGCUUGGUGGAUUACAAGGAGCAAUAUCAUUGCUAGCAAGAUGAAUUCAUGUUACAGCAAGGAGUUGAAGCAAAUGUCUAGUUUUAGCAUUGUUUUAAAAGAUCACCACAUGAGCAAAUACCUAGUCUAGAAAUACCCAAGCAAGAAGAACUAGGCCAUCAAAAGCUCAUACAAGGAAUAAACAUUCUUGACAAAAGAUCAGUGCAGACACCCACAACACAUCACAAGUCAUGUGAGGCUUGUUGAAACCAAGUGCCUACUUCUUUUUGGUAGACAUCUUGUAAAAACUAAAUGAGCCAGAAUAUCAACAAUUAAGCAUAAAGACUUGGUGAAUUUAUGAAUUUUUGUUUUCAACAUUUUCCUUUUCCAUUAUUCACAAGGCAAAAUACAUGGAGUGCCUUUGCGGCACAAAGAAGCCAUGCUUCCCUAAGGGGUGCAUCAUGGGCUAAACAUCUGCAAUGAUACCUAGAUCUUUGACCCAAUUGAAAAGAACAUGAAUUCCAGCCACAAGCUAAAUUUGGAACUAGCAUUCAAAUAGGGGUAAAUCAAAACUAAGCAUCUACUGAUGGGUGAUACACAAGUUAAUAAAGUAGAAUUUAGCAUUGAAUUUCAAAAAGUAGUUUUCAUCAUGUAUACAAGAUCAUCAAGAGCAUAACUGCACAUUGCAUCUAAGAUAAACAACCAAAGCACUAGCUCACAAGUAGCAUAAGGUAGUAGUCAGGGCAUAUAAGAGAAGCUCAUCUAGUGCAGUAUGAUACAAAUGCAAUAUGAUAUAGAUGCAAUGAAAGCCAAACUAGCAUACUACAAAGAUGCUAAAAAAAAGUGGUUGUACAGAUAUAAUACAAGAGAAACAACAAAAUCCAACUCAGAAAGAAAAGCAAACACCCAACUCCCCCCGCAAAUGAGCAAAUGUGGCUUGAUCCAGGGGUUUGGUGAAGAUAUCAGCGAGCUGGUUUUGGGUAACAACAUAGCCAAGGUCAAUAUCUCCUCUCUCAACAUGAUCUCUCAGAAAAUGAUAUCUCACAUUAGUGUGUUUGGUUUUGGAGUGGAGAACAGAGUUCUUGGCUACACUUAUGACACUCAUGCUGUCACAAAGAAGAGGAACAUGAGUAAAAUCCAAACCAAAGUCUCUCAAAGUGAAAAUCAUCGAAAGCAGCUGAGAACAACAACUAGCAGUAGCAACAUACUCAGCUUCGAUGGUAGACUGAGCAACACUAGGCUGUUUGCGCGAAGACCAAGAGACCAAAGAUGAACCGAGAAACUGGCAAGUGCUAGAGGUGGACUUUCGAUCCAAGCGACACCUAGCAAAGUCCGCAUUGGAGUAUCCGUGGAGAGUGAGUGUCGAGGAGGCAGAAUACCACAAACCGAAUUCAGGUGUGAAACGAAGAUACCUCAUGAUUCUCUUCACUGCCUGAUGGUGAGAUGUCCUUGGUGAAGCUUGAAAACAGGCGCACAGACACACUGCGAAAUGUAUGUCCGGCCUCAUCGCUGUCAAGUAGAGGAGGAAGCCGAUCAUGCUCCGGUACUCCUUCUGGUCCACCGGAUCGCCAUCUUCAUCCGCAUCUAGUGCCAUCGUCGUUCCCAUGGGUGUGGACAGUGGCUUAGCAUCAGCCAUGUCAAACUUUCUCACCACAUCGUUCGUGUACUUCCCUUGGUGCACGAAGGUUCCUUCCUUGCUUUGCUUGAUCUGUAGACCGAGGAAGAAGGUCAAUUCACCCAUCAUCAACAUCUCGAACUCCCUGCUCAUGUCAUCUACAAACUUGGCAACAAAAGCAUGAGAGGAACCACCAAAGAUAAUAUCAUUUACAUAAAUCUGAACAAUCAUUAAGUCUUUGCCUUGCUUGAGGAGAAAGAGAGUUUUAUCAACUGACCCCAUUUCAAACCCAUUCCAAAGCAAAAAGGAUUUCAACCUAGCAUACCAUGCUCGGGGUGCUUGUUUUAGGCCAUAGAGAGCUUUUUGGAGUUUGAACACACCAUCAGGAUAUUUAGGGCUCUCAAAACUAGGGGGUUGUCUCACAUACAUUUUCUCAUCUAUGAAACUAUUUAGGAAGGCACUUUUCACAUCUAUUUAGAAGAGCUUAAAACCUUUAGUCACAACAAAGGUUAGAACGAUUCUAAUCGCUUCCAAACAGGCAAUUGGGGCAAAGGUUUCCUCAUAAUCUAUCCCCUCUUUUUAACUAAAGCCUUGGGCAACCAACCUCGCUUUGUUUCUCACAACCAACCCAUUUUCACCCUAUUUGUUCUUAAAAACCCAUUUUGUUAUCGGGUGGCAAUUUGGAGGUGGUUCAAAUAAAACCCAAACCCUGUUUCUCUCAAAGUGUUCUAACUCCUCUUGCAUAGCAUUGACCCAGUUUGAAUUAGAUAAAGCAUGUCCAAUAUCUCGGGGUUCAAAAGAGGCAACAAAAGCAGAAUGUGCAAAGUGUGAAAUCUGCCUAGAACUAUGCCUAGUGGUGUUCUCAUGCAAGUUACCGAUCAUUUGUUGAUGUGGAUGGUUAUGCUGAAUGUGUCGUGGAGCUCCUCGCUCUGAAGUAGCCUCCCCCUCAACAGCAGCUUGUUCACUCUGAUCUUCUUCUUCAUCAUCUUGUAGUAGUACUUGGUGAUAGCUUGAAGUAGUGGAAGUAGGGGUUAGAGCCAUCAACUCUUGUAGUAGAAGUAGAAGGUACAGGAGGAGCAGCUGGAGCACAGUUCACUUCAUGAUCUUCUUCAUCACCACUAUCAGCAUGCUUGUCCUCUUCAAAAAUACUUUGUCCCAUUUCAUGUUCACCUGCAGCUUCAAAGACAAGGCAUAGUUUCAUCGAAAGUAAUCUCACAAGUUUCCACAAUCCAGUUAGUUUCAAGGUUAAGUACACGAUAAGCACGACUAUGAGAUGCAUAACCAAGAAAAAUACCAUCAGUGGACCGAGACUCAAAUUUCUCCAAAUUGCCUUGCUUCAGAAUAAAGUACUUGCAUCCAAACACUCUCAAAUGACUUACCUUAGGGGAAUGUCGAUGCAUCAAUUGAUAAGAGAUUUUCUUCAUAAAAGAUCACAAGAAGAUUCAAUUGGAAACAUAGCAAGCAGUGUUUAUGGCUUUGGCCCAAUAUUUCCUAGGAGUCCUAUGCUCAUCAAGCAUCGUCCUAGCCAUCUCACAAAGGGUUCGAUUCUUCCGUUCAACAACACCAUUCCGAGGAGGGACAUAAGGCGAUGAAAACUGGUGUUUAAGACCAAGAUCAUUGCAAAAGGCUUUAAAACAAACGUUCUUGAAUUCUGUGCCAUUGUCACUGUGGAUAGCUCUCAUGACAUCUUUAGGUUGCUCAUUUUUCAACCUCAAGAUCAAAUCUCAAACAAAAGGAAAUGCCUCCUCCUUAGACUCCAUGAAGAAAACCCAUGAAUACCUCAAAAAAUCAUCAACGACUACAAGCACAUACCACUUCCCACCAACUGAGCAAACACAAGCUGGACCAACAGUGUCCAUAUGCAAUAGCUCAGAUAGAUGCUCAGUCAUCACCUGAUUCACAGGUGGAUGAGAAGCAGCAACCAUUUUCCCAUGUCGAUAGGAAGCACAAAUGAGAUCCUUCACAAAUUUCAAUUUGGGCAAAUCAUGAAUAAGAUCCAAAGCACUCAGGCGGGAUAGCAAAUCAAAACUCAAAUGUCCCAAUCUCCUAUGCCACUUCCAAAGUUCAGAAGAAGAGCCAGCAACCAAACAUUGAGACAAACAAAAAGACUUAGAAAAACCACACGAAACACCUGACCCUCGAGGACGAUCAUACACACAAGACCUCCUCGAGAGUCUAAAAUCCUUGAGGUCCCUUGCUUAAAAUGGACCUCAAAACCAUCAUCAAGCAGUUGCAACACAGAGAGCAAAUUGAAACCAAGAGAAUCAACAAGAGCAACUUGCUUGAGCAUGAAAUUCUCACUCACCUUGAUUGCACCUCCAGACAAAACCUUACCUUUGCUAUUAUCCCCGAAAGUGAUGUACUCCUUGGUCAUCACCGGAGUGAGGCUGGAGAACCAUCUGUGAUCACCGGUCAUGUGUUGAGAGCAAUUGGAAUCAAUAAGCCACGUGUUCUCUAGGCCUCUGACCUGCUCAAACAAAGGGAGACCAAGGAUGAGCAAAUGACUCAACACUAGGGUUAGAAAAACAAGUAGAAUACCAGUGUUGACCAUUUUCUCAAGAGUGGGGUUAGCAAAAUCAACCAUCUCUCAUCUCACAGGAGGACUACGGCCAACACUAGGAGGGAAACGUGGUCCGUUGUAACUGCAAGACUCAAAGCCACGACCAUGCUUUCCUGGGCCAUAUUGAUCAUGGCGAGGAGCAUGCCUAGCAAAACCAUGCGACUAGCCCUGUUAAUUGGGUUGGGUUUAUUGGUUUUAAUGGUUUGGUUUAUAUAAUAAGUUCAUUUGAAUUGGUUUAUAAUGAGUUGACCUGCUAGAUGGUUUGGUUUGGUUUGGGUUUUACAAAUAAAUAGUUUGGAAGGUGUUUGGGGUGUGUGGUAUUAUUUUUGGAUCUAAAAGACUCUCAACCCGUGGGUUGAGACCCAUUAAAAACCCAAAAGCCUGGAGCCUCAUCUAUCAAGAGUCGGACCCUAAAAAUAAAACCUCGCGUUCACACCUUAAAAUUUUGGAUAAAUUGAUCGAAACUUGUUACAGAUGAAUUAGUUUAACAGUCCGCUACUGUAUGCAAAGUAGUACGGCUGGACUUACAUGUGGGGCCCGCGUCAAGAGUCGGACCCUAAAACUAAAACCUCAUGUUCACACCUUAAAAUUUUGGAUGAAUUGACCGAAACUUGUUGCAGAUGAAUUAGCUUGACAGUCCGCUACUUUGUGCAAAGUAGUAUGGCUAGACUUACAUGUGGGCCCCACGUUGAGAGUCACAUACAAACUCAAAAAAAAAGUUAACUAAUGGGUUUUUAUUAGGUACCUAAUGGGUUCUUAUUGGGUUGUAACCAUAUUUGGCAAGUAAUUUGUAUAACUUAUGCAAUGGUAAGUUUGGGGUGGUGUGGUGUGUGAUAGUGGAGAUUUGGUUUAGGGUGGGUUAUAUUUAUUUUCUUAUGAGAAUAGAUUGGUGUGGUUACAACAUGGGUUACAACCCAAUUAACAGGGCUACAUGCGACGGAUCAAAACGCACACUUUCCACAUGACGAGGUGGAGAAGCUGCUCUAGGCGCAUGUACACCAUGAGAAGGAUGGUACAUGUCCCUGUUGCCCCACUCACGCUCACAGCUCAAAACCUUCUUCUUGCGAAAGCAAAACUUCUCAAGGUGACCCCCUCUCUUGCAAUACUCACUAGAAGGUUGUUUUGGUUGUGCAUUUGCUUUGGGUUGAGGGUUAAAUCUUGGUUGUGGUUUGACUUUGAGUUUUGGAGAGGGAUACUUGGGAGCAAUUUCUUGAAGUGUGUCAAGCUUGUUCUUGAGGUGGUUUGGCUUUUCCAUCCAAAUAGCUUUCUUGGAUGCUUUGGGUGGUGUCUCAAUGAAAACUCCAUCUCUCACACACUCAGACACAUUUUGCUCACAAGCUAGAUUGGGUUGCUCUCUAUUUAGUGUGGGUGUCCCUCGAGGGGUAUAGUCAGCUGGUGGCUCACAUAGGUUGUAGCUUGGUUUCUUUCUCUCACCACUGUUUUGGCCCACCUUCUCACACAACCCAUCAAAGAACUUGUGCAACCCAUUAAAAUGACAACCCUUGAUAACAGACCCAUGCCCAAAACCAUCAGCCCUUUUGAACUCCUGAAUCAUCAUGCCUAGCUGAGGUUCCCUACUUAAUACCCAACUAAGAACAGUACACAAAUAAGAAUUUUCAUCCUUACCAUGUUGCAAAGCAUCUCUAAUUUUAGGACAUUCAGUGCAAAUAGAAACUUCAGAUUUCUCAAGAACCUUAAUCCUAGCACAAGCAUCAUCAAAUUUAGUUUGUAAGGCAGAGCAAGAUUUGCAAGCACCAAACAAAACAGGUUUAGUCUUAAUCUCAUCUAGAGCAUCCCUAGUCAAAUCAAGUUCAUCUACAAGCAAAGCAUGCUUAGAUUGCAAAGAAGCUAUACUAGCCAUGUGAACAGCACAUUCAUCACACUCAACAACAUCAGAAAUGGUGAGAGCAGACUUGAGCAUAUCAAUCUCAAUCAAGGCACUCUCUAACUUAGCCUUAAGCUCAACUCGCUCUCUAGUAGCCUUCUUAAGCAAUUUAUCAUGACUGAUAAGGCAAUCAUUCAGUUCUUCUCCUUCUAAAGCAAGCUGUUCAGGAGUAGGUAUUACCUCAAUUUCUUUGUUGGAGUCGAUGUUGCUGAGGGAGGCAAUCAACGGGCACGCUUUGGCCUUCUUGUGAUGCUCCUUCUACUCACGGUCGGUGUACUUCUUGUUCUUCCUAGUGUCGUCCUUGUUCUUAUGCUUGUUGUAGUUCUACCUGCUCUUGGAUUUGUUCUUGUCGGGGCAAUUGGCUGCGAAGUGUCCUGGCGUCCUAGAGUCAAAGCAGGUGUUGUUGUUCCUUCACUGGUUCUUGUGGUUGUCAUUGAAGCACAUGAAUCACCAUCUGAUCAAGGCGAGCUCAUCAUCAUCAAGAACCUCCAACUGCUCCUCGGACACUGAAACCAAAUAAGAUAGGGCAAAUGACAUCGAAGAAGAGCCACUCAAAGACUUAGGCUGUCCAGAGCCUGACAUGAGAACCAUACUAUUUUGAUCAGUAGGGCUCCUCUGUUUAGCUCGGAGCCUCUUGUCAACCUCUGUGGAUUUCAACUUAGCAAAGAGCUCAUCAGUGGAAAGCGUCUCAUAAUUUGGUGACUCAAUGAUAGCAUCAACCUUCAUACCCCACACUUCAUGAUCCAAGGCAUGCAGAAGCUUUAAACCUCUAUCAUGAUCAGUGUAGGGUAAGACGGUGAUAUUUGUUUUCAUCUUGUUCAUAGUAGCCAAGAAAUGCUGAAACAAAGCAUCAGCAGACUUGCCAGGCAAAUGAACAAAGUUCUCAUACUCACGCCUGUAGGUCUCAAAGAGCCUAGCCUUCACCCAACUGUUUCCCUCAUGGAAAUUCUGAAGUUGGGACCAAAUCUCAUGAGCAAGAGUGAGAUCCUCAACUCGAUCAAACUCAGCACGACAAAGGCUCGCAAAUAGAAUAUCAAACGCCUUGUUGUUGGUGUGAUACUUAUCCCUAUCAUCUUGAGAAACACGAGCAGCAGGAAUCACGUAGUUCACAUCCUGAGUGAUUUCCCAAAUCCCUGCUCCCCUACUGUUAAGAUGGGCUUUCCUGCAAGUUUUCCAAUAUCUAUAUAGUCAGUCCCAUCAAAGUGAGGUGUAGCCGUCAAGGAAGAAUGCUCAGAGGUUGCCAUCGUGGGUUUCAAAACCGAUUAGGGUAUUGAGAAACCUUAACCGGCUCUGAUACCAAUUGAAGGACCGGAAAGGCGACCAGAGGGGGGGUGAAUGGGAGCCGAUUCAAAUUUUCUUGAAGAACUUCGGCUAAAAACCCACAAGCCUCUCUUCUAGCAAAAUCAAGUCCACUUAGCUAUGCACAAGCUAAUGGAUCUAGGAAUGAUGCUAGAAACCUAAUUUGAGAAUAGCGGAAGCAAGAAAGAAUCUAAACAAGCUCCGGAAGAUAAACUUUGAAAACCAACAUCUUUGUGCGGAAAAAUCCGAAGGAACCUUCGGAAAAUUCUGAACAUGCGGAAAUUUCCGAAAAAACCUUCGGAAAUUUCUGGAGGUUCGGAGAUUUCCGGAAUUCCAAAACAGCCUGCAUGAAGAUGGAAGAAAAAACCAAAAUUUGAUCAAACGACGUCCAAAAAUCAUGAAAUUCUAACCAUAGAUUCCGUACAACAUAACAAACAUAUUCCCAAAAGAUCUCCUCAAAAAGAUUAUCCAAAUAAAGAGAAUUAAAAAUCUGGUGAAGAACACCGCUUUUUCAACCCUAGAACUUGAAUCGCCCCAAUCUAUGAACUCGUGAGGAGUUAGAUGAAUUUUCCUUUCAUAGAAAGACUUCACUCACAUCCUAGUUCAUUUCCAAAUGAUCGGUUUGAGUCAAGCCUCCCCAGAAAUCACGAAUCGAACAAAAACGUGAGAAGGGAAAAAUGGGAGAAAACAAGAACGCAAAGAACACAAGUGAGAGUUUCAUAAAACCGUCAUCCCCCAACACUCGGAGGACACGAGGAGGUUAGGGCCUCCAUUCCUACAACAAAAACUCAAUUCAAUACAUGAAUUCGAUGCUCAAAACAUCCGAGGACCUCUAGGGAGAGAGUAGAGAGAGAGGAAAAACCAAAUGAAAUCCUAGAGAGAGAGGUAGUGAUAGAGAGGUAGAAGAGGUGCUGAAAACUUCAGCCCCCCAUCUCUAUCUAUAGGUGCGGACAAAAGACUAAAUUACCCCUAUAGCUACUACUAAAUAACGACCCACGCACAGGCAUUUUGGUCCAAGUUUUUGUGCGCUCAUCGGACGAACACACCUCCUUCACGACUUCACUUCGCCUCAAUGCAGGCUAUGCGAUGAUACCACAUGCCCUCCUUCUCGAAGCUCCGGCCGCACCGGGCUCACCCCCUGUGGUGGAACCGCCCAACUUAAGCUGGUUUAAGUGCGCUUAAUCGCUGUCGGAACAGCAAUUAUCCGAAACGCACCUAAAACAGCAUAAGUCCGGUAGUCCGUUGAGUGUCCCUAGGACUCCUCGAAGGAUCCACGACGUGUCUCAUAGCCAUACAUCAGGAUAAUAUCCGCGAUGGGAUAACAUCAACAAAUAUUACAUUUUUAAAGACAUAACAAAGGUACGAUAUAUUACAACCAUAGUUUGAAACAACUUAAUCAUGCAGAUCAGCGUGGUUCUUAAGAAUUUAAAAAUAAACAUUUAAGUUUUAUUCUAGAGUAUCAUGAGACUCAUAAGAUACCCUAGGUCUUCGGGGCUUCCUCUUCGGUGGGUCCCUGCUAGCUUUCUGAAAACAACAACAAGGGAUCCCCUGAGUACGAAGUACUAAGCAAGUCUUACCCGACUAACCAAUAUAAUAGUUUUCUUUGGAAUGUAUGUCAGCCUUUGGGUGUGCUUGGUUGACACAAUUUUUGCCGAAAAGCUUACUACGAGUGAGGCCUUAGUUUUAUCUUUUAUUUUAGUUAAGUCAUUACCUAACCAUUCUAGAUGAUAAUAGAAGUAAAAGCAACCACAGCUGUUAAGUCAUACAUUACUUGACAACAGGAGAUUUUAUAUUGCAUGAGUUGAUACUACGAUGCUCAACAGUGAUCAAGUGCAUUCAUAACCGAGAAUUGCGGCGAUCCGGAUCUAAUUACAUCCUGCAGGAGAGUACCCCGAUCACCAGCAUUAUACGACUGUUCCGGUCGUAUCUCACAACCUCUCGAUUAGCAAAGUCAAUGAUUAGGAAUACAACUACCCGGACCCAGGGAUGCACCCCCACAUGGGACCCCACGUCUGGCCUGAUCUCCAUGUGAGUUUCAGGCUACACCCCUGCCAAUCUCCAGCACGUCAAAUGCGGGUACGAAGCAUUCCUGAUCAUAGAAUUUACUAAUCUACUGGGCUUUACUGGUCCCAUACCCAGUAAGUGAUCAGAUGUUAUCACUUGAUCAGCGGUUAAGACACGAAUCGGGCCUUAACCAGAUUAAUCUAGCAGUAUUCAUAUUCCAGACUAUCCUUCAUAAGCAACAUGUAUGACUUAAGAGUUUUCCUUAAGGUUGGUAAACCAAUCACGUAAGCAAGUAAGCAAUUCUAGACUUGGGUAGUUUCUAGGAUUUGAACAAGUGGCAAAGAUAUCCUUAAAUCAAGGCAUGAUCAUACACAAGAAUAGGUUUCAUCCAACUCCUAGACUUAGUGCAUACAAUAAACAAAUAACCUAUAACUAGUCACAUGAAAUGACGACUCUAAAAAUAGAUAGGUAUAAAUGCACCGGGGCUUGCCUGGGAUCAACAAGGUUAGUUCUUCGGAAAACUUGUUUACUGAAAGAGGCACUCCACACUUCGCGAAUGCUGUCCAUCUCCGGCUGAAUUCCAUGAAUUUCCCACUUCAGGAGUUGUGACGUCUACGAUCCAGUAUAUGCAAGAGUUAGAGAUGCAAAUUUUUGAAUACAAGACUAUACAACUUUCCUUCAUGAUAAAGUUGCAAGCCAACAAGGACUAUACAAUUUAUCAUGAUAAAGUUGCAAGCCAACACACAAAAGCCCUAAAGAUUAGCCCACCAUUUUUAUUUCUUUUACUAAACCUACCUUAGACCUCUUCUUUUAUUUUUUAAAAGCAUUAUACUAAUUUUCUAAUCUCAAAAACCUAAUUCCUAUGAAUUAAUAAUAAUUUGUGGAUAAUAAAGCAUUUUCAAGUUUUAUAUAUUUAAUAAAGUUUAAGCAUUUAUUUAAAUACCUUACACAAAAAGGCAUUAAAUAAAUACCUAAAUUUUUAUUAUUUUUCCUAGGGUUUAAGAAUUUUAAUGCAUAAAGGAAAAUAAAACAAUCCUAAUAAAAUUGGUUUCACUAAUUUUGGACACUUUUAGAAUUUCCUGGGAAUUAAAUGGUGAAAGCAGCAUUUAAUCUAUUUAUCUAACAAAGAAAACCUAAGGUUUAAUUAAAACCUCCGGCCCAAACUUUUCUCACCCAACUUGCUUCUACCCACUAUCACUUCCACCUAGGGCCCAUCUGGUUUCCUAUUCUCCUUCUUCUUUUCUUCCUUGACAAGUGGGGCCCACGGCCGAAACCUUCCCUUGGGCCGAAAAGUGGCCCGCCAACUUUUAACCCGUGACGCGUGGGCCUCUAUUCGGCAGCCUCCUCUUUGGGCCGGCUCCCCCUUUUCCUCUCUUUCUCAAUCCCGGCCGGCCCAUCUCUUCUUUUUCUUUUUCUAUCUCCGACAAUCGGCCUGCUUAAUCCGGCCCACGGCCUUUCUUUCCUCCGCCGGCCCCCUUCUUCUUUUCCACUUCACCUGGGCCGCACGGCCCACUUUCCUUUCAGGCCAAAAGUUAACCCACCGGCUCUCCCUUCUUCCUUUACCCGCACGGGCUAACUGGGCUGUCGCCUCCCCUUGGCCCAAGACGGCGCUGGCCCUCUUUUCUUUUUCUCCUACUCCCACCUGGGCCUCCUCCACCGGGACUUGGCCUCCCGGCCCAAGUUCACCGACGGCCUGCUUCCCUUCUCUUAUUACGUUGCGCAGCUAGCUGGGCCGGUACCCUUCCUUUGGCCCAAGACGGAUGGCCGGCUCUUAUCUCCCUUGCGCCCCCCCCCCUCUUUUCCUUGUGGCUGGCAUGUGGGCCUCCUUGGUCAGGGGCAUCUUCCUCCCCUGGCCAAGAACAGAGGCGCGCCGGACUGGUGGGGGCUCGCCGGCCGGCGGCUCGCCGGCGACGGGGUCGGGCCGGGGAGGGACCCCCAGGCCGCGACACACCCGUGGGCGGCGGCGGCGCUCCGGGAGGUGGCCGGAGAUGGCCCCUCCACGGCGGCGACGGCUCAGCCGGCCGUUGGCCAUGGCGGCGUAUGUUGGCGGCGCAAAACAGCUUCCACAACUCCCCCUACGGCUUCCACACUCUUGCAGGACGCCCCUAGGCCCGUUAAUUGAGAAGAAACAGCCCGGUUUAGCAACUUACCUCGCGGAUUGGGUGACGGCGGCCGGCGGACCGGUAUGGCGGCGACUCGGAGCUCAACAGCGAGAAGCUGGGCAACGGAGCAGCGUGGGGCGUUGAGGAGGAGCUUGCGGAACCUCGGGUGGGUGGAAUCGCAAGGAGAAGCGGCGGCGUGGGUGAAUCGGUCGGCGGCGACACUGAUUUGCUUGAACUCGGUUCUCACGGCAGAAGAGCAAAACGGCAGAGAUUAACUGGAUGAGGGCGAGGAGGUACCAAUACGAACUUUCACCGUGCAUGCGUGCCACCUCGACAACCUGAACGAGCGCGGACGUGGCCGUGUGCUGGCCGGUGCUUCGGAAUGCCGGCGGCGGCACGACUCUUCUGUCGCCUCUGUUAUGCUGUUCUGCUUUCUUUUCUCUUCUCAAUCUACAUGUUCAGGCCGCAAAAUUGGCAAAUCCGAACCCAAUCUCUCGAACAUUCCUUAAGCAAUCUUGUAGAUUAAUCCGAGCACUUCAAUUGAUAGAUGGGCCUCUACCCGAGAUGAGCACCCUAACAUCUAGAUUUUUGGAGCUCCAAGUUCGGCCAGGGCCUUCUGUAACUGAACCCUGUCGAUUCAGUUUCGACAGUCUUCAAAAUGUGGUCAUUUACCCUUCUUUAGCACCAAUUUCAGUAGCUCAAUUGUAUUCCAUAUAGGCCAACCACUCCCUAUUUGUGUUCUAAAACUAAUAAGGAUUCCAUUUUGCACCAGAAACCAUAUAGCCUUUGCACUGGAUUUUCCUGAAAAUUGCUCCAAACAUUGCUAGUUAACACUGUCUCAGACUUAGAAUUUACGCAGCUCGAGAGUUGGCCGAAAUAGCUAGAGUGCUGACUUUGAGUUCUGAUUUAAAUUUGAUUCUUUCGCUAUCUCUGAGCAACAACACUUUAUUAAACAUGUCCAAGGAUCAUACUUCACCGCUGUCUAGUUGCCUUUGCUCACUUACUUGAAAAAUUGGGCAGAAUUCGGUUUCAAACAUAGAUACUCGUCAUGUUUUCCAGACCUAGACUUAAUUCGGCAAGGAGCUCGAAAUCUGCUCAAUUGCUGACUUUUGGCUCCAAUUUGAAUUCAAACCUUCCACUUUCUCUGGACAACAACUAUUCAUUUACUUUCUCCAUAGUCCAUAUUACACUAAUGUCCAAAAACAUCUGCUCACUUUUAAGGAAAUUUCUCCAGAAAUUGGUCCUAAAGUCAGGUACUCAAUACCAUUUUCAGACUUAACCAAAAAUUCAGCAAAGCUGCCGAUUGUGACAAAGCGCCAACUUUAGGCCUCCAUUUGAAAUGGUUCCCUCUGCUAUUCCUGAUCAACACCACCCAAAUUUUGGAGUCCCAAGUUCAUACUUCAACAUGGUAUAGUUGUCCUGAUUUACUUAUUUGAGAAAUUCAUCAGAAUUCAAUUCCCAAAAUGGACUCUGGACUGUUUUUCUGAUUUCUUGUUUUCGGACGGUGAAUAGUAAACGUAGCUUUUCAUUUCCUUCUCCGAUUUCUUUUGAGCGUUUAGGAUCAAAUAUUACUCCAAAUUUUUGACCCUUAAGUUCUAAUCAUCUUUACACUCCCACUCUAUAUUUUCGCCGAAUUUUUCUGAAUUUCAAAUUCAAAAUUCAAAUUUCGGCCAAAUUUGACCCGAAUUUGAUUUUCGGUCAAUUCCUUUUUCUUUUCUUCUCGAAUCGCUUUCAAUUCUUCAAAGUCACUUUGAUGACUAAAAAUGGCGGGUGUUACAGCCUCCCCCCCUUAACAGAAUCUCGUCCCGAGAUUCCCGGGGUUAAAUCCUCGGUUUUGAGAAUGGAAAGGAAACUGUCUCAGACAUCAUAUUUUCUCUUGUCUGUAUAAGGAAAGGGAGGUGGUGGCUUUGGUUCAUCUGACACUAACAGUUUCAAAUAACUUAAAAUAUUUAGACUCUAGGUCUUCAGUCUGUUCCAAGUAGCUUUAUCUGGAGCACGAUUCUCUCAGGGCACCUUGUAAAAUCUGAUACUCUUAGUUCGAGUAUGGAGGGUCUUUCGAUCCAGAAUUUUUAUACGGACAAAUAUAUAUCGGAGAAAAUUUUUCCUUUGACUCCAACCCGGUGUAUUCCUUUCAUCGGAGAUACUCCGAAAUGUACAAAGUCCCAAAAUAAAAUUCCAAAGAUCCUCUUUUUGUAUCCGAAUAACCUCUCUGUCAGGACUAAGCUAUUUCAAGGUUCGUACAAUUCUUCUGAACUUUUUCCUCAACUUUAAUUGACUAGAUCUGGUUCUAAAGGUACUCUUUCUCUUGAUUCUGACCAAAUUAAAAGCAACCAUUCUUCCCAUUUUUUGCUAGAAGUAAACAUUCAUCCCACUUCUUCGAGAAGGUGAGAAUACAGGUUCGAAGCAUAUCUUUUUCUGUCUAACCAGACAUCCUUUGUUCUUAAUAAGGGUAGUUCCCAUUGUCCCAUACAUUUGUUCCCAGAAUUCAGAGAUGAAAUUGAGAACCUCAAUUUAAGACAAUUGUCUUGGGUAUUCCAUGCGACGAUACUACCAUAAAAUCCAUGGAAAUGUCUUCCUACUUCCAUUUAGGAAUGGUGAAGGUUGCAAUAUGUCGACCGAUUUCUGAUAUAUAGUUUUCACUUUUGACACGUAUCACAUUCAGAUACAUUCUUGGCUAUUUCCCUUUUCAUUCUUAUCCACCAAAAUCAUUGCUUCAUGUAUUAAUACAUCUUAAUACUCCCCGGGUGCAUAAAGAAUCUUGAUAACAAGCUUCAUCUAAGAUGAUUUUCUCAAGCCCAUCUUCUUGAGUAUUAUUAUUCAAUUUUUGAUAUAGAACACCUUCUUUUCAUCCUGGUAAAACAAGUAACAUUACUUUUAGCUUACUCAUUUCCGAAGUAUUCUCAUUCCUUUGUCCUUCUUCUGAGCUUGUUCUGCUUCUUUCUUUAAAAUAUCUUACAAGAUGAGGUUAUGCAGUGUACAUUAGUUUUGUUCGGAUGAUACAAUUUCUAGUUUAUAGUCUUGGAUUAGUUUCAGCCAUCUUAUGCCUCAUAUUCAGAUCUGACUUUGAUAGCGUUCGGCCAUUUUUAAGAAAACUUCUUACUUCCUGAACAGUUGUGGGCGAUUCAUGUCCUUAACUUUUUCAGGAUCCACUUCAAUUCCUUUCUUGGACCAAACAUGCCUAAUGAACGGAACCUUCUUUAACCAAAACUCACACUUACUAGACUUGGCAUAUAGUUGAUGCUCCGGAAUCUAUCCAAAACAAUGCGCAAAUGCUCCGCAUAUUCUCCUUAUUCUUAUUGUCAAAACCUUUGUUUCAAAGCUUGAUACAUCUUACUGUUCUCAGGAUUCCGUGCAAAUUCAACCUUUUAGAAACUUGUUAAUAUCCAUAUAAUGCUCACGUCCCUUCCUUCUAGUUAAGGAACUUUUUUUUGAAUAGACUUUUGACCCGAUCCUUGGCGUGAAAUUUGAGCCUUCUCAUCCAUAAUUUCCCCUUUACUGUGGAAAAUGAAGAACUCGGGUGAAACCAGUUCCUCCAUAGUUAUGUUAUAAUAUAGCUGUAGAAUUGCAAAGAUAGUGGUGCUUUAACCUUUCAGGUAUUCAUGGGUUUGUCGAACAGGGAGUAUUAUCUGAGUUCUGGAUAACCCAUGGCUGCCACGAUAAUUGUCAUUGGGGCCGAUAAGUAGAUCUAGCAGGUUCCUAGUAGACAACCUUUCAACUCCUGAGGAAUACUUUUAAAUGCUUCAAAAGAAAUGUCCUCUUAUUCCAAGGAUUCCUCCCUUCCAAGGGGUUUGUCUAAAGCUCUUAUCUUUCCUGGGGAUUACUAUGUUCAUGGCAGAGCUAUGAUCUGUAAAAGUACUUGGGAGCAAUUCCUUUUCUCAGACUUAGGGUUCAUAUGUUCGGAAGCAUAUUGUGCCAGAUGAUCAAUUGUACUUAGAUACUUCCGAACAAUCUUGUGUCCCUGCUAAACUUUUUUUUUUUAAAGUUGUUCUAGCUGCACUCUUAUAAUCCUUUUUAGCAGAAACUAGGUACAAAUAAUUGUCUUGAAAUCUUCCCAAGCUAUCUCCUUUCUGACGGAUCGCCUAACCAGAUAGUUGGUCCAUCAUGUGCCUGUGGGACCUUGGAGUUAAUGUCCUGCAAACUCAACCUUUUGAGUUUCCGUACAUCGAAGAAUCACACACGUAUCCACAUAUAAUGUUUGGAUUUACGUGUAAUUCUACAAAAAUUUGUCUUAUGUUCAUAUAGUGAUCAGGGCUGACAUGUGCAGGAAAAUGCCACUCUUAGUAGCUUUAACAAGCAUGAGUAGACUGCGUUAUCUUCCUCCAAACCUGCUCCAGAAAACUCCUGGCAUUCUUUUUAGAGUUGAACAUCAAGGAUAUGAAGUAUCUGGUUUGGAAGAUUCUUCUCGAUAAUAGUUAAUAAUGCUUAUUCCAUCGCAGAACACAAGAUCUGCUAGCUUUCUCCCUGUUAGUGUCUCUGCCAGCAAUACUCUAAAAUUGUACACAUCUCCUCAGAGCUUUUACAUUCUGACAUAAAACUCCCAUCGGUGCCUUAUAUGUUUGUGUCAAAAAUCUUCACAGCCAACAACCCGGUCUUACCUGGAUUAGUUUUCCUCCGUAAACUGAACCAUAGCUUCCUUUCCUAAUCAAAGACUCUGGGAAAUUCUCAGUAACCUGAACUCAAUCCUUGUAGAAAAAUUUUCAGAAGUUCUUACUAGAAAAAAAAAACCAACUGUGAUUACAUUAUGAAGGACUUUCUCCAUGGAAGUAUAAGGCAUCACGAUAAUAUGAAUAGUGCCACGAGACCAACAAUGGGGAUAUAUUUUAACCCAAAACUUUUAAUCUUGCUGUCUGCAAAGGAACAACAUCGCACGCGGGUAUAUGCAGCUCACAUACUCCGUCGCAAAGACCUUGAUUCCCUUUAGUGUAAUAACUGUAACCUUUUUGAAAUACUCGGCACUCUUCCCAGGAGAUGAUUGCGGGACGAAUUUAGCGGACUGAGAGCUUGUAGAUCACAUAGAGCAGCUGGGAUAGUAUCUAUCCAAUUGUUGUGUGAAAGGUUAAGAAUAGUGUCUUCCCAAAAGUUGGUGGUUUUGAUACUGCUUCAAUUCCCAAUAACCACGUUAAUUCCCUAUAUUUUGAAUAUCCCUGCUCAGCAGUCUAGCUUGCUUAGCUCUUGAAUUCAUAAGACUAGCAAUAACAUUAACCCGGGUAAGAAUUUAUGGUGGCUCUACAUCACGGAUUCUGACCCGGAUUAAAUGUAUCCACUUGGGUCCGACAUUCUGGGGUUACAAAAAUCCAACAGACCGAAACUCAUUGAACUUCCUCUGGUUCUUUAAUAUCAUUAUUCCCUGCAUCUCGCAAACCUUGGUAUAUGUUUCUCUUAAACAACCCCCUCAACAUUGUCCUUAGCUAACAGUUGAUUAGGUUCCAUAUGACUUUUUCUAAAUUCUCUUCCAUUUUCCACACCAAGACUAUCCAGAUUCUCACAAACAUGCAGAUCUACUUUUUAAGAUGCCAGUUCAUUUAUACCCAUUUCGUUAUCCACAAUAUCCUCCUUUCCUUUUACUACAACCGGGACGAACAGAUGUUGCCUUGGUUUCCAUGGUUUUUUUGAUAUAUCUCUGAGGCAUCCGGAUCAAUAGAUUCCUGGGCUUGUGUCAAUUGACCUCAUAUUUAUCCAAUUUCUUUCACCACUUUUCUCAUAUCUUUUCCCAUAUUACGAUCUCGUGCAAGAGCUGCCUUCUUGCUUAUAUCGAAAUCAUAUGGAGUAUCUUUUCCCCUCCUCCUUGAAUCUUCAUUCCUUUCUUCCUAAUAAUAUUACUGGAACGGGCAUGUUGAUGAAGAGUAGGUAUCGAAGUCUUUUAAUUUCAUGAAGUGAUCGCAGUAACGUCGUGCUCCAUUUGAGAAAAUCCUUUAAACCUUUAUACAAUGCUUCCAAUACUAUGGUCCUGAUUUCUGAUCCCAUAACUCUUGUCAGACUGGAUCCAAUUUAUUCCUUAUUCUUCUCACACCUGAUAGUUUAAGUUGUCCUAAUUGCUUAUCCAAAUAAGGUUUGGUGUCCAUCCGUCUGUCUUGAUCUUCUCUUCUGCAGUUCUCUGUUGCAUCGACCCCCUUACUACGUUUAGCUCCUAUUACACGGGACGGGUUUAGGUCUAACGGCACUCUCCAAACCCAAAAGUUUUGAAACAUGCAAUGCACACAUGAUGCAACGAUUCCUACGUACUUUCAGACUCAUAUACACACUCGUAGAAAAAUUGGUGGCAUCGUAAUCUCUCCCUAAAUAAUAGACUACCGAAUACUAGCGACACACAGCAAACAGUUAGCAUCUGCAAAAUAAACAACCAGUUAACACUACUGCCACCUGUGACUCACAUUUUCUUAAUUUAAAAUAGAGUCUCAAUUUUUAAAUAGUAAUAUCUGUUGAUUAUCCCAACCUACGGCUCUGAUACCAGCUGUGGCGGAACCGCCCAACUUAAGCUGGUUUAAGUGCACUUAAUCGCUGUCGGAACAGCAAUUAUCCGAAACGCACCUAAAACAGCAUAAGUCCGGUAGUCCGUCGAGUGUCCCUAGGACUCCUCGAAGGAUCCACGACGUGUCUCAUAGCCAUACAUCAGGAUAAUAUCCGCGAUGGGAUAACAUCAACAAAUAUUACAUUUUUAAAGACAUAACAAAGGUACGAUAUAUUACAACCAUAGUUUGAAACAACUUAAUCAUGCAGGUCAGCGUGGUUCUUAAGAAUUUAAAAAUAAACAUUUAAGUUUUAUUCUAGAGUAUCAUGAGACUCAUAAGAUACCCUAGGUCGUCGGGGCUUCCUCUUCGGUGGGUCCCUGCUGGCUUUCUGAAAACAACAACAAGGGAUCCCCUGAGUACGAAGUACUCAGCAAGUCUUACCCGACUAACCAAUAUAAUAGUUUUCUUUGGAAUGUAUGUCAGCCUUUGGGUGUGCUUGGUUGACACAAUUUUUGCCGAAAAGCUUACUACGAGUGAGGCCUUAGUUUUAUCUUUUAUUUUAGUUAAGUCAUUACCUAACCAUUCUAGAUGAUAACAGAAGUAAAAGCAACCACAGCUGUUAAGUCAUACAUUACUUGACAACAGGAGAUUUUAUAUUGCAUGAGUUGAUACUACGAUGCUCAACAGUGAUCAAGUGCAUUCAUAACCGAGAAUUGCGGCGAUCCGGAUCUAAUUACAUCCUGCAGGAGAGUACCCCGAUCACCAGCAUUAUACGACUGUUCCGGUCGUAUCUCACAACCUCUCGAUUAGCAAAGUCAAUGAUUAGGAAUACAACUACCCGGACCCAAGGAUGCACCCCCACAUGGGACCCCACGUCUGGCCUGAUCUCCAUGUGAGUUUCAGGCUACACCCCUGCCAAUCUCCAGCACGUCAAAUGCGGGUACGAAGCAUUCCUGAUCAUAGAAUUUACUAAUCUACUGGGCUUUACUGGUCCCAUACCCAGUAAGUGAUCAGAUGUUAUCACUUGAUCAGCGGUUAAGACACGAAUCGGGCCUUAACCAGAUUAAUCUAGCAGAUAGAACUACAUCUCUAGCUUCUGUCCGUAUUCAUAUUCCAGACUAUCCUUCAUAAGCAACAUGUAUGACUUAAGAGUUUUCCUUAAGGUUGGUAAACCAAUCACGUAAGCAAGUAAGCAAUUCUAGACUUGGGUAGUUUCUAGGAUUUGAACAAGUGGCAAAGAUGUCCUUAAAUCAAGGCAUGAUCAUACACAAGAAUAGGUUUCAUCCAACUCCUAGACUUAGUGCAUACAAUAAACAAAUAACCUAUAACUAGUCACAUGAAAUGACGACUCUAAAAAUAGAUAGGUAUAAAUGCACCGGGGCUUGCCUGGGAUCAACAAGGUUAGUUCUUCGGAAAACUUGUUUACUGAAAGAGGCACUCCACACUUCGCGAAUGCUGUCCAUCUCCGGCUGAAUUCCAUGAAUUUCCCACUUCAGGAGUUGUGACGUCUACGAUCCAGUAUAUGCAAGAGUUAGAGAUGCAAAUUUUUGAAUACAAGACUAUACAACUUUCCUUCAUGAUAAAGUUGCAAGCCAACAAGGACUAUACAAUUUAUCAUGAUAAAGUUGCAAGCCAACACACAAAAGCCCUAAAGAUUAGCCCACCAUUUUUAUUUCUUUUACUAAACCUACCUUAGACCUCUUCUUUUAAUUUUUAAAAGCAUUAUACUAAUUUUCUAAUCUCAAAAACCUAAUUCCUAUGAAUUAAUAAUAAUUUGUGGAUAAUAAAGCAUUUUCAAGUUUUAUAUAUUUAAUAAAGUUUAAGCAUUUAUUUAAAUACCUUACACAAAAAGGCAUUAAAUAAAUACCUAAAUUUUUAUUAUUUUUCCUAGGGUUUAAGAAUUUUAAUGCAUAAAGGAAAAUAAAACAAUCCUAAUAAAAUUGGUUUCACUAAUUUUGGACACUUUUAGAAUUUCCUGGGAAUUAAAUGGUGAAAGCAGCAUUUAAUCUAUUAAUCUAACAAAGAAAACCUAAGGUUUAAUUAAAACCUCCGGCCCAAACUUUUCUCACCCAACUUGCUUCUACCCACUAUCACUUCCACCUAGGGCCCAUCUGGUUUCCUAUUCUCCUUCUUCUUUUCUUCCUUGACAAGUGGGGCCCACGGCCGAAACCUUCCCUUGGGCCGAAAAGUGGCCCGCCAACUUUUAACCCGUGACGCGUGGGCCUCUAUUCGGCAGCCUCCUCUUUGGGCCGGCUCCCCCUUCUCCUCUCUUUCUCAGUCCCGGCCGGCCCAUCUCUUCUUUUUCUUUUUCUAUCUCCGACAAUCGGCCUGCUUAAUCCGGCCCACGGCCUUUCUUUCCUCCGCCGGCCCCCUUCUUCUUUUCCACUUCACCUGGGCUGCACGGCCCACUUUCCUUUCAGGCCAAAAGUUAACCCACCGGCUCUCCCUUCUUCCUUUACCCGCACGGGCUAACUGGGCUGUCGCCUCCCCUUGGCCCAAGACGGCGUUGGCCCUCUUUUCUUUUUCUCCUACUCCCACCUGGGCCUCCUCCACCGGGACUUGGCCUCCCGGCCCAAGUUCACCGACGGCCUGCUUCCCUUCUCUUAUUACGUUGCGCAGCUAGCUGGGCCGGUACCCUUCCUUUGGCCCAAGACGGAUGGCCGGCUCUUAUCUCCCUUGCGCCCCCCCCCUCUUUUCCUUGUGGCUGGCAUGUGGGCCUCCUUUGUCAGGGGCAUCUUCCUCCCCUGGCCAAGAACAGAGGCGCGCCGGACCGGUGGGGGCUCGCCGGCCGGCGGCUCGCCGGCGACGGGGUCGGGCCGGGAAGGGACCCCCAGGCCGCGACACACCCGUGGGCGGCGGCGGCGCUCCGGGAGGUGGCCGGAGAUGGCCCCUCCACGGCGGCGGCGGCUCGGCCGGCCGUUGGCCAUGGCGGCGUAUGUUGGCGGCGCAAACGGCUUCCACAACUCACCCUACGGCUUCCACACUCUUGCAGGACGCCCCUAGGCCCGUUAAUUGAGAAGAAACAGCCGGUUUAGCAGCUUACCUCGCGGAUUGGGUGACGGCGGCCAGCGGACCGGUAUGGCGGCGACUCGGAGCUCAACAGUGAGAAGCUGGGCAACGGAGCAGCGUGGGGCGUUGAGGAGGAGCUUGCGGAACCUCGGGUGGGUGGAAUCGCAAGGAGAAGCGGCGGCGUGGGUGAAUCGGUCGGCGGCGACACUGAUUUGCUUGAACUCGGUUCUCACGGCAGAAGAGCAAAACGGCAGAGGAUUAACUGGAUGAGGGCGAGGAGGUAGCAAUACGAACUUUCACCGUGCAUGCGUGCCACCUCGACAACCUGAACGAGCGCGGACGUGGCCGUGUGCUGGCCGGUGCUUCAGAAUGCCGGCGGCGGCACGACUCUUCUGUCGCCUCUGUUAUGCUGUUCUGCUUUCUUUUCUCUUCUCAAUCUACAUGUUCAGGCCGCAAAAUUGGCAAAUCCGAACCCAAUCUCUCGAACAUUCCUUAAGCAAUCUUGUAGAUUAAUCCGAGCACUUCAAUUGAUAGAUGGGCCUCUACCCGAGAUGAGCACCCUAACAUCUAGAUUUUUGGAGCUCCAAGUUCGGCCAGGGCCUUCUGUAACUGAACCCUGUCGAUUCAGUUUCGACAGUCUUCAAAAUGUGGUCAUUUACCCUUCUUUAGCACCAAUUUGAGUAGCUCAAUUGUAUUCCAUAUAGGCCAACCACUCCCUAUUUGUGUUCUACAACUAAUAAGGAUUCCAUUUUGCACCAGAAACCAUAUAGCCUUUGCACUGGAUUUUCCUGAAAAUUGCUCCAAACAUUGCUAGUUAACACUGUCUCAGACUUAGAAUUUACGCAGCUCGAGAGUUGGCCGAAAUAGCUAGAGUGCUGACUUUGAGUUCUGAUUUAAAUUUGAUUCUUUCGCUAUCUCUGAGCAACAACACUUUAUUAAACAUGUCCAAGGAUCAUAUUUCACCGCUGUCUAGUUGCCUUUGCUCACUUACUUGAAAAAUUGGGCAGAAUUCGGUUUCAAACAUAGAUACUCGUCAUGUUUUCCAGACCUAGACUUAAUUCGGCAAGGAGCUCGAAAUCUGCUCAAUUGCUGACUUUUGGCUCCAAUUUGAAUUCAAACCUUCCACUUUCUCUGGACAACAACUAUUCAUUUACUUUCUCCAUAGUCUAUAUUACACUAAUGUCCAAAAACAUCUGCUCACUUUUAAGGAAAUUUCUCCAGAAAUUGGUCCUAAAGUCAGGUACUCAAUACCAUUUUCAGACUUAACCAAAAAUUCAGCAAAGCUGCCGAUUGUGACAAAGUGCCAACUUUAGGCCUCCAUUUGAAAUGGUUCCCUCUGCUAUUCCUGAUCAACAACACCCAAAUUUUGGAGUCCCAAGUUCAUACUUCAACAUGGUAUAGUUGUCCUGAUUUACUUAUUUGAGAAAUUCAUCAGAAUUCAAUUCCCAAAAUGGACUCUGGACUGUUUUUCUGAUUUCUUGUUUUCGGACGGUGAAUAGUAAACGUAGCUUUUCAUUUCCUUCUCCGAUUUCUUUUGAGCGUUUAGGAUCAAAUAUUACUCCAAAUUUUUGACCCUUAAGUUCUAAUCAUCUUUACACUCCCACUCUAUAUUUUCGCCGAAUUUUUCUGAAUUUCAAAUUCAAAAUUCAAAUUUCAGCCAAAUUUGACCCGAAUUUGAUUUUCGGUCAAUUCCUUUUUCUUUUCUUCUUGAAUCGCUUUCAAUUCUUCAAAGUCACUUUGAUGACUAAAAAUGGCGGGUGUUACACCCCCGGUUUUGAGGCCCAAACUGGGAAACCUGCCAGCGCGGUGGUUUUGAGGCCCAAACCAUCCAAACUGUCCAUCUUCGCUUGGACACCACGCGACCUCCUCGAUGUCGACGCAUGUCCGAUCUCUGCGAAGCCUUUAAUGCUUCCAAGUCAUCUGCUCCCGACUCCUGGGCUGCCUACUUGACUUGCCUCCGUCCUGCUUGACUCAACCGAUGCUGUCUCCAUCACCGUCAUGUUGUCUUGAUGUUCCGUGCACCAUGUGGACCACCCAUGACUCCGCCUGGACUCCUCAGGUCCAUCAGUCCGAGCCUACUCACGUUCAUCCUUCACCACCCUUGGUCCAUCGGCAUGAACCUUUCGCUUGACCUUCACCACAUGCCAUUGGCCAUCACAUGGAAUCCUACACCUGCAAAUCACAAGCCAAGAAUAACAUCAAACCAACACAACAUUUUCAGUCACUCAUCAUCCAAGGAUGACCACCAUUGGUCCUCACUUGUCAAAAGUUCAUUGGUCAUGAUCGGGGCAUAAGUACGGAGCCUCUUCUUUGGCUCGCAUGAUACUUGGGUCAACUUUGACAGUGAAUGGAGGCAUGCCACCAAACUUAUCAUAAUCAUCUGACUGGUCUAUUUUGUCCUCGACUCCCACGAUUUUUCUUUUACCUAGAAGAACUAUGUGGCACUUUGGCUCCCAUGGCUCUUCUGAAUUUUUCUUGGGUUUGCUAGACAUAUCCUUCACAUAGAAAACCUGAUGCACAUCAUUGGCAAAAAUGAAUGAUUCAUCAUUGUAGGUUAGGUCCACUAUCAGGAUUUCGUACUGAUCUUUCGUUAUGCCACCUCCAGUUAGCUUCACCCAUUGGCAACAAAACAGAGGGAUGUUCAACGGUCCGUAUUCGAGUUCCCAGAUCUCCUCUAUGAAACCAUAAUAUGAGUCCUUGCUCCUGUUGUUGUCUAUGGCAUCUAUGCAGACACUAGUAUUCUGGUUGGUGCUUUUCUGGUCUUGAGCUCUUGUGUAAAAUGUAUAACCAUUUAUCUCGUAACCUUGGAAUUUCACAAUUGUGCUAGAAGGUCCCCUAGCUAACCAAGCGAGUUGUUCGGAGUUACCCUUAAGGUGUUGAAGCAACCAAGAGGAAAAAAUAUCCAUGUGAUGACGUAUAAUCUAGGCACCAGAUUUUGUCAAGUAUUGGGAAAAUAGAAUCUGCUUUUGUUCCUUGAUAUAUGGAGCCACAAAGGAUGAUUAUUGUAGAACAGUGAAGUGUGCUUUGUCGAAAAAAUCAGUACCAUUGCUCAAACUUGAUUUCCUUCCAAGGGUCCCCGUUCCCUGUAGACUCCCCUCGUGGUAUGAUGUUGGAACCCCAAUCAAAUUAAUUGAGUCAAUAAAAUCAACACAAAACUUAAUGACCUCCUCUGUUUGAUAUCCCUUGGCGAUGCUUCCUUCUAGAUGGGCACGAUUAUGAACAUAGUUUUUUAGGACUAACAUGAACCCCUCGAAAGGCCACAUAUUGUGCAGGAAUACUAGACCAAGAAUAGUAAUAUCUUUGACUAGGUGAACCAGGAGGUGUGUUGUAAUAUUGAAGAAGGAUGAUGGAAAUAUCAACUUAAAGCUGAUAAGACAUUGUACCACAUCAUUCUGUAGCUUUACUAGCUUGGUUGGAUCGAUUGCCUUCUGCGAAAUCGCAUUGAGAAACGCGCAUAGCUUUAUGAGCACCAAUUGUACAUUCUCUGGUAGAAUACCCCUCAGUGCAACCGGAAGCAACUAGGUCAUCAGCCUGUGGCAGUCAUGGGUCUUGAGAUUUAUGAACUUUUUUCUUUCAUAUUUAUUAUUCCUUUAUAUUCGAGGUGUACCCAUACCGAGCCUUGAUACUAUUCAUGCAUUCAAACAUGCUAUCCUUCUCAUCCUUGCUGAGAGUAUAACUGGUAGGACACAAGUAGUGCUAUCCAUUAUCUCUCUUUUUUGGAUGUAGGUCAUCUCGUUGCUUCAUACGUUUCAGAUCCUGUCGUGCCUCCAAUGUAUCUUUUGAGUUCCCAUAAACAUCUAUGAAGACUAGCACGUUCACCCAAAAAUUCUUCGUCAGGUGCAUCAUGUCUAUUGCGUUAUGAACCUCUAGGAUUUCUCAAUAAGAUAGCUCCCAAAAUAUAGACUUCUUCUUCCAUAUGGGUGCACGUCCGUUAUCAUUGUUCAGAACAGGUUCGCUACCAAGACCAUUUCCAAAAACUAUCCUUACAUCCUUUAUCAUCUCAAAGAUACACUUUCCAUUACAGUGUGCAGGUUUUUUAUGAUGGUCUGGCGCCCCUUUGAAAUGCAUCCUUUUCUUUCUUAACGGGUGGUUAGCAGGGAGAAAUUGAUGAUGACCCAUAUACAAGACCUUUCUACAGUGUUUCAAAUAUAUGUUAUUUGUGUCAUCUAAACAGUUAGUGCAGGCCCGAUAUCCCUUUCUUGUCUGUUGUGAAAGGUUGUAGUAUUUAGUUCUUGCAUUAAACAUGAGAUAAAUAAAUUAUUUGUCAAAGAAAAUACAAUUAUUGUUAAAUUAUAUUGACAUGAAAAAUUGUAGCAAUGACCAAAUUCUAUUUUCUUACACGUACAAUUUAUUUACCUUAAUUUUAUUGCAAUGACUAAAUAUUAAAAACACAUUUACUCUAUUUUUUUCUCAUACCUAAUAUUGAUCAAGUUCUGCUAACUGAUACGAAUCAGAUAUAACAAGCAAGCCAUCCAUCAAAUUCUAGCUCAAAAACAUGUAUAAAUAAAAAUCCUCUCCAUUCUCCCUCAUUCUAAAAAACUCAUUUUUCUCCCUCUCUAAAUCAUAAAACAAAGCAUAAUAACAAUAAAUGAAGGGAGGAUGAAGUAGCUAAUCUUCACAACACUUUGGAUGAGUGAAAUCCCCAUGGAAAUAAGGAAAAAAAUUUGGCCAGCACCUCCCCUAAUGUUGCUUGCUCGCCAUGGAGAGGAGGCAAAGUGUCUCUGGUGGAGUGGAGUGGCUCAGGCUGGGGGAGGAAGAAGAGCUCUUGGUCUGGUAAUUUUAUAGGGGAGGAGAUUUUGUCUUGGUAGGAAAUUCCAACCGGGACAAAAUACCACCCCUUUUCUCCCUAUUUGUGGUUUUGUCCUGGUUGGAAUUGCCAACCGGGACUAAACCUUUUGUUCUAAUUGGGAGGUCUUUUAUCCUGAUUGGAGUUUCCAACCCAGACAAAAGGGGGGGCGGCGUCGGUGCGAUAUUUCUGACUGUUACAACAAGGACUAAAGGGAGGGGCUUUAGUCCCCGUUGGUAUUUACAACCGGGACUAACCCCCCCCCCCCUCCCGCCUCCGGUGGCCUUCGAUGGCACAUUUUUGACCUGGGACCAAAGCCACUUUAGUGACGAGUCCAAUGUUAACCGGGACUAAAGGGGCUGGAUGUCAGGUCAGCUCUCCAGUAGUGUACUCAAGUUCAACCAAGCAACUGGGAUGCUUGCGUCACCCCACCGUCGCCCCUCCACCGACGACCGCCCCUGCUGUGCUGCCACCCAAGUGGGUCGUCGGAAGCCCGUGCAGCCCACGAUGAGGGUGGCGGCGGGGCACCUUCCCUCUUCCUCAGGUGGAUCUAAGCGGGCGCGGCCACCAAGCCGCCGAGGGGACUUGCUGGCAUGGGCGGUGUCCCACAACGACGGAGAUUGGGUGGCCACAGAUCCGACACCGUGCUGGCCAAAUCCAGUGGCUAGGCGACUGGUGCGCCCCUGUGGCGGUGGCGGUGGUGGUGAACCGCGGUGAUGAUGUCCGGGCGGCCAUGGAUCCAGCCUAGCGCUGGCCGGAUCCGGUGGCUGUGCAACCGGAGCGACCCAAGGCAGUUGCGGCGGCCACUGGCGGCGUUUCGAUGGUGCGUGAGGAGGGCGACGACCGGGGAGGGGGCAUAACGCACUGCGCGGCGCCAGCCCAGACAGACGCGAGUGGAGAGCUGGCUGCGGCAGGUGCAGCCCCGUGCAUCCCCGAGGUGGUGGAGUCAUUGGCAGUGGCCAGCUGCGUGUCCUCCUGUGUCUUCAACGGUGGCGGUGUGGUGUCACGGCUGAGGUCGUCUGCGCAAUGCGUGUUAGCGACACCAUGGAGGCACGGCAGGGACGCCUGGCAUAGGUGCAUACUUGUGGCACUGAGGUGGUGCUGCAGGCGUUGACGGGCCACCUUCUCCUCGAUUGAGGAGUUACAGAGGCAGUGACGGGAGAGGGAGGUGACUGGGCACUGGUGAACGAUCGCAUGACGACGCAUGGGCGUAAGGUGGCGAUGCCCCGAGGAGACGCUCGACGACGCUUGUGAGGACUAGGGUACAGCUGCGUGAUGCAUGAAGGCGUGGCGGCAAAUGAGCGGAGGUGGAGGUACGGUAGCGUGGUGCAUGGUGGAGUGGCGGCGACGCCACCCCGAAUGGGCUACCAUGAUCAUGGUGACAAAAGAAACGGAUCCGUGACAUGGGGUAUUGUGGCGGGCAUGGUGAGGCCCCGCAUGUGGUGUUUUUCUUCGAGGCGAUGAGAGCGAAGUGGAGCCCAACGGCAGAUGUGGCGAGGCCCCCGCAUGUUGUGUUAUCAUGGUGUCGACUGCGUGGCUACCUGCGAGAGGUCCGGAUUCGGUGGUAUCACUCUGUCAGUUGGAGUGUGGUGUUGCAGCGGCACUACAGCAGAGGGUACCACAUGACAGUGGCUUUCUCAGUGCGGUGCAGCGUGCUCUAUCGGUUCCUGUCGACGCAUGGCGACGCCUGGAGGUUUUGACAAAUAUAUGAGCGGUGGGUGCCAUGCUAAAAGCUUCGGUUGUGCUGCCGUGGCGAGUGGAGUAGUGAGGCCGCGUUGACGUCCUAUUCUUACCGGUCGGGAGUGGCGGUUGAGUCGAGUAGUUACCCGUGUUGAUGUCCUAAUCCAACCGGGCGAGUCUUUUUUGUUUUUCUUUUUUUCCUGCCUAUGGCCUCUCAGAGCUGUAGUCUUAUAUUUUUCUGCUAUAUUAAUGAAACACGCACUAUCUUGUGGGGUCGGUUGAAAAAGAAUAUACAGUUAAGCAUAAAAAGAUGAUUUCAGAAAAUGCAGAAUGCAUCAUUCAGAACAGCACAGCAAGUUCAGAAACGGUCAGUGGCAAAAAGAUUAGAACUAAUCAAAUGUAUCCUGCAUUCCCACUUCAGUUGAUCUGAAGUCGACUAGGAAUUAACCUGGCGAGUUGCACAUAAUAACUAACCGAUUCGCGGAAUUUUCAAUGCAGAAAACUCGAUUCAGAGGCAAGAAUAAAGGAAAUCGUGAGAUGAGUAUUUCUCUCGCGCUUGACUGGAUGCUUGGCUUGCUUGGGUGGCAGUGGGGGUUGCGUUGGUGAGUGGUCUCUCUCUUAAGUGAUCCGGUAAAAGUCCUUGUAAAACUAGUUAUAUAACAUAUUCAAUCCAUCCAUCCCGAGUUGCAGUUGACUUUAGUUGUAUUAAAUAUCUAUCUUUAAACAAAUUUAUACAAAAGAAUUGGCAUCCGUAACGCUAAAUUAUUUUUAAAAAAAUCACCAUGAAAUGUGUUUUAAUUAUUCAUUAAUCGGUAUUGUAGAUAUUAUUAUAUUUUUUAAUAGCACCAAAGAUGAACAAUUUAGAUGCAAAUUUGGAGAGCUACUUGAGAUUCCAUUUUGCAAUGGGUGUAUAAUUUAGACAAAUAUUAGUGGUUAAUUUGAUUUAUUUUUUAAAAUGGUAGAGAUGUCCAAUUUAAAUAUAGAUAGAGGUUACUUUAGACUAGUUUCACAAGAAGUAGCGGAUAAUUUGUAAGAAAAGAUAAAAGAUUAAAGAACUAUUAAUAUCAAUGAUUUAUAGGUUCAGAACCCGCCCGCGGUCGCCAUGAGCUCCGCCUGACCUGAACACGACAUGGUCGAGCUGGCAGAUGGUUCGCCCCGACGCAUCCUCCAUCACGUGGCACCUCGAUGUGGGGCUUGGAUCUCUAGCCUUGUGAUGUUGUGGUUGCAUCCGUGUCUCUGUCCAGUUCCUGCCCGACCUCAAGUCCUCAACAGGGGAGUAGUGUUGAUAGUAUUGAUGCACGAGUUGUUGGCUCUGCCGAUCAGGUGACUCCUAGUUGGACUCGGACUCUUACGCAUCUCGUUAUACAUAGAAGAAGGUGCCGUUGGCAAACGCCAAUCGAGGACGUCACGAUGGAUGCACACCAGCAACAGAAGAGUACACAGGCGUCGGCGAGGAAAAGAUCCAUUGUUACACCACCUUACAAUGGCCGGAGACAGCUCGCCUUCAGGAUCCGCCGGCGAGGCUUCACCUUCGAGGGCGGGCCGAGCUUGCUGAUCAUCGACCGCGACGGCAUCUGGUCCGUCGCCCACCGGCGCUACAUCCGGACGACGCGCCACCGCCGGUUCCACGGCCUGAAGGCGGAGCUCGACCCCGUCAGAGCAGGCCACGAGGCGUGGGUCCGCAGGUUCGGGCUGGACACGUGGCCGCAGUACGCCCAGGACGAGGACCUCCAGUCCCUGCGCCGGAAGCUGGCGGGCUUCUACUGGGGCGUCAUGCCGGGGGCCGAGAAGAGGAGGACGGUGAGGUUCUACCGUAGCCGGCGGCGGCGGCGGCGCGCCGCGUGCUUCGCCGCCGCGGUGGUGUGCCUGGCCGUGGCUGGUUUCGUGCUGCUGAGGCUGGUGAUGAUGGGAUUCUGCGGCGUGAGGGUGGGCCUGGUCCUGGGCUCGGGGUACCUUGUCGCGGCGUACCUGCUGGAUAGGGCGUGGCAUACGUAUGAAGUAUGAACCCUAGUCUACGAAAUAACGAAACUGUGUUCCAUUGAUAUUAUAUUGCACCUUUAAGUUUGUGAAAAUCUUGCCACAUUUCCCAUAGAUAGCUAUCACCGCCGACUUGUAAUUCGGCCCGGCGGUGAAACCAGAGUCUCGGAUCCGAAAUUUUUAUGUGAUACGGUUUUGAGACGCUAUCGUCUGGCGCGAGCCCCCUAUCCUGCCUCGCCCCCACCCCUCCCGGAAUCUCCUCCCCCUCUCCCUCCCUUCUCUUCCUCUCUCAACCUCCUCUACCCGGUCCCCCUACCCCUCCCCCUCUCUUUCGCUCUCAGCCUCCUCCGUCCGGUCUUCUCCUAUCUCCAUCACGGAUCUCUCAUGUCUCCUCCUCUCUCCCCGUCCCGGAUCUCCACGAAGGGGAUGAGGUACGGAGGCAGCCAAGGUGCAAGGCUGCUGCCCCUCAGUUGACGCUCAUUAUUGCCACCUUUUUAAUGCUAUUUAAGUGGUAUUUUAGACUAAAUCUUAUACUAACCCGCAACUUGGUACCUGAAAUAACCUCAUAUUCGCAUAUGUAUUGUGUUUUGAACCAUAUUGCAAAAUUAGAGGAAAUACGACAUAAAGUGGGGGUUUUUGUAAAAGUUGGAUUUGGAUCCAAACUUUGGAUAUUGAAAGACAAAAUCAAGAAUAUUGGACAGCAGACCCGCAGGAGCAGCUGAAUUUGCAUGGGUCAUAUCUUCCUCAUCCGAACUCUGGUUAGGGUGAAUUUGGUGAGAACAUUGCAUGGCUUGAAAAGAUCUGCAACUUUCGUAUGGAGCACUUGGACGUUUGAGGCUUGUAGGGGGCAGGUCGAUCGGCUCAAGAGGCCUAUGUUGAUCGGCCUGGCCCUUUUCUGAGUUGGUUCGACGUGCCCUUCGUCCCAUGGCACCUCUAGCCUAUAAAUAUCUCCAUUCUUCAUCGGCAUACAUAUCCAUCCACCAGAACUUGAUGAAACCUAGGGCAUUCACCAGAGGAAUCUCUUUUGAAUCUUAAGCCAAAGCCCUGGCAGCGCCUCCUUUCUCUCUCUAAAUCUCUAAUCCAAGACAUGCAUCUCCAAAUCCAACACCGCAGCAGAGCACCACAUGUUUGAUCGAUGUUGUGGCUUCGAUAGAGAAGGAAUAAUGUAGCUGUUGGUUCCAUCGCGUUGGAACCGAGCGAUCAGCCUGCGCUAUUGAGCUGGCAGUGGCACCGGCUGACUAGCAGCAGGGCAUGCCGGCCUUCGCUCCUCCCUCAUCGCCACAGGCCCACAGCUGCAUAUGUGUUUGCUUUGCUUUAGUACAGAUACCGUUCUAGAAGAAGGUGCUGAUCAGCUGAUGCAUAUGCAUUUGCUUCAGUCGACAUGCUAUUUCACGGCAGGUCAAUAAGCAAAAUCAGUCCUCUUUAGUUGGAAUGCGCAAAGAAUGGCGUCCCCUUUGGAAUGAGAAUUUUCUCAGUUAAGCAGUGACCUAAUUACGCAGUUGCUACAAUCUAGGCAUGCACGAUUAUUUUUCCUCAUGUAAAGAUCAAAAUGAUACCGUUUUCAAUUUGUCUCGUCCCAAGACAAUUGACUAUGACUAUUUUGAGGAAACAAUUUAAGAAUUUAAGAUAAUUUAUAUGAUUGUAAUUAUAUAGAAUCUUUAUUCGUGAAGAAGAUGUUACAGGGAGUACUAUCAUCAAACCAGACUCAACCUUUCUGCUAACUCAUGCAGCAUAUAUUUUAUAUUAGAAGUGUUACAAUUUCUCUAGCUUCAAAAUUUCAUGUUUCACAUCCUUUAGAAUCCAAUCAAGUGACACUGUCCAACACUCAAAAGGGCACCCUAGCGAUGCACUGGCUAACCCAACGGUCGAAAAUUUGGUGGGGACGGUCCCCAAACCAGUCUCCAUGAGGACCAGCCUUGGAUGGCCGACGCGUGGACAUCCCAGCAAUCCGGGGCCUGCUUGCCCCUGCUCGCCCGGCUCCCAACCGCGACACGAGGACAUGGCGCUCGCCAUCGUACGCGCUAGACCCGGACGUGCUCCCGGCCUUCGUAUCGGCUGUCUCGGACGCGCACCCCCACCGACAGGACAUCGCGCACGGCGUCCCACCAGCGCAGCACCGUGGCCCCGCUCGUCCCACAAAUCAACGCCGACGCGCUCGGCCGCGUGCGCGAUCAGGGCUCAUCUGUCAGUGCCACACUCGUUGACACCACGCACUCCGGCCUGGCGGCCUGUGAGGGACGCCCUACUCAUGCAAGUCAACAUCACGCCUGAAGCCGAGCCUACACGAGCGCCUGCCAAGAGCCAGCGAACUGCAUGUUAAUUCGAUCCGAUGGAUAGGUCUGCACAGAAACAACUCUGGGGACCAUCACGAUUGAAUUUUCUUCCCAGAUAUCCUACUUAAUGAUCUUUGAUGCUGACCCUGAACGUCUAGUUCGCUUUGGGCUACCUUCCUUCUACCCGCGCACUUCUUUCUCGGUACGCUCAAAUUUCUAAGCCCUCGGAUUUGAAACAAACGGUUGAGAUCAACUUCUCUUCCUCCUUUUAUCUUCUAACUUGGACAUUCUUAUCCACUCAUCAACGUUGCCCGCACUUUCUCCUCCUUCUCCCACUCAUAAGCUGGAGUCGAAGAUGAACGUCGCGCCCUCUUCAAACACGACGGUGGGCUUAAUGAUGACUGAAGCCAUUGAGUUCGCCAGCGGAUCUUUAGCGAGAUCCCCUACCUAGCACGCCAGUUGUCAGUGUUUAGACUUGGCAACCUACUGAGGGGGUACUCGAGGUAGUGUUUUGUGCAUGGGGCUCGCCGAAUACUAGGAACUCGAAGUUGAACUCAAACACACCACUACUAGAAAAAUGAGCAUUCAUCCCGAGGCUUAGUACCGGUUGCAUUUUGGCUCAGUACUAAUGUAAGCAUUAGUAGUGGGCCUAACAGCUAGUCCCCAAGGGUCCGCCCGUGAGGCCCUUUAGUACCGCUGCACAUUUGUACUGGUUGGUGCCCCCAACCGGUACAAAUGCGCCACCCACCCAUUAGUACCGGUUCGAGGCACCAACCGCUACUAAUGUGCCACCCCCCUUUAGUACCGGGUGGGAGCACCAACCGGUAUUAAAGUUCCUCCUAUAAAUCCCCUCCUUCUUCCUUCUGCCCGAGAUAUUUCCUCUAGCUCAAGCUUCACCCUAUCCAUGGCGAAAUAGGGGGAGGUGCUGCCGGAUUUGUGACCAUUUGUAUGGGGAUUCCACUCAUUCAAGUGUUCUAAAGAUUAGAAACUUCAUCAGCCCUUGAUACAUGGUUAGUAUAGUAAGUUUUAUACUUUAGAGCUAGUAGUUUAUGAUUUUUAGAAUAAGAUAUAAUGGAGAAAUUUUUCAUUCAUAUGAAUGUGUUAUUUAUAGCUCAUAUUUCUUUUUUUAAAUAUAUGCACCAUUUUGUAUAGGAAAUUGUAGGAAAUCAUGUUAACUUAGAAAAACUUCUUGAAGUAGCUAGAAUUUAUAUAAAAUCAUGUUAAUUCUUAGAAAUGUAUAAAAUAAGUGAAAAUUACAUCAUGUUAAUUUAGCAUUUAUGUUAUAAAAUUGUAGAAAAUAAUGUUUAUUUCUCGCUAAUUCAAGAAUUUUUCUAUAUUCUCUAGCUAAUUCACCAUUUUUACUACAAUUUCUAUUUAAUUCAUAUACUGCAGAAAUAGAAAAAGAAUUAACCACAGCUCAAGCUUCACCCUAUCCAUGACGCCAUAGGGGAGGUGCUGCCAGAUUUGUAACCAUUUCUUGGGGAUUUCACUAAUUCAAGUGUUCUAAUGGUUAGAAACUUCAUCCUCCCUUGAUACAUGGUUAGUAUACUAAGUUUUACGCUUUAGAGCUAGAGUAAUUUGUGAUUUUUAGAAUAAGGUACAAUGGUGAAAAUUUUCAUUUACAUGAAUGUGUUAUUUAGAGCUCAUAUUUAUUUUUUUUAAAUAUAUGCACCAUUUUCUAUAGGAAAAUGUAGGAAAUCAUGUUAACUUAGAAACAAAUUCUUGAAGUAGCUAGAAUUUAUAUAAAAUCAUGUUAAUUCUUAGAAAUGUAUAAAAAUAAGUGAAAAUUACAUAAUGUUAAUUUAACAUUACGUUACCAACUUGUAGAAAAUAAUGUUCAUUUCUCGCUAAUUCAAGAAUUUUCUAUAUUCUCUAGCUAUUUCAACAUUUUUACUAAAAUUUCUAGUUAAUUCAUCUACUGCAGAAAUAGGAAAAGAAUUAACCAUAGCUCAAGCUUCACCCUAUCUGUGGUGCCAUAGGGGAGGUGUUGCCAGAUUUGUGACCAUUUCUUGGUUAUUUCACACAUUCAAGUGUUCUAAUAGUUAGACACUUCAUCCUCCCUUGAUACAUGGUUAGUAUACUAAGUUUUAUGUUUUAGAGCUAGAGUAAUUUGUGAUUUUUAGAAUAAGGUACAAUGGCAAAAUUUUUCAUUUAUAUGACUAUUAUUUAGAGCUCAUAUUUGUUUUUUUAAAUAUAUGCACCAUUUUGUAUAGGAAGUUGUAGGAAAUCAUGUUAACUUAGAAAAAAAAUUCUUGAAAUAGCUAGAAUUUAUAUAAAAUCAUGUCAAUUCUUAGAAACGUAUAAAAAUAAGUGAAAAUUACAUCAUGUUAAUUUAGCAAUUAUGUUAUCAAAAUGUAGAAAAUAAUGUUCAUUUCUCGCUAAUUCAAGAAUUUUUCUAUAUUCUCUAGCUAUUUCAACAUUUUUACUAAAAUUUCUAGCUAAUUCAUAUACUGUAGAAAUAGGAAAAGAAUUAACAUGAUUUCAGUUUAAUGAUAUUUUUUUCAUAUUUUUUAUGUUUCAUUUAUAACUGUAUGGAUGAUCAGAAUAUCUUUGGUUCGGUAAUAUUUUGUAGAUGGAUGGACAAUGGAUGUACAACGCAGACAAACGUUCCAUGGAGUAUAUUAGUGGCUUGCGUGAUUUUAUCGAUCAGGCAAAAUCCAACAAGCUAUGGUUCGGUUUCAUUUGUUGUCCAUGCAGAAAUUGCAUAAAUAAGAAGGAUUACUCAUCCAAAAAGACUAUUCACGCCCACAUAUACAGUUCUUGAUUCAUCCCUAACUAUUUUGUUUAUAUCAAGCACAGGAAAAGAGGAGUUAUGAUGGAUGAUGAUGAUGAAGAAGAAGAUGAAAACAUUCCUGAAUGGAUUCAAGGAAGUGCCUUUGUAGAUGCUCAAAUGGGCGAGGCAGAAGAUCCUAUCGAUGAUCUAGGUCAGGUGUUGCGAGAUUCAAAGGAAGACUGCGAGAAUGUGAACGAGUCAAAAUAGUUCGAGCAUAUGUUAGAUGAUCAUAAGAAAUUGUUGUACCCAGAUUGCAUACAAGAGCACAAAAAGUUGGGUACCACACUGGAAAUGCUGCAAUAGAUGGAAAAAAUGGAGUUUCUGACAAGGGUUUUGAUGAGUUAAUGAAAAUCAUAAAGAACAUGCUUCCCGAGGGGAACAAAUUGCCAUCCUCAACGUACGAAGCAAAAAAGGUUGUUUGCCCUUUGGGUUUGGAGGUACAAAAUAUACAUGCAUGUCCUAAUGACUGUAUCCUCUAUCGCGGUGAGGAAUACAAGAAAUUGGAGGCUUGUCCUGUGUGCAAAGCGCUGCGUUAUAAGAUCAGGCGAGAUGACCCUAGUGAUGUUCAGGGGCAUGCCACCAUGAAGAAAGUUCCUGCAAAGGUAAUGUGGUAUAUCCCUAUAGUACCACGGUUGAAGCGUUUGUUCAGAAACAAGGCACAUGCAAAGUUGAUGCGGUUGCACAAAGAAGAACGUAAGCAAGAUGAAAUGAUCAGACACCCCGUUGAUGGCUCCUAGUGGAAAACAGUUGAUAGAGAAUUUCCCGAGUUUGAAAAGGAUGCAAGGAACAUACGGUUUGGUUUAAGUACAGAUGGAUUCAAUCCAUUCGGUGAGUUCAGUAGUGGUCAUAGCACUUGGCCUGUGACCUUAUGUAUGUUCAACCUUCCGCCUUGGAUGUGCAUGAAGCGGAAGUUCAUUAUGAUAUCGAUAAUUAUCCAAGGCCCAAAAUAAACUAGCAGCAAUAUUGAUGUUUACCUAAGACCGUUGGUUGAUGAACUUAUACUAUUAUGGAAGAAAGAAGGUGUACGUGUGUGGCAUGAGGACAAAAAUGAGACUUUUAAUCUACGAGCAUUGUUGUUCAUAACCAUCAACGAUUGGCCAGCGCUUGGUAACCUAUCCGGACAAUCAAACAAGGGAUUUCGAGCCUGCACACACUGGUUAGAUGAUACUUGCAGCAUGUAUUUGAAACACUAUAGGAAGGUCGUGUAUACGGGCCAUCAUUGAUUUCUUCCUGCUAAGCACCUGUUAAGAAAGAAAUGGAAGCAUUUUGAAGGAGAGGAAAAAAUGUACUAAGCCCGUUCACCGUAAUGGUAAACGUGUAUUUUCUAUGAUAAAGGAUGUGAGGAUAGUCUUUGGCAAGGGCUCUGGAAACCAACCUGUUCCGAACGACGAGGAUGGAAAUGCACCCAUGUGGAACAAGAAGUCUAUAUUUUGGGAGCUAGCUUAUUGAGAAGUCCUUUAGGUCCGUAAUGCAAUUGAUGUGAUGCACCUGAUGAAAAAUCUUUGUGUGAAUGUGCUUGGCUUCCUGGGUGCAUAUGGAAAGGCAAAGGAUACAAUUGAAGCACGUCGGGACCUGAAACGUAUAAAACAACGAGAUGGCCUACAUCCGGAAAAGACAGAUGAUGGGUAUUACUUGCAUCCUGCCAGUUACACUCUCAGCAAGGAAGAGAAGGAAAACAUGUUUGAGUGCUUGAAUAGUACCAAGGUCCCAUCGAACUACUCCUUAAAUAUAUAGGCAUUAAUAAAUUUUAAACAAAAGAAAUUCAUAAAUCUAAAGGCUCAUGACUGCCAUGCCCUGAUGACACAAUUGCUACCUAUUGCAUUGAGGGGUAUUCUACCAGAGAAUGUGAGAAUGACAAUUGUGAAGCUAUGUGCAUUUCUCAACAUGAUUUCUCAUAAGGCAAUCCAUCCAAAAAAUCUACUAAAGCUGCAGAAUGAUGUGGUGCAAUGCCUUAUCAGCUUUGAGAUUGUCUUUCAACCUUCCUUCUUUAAUAUCAUGACCCACCUUCUAGUACACCUUGUUGAAGAGAUUUUUGUUCUCAGUCCUCUAUUUCUUAAUAAUAUGUGCCCUUUCGAGAGGUUUAUGGAAAUUCUGAAGAAGCAUGUUCGUAACCGUGCUCGUCCGAAAGGAAGCAUCACAAAAGGAUAAGGAAUAGAGGAGGUCAUUGAGUUUUGUAUUGACUUUAUUGAUGACCUGAGUUCGAUUGGAGUCCCUAUAUCACGCCAUGAGGAGAGACUGAAGGGAAAGGGCACACUAGGGAGGAAAGUUUGGAUGGACAUUGAUAAGGAUACAUUUCAUAAAGCACACUUCACGGUCCUGCAACAAUUAUCCCUGGUCACUCCAUAUAUGGAGAGCACAGGGCUAUUGUACGGUCCUCAAACAAAUGGAAGACUGAGGCGUGGAUUACACGUCAUCACAUUCACACUUUCACCUCUUGGUUGCGACGACAACUGAUGGGUGAUGAUAAAAUUGAAGAACAACUAGCAUGGUUGGCUAGGGGUCCAUCUAUCUCAGUAUCGAUAUUCCAAGGAUACAGGAUAAAUAGGUACACAUUUUACACCAGAGGCCAAGAUCAAAAGAGCACAAACCAAAAUAGUGGUAUCUAUAUAUAUGCAAUAUACAACAAUGGAAAAAAAGCUAGAUACUAUGGUGUCAUUGAGGAGAUAUGAGAACUCGACUAUGGAUCUUUGAAAAUCCCUCUGUUUUGGUGCCAAUGGGUGAAACUUACUGGAGGAGGCAUAACGACAGACAACUAUGGGAUGACACUAGUAGACCUCAACAAGAUUGGAUAUAGAGAUAAACCAUACGUCCUAGCCAUUGACGUGACUCAAGUUUUCUACAUGAAGGACAUGUCAAGCAAACCAAUAAGGAAGGGUGCUAAUAAGUCAGAUGACCAGCCAAAGCGCCACAUAGUUUUUCCAGGGAAUUGAAAAAUUGUUGGAGUUGAGGAAAAGACUGACAUUUUAGAAGAUUAUGAUCGGUUCGAUGAUCUUCCUCCAUUUUCAGUCGAGGUUGAUCCAAGCAUCCCGUUAGCCAAAGAGGACACUCCAUACUUACGCCACGAUCACAACCAAGGGAUGUUCAUCAAAAGGAGGGUUAUUAACAUCCCAUUAGAUGAUGUUGGGUAAUGUAUUUGAACCAUUAUGUUGUGUUUUUGGUUAUCAACAAAGAAAUUAAUGUAAUACCCUUAAUUAUGAAUGGUUAGAUCUUGUUUAUACUUUAUACCACUAGGUGAUGGUAUUGUGCACCGUAAAAGAGAUCCUAGUUUAUAAACAAAAGUAAAAAAGAAUAAAUGUAAGAACCUUUGUUGCCCAAGCAGGGCUGGCUUUAGUUGUAGAGUUAAAUUGUCUGGUCAAUUCGUCACUCUGCAUUUGACAUUGCUUAAGCACAUAUCUCUGCAUUUGACCUCGCUUAAAGACUUGGCUCUGUGUUUGACCUUGCUCAAGCACAUCUCUCUGCAUUUGACCUAGCUUAAAGACUUUGCUUUGCAUUUGAUCUUGCAUUUCUUAUGGACAUAGAUGGCCUUUGAUAAGUUGCCCUCUUCAAUGGACACAAGUCUUCCUUUUAGAUAAUAUACCAUCGGACCAUGAAUCUGAAAUAGGAGGAAAACAAUGCCAGUGUGAUGCAAUAGAUGUUACAUAAUGUAAACUAUAUUACCUCCUCAUUCGUUCUAAACGAAUGGCAGAAAAUGCAUUCAUCUUCGAAUAAGUUGAUUGGAGUUAGCAAUCUCUUCAAUUCAGUAGUACCUCCAAUUCGAAUAAGUUGAUUGAACAAUACUAUUUGCAAAAAUCUCACCCUAUUAAACAUGAACUGAUUUUUGCAUGGUUAAAAUAUUAAAUAUUUCAAUUUUUUUAGCACCAUUAAAUAUUAAACAAAAAAUUUACGUACCUAAACAAGUACAUGAUUAAAUCAUGAUAAACAUGUUAAUAACACUACAGGCACUAUUCUUCUAAUUUUUGCAUGGUCAAAAUAUUUAUUUUUUUGAAUUUUAAAGUUACCAUAUGUAUUAUGACCAUUAUAACCUAUUACUAAGUUAAAAUCAAUAACUUUACCAUGUUUGAUAUUUGAUCGCAUCUGACAUUUUUAUAGUGUAUAACUAAUAAACAUGAAGCUACCAAAUUGUUUUUCCAAUUUUUAUGAAUGUUAUUUGAUUUACUACGCAAUAAAUUAAUACAAUAGCAAUUGUAAAAGAAAGAAAAAUAAAAAGAUGUUUGGGUGGGAAACUAAAACAGGAGUAUGCAACCCCUUUAGUACCAGGUGGUGGGAACCCGGUACUAAAGGCCUCCCCUUUAGUACCGGGUGUUCCCACGCCUUUAGUACCGGGUGUUCCCACCACCUGGUACAAAAGGGCCUUUAGUAUCGGCUCCCCUUUUUGCCCAGUACUAAAAGGGGAGGGGGUUUAAGGCUGGCGCCCCUUCUUCUCCCUCAACACUUAGGCGCAUUUUGCACGUCCUCCUCUCGCUCGAUCCGCCACCGUCGCCUCCUCGCUUCAUCUGCUGCUGCUGUGCCCCCUCAUCGCCAUUGUUGUCUCGCCGCGUGGGCCCCUCCUCACCUCAUCGUCGCCCGACUCUGCCACCUCGGGUCCCCGCGCCCCCCGUCGCCACCCUGUCGUUGCCACCUCCACGUCACUGUCGGUGUCUUAGACCGGCAACUCGCCUAGGGGGUACCCUAUGUGGUCUUUUGUGGAGUAAGGGCCGUCGAGAAUCAAGGAGUCGAUGGUGAUGCAAGGAACACGAUUUAGACAGGUUCGGGCCGCUAGAUCGUAUAAUACCCCACGUCCUGUAAGUUGGUUGUAUUGAUCUUAGAUGUACUGGAGUUGUCCUUGAGGGGGGUCCCUGCACACCCUUAUAUACACGGGAGGGCAGGGUUACAAGUCUGAAUCCUAGUUGAGUACAAUUACAGAGUUCUACUCGGUAUGGUCCGAGUAGUUUCCAUAUACAUACUUAACUAGUCCGAGUGGGAUAAGCCUAUCCCCUUGUCUUGAUCAUGUCCGAGUACAUCCCUUAAUGGGUCAUUCAGGGCCUACUCGUAGGCCUGGGGUGCAUGCCCGACAAGCCCCCGAGUACUUUGUAGUCGUGCGCCACAGUCUCAAGUACUGUGGGCACCAUUCGAGUACUUCGUAGAGGCUGUAGUGUCCAAAGUGCUCGAGUACUAUCGCAUGGCUGGAAGGUAAUCUUCUUGUUCCUUUGAGUUGCUUCUAUUCCAAGAAUUUUAUGGUAGUGCGAUGACAAUCGCACUCCAUAUGGAGUAGCCCCCGAGCCUUAGGUUGAGUCAAAGAGUCAGGCUUAGGGUCAAUCCUGCUUCUUGGCUAUUUUACUCUGGUAAUCUAAAAAAGAAAAUUCUGAUCAUCAGGUACAAUACCCGCAGCCCCCGAGCACUUAGGCGAUUUUUUGUCGAUGAAGUGGUCAAAACCUGUUGAUAGGAGUAGCCGUUGGGUGUUAUGGUAAUAAAUCUAUUUCAAACCUGACUGUUGCGUAACUGACGCUUAGAAUCCGGAGGUGAAGGAGAUAUAACAGAAAGGUCCCCCUCCUGGUUAGGGUUACGUUUCAUUUCAGCAGAUCUAUUUUGUCCCCUUUUUCCCCGCUUUUCUGUUCCUCCUUGCGCCACCGUGAUUCUUCAGUGCCACCGCCACCAUUGUUGUUGUUCUUUGAGAGAAAUCUGAGGUUGACUUCCUUGCUGCAGCAAAGAUCAUCUGAUGUGCACCAAGAAGAUGGGGAAGAAACCCGAAAAAUCUCAAGGCGACGCUCCGGCGGCGGCUAAGGUGAGAUCCAAGAUGAAGAAGGGAAAGGAGCUGGCAUUGCCGGCGCCAAAGGUUGGUCCAACGAAUCAGACUAUGCCGCCAUCACCUGGAAUUACUUGGCAGAAUUCGGUGAUGAAGGAGGCUGCCAUUCAGGCGCUUGUUGAUGCCAAACUUCUGCAGCCAAAGGAGGUACUCGACUGGAGGACUGCCUUUGCUAACGCGUGGCAGUUCAAGAAGCAUCCGAACGAGAAAGUCAUGCUCACUCACUUUGUGGAAAGGGGAUUGGUGGUGCCUACCUCCGACUUCUUCAGAGGUAUCCUUGAGUACUCCAAGCUUCAGCUGGUUCACUUGAACCCCAAUAGUGUUCUUCAUAUAUCUAUUUUUGUACACUUGUGUGAGGUCUAUCUGGGAGUUCCUCCUAGCCUUAAGCUAUUUAGGAAACUAUUUCGUUGCAAGCCUCAGCCUAGUGCUAUUAGGAUAGAGGUUUUUGGAGGGGCCAGGUUCCAACUUAGGAACUCGGGCACCUAUCUUGAUUAUAACUUGACAGAUUCCCAUGGUGAGUGGAAAAGGAAGUGGUUUUACAUUGGGAACCAUAGUCCUUGCUUGCCGGUAGUUACUGGUCACGCCCCCAAGCAUGCGGAGAACUGGGUGAGCGAGCCUGAAGAUACCCUAGAGCUCGACCACUUGCUGACCCAGAUUGCUGAGUUGAAGGCACUGGGUUUAACUGGAAUUAAUGUGGCAGCCAGCUUUCUUAAGAGGAGAGUUCAGCCUCUGCAGAAACGGGCUCACUCGGGUGUGGAGUACUCAGGAUUUGAUGACCCGUCACGUAUGUCUACUGAGGAUAUUUCCGAUGAUGAUGUGGAGGCACUGUUGGCCAAGUUCUUCAGAAAUUAUCAAGGAGUACCCGUUAUUCCUUCAACUCUUCGCCAAUUCGAUGCUUGGUAUGGAUCAUCAAAGGUAUGUUUUUUGUCUAACCUCUUUUUUUUGAGAUGUUGGAAUAUUAUUUGUGUAACGACUUAUUCUGCAGUCCUGAGUUCUCUCCGGAUACCUGGUGUAUUCAGAGGAAGAGUCUGCCGCUGAAGUGUCAGAAGAUGAGCCUUCUCCUCCUGCGAAGAAACGCCGAGUAGUUUGCAAGAGGUCUGCUGCUAAGUCUGCCUCGACUUCGACUCCUGAGAAGUCUCAGGGUGCCAAGGUAUGUAGUCAUGUAUUCACUGGUAACUGGUAGGGUCUAUCCUAUAGCCUUUUGAUCACUUUAUUUGUCUGAAAAGGUUGACGAUGCGACUCUUGGUGACGAUGAGGCUACAUCUGAUGAGGUAGCCGCGGCUACCAAGGACGUAGGUGUUGCGUCUGUUGAAAAGGUGCCAGGGGAGGUGCCGCCAGUGGAUGCUGGAGUAGCCCCCGAGCCAACAGGCCAGACUCCGUCGGCUACCGUGUUGCCGGUCCCUAACCAGGCAGUUCUAGGUUUGCCUGCUAGGGUUUCGGAUGUUGCGAAAGGGGUAUCGCCAGUAGUUGCUACUGGCUCUUUAUUAUCCAAUGUGAUCGCUAGUGGUGAGCCUUCUCCCCGACUAUUUUUGUUAGUUUGAGUUUAUUGUAGUCUUGACCCUAUUUUUGCAGGACUUAGCGAAAAAGCUGCACCUGCAGCUGCUCCUGUGGUGCCGAGUACUCGACCGUCUGUUGCUGAGAAAAAAUGUGUGCGAUUGCCGCCACGAUCAACUCAGUGAGUUUUUUAUUCUUGGUUUGUAUCUUCAAGUCUCCUGGAAGUCAUGUGAUGACUUUGUAUUUUAAUGUAGGGAUGCAGAGGAGACUGUCCCUGUAGAGGCAUGAGUAGAGUCUUGUCCCUCGACUACUCUUUCUACUCCUUUGGAUGAUCUGUCUGUUGAUGAUGUAUCCGGAGUUGAUGCUAGUCGUCUUGGUGCCACCAUGUCCAUGCUUCAGGAAGUGAUCCGCUCGGUGGAGGAUCCUUUAGUUGCUUCAGGUUCUGGUGGUGUACCCUUGUCGACGUCUACUAGCUGUGUCCUGGUUGUGGUUGAUAAGACCAAAGAGACACCUCUGCUGGGUAUGUACUCGGGGUAGUGAUAUUGUAGUCGUUGUUUUUGUUUGACUCAUGUUCGUCACUUUUAGGUACAGCCUUGGGUACGGUUCCAGCUCCUCAUGUUGUAAAGAGUGCUCAAGGUCCGGUACUCGGGCUUCCGUCAGAGUUAGAGUUUCAGAGAGCUAUGCAAAGCUUUCAGGUAUGUUAUUUCUCUUAUCUGUCUAUUUGUUGCUAAGAGACUUGACCCUUUGCUUUUUUUUGCAGGAUCUGUACGACAGGACUCAGAGGAAUGCUUGGGCCCUUCAUGAACGGAAUGAACAAUUGGAGCGGGAGUGUGCCCGGCUUACAGAAUCUUUGAGGGUUCAUGAAGACGCUGCGAAGUCAUUCGCCAUUGAGCGGUCAGAUCAUGAGGUUUUGCAAGAGAAACUGGAGAGCCACUAUAAGUCUUUGAAUAAAAAGUAUCAAGGUGAGUACUUUUCAUUCCUUGGGUAUAUCCAACUGUAGUCGGUUUUUUGAACUUGUUUGUUUUUGUAGAUCUCAAGAGGAAAGAGGAUGAUGCGAGUAGUCAGCUCCUUGACUGGAGGAAUGCGCAUGACCGGGUAGCCGAUGAGGCUAAUCUUCUUCGGGCUGCGCUGGCUGAAGCACAGGCUGCCUGCGAGCAUCAGCGGGAUAGGAAGAACCAAAAUGGAGUGAUGCUUGCUAUGGCCAUGGUGGCCUGUAGGGAUCAUGGCCAGACCAUAGGAAGACUUCAAGGCGAGCUUCAAGAGCUAACUGAUGCCGCUUAGGACUUGGUGAAUGCCAAUGCCCCUCUUGAAGAGGACGCAAGACCACAUUCACUAGUCGAGCGCUUGAAGGCUGCUCCGGGUAAGGUGGCUGGCCUCUGCAAGGCUGUAUGUAAACAAGUCCUUGUUGUGGUCAAGUCGUAUUACCCGGGAGCAGAUUUGACGGUGGCUGGUGACGGCGUUGCUCGCAACUACACGGAGGAGGCUUAUACGCAGUACCUCGAGUAGGCUAAACCAAUUGCAUCGAAGAUGUCUGAUUUUAUAUCUUUGGAGGAGCCUUAGGCCUUGUGUACUUUUGUAGGCUUCCAAGUACUUGGAACAAUAUUUUGUUUGAAAAAUGAACACUUGUCCAUCCUUUGUUAUUUGGAGCGGUUUCGAGUGCUGAGUUUGAGUAGUCACGCUGUUGUCGAGUACUCUGCUUGUUAUUCUUUGAUGGGGGGUGCACAGGUGUACUGUACUCUUUUGUCCUUUGUAGCGUGAAUGCUUUCAUGUGGGCAUAGUCAGAGGUCAUCCAGACUCGUCGAUCACGGGCGAAUAGUAACUCCUGGGUGGUUGGUGGUUGCAUCGCUUGGCUAUAAAUAGACCGCCAUGGAGGUCGACCCGAAUCAGGCUUUGAGUAGCGAUGGAUUGCCUUCGGUUGCUGUUGUUUGAGUGUAGAGAGCCUUCAAAGAGUACACCGGUGCUAGAAGAUUCCUCGUAGAUUGGAGCCACCUUCCCUCCAUAGACUCUAGCACUUGUAGGGAUAGCCACGAUACUAGAAGAAUCCUCGUAGGAGGGUGCAUCGCGUGCCUCAUCUUGCAGCUCGUGAUCUAGCCAGGUACGCGCUGGAACUCGCGAGUGAUGGGUGAUGAGUGCCACGGUCUUUAUCCCGCUCUCUUAGAGGUGGAGGUAUGGCCACAGUGUGGGAUGGUUCGACAAGGCUAGCAAAAGAGCAGCCUUGUUACCUUCUUUGCGCAACACGCGGGAUUCAUCAUUGCCGCUGUCGAGGUAGCAGUGAUGCAGAAGUUCCUGGUGCUGCCUUGGGUAGAGGACCUAGAUAUGGCUGCAUUUUGCGCAGCUUCCUUACGUGUGGGCCCUUCCCAUUGUAGUCGGCAGACCUUAGUGGCCUUGUGAUAUUGUAAAAGCCUAAGGCUUAAAUGCAGCCCGCCAAUAGGCAAUUGCUUGUAGUCCAUUUGUAUUGUAUUUCGAGUACCCUUACUCAUAUGUAACUUUUGAUUUGUCCUCGGACUUGAGUAAAAAAUUGUUCUGCCUUUAAGACUUUGUGCCAAAGCUGGGAUGCCUAUUUUUGUAGUCUUGUGUCGAGAGUAGUAUAUUUUGUAGUCGGUAGUCGAGCUGUUGGCUCAAGUAGUUGAAAUGAGUUUCUGCUUGAAGCAAUAACUCAAGUUCUUUUGUCUACUACGGGUAGUAGCGACAGAGAUAUUCUAUAUUCCAAGAGUUUGGUACUUGUUCUCCUGAAAGUUCUUGUAGUAUGUAAGAUCCGGGCCCUAUAACCUUGGAUACAAUGUAAGGACCUUCCCAUGGUGAAUUGAGUUUAUGCAAUCCAAUCGUGUCUUGGAUUCAUUUGAGGACCAUGUCGCCUAAGUUGAAAGAUCGUUCCUUGACAUUGCGGUCGUGGUAUCAUCUUAACCCGUCAAGGUAUCUGGUUGAUUGGACUAAUGUUGCGCAUCUUGUUUCUUCUAGGCUAUCCGAAUUCGUGCAUCUUGUUUCCUCUGCCAUUUCUUCGUCAUAUUGUUCUACUGAAGGAGAUUGCCACAUGAUGUCCGCAGGUAGUAUAGCUUCUGAGCCAUAUACUAGAAAAUAGGGAGAGAGCCCAGUAGUCUUGCAAGGUUGGGUUCGUAGUCCCCACAGAGCAUUAGGUAGUUCCUUAAGCCAUUUGCCUCCUUUUGUAUUGCCAACGUCGUGUAGUCUUUUCUUGAGAGCUUCGACUAUCAUUCCGUUAGCACGCUCGACUUGUCCAUUUGCUCGUAGGUGAGUGACUGAGACGUAGCGGACAUCAACUCCACUAUUCUCGCAGUACUCCCAUAAGUCAUGAUUGUUGAAGUUGGACCCUAGGUCUAUGAUGAUUCUGUUUGGAAAGUAGUAACGGUGUACGAUUUCAUCCAAGAAGUCGAGGACUCGGUCUGCCUUGGGGCAAGUGACUGGUUUGACCUCGAUCCACUUGGUGAAUUUGUCGAUGGCCACGAGUACUCGGUUGAAUCCUCCUAAUGUAGUUGGUAAUGGCCCUAUCAUGUCUAGCCCCCAGCAAGCAAAAGGCCAUGUUGGAGGUAUUGUGACUAGCUUGUAGGCAGGGACAUGUUGCUGUUUGGUGAAGAAUUGACAGCCUUUGCAUUUUCGAACUAACUGUUUCGUGUCGGCCAAAGCCAUCGGCCAGUAGAAACCUGCUCGAAAAGCCUUGCCUACUAUUGUUCGUGAGGAUGCAUGGUUGCCACAGAUCCCCUUGUGAAUUUCUUCUAGGAUUUCUUGGCCAUCUUCAUGGGUAACACACUUCAUGAGUACCCCUGAUGAUGCACUUUUUCUAUAGAGCUUGUCUCCGACUAGAACGUAGUUUUUUCCUCGUCGGAAGGUAAUUUGUGGUCCUUGAUGUAGUCGAUAAAGGGUGUCCUCUAGUCAAUUUUUAUCAUCAUGAUUUCUCGAGUGACUUCUGUAGUAUGGACUACCGGUGGUGUCACUUGUUCUGGUAUGGACGGCUUGUGGAGUUCGUGGACAAAAAUUCCUACUGGAACUUCUGCACGAGUUGAGCCCAUUUUUGAUAGUACGUCGGCGGCUACGUUGUUGUCGCGGACGAUAUGGUGAAAUUCCAAGCCUGAGAACUUGUUUUCUAGUCUGCAGGACUUUUUUGCAGUAAGCGUCCAUGUUAUCCUUGUUUCGAUCCCAUUCGUCAUUGACUGGGUUUAUAACUACUAGUGAGUCGUCGUAUACCAGUAGUCUUUUGAUGCUGAGGGAAUUUACAAGGCGAAGGCCGUGUAGCAGUGCUUCGUACUCGGCUUUGUUGUUUGAGACUUCCUAGAAGAUUUGCAGUACGUAUUUGAGUUGGUCUCCCUUUGGGGAGAUGAGGAGUACGCCUGCACCGGCCCCUUCGAGUUUGAGGGAUCCAUCGAAAUACAUUACCCAGUGCUCUAGCCUCGACUGGUGUUGGUACCUGAUUUUUAGUCCAUUCAGCCACGAAGUUGACCAAAGCCAGGAAUUUGAUAGCUGUCUUUGGUUUGAAGUCCAAGGUUAGAGCUCCGAGUUCAACUGCCCAUUUGGAGAUUCUACCCGUGGCAUCUCUAUUGUGGAGAAUUUCGCCGAGCGAGAAGUCAGUGAUGACUGUGAUGCUGUGUUCUUGGAAAUAAUGGCGCAGCUUUCGUGAAGUAAGUAGGAUUGAGUAUAGGAGUUUUUGUAUCGGCGAGUACCGAGUUUUGGAGUCCGAGAGUACUUCACUGACGAAGUACACAGGUCGUUGGACUUUGUAAACAUGUCCUAGCUCAAACCGUUCAACUACUAUUGCCGUGCUGAUGACAUGAGUAGUAGCUGCUAUGUAUAGGAGCAAGUCCUCGUUUGGAGAUGGAGCAGUGAGGAUUGGAGGCUUUGACAGAAAGUCUUUGAGUUGUGUUAAUGCCUUUUCUGCCUCUUCUGUCCAUUUAAACUUGUCCUAUCAUUUGAGAAGCUUGAAGAAGGGUAGUCCUCGUUCUCCAAGUCUCGAGAUAAACCGAUUGAGGGCUGCCAUGCAGCCUGUGAGUUUCUGCAUAUCCUUGAUGCUAGCUGGUGCGUGCAUGUUUGUGAUGGAAGAUAUUUUCUCUGGGUUGGCCUCAAUGCCGUGAUGGCUAAUGAUGAACCCGAGUAGUUUGCCAGAAGGUCCUCCGAAAAUGCAUUUGGUAGGAUUGAGUUUCCAUCGGAAAGCUCAUAAACUUGAGAAGGUUUCCUCCAAAUCGGCGAUAAGUUCCUCUUGGUUUCUUGUUUUGACGACUACGUCAUCCACGUAAGCUUCAACAUUAUGAUGUAAUUGUUUUUCGAAGCACAGCUGUAUAGCUCGUUGAUAAGUUGCCCCUGCGUUUUUAAGUCCAAAUGACAUUGUUUUGUAGAAAAAAGCCCCAAAUGGUGUGAUGAAGGCUGUUUUAGCUUGAUCUUCUUCUUUGAGGUUUAUCUAAUGAUAGCCUGAGUAACAGUCGAGAAAGCAUAGUAGAUCGCACCUAGCAGUAGAGAGGACUACUUGGUCGAUCCUUGGUAAUCCAAAAGGGUCUUUUGGACAGUGUUUGUUGAGAUCCGUGUAAUCGACGCACAUUCUUCAUUCAUUGUUUUUCUUGCGAACGAGUACAGGAUUGGCUAGCCAGUCAAGGUGAAAGACUUCUUUGAUGAACCCUGUCGCAAGUAGCUUGGCUAGUUCUUUUUUGAUUGCUUCUCAUCUGUCUUGGGCGAACCUGCGGAGUCGCUGUCAUUUUGCAGUAGCUUUGGGAUCAACAUUGAGAGAGUGCUCAAUCAGUUCCUUGGGCACACCGGGCAUGUCAGCUAGUUUCCAAGCAAAGAUAUCAUGGUUAGCCCGAAGGAAACUGAUGAGCGCAGUUUCCUAUUUAGGAUCUAGCCCUAUUCCGAUCAGAGCUGUCUUGGACGAGUCGCCUGUCUGGAGAUCUACUGGUUUGAAGUCUCUCUCGCUUGCCGGUUUCACCUCUGUGGACCCAAACUUGUUUUCUGGAAUCUUGAGUUCGGUUGGGUGAAGUUUCUUUGAUGCUGUGAAGACUUGUUGCAUAGGGCUAGGUGCUUGAGAAGUUGUAGCAAUCUCCACAGCUUCGGUGUCACACUCGUAAGAUCGUCGUAGAUCUCCUCAUAGCAUUAGUUCUCCCUGAGGCCUUGGCAUUUUGAGUACCAAGUAAACAUAAUGCAGUAUGGCCAUGAACAUGGCUAGUGCUGGCCUUCCGAGUAUGGCGUGGUAAGAUGUUGUGGCGGAACCGCCCAACUUAAGCUGGCUUAAGUGCGCCUAAUUGCUGUCGGAACAGCAAUUAUCCGAAACGCACCUAAAACAGCAUAAGUCCGGUAGUCUGUCGAGUGUCCCUAGGACUCCUCGAAGGAUCCACGACGUGUCUCAUAGCCAUACAUCAGGAUAAUAUCCGCGAUGGGAUAAUAUCAACAAAUAUUACAUUUUUAAAGACAUAACAAAGGUACGAUAUAUUACAACCAUAGAUUGAAGGAAACUAAACAGUGCAGGUUAGCGUGGUUCUUAAGAAUUUAAAACAAAACCAGUCUGGAAGAAAGAUAAACAUCUAAGUUUUAUUCUAGGGUAUCAUGAGACUCAUAAGAUCCCCUAGAUCUUCGGAGCUUCCUCUUCGGUGGGUCCCUGCUGGUUUUCUGAAAAUAACAACAAGGGAUCCCCUGAGUACGAAGUACUCAGCAAGUCUUACCCGACUAACCAAUAUAAUAGCUUUCUUUGGAAGUGUAUGCUUAGCUUUUUGGUGUACUUGGCUAAUGCAAUUUUUGCCGAAAAGCUUACUACAAGUGAUGCCUUAGUUUUAUCUUUUAUUUGGGUUAAGUCAUUACCUAACCAUUCUAGAUUAUGAGAAAAGAGUAAAUAUAGCAAUAAGGUAUUUAAGCCAUACAUCACUCAUUUAUCAGAAAGGUAUAUCAUUCAUGAAUUUACACUACGAUGCUCAAAAGUGAUCAAGUGCAUUCAUAACCGAGAAUUGCGGCGAUCCGGAUCCAUUUACAUCCUGCAGGAGAGUACCCUGAUCACCAGCUAUAUACGACUGUACAGGUCGUACGUAACAACUUUUCGAUCAGCAAAUCCAAUGAUUGGGAAUAAGACUACCCGGACCCAGGGACGCACCCCCACAUGGGACCCCACGUCUGGCCCGAUCACCAUGUGAGUUUCAGGCUACGCCCCUGCCAAUCUCCAGCACGUCAAGCGCGGGUACGAAGUAUUCCCGAUCGGAGAGUUUACUAACCUACUGGGCUUUACUGGUCCCAUACCCAGUAAGUGAUCAGAUGCUUAUCACUUGAUCAAAGGUUAAGACAACGAAUCGGGCCUUAAUCAAAUUAAUCUAGCAGACAGACUUACAUCUCUAGCUUCUGUCCGCUUUUCAAUUCCAAGUUAACCUUCCAUAUAUCACAUGUAUGACUCAAAGUUUUCCUUAAGGUUGGUAAACCAAGCAUUUAAGCAACUAAGCAUUUCUAGACUUGGGUUAUCUUCUAAGGUUUGAACAAGUAGCAAAGAUGUCCUUAAAGCAAGGUAUGAUCAUACACAAGAAUAGGUUUCAGGCAACUCCUAGACUUAGUGCAUACAUAUAUCAAAUAACCGAUAAUUGGACACAUGAAAUAAUAACUCCAAAAUAGAUAGGUAUAAAUGCACCGGGGCUUGCCUGGGAUCAACAAGGUUAGUUCUUUGGAAAACUUCUUUAUUAAAAGAGGCACUCCACAUUUCGCGAAUGAUGUCCAUCUCCAGCUGAAAUCCAUGAAUUCCACUUCAGGAGUUGUGACGUCUACGAUUCAGUAUAUGCAAGAGUUAGAGAUGCAAACUUUUGAAUACAAGACUAUACAACCUUCCUUCAUGAUAAAGUUGCAAGCCAACAAGGACUAUACAAUUUAUCAUGAUAAAGUUGCAAGCCAACACACAAAAACCCGAAAAGAUUAGCCCACAAAUUUUAUUUCCUUUACUAAACCUACCUUAGACCUUUUCUUUUAUUUUUAAAAGCAUUAUAAUAAUUUUCUAGUCUCAAAACUUAUUUCCUAUGAAUUAAUAAUGAUUUGUGGAUAAUAAAGCAUUUUUCAAGUUUUAUACAUUUAAUAAAGUUUAAGCAUUUAUUUAAAUACCUUAAAUAAAAAGGCAUUAAAUAAAUACCUAAAUUUUUAUUAUUUUUCCUAGGGUUUAAGAAUUUUAAUGCAUAAAGGAAAAUAAAACAAUCCUAAUAAAAUUGGUUUCACUAAUUUUGGGCACUUCUAGAAUUUCCUGUGAAUUAAAUGGUGAAAAUCGUAUUUAAUCUAUUUAUCUAAUAAAAGAAAACCUAAGGUUUAUUCAAAAACCCCCGGCCCAAACUUUUCUCACUCAGCUUGCUUCUACCCACCAUCCCUUCCACCUAGGGCCCAUCCGGCCUCCUAUUCUCCUUCCUCUUUUCUUCACUGACAAGUGGGGCCCACGGCCGAAACCUUCCCUUGGGCCGAAAGGUGGCCCGUUAACUUAACCUUCCACGCGUGGCCUUUUUGCGGCAGCCUUCUCUUUGGGCCGGCUCCCCCUUCUCUUCUCUUUCUCAACCCCGGCCGGCCCAUCUCUUCUUUUUCUUUUUCUUUCUUCGACAAUCGGCCUGCUCAAUCCGGCCCACGGCUUUCUUUUUCCUCUGUCGGCCCAUCUUCCCUUUCUUCUUUACACCGCGCGGGCUAGCUAGGCCGUCGCCUCCCCUUGGCCCAAGACGGCGCUGGCCUUCUCCUUCUCUCCCGCUCCACCUGGGCCUCUCCUACCGCGACUCGGCAUCCCGGCCCAAGUACACUGACCGGCCUGCUUCCUCCCCCUUUCUCCUCACACCUCCCUGGCGCAUGGCUUCUUCCUCCCUGCGCCAAAAUAGGGGCGCCAACCGCAGGGGGCGGGGCUCGCCGGCGGCGCCUCCCCGGCGGCGCGGCCGGGCUGGGGGCACCUCCAAGCCGAGGCUCCCCCCACAGGUGGCGGCGGCCCUCCUGGAGGUGGCCUGUGCCGGGCUCCCCACGAGCGGCGGCACCAAUUUCAGUAGCCCAAAUGUAUUCCAUAUAGGCCAACCACUACCCAUUCGUGCUCUACAACCAGCAAGGAUUCCAUUUUGCAUAAGAAACUGUAUAACCUUUGCACUGGAUUUUCCUGAAAUUCGCUCCAAACAUUGCUAGUUAACACUGUUUUCAGACUUAGAAUUUAUGUAGCUCAAGAGUUGGCCGAAAUAGUUAGAGUGCUGACUUUGAGCUUUGAUUUAAAUUUGAUUCUUUCGCUAUAACCUUAUUAAACAUGUCCAAGGAUCAUACUUCACCGCUGUCUAGUUGCCUUUGCUCACUUACUUGAAAAAUUUGGCAGAAUUCGGUUUCAAAAAUAGAUACUCAUCAUGUUUUCCAGACUUAGAGUUAUUUCAGCAAGGAGCUCGAAAUCUGCUCAUUUGCUGACUUUUGGCUCCAAUUUGAAGUCAAAUCUUCCACUUUCUCUGGACAACAACAAUUCAUUUACCUUCUCCAUAGUCUAUAUUUCACUAAUGUCCAAAAAAAUCUGCUCACUUUUAAGGAAAUUUCUCCAGAAAUUGGUUCUAAAGUCAUGUACUCAAUACCAUUUUCAGACUUAACCAAAUUCCAGCAAAGCCGCCUAUUGUGACAAAGUGCAAACUUUAGGCUUCCAUUUGAAAUAGUUCCCUCUGCUAUCCCUGAUCAACAACACCCAAAUUUAGGAGUCCAAAGUUCAUACUUCAACAUGGUAUAGUUGUCCUGAUUUACUUGUUUGAGAAAUUCAUCAGAAUUCAAUUUCCAAAAUGAACUCUGAGGCUGUUUUUCUGAUUUCUUGUUUUCGGACGGUGAACAGUAAAUGUAGUUUUUCAUUUCCUUCUCUGAUUUCUUUUGAGUGUUUAGGAUCAAAUAUUAUUCCAAAUUGUUGACCCUUAAGUUCAAAUCAUCUUUACACUGCUAUUCUAUAUUUUUGCCGAAUUUUUCUGAAUUUCAAAUUCAAAAUUCAAAUUUCGGCCAAAUUUGACCCGAAUUUGAUUUUCAGUCAAUUUCUUUUUCCUUUCUUCUCGAAUUGCUUUCAAUUCUUCAAAGUCACUUUGAUGACUAAAAAUGGCGGGUGUUACAGAUGUCUCAAAGUCGGCGACUUCAAAUCUGAUGUACUCGGUGCGGUAGUGUUCCUUAGUUCCAAAGGCAACUAGCAGGAUGACUUGUCCUAACGGUAUAGCUGCAUUUCCUCGUACGAUUCCGUAGAAAGGUGAAUCUAUUGGGGUGAGCAUUUCCGUGACAUCGAGGCACAUCUUCCUUAGUGUUUGGGUGAAAAUGACGUUGAGUCCACUUCUGCCGUCAAUGAGUACCUUUGUCAGCUUUGAUCCUGCCACAAUAGGGUCGAGUACUAGAGGGAAUCGGCCGAGCUCUGAGAAUUUUGUCCACUGGUCCUUCAUGCUGAAGGUUAUGGGUACUUCUGACCAUUUCAACGGUGUUGGAUCUGUUGGCUCGAUGGUCAUGAUUUCCCUGAGUACGAGUUUGCUGGCCCGCUUGGAUGCGGUGCCUGGGAUUCCGCCAAAAAUGACGUUGACUGUCUUGGAGGCGGUCUGGAAGUCGCCUUCUUCUUCUUCAUCGUUGUGGAUUUUGUUCUUUCCCUUAUCUUUUUUCUUGCUAUAUUCUUCAGGAGGUGGUGGUGCGGGUAAGUCUUGCAUUACUCGGUGCAUGCUGUAGCAGUCUACUGUCGAGUGUUUGCUAGUCGGGUGCCAUGGGCACUAUUUUUUGAGUAGUUCGGUGAAGGUUGGCCCUUCAUAGUUUUUGCAGGAUCCCUUUUUCCCGGAGUUAGUCGUGGAAGCAAUGGUGUUGUCGGGUUUCCUUUUGCGAUUUUGAUUACUCAAAAAGUUGUUUCGAGUAUCAUUGUGUCGAGUUCUAUCCUAGUCAUUAUUGUUGUUGUCGCGUCCACGGUUGUGAUGAGAACCAAACUGUUCUCGCUCUUUGUCUUCUUCAUCUGCCCACUGUUGCACCAUAACUUUGAGAUCUUUGACGUUGGCUGGUCUUCAUCGACUGAAGUCUUGGUAUGUUCGUCGAUCGUAGAGUCCAUUCUGGAAGCACUCAAUGACGUCUGUUUCGGAAAUGUCAACUAUAGUAGCCUUCUUUUCGAAGAAUCUUCGCAAGUAAUCGCGUAGUGUUUCGCCUUCUUUCUAUUUUAUUUGACUUAGGUCGAUCUUGUUACCCGGUCUAGCCAUGGAGCCGGCAUAGUUGUUGGUGAAAGCCUUUGUCAAGUCUGCCCAAGAAUCGAUUGAUCUAGACUUGAGGGAUUCAAGCCAAGUAAGCAGUGCUGGUUCCAUGCAUAUGGGAAAGUGGAUAACUUUGGUGUCGUUAUUGCCCCCAGCUGCUUGGACUACCAGCGAGUAGCAUCGUAGCCAUUGAAUUGGGUCUUGCUUGCCAUCAUACUUGGUGAUUCCUGUUGGUUUGAACUUCUUGGGUAAUCUUGUCCUCAUUACCCGAUUUGUGAAAGAAGGAAAGUGGUUGUAAUUGUUGACUUCUCGCUCUCACCAAGUGUUGAUUAUUUCUCGUAAAUCACUGAAGUUUGAUACUUUGUGAUUUUUCCGAGUAUGACGAGGACUUUUUACGGAGUUGGUGCAGCUGACUUCUCUAACGUCCUUCUGGCGUACUGGGGCAUUGUGUUUACUCGGGCCUUGGCUGUGUUGCCUUGGUUGGUUUACUACUUCGUUGUCGUUUCUUUGUACUUCAUUGAAGUUGUUGUUAGCUGCAGCACCUCUACUGCCUUCUUGGUGAGCUGCAAUGCGGGGAACGGACAGGAUUGGUGAUUCUUUAUUGAGUAGCUUGUAGGCUUGUUCCGCGAGUUGUGCGAUUAGUCCGUUGCCUCGCUGCGCGAGUUGAGCUAUGACUUUGUUGUCUCUGUCUCGAGGUAUGAGUGUUGAUGUAAGGUUGAUAGAGGCAAUUGCUGCGAGUGGAGUGUUGUGUUCUUGAGCCUAUACUGUGUCAAAUGCUCUUUCGAGGUUUGUAAUGGAAAUGUUUGUAGCCAGCAUUUGUCGUCGCUCAACCCGAGUAGCAUUGCGCAUCCUUCUUUCUUUCCUUUGAUCGGAAGUUUCAUCUUGUGGGGCGUUAGCUGUUGACUCGUCCUCUGAGACGUUGUCGAGUUGUGCUAGUCGCCGGGGAGUUCUCUGCUGGCUAGUACCCGGGUUGUUGUUUUGAGUAAUAACAAAGACUUCUCUGUCUGGGUAGUAGCUUCCAGAGCUUGAUGUUGCAAUUUCUGUGGAACUUUCCUCGCAGCUUGAAGUGAGUGGGACGCCUUCCUGGUAUGGGAGGUUGUCUAUGUGAGCGACAAGGCGCGACUCGUAGUCGCGGGCAAAGAGAGAUGGUCUCAUUCCUAGCCAGUGUACGAAUCUGCCUUGUGAUCUUGAAGUUAUUACCAGUUUUUGGGUUGGUCCUGUCAGUGGUAUCUCUGGGAGAUAGUCCGAGUCGGAGUCAUUGUCUUCGUCUUUCCCGUGUUCGAGUUGAGUUCGAGUGAGGAAACUUUGGUAGGCUUCGGUUGCAUUGCGGGGUUCGUGUGGAAACCGUUUCUGAGUCGAAGUUGAUUUGAGGAGUGACUGGGACCGACUAGUCCGAACUAGGGUCGAGUCCGACGGGUAGUCGAACUCGGUGUUGCUGACUUUGAAAUUUUUGUUUUUUCAAGCCGAAUCAAUUGAUUUCUUCUCCUGAAUGUUGAUGAUUUGGCGCUGAAACGAUCCGGCGCCGUUGGCGACACAGAGCUAGGAUCCAAAAAUGAACGUUUUGCCUGCUUCGAUGAUGAAGACAGGCUUGAUGACGACUAUUGCCAUUGAGCUCACACUGAGAAACUCGAUGAGGGCCCCUACCUGGCGCGCCAGCUGUCAGUGUCUUAGACCGGCAACCCGCCUAGGGGGUACCCUAGGUGGUCUUUUGUGCGGUAAUGGCCGUCGAGAAUCAAGGAGUCAAUGGUGACGCAAGGAACACGAUUUAGACAGGUUCGGACCGCUAGAUCGCGUAAUACCCUACAUUCUGUGAGUUGGUUGUAUUGAUCUUAGAUGUACUGGAGUUGUCCUUGAGGGGGGUCCCUGCCCGCCCUUAUAUACACAUACUUAACUAGUCCGAGUGGGAUAAGCCUAUCCCCUUGUCUUGAUUAGGGCCUACUCGUGGGGCUGGGGUGCAUGCCCGACAGUCACCGCCUCGUCGCCGCCGCACCCUCAUCAUUGUCGCCCCGUCGCCCGGCCCCGUUGUCCCCCGCCCGGGCCUCGACGCCGCCCUCAUCAUCGACCUCCGCCGUCGCCCCUGGCCCCUCCAGUGCCGCAAAGUGCCGGCCACUCCACGCGCGCGAGCACACUCGCGGCUACCUGCGAGCUUGGCUUCCCGCUGACGUAAGCCCGCGGCCGGCUGUGACAUCAUAAUUUUUUUAUUUCUGCAGCAUUAGAAAUUGUAAGAAAUUUCUAGGAAAUUAUCUAGAAAUUAUAGGAAAUUAUCUAGAAAUUGUAGGAAAUUAUAGAGAAAUUGUAAAAAAUUUGUAUAAGUGUUGGAAAUCAUGCCAUUUAUUUUUUUAUUUCUGCAGUAUUAGAAAAUUGUUUAAUUAGCUAGAAAAUAUAGAAAAUUUCUUAAAGUAGCUAGAAAUUAUAGAAAAUCCUGUUAAUUCUUAAAAAUGUAUAAAAAUACGUGAAAAUUACUUUGAUAUCUUUAGAAAUUACCAAGUUAUUUUAUGAUGUUGUCAUUUACCAAGUAAUAUUUGCCUGGAGGACGGAGCCCCCGCCUUGAUUUGGUUGUCACGUCAGCAAAUCCGGUUCGCCCUCACCCACGACGAGGAUUCGGCCGCGAGGUGGCCCUGUUGUCCGCCGUAAGGGGAAGGAGACCGCAGCCGUCAUCACGUGGAGGGGGAUGGCGCCAACGACCGUCACCGACCGACCAGCCCCCGUAGCUUGUGGCACCGUCCAUUAGGCCCACCCUUGGAUCUGGGUGACAGGGAGGGGAUAAGGAAGCGGCUGCCGCAACACUACCGCCGGAGUGCGAGGGAGGGGCGGAGGCGCUGCUGCGGAGGGCCUAGCGGCGGCGGCGGAGUGGAGCAGAGCACGAGAGGGAUGGGGAGAGAUGCGGUCGUGGUCUCAUAGGACUGUAAAUUCAGUUUGUAGGCCACGAUCUCCGGCUCUCCGCCGUAGAAAAAAAUAGCAAAAAAACCAGUGCGGGCGGCGGACCGGAGGGGCUCGGGUUAGGUUCAGCUCCAUGGAGCGACCCGGGUACGGAAUAGCUUAUUCUGUACCUAGGGUAUUAUUUAGUAUAUAUAUAUAUAGAUCUAUAUAUAUAGAUAUAUAUAUUACUGUCAUGAAAUAUAUAUACGACUUGCAUACAAUAUUAAUAUGACUCGAAUAAAAUAUUAAUAUGGAAAAGAAUAUUUUUUAAAAAAAUCUUAAGUAUUAAAGGGGGAAACCGUGACAAGGGGGUAGAACUUCCCUUUGUCUCGAAAAUUUAGUCCCGGUUGUAUUUUCGGGAUAUAUGACCCUUUCCAACCGAAACUAAAGUCGCGUUUUCCACCAGUGCCCUGCCAUCUCCACGGACCAUCCAGAUGUCCACCAACCUCCCAUGGCCAGUAGCGUUCACGCCGCCUCGGCGGCUCGAACUGCCUCCACCACCCGCUACUUUACCGCCCGAACCUCCUUCUAGAUCCACCUUCUAGAUCCACCGGGGAUAGGUACGCCCUUUCUUCAAAACCCCGAACCCUAAAAGCUUGUGGGAAGCUCCCCGGAGCUAGAGAAGAAACAUAGAGCUGAAAAAAACAGGUACGUAAUCUUUCCCCACCCGAGUCAUCUUUAGAAAUUUCGUUUUUUCUUUUGACGGAUAGAUCCGUGUUGGUUAAUUAAGUGCGCAUGCCGCACGUGGGCUCACAACACGACACAAGGAGCAUGCUCCUCCAUGUGAUUCGUCGUGUACGACUCGAACUAGAUCUCGUCUCCGAAAACAUCUCGGCAUGCUCGUGCAGACCGAGUAGAAAACACCCAAACCCUCUGCUAAAGAUUACGAUUAUUAGCCUUUGCGUACGGAACAUACAACCUCGAGGGAGAGAACCAGCUGAUCCAAUUCAAUCAAUCACGCCGACAAUGCAGGACAAGGCUGGGCAGUUCAUCUGCUACCUAGACUUGGUCAGGCUCAACUCGCCGGCGGCAGGCUCCAACCGGAACCGCGGGCUGGUUCUCAAGGGCAUGCCCGGGCCGAAGGUCGUCGUGCAGUGCCUCGACGGCACCGUGGUGACGGUGAAUGCUCGCAACGUCCGUGUCGCGGACCGGAGCUACUUCUGCCCGGGCAUGGUCGUCGCGUCGGCGUCAGACCGUGGCGGCCAGCUCGGGGUCGUCACGGGCGCCGCCGUGGAACUGGAUCUGGUCCGGCUAGACGGUGAGGACGCGGCGGCGGCGUUGGUCGCGAGGGGCGUGUCCCCAGCGGAGCUGCGCCGCGUCAGUGAGUUCUGCCUAGGGGACUACGUCGUGUCAGGACCGUGGCUGGGCCGGGUCUUCGAGGUGUCCCUCGACGUCGACGUGCUCUUCGACGACGGCACCGUCUGCAGGGUCACAACAGCGGACGGCAAGCUGUGGCCCGUCGGCGAGGGCUCUUCAAAACGCUACACCAACAACGUCUUCUAUCCGGGGCAGCGCGUCGGCGGCCGCUCGUCCGUCUUCAAGGCCGCCCGGUGGCUCAAGGGCUACUGGAAGCCCAGCGAUGGCGAGGGCACCGUGUCCAAGGUGGAAACCGCCAGCGUGCUCGUCUACUGGGUCGCGUCGUCGCAGCUGGGCGCCGAGAGGUCCGUCGUCCAGGCGUCGUCCACGCCGGCGCACCAGCAGAGCCCUCGCGAUCUGACAUUCUUCCGCGCUGGCGACGACGUCUUGGCAAGGUUCUGGGGCGUGGGCGACCGCUGCUUCUUCCGCGCUCCUUGCCGCCGCCGCGUACUCCCUGCCGGCGAUGUCGGUGCCAACCGGAAUCGGCUGCGGCGGCUGGGGGCGAAGCGGACGCCGCGACGAGAAAGCUGGAGCCACGCAGGGUUCGAGCGGCCGUUGUCCGUCGCCAGCACGCGCACGACGCUCGACGUGCUGUGGCAGGACGGGACGCGGCAGUGCCAGGCGCCGUCGGUGUCGCUCGUUCCCACCAUGCCACAGAACACCCACCACUUGUUCCCAGGCCAGCGCGUCGUUAGCAGGACAUCGUCGGACGGCGACGGCGACGUCGCGCGUUCUGGUGUCGUCAGAAGCCUCAACUUCACGGACCAGACCGUGCGCGUGUCGUGGCAAAAGGCGGCGGCUGAACACGCCGAUGACGAGACACUGAGCAGCACGUACGAUCUUGGCAGGGAUUUCGACAGCAAUGUCUUCUAUGGAGAUGUUGUCGUCCGCAGGCGUCCAACAGACUCCUCAAUUGGGGUCGCCGGCGACAUUUGUGGAAGCACGGAAGAGCCAGUGCUGACACCGUGCCGAAAGAAGGAGCCCACUAGAGCUCAUGAUCUUUCAUGGGUCGGACACAUAGUUGAUUUUUGUGAUGCACACCAUGUCCAAGUCAAGUGGGGUGACGGCAACAUGUCCAAGGUAUGCAAUACGUCCAUAGAAUUACUAUAAUAUUAAUGGACCGUUUUAAAAAUGCUUAAAAGGAAGUGGUUUUCUAGAAACAGCUUUUAUUUUUGACGUCCAAGGAACUUUUUUUUCACCUAGAUACCAAAAUCCAAGUUAAUUUUGGUACCUCUUGAAGGCUCCUUACCAAUACAAAUCACCUCACAAUCACUGAUUGAAUCUUUUUUUUUGCAGCUAUAUAUGUAUACAUUAAUUACUUCAUAUAUUAGGACCAUUAUUCAAAAACGACCUUAUUAACUUCUACUUAUUUGAUGGUACCGAUUUCAGGUGUCUUUCCAUGAGAUAACUGUCGUCAAAGAGCAAAGUUUUGGUGAGUUCCUUCAGGAAAUAGGCGAGUGGGUGUCUGAAGAUGGAGGCAUGAGCAACGACGCUAUUGAUCACGAAGCACAAGUGACUGCCGCUGCCGUUGUAAGUAUCCCUCCGCACACAAAUUUCAAUUCCCCAAGAGAUCGGGUAAAUGGUUGGACGGUGCCGGGAGCGUCAACCUCGGAGCUUACGGCCAGAGGGAACAACAAUGUAUCCGCACCCGUGUCCGGUGGUGAUGGUGAUGCCAAGGAGACCUCCACUGCUGUGGCAGGCAUCAAUGGAGGAGGUGGUGGUGAGGGGAAGCAGGCAGAGGCAGAUGCCACCGGCGAUGACAAGUCAUUUAGCUUCCCACAAUUUGAUAUCGUGCAGAGCCCUUCAGAUCACCAUUACCUUGAUAACAUGGAGCAGGUUCGUAAUUUUCUUUUUUUUCCUAAGGCCCUGUUUGGAUCUUUGGAAUUGAAUUUCAUUCUAAUAAUCAUUAUUUAGACAUAAAUUAAUUAAGCUAAUAUAAUUGUCUGUGGAAUAUAUUUGUAUAAUAUUGUUGGCGAUAUGGGAGAAAUAGUUAUGUGUUGCACUUCUGCUAUAGAGAAGCGAGUCCAAGAGCGUGCUAUAAGAAUUGAAUUCCAUUCUAAUAAUCAUAAUCUAUGGAAUCAAUUUCCAUCUCCCACCCCGUAAAUUUAAGAUAGGCUUAUAUCUAAACUUUGGAAAGUUGUGGAAUACCACAUUCAAGAUAAAUUAGCCUACUCCAUUAAGUAAAUUCCAAUUCCUUCAAAAUGAAGGAAGCUAAAUGGGUCCUAAGGGUUUUUUAGCUUUAUGAAUAUAUUAACAGUAAUACAUAUGAUGUAUAAACAGUAAUACAUUUUUUUUGGUAAAAAUUAAGAAAACGAUGGUUGCUGAAAACCCUAUAUAAUAUAAUACAAGUUACUGAUGGUUCAAAUUAAUUAAAUGAUUGCCCGUUUAGUUUUCAUACAUUGAAUCUGCCACAGUGAUGUGUCCUAUAUAUAUAGUGACUGCUAAUUAAGUUGAUGUGCUUUUGUAAACAGGGCACUGGUGGGGGGAAGAAGUGGAUGAAGAGGGUGCAAAAGGAAUGGAAUAUUCUUGAGAAUAACUUGCCAGGUACACAGUGAGUUAAUUUGCAUAUGGAGGGAAUAAAAAUUUUGAACUUUUGCAAUCAAACACAAACUCUUUCGACAUGUAUCUAAAGGUUUGCCCGUGCAUGCAGACACCAUCUUCAUGCGGGCGUACGAGGACCGCAUGGACCUCCUGCGAGCGGUGAUGGUCGGAGCUAGCGGGACGCCGUACCAUGACGGCCUCUUCUUUUUCGAUCUGCAGCUACCGCCGUCGUACCCUGCCGCGCCACCGCUGGUGUGCUACCGAUCGUUCGGCCUACGUGUGAACCCCAACCUCUACCCCUCCGGCACGGUGUGCCUGAGCCUGCUCAACACCUUCGGUGGCCACGGAGCCGAGCUGUGGUCCCCGGAGGCUUCGACCGUCCUCCAGGUCGUCGUCUCCAUCCAGGGCCUCGUGCUCAACGCCCAACCAUACUACAACGAGGCGGGCUACGCCGUCCUGGUAGGAACGCCGCAGGGUCGCCGGAACGAGCUCCCGUACAGCGAGAACACCUACCUGCUCACCCUGCAGACCAUGCUCCACCUCCUGCGCCGGCCGCCGGCGGGCUUCGAGGAGUUCGUCAGGGACCACUUCCACCGGCGAGGGCAGCACGUGCUCCGAGCGUGCGAGGCAUACCUAGAUGGCUGCCUCGUGGGCACGCUCGAUGGCGAGGGGAGCGGGGCGCGGCGCCCGUGCUCGGCGGGGUUCAGGCUCGCCCUCGCCAACGUGGUGCCCCGGCUUGUUGAGGCGUUCACCGCGAUCGACGCUGAUGGAUGCAAGGAGUUCGAUCGGAUACGGGUGCCAACAGUAUGCACUUAAUUUGUCUCUGCUACUCGCUAGUCCAUUUGUAUCCUACUUACAUUUUAAGUUACAAAACGCGUGUUCACACAUUUGAACUUUCACAUCAAUAUUAUAUUUUUGUAUACUGUUGGGAAUGGUACAACAGUUUUGCUACAUACUUCCUUCGUCCCAUACUUCAUAAAUAAUAUUUAUUUUGACUUAACUUUUGCGAUAUGUCUAGAGAUAGAUGUACCUAGAAAAUCCAAAUAAAAAUAAAUAGUAAACUUUGGGAGGUAGGGGUAUAGUUUGCAGCUGCAAUUCGUGAUCAAAGGUAGUAGUGUGUUGAUGGUAGUAUUUCGUUAUCCAAACACGGCACUCUAUUGUGGCGAACGAACACUGCUGGAUGAUCUCUAUCAGUACUGCUUGUUUGGUACUAAAUGCCACACCAAUCGGUACUAAAUGCACCAUUUAGUACACCAACCAGUACUAACUGCAUGCCACGUCUCGUUGUUGUCGAUGGCAGUUUAGCACCGGUUGGUUUUACUAACCGAUACUAAAUGUUAUUCUUUUUUCCUUUUCGUUUUCCUUUUGUUUUAUCGUUUUCCUUUUGUUUUAUAAUUUCUAUUCAUAUCCGACGGAGCUUUUACUAAUAAUAUUACGUUAAUAUAUUAACCCAUUCAAAUCCAAGUCUCACAAAUAUCAGCCCAUUCAAAUCAUUAACACUCCGAGAAGAUUGUAUAUGCAAUAAAAUAUAUACAUCAACACUUAAGGUCUAAGAGAGAACAAGUUCAAAUUCAUAAGCAAAUAGUAGGGUACCGGUACAUCCAUGCAUGUUACAUAUUUCUUACUUCGCUUCGCUUCCUUAGAUAUGGAACAUAGUUAAGGUCUCCAAUCGUCCAGCCUAGACCUUCGUCAAAAUAAGCUAGAGCACGGAUGAGUGCACUCUCCUUCGCUUCGCAUGGAUGGUCACAUACACUACCAUAGAUCUCAAACAAUGGAGAGGUAAACUGAUGUGGCCUGUAUAAAGUGAGAUGAGCUUGGAGCUUGAAAUCUCUGGUGAGUAUCGGAUUUCCACCCAUGUAAGUCUAAUCCAACACAUCCAAGACUUGAGCUAGAAUCACGCGAAAGCUCGUUGCUGCAUUGGCAAUACAAACUAAAAGAUGCUAAUAAUGUGAUGAAAGUAAAAUGAUAUAACAUAACUAAAGAUAAAAAAAUGUUCCAUACCAUGUCAUAUUGAUUUCUCCCUCCUCGAGCUGCUUUAUUCAAAAAUAUGAUAAGUCUGGCACAAAGUACCCAUGAUCCUUAAGUUGUUGUAGGUAGGCCUCCACGACGGUCCUAUCAAAAGUUACCCUAUUUGGUGCUACUUGACCCCAUACAACAAUUGAAACUAUUAGGAUGGCCUGUCCUGGAGAUAUCGAGGUGAAUUAUGUUUCUCGAACAGGUACUUGAAAAAAGAUAUGUACUCUUUUAAAACGAGGUUCACCAACAACAUCAGUUUGCACUAAAGGAGAAGUACCACCUAUACCUUCGACAACAUCUUUGAGCCAUCUAAUAGGGUCAAUAAGCUACAUUGUAUGUAAGUAAAUUUAGAAAUUAUUCACGUGUAGUAAAAAUAUCAAUUAUAUGAAGGAAAGAAUAUUACUAUGUUGGGAACUGCUCCUUUGGUUCGAUCGCUGGUAGGCAAGUCAAUGAUGCGAUUGGGAAAGUGAAUUCCAAGAGGACGAGAUAAUGGUGGCUCCUCGAAAAUGUAGUGUCCGCCCCUACCACCUCCACGCCCAUGACGACCAUAGUGAAAAGAACUUCCGCUUGCCAUAGUUAGCCCAAACAAUCUAAAUAAAAUUGUAAUAAGAUACAUUAUUCCACAAACAUCAACUUCAAUAGUAAUUAUAUCGUAAAACAUCAUUUAUAAUGCAAGAUAUUUACAAUUGUUGGUUUAGACCUUAUCUACAUUAUGAUAACUAAUCAAAACACAUUUAUUAUCAUAUUGCAAUUGCAUGGAAUAAAGAGAAAAAGGUAACAAUUUCCUAAAUGAAUUUACAGGAAAAAAAUGAAAAAAAUAGAAAAAAACAACCGGGGUGCUCGGGGAGGAGGCUGCGUCGGCGGCAGAGAGGAGGUGGUUCGGCGACACAUCGGGAGGACGGAGGCGAUGGGGAGGAUGCAGCGUCAGCAACAAGGAGGAGGUGGCCCGACGGCGUGUCAGGAGGAUGGAGGUGGCGGGGAGGAGGCGGCAUCACUAAUCUCAGUGUUUGCACAACACUAAUGGUUUUGAUUCUUGACUCCGUGAAGUCCUACAAUCUGAAAUCAGUGUUUGCACAUCACUAAUCUCAAUGAGUGUGCCCGUUUGCGUUCGGAUCUCACUAGCUAUUUAGAAUGUUCCUUUUCACCUCGGAUUUCUCGAUUGAAAUCACAUUGUUCAUGCGAAUUCCAAGUCUAUGGAGAGCCACCUCCGCUCCUCCGGUAACAGAGAAUAGCGUAAGCACAUUCAUGCCAUGUGUAGACACUAUUCUCACUAUUCAUGCCAUGUGUAUCCAUUGCCGGUCUAUCUUCAUCGUAUUACGUGAAAAAUGAACAUAGGGCUUCGUAUUAGAUAAAGAACUUGAUCCAUGUGUUUAUAAUAUUUAGUCCUUGCAAUAAACAUGAGAUAAAUAAAUUAUUGGUCAAGAAUCCUGAAAUCAACACUUUUUGCCUAACAUUGCAUACCGUUAGCACACUAGAAAUGCUGCAAUAAACUAUACAUUUUCCUCAAUCUAAUAAAUCAACAAGUACUCCAUUUGUAACAUAAAACUCAUUCUAAAAACCACUCCAUUCUCCUCAUUCUAAAAUACUCUCCUUAUUCUAAAAAAUCAACAAAUACUUAAUUUGUAACAUAAAACUCAUUCUAAAAUGGAAAGAAUCCAUUUUACUCCUCUCAUUUUACACCCCUCACCUAUUUAUUUUGUCCACAUAACCCCCUAAGCAAAAUUUACGCUCACUUUACUCCCCCCAAACUACUUCAUUUGGUCCAAUCUACCCCCUAAUUAGAUUUCUCUUUUUUGUUUCUUCAUGUACAAACUCUCCUUGUUCUAGCUAAUGUACUCUCCAUUCUAGCUACAAAACAUAAAAUAUAGAAUACUAAGUAUGAGAGGAGGGAUUUGCUAACCUUUUCCUCCCCUAGUUCGAGUGAAGAAGAAGCCCGAGCUCAUGGUCAAAUGGCUAAGCUCGGGCUUGGGAAGGAAGAAGCAGCUCAAUUUAUAGGAUUACCUCUAGCGCCAGGUGAUGGGUCGAGCUGGUACUAAAUGGUUUCAUGUUAGUACCGGUUGAAGAUAUCAGCCGGUACUAAAUGGUACAUCUAGCCGUUGGCCACGCGGUCCACGUGCUGCCAUUUAGUACUGGUUGAGACUCCAAACUGGUAUUGUAGGGGUUCUGGUGGCACUGUACAUGAUGACCGAUACUAAUGCGUUGGACGAAUGAUCAGUUUUUCAGCAGUGGAAUGUGCAAACACCAGCUAGCAGUACUGAAGUUGGAUGGAAGGUUGGCUUUGUCCGAACAAAUCAGACCUUGGUGGGCUAGCUUAUCAUUUUUGUUCCUUUUUUUUAAAAAAAGAGGGAGGAUUUUAAAUGACUAUAUUUUUUUUUAAAAAAAGAUGAACUGAAAUAAUUAUAUCUUUUGUGUGGAUGGUGGUUUGAAAAUGGGCGACAGUAGGCCCAAACUCGAGUCAAGGGCAUAUAACUGUCAAUACACGUAUUUUCGCUGUUAACUAUACUAAUGUACGCACCAAGUGUGUGUAUAUAUGUAUGUACAUAUAUAUAUAUAUCUGUGUGUGUAUAUAUAGAGUAUAUAUACUCUGUGGCUGGCUAUACAAUAAAUUAUUUUGUGUCCACCUAUUUAAAAUAAGUUUGAAUCAAUCAUUAAUUCUAUACUAGUUGUUUUAGUUUCUAAAAUAAUUAUUUUAAUGCAUCACUAUCAUCAACAAACUAUUCAAUUAAAUAAUUUUAAUGUGCAAAAAAAAUCAAUUGAUAUAUGUGGUUAACAUUGUUUAUAUUCUUCACCUCAACUAAUUUAAACACACAAAUUUAUAUAUAUUUUCCACUAGUUUUGUUAAAGAAAAAAAUAAAAACUUUACAUAUUUUGAACAUGCAAAAAUAUAUUAAAUUAGCAAGUAUAUUUAAAAUAAGUUUGAAUUAGUCAUUAAUUCUAUACUAGUUGUUUAAGUUUCUAAAAUAAUUAUUUUAAUGCCUCUCUAUCAUCAGAAAACUGUUCAAAUAAAUAAUUUCAACGCGCAAAAAAAUCAAUUGAUGUAUGUGGUUAACAAUGUUUAUAUUGAUUGAAUAAAACUUCACCUCAAUUAAUUUAAACACACAUGAAAUUAUAGAUACGUUAAAUUAAAAAUUGUAUCAAGUGGUACAAUUAAUAAGAAACAUGAAAUCAUAGAACAUUACAAUAUAAUUCACCAUAGAGCAUUACAAUAUAAUUCAAAAGUGCUUACAAUGUAAUGUUUAGUGCAUUACAUAAAGGUGAACCAUAUUUAGUGCAUGACAAUAUAAUGUUAAAAAACUUCUUCUUAUUGAAGGUGAACCAUAUUUAGUGCAUUACAAUGUAAUUUUAAAAACUGCUUCUAGUUGAAGGAUCGGAAAGGCGACCAGAUGGGGGUGAAUGGGAGCCGAUUCAAAUUUUUCCCAAGAACUUUUGCUAAAAACUCACAAGCCUCUCUUCUAUCAAAAUCAAGUCCAACUAGCUAUGCACAAGCUAAUGGACCUAGGAAUGAUGUUGGGAACCCAAUUUGAGAAUAGCGGAAGCAAGAAAGACUCCAAACAAGCUCCGGAAGACAAAUUUAGAAAACCAACACCUCUGUGCGAAAAAAUCCGGAGGAAUCUUCGGAAAAUUCCGGACGUGCGGAAAUUUCUGGAGAAACCUUCAGAAAUUUCUGGAGGUCCGAAGAUUUCCGGAAUUAUGUCCGGAGAUUUCCAAAAUUCUAAAACAGCCUGCAUGAAGAUGGCAGAAAAAAUCUGAAACUCGAUCAAACGACCCCAAAAAUCAUGAAAUUUUAACCAUAGCUUCCGAACAACAUAACAAACAUAUUACCAAAAGAUCUCCUCAAAAAGAUUAGCCAAGCACAGAGAAUUAAAAAUCUUGUGAAGAACAUCGCUUUUUUAACCCUAGAACUUGAAUCGUCCCAAUAUAUGAACUCGUGAGGAGUUAGAUGAAUUCCUUUGGUAGAAAGACUUCACUCAAAUCCUAGUUCAUUUCCAAAUGAUCGGUUUGACUCUAGACUCCCCAGAAAUCACGAAUCGAACGAAAACGUGAGAAGGGAAAAAUAGGAGAAAACAAGAACGCGAAGAACACAAGCAAGAGUUUCACAAAACCGUCAUCCUCCUACACUCAGAGGACACGAGGAGGUUAGGGCCUCCAUUCCCGCAACAAAAACUCAGUUCAAUACAUGAAUUUGCUGCUCAAAAUAUCCGAGGACCUCUAGGGAGAGACUAGAGAGAGAGAGGAAAAACCAAAUGAAAUCCUAGAGAGAGAGGUAGUGACAGAGAGGUGGAAGAGGUGCUAAAAACUUCAGCCCGCCAUCUCUAUCUAUAGGCGCAGACAAAAGACUAAACUACCCCUAUUGCUACUACUAAGAUAACUACCCACGCAGGGGCAUUUUGGUCCAAGUUUUUGUGCGCUCAUCGGACGGACACGCCACCUUCAUGACUUUGCUUCGCCUCAACGCAAGCUAUGCGCUAAUACCACAUGCCCUCCUUCUCGAAGCUCCGACCGCACCGGGCUUGCCCCUGGUUUGGAGGUCCAAACCGGGAAAGCUGCCAGCGCGGUGGUUUUGAGGCUCAAACCAUGCAAACCGUCCAUCUUCGCUUGGCCGCCACGCGACCUCCUCAAUGGCGACGCGUGUCUGAUCUCCGCAAAGCCUUUGAUGCCUCCAAGUCAUUUGUUCCUGGCUCCCGGGCCGCCUACUUGACUUGCCUCCGUCCCGCUUGACUCGACCGAUGCCGUCUCCAUCACCGUCAUGCUGUCUUGUCAUUCCGUGCACCAUGUGGACCGCCCAUGACUCCACCCGGACUCCUCAGGUCCAUCGGUCCAAGCCUACUCACGUUCAUCCUUCAAAGCCCUUGGUCCAUCAGCAUGAACCUUUCGCUUGACCUUCACCGCACGCUGUCGGCCGUCACACCGCAUCCUACACCUGCACAUCACAAGCCAAGAACAACAUCAAACCAACACAAUGUUGUCAAUCACUCAUCAUCCAAGGGUGACCACCAUUGGUCCUCAAUCUCCCCCUUGAUAAGUGCAUUGACAACACACCACAAAUUCAUAGUAUUUGAAAAAGAAAAUAAGAAACUAAAAACAGAAAAUCUCAAUCCCCUAAGAUAAGGGCAACGGCUCUACACGACUGAGAUAAAAUCAUGUGAUCCCUCAAGAGGCAGAAAACAGGCUCAACACCAAUCACAUGAAAAACCAAAUCUGGCUCCUCAAGAAGAGGUAAAACAGCUCAACACAACCGAAUAAAGAGCAAAAGAGCACGACAAAGCUCACAUAGACUCCCCCUGAACAAAUGCACUCCCCCUGAGCAAAUACAUGAAAUUUCUCCCCCAUGUUGAAAGAAAUGCAUGAAAAAUCUCCCAAAUUCUCCCAAGAGUCUUUAUGAAUUUCAAUUCUCCCCCUUGUUGACAAUGCAAUCAUCAAGUCAAACAUGAAAGCCUAAAAAAACAUGCCAUGAAAAUGCAGAAACUACCAAGCUUCUCAGAUAUACCACGGAAGACUCUCAAAGGCUAGCAAGAUGAAUUCAUGUUACAGCAAGGAGUUGAAGCAAAUGUCUAGUUUUAGCAUUGUUUUAAAAGAUCACCACAUGAGCAAAUACCUAGUCUAGAAAUACCCAAGCAAGAAGAACUAGGCCAUCAAAAGCUCAUACAAGGAAUAAACAUUCUUGACAAAAGAUCAGUGCAGACACCCACAACACAUCACAAGUCAUGUGAGGCUUGUUGAAACCAAGUGCCUACUUCUUUUUGGUAGACAUCUUGUAAAAACUAAAUGAGCCAGAAUAUCAACAAUUAAGCAUAAAAACUUGGUGAAUUUAUGAAUUUUUGUUUUCAACAUUUUCCUUUUCCAUUAUUCACAAGGCAAAAUACAUGAAGUGCCUUUGCGGCACAAAGAAGCCAUGCUUCCCUAAGGGGUGCAUCAUGGGCUAAACAUCUGCAAUGAUACCUAGAUCUUUGACCCAAUUGAAAAGAACAUGAAUUCCAGCCACAAGCUAAAUUUGGAACUAGCAUUCAAAUAGGGGUAAAUCAAAACUAAGCAUCUACUGAUGGGUGAUACACAAGUUAAUAAAGUAGAAUUUAGCAUUGAAUUUCAAAAAGUAGUUUUCAUCAUGUAUACAAGAUCAUCAAGAGCAUAACUGCACAUUGCAUCUAAGAUAAACAACCAAAGCACUAGCUCACAAGUAGCAUAAGGUAGUAGUCAGGGCAUAUAAGAGAAGCUCAUCUAGUGCAGUAUGAUACAAAUGCAAUAUGAUAUAGAUGCAAUGAAAGCCAAACUAGCAUACUACAAAGAUGCUAAAAAAAAGUGGUUGUACAGAUAUAAUACAAGAGAAACAACAAAAUCCAACUCAGAAAGAAAAGCAAACACCCAACUCCCCCCGCAAAUGAGCAAAUGUGGCUUGAUCCAGGGGUUUGGUGAAGAUAUCAGCGAGCUGGUUUUGGGUAACAACAUAGCCAAGGUCAAUAUCUCCUCUCUCAACAUGAUCUCUCAGAAAAUGAUAUCUCACAUUAGUGUGUUUGGUUUUGGAGUGGAGAACAGAGUUCUUGGCUACACUUAUGACACUCAUGCUGUCACAAAGAAGAGGAACAUGAGUAAAAUCCAAACCAAAGUCUCUCAAAGUGAAAAUCAUCGAAAGCAGCUGAGAACAACAACUAGCAGUAGCAACAUACUCAGCUUCGAUGGUAGACUAAGCAACACUAGGCUGUUUGCGCGAAGACCAAGAGACCAAAGAUGAACCGAGAAACUGGCAAGUGCCAGAGGUGGACUUUCGAUCCAAGCAACACCUAGCAAAGUCCGCAUUGGAGUAUCCGUGGAGAGUGAGUGUCGAGGAGGCAGAAUACCACAAACCGAAUUCAGGUGUGAAACGAAGAUACCUCAUGAUUCUCUUCACUGCCUGAUGGUGAGAUGUCCUUGGUGAAGCUUGAAAACGGGCGCACAGACACACUGCGAAAUGUAUGUCCGGCCUCGUCGCUGUCAAGUAGAGGAGGAAGCCGAUCAUGCUCCGGUACUCCUUCUGGUCCACCGGAUCGCCAUCUUCAUCCGCAUCUAGUGCCGUCGUCAUUCCCAUGGGUGUGGACAGUGGCUUAGCAUCAGCCAUGUCAAACUUUCUCACCACAUCCUUCGUGUACUUCCCUUGGUGCACGAAGGUUCCUUCCUUGCUUUGCUUGAUCUGUAGUCCGAGGAAGAAGGUCAAUUCACCCAUCAUCAACAUCUCGAACUCCCUGCUCAUGUCAUCUACAAACUUGGCAAUGAAAGCAUGAGAGGAACCACCAAAGAUAAUAUCAUUUACAUAAAUCUGAACAAUCAUUAAGUCUUUGCCUUGCUUGAGGAGAAAGAGAGUUUUAUUAACUGACCCCAUUUCAAACCCAUUCCAAAGCAAAAAGGAUUUCAACCUAGCAUACCACGCUCGGGGUGCUUGUUUUAGGCCAUAGAGAGCUUUUUGGAGUUUGAACACACCAUCAGGAUAUUUAGGGCUCUCAAAACUAGGGGGUUGUCUCACAUACAUUUUCUCGUCUAUGAAACUAUUUAGGAAGGCACUUUUCACAUCUAUUUACAAGAGCUUAAAACCUUUAGUCACAACAAAGGUUAGAACGAUUCUAAUCGCUUCCAAACAGGCAAUUGGGGCAAAGGUUUCCUCAUAAUCUAUCCCCUCUUUUUAACUAAAGCCUUGGGCAACCAACCUCGCUUUGUUUCUCACAACCAACCCAUUUUCACCCUAUUUGUUCUUAAAAACCCAUUUUGUUAUCGGGUGGCAAUUUGGAGGUGGUUCAAAUAAAACCCAAACCCUGUUUCUCUCAAAGUUUUCUAACUCCUCUUGCAUAGCAUUGACCCAGUUUGAAUUAGAUAAAGCAUGUCCAAUAUCUCGAGGUUCAAAAGAGGCAACAAAAGCAGAAUGUGGAAAGUGUGAAAUCUGCCUAGAACUAUGCCUAGUGGUGUGCUCAUGCAAGUUACCGAUCAUUUGUUGAUGUGGAUGGUUAUGCUGAAUGUGUCGUGGAGCUCCUCGCUCUGAAGUAGCCUCCCCCUCAACAGCAGCUUGUUCACUCUGAUCUUCUUCUUCAUCAUCUUGUAGUAGUACUUGGUGAUGGCUUGAAGUAGUGGAAGUAGGGGUUAGAGCCAUCAACUCUUGUAGUAGAAGUAGAAGGUACAGGAGGAGCAGCUGGAGCACAGUUCACUUCAUGAUCUUCUUCAUCACCACUAUCAGCAUGCUUGUCCUCUUCAAAAAUACUUUGUCCCAUUUCAUGUUCACCUGCAGCUUCAAAGACAAGGCAUAGUUUCAUCGAAAGUAAUCUCACAAGUUUCCACAAUCCGGUUAGUUUCAAGGUUAAGUACACGAUAAGCACGACUAUGAGAUGCAUAACCAAGAAAAAUACCAUCAGUGGACCGAGACUCAAAUUUCUCCAAAUUGCCUUGCUUCAGAAUAAAGUACUUGCAUCCAAACACUCUCAAAUGACUUACCUUAGGGGAAUGUCGAUGCAUCAAUUGAUAAGAGAUUUUCUUCAUAAAAGAUAACAAGAAGAUUCAAUUGGAAACAUAGCAAGCAGUGUUUAUGGCUUUGGCCCAAUAUUUCCUAGGAGUCCUAUGUCAUCAAGCAUCGUCCUAGCCAUCUCACAAAGGGUCCGAUUCUUCCGUUCAACAACACCAUUCCGAGGAGGGACAUAAGGCGAUGAAAACUGGUGUUCAAGACCAAGAUCAUUGCAAAAGGCUUUAAAACAAACGUUCUUGAAUUCUGUGCCAUUGUCAUUGUGGAUAGCUCUCAUGACAUCUUUAGGUUGCUCAUUUUUCAACCUCAAGAUCAAAUCUCAAACAAAAGGAAAUGCCUCCUCCUUAGACUCCAUGAAGAAAAUCCAUGAAUACCUCAAAAAAUCAUCAACGACUACAAGCACAUACCACUUCCCACCAACUGAGCAAACACAAGCUGGACCAACAGUGUCCAUAUGCAAUAGCUCAGAUAGAUGCUCAGUCAUCACCUGAUUCACAGGUGGAUGGGAAGCAACAACCAUUUUCCCAUGUCGACAGGAAGCACAAAUGAGAUCCUUCACAAAUUUCAAUUUGGGCAAAUCAUGAAUAAGAUCCAAAGCACUCAGGCGAGAUAGCAAAUCAAAGCUCAAAUGUCCCAAUCUCCUAUGCCACUUCCAAAGUUCAGAAGAAGAGCCAGCAACCAAACAUUGAGACAGACAAAAAGACUUCAAAAAAUCCACACGAAACACCUGACCCUCGAGGACGAUCAUACACACAAGACCUCCUCGAGAGUCUAAAAUCCUUGAGGUCCCUUGCUUAAAAUGGACCUCAAAACCAUCAUCAAGCAGUUGCAACACAGAGAGCAAAUUGAAACCAAGAGAAUCAACAAGAGCAACUUGCUUGAGCAUGAAAUUUUCACUCACCUUGAUUGCACCUUCAGACAAAACCUUACCUUUGCUAUUAUCCCCGAAAGUGAUGUACUCCUUGGUCAUCACCGGAGUGAGGCUGGAGAACCAUCUGUGAUCAUCGGUCAUGUGUUGAGAGCAACUGGAAUCAAUAAGCCACGUGUUCUCUAGGCCUCUGACCUACUCAAACAAAGGGAGACCAAGGAUGAGCAAAUGACUCAACACUAGGGUUAGAAAAACAAGUAGAAUACCAAUGUCGAACCAUUUUCUCAAGAGUGGGGUUAGCAAAAUCAACCAUCUCUCAUCUCACAGGAGGACUACGGCCAACACUAGGAGGGAAACGUGGUCCGUUGUAACUGCAAGACUCAAAGCCACGACCAUGCUUUCCUGGGCCAUAUUGAUCAUGGCGAGGAGCAUGCCUAGCAAAACCAUGCGACGGAUCAAAACGCACACUUUCCACAUGACGAGGUGGAGAAGCUGCUCUAGGCGCAUGUACACCAUGAGAAGGAUGGUACAUGUCCCUAUUGCCCCACUCACGCUCACAGCUCAAAACCUUCUUCUUGCGAAAGCAAAACUUCUCAAGGUGACCCCCUCUCUUGCAAUACUCACUAGAAGGUUGUUUUGGUUGUGGAUUUGCUUUGGGUUGAGGGUUAAAUCUUGGUUGUGGUUUGACUUUGAGUUUUGGAGAGGGAUACUUGGGAGCAAUUUCUUGAAGUGUGUCAAGCUUGUUCUUGAGGUGGUUUGGCUUUUCCAUCCAAAUAGCUUUCUUGGAUUCUUUGGGUGGUGUCUCAAUGAAAACUCCAUCUCUCACACACUCAGACACAUUUUGCUCACAAGCUAGAUUGGGUUGCUCUCUAUUUAGUGUGGGUGUCCCUCGAGGGGUAUAGUCAGCUGGUGGCUCACAUAGGUUGUAGCUUGGUUUCUUUCUCUCACCACUGUUUUGGCCCACCUUCUCACACAACCCAUCAAAGAACUUGUGCAACCCAUUAAAAUGACAGCCCUUGAUAACAGACCCAUGCCCAAAACCAUCAGCCCUUUUGAACUCCUGAAUCAUCAUGCCUAGCUGAGGUUCCCUACUUAAUACCCAACUAAGAACAGUACACAAAUAAGAAUUUUCAUCCUUACCAUGUUGCAAAGCAUCUCUAAUUUUAGGACAUUCAGUGCAAAUAGAAACUUCAGAUUUCUCAAGAACCUUAAUCCUAGCACAAGCAUCAUCAAAUUUAGUUUGUAAGGCAGAGCAAGAUUUGCAAGCACCAAACAAAACAGGUUUAGUCUUAAUCUCAUCUAGAGCAUCCCUAGUCAAAUCAAGUUCAUCUACAAGCAAAGCAUGCUUAGAUUGCAAAGAAGCUAUACUAGCCAUGUGAACAGCACAUUCAUCACACUCAACAACAUCAGAAAUGGUGAGAGCAGACUUGAGCAUAUCAAUCUCAAUCAAGGCACUCUCUAACUUAGCCUUAAGCUCAACUCGCUCUCUAGUAGCCUUCUUAAGCAAUUUAUCAUGACUGAUAAGGCAAUCAUUCAGUUCUUCUCCUUCUAAAGCAAGCUGUUCAGGAGUAGGUAUUACCUCAAUUUCUGUGUUGGAGUCGAUGUCGCUGAGGGAGGCAAUCAACGGGCACGCUUUGGCCUUCUUGUGAUGCUCCUUCUACUCACGGUCGGUGUACUUCUUGUUCUUCCUAGUGUCGUCCUUGUUCUUAUGCUUGUUGUAGUUCUACCUGCUCUUGGAUUUGUUCUUGUCGGGGCAAUUGGCUGCGAAGUGUCCUGGCGUCCUAGAGUCAAAGCAGGUGUUGUUGUUCCUUCACUGGUUCUUGUGGUUGUCAUUGAAGCACAUGAAUCGCCAUCUGAUCAAGGCGAGCUCAUCAUCAUCAAGAACCUCCAACUGCUCCUCGGACACUGAAACCAAAUAAGAUAGGGCAAAUGACAUCGAAGAAGAGCCACUCAAAGACUUAGGCUGUCCAGAGCCUGACAUGAGAACCAUACUAUUUUGAUCAGUAGGGCUCCUCUGUUUAGCUCGGAGCCUCUUGUCAACCUCUGUGGGUUUCAACUUAGCAAAGAGCUCAUCAGUGGAAAGCGUCUCAUAAUUUGGUGACUCAAUGAUAGCAUCAACCUUCAUACCCCACACUUCAUGAUCCAAGGCAUGCAGAAGCUUUAAAGCUCUAUCAUGAUCAGUGUAGGGUAAGACGGUGAUAUUUGUUUUCAUCUUGUUCAUAGUAGCCAAGAAAUGCUGAAACAAAGCAUCAGCAGACUUGCCAGGCAAAUGAACAAAGUUCUCAUACUCACGCCUGUAGGUCUCAAAGAGCCUAGCCUUCACCCAACUGUUUCCCUCAUGGAAAUUCUGAAGUUGGGACCAAAUCUCAUGAGCAAGAGUGAGAUCCUCAACUCGAUCAAACUCAGCACGACAAAGGCUCGCAAAUAGAAUAUCAAACGCCUUGUUGUUGGUGUGAUACUUAUCCCUAUCAUCUUGAGAAACACGAGCAGCAGGAAUCACGUAGUUCACAUCCUGAGUGAUUUCCCAAAUCCCUGCUCCCCUACUGUUAAGAUGGGCUUUCCUGCAAGUUUUCCAAUAUCUAUAUAGUCAGUCCCAUCAAAGUGAGGUGUAGCCGUCAAGGAAGAAUGCUCAGAGGUUGCCAUCGUGGGUUUCAAAACCGAUUAGGGUAUUGAGAAACCUUAACCGGCUCUGAUACCAAUUGAAGGACCGGAAAGGCGACCAGAGGGGGGGUGAAUGGGAGCCGAUUCAAAUUUUCUUGAAGAACUUCGGCUAAAAACCCACAAGCCUCUCUUCUAGCAAAAUCAAGUCCACUUAGCUAUGCACAAGCUAAUGGAUCUAGGAAUGAUGCUAGAAACCUAAUUUGAGAAUAGCGGAAGCAAGAAAGAAUCUAAACAAGCUCCGGAAGAUAAACUUUGAAAACCAACAUCUUUGUGCGGAAAAAUCCGAAGGAACCUUCGGAAAAUUCUGAACAUGCGGAAAUUUCCGAAAAAACCUUCGGAAAUUUCUGGAGGUUCGGAGAUUUCCGGAAUUCCAAAACAGCCUGCAUGAAGAUGGAAGAAAAAACCAAAAUUUGAUCAAACGACGUCCAAAAAUCAUGAAAUUCUAACCAUAGAUUCCGUACAACAUAACAAACAUAUUCCCAAAAGAUCUCCUCAAAAAGAUUAUCCAAAUAAAGAGAAUUAAAAAUCUGGUGAAGAACACCGCUUUUUCAACCCUAGAACUUGAAUCGCCCCAAUCUAUGAACUCGUGAGGAGUUAGAUGAAUUUUCCUUUCAUAGAAAGACUUCACUCACAUCCUAGUUCAUUUCCAAAUGAUCGGUUUGAGUCAAGCCUCCCCAGAAAUCACGAAUCGAACAAAAACGUGAGAAGGGAAAAAUGGGAGAAAACAAGAACGCAAAGAACACAAGUGAGAGUUUCAUAAAACCGUCAUCCCCCAACACUCGGAGGACACGAGGAGGUUAGGGCCUCCAUUCCUACAACAAAAACUCAAUUCAAUACAUGAAUUCGAUGCUCAAAACAUCCGAGGACCUCUAGGGAGAGAGUAGAGAGAGAGGAAAAACCAAAUGAAAUCCUAGAGAGAGAGGUAGUGAUAGAGAGGUAGAAGAGGUGCUGAAAACUUCAGCCCCCCAUCUCUAUCUAUAGGUGCGGACAAAAGACUAAAUUACCCCUAUAGCUACUACUAAAUAACGACCCACGCACAGGCAUUUUGGUCCAAGUUUUUGUGCGCUCAUCAGACGAACACACCUCCUUCACGACUUCACUUCGCCUCAACGCAGGCUAUGCGAUGAUACCACGUGCCCUCCUUCUCAAAGCUCCGGCCGCACCGGGCUCACCCCCGGUUUUGAGGCCCAAACUGGGAAACCUGCCAGCGUGGUGGUUUUCAGGCCCAAACCAUCCAAACUGUCCAUCUUCGCUUGGCCACCACGCGACCUCCUCGAUGUCGAUGCAUGUCCGAUCUCUGCGAAGCCUUUGACGCUUCCAAGUCAUCUGCUCCCGACUGCUGGGCUACCUACUUGACUUGCCUCCGUCCUGCUUGACUCAACCGACGCUGUCUCCAUCACCGUCAUGUUGUCUUGAUGUUCCGUGCACCAUGUGGACCACCCAUGACUCCGCCUGGACUCCUCAGGUCCAUCAGUCCAAGCCUACUCACGUUCAUCCUUCACCGCCCUUGGUCCAUCGGCAUGAACCUUUCGCUUGACCUUCACCACAUGCCAUUGGCCAUCACAUGGAAUCCUACACCUGCAAAUCACAAGCCAAGAAUAACAUCAAACCAACACAACAUUUUCAGUCACUCAUCAUCCAAGGAUGACCACCAUUGGUCCUCACUUGUCAAAAGUUCAUUGGUCAUGAUCGGGGCAUAAGUACGGAGCCUCUUCUUUGGCUCGCAUGAUGCUUGGGUCAACUUUGACAGUGAAUGGAGACAUGCCACCAAACUUAUCAUAAUCAUCUAACUGGUCUAUUUUGUCCUCGACUCCCACGAUUUUUCUUUUACCUAGAAGAACUAUGUGGCACUUUGGCUCCCAUGGCUCUUCUGAAUUUUUCUUGGGUUUGCUAGACAUAUCCUUCACAUAGAAAACCUGAUGCACAUCAUUGGCAAAAAUGAAUGAUUCAUCAUUGUAGGUUAGGUCCACUAUCAGGAUUCCGUACUGAUCUUUCGUUAUGCCACCUCCAGUUAGCUUCACCCAUUGGCAACAAAACAGAGGGAUGUUCAACGGUCCGUAUUCGAGUUCCCAGAUCUCCUCUAUGAAACCAUAAUAUGAGUCCUUGCUCCUGUUGUUGUCUAUGGCAUCUAUGCAGACACUAGUAUUCUGGUUGGUGCUUUUCUGGUCUUGAGCUCUUGUGUAAAAUGUAUAACCAUUUAUCUCGUAACCUUGGAAUUUCACAAUUGUGCUAGAAGGUCCCCUAGCUAACCAAGAGAGUUGUUCGGAGUUACCCUUAAGGUGUUGAAGCAACCAAGAGGAAAAAAUAUCCAUGUGAUGAUGUAUAAUCUAGGCACCAGAUUUUGUCAGGUAUUGGGAAAAUAGAAUCUGCUUCUGUUCCUUGAUAUAUGGAGCCACAAAGGAUGAUUAUUGUAGAACAGUGAAGUGUGCUUUGUGGAAAAAAUCAGUAUCAUUGCUCAAACUUGAUUUGCUUCCAAGAGUCCCCGUUCCCUGUAGACUCCCCUCGUGGUAUGAUGUUGGAACCCCAAUCAAAUUAAUUGAGUCAAUAAAAUCAACACAAAACUUAAUGACCUCCUCUGUUUGAUAUCCCUUGGCGAUGCUUCCUUCUAGAUGGGCACGAUUAUGAACAUAGUUUUUUAGGACUAACAUGAACCCCUCGAAAGGCCACAUAUUGUGCAGGAAUACUAGACCAAGAAUAGUAAUAUCUUUGACUAGGUGAACCAGGAGGUGUGUCGUAAUAUUGAAGAAGGAUGAUGGAAAUAUCAACUUAAAGCUGACAAGACAUUGUACCACAUCAUUCUGUAGCUUUACUAGCUUGGUUGGAUCGAUUGCCUUCUGCGAAAUCGCAUUGAGAAACGCGCAUAGCUUUAUGAGCACUAAUUGUACAUUCUCUGGUAGAAUACCCCUCAGUGCAACCGGAAGCAACUAGGUCAUCAGCAUGUGGCAGUCAUGGGUCUUGAGAUUUAUGAACUUUUUUCUUUCAUAUUUAUUAUUCCUUUAUAUUCUAGGUGUACCCAUACCGAGCCUUGAUACUAUUCAUGCAUUCAAACAUGCUAUCCUUCUCAUCCUUGCUGAGAGUAUAACUGGUAGGACACAAGUAGUGCUAUCCAUUAUCUCUCUUUUUUGGAUGUAGGUCAUCUCCUUGCUUCAUACGUUUCAGAUCCUGUCGUGCCUCCAAUGUAUCUUUUGAGUUCCCAUAAACAUCUAUGAAGACUAGCACGUUCACCCAAAAAUUCUUCGUCAGGUGCAUCAUGUCUAUUGCGUUAUGAACCUCUAGGAUUUCUCAAUAAGAUAGCUCCCAAAAUAUAGACUUCUUCUUCCAUAUGGGUGCACGUCCGUUAUCAUUGUUCAGAACAGGUUCGCUACCAAGACCAUUUCCAAAAACUAUCCUUACAUCCUUUAUCAUCUCAAAGACACACUUUCCAUUACAGUGUGCAGGUUUUUUAUGAUGGUCUGGCGCCCCUUUGAAAUGCAUCCCUUUCUUUCUUAACAGGUGGUUAGCAGGGAGAAAUCGAUGAUGACCCAUAUACAAGACCUUUCUACAGUGUUUGUGCAGGCCCGAUAUCCCUUUCUUGUCUGUUGUGAAAGGUUGUAGUAUUUAGUUCUUGCAUUAAACAUGAGAUAAAUAAAUUAUUUGUCAAAGAAAAUACAAUUAUUGUUAAAUUAUAUUGACAUGAAAAAUUGUAGCAAUGACCAAAUUCUAUUUUCUUACACGUACAAUUUAUUUACCUUAAUUUUAUUGCAAUGACUAAAUAUUAAAAACAUAUUUACUCUAUUUUUUCUCAUACCUAAUAUUGAUCAAGUUCUGCUAACUGAUACGAAUCAGAUAUAACAAGCAAGCCAUCCAUCAAAUUCUAGCUCAAAAACAUGUAUAAAUAAAAAUCCUCUCCAUUCUCCCUCAUUCUAAAAAACUCAUUUUUCUCCCUCUCUAAAUCAUAAAACAAAGCAUAAUAACAAUAAAUGGAGGGAGGAUGAAGUAGCUAAUCUUCACAACGCUUUGGAUGAGUGAAAUCCCCAUGGAAAUAAGGAAAAAAAUUCGGCCAGCACCUCCCCUAAUGUUGCUUGCUCGCCAUGGAGAGGAGGCAAAGUGUCUCUGGUGGAGUGGAGUGGCUCAGGCUGGGGGAGGAAGAAGAGCUCUUGGUCUGGUUAUUUUAUAGGGGAGGAGAUUUUGUCUUGGUAGGAAAUUCCAACCGGGACAAAAUACCACCCCUUUUGUCCCUAUUUGUGGUUUUGUCCUGGUUGGAAUUGCCAACCGGGACUAAACCUUUUGUUCUAAUUGGGAGGUCUUUUAUCCUAAUUGGAGUUUCCAACCCGGACAAAAGGGGGGGCGGCGUCGGUGCGAUAUUUCUAACUGUUACAACAAGGACUAAAGGGAGGGGCUUUAGUCCCGGUUGGUAUUUACAAUCGGGACUAACCCCCCUCUCCCCCCCCCCCGCCUCCGGUGGCCUUCGAUGGCACAUUUUUGACCUGGGACUAAAGCCACUUUAGUGACGAGUCCAAUGUUAACCGGGACUAAAGGGGCUCGAUGGCAGGUCAGCUCUCCAGUAGUGUACUCAAGUUCAACCAAGCAACUGGGAUGCUUGCGUCACCCCCGCGUGACUGACUCGGUGGGGCACUCCCGCCCCACCGUCGCCCCUCCACCGACGACCGCCCCUGCUGUGCUGCCACCCAAGUGGGUCGUCAGAAGCCCGUGCAGCCCACGAUGAGGGUGGCGGCGGGGCACCUUCCCUCUUCCUCAGGUGGAUCUAAGCGGGCACGGCCACCAAGCCGCCGAGGGGACUUGCUGGCAUGGGCGGCGUCCCACAGCGACGGAGAUUGGGUGGCCACGGAUCCGACACCGUGCUGGCCAAAUCCAGUGGCUAGACGACUGGUGCGCCCCUGUGGCGGUGGCGGUGGUGGCGAACCGCGGUGACGAUGUCCGGGCGGCCAUGGAUCCAGCCUAGCGCUGGCCAGAUCCGGUGGCUGUGCAACCGGAGCGACCCAAGGCAGUUGCGGCGGCCACUGGCGGCGUUUCGAUGGUGCGUGAGGAGGGCGACGACCGGGGAGGGGGGGCAUAACGCACUGCGCGGCGCCAGCCCAGACAGACGCGAGUGGAGAGCUGGCUGCGGCAGGUGCAGCCCCGUGCAUCCCCGAGGCGGUGGAGUCAUUGGCAGUGGCCAGCUGCGUGUCGUGUCUUCAACGGUGGCGGUGUGGUGUCACGGCUGAGGUCGUCUGCGCAAUGCGUGUUAGCGACACCAUGGAGGCACGGCAGGGACGCCUGGCAUAGGUGCAUACUUGUGGCACUGAGGUGGUGUUGCAGGCGUUGGCGGGCCACCUUCUCCUCGAUUGAGGAGUUACAGAGGCAGUGACGGGAGAGGGAGGUGACUGGGCACUGGUGAACGAUCGCAUGACGACGCAUGGGUGUAAGGUGGCGAUGCCCCGAGGAGACGCUCGACGACGCGUGUGAGGACUAGGGUACAGCUGCGUGAUGCAUGAAGGCGUGGCGGCAAAUGAGCGGAGGUGGAGGUACGGUAGCGUGGUGCAUGGUGGAGUGGCGGCGACGCCACCCCGAAUGGGCUACCAUGAUUGUGGUGAUAAAAGAAACGGAUCCGUGACAUGGAGUAUUGUGGCGGGCAUGGUGAGGCCCCCGCAUGUGGUGUUUUUCUUCGAGGCGAUGAGAGCGAAGUGGAGCCCAACGGCAGAUGUGGCGAGGCCCCCGCAUGUUGUGUUAUCAUGGUGUCAACUGCGUGGCUACCUGCGGGAGGUCCGGAUUCGGUGGUAUCACUCUGUCAGUUGGAGUGUGGUGUUGCAGCGGCACUACAGCAGAGGGUACCACAUGGCAGUGGCUUUCUCAGUGCGGUGCAGCGUGCUCUAUCGGUUCCCUGUCGACGAAUGGCGACGCCUGGAGGUUUUGACAAAUAUAUGAGCGGUGGGUGCCAUGCUAAAGGCUUCGGUUGUGCUGCCGUGGCGAGUGGAGUAGUGAGGCCGCGUUGACAUCCUAUUCUUACCAGUCGGGAGUGGCGGUUGAGUCGAGUAGUUACCCGUGUUGAUGUCCUAAUCCAACCGGGCGAGUCUUUUUUGUUUUUCUUUUUUUCCUGCCUAUGGCCUCUCAGAGCUGUAGUCUUGUAUUUUUCUGCUAUAUUAAUGAAACACGCACUAUCUUGUGGGGUCGGUUGAAAAAGAAUAUACAGUUAAGCAUGAAAAGAUGAUUUCAGAAAAUGCAGAAUGCAUCAUUCAGAACAGCACAGCAAGUUCAGAAACGGUCAGUGGCAAAAAGAUUAGAACUAAUCAAAUGUAUCCUGCAUUCCCACUUCAGUUGAUCUGAAGUCGACUAGGAAUUAACCUGGCGAGUUGCACAUAAUAACUAACCGAUUCGCGGAAUUUUCAAUGCAGAAAACUCGAUUCAGAGGCAAGAAUAAAGGAAAUCGUGAGAUGAGUAUUUCUCUCGCGCUUGACUGGAUGCUUGGCUUGCUUGGGUGGCAGUGGGGGUUGCGUUGGUGAGUGGUCUCUCUCUUAAGUGAUCCGGUAAAAGUCCUUGUAAAACUAGUUAUAUAACAUAUUCAAUCCAUCCAUCCCGAGUUGCAGUUGACUUUAGUUGUAUUAAAUAUCUAUCUUUAAACAAAUUUAUACAAAAGAAUUGGCAUCCGUAACGCUAAAUUAUUUUAAAAAAAAUCACCAUGAAAUGUGUUUUAAUUAUUCAUUAAUCGGUAUUGUAGAUAUUAUUAUAUUUUUUAAUAGCACCAAAGAUGAACAAUUUAGAUGCAAAUUUGGAGAGCUACUUGAGAUUCCGUUUUGCAAUGGGUGUAUAAUUUAGACAAAUAUUAGUGGUUAAUUUGAUUUAUUUUUUAAAAUGGUAGAGGUGUCCAAUUUAAAUAUAGAUAGGGGUUACUUUAGACUAGUUUCACAAAGAAGUAGCGGAUAAUUUGUAAGAAAAGAUAAAAGAUUAAAGAACUAUUAAUAUCAAUGAUUUAUAGGUUCAGAACCCGCCCGCGGUCGCCAUGAGCUCCGCCUGACCUGAACACGACAUGGUCGAGCUGGCAGAUGGUUCGCCCCGACGCAUCCUCCAUCACGUGGCACCUCGAUGUGGGGCUUGGAUCUCUAGCCUUGUGAUGUUGUGGUUGCAUCCGUGUCUCUGUCCAGUUCCUGCCCGACCUCAAGUCCUCAACAGGGGAGUAGUGUUGAUAGUAUUGAUGCACGAGUUGUUGGCUCUGCCGAUCAGGUGACUCCUAGUUGGACUCGGACUCUUACGCAUCUCGUUAUACAUAGAAGAAGGUGCCGUUGGCAAACGCCAAUCGAGGACGUCACGAUGGAUGCACACCAGCAACAGAAGAGUACACAGGCGUCGGCGAGGAAAAGAUCCAUUGUUACACCACCUUACAAUGGCCGGAGACAGCUCGCCUUCAGGAUCCGCCGGCGAGGCUUCACCUUCGAGGGCGGGCCGAGCUUGCUGAUCAUCGACCGCGACGGCAUCUGGUCCGUCGCCCACCGGUGCUACAUCCGGACGACGCGCCACCGCCGGUUCCACGGCCUGAAGGCGGAGCUCGACCCCGUCAGAGCAGGCCACGAGGCGUGGGUCCGCAGGUUCGGGCUGGACACGUGGCCGCAGUACGCCCAGGACGAGGACCUCCGGUCCCUGCGCCGGAAGCUGGCGGGCUUCUACUGGGGCGUCAUGCCGGGGGCCGAGAAGAGGAGGACGGUGAGGUUCUACCGUAGCCGGCGGCGGCGGCGGCGCGCCGCGUGCUUCGCCGCCGCGGUGGUGUGCCUGGCCGUGGCUGGUUUCGUGCUGCUGAGGCUGGUGAUGAUGGGAUUCUGCGGCGUGAGGGUGGGCCUGGUCCUGGGCUCGGGGUACCUUGUCGCGGCGUACCUGCUGGAUAGGGCGUGGCAUGCGUAUGAAGUAUGAACCCUAGUCUACGAAAUAACGAAACUGUGUUCCAUUGAUAUUAUAUUGCACCUUUAAGUUUGUGAAAAUCUUGCCACAUUUCCCAUAGAUAGCUAUCACCGCUGACUUGUAAUUCGGCCCGGCGGUGAAACCAGAGUCUCGGAUCCGAAAUUUUUAUGUGAUACGGUUUUGAGACGCUAUCGUCUGGCGCGAGCCCCCUAUCCUGCCUCGCCCCCACCCCUCCCGGAAUCUCCUCCCCCUCUCCCUCCCUUCUCUUCCUCUCUCAACCUCCUCUACCCGGUCCCCCUACCCCUCCCCCUCUCUUUCGCUCUCAGCCUCCUCCGUCCGGUCUUCUCCUAUCUCCAUCACGGAUCUCUCAUGUCUCCUCCUCUCUCCCCGUCCCGGAUCUCCACGAAGGGGAUGAGGUACGGAGGCAGCCAAGGUGCAAGGCUGCUGCCCCUCAGUUGACGCUCAUUAUUGCCACCUUUUUAAUGCUAUUUAAGUGGUAUUUUAGACUAAAUCUUAUACUAACCCGCAACUUGGUACCUGAAAUAACCUCAUAUUCGCAUAUGUAUUGUGUUUUGAACCAUAUUGCAAAAUUAGAGGAAAUACGACAUAAAGUGAGGGUUUUUGUAAAAGUUGGAUUUGGAUCCAAACUUUGGAUAUUGAAAGACAAAAUCAAGAAUAUUGGACAGCAGACCCGCAGGAGCAGCUGAAUUUGCAUGGGUCAUAUCUUCCUCAUCCGAACUCUGGUUAGAGUGAAUUUGGUGAGAACAUUGCAUGGCUUGAAAAGAUCUGCAACUUUCGUAUGGAGCACUUGGACGUUUGAGGCUUGUAGGGGGCAGGUCGAUCGGCUCAAGAGGCCUAUGUUGAUCGGCCUGGCCCUUUUCUGAGUUGGUUCGACGUGCCCUUCGUCCCAUGGCACCUCUAGCCUAUAAAUAUCUCCAUUCUUCAUCGGCAUACAUAUCCAUCCACCAGAACUUGAUGAAACCUAGGGCAUUCACCAGAGGAAUCUCUUUUGAAUCUUAAGCCAAAGCCCUGGCAGCGCCUCCUUUCUCUCUCUAAAUCUCUAAUCCAAGACAUGCAUCUCCAAAUCCAACACCGCAGCAGAGCACCACAUGUUUGAUCGAUGUUGUGGCUUCGAUAGAGAAGGAAUAAUGUAGCUGUUGGUUCCAUCGCGUUGGAACCGAGCGAUCAGCCUGCGCUAUUGAGCUGGCAGUGGCACCGGCUGACUAGCAGCAGGGCAUGCCGGCCUUCGCUCCUCCCUCAUCGCCACAGGCCCACAGCUGCAUAUGUGUUUGCUUUGCUUUAGUACAGAUACCGUUCUAGAAGAAGGUGCUGAUCAGCUGAUGCAUAUGCAUUUGCUUCAGUCGACAUGCUAUUUCACGGCAGGUCAAUAAGCAAAAUCAGUCCUCUUUAGUUGGAAUGCGCAAAGAAUGGCGUCCCCUUUGGAAUGAGAAUUUUCUCAGUUAAGCAGUGACCUAAUUACGCAGUUGCUACAAUCUAGGCAUGCACGAUUAUUUUUCCUCAUGUAAAGAUCAAAAUGAUACCGUUUUCAAUUUGUCUCGUCCCAAGACAAGUGACUAUGACUAUUUUGAGGAAACAAUUUAAGAAUUUAAGAUAAUUUAUAUGAUUGUAAUUAUAUAGAAUCUUUAUUCGUGAAGAAGAUGUUACAGGGAGUACUAUCAUCAAACCAGACUCAACCUUUCUGCUAACUCAUGCAGCAUAUAUUUUAUAUUAGAAGUGUUACAAUUUCUCUAGCUUCAAAAUUUCAUGUUUCACAUCCUUUAGAAUCCAAUCAAGUGACACUGUCCAACACUCAAAAGGGCACCCUAGCGAUGCACUGGCUAACGCAACGGUCGAAAAUUUGGUGCGGACGGUCCCCAAACCAGUCUCCAUGAGGACCAGCCUUGGAUGGCCGACGCGUGGACAUCCCAGCAAUCCGGGGCCUGCUUGCCCCUGCUCGCCCGGCUCCCAACCGCGACACGAGGACAUGGCGCUCGUCAUCGUACGCGCUAGACCCGGACGUGCUCCCGGCCUUCGUAUCGGCUGUCUCGGACGCGCACCCCCACCGACAGAACAUCGCGCACGGCGUCCCACCAGCGCAGCACCGUGGCCCCGCUCGUCCCACAAAUCAUCGCCGACGCGCUCGGCCGCGUGCGCGAUCAGGGCUCAUCUGUCAGUGCCACACUCGUUGACACCACGCACUCCGGCCUGGCGGCCUGUGAUGGACGCCCUACUCAUGCAAGUCAACAUCACGCCUGAAGCCGAGCCUACACGAGCGCCUGCCAAGAGCCAGCGAACUGCAUGUUAAUUCGAUCCGAUGGAUAGGUCUGCACAGAAACAACUCUGGGGACCAUCACGAUUGAAUUUUCUUCCCAGAUAUCCUACUUAAUGAUCUUUGAUGCUGACCCUGAAUGUCUAGUUCGCUUUGGGCUACCUUCCUUCUACCCGCGCACUCCUUUCUCGGUACGCUCAAAUUUCUAAGCCCUCGGAUUUGAAACAAACGGUUGAGAUCAACUUCUCUUCCUCCUUUUGUCUUCUAACUUGGACAUUCUUAUCCACUCAUCAACGUUGCCCGCACUUUCUCCUCCUCCCACUCAUUAGCUGGAGUCAAAGAUGAAUGUCGCGCCCUCUUCAAACACGACGGUGGGCUUAAUGAUAACUGAAGCCAUUGAGUUCGCCAGCGGAUCUUUAGCGAGAUCCCCUACCUAGCACGCCAGUUGUCAGUGUUUAGACUUGGCAACCUACUGAGGGGGUACUCGAGGUAGUGUUUUGUGCAUGGGGCUCGCCGAAUACUAGGAACUCGAAGUUGAACUCAAACACACCACUACUAGAAAAAUGAGCAUUCAUCCCGAGGCUUAGUACCGGUUGCAUUUUGGCUCAGUACUAAUGUAAGCAUUAGUAGUGGGCCUAACAGCUAGUCCCCAAGGGACCGCCCGUGAGGCCCUUUAGUACCGGUGCACAUUUGUACUGGUUGGUGCCCCCAACCGGUACAAAUGCGCCACCCACCAAUUAGUACCGGUUCGACGCACAAACCGCUACUAAUGUGCCACCCCCCUUUAGUACCGGGUGGGAGCACCAACCGGUAUUAAAGUUCCUCCUAUAAAUCCCCUCCUUCUUCCUUCUGCCCGAGCUAUUUCCUCUAGCUCAAGCUUCACCCUAUCCAUGGCGAAAUAGGGGGAGGUGCUGCCGGAUUUGUGACCAUUUGUAGGGGGAUUCCACUCAUUCAAGUGUUCUAAAGGUUAGAAACUUCAUCCUCCCUUGAUACAUGGUUAGUAUAGUAAGUUUUAUACUUUAGAGCUAGUAGUUUAUGAUUUUUAGAAUAAGAUAUAAUGGAGAAAUUUUUCAUUUAUAUGAAUGUGUUAUUUAUAGCUCAUAUUUAUUUUUUUAAAUAUAUGCACCAUUUUGUAUAGGAAAUUGUAGGAAAUCAUGUUAACUUAGAAAAAAUUCUUGAAGUAGCUAGAAUUUAUAUAAAAUCAUGUUAAUUCUUAGAAAUGUAUAAAAUAAGUGAAAAUUACAUCAUGUUAAUUUAGCAUUUAUGUUAUAAAAUUGUAGAAAAUAAUGUUUAUUUCUCGUUAAUUCAAGAAUUUUUCUAUAUUCUCUAGCUAAUUCACCAUUUUUACUACAAUUUCUAUUUAAUUCAUAUACUGCAGAAAUAGAAAAAGAAUUAACCACAGCUCAAGCUUCACCUUAUCCAUGACGCCAUAGGGGAGGUGCUGCCAGAUUUGUAACCAUUUCUUGGGGAUUUCACUAAUUCAAGUGUUCUAAUGGUUAGAAACUUUAUCCUCCCUUGAUACAUGGUUAGUAUACUAAGUUUUAUGCUUUAGAGCUAGAGUAAUUUGUGAUUUUUAGAAUAAGGUACAAUGGUGAAAAUUUUCAUUUACAUGAAUGUGUUAUUUAGAGCUCAUAUUUAUUUUUUUAAAUAUAUGCACCAUUUUCUAUAGGAAAAUGUAGGAAAUCAUGUUAACUUAGAAACAAAUUCUUGAAGUAGCUAGAAUUUAUAUAAAAUCAUGUUAAUUCUUAGAAAUGUAUAAAAAUAAGUGAAAAUUACAUCAUGUUAAUUUAACAUUACGUUAUCAACUUGUAGAAAAUAAUGUUCAUUUCUCGCUAAUUCAAGAAUUUUCUAUAUUCUCUAGCUAUUUCAACAUUUUUACUAAAAUUUCUAGUUAAUUCAUCUACUGCAGAAAUAGGAAAAGAAUUAACCAUAGCUCAAGCUUCACCCUAUCUGUGGUGCCAUAGGGGAGGUGCUGCCAGAUUUGUGACCAUUUCUUGGUUAUUUCACACAUUCAAGUGUUCUAAUGGUUAGACACUUCAUCCUCCCUUGAUACAUGGUUAGUAUACUAAGUUUUAUGUUUUAGAGCUAGAGUAAUUUGUGAUUUUUAGAAUAAGGUACAAUGGCAAAAAUUUUCAUUUAUAUGACUAUUAUUUAGAGCUCAUAUUUGUUUUUUUAAACAUAUGCACCAUGUUGUAUAGGAAGUUGUAGGAAAUCAUGUUAACUUAGAAAAAAAAUUCUUGAAAUAGCUAGAAUUUAUAUAAAUUCAUGUCAAUUCUUAGAAAUGUAUAAAAAUAAGUGAAAAUUACAUCAUGUUAAUUUAGCAAUUAUGUUAUCAAAAUGUAGAAAAUAAUGUUCAUUUCUCGCUAAUUCAAGAAUUUUUCUAUAUUCUCUAGCUAUUUCAACAUUUUUACUAAAAUUUCUAGCUAAUUCAUAUACUGUAGAAAUAGGAAAAGAAUUAACAUGAUUUCAGUUUAAUGAUAUUUUUUUCAUAUUUUUUAUGUUUCAUUUAUAAUUGUAUGGAUGAUCAGAAUAUCUUUGGUUCGGUAAUAUUUUGUAGAUGGAUGGACAAUGGAUGUACAACGCAGACAAACGUUCCAUGGAGUAUAUUAAUGGCUUGCGUGAUUUUCUCGAUCAGGCAAAAUCCAACAAACUAUGGUUCGGUUUCAUUUGUUAUCCAUGCAGAAAUUGCAUAAAUAAGAAGGAUUACUCAUCCAAAAAGACUAUUCACGCCCACAUAUACAGUUCUUGAUUCAUCCCUAACUAUUUUGUUUGUAUCAAGCACAGGAAAAGAGGAGUUAUGAUGGAUGAUGAUGAUGAAGAAGAAGAUGAAAACAUUCCUGAAUGGAUUCAAGGAAGUGCCUUUGUAGAUGCUCCAAUGGGCGAGGCAGAAGAUCCUAUCGAUGAUCUAGGUCAGGUGUUGCGAGAUUCAAAGGAAGACUGCGAGAAUGUGAACGAGUCAAAAUAGUUCGAGCAUAUGUUAGAUGAUCAUAAGAAAUUGUUGUACCCAGAUUGCAUACAAGAGCACAAAAAGUUGGGUACCACACUGGAAAUGCUGCAAUAGAUGGAAAAAAUGGAGUUUCUGACAAGGGUUUUGAUGAGUUAAUGAAAAUCAUAAAGAACAUGCUUCCCGAGGGGAACAAAUUGCCAUCCUCAAAGUACGAAGCAAAAAAGAUUGUUUGCCCUUUGGGUUUGGAGGUACAAAAGAUACAUGCAUGUCCUAAUGACUGUAUCCUCUAUCGCGGUGAGGAAUACAAGAAAUUGGAGGCUUGUCCUGUGUGCAAAGCGCUGCGUUAUAAGAUCAGGCGAGAUGACCCUAGUGAUGUUCAGGGGCAUGCCACCAUGAAGAAAGUUCCUGCAAAGGUAAUGUGGUAUAUCCCUAUAGUACCACGGUUGAAGCGUUUGUUCAGAAACAAGGCACAUGCAAAGUUGAUGCGGUUGCACAAAGAAGAACGUAAGCAAGAUGAAAUGAUCAGACACCCCGUUGAUGGCUCCUAGUGGAAAACAGUUGAUAGAGAAUUUCCCGAGUUUGAAAAGGAUGCAAGAAACAUACGGUUUGGUUUAAGUACAGAUGGAUUCAAUCCAUUCGGUGAGUUCAGUAGUGGUCAUAGCACUUGGCCUGUGACCUUAUGUAUGUUCAACCUUCCGCCUUGGAUGUGCAUGAAGCGGAAGUUCAUUAUGAUAUCGAUAAUUAUCCAAGGCCCAAAAUAAACUAGCAGCAAUAUUGAUGUUUACCUAAGACCGUUGGUUGAUGAACUUAUACUAUUAUGGAAGAAAGAAGGUGUACGUGUGUGGCAUGAGGACAAAAAUGAGACUUUUAAUCUACGAGCAUUGUUGUUCAUAACCAUCAACGAUUGGCCAGCGCUUGGUAACCUAUCCGGACAAUCAAACAAGGGAUUUCGAGCCUGCACACACUGGUUAGAUGAUACUUGCAGCAUGUAUUUGAAACACUAUAGGAAGGUCGUGUAUACGGGCCAUCAUUGAUUUCUUCCUGCUAAGCACCUGUUAAGAAAGAAAUGGAAGCAUUUUGAAGGAGAGGAAAAAAUGUACUAAGCCCGUUCACCGUAAUGGUAAACGUGUAUUUUCUAUGAUAAAGGAUGUGAGGAUAGUCUUUGGCAAGGGCUCUGGAAACCAACCUGUUCCGAACGACGAGGAUGGAAAUGCACCCAUGUGGAACAAGAAGUCUAUAUUUUGGGAGCUAGCUUAUUGAGAAGUCCUUUAGGUCCGUAAUGCAAUUGAUGUGAUGCACCUGAUGAAAAAUCUUUGUGUGAAUGUGCUUGGCUUCCUGGGUGCAUAUGGAAAGGCAAAGGAUACAAUUGAAGCACGUCGGGACCUGAAACGUAUAAAACAACGAGAUGGCCUACAUCCGGAAAAGACAGAUGAUGGGUAUUACUUGCAUCCUGCCAGUUACACUCUCAGCAAGGAAGAGAAGGAAAACAUGUUUGAGUGCUUGAAUAGUACCAAGGUCCCAUCGAACUACUCCUUAAAUAUAUAGGCAUUAAUAAAUUUUAAACAAAAGAAAUUCAUAAAUCUAAAGGCUCAUGACUGCCAUGCCCUGAUGACACAAUUGCUACCUAUUGCAUUGAGGGGUAUUCUACCAGAGAAUGUGAGAAUGACAAUUGUGAAGCUAUGUGCAUUUCUCAACAUGAUUUCUCAUAAGGCAAUCCAUCCAAAAAAUCUACUAAAGCUGCAGAAUGAUGUGGUGCAAUGCCUUAUCAGCUUUGAGAUUGUCUUUCAACCUUCCUUCUUUAAUAUCAUGACCCACCUUCUAGUACACCUUGUUGAAGAGAUUUUUGUUCUCAGUCCUCUAUUUCUUAAUAAUAUGUGCCCUUUCGAGAGGUUUAUGGAAAUUCUGAAGAAGCAUGUUCGUAACCGUGCUCGUCCGAAAGGAAGCAUCACAAAAGGAUAAGGAAUAGAGGAGGUCAUUGAGUUUUGUAUUGACUUUAUUGAUGACCUGAGUUCGAUUGGAGUCCCUAUAUCACGCCAUGAGGAGAGACUGAAGGGAAAGGGCACACUAGGGAGGAAAGUUUGGAUGGACAUUGAUAAGGAUACAUUUCAUAAAGCACACUUCACGGUCCUGCAACAAUUAUCCCUGGUCACUCCAUAUAUGGAGAGCACAGGGCUAUUGUACGGUCCUCAAACAAAUGGAAGACUGAGGCGUGGAUUACACGUCAUCACAUUCACACUUUCACCUCUUGGUUGUGACGACAACUGAUGGGUGAUGAUAAAAUUGAAGAACAACUAGCAUGGUUGGCUAGGGGUCCAUCUAUCUCAGUAUCGAUAUUCCAAGGAUACAGGAUAAAUAGGUACACAUUUUACACCAGAGGCCAAGAUCAAAAGAGCACAAACCAAAAUAGUGGUGUCUAUAUAUAUGCAAUAUACAACAAUGGAAAAAAGAUAGAUACUAUGGUGUCAUUGAGGAGAUAUGGGAACUCGACUAUGGAUCUUUGAAAAUCCCUCUGUUUCGGUGCCAAUGGGUGAAACUUACUGGAGGAGGCAUAACGACAGACAACUAUGGGAUGACACUAGUAGACCUCAACAAGAUUGGAUAUAGAGAUAAACCAUACGUCCUAGCCAUUGACGUGACUCAAGUUUUCUACAUGAAGGACAUGUCAAGCAAACCAAUAAGGAAGGGUGCUAAUAAGUCAGAUGACCAGCCAAAGCGCCACAUAGUUUUUCCAGGGAAUUGAAAAAUUGUUGGAGUUGAGGAAAAGACUGACAUUUUAGAAGAUUAUGAUCGGUUCGAUGAUCUUCCUCCAUUUUCAGUCGAGGUUGAUCCAAGCAUCCCGUUAGCCAAAGAGGACACUCCAUACUUACGCCACGAUCACAACCAAGGGAUGUUCAUCAAAAGGAGGGUUAUUAACAUCCCAUUAGAUGAUGUUGGGUAAUGUAUUUGAACCAUUAUGUUGUGUUUUUGGUUAUCAACAAAGAAAUUAAUGUAAUACCCUUAAUUAUGAAUGGUUAGAUCUUGUUUAUACUUUAUACCACUAGGUGAUGGUAUUGUGCACCGUAAAAGAGAUCCUAGUUUAUAAACAAAAGUAAAAAAGAAUAAAUGUAAGAACCUUUGUUGCCCAAGCAGGGCUGGCUUUAGUUGUAGAGUUAAAUUGUCUGGUCAAUUCGUCACUCUGCAUUUGACAUUGCUUAAGCACAUAUCUCUGCAUUUGACCUCGCUUAAAGACUUGGCUCUGUGCUUGACCUUGCUCAAGCACAUCUCUCUGCAUUUGACCUAGCUUAAAGACUUUGCUUUGCAUUUGAUCUUGCAUUUCUUAUGGACAUAGAUGGCCUUUGAUAAGUUGCCCUCUUCAAUGGACACAAGUCUUCCUUUUAGAUAAUAUACCAUCGGACCAUGAAUCUGAAAUAGGAGGAAAACAAUGCCAGUGUGAUGCAAUAGAUGUUACAUAAUGUAAACUAUAUUACCUCCUCAUUCGUUCUAAACGAAUGGCAGAAAAUGCAUUCAUCUUCGAAUAAGUUGAUUGGAGUUAGCAAUCUCUUCAAUUCAGUAGUACCUCCAAUUCGAAUAAGUUGAUUGAACAAUACUAUUUGCAAAAAUCUCACCCUAUUAAACAUGAACUAAUUUUUGCAUGGUUAAAAUAUUAAAUAUUUCAAUUUUUUUAGCACCAUUAAAUAUUAAACAAAAAAUUUACGUACCUAAACAAGUACAUGAUUAAAUCAUGAUAAACAUGUUAAUAACACUACAGGCACUAUUCUUCUAAUUUUUGCAUGGUCAAAAUAUUUAUUUUUUUGAAUUUUAAAGUUACCAUAUGUAUUAUGACCAUUAUAACCUAUUACUAAGUUAAAAUCAAUAACUUUACCAUGUUUGAUAUUUGAUCGCAUCUGACAUUUUUAUAGUGUAUAUCUAAUAAACAUGAAGCUACCAAAUUGUUUUUCCAAUUUUUAUGAAUGUUAUUUGAUUUACUACGCAAUAAAUUAAUACAAUAGCAAUUGUAAAAGAAAGAAAAAUAAAAAGAUGUUUGGGUGGGAAACUAAAACAGGAGUAUGCAACCCCUUUAGUACCGGGUGGUGGGAACCCGGUACUAAAGGCCUCCCCUUUAGUACCGGGUGUUCCCACCACCCGGUACAAAAGGGCCUUUAGUAUCGGCUCCCCUUUUUGCCCAGUACUAAAAGGGGAGGGGGGUUAAGGCUGGCGCCCCUUCUUCUCCCUCAACACUUAGGCGCAUUUUGCACGUCCUCCUCUCGCUCGAUCCGCCACCGUCGCCUCCUCGCUUCAUCCGCUGCUGCUGUGCCCCCUCAUCGCCAUUGUUGUCUCGCCGCGUGGGCCCCUCCUCACCUCAUCGUCGCCCGACUCUGCCACCUCGGGUCCCCGCGCCCCCCGUCGCCACCCUGUCGUUGCCACCUCCACGUCACUGUCGGUGUCUUAGACCGGCAACUCGCCUAGGGGGUACCCUAUGUGGUCUUUUGUGCAGUAAGGGCCAUCGAGAAUCAAGGAGUCGAUGGUGAUGCAAGGAACACGAUUUAGAUAGGUUCGGGCCGCUAGAUCGUGUAAUACCCCACGUCCUGUGAGUUGGUUGUAUUGAUCUUAGAUGUACUGGAGUUGUCCUUGAGGGGGGUCCCUGCACACCCUUAUAUACACGGGAGGGCAGGGUUACAAGUCUGAAUCCUAGUUGAGUACAAUUACAGAGUUCUACUCGGUAUGGUCCGAGUAGUUUCCAUAUACAUACUUAACUAGUCCGAGUGGGAUAAGCCUAUCCCCUUGUCUUGAUCAUGUCCGAGUACAUCCCUUAAUGGGUCAUUCAGGGCCUACUCGUAGGCCUGGGGUGCAUGCCCGACAAGCCCCCGAGUACUUUGUAGUCGUGCGCCACAGUCUCGAGUACUGUGGGCACCAUUCGAGUACUUCGUAGAGGCUGUAGUGUCCAAAGUGCUCGAGUACUAUCGCAUGGCUGGAAGGUAAUCUUCUUGUUCCUUUGAGUUGCUCUAUUCCAAGAAUUUUAUGGUAGUGCGAUGACAAUCGCACUCCAUAUGGAGUAGCCCCCGAGCCUUAGGUUGAGUCAAAGAGUCAGGCUUAGGGUCAAUCCUGCUUCUUGGCUAUUUUACUCUGGUAAUCUAAAAAAGAAAAUUCUGAUCAUCGGGUACAAUACCCGCAACCCCCGAGCACUUAGGCGAUUUUUUGUCGAUGAAGUGGUCAAAACCUGUUGAUAGGAGUAGCCGUUGGGUGUUAUGGUAAUAAAUCUAUUUCAAACCUGACCGUUGCGUAACUGACGCUUAGAAUCCGGAGGUGAAGGAGAUAUAACAGAAAGGUCCCCCUUUUGGUUAGGGUUACGUUUCAUUUCAACAGAUCUAUUUUGUCCCCUUUUCCCCCGCUUUUUUGUUCCUCCUUGCGCCACCGUGAUUCUUCAGUGCCACCACCACCAUUGUUGUUGUUCUUUGAGAGAAAUCUGAGGUUGACUUCCUUGCUGCAGCAAAGAUCAUCUGAUGUGCACCAAGAAGAUGGGGAAGAAACCCGAAAAAUCUCAAGGCGACGCUCCGGCGGCGGCUAAGGUGAGAUCCAAGAUGAAGAAGGGAAAGGAGCUGGCAUUGCCGGCGCCAAAGGUUGGUCCAACGAAUCAGACUGUGCCGCCAUCACCUGGAAUUACUUGGCAGAAUUCGGUGAUGAAGGAGGCUGCCAUUCAGGCGCUUGUUGAUUCCAAACUUCUGCAGCCAAAGGAGGUACUCGAGUGGAGGACUGCCUUUGCUAACGCGUGGCAGUUCAAGAAGCAUCCGAACGAGAAAGUCAUGCUCACUCACUUUGUGGAAAGGGGAUUGGUGGUGCCUACCUCCGACUUCUUCAGAGGUAUCCUUGAGUACUCCAAGCUUCAGCUGGUUCACUUGAACCCCAAUAGUGUUCUUCAUAUAUCUAUUUUUGUACACUUGUGUGAGGUCUAUCUGGGAGUUCCUCCUAGCCUUAAGCUAUUUAGGAAACUAUUUCGUUGCAAGCCUCAGCCUAGUGCUAUUAGGAUAGAGGUUUUUGGAGGGGCCAGGUUCCAACUUAGGAACUCGGGCACCUAUCUUGAUUAUAAUUUGACAGAUUCCCAUGGUGAGUGGAAAAGGAAGUGGUUUUACAUUGGGAACCAUAGUCCUUGCUUGCCGGUAGUUACUGGUCACGCCCCCAAGCAUGCGGAGAACUGGGUGAGCGAGCCUGAAGAUACCCUAGAGCUCGACCACUUGCUGACCCAGAUUGCUGAGUUGAAGGCACUGGGUUUAACUGGAAUUAAUGUGGCAGCCAGCUUUCUUAAGAGGAGAGUUCAGCCUCUGCAGAAACGGGCUCACUCGGGUUGGGAGUACUCGGGAUUUGAUGACCAGUCACGUAUGUCUACUGAGGAUAUUUCCGAUGAUGAUGUGGAGGCACUGUUGGCCAAGUUCUUCAGAAAUUAUCAAGGAGUACCCGUUAUUCCUUCAACUCUUCGCCAAUUCGAUGCUUGGUAUGGAUCAUCAAAGGUAUGUUUUUUGUCUGACCUCUUUUUUUUUUGAGAUGUUGGAAUAUUAUUUGUGUAACGACUUAUUCUGUAGUCCUGAGUUCUCUCCGGAUACCUGGUGUAUUCAAAGGAAGAGUCUGCCGCUGAAGAGUCAGAAGAUGAGCCUUCUCCUCCUGCGAAGAAACGCCGAGUAGUUCGCAAGAGGUCUGCUGCUAAGUCUGCCUCGACUUCAACUCCUGAGAAGUCUCAGGGUGCCAAGGUAUGUAGUCAUGUAUUCACUGGUAACUGGUAGGGUCUAUCCUAUAGCCUUUUGAUCACUUUAUUUGUCUGAAAAGGUUGACGAUGCGACUCUUGGUGACGAUGAGGCUACAUCCGAUGAGGUAGCCGCGGCCACCAAGGACGUAGGUGUUGCGUCUGUUGAAAAGGUACCAGGGGAGGUGCUGCCAGUGGAUGCUGGAGUAGCCCCCGAGCCAACAGGCCAGACUCCGUCGGCUACCGUGUUGCCGGUCCCUAACCAGGCAGUUCUAGGUUUGCCUGCUAGGGUUUCGGAUGUUGCGAAAGGGGUAUCGCCAGUAGUUGCUACUGGCUCUUUAUUAUCCAAUGUGAUCGCUAGUGGUGAGCCUUCUCCCCGACUAUUUUUGUUAGUUUGAGUUUAUUGUAGUCUUGACCCUAUUUUUGCAGGACUUAGCGAAAAAACUGCACCUGCAGCUACUCCUGUGGUGCCGAGUACUCGACCGUCUGUUGCUGAGAAAAAAUGUGUGCGAUUGCCGCCACGAUCAACUCAGUGAGUUUUUUAUUCUUGGUUUGUAUCUUCAAGUCUCCUGGAAGUCAUGUGAUGACUUUGUAUUUUAAUGUAGGGAUGCAGAGGAGACUGUCCCUGUAGAGGCAUGAGUAGAGUCUUGUCCCUCGACUACUCUUUCUACUCCUUUGGAUGAUCUAUCUGUUGAUGAUGUAUCCGGAGUUGAUGCUAGUCGUCUUGGUGCCACCAUGUCCAUGCUUCAGGAAGUGAUCCGCUCGGUGGAGGAUCCUUCAGUUGCUUCAGGUUCUGGUGGUGUACCCUUGUCGACGUCUACUAGCUGUGUCCUGGUUGUGGUUGAUAAGACCAAAGAGACAGCUCUGCUGGGUAUGUACUCGGGGUAGUGAUAUUGUAGUCGUUGUUUUUGUUUGACUCAUGUUCGUCACUUUUAGGUACAGCCUUGGGUACGGUUCCAGCUCCUCAUGUUGUAAAGAGUGCUCAAGGUCCGGUACUCGGGCUUCCAUCAGAGUCAGAGUUUCAGAGAGCUAUGCAAAGCUUUCAGGUAUGUUAUUUCUCUUAUCUGUCUAUUUGUUGCUAAGAGACUUGACCCUUUGCUUUUCUUUGCAGGAUCUGUACGACAGGACUCAGAGGAAUGCUUGGGCCCUUCAUGAACGGAAUGAACAAUUGGAGCGGGAGUGUGCCCGGCUUACAGAAUCUUUGAGGGUUCAUGAAGACGCUGCGAAGUCCUUCGCCAUUGAGCGGUCAGAUCAUGAGGUUUUGCAAGAGAAACUGGAGAGCCACUAUAAGUCUUUGAAUAAAAAGUAUCAAGGUGAGUACUUUCCAUUCCUUGGGUAUAUCCAACUGUAGUCGGUUUUUUGAACUUGUUUGUUUUUGUAGAUCUCAAGAGGAAAGAGGAUGAUGCGAGUAGUCAGCUCCUUGACUGGAGGAACGCGCAUGACCGGGUAGCCGAUGAGGCUAAUCUUCUUCGGGCUGCGCUGGCUGAAGCACAGGCUGCCUGCGAGCAUCAGCGGGAUAGGAAGAACCAAAAUGGAGUGAUGCUUGCUGUGGCCAUGGUGGCCUGUAGGGAUCAUGGCCAGACCAUAGGAAGACUUCGAGGCGAGCUUCAAGAGCUAACUGAUGCCGCUUAGGACUUGGUGAAUGCCAAUGCCCCUCUUGAAGAGGACGCAAGACCACAUUCACUAGUCGAGCGCUUGAAGGCUGCUCCGGGUAAGGUGGCUGGCCUCUGCAAGGCUGUAUGUAAACAAGUCCUUGUUGUGGUCAAGUCGUAUUACCCGGGAGCAGAUUUGACGGUGGCUGGUGACGGCGUUGCUCGCAACUGCACGGAGGAGGCUUAUACGCAGUACCUCGAGUAGGCUAAACCAAUUGCAUCGAAGAUGUCUGAUUUUAUAUCUUUGGAGGAGCCUUAGGCCUUGUGUACUUUUGUAGGCUUCCGAGUACUUGGAACAAUAUUUUGUUUGAAAAAUGAACACUUGUCCAUCCUUUGUUAUUUGGAGCGGUUUCGAGUGCUGAGUUUGAGUAGUCACGCUGUUGUCGAGUACUCUGCUUGUUAUUCUUUGAUGGGGGGUGCACGGGUGUACUGUACUCUUUUGUCCUUUGUAGCGUGAAUGCUUUCAUGUGGGCAUAGUCAGAGGUCAUCCAGACUCGUCGAUCACGGGCGAAUAGUAACUCCUGGGUGGUUGGUGGUUGCAGCGCUUGGCUAUAAAUAGACCGCCAUGGAGGUCGACCCGAAUCAGGCUUUGAGUAGCGAUGGAUUGCCUUCGGUUGCUGUUGUUUGAGUGUAGAGAGCCUUCAAAGAGUACACCGGUGCUAGAAGAUUCCUCGUAGAUUGGAGCCACCUUCCCUCCAUAGACUCUAGCACUUGUAGGGAUAGCCACGAUACUAGAAGAAUCCUCGUAGGAGGGUGCAUCGCGCGCCUCAUCUUGCAGCUCGUGAUCUAGCCAGGUACGCGCUGGAACUCGCGAGUGAUGGCUGAUGAGUGCCACGGUCUUUAUCCCGCUCUCUUAGAGGUGGAGGUAUGGCCACAGUGUGGGAUGGUUCGACAAGGCUAGCAAAAGAGCAGCCUUGUUACCUUCUUUGCGCAACACGCGAGAUUCAUCGUUGCCGCUGUCGAGGUAGCAGUGAUGCAGGAGUUCCUGGUGCUGCCUUGGGUAGAGGACCUAGAUAUGGCUGCGUUUUGCGCAGCUUCCUUACGUGUGGGCCCUUCCCAUUGUAGUCGGCAGACCUUAGUGGCCUUGUGAUAUUGUAAAAGCCUAAGGCUUAAAUGCAGCCCGCCAAUAGGCAAUUGCUUGUAGUCCAUUUGUAUUGUAUUUUGAGUACCCUUACUCAUAUGUAACUUUUGAUUUGUCCUCGGACUUGAGUAAAAAAUUGUUCUGCCUUUGAGACUUUGUGCCAAAGCUGGGAUGCCUAUUUUUGUAGUCUUGUGUCGAGAGUAGUAUAUUUUGUAGUCGGUAGUCGAGCUGUUGGCUCAAGUAGUUGAAAUGAGUUUCUGCUUGAAGCAAUAACUCGAGUUCUUUUGUCUACUACGGGUAGUAGUGACAGAGAUAUUCUAUAUUCCAAGAGUUUGGUACUUGUUCUCCUGAAAGUUCUUGUAGUAUGUAAGAUCCGGGCCCUAUAACCUUGGAUACAAUGUAAGGACCUUCCCAUGGUGAAUUGAGUUUAUGCAAUCCAAUCGUGUCUUGAAUUCAUUUGAGGACCAUGUCGCCUAAGUUGAAAGAUCGUUCCUUGACAUUGCGGUCGUGGUAUCAUCUUAACCCGUCAAGGUAUCUGGCUGAUUGGACUAAUGUUGCGCAUCUUGUUUCUUCUAGGCUAUCCGAAUCCGUGCAUCUUGUUUCCUCUGCCAUUUCUUCGUCAUAUUGUUCUACUGAAGGAGAUUGCCACAUGAUGUCCGCGGGUAGUAUAGCUUCUGAGCCAUAUACUAGAAAAUAGGGAGAGAGCCCAGUAAUCUUGCAAGGUUGGGUUCGUAGUCCCCACAGAGCGUUAGGUAGUUCCUUAAGCCAUUUGCCUCCUUUUGUAUUGCCAACGUCGUGUAGUCUUUUCUUGAGAGCUUCGACUAUCAUUCUGUUAGCACGCUCGACUUGUCCAUUUGCUCGUAGGUGAGCGACUGAGACGUAGCGGACAUCAACUCCACUAUUCUCGCAGUACUCCCAUAAGUCAUGAUUGUUGAAGUUGGACCCUAGGUCUGUGAUGAUUCUGUUUGGAAAGUAGUAACGGUGUACGAUUUCAUCCAAGAAGUCGAGGACUCGGUCUGCCUUGGGGCAAGUGACUGGUUUGACCUCAAUCCACUUGGUGAAUUUGUCGAUGGCCACGAGUACUCGGUUGAAUCCUCCUAGCAUAGUUGGUAAUGGCCCUAUCAUGUCUAACCCCCAGCAAGCAAAAGGCCAUGUUGGAGGUAUUGUGACUAGCUUGUAGGCAGGGACAUGUUGCUGUUUGGUGAAGAAUUGACAGCCUUUGCAUUUUCGAACUAACUGUUUCGUGUCGGCCAAAGCCAUCGGCCAGUAGAAACCUGCUCGAAAAGCCUUGCCUACUAUUGUUCAUGAGGAUGCAUGGUUGCCACAGAUCCCCUUGUGAAUUUCUUCUAGGAUUUCUUGGCCAUCUUCAUGGGUAACACACUUCAUGAGUACCCCUGAUGAUGCACUUUUUCUAUAGAGCUUGUCUCCGACUAGAACGUAGUUUUUUCCUCGUCGGGAAAUUUGCUCAGCUUGAUUUUUGUCAGAAGGUAAUUUGUGGUCCUUGAUGUAGUCGAUAAAGGGUGUCCUCCAGUCAAUUUUUAUCAUCAUGAUUUCUCGAGUGACUUCUGUAGUAUGGACUACCGGUGGUGUCACUUGUUCUGGUAUGGACGGCUUGUGGAGUUCGUGGACAAAAAUUCCUACUGGAACUUCUGCACGAGUUGAGCCCAUUUUUGAUAGUACGUCGGUGGCUACGUUGUUGUCGCGGACGAUAUGGUGAAAUUCCAAGCCUGAGAACUUGUUUUCUAGUCUGCAGGACUUUUUUGCAGUAAGCGUCCAUGUUAUCCUUGUUUCGAUCCCAUUCGUCAUUGACUGGGUUUAUAACUACUAGUGAGUCACCGUAUACCAGUAGUCUUUUGAUGCUGAGGGAAAUUACAAGGCGAAGGCCGUGUAGCAGUGCUUCGUACUCGGCUUUGUUGUUUGAGACUUCCUAGAAGAUUUGCAGUACGUAUUUGAGUUGGUCUCCCUUUGGGGAGAUGAGGAGUACGUCUGCACCAGCCCCUUCGAGUUUGAGGGAUCCAUCGAAAUACAUUACCCAGUGCUCUAGCCUCGACUGGUGUUGGUACCUGAUUUUUAGUCCAUUCAGCCACGAAGUUGACCAAAGCCAGGAAUUUGAUAGCUGUCUUUGGUUUGAAGUCCAAGGUUAGAGCUCCGAGUUCAACUGCCCAUUUGGAGAUUCUACCCGUGGCAUCUCUAUUGUGGAGAAUUUCGCCGAGCGAGAAGUCAGUGAUGACUGUGAUGCUGUGUUCUUGGAAAUAAUGGCGCAGCUUUCGUGAAGUAAGCAGGAUUGAGUAUAGGAGUUUUUGUAUCGGCGAGUACCGAGUUUUGGAGUCCGAGAGUACUUCACUGACGAAGUACACAGGUCGUUGGACUUUGUAAACAUGUCCUAGCUCAAACCGUUCAACUACUAUUGCCGUGCUGAUGACAUGAGUAGUAGCUGCUAUGUAUAGGAGCAAGUCCUCGUUUGGAGAUGGAGCAGUGAGGAUUGGAGGCUUUGACAGAAAGUCUUUGAGUUGUGUUAAUGCCUUUUCUGCCUCUUCUGUCCAUUUGAACUUGUCCUAUCGUUUGAGAAGCUUGAAGAAGGGUAGUCCUCGUUCUCCAAGUCUCGAGAUAAACCGAUUGAGGGCUGCCAUGCAGCCUGUGAGUUUCUGCAUAUCCUUGAUGCUAGCUGGUGCGUGCAUGUUUGUGAUAGAAGAUAUUUUCUCUGGGUUGGCCUCAAUGCCGUGAUGGCUAAUGAUGAACCCGAGUAGUUUGCCAGAAGGUACUCCGAAAAUGAAUUUGGUAGGAUUGAGUUUCCAUCGGAAAGCUCAUAAACUUGAGAAGGUUUCCUCCAAAUCGGCGAUAAGUUCCUCUUGGUUUCUUGUUUUGACGACUACGUCAUCCACAUAAGCUUCAACAUUACGAUGUAAUUGUUUUUCGAAGCACAGCUGUAUAGCUCGUUGAUAAGUUGCCCCUGCGUUUUUAAGUCCAAAUGACAUUGUUUUGUAGCAAAAAGCCCCAAAUGGUGUGAUGAAGGCUGUUUUAGCUUGAUCUUCUUCUUUGAGGUUUAUCUAAUGAUAGCCUGAGUAACAGUCGAGAAAGCAUAGUAGAUCGCACCCAGCAGUAGAGAGGACUACUUGGUCGAUCCUUGGUAAUCCAAAAGGGUCUUUUGGAUAGUGUUUGUUGAGAUCCGUGUAAUCGAUGCACAUUCUUCAUUCAUUGUUUUUCUUGCGAACGAGUACAGGAUUGGCUAGCCAGUCAGGGUGAAAGACUUCUUUGAUGAACCCUGUCGCGAGUAGCUUGGCUAGUUCUUUUUUGAUUGCUUCUCGUCUGUCUUGGGCGAACCUGCGGAGUCGCUGUCAUUUUGCAGUAGCUUUGGGAUCAACAUUGAGAGAGUGCUCAAUCAGUUCCUUGGGCACACCGGGCAUGUCAGCUGGUUUCCAAGCAAAGAUAUCAUGGUUAGCCCGAAGGAAACUGAUGAGCGCAGUUUCCUAUUUAGGAUCUAGCCCUAUUCCGAUCAGAGCUGUCUUGGACGAGUCGCCUGUCUGGAGAUCGACUGGUUUGAAGUCUCUCUCGCUUGCCGGUUUCACCUCUGUGGACCCGAACUUGUUUUCUGGAAUCUCGAGUUCGAUUGGGUGAAGUUUCUUUGAUGCUGUGAAGACUUGUUGCAUAAGGCUAGGUGCUUGAGAAGUUGCAGCAAUCUCCACAACUUCGGUGUCACACUCGUAAGAUCGUCGUAGAUCUCCUCAUAGCAUUAGUUCUCCCUGAGGCCCUGGCAUUUUGAGUACCAAGUAAACGUAAUGCGGUAUGGCCAUGAACUUGGCUAGUGCUGGCCUUCCGAGUAUGGCGUGGUAAGAUGUCUCAAAGUCGGCGACUUCAAAUCUGAUGUACUCGGUGCGGUAGUGUUCCUUAGUUCCAAAGGUAACUAGCAGGAUGACUUGUCCUAACGGUAUAGCUGCAUUUCCUCGUACGAUUCCGUAGAAAGGUGAAUCUAUUGGGGUGAGCAUUUCCGUGACAUCGAGGCACAUCUUCCUUAGUGUUUUGGCGAAAAUGAAGUUGAGUCCACUUCCGCCGUCAAUGAGUACCUUCGUCAGCUUUGAUCCUGCCACAACAGGGUCGAGUACUAGAGGGAAUCGGCCGAGCUCUGAGAAUUUUGUCCACUGGUCCUUCAUGCUGAAGGUUAUGGGUACUUCUGACCAUUUCAACGGUGUUGGAUCUGUUGGCUCGAUGGUCAUGAUUUCCCUGAGUACGAGUUUGCUGGCCCGCUUGGAUGCGGUGCCUGGGAUUCCGCCAAAAAUGACGUUGACUGUCUUGGAGGCGGUCUGGAAGUCGCCUUCUUCUUCUUCAUCGUUGUGGAUUUUGUUCUUUCCCUUAUCUUUUUUCUUGCUGUAUUCUUCAGGAGGUGGUGGUGUGGGUAAGUCUUGCAUUACUCGGUGCAUGCUGUAGCAGUCUACUGUCGAGUGUUUGCUAGUCGGGUGCCAUGGGCACUAUUUUUUGGGUAGUUCGGUGAAGGUUGGCCCUUCAUAGUUUUUGCAGGAUCCCUUUUUCCCGGAGUUAGUCGUGGAAGCAAUGGUGUUGUCGGGUUUCCUUUUGCGAUUUUGAUUACUCAAAAAGUUGUUUCGAGUAUCAUUGUGUCGAGUUCUAUCCUGGUCAUUAUUGUUGUUGUCGCGUCCACGGUUGCGAUGAGAACCGAACUGUUCUCGCUCUUUGUCUUCUUCAUCUGCCCACUGUUGCACCAUAACUUUGAGAUCUUUGACGUUGGCUGGUCUUCAUCGACUGAAGUCUUGGUAUGUUCGUCGAUCGUAGAGUCCAUUCUGGAAGCACUCAAUGACGUCUGUUUCGGAAAUGUCAACUAUAGUAGCCUUCUUUUCGAAGAAUCUUCGCAAGUAAUCGCGUAGUGUUUCGCCUUCUUUCUAUUUUAUUUGACUUAGGUCGAUCUUGUUACCCGGUCUAGCCAUGGAGCCGGCAUAGUUGUUGGUGAAAGCCUUUGUCAAGUCUGCCCAAGAAUCGAUUGAUCUAGACUUGAGGGAUUCAAGCCAAGUAAGCAGUGCUGGUUCCAUGCAUAUGGGAAAGUGGAUAACUUUGGUGUCGUUAUUGCCCCCAGCUGCUUGGACUACUAGCGAGUAGCAUCGUAGCCAUUGAAUUGGGUCUUGCUUGCCAUCAUACUUGGUGAUUCCUGUUGGUUUGAACUUCUUGGGUAAUCUUGUCCUCAUUACCCGAUUUGUGAAAGAAGGAAAGUGGUUGUAAUUGUCGACUUCUCGCUCUCGCCAAGUGUUGAUUAUUUCUCGUAAAUCACUGAAGUUUGAUACUUCGUGAUUUUUCCGAGUAUGAAGAGGACUUUUUACGGAGUUGGUGCAGCUGACUUCUCUAACGUCCUUCUGGCGUACUGGGGCAUUGUGUUUACUCGGGCCUUGGCUGUGUUGCCUUGGUUGGUUUACUACUUCGUUGUCAUUUCUUUGUACUUCAUUGAAGUUGUUGUUAGCUGCAGCACCUCUACUGCCUUCUGGUGAGCUACAAUGCGGGGAACGGACAGGAUUGGUGAUUCUUUAUUGAGUAGCUUGUAGGCUUGUUCCGCGAGUUGUGCGAUUAGUCCGUUGCCUCGCUGCGCGAGUUGAGCUAUGACUUUGUUGUCUCUAUCUCGAGGUAUGAGUGUUGAUGUAAGGUUGAUAGAGGCAAUUGCUGCGAGUGGAGUGUUGUGUUCUUGAGCCUAUACUGCGUCAAAUGCUCUUUCGAGGUUUGUAAUGGAAAUGUUUGUAGCCAGCGUUUGUCGUCGCUCAACCCGAGUAGCAUUGCGCAUCCUUCUUUCUUUCCUUUGAUCGGAAGUUUCAUCUUGUGGAGCGUUAGCUAUUGACUCGUCCUCUGAGACGUUGUCGAGUUGUGCUAGUCGCCGGGGAGUUCUCUGCUGGCUAGUACCCAGGUUGUUGUUUUGAGUAAUAACAAAGACUUCUCUGUCUGGGUAGUAGCUUCCAGAGCUUGAUGUUGCAAUUUCUGUGGAACUUUCCUCGCAACUUGAAGUGAGUGGGACGCCUUCCUGGUAUGGGAGGUUGUCUAUGUGAGCGACAAGGCGCGACUCGUAGUCGCGGGCAAAGAGAGAUGGUCUCAUUCCUGGCCAGUGUACGAAUCUGCCUUGUGAUCUUGAAGUUAUUACCAGUUUUUGGGUUGGUCCUGUCAGUGGUAUCUCUGGGAGAUAGUCCGAGUCGGAGUCAUUGUCUUCAUCUUUCCCGUGUUCAAGUUGAGUUCGAGUGAGGAAACUUUGGUAGGCUUCGGUUGCAUUGCGAGGUCCGUGUGGAAACCGUUUCUCAGUCGAAGUUGAUUUGAGGAGUGACUGGGACCGACUAGUCCGAACUAGGGUCGAGUCCGACGGGUAGUCGAACUCGGUGUUGCUGACUUUGAAAUUUUGGUUUUUUCAAGCCGAAUCAAUUGAUUUCUUCUCCUGAAUGUUGAUGAUUUGGCGCUGAAACGAUCCGGCGCCGUCGGCGACACAGAGCCAGGAUCCAAAAAUGAACGUUUUGCCUCCUUCGAUGAUGAAGACAGGCUUGAUGACGACUAUUGCCAUUGAGCUCACACUGAGAAACUCGAUGAGGGCCCCUACCUGGCGCGCCAGCUGUCGGUGUCUUAGACCGGCAACCCGCCUAGGGGGUACCCUAGGUGGUCUUUUGUGCGGUAAUGGCCGUCGAGAAUCAAGGAGUCAAUGGUGACGCAAGGAACACGAUUUAGACAGGUUCGGACCGCUAGAUCGCGUAAUACCCUACGUCCUGUGAGUUGGUUGUAUUGAUCUUAGAUGUACUGGAGUUGUCCUUGAGGGGGGUCCCUGCCCGCCCUUAUAUACACAUACUUAACUAGUCCGAGUGGGAUAAGCCUAUCCCCUUGUCUUGAUUAGGGCCUACUCGUGGGGCUGGGGUGCAUGCCCGACUGUCACCGCCUCGUCGCCGCCGCACCCUCAUCAUUGUUGCCCCGUCGCCCGGCCCCGUUGUCCCCCGCCCGGGCCUUGACGCCGCCCUCGUCAUCGACCGCCGCCGUCGCCCCUGGCCCCUCCAGUGCCGCGAAGUGCCGGCCACUCCACGCGCGCAAGCACACUCGCGGCUACCUGCGAGCUUGGCUUCCCGCUGACGUAAGCCCGCGACCGGCCGUGACAUCAUAAUUUUUUUAUUUCUGCAGCAUUAGAAAUUGUAAGAAAUUUCUAGGAAAUUAUCUAGAAAUUAUAGGAAAUUAUCUAGAAAUUGUAGGAAAUUAUAGAGAAAUUGUAAAAAAUUUGUAUAAGUGUUGGAAAUCAUGCCAUUUAUUUUUUUAUUUCUGCAGUAUUAGAAAAUUGUUUAAUUAGCUAGAAAAUAUAGAAAAAUUCUUAAAGUAGCUAGAAAUUAUAGAAAAUCCUGUUAAUUCUUAAAAAUGUAUAAAAAUACGUGAAAAUUACUUUGAUAUCUUUAGAAAUUACCAUGUUAUUUUAUGAUGUUGUCAUUUACCAAGUAAUAUUUUCGUAGUCAAUUAAUGUAUAAGUGUUUUAUUCUAUUUUUUUGUCAUUUUCUAGCAAUUCACUAUAAUUAUUGUAUAAUUGUUUCAUUCUAUUUUUGUUGUCAAUUCUUUUUUUAUUUCUGCAGUAUAUGAAUUAGCUAGAAAUUGUAGGAAAAAUGUUGAAUUAGCUAGAGAAUAUAGAAAAAUUCUUGAAUUAGCUAGAAAUUAUAGAAAAAAUAUUGGAAAAGCUUAUUAAUUGUAAAUUGUACGACAUGCCAUGUUACAAAAUUCUGUUAAUUGUUAGACAUGUCUAGAAAUAAGUUAAAAUUACCAAGAAAUUUUAUGACAUUGUCAUUUACUGUUACAAAAUUCAUCAAAUAGUUCAAAAUGUACAAUAUUCAAUAUUUUUGUAGUCAAUUAUUGUUACAAAAUGUAUAAAUAUUGGUCAUUCAUUUUCGUAGUCAUUUUUUGCAAUUAUAUGUAUAAGUUAUAGUCAUUCUUAUUAUAAUAGUCAUUCUUUUUAUUGUAAAAAAUUGUAUAAGUGUAUCAUUAUCUUUUUAGUCAUUUAUUAUUAUUACAAAUUGUAUAAGUGUUUAAUUCUUUUUUUGUCAUUCUUUUUAUUGUUGAUGCCUACUAUUUCUUAGAAUAAUUCCUUUUAUAUUAUACUAGUUACAAUGGCACGAUCAAAGGACCAGCAGGCCCGAAUGGUAGAGGAAUACAUAAUGCAGUUGAUUGUUGAAGGUGGCACAAACGAUCAACCAAAUGAAGAGAUUGAUCACAGCCAAACUGACAUCUACCUCAACAUGUUUGGUGAUAGCAACGAGGAGCAACCAAUUGCUAAGGAAGGCAAUGAGGCGCAACAAAUUGCCGAGGGAGGCAACGAUGGGCAACAAGGCGAGGUAUAGCAAUUAGUAUACGUAAACAUUAUUUGAAUUCUCUAAUUAUCAAGAUUACUGGGAAUUAAUAGUGCUUGUUGUUUUUCAACCAUCUGGAUCGAGCAGCAGGCCUCAACCAAAAUGAGGCAAGAAGAAGAAGUUAAAGGACCAUAUCAUCAUCACGGAAAUUGCUGAAGAUGGUGAACCGAUUGCUCCUGCCAAUGCUAAGACAAAAUUGGUGAAUCAGAUUAGGUUUCUUGUCAGAGAUAACAUCCCAAUAAGCUUUCAGAAUUGAAAAAGCCCUGACAGCAUCGCUUCAACAAGCACGGUACCUGACCGAGAGAAGAAAAUGUUAUGGGGACAGUUAAAAGACAACUUCAUCUUCAAAGGUGUAGACAAAGAUAAAGUGAAAGAAUGGAACUUCAAUAAGGGUGUAAUUGCUUUUCAGACGUACAAGAAAAACCUGAACAAAGAGUACAUAAAGAAGGGGCUUACACCUAAUUUCAUGAAGCACCCGAAGUUAAGAGAUCACUGGGAUUCCUUUGUACAGUUCAAGCAGUCAAAAAAGAGUGCUAAGACAACUCAGACAAACGCCGACAAUGCUCACAAGAACGAAUACUUUCAUCAUCUUGGGAUAGGAGAUUACAAGUUGGGGAUCAUGAAAUGGCAGAGGAUGGAAGAUGAAAUAAUUGCUAGGGGAAUAGUACCGCAGGCUCUCAAAUGGCCGGAGCAAGCAAAGAAUUGGUAUUAUGCUCAUCACGGCAUGCUCAAUCCCGAAGAUGGAUCAUUGUGUUCGGCCAUGAAUUAAGAGAAGCGGCUAUGAGGCUUGUUGACUUAAUAAAGGCAACGGUCGAUGGAUCUUUCAUGCCUGAUCAAGAGAAGGACGAGCUAACUAUGGCACUUGGUAAUCCCAAACACCCUGGACAGUGCCGAGCCAAAGGAGUAAUUCCGUGGAAGUUUGCCUUUCAUGAGCACAUUGAUUCAUACAGAAGUCGCCAAAGAAGUAAGGCCAACCAGGAACGACAGCUGUGAGAGUUGCAAGAACAAGUAGCUUUGAUAGAGGCAAGAAUGGAGGAAGCAAUCGACCGGUGUGUGGUGCUAGCUCUUAGCAAACAAGCCAGUGAACAAGCAGCUGCUGCAGCAUCAGGGGCACAUGUCGACUUACGCCCCACUCAAUGUCCAAGCAGUGUUGCUUCCACGAAAGUCCCAACUGGAGGAUCUUCUAACAUACUUGAGGACAACCAACGCCACCCCGUGGACUACAUCACUGGGAGAGCUCCUUGUGAGCUUGUUACUCCCAUGAAAAAUAAGCUCAUCGUGGUGGCUUAUGGUGUGGCUGAGCAAAUGACGCAAGGCCAAACACUUCAUAGCGUGGAGAUUCCAGCUCACAGUUACGCCAAAGUUGGGGUGGACCAAGUGGUCGACAUUUGGGAUGACCUGGAACUAGAUAUCCUUGGAGGUGAUGGGGAAAAGAAUCUAGGAGAAGCCAUCCACUAUAAGGAUUACGCAGCCGAAUCCCCUGACCUUGGGAUCAUCUCCUCAAGGCUCAAGGGCAAUAUCAGCUACGCCAUCUACCAGGGAACCCUCUCCACUACCAGACAGGGAUCUGAAGCAUCCCCACAUUAGCAGAGACUAAAUGUGAUACAAAUAUCAGUCCUAGGAGGCUGAUAACACAUUUAUUCAACAGAUGGUUCAUAAACCGUACAACUCCCAAGGGAGUGGGCGUGAAAGCCACGCCGAAAUGAUAAGUAAAUAAACAACAGCAGCAAGCCAACCUACUGUCAAGAGACAACACUCGAGACUACACGGCAGCGGAAGCAUUCUGCAAAGGCCAACACCACAGGCAGCGUUGGGUGCGGAAGUGACCUUCUACUCGAAAUCCCAGACGACGAAGUCCGGGUCUUCCUCUAAAGCAACAAAACAAGGGUGAGUACAAAAGUACUCAACAAGUCCAACCCCAUCCACGGAGGGGGACACAAUCAAGAAUAUGCACUGGAUAUAUCAAGGAUAAGGCUAAGGUUUAUUUGCUAUAAAGCUAGGUUUUUCAACACAUGCAAGGGUUCAUUUUCAAAAGGGUUUUCACAAAACAUUUUCUUUAGUAACCAAAUCAUUAGGUGGUGUUGAUCCUACACAAAGGAUCCAAGUUUUCAUGCUACCGGACUUCCCAUCCGCGGUAGCUCACGGCACAACUGUCGGACACCUUCCAAAAUUCAACUCACACCAUGAAAACCAUCCAUCACCCAAACACUAGUUAUGUGUCCAAGCUGUAACUUGUCCAAUGUCGUGGAUACGGCUACCCGAAUAAGUUUUAACUCUGCAGAUGUUGUACACUUUACCCACAAGUAGGGUUCCGCAGCACGAUCACCUUAGUGUCGGUGUAGAUUCUAUCAAAGCCAUUACCCAUCUUAGCUAAGACUGACUAGCUAACAAGGAAGUAACCAAGGGGUUAACGACCUUCCAACGAGGUCUUAACCGGGAUCUAAGUUCACAUAGUUUUUAGUCCUUCUCCAUGGUCUCCCAUUGCUCACCAGCUCUCCUGAUGGCUAACAGACCAGCUAGUGGGAUUUAUGCUAAGCCGCCGCCCACACAACAGUCGAGUGGUUGCAGAUAGUGGGUUAGGAAAUAUGGCACAUCAACUGAGUCUUUAAAUGUGACAAGAUGGAUAUCUCCCAACCUUGCUCAACCACAAAGGUACGAGCCCAACUUAUUGGCAUUUCACACAAGAAACACCCAUCCAUCUCAUCUAAGCAUUUCUUUUCUUUAUUUCUGAAAACCCAUUUUUCUCAUUUGAAAACACUCACACAUUUAUUCUUUAACAAAGCACAUUGUAGUCAUGAUUGAAUUGAGUAACAAUGUCCUAAGCAUUCUAGCAGUAAUUAUCAUCCAAACAUAGCAAAUCAUAUUUAGAGAUAAUGAUAGGACAAUCAAGGAAUGUUCAUAGCAAUCAAGGGGUGGCUAUCCAACCGUGUUUUUAGUAGUAAAACAAUAUGCAAUUUUGUAAAACAGGCCAAUAGGUUGUGUUUGAAAACCUGAGAUAAAUAUGCAUCAAAGGGUAAGAUUGGACUUGCCGUCCUCAUAGUUGGCCAGGAGUUCUUGUUCGCGGUGUUGGUCCUCAGGCUCAGGCUCACGGUCAAACUCCCCCUUAGGCUCCUCCUCGUGUACUCCAUGAUCUACGGCACACACAAUCGGGCACACAAUAAAUAAAAGAAAAAUUAAAGCUUUACCCGUUGAGCUCGAACACAGAACGCGAACGGAAAAUAGAAAGAAUGAGUAUUUUCAUGAAAUUAGGAGAUGACUUGACGAAAGUAUAUUGGAGGAUGCCGUGGUCGAAUUUGGGAUUAAUUGGAGGAAGUUUGGCGCAUGAAAUGACGCGAUAACUGGGUGUUUAGGGGUUAAAACAGGGUUUAGGGGCUUAACUGCGAGGAAACAUGGACUUGUUCGUAAAUAUUUAUGGAAGGUGGAAGGGUUGUUCUGUAAAAGGAGUAUGAGAGAGGUGGGAGGGCUAUUUUGUGAAUAGGGGAUAGUAGGGGGGUUAGAUCGAAAUGAGGAGUUUUCUUCUUCUCCUUCCUCGGUUCAGGAACAGAGAAGGUGGGGGAGGAGAUGGCUGGCAGCGGACAGCCAGCCAGGCCUCGCCGGCGGCGAGCUGAGUGGCUGGGGAGGUAGAGGAGGGUGAGGGGAACCCAUUUUGCCCCUUACCUUGAUGAUUCGGCGAUGGGAAGGGGGCGGCCGGCGGUGGAUAUGAGGCGGCGGUGGUGUGCUUGGCGGCGCGCAGGAGCGGGGUGGUGGCGCCUUGGCGCGGGAGGGAGCAAGAAGAGGGCGGUGAGCUUGUGGGUGGCGAGGGAGGCCAGGGCAUCACCCCUUAUAUAGCCGGCGGGAGGGGAACGGCCGGCGGUGUGGGGGCCGAGGCCAGCGCAACGGGCGGCGCGGGUAGGUUCCAGCGGCGGUGCAGCUGCAGGGGGCGGGUGAGCGGCGAGGCACGGCGGUGGCGAUCUGGGCGGUGGGGGACGAGGUGCUGGAGGGUGGUGUCACGGCGAGCAGCGCUAGCACCGGCGCCAGGCGCACUGCGCCUGCUACGGGCGGCGCGUAGGGAGGGGGCCGGGUGUGGGGCCGAUGGAGGAGGGGGAAAUGGUGGCAGGCUAGGGAGAGGGGCCGACACCAGAGGGAAUGGCGCUGGGGCCUGGGGCAGUGCAGUGCAGGGAGGGGAGGGCCGGCUAGGGACUAGGGGUCCUGCGCGCGUGACCAGGGAAGAAGGGAGGAGAAGAAAGGAAGAAGAAGGAAGGAAGAAGAAAGAAAGGAAGAAAGAGAAGGAAGAAAAAGAAAAGAGAAAACAAAAUAGGAAAAAAGAAAAAGAAAGAGAGGAUCGGCGGUGAUUGCGGGAAACGGUCGGAGCAUGCGCAGUGGUUUGUCGACCGGCAAGUGGCAGAACUUGCGAAGAGGAUAAAAAUGGUGGUUGUUGGCUUUGGGUGCCGGGACGGAGAAAUCGCCGGGAAGAUGGGAUUUUUGGGGGCUCAACGGUGAAAAGAUUUUGAAAACAAAUUUUUAGUGGGUGAUUUAAGUUGGUAAUUUAUACGGAUGUUACAGGAUCCUAGCAUGAGUCCACCUCCACCUCCUAUGAGCAUGGCUACACGGUGAAAGAGGCCUUCAGUUCCGCCUACUGCGGCUACGAAGAAGCAAAAAAAGUAGAAGGAGAAGCAACCACCGCCCAAGAACCCAUGUGAUAUGACAGAUGAGAAACUCCGCGAAGCAGUGAAUGCUGAGGUAAAAGCUUUCUUCAUGAGGGAGAAGUGAAGAAAGACCCACCAGUUGAUAAGGGUAAAAUUCGAGCUUUCAUCAGAAGCAUGGAGGUGGAGCGAAGGAAAGAGCCAGAGAAACCACCUCUAUUUGAUUACGACAGACAAAUAACAUAGGCUUCUAAGAAGAGGAAGAAAAGUGGGUCAACUAUUCCACAACUCGGAGCCCAAUCCAACCAAUCGAUUGCCCCACUCCAGGUGCUUUCUGAGUUUGAUAAGAACGUGCUACAAUUCGCUAAUGAUACAAAUCUCACCGCAACUCAACUUCAAGGGGAGGACCACAUCCCAAAGCACCCAGGGGCUGCUAAAUGGAAAUAUGAAUAUGGGAAACCGCUUGUGUGGCCCCAAUUGGUGGACCGUCUCCCAAUGAAGAUUAGCAAGUUGCACCAAUGGUACAUGGAGGCUUCAUUCGAGGGUUUUGCCGUGCUCGAAGUUUGAAUUGGUGGUCAACAUUAUUUCCGUGGGGAAGACAUCAUAAAUGUACUACUGGAGCCUGUACAAUCAAGACGCACUUGACAAGUCACUCAUCAGUUGCUUGGUUCUGUAAGUCUUUAAUAUCCUCUAACUUCAAAAUCCAAGCUCUAGUCAAUGUGCGAUGUCUUAACUCCUAUUCGAUUUUGUAUCAUGUAGGAUGGAGAUUCAAGCUUGUCAGAGGAAAGGAUACUAUGAUGUAGGCUUCAUGGACCCCGAUGUUGUAAAUGAGGCAAAUCUAAAAGAUAAACCAAAUCAGACAUUGAAGAAUAUAUAUAAGUUCCUCGACAAGCAACAUUACAAGAAGUACAUAUUACUACCGAACAACUUCAAGUGAGCGUGUUUCCCAUCUCUUUCUUUUUCGAACUAGCAGUUAAACAUAAAACUAACUAGCUUUAAUUUGGCUAUACAUAAUCCAUUGGAUACUCAUUGUUGUCGUGCCUGAUAUGAGCUUUGUAUAUGCCUUCGACUCUUUGAAGAAACCAAACCAAGAAUACAAUGACAUCAUAGAUGCUCUAAACAAAUCAUGGGCUCGACUCCGUCAAAAUCAUGUGAGUGAAUUCAAGGAGGAACUUUAUUGGAAGACUGAUUUCCCGGUAUGUCUUGAAUUUUCACAUCUCGUGACACUUCCUUUAACACAACAUAUAUUUCAUAACUUUUUUUUCCAUAUAUAUAGUGUUGGAGACAGGAGCCAGGUAACAAUUUAUGCAGAUACUACGUAUGUGAGUUCAUCCACGACUUUGUAGGUCCGAAGCGUAUGAUCGACCAUAAGUUAACCGUACGUAUAUAAAAUUCUUAAAAAUAAAUUCGUUCUAAUUAUGCAAACCCAUUGAUCUACUAUAUAUAUAAUAACCUUUGCCAAUGACACAGAUGAUGUACAGGAAGGAAAGAGUCCUCGACACGGACUGCAUCAGGGCAGUUCAAGAACAACUCUAUGGAUUUCUUAGGAAUGAGGUCAUAAAUCCAGUGGGGAAGUUUCAUAAUGAUGGAUUAAAUCUACAGCACCAUCAAGACUCGGAUUCAGAAUAGUAGAUACGAAAUGUUGAACUUGGAAAGUUGAGGCAAUGUAAGUAUAUAGUAGCUCAAAUGUAACAUUAAAAAUAAAUAGAAAUUUAUAUAUAUUAGUGUAUUAGAACUAGUAUAAACAAAUACAAAAUACAAAUAUAGAAUAAAAAAAUAGAAAAGGAAAUGAGAAAAGAAAAGAAAAAAUAAUUAGUAUCGGUUAGAGGCUUUAGGACCGGCUAGUCUCCCCAACCGUACUAAAGGGUUUCCUAAAGGCCCCCCUUUAGUACCGAAUUACUAGUACCAGUUGUGCAACCGGUACUAAAGGCGUUUUUCCUAGUAGUGCAUGAUUUAGACAGGUUCGGACCACUUAUGUCGCAUAAUACCCUACGUCCUUUGUGUUGGUUGGAUUGUAUUGAUUGAUGAUUGUUUGGAGGGGGUUCCUGCCUCGCCUUAUAUUACUGGGGUAAAGUUACAGGUUUGUUGUUGUACAAAAGUACUAGUCAGAUUCGAUCAGAGAGUCUUACUCUAAUUGCCACGAGUAGUUUCCUGAUCCACAACUAGUCCUUGUUUGCCACAUGGACCAUGCCGCCCUGCACCAUAAUUUCCAUAUCUGACACGUCUUAGUAUACAAUCCCAUAUGUUGAGGUGACCGCGCCGUCGCCUCGGCUGGCGUCUCUAUCACCACACCGCCUACUAUCUUACCAUCCCGAAGCUUCCUCUUGGACCGUUGGAGACAGGUAAAACCCCUACCUCCAAACCCCGAACUCUAUUGGCAUAGUUUAGCUUUCCCUGAAGGUAAGCUUUGCCAUAUUUUUUGUGAGAAAAGAUAGAGAAAAUCCAAAAGAAUUUGGACAGGCUUGCUGGGCCGGUGCGCGAGAGGCGGGCCGUGAGCGUGUCAAGUCAAGCGCACCGCCUGGGCCAUCUUGGCUGGGACCCACCCGUCAGCCCGACUUCGCCAUCCCUCUCCUCUCCCCGCCUAUAUAACGACCGGGCCCUCCACCUGUUGCCCGGAACGGAAACCAAAACCACCAGAGAGGCGCCACCGCCACCGCCGGCCGCGCAGCAGCACCGAGAACCCGGCGAGGGAGGGACACAUCACGCCGGUGACCCGAUGGAGACCGAGAGUCAUUUCCUCAACCUCGACCCGGAGGGGCUGGACGAGGGCGACGCCCACAACGCCGCCGCCGCCGCCGCCACGUUCCACCUCGCCGUCGCCGCCGCCGCGCCUAGGGGACAGCCACACGAGGACGAGGACGGAGACGCGACCCCUCCUCCUCGCUUGCUUCCUCCCCUCACCGUCGAUCACCGCAGGCCGGGCCCGGCUUCUUGGAGCCCCUUCUUCUCGCGGGUGCGGGCGGCGCUCCUCAUCAUGGGCACAGCCGCCGCGCGCGACCUGUUCCCUUCCAUGGUCCAGGUCCCGCCCCUGGACUCCCGCCCCAUCAGCACCGUACCAGGUGUCUAUUCUUCUUUUCCUUUAUCUUGUUUUCUUUUUUAUGGCCUUAAUAAUCCCAACUUCUUGAUUAUGAUGACUGAAGCAUGAUCGAAAUAGAUCAGCACAUAAUCCUAUGCUCUGAUUAAACCAAACAUUCUUGAUUGCGUUGGCAAUGAAUUACAAUCUGGACCCUUGUUGCAUAAAAAAAUAUACUGUUGCUCCAAAUCUUGUUUUUUUAGAUUAGCAUAAACUUGUUUUGAUGCUCUGUAUUACUUAUCAUCAUGUGUUAUGACAAUUGUAUUUGUAUCUUUCCGUACUUUGGUUACUGAAUCUUUUAAACUGAACUCAGGGGUUGUACCAAACCUGCUUGAGCACCAGUUGGUGUCGUCCAACAUCCCCCGUGGCGGAACCUCCAUUGUACUAUCUCAUGCUCUGGGUAUGAUUACAGAAGAUGACCUCAAUUUCUGACUUUCUUCUGAUAAUCUAGAAAAGUAAAGAAGCUUAUAAUAAUGUACACUUACCGCUUGUUGACAUUGCCAAAUAAUCUGUAUCUCUCAACAUAUUUUGUUGUUACAGUCUGUGUUAUGUGAGAUUGCAGAAAUACAAUCUGAAAAGUAGUCACUUGACACAAUACUGGUGCCUGUUGCCCAAAGCCCUCUUUGAAUUUUCAUCUACUCACUGUUCUUUAUUCUUCUACUGAACACUUAUCUGGUGAAAAAUAUUUGUUCAUAGUUGCUGCUAUCCCUGAUUCUGUGUAUGCAUUAUUCUCUAUUUGGUGCUGAGUUCAAUUGAAUGGCAUUUAUUAUUUCAGAUCAACUUUCACCUGCUAGGUGGUUAACACAUUCUGCGGCCCUAGUGUUAAUGAAAUGCAUUAGAGUAUUUUCUGGACAUUUAUGUAUUUGUUGUUCCCUGGAAGGAGGACUGUUUUCACCAUCCAUAGAGUUGCUGCUAGACAAAUAUUGUUUUUCUAGAUUGGCAUAAACCUUGUUUUGAUGCUCUAUAUUACUUAUCAUCAUGUGUUAUGACUGUUGUAUUUGUAUCUUUCCGUACUUCGGUUACUGAAUAUUUUAAACUGAACUCAGGGGUUGUAGCAAACCUGCUUGAGCACCAGUUGGUGUGGUCCAACAUCCCCCGUGGCGGGACCUCCAUCUCACUAUCUCAGGAUUCACGUAUGAUUACCAAAAGAUGAAAUUAAUUUCCAACUUUGUUCUGAUAAUCUAGAAAAGGAGAUAAGCUUAUAAUAUUGUACAGUUACUGUUUGUUGCCAUCAUGCCAAAUAAUCUGUAUAUCUCAACAUAUUGUGCUGUUACAGUCUGUUUAUGCGAGAUUGCAGAAAUGCAAACUGAAAAAUAGUCACCUGACACAAUACUAGUGCCUGUUGCUCAGAGUCCUCUUUGAAUUUUCAUCGCAUUGUUCUUUAUUCUGCUAAUGAACACUAAUCUGGUGAAAAAUAUUUGUUCAUUUUGCCGCUAUCCCUGAUUCUGUGUAUGCAUUAUUCUCUAUUUGGCUCUGAGUUCAGUUUAAUGACAUUUAUUAUUUGGUCUUACUUGACAGCCACUGUGCAUUUCUGUUGAGAUCUUUUAGUUUGUUGUCCUUAUGAUCUGAUAAAUUUAUGUGUCAAACAGAAAUUCAUGUCAGUCCAGAGGCCUUGCCUGUAGAUCAGAUUUUCUCCUGGUAAGUGGUUAACACAUUCUGCGGCCCUAGUGUUGCAAAGAACUGGAUCAGAUUAUUUCCUGGAUAUUUAUGUAUUUGUUGUUCCCUUGGAAGCAGGACUUUCUGCCCCUCCCAGCCUCAUCAUGGAUGAUCCGGUGCCACGGGCUAUGCAUCAUACUCAUAAAGGAACUUCAAUUGCAGUGCAAAGUGACAUCCAACAAUCAGGUAACCUUGGCAUAUAAAGGCAUUGCCAUAUGCAUGCCUCCUAGUAAACACAGGAGGCCUGCAUCAGCAAUUGUAGGACCUUGGUCAGCCUCUUGGGCGCAAGGCACUAUCUACUUCCUCAACUUCAUUAUAGUCAUGGUACUUUUUUCAGCAGUGGUGGCUAUGGUUACAGGAGCCUUGAGAGAAUCAGACCCUUUGGUCCUCAUGGCCUAGAGGAAGAUUCAUGUUCCAGUGGUAGUUACUGAAACCAGGGAUAACACUAUACUCUGUGGCAGCAUAUGCAGAAUCCUCUAGAUUUUCUCUGCCUGCUUAGCUUCUGAGGACAGGUCAUCUUGUGUGGUCCUUUGAAUGGUGAUUGAUGGUGGAGAUUUUGAUUGAUGUUGGAGAUUUGGAUUUGUGCAGUAUCUGCUAGUAGGAUGAUGUGCUGCAGGUGGAAUGGAUAUUGUGAAGUACACUUGGUGCCUUUUGUGGUUUUGACUGAAAAUGCUGAUGCUGAUGCUUCUGCUUUGAGUCCUAAAGUUCAGUUGUUUUGAUAUUGCCUUUAUUUUGGGUGUGUCCAGAUGAAAUUAAGAAGAGAGGGGAACAUAGUUGAGUAACAGUCCUGGAAUAUGCACAGUGUUAUAAAGGAAAAUACAGAAUAGUACAAGAUCUUGGGACAAAAGCAACUGUCUGAUAACCUAAGGGUUCAAGUGAAUUGAUGAUACUUUGAUGCAUAUCUGAAAUCUGUUGAAUUGAAUAAGUAAUACAGUAUGGAUUCUUGAUAAAUCAAUCUCAGGCGUCAUUGCUUCAUUUUUUUUGAAGGUGCGCUGGGGGGAUGAAACCCCCUCCUGUAUUCAAUUAAACCACAGACUUCUGGCUACUGAAUUCAUCCUGUUGGCUUCCCAGCCUCUGCGCCAUGGGACAGGCCCUUGUUGCUUUGUAUGAUGAUUGAUGGUCAACGUUUGGAUUUGUGCAGCACCUGCUAGUAGGAUGAUGUGUUGUAUGUGGAAUGGAUAUAGUGAAGUACACUUGACGCCUUUUGUGGUGUUGUCUAAAAAAUGCUGGAGCUCCACUUGGAAUCCUAAAGUUGAGUUGUUUCAAGAUAUCCUUUAGUUUGGGUGUCUUCGGAUCAAAUAAAGGAGGGAGAAAAUAGUUGAGCUACACUGCUGAAAGAUGCACAACCGUAUAAAGGAAAAUACAGAGUAUUACAAAAUCUGGGGACAACAGCAACUGUCUGCCAACCGAGUUCAGGUGAAUCUACAAGAAAUGUGGUGCGGGUACUUGAUCUAUCCAUCGCAGGCAGCAUUCCUUCCUGUUUGCAUUCAGUUGUAGACUACAUCUGCCCCUUAGGUAGAUUUCCGGCUACUGAAUUCCUCUAGUUCUCCUUCCAGCCUCACUAUGCCAUCGGAUGGGCCCAUGUUGCAUGCAAGCUUCUGCUAGGUGACAGUGACACUCCCCCACGGCCAUGUCUCCUCUCUGGUGCAGUGUUUUCCGUUGAGAUCUUAGUGCUGUUCUAGAUUAUUUGUCAUUUGCAUCAGUUUUUUUUAUGUGCAGCCACACCAAUAUUUUCUGCGCUUGCAAACCUCUCAUUAUACUUUCUCCGUAUGCACUAUUCUAUACUCUGCGAGCAUACUCUGUGGUAGUAAACACUUGAGUUACAUGCUGAUCAUAUGUCUGUUGCAGAUGUUGUCCCUGAUUGGCUGAGUCAGUAUCCACACCGAUGGAGGAGGUUCCACCAGCCUCUAUUCUAGCCUGGUCAGCCUGGUCCUCAAGAAUGUGAAGGUUAAGUGGUUAAUGACACAUUUUUCCUGUUGUGCUAGAGUAAACCAGCACGCGCCUUUGUUUGACUUACUAAUUUCAUUUUUAUGUCUUUGUUGUUCUAUCUUGAACUCCAAGGACCGUCGGGCUUGGGCUUCGGUCAAUCAGUCAGAGUACUACAGACACUCAGCCACUCAGGUACAAUUAGCAUGAAAAAGCAUUUGGAUCCAGUCACUCUGGUAAGGACUAAGGAGUCCUCAAUACAGCUAGUUUACUUAGUUUGUUGAGUUGGUUUUUCAUCCUAACCAAUGAUCUGAUAAAAUAAAAUAGUUCAGCAAAUUGCGCCAAGCUUGAGUCCCCACUCCCCAACAUGAUAUACCAUCAUUUAUCUUUUUAUGGUUACUUUCUGAAAUAGAGAUCGAGGUCACUCCAGAAUACUCAUCUACUUCUGAAAUGUCUGAAGGUAUGUGUCCAACAUAUUUCUACUGCUCCAGGGUUUCAGUGAGCCAGCAGAACUCUUGGGCAUGAUCUUUUUGUCUUUGUUGUUACCACGGAAACCGAGUUCUACUUGCAAUGCUUGAUUCAUCUCUGCUGCACUCAGUCAGGUCUGAUACUUGCUAGAUUUGUGUCCUUAGACUCUGAAGCAAAAUCUUGUUAUAGGCUUUCUGAAGCAAAAUUGAUUCCUGUUUUGCAGUCUGUACUUAGACUCUUAGACCGCUGUUAGUUGAAACUGACGAAUCAUACUGGCACCUAGGUGGUAUCUUAUCUCGCAAGUAGUGUUUGCAUUGGCUUGGUGCAGCGUUGUUCCUUGAGUCAGUGUCCAUGCAGAUUAUAGACGAGGUUGCACCAGCCACUCCGCUGUCCCAGUCAGGAAUUCCAAUGGAAUGCCUGGUCCUGGACUUUCUAAGGGUUAAAUGUUAACAACACCAUGUCCAAAUACUAACACUGCUUUUAUGCCUUUAUCCUUGCCAUGGAAACAGGGUUUGCUUCUCUUUCUAUCCUAAACAAUCACAUUCCUUGGGCUUGACUUUGCACAAUUAGCCAUGGUACAACAAAUAGUGUUAGGUAAUUAGCACUAAAAAACAUUUAGGUUCAGUCUGAUUACUCUGUACGUACGUUACAUUGGUGGUCUUACCUGGUAGUGCAUAUUGUGCAAGCUCGAGUACUGUACACAAUUCAGC
Molecule: long non-coding RNA, 714038 nt
Filed under: Setaria italica (foxtail millet)
Lineage: Eukaryota; Viridiplantae; Streptophyta; Magnoliopsida; Poales; Poaceae
Description: long non-coding RNA (SITA_LNC002474)
Source: RNAcentral